This 471433-nucleotide long non-coding RNA is filed under the name Zea mays. Its description in RNAcentral is "long non-coding RNA (ZMAY_LNC002145)". The stretch from base 110873 to 110945 matches the Rfam family "tRNA". The record is from RNAcentral. Lineage: Eukaryota; Viridiplantae; Streptophyta; Magnoliopsida; Poales; Poaceae.
UUAACCAUCACCCAUAAUAUUUUGAGCAUUCAGAAACACACCUAGCGAAGCGCACUAGCAACGACCUAACAACAAUGGCUUCCAAGACAUUAUCCCUCCUUGCGCUUCUUGCCCUUUUUGUGAGUGCAACAAAUGCGUUCAUUAUUCCACAAUGCUCACUUGCUCCGAGUGCCAUUAUUCCACAGUUCCUCCCUCCAGUUACUUCAAUGGGCUUCGAACACCCAGCUGUGCAAGCCUAUAGGCUACAACAAGCGCUUGCGGCGAGCGUCUUAGAACAACCAAUUGCCCAAUUACAACAACAAUCCUUAGCACAUCUAACCAUACAAACCAUCGCAACGCAGCAGCAACAAGCACUGAGCCACCUAGCCGUGGUGAACCCUAUCGCCUACUUGCAACAACAGCUGCUUGCAUCCAACCCACUUGCUUUGGCAAACGUAGCUGCAUACCAACAACAACAACAGUUGCAACAGUUUCUGCCAGCGCUCAGUCAACUAGCCAUGGUGAACCCUAUCGCCUACCUACAACAGCAACAACUUCUUUCAUCUAGCCCGCUCGCUAUGGGCAAUGCACCUACAUACCUGCAACAACAGUUGUUGCAACAACAGUUGCUGCAACAAAUUGUACCAGCUCUUACUCAGCUAGCUGUGGCAAACCCUGCUGCCUACUUGCAACAACUACUUCCAUUCAACCAACUGACUGUGUCGAACUCUGCUGCGUACCUACAACAGCGACAACAGUUACUUAAUCCACUAGCGGUGGCUAACCCAUUGGUCGCUGCCUUCCUACAGCAGCAACAAUUGCUGCCAUACAACCAGUUCUCUUUGAUGAACCCUGCCUUGUCGUGGCAGCAACCCAUCGUUGGUGGUGCCAUCUUUUAGAUUACAUAUGAGAUGUACUCGAUAAUGGUGCCCUCAUAGCGGCAUGUGUUUCCUAAAAAUAAUCAAUAUAUUGAUUGAGAUUUAUCUCGAUAUAUUUCUGAACUAUGUUCAUCAUAUAAAUAAUUGAAAACAUCAUAUCAUAAUUAUAAACUUAUGCUUGGUCAAUACAUAGACAAUACAAUAUUACUUCAUCAUCCCAAUGAUGUCCAAGCCAAACCUCUUGAAUGUUACUGUUUGGGUGUGUGCGGGUGUAUUUAUAAGAUAGAUGUGACUAUUUGCGCUUUUUGUUGAGUACACACAUAUAUGGUAUGUUGAUUUGAUAUAGUGAUGGACACAUGCUUUGACCAUGAAUAUUCAAAUCAGUUGUACUUGCACGAAGCAAAACAUAAUAUUAGUUUAGGAGUAAACUUAUAACUGCGUCCAAACAUGCUCACACAAAUUCAUACCACAUUAUAUUUUUUUGGUAAGUAUUCCACACAUGUAUUUUUUACAAGAACCCAAAUUUUGCACACAAAUGUAGCAUUCUAGAUAUGUAUAAUUCUUUGAAGCCCGUGAACUUAACAACAGCAAGGUCAUUAAAUCAAUUGGACCCUAUGAGUAAUAAUUUCGAUACGCAAACACCAAAUUAUGGAACUUAUUGGCUGAAAAAAUUAUGAUCAAUGUAAAGUUUAAAUUAUUAUACCAAAAAUAUAUCAAAGAACUUUUUUGAGGAACGUAAAAAUUGCAUGGAAUGGGCUGUCUAACGUGCUAGCUCACUUUUAUGCUAGGUAGCAUUACUAAAGAUGGGAAUGUUGCUGAUGAACGCCAAACCCACUCAAAUAAUAUUUAUAUUUGGGUUGUUUAGUUGUAAAAGUGAAGAUCCAAGAUUAAAAUACCAAUUGGCCAUUGUCAUUCGAUUGUUUUGUUUAGAGAGCACUUGGUGCGUCAUUUGGACUCGUAUCUUAGUCCAAUAGAUUGCAUUUUCCUUCAAUGUGUAGAAUCCGACAAAGUGCAUGUUCUAAAAUUGUAAAUCUAACUAAAUUAGAAAGCUUGUUACUAAUUCGAUGGUUUAUUAGUUGUAGCUCAUAAAACUAGAACCAACAUAGCCUGCACUCACAUGUCAUAGAAAAUAGGAGUAUCCAAGCACAAUUUGUGUGAGCAUCCAUGACACAAAUCAUAUAUAGACUGAUACAAUUAAUUCCUUCAAAAAUAAAAAAGGAAAAAAUAAAGUGUUUUUGGAUACUGUAGAAUAUCGAGCGAAGGGUGACGUCUUCACCUUCGCCCCAACAUUUGCCCUCCGAGGGACCAGUUCGACUAAGUCAUUUGGUGCCGAAGGUGUCGCUAGAUGGUGGAGACGCUGCCCUCGCUCGAAGUGGUUCCGCGGGGGUUUUUGACAUGACCGUUGAUUGACGCCACACUGUUGGAUUGCUGGCUUCCCGAAGCGUCGCGCCCUGUGUAUAUAAAGGGGGUGGGGGCGGCGGGGAUUGAAAUUUACCUUUCUGCGCGCCGCGAAAACCCUAGCCUCCCUGUCAAACUGCUCGCUUGCUCGUCUGCCCUCCUUGCUCCUGUUCGUCGGAGAACUGGCCCACGUGAAGCAGACUGUGCGCCGCCGUCGACGGUACGUAGCCAUGCCGUCUUCCUCCUCGUCUGCUGCGACCACGCCGACGGCCAAGGCGACUUCCGAAGAUCUCUCGGGCACUGUGGCGGCGGCGGAAUUACGACCGGGUGAUACGGUGGAAUUCGGUGUUUCGCGGAUGUCGUUGGUCCGCGUGCAAGAUAUGCAACAGUUGGUGUAUUUUGGCGGCGGGGUUGGUCGAGUCCCGGGGCCAGAGGAGGUCCCCGAGCUCGAGGGCGAAUUGGUUGUUUUUGAGGCAUUUUUCAUCGCCGGCCUUCGCCUGCCUGCGCAUCGUUUUAUGUCGGAGGUUCUGCAGAAGUUCAAAGUCCAGGUUCAUUAGCUCACACCGAACGCCGUGGUGGCGUUGGCGAAGUAUGUCUGGGCAACGACGUCGUAUGGCGGUCAGCCUUCGGUGGAAGUCUUCGCCAAGCAAUACGGUCUGCAUUGGCAGAAGAGAAAAAAUGGACAUAAGAUUGCUCAAUUCGGAUCAUGCACUUUCACGCCGAAGUCCGGGAAGACUUCGAUGGAAGUGGUGGAGCUGGUCCCCUGUGCCCAAAAUAAGUGGGGCAACUGGUGGGACUACUGGUUCUAUGUUUCGGAGGCUGAAGUCGAAGAUCACCCAGGGCUCCCUGCCGCCAUUAUGUGCUCUCAUUACUAUGUGGCAUACCCGCCAUUUGAAGUGGCGGAGGAUGAUGAAAAUGAAAGGGCCCUUCGGAUCGCUGCCCGCACGAGUAGUGGGCGCGAUCUAGUUGAGGAAUUCAUAGGGUAUGGGGUGUGGCCCUUGGCGCAUGGAUGGGCGUUGGGCAAAGUAUGCCCUCGCGAGAUGCCCUCCCUGGGCGGGCGGAAGGUGCGAAGUCCGCUUUUUGCUUUGGAUGUGCGAGGGCGGGAUCCUGCCGCGGUUGUGCAUGAGGCGGAGGAUGGGGCGGUGAGAAUUGUUGGGUGCUACGUGCCGAAGACGGAGGCCCAGCGGAGUUGGGAUAUACGUGGAUCCAACGACCGCCUGAAUAGGGUCUUCGAGUUGAAUUGUUUGCCGUAUGGCGGUUAUCCCGGGGAAGACGUUGUCGACCACAGCGGGAAAAAACCAGCGGCUGUGACUGAAGACGACCCCGCGUCGGAGGCCGCCCCAGCCACUAAGAAGAGGAAGCUAGGUACUGCGGUGGGAGAACUGGGGGUCUCCGAUAGUUUUGCUAUGGAGUUGAUGGGGACAUGCGUGGCCCCCGGGGGAAGGAUGUCUUCGCCCGAGCUCCGGGAGUCUUCGGCGCGGAUGUUGGAGGUUACCGGGGGUCGAUGGCCCAAAAACGUUCCUAUCCCCCGCGCGGCUGGCGAAGACUUCUUUACAUCUCGCAUGGCUCGUGACUUGAGAGUGUUUCCUUACAGACGGAAUAUUGCUGUUGUUGUGUCGAUAGUGAUGAACAAGGAUCACCAGGAUGCUGCGCAGAAGCGUCGGGCGGUCAUCAGGCUCCCCGACGCUAGGCGUGAAGCGAAGAGAGCGCGAGGGAGUGCGAAGGCUAUCGUCCCCGGCGGUAGCCAGCCGAUGCUGGCUGCAAAGCCGGCCGCGCCUGGAUCCAGCAAGGUGCCGGAGAGCGGGAAGGCGGUCGGCGCCGGUGGAACCAAGUCUGCCCCGGACGGAGCUGUGAAGGUCCGGGAGCUGCCUUCGACGGGGAAACGCGUUGCCGACUUCGGCAUGAAUAUUAGCGUGGACGACUAUCUCGUUGGUAAGCAUUUUUUUUAUUCUGACCGGUGAUACGUUGCAGGGUCGAGUGAGGGGCAACUGGUUGUUGUCCCACCUGUGGUGGCAACCACGGCGUCAACCGCGGUGCUUGGGGUGAAGGGUGGCGCUUUCAGCGCUGGCGGCGAGAUUUCGGCGGCCACUGCCGUCAAGGACGAAGCGGGCACUAUGUCCCGCCGGCUGAGGGAGGCGUCGCAGCAGCUAAGUCAAGUAAGUUGAGCUGGACUUCGGUGUUUCCUGCUUUCAUGGGGAUUGUGGUCUCAUGUGUGUCUGUUAGGCGGCCGACUUCGCCGACCGCGUGGCGUCGGGUGCCCUUACUGCAGAUGUGUCUGCCGAAGUCGAGAGACUUUGGGCGCAGCACGCGGACGCCGUCCGGGAGAAGUCGGCUGCGGAGAGCAAGAGCCACAGGCUGGCGGAGAAGGUGGCCGCCCUGGAGGGCGAGAGGAUGGACCUCCGGCGCCAGUUGGUGGAGGAAAGGAGGGAGGCCAACCAGGCCAUCGCCAAGGUGCAGGCGGCGCAGGCGGAGGCCAAAUUGGCGUGGGCGGAGGGGAGUCUCGCCAGCCAACGCGCCGAGGAAUGGGAGGUGCGGUUCAACGCUCUGCACGCCCGCAUGGAGAGGGCCGAGGCCUCUACGCGCUCGGAAGUUGAGCGAACGCGCAAACAGCUCGUGGACUCAUACCGGGAGCUGGGUGCGCGGACUGCUGACUUCGAGGUGCCCGACCGAGAAGCGAGCCUUCGCUUCCUCGAGUGGCUGCAAGAGGAAUUGCUGGCACUCCCGACCAUCGUGGAGGGAUUCAUGUCUUUUGCCUCCCUCGUCACCUGCGAAGGGGCCAUGAAUGCGUUGUCCCGCAAGGGAUGCAAUCACUAUGAGGGCUUCGACCGGUCCGAUGAAGACUUUGGGCGCGAAAUUUUUAAGGUCGAAGACCCUGUGGUGAAGGAUUCUGCGGGGGCCCUCUUCGAUCGGAUGUGGGGUCCUCAUGGCCGGGAGGCGGUCAAGGAGCGGUCUGAUCGGGCGAGAGAGCAUGUAAGUCUUGUCUGUUGUUUCGUGUGAUUGAAUGUGGGUACGUGUGGGUUUGCUGAAUGAGUGUGUUGUUGCUGCAGAUGGCGCAUGCUGAGGAUGUCAAAGACCUCGGAGGUCUAAACAGUGCGCCGCCCGAGGCUGCGGAGGGCAGACCGGUGCUGCCCUCGGAUGCUGGUGAACGCCCAUCGGACGUGCCCGUGCCUGCUGCUGUCGGCGAAGACCCUGUGUCGGCCCCUGUGCCGACAGUCAAAGGCGCUCAUGAGGUGGUGGCGGAGCCGGUGGUCGAAGGCCCUACGGCCGCGGAGGCGCCCGCGCAGGUGGCUAAGUAGUUGAAUAGGUUUAGGGGGGUUGUAAAUUUUGUCUACGUGUUACUGAACCUCGGUUGCUGCGCAGGUUCAGGGUUUUGGGCCUGCGUACGCAACCGCUACUGAAAGUGCUAAUUUUGUGGCGGCUUCGACCGUGGUUGCGGAAAAUGAUUCGGGUGAUUCUGUGUCUAAGUUUUUUGAGUCUGAUGAUUCUGUGAGUUCGGUGGUGUGGACUGAAGAGUCUUCGGAUGAGGACUUGGAUUAUUUUGCGGCAUUGGAUGUGGCUGCGGCGGAGGCUUCGCCGUGUGUGAUGGGUGCUGAGGUUCUCGGUCCGAGCGCUGGGCGUAGGCGGCAAAGGGCGGUGGCGAAGCGCGGAGUGAGUGAGGUGGAGGGUGGUCGUCUUCGUGUGGACAGGGCUGGUAGGCGGGAAUUGUUGUCCUUGCCAGAUGGGGCGAGUGUAGGUGAGGGGGAAUUGCGAAGUCUGUUUGAGGGUGAGGAGCUGAGGAUAAUGUUGUUUAACUAUAGGGAGAUGGGUAUCAUCCCGAAGGUUGAACCAUUGUAAGGUGUGAUGCCCUCGUUGUACGUAUGUAACUAUAAUUUGUAUGAUGAGGCUGUGUGCCUUAGCUGAUACGGUCGUGCCCGUAGGGGACUUGUGCACUAGGUCUAGCACGUUUAUUAUGUCGGUCCAGCUGCACCCUCAGGCGACUUUUGCACGGAUAGUCUUGGGAGGAAGACUUCGAUUUUUCGCACUUGUUGUGCUAGUCCGGCUGCACCCUUAGGCGACUUUUGCACGGAUAGUCUUUUGGAGAAGACUUCGAUUUUGCGCACUUGUUGUGCUAGUCUGGCUGCACACUUAGGCGACUUUUGCAUAGACAAUAUUUUGGGGAAGACUGGUUUUGCGCACUUUUUGUGCUAGUCCGGCUGCACCAUUAGGCGACUUUUGCACGGAUAGUCUUUUGGGGAAGACAUGUUUUGCGCACUUGUUGUGCUAGUCCGGCUGCGCCCUUAGGCGACUUUUGCGCGGACUGUCGCACGUGAGGGUAGCCAGCGCUGCCCCUCGCGGUGACUUCGUGUUUGUCGAAUGUCGAAGACUGUCGAUGCGGUCUUCUUUCGACGUUGUAAUUUUUUGCGGGGGAUUUUUUGCGUGUAUAUUACAUGGCUCCACCUCAUUAAAAACCUCACCCCCCGGUAGGAAAAGAGUGCGGGCCGGAAUAAAAACUGUCUUGCGAAUUACAAGGGUGAGCUGGCCCUAAGGAGUCAAACAAAAAACUUGCGAAGAUUGUCAAUGUUCCAAGAAUGUUCAAAGUCUUCGCCAGAUGGCGUUGUGAGCCUGUACGCGCUGGGGGACGCCUUCGUCUUGACAAUGAAAGGGCCCUCCCAUUUUUGCUCUAGCCUGCCCCGGGACUCUGUCCGAGUUGUCCGGACGAGUACGAGGUCUCCUUCGCUAAAUUCCCUCGGGAUGACUGUGUGGUCGCGCCAUGCUUUUGUUUGAGCUUGGUAUUUGUUUAGAGCCUGUAGGGAGAAGACACGGUCUCCGUCGAUGAGGUCCUUCGAAGUAGGUUCGUCUACGUCGGGGACGGCUGACGCGACUGUCCGCAGUGACCCAUGUUUUAUUUCUUGCGGAGUCAUGGCCUCCGAUCCAUAUAGAAGGCGGAAAGGGGUGAACCCAGUCGCCCUGAACUCAGUCGUGUUCAGCGCCCAGACCGCUUUAGGUAACAGGUCUGCCCACUUUCCUUUUUUGUCGUCGAGGAGCAUUUUCUUGAUGGCUGUGAAAAUUUUACCGUUGGCGCGUUCCACAACUCCGUUGGAUUGCGGGUGGUACACUGAGGCGAAGGCAAGCUUGGUGCCGAUGGAGAAGCAGAAAUCCUUGAAGUCUUGGCUGUCAAAUUGCUUGCCAUUGUCAGCUGUGAGUUCGGACGGGACUCCGAAGCGGCAAACAAUGUUUUGCCAGAAGAAUUUCUGGGCAGUCUUCGAUGUUAUCGUGGAUACAGUCCUCGCCUCGAUCCAUUUGGUAAAAUACUCGACGGCGACGAAGGUCAACUUGAGGUUCCCCUAGGCCGUGGGUAGGGGCCCGACAAUGUCCAGGCCCCAGCGCUGAAGAGGCCACGUGUGGGCGAUUAGCUUUGUGAAUUGCGAAGGGCUUCCCGAGCGUGGAGAAAAUUUCUGGCAGGCUUCGCAGGACCUUGUGACCCGAUUUGCAGCGCAGAUCAUGGCGGGCCAGUAGAAACCUUGAUGGAUCACCUUUGCGGCUAGGGCCCUGGGCCCUGCGUGAGAGCCGCAAGUCCCGCUGUGGACUUCGCGCAGAAUUUGGACGCCUUCGGUCUCGGUGACACAUUUAAGCAUGGGUUGACUGACCCCCUUUUUGUAAAGUUGGCCUUCGAUUAGUGCGAAGUCCCGGCUUCGAUGUUUGAGGCACUUGGCCUCAUUGAUAUCGGUUGGAUGAUAGUACCCCUGCAGGAAUAGGGUUAUUGGUGCCCGCCAGUCUUCGGUCAUGAUGAGGUUGACUAUGCGGUGGCCCUCGCUGUCAUUGGUUAUUUGGAGCCCCUCUGGGCUGCGGAAGGCUGGCGUGCCAAUGACAUGGUAGAAUACAUCGGAGGGCAGGGCCUCGCCUCUGGCGGCUGCCUUGGCUAAUGCGUCGGCCUCCUCAUUCUUGGCUCGGUCCACAUGCUGUAAGGUAAAACCUUUGAAUUGUCUUUCGAGACUGCGGAUAGUCGCGAGGUACUGCAUAAGUGUGGGGUCCUUCGUUGUGUAGUCUUUCUCGACUUGGCCGACGACUAUCUUGGAGUCUGUUCUGAUGAUGCAGGUGGUGACACCAAGUGGCCUUAGCUUGCGAAGGCCGAGAAUGAUAGCUUCGUAUUCUGCUAUAUUGUUAGUGCAUCUGUCAGACUCCAAAGCAAAGCUGAGGCGUGCUGCGUAUCUGUGCUUGACCCCUGUGGGUGACGUAAUGACUACAGCGGUGCCUGCCCCCGCAUGGCACCAUGCGUCGUCGCAAUGGAUUGUCCAUACCCUCUCCGCGGACGUGUCCGGCUGUGUUAUUGGCCCAGUCCAGUCGACGACGAAGUCUGCCAGGACUUGUGACUUGAUGGCUGUCCUGGGUUUGAAUGUGAUGUGUUAGCCGGAGAGUUCGGCUGCCCAUUUGGCAAUCCGGACUGAUGCCUUCGGGUUUCUAAACAAUUCGCUGAGUCCCCUAUCUGAGGUGACCCGGACCUUGAACGCUUCAAAAUAAUGGCGCAAUUUGCACGAAGCCAUAACAACUGCGUAGGCGAUUUUUUCCAGUUCCGUCAUAUUGCAUUUUGAUGUCGUGAGUACUUCGGAGACGUAAUAAACUGGACAUUGCCUGAACGAGCCCUCUCUAUUCCGCUCUUAGACCAGUGAUGCGCUGACCGCAUGCGGCGAAGCUGCGAUGUAGAGCAACAGUGGUAGCGAGGGGUCUGGGCUUGUAAGAAUCGCCAAUUCUGACAGAUACUGCUUCAAAGAGGCGAAGGCCGCCGCCUGCUCUGGUCCCCAUGCGAAGUCUUUUGCGCCGCGGAGUGUUUUGAGGAAAGGGAGACUUCGCUCUGCGGAUUUGGAGAUGAAUCUGUUGAGGGCGUCCAAUCUGCCUAUUAGUCGUUGGACGUCUCUGGCUGACUGUGGGGCGUCAUGUUGAUGAUGUCCUGAAUUUUGGUUGGAUUGGCUUCGAUCCCAUGGUGCGACACCGUGUAGCCCAAUAUUUUCCCCUAGCGAACGCCGAAGACGCACUUUUCGGGGUUUAGGCGAAGUCGUGCGUCCCGCAUGUUCGCAAAUGUUUCGGUGAGGUCAGCCAGAUGGUCUUCCUUGCUUCUGCUGGCGACGACGAUGUCGUCCACAUACGUAAAUAUGUUUCUGCCGACUUGGCCCUCGAGCACUGUUUUGGUGAGCCGAGAGAAAGUGGACCCGGCGUUCUUAAGUCCCUCCGGCAUUCUGAUGGUAUUAUUAAUUCAAUCUGAUAUAACCAUCAGAUCUUAAGUAUUUAAUUAAUCUAGAGCGUACAUUAGAUUAUCAAACCAAAUCAACCUGACAUAACCAUCGAAUGUUCCGCUAUGCACCUUAAGCGCAUGGUCUGGGGCUUAAUCAUCCGAAUAACCAUCCGAUCUUCUGGUAAGCAUAGUAAGCGUAUGGUUCACGACUUCGUCAUCCGGAAUAACCAUCAGAUUUUCCAGUAAGCACUGAAAGCAAAUGAUCCGGGGUUUUGUAGGGGAAAUGUUGUUAGGUGAAUGCGGAUGCUGGCUGAUGUUGCACGUGCGAACUGUUGUGUGGAAGCUGCUAGGUCCUCCUCUAUUGUGCGUGGCUUGUGGCGGGCUUGGACUUCUCUCAUGGCUUUGGCGCUUGGAACUGUUCGUCCGUUCGGUCCUGCGUGCAUCUCUCUCUCCUGGCUGGAGGCGUGGUGGCCUGGUGGCUUCUCUGUGUUUUUCUUUUUACGACAGCUUCUCGUGUUGGCUAGGGUUGGUGUCAGGGGCCCGGUCAACUAUGCUCCCUCAGCUUUUAUAGGCAGAGCACCACAGCAGGCAGAGCAGAGAUAAAGAUUCCAACUGCAUCCAUCUACAAACAAGGCUCUCAGCGGAAGGGAUAAAAGCAUGCAGCGCAAUUGCUGCUACCGUGCUGCAGCCUUGACUCUCGUCAAUUGGAUGACCAAAAGAUGCCACCGUCUAAAGUCUUUUCUUUGUGCAGCUGCCUGUUUGUCACCAACACAAAAUUGUAGGUGCCUGUUUGUCACCAAUUAUCCUCUACCACAAAGAACUACAAUAGUGAUGGAGGAUCCGAUCCUGCAUAGAUCCACGAUAAUGCAUAGUGGGUGAUGCAUGCCUAAUGGUGGUUGUUUAGUGUUAGUUUUGGCAUGUUGGAACUAAGCAAUUGUCGAUGCCAUACGCUAGAAGUGAAGAAUGUUGUUAGCGUUAGGAGUAGAGGUGUCAAUGGGGUCUGAUACCCGUUAAGCCAUGGAGAAUUUCUCUAUUAGAUUUAGGGUAUGGGAAGAUUUUACUUUCCAUUUGUUGAAGUUAGGUAUACAUCUAUUUGAAUCAACAGUUACAGUUCAAUAGAAACUUCUUCCGCUCUAGUUUGUUGCGUGUCCUACCUUUUUCCUAAACUAGUUUUCCCUAAAUUGACAUACUCUCUAGAAAAUCUAUCCAAAUUUUGAAGAUCAAAUAUGUUCGAUUGAAUUAUUCAUGACAUAUAUCUUGGUAUUGCUUUUUUGUCAUCAGAAUAUAUUUUGAACUCAGUAAAAGUUAUACACGAUUUUUUUUAGACAAUACUAAAGCAAGUUGUAAUCAAGAACACUUGAGGUGUGCGCCAAUUGCCACAUUUAGAUAUAAUCAUUCUAAUUUUGGUCGUCCUAUGUGUGUGCAUUCAUCUAUGCAUUCUAGGAUUUCAAUUAGUUUCAAUCUUGUAGUAUUGGUUCCUUCAUUGUCAAAUCACUUCUCAUCUAACUACUAUGCUUGUUUAACCAUCAGAACAUAACUACAACAAUAUCCAUUUAUAAACGUUUUGAUAGCAAACUUUACAUAUUCAUAUCAUGUUAAGGUUGUCACAUGUGUAAAGGUGAAGAGAUCAUGCAUGUCAUUCCACGUAGAUGAAAAGAAUUCCUAUAUAAAAUGACACCUUUUCUUGUAGGUAGUGGAAAGUAUCUUUCCAGCAAAUACCAUAUAAUCCGAUAAAGCGGAUAACUAAAUGUCGAAAUCGAGUAGAUGCCAUAUCAUCUAUACCUUAUCUGUUGUUUGGAAAAAAGACAAAAUCCAAAAAAUAUAUUUGAGACCUCACCUGUAUAAAUAGCUCCCAAAUCAGUAGUUAAUCCAUCACCCAUAAUAUUUUGAGCAUUCAGAAACACACCAAGCGAAGCUACCUAGCAACGACUUAACAACAAUGGCUACCAAGAUAUUAGCCCUCCUUGCGCUUCUUGCCCUUUUUGUGAGCGCAACAAAUGCGUUCAUUAUUCCACAAUGCUCACUUGCUCCUAGUGCCAUUAUACCACAGUUCCUCCGACCAGUUACUUCAAUGGGCUUCGAACACCUAGCUGUGCAAGCCUACAAGCUACAACAAGCGCUUGCGGCGAGCGUCUUACAACAACCAAUUAACCAAUUGCAACAACAAUCCUUGGCACAUCUAACCAUACAAACCAUCGCAACACAACAGCAACAACAGUUCCUACCAGCACUGAGCCAACUAGAUGUGGUGAACCCUGUCGCCUACUUGCAACAGCAGGUGCUUGCAUCCAACCCACUUGCUCUGGCAAACGUAGCUGCAUACCAACAACAACAACAAUUGCAACAGUUUCUGCCAGCGCUCAGUCAACUAGCCAUGGUGAACCCUGCCGCCUACCUACAACAGCAACAACUGCUUUCAUCUAGCCCUCUCGUUGUGGGUAAUGCACCUACAUACCUGCAACAACAAUUGCUGCAACAGAUUGUACCAGCUCUGACUCAGCUAGCUGUGGCAAACCCUGCUGCCUACUUGCAACAGCUGCUUCCAUUCAACCAACUGACUGUGUCGAACUCUGCUGCGUACCUACAACAGCGACAACAGUUACUUAAUCCACUAGCAGUGCCUAACCCAUUGGUCACUGCCUUCCUACAGCAGCAACAAUUGCUACCAUACAGCCAGUUCUCUUUGAUGAACCCUGCCUUGUCGUGGCAGCAACCCAUCGUUGGAGGUGCCAUCUUUUAGAUUACAUAUGAGAUGUAAUCGAUAAUGGUGCCCUCAUACCGGCAUGUGUUUCCUAGAAAUAAUCAAUAUAUUGAUUGACAUUUAUCUCGAUAUAUUUUUGAACUAUGUUCAUCAAAUAAAUAAUUGAAAACAUCAAAUCGUAAUUAUAAACUCAUGCUUGGUCAAUACAUAGACAAUACAAUAUUACUUCAUCAUCCCAAUGAUGUCCUAGCCCAACCUCUUGAAUGUUAUUGUUUGGGUGUGUGAGGGUGUAUAUAUAAGAUAGAUGUGACUAUUUGCGCUUUUUGUUGAGUACAUACAUAUAUGGUAUGUUGAUUUGAUAUAGUGAUGGACACAUGCUUUGACCAUGAAUAUUCAAAUCAGUUGUACUUGCACGAAGCAAAACAUAAUAUAAGUUUAGGAGUAAACUUAUAACUGUGUCCAAACAUGCUCACACAAAUUCAUACCACAUUAUAAUUUUUUGGUAAAUAUUCCACACAUGUAUUUUUUACAAGAAACUAAAUUUUGCACACAAAUGUAGCAUUGUAGACAUGUAUAAUUCUAUGAACCCGUGAACUUAACAACACCAAGGUCAUUAAAUCAACUGGACCCUAUGAGUAACAAUUUCGAUAUGGCAAACACCAAAUUAUUGAACUUAUUGGCUGAAAAUUAUGACCAACGUAAAGUUUAAAUUAUUAUACGAUAAAUAUAUCAAAGAAUUUUUUUUGAGGGACGUAAAAAUUGCAUGGAAUCGGCUGCCUAACGUGCUAGCUCACUUUUAUGCUAGGUAGCAUUACUAAAGAUGGGAAUGUUGCUGAUGAACGCCAAACCCACUCAAAUAAUAUUUAUAUUUGGGUUGUUUAGUUGUAAAAGUGAAGAACCAAGAUUAAAGUACCAAUUGGCCAAUGCCAUUCGAUUGUUUUGUUCAGAGAGCACUUGGUGCGUCACUUGGACUCGUAUCUUAGUCCAAUAGAUUGCAUUUUCCUUCAAUGUGUAGAAUCCGACAAAGUGCAUGUUCUAAAAUUGUAAAUCUAACUAAAUUAGAAAGCUUGUUACUAAUUCGAUGGUUUAUUAGGUGUAGGUCAUAAAACUAGAACCAACAUAGCCUGCACUCACAUGUCAUAGAAAAUAGAAGUAUGCAAGCACAAUUUAUGUGAGCAUCUAUGACACAAAUCAUAUGUUGACUGAUACAAUUAAUUCCUUCAAAAAUUAAAAAGGAAACCCAUAAAGUGUUUUUUAUACUGCUGGAUAUCUUCUUUAGCUAAUCAUGAGUACUAAAAGUAUGUUGCACUUUUGGGUGGGGAGAAUUCCCCAUUCAUAACUUUGACAUAAUUUUAAUUCAGAUCACAUAUAUAUAUCAUAUCUUAAUUAUUAUAUUAAUAUGGUAUGCAUCAUUGGAUUAUUAAAUCAAUUCGGUAUAACCAUCGGAUCUUAAUUAAUAAAUUAAUCUAAAGCGUACAUCAGAUUAUCAAACCAAAUCAACCCGACAUAACCCUCGAAUGUUCCGCUAUGCACCGUAAGUGCUUUGUCUGGGGCUUAAUCAUCCGGAAUAACCAUCCGAUCUUCCGGUAAGCACAAUAAGCGUAUGGUUCGGGGCUUCGUCAUCCGGAAUAACCAUCAGAUUUUCUGGUAUGCACUGAAAGCCUAUGAUCCGGUGUUUUGAUAGGCGAAACGUUGUUAGGUGAUUGUGAAUGCUAGCUGUAACUGUGUUUGGAUCUGCUGAGUGGAAGCUGCUGGGUCCUCCUCUACUGCGUGUGGCUUGUGGCGGGCUUGGACUGCUCUCAUGGCUUCGGCGCUUGGAGUUACUCGUCCGUCUGGUCAUGCGUGCGUCUCUCUCUCCUGGCUAGAGGCGUGGUGGCCUGGCGGCUUCUCUAUGUUUUUCUUUUUGUAGCGGCUGCUUGUGUUAGCUAGGGUUGGCGUCAGGGGCCCGGUCAGCUAUGCUCCCUCAGCUUUUAUAGGCAGCGCAGCACAGUAGGCAGAGCAGAGAUAAAGAUUCCAACUGAUCGAAUCCAUCUACAAACUAAGCUCUCGGAGGAAGGGGUAAAAGCAUGCAGCGCAAUUGCUUUUAUGUGUGACGGAUAUGUUUGACAGUUCUUCAACUGUGUUUGAUUUGGAACUAUAUCAUUGUUGAUGUCAAAGGCUAUGUUAAUGUCGAACUAUGAUGAUAUUAUGUGAAUGUUGAACUAUGAAGAUUUUAUGUGUGAUGCAUGUUGGAACUAUAUGUUGAUGUUAAAGACUUGUUGCGAUGUGUUUGUGAAUGUGAGUUGAUAUUUGAGAAUGUGAAUGCGAACGUGAAUUGAUGUUUGUGAAUGUAAUUGUGAAUGUGAAAGUGUGGUAAUUGCCGACGACUCUUUUGCGGCCGUCGGACAUAAGCUAUUUCUGACGGCCCGUCAGAAAUAACCUUAUUUCCGACCCGUUGCGAUCGAGGGACACAGGUGUCGUCGGACAUAAGACUUUGUCCGUCGGAUCUGAUGGUUUAGGAUUUAUUUCCGACGGCUUUGGCCGUCGAAAAUUUUAUCUUUUACUGUUGUGGGGUCCACAUGAACCUUAUCAAUUGUCACCGCCAUCUACCCCCACCUUUCGCUGUCUCGCGGUCCAUUUGCACGCCCUAAACGUGGUGUGACUUUUCAUGAGAGAAUUGGGAGCGACGACUAUGUAGUAGCUCGAACCUGCUAACGAAUUAUAUAUAUAAUCAUAUGGUAUCCACAACUUUUUUAUUCUUUGCGAAAUUGUACCCAGAACUUAACGCGCCCAUUUCGUUUCCGCUUUUAGAGAGACCUCUCUUGACUAGCUAGUGUUCAUACUUCACUUCAUAGUUCAUAGUGCAUAGCACUAUACAGCAGUCUUCCUCUUCUAAGCAGCCAUGGCUAGCACGACCUCUACAGCAGUCCUCCUCGUCUCAACCGCCAUCCUCGUCGCCGCAGCGACCUACUUCCGCCACGGCACGCUCAGCGGCGGCGGCGGCACCGCCGGAACGCACCUCCAUUUCUUCAUGCACGACCAGUACACCGGCGCGAACCCGACGGCCGCGCUCAUCGUGCCCGGAAGGCCGCCGCUCUCCAACGCCACCGCCACCGCCACCGCCACCGGCAGCGGCGAUGACGACGAGCACCCGCGCCGGUUCGGCGACAUCGCCGUGAUGAACAACGCGCUCACGGAGGGGCCCGGGCGCGGCAGCGCGCGCGUCGGCACCGCGCAGGGGUUCACGGUGCGCGUGGCGGAGCGCGGCUCCGUCAACGCGCUGAGCAUGCACCUGGUGCUGGAGGCCGGGGAGCACGCGGGCAGCUCGCUGGUGGUCAGCGGCAGGGUCGACACCGACCUGGCCGUGCGCGAGUCGGUGGUCGUCGGCGGCACCGGCCGGUUCCGCCUCGCGCGGGGCUACGCGCUCAGCAGGAGCUACGACUACGACCUGGCCAAGGGAGGCGUCGUGGAGGUCGAUGUGUACCUGCAGUAGGUUCGCAUGGCAUAUUGGCAUGCAUCGCUCGUUCCUUACCUCUGUACUGCUAUUUGAUCGGUUUUUAUGUUCACUAUCCUGCAGUUUCCCAGAUUUCAAAUUUAUGUUUACAAGAACUGGGACUAGCUAUGAGCUGAAAACUUGGUCCAGUAAUAACAAGGACUUUGGUUUGGCUAUACUUGGUUUUGUAUGUUUCUUUCGUGGGUGUACUGUAAAUUAAUCCUGUUUCACGGCCGUUUAAGGUAAGGUUUUUCUUUUGUUUUACUGUAAAUUUUCAUUAUAAAAACAGAACGAAAAGAUUCAUUUGUGAAUAUGAACACUUAUCCUAGCUAGCGAUUCUUAGCCAACUCCGGGAGACGCGGGCCAGAAAGCAAACUGAUGAUAGGUGAAGUUGAAGGUACAAACCAGUAAUGAUGAUAGGUGAAGUUGUAAGGGGCUCUAUUCUAAAACUAAUAUUUAGAAGCUAAAAUCAGCUGAGAGAUUUAGAACAAAUCAGCUAGUUAAUAGACUAGCUAAUUGUUAGUUAUACCCUCUCAAUCCAUCUAAUAACUUAUUAGCUGAUUAACAAUUAGUUUUAGAGGUUUGAAAUAUGACCUUAUUCUACUAGCUCCAUCUACAUGUUACUAUGAAAAGUCAUGAAUUCACAAGACGUUUUCGAAAACAAUUUCAGCUCCACUUGUAAAGUUGAUUGUGCGGCUGAAGCCAAGAAAACAUUAGAGGACAAACAAUAACUUACUAUGCUUUUCGUGAACUGUUUCAGGCCAGCAGUAAUAAUUAUUGGUCCUACAUGCAUUAAUGGUUAAGCCGCUAGCUUGCCAAGACGGAGCAUUAAUUAGGAGAUAAGACCUAGCGUUUCAUUGCAUCCCCAUGAAAGGGAUACUAUCACUAGUUCACUACUGCAUGAAUAAUUUUCAAAUGUAGUUAAAAACUGAUAUUGAAAUGUAGGUAAUCUGUCCACCUAUGUGAAAUGUUUAACAGAGGCAGCCACUCUAGGAUGUUGCCCUCGAUCUAUUAAUUACUGAUAGAUGCAGCCAUCCAACUCUAGCCACCUGUUGGCGUCUUUUUGGCCAAAUACUGAUGAACCCUAGAGUCUACAAGCGACGUGCAGUGCGUUGAGUUCCUAUCUACGAGCUGAUGGACUGUUCGGCCCUAGUGGUCGGACUACUGUCCGCGGUUGGCAGGCAGACUAUUCGCAGCGGACUGUACCUAGAUCCCACCUCCCCGAAGUGACCCUAUCGGGAAGGAGGGAUUAUAGAAUUGCUUUGGGAUCGGCAGACCAUCUAAAAGCACAUCAAGUUAAGGUAGAGACGAAGAUUGGAGAUUGGGAAGCUACAAUUAGGGCUAAACUAUGUCUAAUCUAAGAACAUGAAUGUAAAUAAGGUAAAACUAUUAUUUGGGUUCGAUUGAUUGUUGUUCCAAUCGGCCAUAACCCCUAAUAGGGGGAGGUCUAGACCCUUUCCUAGGUAGAGUCCAACAAAAUCCAUGAAUAAUCGAUUGAAUCUCGCAAAAAAUCAUGACCCGAACAUGUUUUGAUCUAUUCCCAAAUUGGUUGGGCUAACACACUAGACUAUCUUGCGCCGAACAGUCUGGGCUUCUACGCCAGACAGUCUAGAGGGUGCCAGUUUAGGUUCUCAACACAUGCCCCCAACCUUUUUGGCGGAGUUUUACGAGACAAAAGCACCUAGCACACCUUGUAUACUUCGACAAUUAAGACAUGCACAUGUCAAUUCAUAUUAUUCCGAAGUAAAGACUCAAUGUGAAAACAUCGACCUUCUAGGUGUCUUGCUAAACACUAGGAUAGUAUCGUUUUAACAAACGACCAUUUAAUGCUUUAGUUAGCUUCUCACCUUGCAAAGUCUCCAAUAUAUAUGCAUUACCAGAAAUUACCUAUACAAUCGUAUAAGGCCCUUUCGAACUUGGGGACCAUUUGCCAAACUUUCGAUCUUUGGUCUUUAAUGGCAAGAAUGUCUUCCAUAACAAAUCUCUAUCUUGAAAUUAUUUAGCCUUUACCUUCUUAUUGUAGGCCUUGGCAACUGCAAGUUUGUCCUUUUCUAUCUCCUUUAGAGCUAUCAACCUUUUACCGAUUACAUCAUCAAUAUUAUCCAUCAUUAGGUUAUGAUAUUCACCUAUUGCUAAGUCAUUUUAUUUUGUGAACAUAAUGGCAUUCAAACUUAUCUCCAAAGGCAAAAGAACUUCCUGGCCGUAUACAAGCUCGGAAGGAGUCACCUUAGUAGCAUUGUGCUUAGAUAUCCUAUGAGCCCAUAAAGCUUCGGAUAAAACCUUAUGUCAAUGUCUAGGAUAAUUAAAUAUCUUCUUUUUUAUAAGGCUAAUCAAUAUCUUAUUACUUGACUCGGGCUGAGCAUAGUAUGAAGAUGAAUUGUGCAACUUAAUCUUAAAAGAUUUAACAAUUUCAUGCACCUUUUUGUCGGACAUAAAAGAAGUUCCCUGGACCAUAGUUAAAGUUUGUGAAAUACCAAAUCUAAGAAUAACAUGUUCAGUUAUAAACUCAAUUACCUCCUAGUGUUUCAUUUUUCCAAAACAAAGGCUUCAGUCCAUUUAGGGCCCGUUCGGUUGUUAUGGAAUGGAGUACCGGAACUGUUUCAAGCCGGAUUGCUUCUCUAAUUUGUAUAAGUUUUGAUCAACAGGAAUAAUUCUUGGUGCGUUUCUGCAGAAACGAACAGGCCCUUAGUGAAGUAGUUUCACUACCGGAAUCCGAGCCUUUGCCGAGUGCCGGCCGCUUUGCCGAGUGCCUUUUCUCGGGCACUCGGCAAAUACGGCUUUGCCGAGUGGCGCACUCGGCAAAGCUCGGCUCUCGGUAACGAGCGUCUUUACCGAGCGUAGGACACUCGGUACAGGUCCACACUCGGUAAAUCCAUGUUUGCCGAGUGUCAAACACUCGGCACAUGGGGCUCUCGGCAAAGAGCCGUCAGCGGCCGUCCUAAAGCUGACGGCCGUCAGUCUUUGCCGAGCGCCAACGGUUGGCACUCGGCAAAGAGUCUUCUUUGCCGAGUGUCGCCCAGUUGACGCUCGGCAAAGAACUCUUUGCCGAGUGCCAUCCCUAGACACUCGGCAAAGUAUAUUUUUAUUUCUUUUAUUUUGUCUCCCAAACUUUUUGUGGUAUGUUCCUACACUAUGUAGACCUACAUGUAUCAUUUGUGGACAAUUUUAACAGAGUUUCAAUCGUUAGUAGAUUUAGUUCGUUUAUUUGAAUUUCUUCGGAAAAUUUAGAUUUGAACUGCAGGUCACUCGAAACUUGGAAAACCGUGCAUGAAAAAAUGAUAUUCAUGUUACUUAGCAUAAGUUACGACCGAUUCCAGGAGCGGACCAAAAACUUCGAGCAACAUGCUCACUAAACAUGGUCGUGAACUUGUCAUCAACAUGUUUAAAACUUGUAUAAAACACAAACAAAGUCAGAAAAUCUUGAAACUUGUCCACGUGUCAUGAUAUCAUAUGUACAGGCUGCGAUAAAAAAUUGAAAAAAUUUCGAGAAAACUAUGACGCGCUAUGUGUACAAACCUAAGAGAUCCACAUUGAAACUCUAUGAUUUCAUGUGUAGUUCUCUUAGGUUUCUACACAUAGUGUCUCACAACUUUGUCCAAACAUUCUCAAUUUUUUAUCACAACCUGUGCAUAUGAUAUCAUGACAUGUGGACAAGUUUCAUGAUUUUCUGACUUUGUUUGUGUUUUAUACAAUUUUUAAACAUGUGGAUGGCAAGUUCACGGCCAUGUUUAGUGAGCAGGUUGCUCGAAGUUUUCGGUCCGCUCAUGGAAUCGGUCGUAACUUAUGCUAAGUAACAUGAAUAUCAUUUUUUUCAUGCACGGUUUUCCAAGUUUCGAGUGACCUGCAGUUCAAAUUUGAAUUUUCCGAAGAAAUUCAAAUAAACAAACUAAAUCUACUAGCUAUUUCAAACUCUGUUAAAAUUGUCCACAAAUGAUACAUGUAGAUCUACAUAGUGUAGGAACAUACCACAAAAAGUUUGGGAGACAAAAUAAAAAAAAUACAAAUGCACUUUGCCGAGUGUCUAGGACUGACACUCGGCAAAGACUUCUUUGCCGAGUGCUAGAUGUGUGGCACUCGGCAAAGAGGUAGUAAAGAACCUUUGCCGAGUGCCGCAACGGGGGACACUCGGCAAAGAACUCUUUGCCGAGUGCCGCUGAUCUGGCACUCGGCAAAGAAUAUUUUAAAAUUUUAAAAAAAUCUUUGCCGAGUGCCGGAUCACGGGCACUCGGCAAAGAAACUAACUUUAACCGGCCGCGCGGCCGGCUUUCUUCUUCCUUCUGCUUUGCUUCUUCUUUCUUCUUCCUUCCCGCGCCUCACCGCCGCCGCCUUCCCACGCCUCACCGCCGGCCGCCUCACCGCCGCCCGCCUCACCGCCGCCGGCCUCCCCACGCCUCACCGCCGGCCGCGCCCGGCCGCCCGCGCCCCACCGCCCGCGCCCCACCGCCACCGUUCGCCCGCCUCACCGCCGCCCACGCGCCGUCGUCCGCCCGCUCGCCUCCGGUACGUAAGUUUAUCACAUGUUUAUUAGUGGCAGCCCAUAAUUAGCUUAAAGCUAGGAGGCUCCUUGGCCUCGUGCGGUCGGAGCUCGAGGUGGAGGAGCCUGCAAGCGGCAGCGGGGCAAGGGGCAGGGGCAGGGGCAGCGGGGAGUAGCUUGUGAGACGGUGGUGGUGGUGGCAUACCAGGGUUGAGCGCGCGGGCGAACAGGAGCACCGAAGAGGAGCCUGCAGCGGUGGUGUUGGGGGCAUGAGGCAGCGUGAGGAGUUACGGAUUUCCCAUCGCAUGGGGAGACUGAUAUUUGCCAGCUCCUAGAUUAGGCUAGCCAGCUCGCUGAUCCGGCCUUCCCAACGGCGGUCCAGGUCGUCGUCCACCUCCAGGUCCGAUCCUGCCCCUUCUGCAGCCACCCGGGCAGCGUCCAGUGCGACAUCUUUCUCAAGGAACGUCGGCCGUUCGCCGUGGCUGCGGUUGGUAGGGUCCAGUGCGACAUCUUUCUCAAGGAACGGCGCGUAGGGGACGACGGCGGAGGGGAGAGGGAGGCGGUGGUGGUACUGGUGGUGCACGACGGGCGGGUCGGGUCGGCACCGCCAGUCGAUGAAAAGCCUGCCGCGCGCCGCCUCGCUGAUGCCGCGGCCGAAGGAGUCCGUGUCCCCGGCGUCGAGGCGCUUCUCCUUGACGAAGCGGCUCCAGCCCUUGGUCAUCACGUAGCUCUGGCUACUGUUCCAGUAGGAGUAGCGGUAGCGCCAGGGCUUCCCCGUGCGGUCCUCGAAGCUGAGCAGGAGGCCCUUCUCGUUCGCCGCCGCGUCCAGCGGGAAGUACUUCUCCGCGUGCUGCUUCGGGAUCACCAGCCGGUUCAGCUUCCCGACGUCGCUCGGCGUCACCACCUUGUCGAACAUGUGCUCCUUCUCCACCGUCGCAUGCUGCUGCUGGUGGUGCUGGUUGUGCUCAGCAGCCGCCCUCUCCUCUCCGCCGCCCGACCGGGUCGCGGGCGGGGGAGUGGUGAACUCCAUCGAUCUCCGAUCGACGACCGGCGAUCGGUUGAGAUCGAGGCAGCAAGUCGAACGUAGGCCGUAGACGCCGGCCGAUCGAUCGACGCUGCUGCCGCUACCGCCUCCGCGUUGAGACUUUGGCCGUAGCUGCCUCGAGUCUGGGUGUGUUGAGGCCCGGGAACGAUAGCUCUUUUGGCCGGGAGGUGCUGUCGAUUUUUUUUUGUAUUAAUAGACUUGUGUUUCUUUUUUACAGAGAAGAUACUUGUCUUCCUAGCCGCUGCGGGUCUGCCUGCACCGCGUCGCGUCGCCACUGCACCGACCCGCCACAGCCCCACUAGCCUGACUCCACCGCCACCCUAGGUAUAACCUCUAUUUCCGCAUCAUGGUCGUAGAUCACGUAACCCAGUUAGGCGUCUCCCGUUCGAAAGUGAUACGGUGUAGAUAUGCAGAUCUUUGCAUAUCUACAAAUGUAUCAGUUUCGAAUUGUCCACGUUUUUUGGACAGCCCGCGGUUGCGUAGAUGGUGUUAGUUUCCAUGGUCUACUCCGGUCCGAGAAAGAGUUUCGGCGUCACCUCCCUGUUGUUCUCCGGACAGUACACUCUCCCUGCCAGGACGUGUAUCCGGAGAACAGCGGGGAGGUGCUGCCGAAAUUCUAUCUCGGAUCGGAGUAGAGCAUGGAAACUAACUCCAUCUACGCAACCGCGGGUGGGAUUAGGACCUAUCCUCACCUAUUAGAAGGUAGGAACGUAGUGUACAUGCAUUACAUGUCUAUAUUAAACUAUACUCGGUUAUAUAUGUUAGAGGAUGGAGGACCAUGAGUGGAUGUACACGGGCCGCGUUCGACGUAAUGAUGUCACCCCAGAAUGGAUUAGGAAGACCGAUGCUUUCGUGGAACGGGCAUAUGGCGAAGCUGCUAAAGGAGCUAGCCUAGUCCCUUGUCCGUGCAGCAAAUGUGACAACCGGAAAAGAAAACCAAAGAAGGCCAUGGUAGAACAUAUUUGGAAGAAUGGAUUUACGCCGGACUAUACUCGGUGGAUCUUCCAUGGUGAAGCGCAUCGCACGAGAGAGGAGGUGGUGAGACAACGCGUCGAGGAUUACGAUGCUGAUGCCGGGGUAGCAGACAUGUUGAACGACUAUCACGAGGCACAGUUCGCCGAAGGACGUACGGAGGACGAGCCAGAGGCGACCGCAAAGGCAUUCUACGACAUGUUUGACGCGGCACAGAAACCCCUUCACGGCAAGACAAAGGUUUCUCAACUGGAUGCCAUUGGGCGUAUAAUGGCGUUGAAGUCGCAGUAUAGCAUGAGUCGAGACGCCUUCGAUGGUUUGUUGACAGUUAUUGGCAGCCUGCUUCCGGAGGAUCACGUUCUGCCAAAGAGCAUGUACGAGGCACAGAAACUCCUUCGUGCACUCAAGAUGACGUAUGAGCAGAUACAUGCUUGUCCGAAGGGCUGCGUCCUAUUUAGGAAAGAACACACUGAGGCAAAGUACUGUCCGAAGUGUAAAUCGUCUAGGUUCAUGGAGGUAGACUCUGGUGAUGGACAGAAGAAGCAGCUCGACAUCCCCGUGACAAUCCUACGCCACCUUCCGUUCAUACCGAGGAUCCAGCGUCUAUACAUGACAGAGGAAUCCGCGAAACAGAUGACAUGGCACAAAAAAGGCAAACGAUACAAUCCUGACAAGAUGGUUCACGCAUCCGAUGGUGAAGCAUGGACCCACUUUGAUGCCAUUCACCAUGAGAAAGCCAAAGAGGCUCGACAUGUUCGUGUUGCGCUGGCCACAGAUGGGUUCAGUCCCUAUGGAAUGACCGCUGCCCCAUACACAUGUUGGCCCGUGUUCGUUAUCCCCAUCAAUCUCCCCCCGGCGUAUGCUUUCAAAGACAGAACAUAUUCGUGUCGUUGAUAAUUCCUGGACACCCGGGGAAUAAAAUGGGCGUGUACAUGGAGCCUUUGAUUGAUGAAUUGGUCCGUGCUUGGGAGGAAGGGGUAUGGACGUACGACCGAGCUACGAAGACAAACUUCAAAAUGCAUGUUUGGUACCAGUACUCCAUGCAUGACUUUCCGGCGUAUGGGCUAUUUUGCGCCUGGUGUGUUCACGGUAAGUUCCCAUGCCCAGUUUGCAAGGAAGCUCUUAGGUUCAUUUGGUUGAAGAAGGGUGGCAAAUAUUCGUCAUUCGAUAAACAUCGACAAUUUCUCCCUCCUGACCAUGCAUUCCGACAAGACAUCAAGAACUUUACGAAAGGUGUCGUGGUGACAGACCGCCCACCUGCAAUGAUGACUGGUGCCGAAGUUCGCGAACAGAUAGAUGGUCUCGUGGCCAACCCAGAAGGUGGUUUUGUGGGAUAUGGUGAGCAACAUAUGUGGACACAUAAGUCGGGCUUGACUCGGCUCCCCUAUUAUGAUGACCUGCUCCUUCCACACAACAUUGACGUGAUGCACACUGAAAAGAAUGUCGCCGAGGCACUUUGGGCGACAAUUAUGGAGAUUCCUGAUAAGUCAAAGGAUAACGUAAAGGCAAGAGUGGAUCUGGCAGAGUUAUGUGAUAGACCAAACCAAGAGAUGAAGCCGCCUAGUGGUGGUAAGACAUGGAGAAGGCCUAAGGCCGAUUUCGUCCUGAGCAGGGCCCAGAGGAAGGAAGUACUACAGUGGAUCAAGAUGUUAAUGUUCCCUGAUGGGUAUGCAGCUAACCUUAGUAGGGGGGUGAACUUAUCUACUCUGCGAGUCUUAGGGAUGAAGAGUCAUGACAUCCACAUAUGGAUUGAACGAAUUCUUCCGGCGAUGGUUCGAGGCUAUGUCCCUGAGCAUGUCUGGCUAGCGCUUGCAGAGUUGAGCUAUUUCUUCCGCCAGCUUUGUGCAAAAGAGUUAGCUCGGACCAUGAUUGCAGACUUGGAAAGGAUGGCACCCGUGUUACUGUGUAAGCUGGAGAAGAUCUUUCCACCCGGCUUCUUCAAUCCGAUGCAGCAUUUGAUUAUUCAUCUCCCAUAUGAGGCACGAAUGGGGGGGCCCGUGCAGGGACGUUGGUGCUAUCCAAUCGAGAGAUGUCUAAAGAGUAUCCGAAAGAAAUGUAGAAAUAAAUGCAAAAUCGAGGCUUCCAUUGCAGAGGCAUACAUACUGGAGGAGGUGUCAAACUUCACAACAACUUACUAUGGUGACAAACUGCCGAGCGUGCAUAAUACACCCCCUCGUUACAAUGAUGGCGGCAAUGAAUCGAACCUCAGCAUUUUUCGAGGGCAACUCGGAAGCGCGAGUGGUUCGACCACCAAGACCCUGAGACAUGAAGAGUGGCGCCAUAUCAUGCUAUAUGUAUUGACCAACCUUGAAGAGGUGACGCCAUACAUGGAGCAAUUUCUUCAUGAAUUCUGGCGUCGAUCAAGGGACCCAACUCCACAGGAAUAUGAUACCCUUCUUAGAAAGGGUGCGGGAAAUGGAUUGCCCGAUUUCAUUUCCUGGUUUAAACAUAAGGUACGUGCUUAGUUUGUUAUUCCAAGUUGCUCUUACGUGCGAAUAAUAUAACAAUCUAGCGUGUUUGAACUUGCAGGGCCAAAGAGAGCCGUCUAUGAGUGCCGAGUUGAGACAAGUAGCCAAUGGCUUUGCCUAUAGGGUCAGGAAAUUUUCUGGGUAUGACAUCAAUGGAUACCGUUUUCGCACAACAAGCUACGACCAAAGUCGGCCCAAUUGAAAAACCACGUGUUCUGGAGUCUUUACGCCCGGGCUUGACGAGGUCGAGUAUUAUGGAAGAAUUGAAGAAAUAUAUGAACUCAAUUUUUAUGGUUCCAAACCUCUUACUCCAGUGAUAUUCAAAUGUCAUUGGUUUGACCCUGAAGUUACGAGACGGACACAUUCUAAUCUUGGGAUAGUCGAAAUUCGACAGGAUUCCACCUUAACAGGAGACGAUGUCUACAUUGUGGCCCAACAGGCCACACAAGUGUAUUAUCUUCCAUAUGCGUGCCAAACGAAACAACAUCUUAAGGGUUGGGAUGUUGUGUAUAAGGUAUCACCGCACGCUAAAUUACCUGUUCCAAACGAUGAAGAUUAUAACUUAGACCCGGACACAUAUGACGGAGAGUUCUUCCAAGAAGAUGGGCUCGAAGGGCAAUUUGAGAUAGACUUAACCGAAGCGAUCGGAAUGGAAGUAGAUAUUGAAAUGGUUGUUGAUGACGAGGAUGAUGAGGUGCAAAAUGAGAAUGACUUAGAAAUACUUGAAGGCAAUGCCAAUGACGAAGUUGCGCCUUCAGAUGAUGUUGACUAUGAAAUGGUUGAUAGUGAUGAUGACACUUAUGAUCCGGCUAACCCGGACACAUAUGAAGAUUAUUUUUAAUCGAUGUAAUGCUAUAUUUCAUUUAUUUUGCAUAUGUUUCUAAAUACAUAUUUUUUUAUCUGUGCUUAAUUGUUUACUCUUAAUUGCAGGUUGUUGGACAAAGAUGGUUGGCGGUGGGACGAGGACGAGGAGGGGGAGGGGGAGGGGGAGGAGGAGCACCCGUAGGACGGAGGAGGAGGCGCAGCAGGACGACGCCGUACAGCAGCAGGUGGAGCAGCAAGCCGCUGUCGAUGCGGCACAGCAGGACGACGACGAUGCGGCGCAGCAGGACGACGACGACGACGACGCCGCUCAGCAGGACGUCUCAGGUUCUGGCUCCUCAGGUUCGAGGAGUAUCUACCUGCGAGGUCCCGCGAGCCUACCUAAGCGACCCAUACUUCGUGACAGACGUCCGCUCAUACGACCCGAUGGAGAGAGGUAGGUAACUUUAGAUGUUGUUGCUGCUUUUUCAUAUUAUAUGUUCAAAUUAAUAAUAGAAACUAAUACUUCAUCUUAAUCACUUUCGACAGGUCUUGGAUGAUUUUGGAGACUGCAGGGGGUCACGGCCGCAACCCCAAUGGCAUCCUCGGCCUUCUAUGCCGGGAACACUUCCCUGGGCUUGUCGAGUACGCCGGAGUGACGAGCCCAGCAUACACCUUCGACCACUACGCUGUCGCCCCCGAUGCAGUAGAUCGGGACGGCAGACAAUUCAACAACAAGGCGGAGCGGGUCAAGCAAGAGCUGUGGGUAAGUCUUCCUCGCACUAUAUUGUUUAAUAAGUCGCAUUUGUUGCAUAUUCUUUAAAUAAUGUAUGGAUACAUCGUCUUUGUAUGUAGGAUUUCUUCAGGUGCGAUGCUGGAUACGAGGCCAGGGCGGAUGUGGUGUCUACGACGUGCUGUAAGAAGCUCGUCGUGGACAUGCACUACGAGGCGCGCAUCCAGGCCAUCGUCACUUACCACGGCUCCGUCCUUGGGGAGAAGGUGAACAAGAAGGACGCCCGAACCAUGUCAUUGACUGCGGACCAGUACUUGCAGGUAAAUACAAAACUUUAUUAUUGGUACUAAAUAUGCUUAUUCUUAUCUUCUGAUAUGCGGUGUACUUAUAUUUUUUUAGAUGAUUCCUCAUUGGUGCGCCGCGCAUCCUGAGUGCUGGGAGAAGAUGGUGCAGAGGUGGUGCUCGGCUGAGUGGGACGAGGCGCACAACGCUAGCCGGGAACGGCGUUUGCUGAUGCAAGGUCCCUCCCACCAUCAAGGCAGCCGCAGCCUGGGCAAAUACGCGGAAGCAUGGGUACGCGCUCUUUUUUAUUUAGGUAUAUAACUUUCGAUUAGACAUGAUUUCUAACCAUAUCGUUGGUUUUCUCGCAGUCGGCGGCACAUGGUGGCGCGCCUUGCUCCACGUUCUCGGCAUAUGCCAUGGCCCACAAGGGGAAGGCGACGUCCGACGUCACCUACAACCCGGAUGACGGGCCCGAGGCGUACACCAACCCCGCCAUCCACAGCCGACUCAGUGAGUACACCGCAAUGGCCAAGGAGGUCCAUGGGCCAGAUUACGAUCCGAGGACCGAGGACAUCGACGGAGAUGUCCUCAUGAGGGUCGGAGGAGGCAAGAGGCAUGGGCGGUACUGGAUUGCCGACGGGGCAAUCGACUCGUCCUCCACUCCCACUCUCUCUCAGGUGCGAGCAAGGAGCACGAGCGCGAGCCCAGCCAUACGACCUCGGCAGGACACCUCACAGCAUCGUAUCCAGCAACUCCAGGUUAUUCCUUAUCUAUUCACCGUUCAUUAAUUUUUAUAUAUCUUCUCUUUGCAUUAUCGUAACAUUAGGGCAAAAUAUUACAGACUCAGCUAGAUGAUGAGAGGAGGCAACGUGAGGAGCUGGAGAAGAGGAUGGCGGAGAUGUUCGCGUACAUGCAGAGCCUUGGCGCCGCACAGGGUCAUGCUCCACCACCUCCGUUGUUCCCUGCAACUGACCCUGCUGAGUUCACUACUCCUGUGAGUAUCAAAAUUUUAGUACCGCAUGAUAUAUAUUCAUAUGUUCUCACACAUACAAUCUAUUCUCUAUGAAGGGUCAAUCGGCGGCGUCGAACAACCCUCAUGCUUCGUCCAGCCCUUCGCCGAACCAGUCCAGAUGCCCACCUCGUUGAUGAUCCAGACUUGGUCUUGUGAGUGUUGGUGAUGUUUGGCUAGUGACACUUUGUGAUAUAUAUGUGACGGUUGGUGAUGUUUGGCUAGUGAUCCAGACUUGGUAAAUACACAUACUUAUAUUUGUGAGACUUAUAUUAGUGACACUUUGUGAUAUAUAUGGUGUUGAUGAUAAAUGUGUUCAUUCUGUGAUGCGAUUGAUAUAUAAUGUGAUGUGAAUGAUAUAUAUCUUUUGUUUGUUUGGAUGGAACAGCAAAAACAAAUAAAAAAGGGACAUCCUGGUCACUUUGCCGAGUGUAACACUCGGCAAAGGGUUCUUUGCCGAGUGCUAUGACCAUGGCACUCGGCAAAGAAGGCAACCUGGGAACCGGUAAAGCCGUCUUUGCCGAGUGCUGACAAUGGCACUCGGCAAAGAAGGCAACCUGGGAACCGGCAAAGACAUCUUUGCCGAGUGCUGAAAAUGGCACUCGGCAAAGAAGGAAACCUGGGAACCGGCAAAGAUGUCUUUGCCGAGUGCCACUGCCAAGGCACUCGGCAAAGGGACUGGCAAAGGGGCCCACUAGAGGGUUCUUUGCCGAGUGCCAGUUCACCAGACACUCGGCAAAUAAACCUCCUUUGCCGAGUGUCGCCGUGGGCACUCGGCGAAGGAUCCGUCACCGUCACUUGGCGCCGUGACGGUGACUUUUCUUUGCCGAGUGCCAAAUGGCACUCGGCAAAGUCUUUGCCGAGUGCCCGACAAAAAGUACUCGGCAAAGAUGCUGUUGCCGAUGUACAGUUCGCCGAGCGUUCUUUGCCGAGUGUUACACUCGGCAAAGCAUUUGCCGAGUGUAAAAUAGCCUUUGCCGUGUGUCUCAGACACACGGCAAAGAAGCUGAUUCCGGUAGUGUUUGGGGGGCGACUAACACAAAUCGAUGACCUUUGAUGAAGAUGGAUGUAUUUCUCCCACAAAAUCUUGGAUCCAUCCUCUACUAUGAAAAGUCAUGAAUUCACAAGACGUUUUCGAAAACAAUUUCAGCUUCACUUGUAAAGUUGCUUGUGCGGCUGAAGCCAAGAAAACAUUAGAGGACAAACAAUAACUUACUAUGCUUUUCGUGAACUGUUUCAGACCAGCAGUAAUAAUUAUUGGUCCUACAUGCAUUAAUGGAUAAGCGGCUAGCAUGCCAAGACGGAGCAUUAGUUAGGAGAUAAGACCUAGCGUUUCAUUGCAUCCCCAUGAAAGGAAUACUAUCACUACUGCAUGAAUAAUUUUCAAAUGUAUUAAAAACUGAUAUUGAAAUGUAGGUAAUCUGUCCGCCUAUGUGAAAUGUUUAACAGAGGCAGCCACUCUAGGAUGUUGCCUCUAUUAAUUACUCAUAGAUGCAGCCAUCCAACUCUAGGAUUUCAAUUAGUCUCAAUCUAUGCAUUCGUCUAUGCAUUCUAGGAUUACAAUUAGUCUCAAUCUUGUAGUAUUUGUUCCUUCCUUGUCAAAUCACUUCUCAUCUAACUACUAUGCUUGUUUAACCAUCAGAACAUAACUACAACAACAUCCAUUUAUAAAGGCUUCGAUAGCAAACUUUACAUAUUCAUAUCAUGUUAAGGUUGUCACAUGUGUAAAGGUGAAGAGAUCAUGCAUGUCAUUCCACGUAGAUAAAAAGAAUGCCUAUAUAAAAAUGGCACAUUUUCUUGUAGGUAGUGGAAAGUAUCUUUCCAGCAAAGACCAUAUAAUCCGAUAAAGCUGAUAACUAAAUGUCGAAAUCGAGUAGAUGCCAUAUCAUCUAUACCUUAUCUGUUGUUUGGAAAAAAAAAAGACAAAAUCCAAAAAAAAAUAUAAGAGAUCUCACCUAUAUAAAUAGCUCUGAAAUCAGUAGUUAAUCCAUCACCCAUAAUAUUUUGAGCAUUCAGAAACACACCAAGCGAAGCGCACUAGCAACGACCUAACAACAAUGGCUACCAAGAUAUUAGCCCUCCUUGCGCUUCUUGCCCUUUUUGUGAGCGCAACAAAUGCGUUCAUUAUUCCACAAUGCUCACUUGCUCCUAGUGCCAUUAUUCCACAGUUCCUCCCACCAGUUACUUCAAUGGGCUUCGAACACCUAGCUGUGCAAGCCAACAUGCAACAACAAGCGCUUGCGGCGAGCGUCUUACAACAACCAAUUGCCCAAUUGCAACAACAAUCCUUGCCACAUCUAACAAUACAAGCCAUCACAACGCAACAGCAACAACAGUUCCUACCAGCACUGAGCCACCUAGCCAUGGUGAACCCUGCCGCCUACUUGCAAGAGCAGCUGCUUGCAUCCAACCCACUUGCUCUGGCGAACGUAGUUGCAAACCAGCAACAACAACAGCUACAACAGUUUCUGCCAACGCUCAGUCAACUAGCCAUGGUGAACCCUGCCGCCUACGUACAACAACAACAACUGCUUUCAUCUAGCCCGCUCGCUGUGGGCAAUGCACCUACAUACCUGCAACAACAAUUGUUGCAACAGAUUGUACCAGCUCUGACUCAACUAGCUGUGGCAAACCCUGUUGCCUACUUGCAACAGCUGCUUCCAUUCAACCAACUGACUCUGUCGAACUCUGCUGCGUACCUACAACAGCGACAACAGUUACUUAAUCCAUUGGUAGUGGCUAACCCAUUGGUCGCCGCCUUCCUACAGCAGCAACAAUUGCUGCCAUACAACCAGUUCUCUUUGAUGAAUCCUGUCUUGUCGAGGCAGCAACCCAUCGUUGGAGGUGCCAUCUUUUAGAUUACAUAUGAGAUGUACUCGAUAAUGGUGCCCUCAUACCGACGUGUGUUUCCUAGAAAUAAUCAAUAUAUUGAUUGAGAUUUAUCUCGAUAUAUUUCUGAACUAUGUUCAUCAUAUAAAUAAUUGAAAACAUCAAAUCGUAAUUAUAAACUCAUGCUUGGUCAAUACAUAGACAAUGCGAUAUUACUUCAGCAUCCCAAUGAUGUCCUAGCCCAACCUCUUGAAUGUUACUGUUUUAAUGUGUGACGGUAUAUUUAUAAGAUAGACGUGACUAUUUGCGCUUUUUUGAGUACAUACAUAUAUGGUAUGUUGAUUUGAUAUAGUGAUGGACACAUGCUUAACCAUUAAUAUUCAAAUCAGUUGUACUUGCAUGGAGCAAAACAUAAUAUAAGUUUAGGAGUACACUUAUAACUGUGUCCAAACAUGCUCACACAAAUUCAUACCACAUUAUAAUGUUUUGGUAAAUAUUCCACACAUGUAUUUUUUACAACUCAAUUUUGCAGACAAAUGCAGCAUUGUAGACAUGUAGAAUUCUUUGAAGCCCGUGAACUAACAACACCAAGGUCAUUAAAUCAACCGGACCCUAUGAGUAACAAUUUCGAUAUUGCAAACACCAAAUUAUAGAACUUAUUGGCUGAAAAAAUUAUGAGCAAUGUGAAGUUUAAAUUAUUAUACCAUAAAUAUAUCAAAGAACUUUUUUUGAGGAACGUAAAAAUUGCAUGGAAUGGGCAGCCCAACAUGCUAGCUCACUUCUAUGCUAGGUAGCAUUACCAAAGAUGAAAAUGUUGCUGAUGAACGCCAAACCCACUCAAAUAAUAUUUAUAUUUGGGUUGUUUAGUUGUAAAAGUGAAGACCCAAGAUAAAAGUACCAAUUGUCCAAUGACAUUCAAUUAUUUUGUUCGGGGAGCACUUGGUGCGUCAUUUGGACUCAUAUCUUAGUCCAAUAGAUUGCAUUUUCCUUCAAUUUGUAGAAUCCGACAAAGUGCAUGUUCUAAAAUUGUAAAUCUAACUAAAUUAGAAAGCUUGUUACUAAUUUGAUGGUUUGUUAGGUGUAGCUCGUAAAACUAGAACCAACAUAGCUUGCACUCACAUGUCAAAGGAAAUUGGAGUAUCCAAGCACAAUUUGUGUGAGCAUCCAUGACACUGUUAUAAAUGAAUGCGACACAAAUAGGAUCAAUCACAGAGAAGACACGAAUUUAACGUGGAAAACCCCUCCAAAGUGAAGGGGAAAAAACCACGGGCGCCGGCCGGCAACUUCUCACUAUUUUUGGGUGGUUACAGAUCGCAGGAGAUUUACAAUUGAGAUAGAUAUCUCCUGCGGCUUACAAAGAUAUUUAUAGAGGUGAAACCCUAAAACGAUCGCCUCCCGGCGACGGGCCUCCGCUUCGCUCGCCAACUUGGCCGCCUUCUUCAGAAUUUGGAUCACAAACUCAACAAACUCCACCUUGAGACAAAUACCUUGUAGCAUCAUAAUAGCAACCUCCACCUUAAACAAAUGCAUCAUCAUCUUGCCGGCGCCAACAGCCACUAAGGGCUAAUUUAUAAUACCAACUAAGUUUGAGCAUAGCUCAAACUUAGCAACAGAAACAUGCUUCGUCAUCACAUCAGCUGGAUUAUUAUCAGUACUGAUCUUGCAUACCUUCACCAACCCUUUUUCAAUGAUAUCACGAAUGAAGUGAUAACGAAUAUCAAUAUGUUUGGAUUUCUCAGUAAUCAUCUGAUCUUUGGUGAGAUGAAUGGCACUCUGGCUAUCACAAUAGAUGGUAAUGCAAGACUUAAUUCCACAUAGCUCUGAAUAUAUACCUUUCAACCAUAAGGCUUCCUUAGUAACUUCUGCAAUUGCCAUAUAAUCAGCUUCUAUGGUAGACAAAGCAACAGUAUCCUGUAAACGAGCUUUCCAACUCACAGCACAAUCUCCAAUAGUAAAGACAUAACCUGAAAGAGAUCUCCUCCUGUCUAAAUCACCACCAUAAUCUGAAUCAACAUAGCUAAUCAGCCCAUCUCCAGAUUUACCAAAACAUAAACAAGCACUAGAAGAACCACGUAGAUAUCUGAAAAUCCACUGAACAGCUUUCCAAUGCUCUUUACCAAGAUUAGACAUGUAUCUAGCAACAACGCUCGUAGCAUGAGACAAAUCAGGACGAGAACAAACCAUAGCAUACAUGAGUGACCCAACAACACUAGAGUAUGGAACUUUUGACAUAUAUUCAAGCUCAGCAUCAGUUUCAGCACACUGUUUAGCAGACAGUUUAAAAUGAGGAGCCAACGGAGUACUCACAGGUUUAGUAUUUUGCAUGUUGAAACGACGAAGGACCUUCUCAAUAUAAUUCUUCUGGCUCAAGUACAGCAGUCCAGACUUCCUAUCCCUGACUAUCUCUAUGCCAAGGAUUUUCUUUGCAGCACCCAGAUCCUUCAUAUCAAAUUCGCUACUAAGUUGUGCCUUUAAAGCAGUGAUUUCCUUCAUGCUCUUGGCAGCAAUCAACAUAUCAUCAACAUAUAGCAGCAAAUAUGUAGGUGAUCCAUUAACAAAUUUUAGAUAAACACAACUAUCAUAUUGAGACUUCUGAAAGCCCUUAGAAAGCAUAAAUGAAUCAAACCUCUUAUACCAUUGUCUGGGAGAUUGUUUCAGACCAUAUAAGGACUUCUUCAAGCUGCACACAUAGUCUUCUUUUCCAGGAACAAUGAACCCCUCUGGCUGGUCCAUAUAAAUGUCUUCCUCCAAAUCACCAUGUAAGAAAGCAGUUUUCACAUCUAACUGUUCAAGCUCAUAGUCAUGUAUAGCAACAAGACUAAGAAAGGUACGAAUUGAACUAUGCUUGACAACAGGAGAAUAGACAUCAGAGUAAUCAAUUCCUGGAAUCUGACUAAAACCUUUUGCAACUAGCCUUGCUUUAAAGCGCGGAGGCUCUUUUGGAGUCAUACCUUCUUUUCUUUUGAAGAUCCAUUUGCACUUAAUUGCCUUUUUACCAGAAGGCAGCCGAGCUAGUUCCCAAGUGCCAUUCUUAUCAAGAGACUCCAUUUCUUCAUGCAUAGCACCCAUCCACUUUUCACUAUCAGUAGACAAUAUAGCUUCUGAAUAAUUCAAUGGUUCCUGAAUAUUAUCAACUUCUUCAGCAACAGCCAAAGCAAAAGCAACAUUGCACUCUUGAAUCAGUCUUUGGGGCCGAACUAUCUGCCUCCUAGUUCGGCCUUCAGCAAGAGACUGGGGAUGAGACUCCACAACAGGUGAUGAAAUUUCAGAAACAGAAUUUUCAGCAGGUUCAGCAGAUGGUGGAGCAUGAUCAUCAACAUCCCCCCCCCCCCCCGUGCUCCACCUGCACACUGAUAGACUCAGAAUUCUGGUUAGUAGCACUGGUAGAUACAACCGAAGGGAACAUAGCAGAUUCAUUGAACACAACGUUUCUACUAAAAAAUGCCUUCUGUGUAUCAGGAUUCCACAAUUUAUAUGCUUUAACACCAGAUCCAUAACCCAAGAAAACACACUUAAUUGCUCUAGGCUCAAGUUUACCAUUAUCAACAUGUGCAUAUGCAGUACAACCAAACACUCUCAACUGAGAAUAAUCAUAGGGGGAACCAGACCAAACCUCAAUUGGAGUUUUCUUAUCGAUAGCAGUGGAUGGUGAACAAUUGAUCAAAUGACAAGCAGUGGAAGCGGCCUCAGCCCAAAACUUUCGGCUCAAACCUAAGUUGGACAACAUACACCGAGCCUUGGAGAUUAUUGUUCUAUUCAUACGCUCUCCCACACCGUUCUGCUGAGGCGUAUAUGGUAUAGUGUGGUGCCUCACAAUGCCCUCCUUCCUGCAGAAAGAGUUAAAAUCACCAGAACAAAACUCCAUACCAUUGUCAGUUCUCAGAACCUUCAGCUUCCUCUCAGUCUGCUUCUCAACCAUAGUCUUCCAAACCUUGAAAGACUCAAAGGCAUCUGAUUUUUGCUUAAGAAAAUAAGGCCAAACUCUGCGUGAAUUAUCAUCAAUGAUAGUCAACAUGUAACGAGCACCACCAUGUGAAGGUAUACGUGACGGCCCCCACAAAUCAGCAUGAACAUAAUCAAGAAUAUUUUCUGUAUUAUGAACAGCAGAACUGAAUUUUACCCUUUUAUGCUUACCGAAAACACAGUGCUCACAAAAAUCAAGAGUAUCAGCAUGGCAACCAUCAAGAAGGCCUCUCUUGCUCAAUUCUGCCAAACCAGGUGCACUCAUAUGGCCAAGUCGCAUAUGCCAAAUUUUAGUAGUCUCAGAAUCAGAUGCAACAACAGCAUUAGCAGAGCCAGAACUACCUCGAAGCACAUAUAAGUUUUCAGCUUUCAAAUCACCUUUAAUAACCACAAGAGAGCCUUUUGUUACCUUUAUGACACCGUCACCGGCGGUAUACUUGUAGCCCUUUGUGUCCAGAGUACUCAGAGAGAUGAGGUUCCUGGACAUGGAUGGAACAUGUCGUACUUCAGUCAAUGUGCGUACAAUCCCAUCGAACAUCUUGAUCUGCAGGGUGCCCAUGCCAACAACAGUGCAAGGGGAAUUAUCACCCAUCCGAAGAGUACCUCCGUUCUGCACAGCUUCAUAGGUACUAAACAGAGAUUUUUUAGUGCAAACAUGAUACGAGCAAGCAGAAUCGAGGAUCCAUUGGGCAUCAUCAGCAGCACAACCAGCAAAGGCAAUAAGAACAUCACCAUUAUCAGAAUUAUUUUCGGAUGCAACAGAGACAGUACCUCCAGUCUUACCCUUCUCCUUGUUCCUCUUCUCCUUGUUCUGCAGUUUGUAACAGUUCUCAAUUACAUGGUUCGUCUUCUUGCAGUAUUUGCAAAAAAAUUCAUCAGAUGGCCCCCUUGACUUGGAGCGACCCCUCUGGUUCUUCCCCUUUCCUUUGCCACCUGAGUUGUACUUUUUCUGAUCAGUGCGGCCACGGACAUACAAAGCUUCUCCACUCGAGCCAGCAGCAUCUUCCGAGUUAACCAUCUGUCUCAUCUUUUCUUUCGCAGUCAAAGCUUCAUACACUUCAGCCACGGUUAGAGUAUCACGAUUGUAUAGGAUGGUAUCUCGAAAAUUGCUAAACGAUGCAGGGAGGGAACACAGGAGAAGAAGAGCUAGGUCUUCAUCAUCAAACUUUACCUCCAUAGACGUCAGAUCGGCCACGAUCUCCUUAAACACCGAUAUGUGCGUCAGAACGGAUCCUCCUUCCUGCAACUUGUGGGAGAACAACUUCAUUUUGACAUGCAUCUUGCUGGUCAGAUCCUUUGACAUACAGAUCGACUCCAGCUUCAACCAGAGAGCAGCGACAGUUUUCUCCGCCAGAACCUCCUGCAGAAUAUUGUUAGACAGAUGAAGGUGAAUAUGUGCGAGCGCCUUACGAUCCUUGCGCCUCUCCUCAUCAGUCCACGUCCUGGCAUCCUUGUUGCCAAAUCCAUCUAGGGCAUCAUCCAGGUCGCGAUCAGAUUGCGAGAGAAUUGCCCGCAUCUUCACCUGCCACAGCGAGAAACGCGUGUCGAGAUCCAGCAGUGGAAGAUCGUACUUCAUUGUCGUCGACAUCCGUGCGCCGGCAGGAAACCCUAGCACACCGAUCAACAAACAACCAAAGCUCCGAUACCACUUGUUAUAAAUGAAUGCGACACAAAUAGGAUCAAUCACAGAGAAGACACGAAUUUAACGUGGAAAACCCCUCCAAAGUGAAGGGGAAAAAACCACGGGCGCCGGCCGGCAACUUCUCACUAUUUUCGGGUGGUUAUAGAUCGCAGGAGAUUUACAAUUGAGAUAGAUAUCUCCUGCGGCUUACAAAGAUAUUUAUAGAGGUGAAACCCUAAAACGAUCGCCUCCCGGCGACGGCCUCCGCUUCGCUCGCCAACUUGGCCGCCUUCUUCAGAAUUUGGAUCACAAACUCAACAGACACAAAUUAUAUAUAGACUGAUAUAAUUAAUUCCUUCAAAAAUAAAAAAAGGAAAAAAUAAAUUGUUUUUUGAUACUGCAGGAUAUCUCUUUAGCUAAUGAGGAGUACUAAAAAUAUGUUGCACUUUUGGGUGGCAAGAAUUCCUCAAUCAUAACUUUGACAUAAUUUUAAUCCGGAUCACAUAUAUAUCAUCAUAUCUUAAUUAUUAAAUUAAUAUGGUUGCAUCAUCGUAUUAUUAAUUCAAUCCGAUAUAACCAUCAGAGCUUAAUUAUUUAAUUAAUCUAGAGCGUACAUUAGAUUAUCAAACCAAAUCAACCUGACAUAACCAUCGAAUGUUCCGCUAUGCACCUUAAGCGCAUGGUCUGGGGCUUAAUCAUCCGGAAUAACCAUCCAAUCUUCUGGUAAGCAUAGUAAGCGUAUGGUUCACGGCUUCGUCAUCCGGAAUAACCAUCAGAUUUUCCGGCAUGCAAUGAAAGCAAAUGAUUCGUGGUUUUUGUAGGGGAAACGUUGUUAGGUGAAUGCGGAUGCUGGCUGAUGUUGCACGUGCGAACUGUUGUGUGGAAGCUGCUAGGUCCUCCUCUAUUGUGUGUGGCUUGUGGCGGGCUUGGACUGCUCUCAUGGCUUCGGCGCUUGGAACUGCUCGUCCGUCUGGUCCUGCGUGCAUCUCUCUCUCUCUCCUGGCUGGAGGCGUGGUGGCCUGGCAGCUUCUCUGUGUUUUUCUUUUUACGACAGCUUCUCGUGUUAGCUAGGGUUAGCGUCAGGGGCCCGGUCAGCUAUGCUCCCUCAGCUUUUAUAGGCAUCGCACCACAGCAGGUAGAGCAGAGAUAAAGAUUCCAACCGCAUCCAUCUACAAACAAGGCUCUCGGCGGAAGGGAUAAAAGCAUGCAGCGCAAUUGCUGCUGCCGUGUUGUGGCCUUGACUCUCGUCAAUUGGAUGACCAAAAGAUGCCACCGUCGCAGCUGCCUGUUUGUCACCAACACAAAAUUGUAGGUGCCUGUUUGUCACCAAUUAUCCUCUACCACAAAGAACUACAAUAGUGAUGGAGGAUCCGAUCCUGCACAGAUACACUAUAAUGCAUAGUGGGUGAUGCAUGCCUAAUGGUGGUUGUUUAGUGUUAGUUUGGGCAUGUUGGAACUAAGCAAUUGUCGAUGCCAUACGCUAGAAGUGAAGAAUGUUGUUACCGUUAGGAGUAGAGGUGUCAAUGGGGUCUGAUACCCGUUAAGCCAUGGAGAAUUUAUCUAAUAGAUUUAGGGUAUGGGAAGAUUUUAAUUUCCAUUUGUUGAAGUUAGGUAUACAUCUAUUUGAAUCGACAGUUACAAUUCAAUGUUUGUCAUUAAAUAUUCCACACAUGUAUUUUUUACAAGAACCCAAAUUUUGUAGACAAAUGCAGCAUUGUAGACAUGUAGAAUUCUUUGAAGCCCGUGAACUUAACAACACCAAGGUCAUUAAAUCAACUGGACCCUAUGAGUAACAAUUUCGAUAUUGCAAACACCAAAUUAUAGAACUUAUUGGCUGAAAAGUUAUGAGCAAUGUGAAGUUUAAAUUAUUAUACCAUAAAUAUAUCAAAGAACUUUUUUGAGGAACGUAAAAUUGCAUGGAAUGGGCUACCCAACGUGCAAGCUCACUUCUAUGCUAGGUAGCAUUACCAAAGAUAGGAAUGUUGCUGAUGAACGCCAAACUGAAAGUUCCCUUUGCUCGGGAACAGGAUCUGGAUGUCGCCUAGAGGGGGGUGAAUAGGCGAAUAAUAAUUAUCACUUUGAAGACUUAAAUUCUUACUCUACUUGAAGACCAGAUCGUAGUGGAAUGAAAGACCCUUCGAGUCGGUUGCAGCGGAAUAGAAGAUCCUGUCUCAAAAUGCCCUGCACUUCAAAUAUAACUUGAACCACAGAUAAGUAUUGAAGUGUAGAUAUAAAGAGUAGAUAAGACAGAGGAUCAACACACAACACAGAGCAGAGCACAUAGACGCAGGAUUUUAUCCCGAGGUUCGGCCAAGCCUGAGAUGCUUGCCUAGUCCUCGUUGGAGUUAGCCACACCUGGGCUUGGAGUCUAUUUCAACUCCUUCCUCCGUUUGCUCAGAUCUAUCAGUAUGACAGAUAGAGCCUUUCACUAUGUUGAGUUCGGUUACAACAACGCCGUGGCUGCUUACAGUCUUCUUGACAGCACUCCGGUAGAGUAACAAUGCGCUCAAGACUUUGCUCUAGCUCUUUGCAGCACCUCUCCACUCUCUAAAGGCUUAUAACUUUGCCUUCACACAAACUAGAGAGAUAUACAUUAGAGUGAGAGAGAGAAUCGAUCUGAGUGAUGUAUACAAUUGUUGGUUGCACUUGUGUGCUUGUUGGAGGCGCCUAGGAGUCCCUUUUAUAGACCCAAGGGGCCUAGGAGCCGUUGGAAUUCAUUUUGGAAGACAAUAUUUGCUUUCUAUCGGGUAGCAUGUCCAGUGCACGAUCUCCUUCCAAAACAAGCUCAACUGACCAUUGGAGCAACGUUUGACUUGGCUCACCGGACACUGUCCGGUGCACACCGGACAGUCCGGUGCGCCAACUAUCCGUUGGCCCAAGCCACACGUCGCCCGCUGAUCGCGCUGCCGACCGUUGGCUCACCGGACAGUCCGGUGAAUUAUAGCCGUACGUCACCAAACUUCUCCCGAGAGCGGCCUGUUCACCGGAGUUCAGUCUGGCGCACCGGACACAGUCCGGUGUGCCAGACUGAGCAGAGACAUGGUUGUACAUAGCCAAGUCUUUUGCAUCUCUUUUCUUUUCUUCUUUUCUCUGUUUCUAACACUUAGACAAAUAUAUUAGUACACACAAACCAAUGUACUAAGUCUAGAAACAUACCUUCUCUUUGAUUUUCACUUCUUCAGCAUUUGGCAUAAUUGAGAUUGAUGUUGGACUCAUAAAUCAUCAAGUCAACUUUACUUGAUCUAGAUUGACAUUUCUGAGCUCCAACAUCCUGCAAAGGUCACAUAGAAUAUCUUCAAACUAGGAACAACCCAAACUAGAGAUCAAGGUGCACUAAGCUCUUUUGGGCUUCUUCCAGUUAUGGUUUUGACACAGCUUCUCCUUUCAGUGACCUUGUUCACUUCUUGAGCUUGAUCUUGAGCCUUAUGACUUAAGCCACAUAAUUGUAGAUGUUACCUCAUUGGUUGUAAGUCAUGUCCUUAUGUAGUGUUCACUGAUGCACCAUAACUUUUCUUAACUCGAUCAACCUUGAUUCCGCAAGUCUUCUUCUUCACCCCUGGCCUUGGGUUCCUGGUCUCCUUGACUUUCUCCCAUGCACUCGGUACCUCGAAGCUCUUCUUGCUUCCAUCCUUGGCUUGAUCGGUUGUCUCUGAGUUAUGCACCUCGAGUCACACUUAAGCAAUGCCCAUCCUUCUUGUGAUGUCCAUUAUCUAUAAAUAGUUCAGUCUUUGGACCAUCACACUUGUUCACUUGUGUUGGACCAUAUUAGCUUUACAUAAAGCACCUAUUCAACACUUAGCACACUUGUUAGUCCUUUAAUUGGGUUGUCAUCUAAACACCAAAACUCACAAGAGAGCUUUCACAAACCCACUCAAAUAAUAUUUAGAUUUGGGUUGUUUAGUUGUAAAAGUGAAGACCCAAGAUAAAAGUACCAAUUGUCCAAUGACAUUCGAUUAUUUUGCUCGGGGAGCACUUGGUGCGUCAUUUGGACUCGUAUCUUAGUCCAAUAGAUUGCAUUUUCCUUCAAUGUGUAGAAUCUGACAAAGUGCAUGUUCUAAAAUUGUAAAUCUAACUAAAUUAGAAAGCUUGUUACUAAUUUGAUGGUUUAUUAGGUGUAGCUCAUAAAACUAGAACCAACAUAGCCUGCACUCACAUGUCAUAGAAAAUAGGAGUAUCCAAGCACAAUUUGUGUGAGCAUCCAUGACACAAAUUAUAUAUAGACUGAUAUAAUUAAUUCCUUAAAAAAAGAAAAAGGAAAAAAUAAAGUGGUUUUUGAUACUGCAGGAUAUCUCCUUUAGAUAAUGAGGAGUACUAAAAAGAUGUUGCACUUUUGGGUGGCGAGAAUUCCUCAAUCACAUAUAUAUCAUCAUAUCUUAAUUAUUAAAUUAAUAUGGUUCCAUCAUCGUAUUAUUAAUUCAAUUUGAUAUAACCAUCAUAUCUUAAUUAUUAAAUUAAUCUGGAGCGUAGAGUAGAUUAUCAAACCAAAUCAACCCGACAUAACCAUCGAAUGUUCUGCUAUGCACAAUAAGCGCAUGGUCCGGGGCUUAAUCAUCUGGAAUAACCAUCAGAUCUUCUAGUAUCUUCUAGUAAGCAUAGUAAGCGUAUGGUUCACGGCUUCGUCAUCCGGAAUAACCAUCAGAUUUUCCAGUAUGCACUGAAAGCAAAUGAUCUGGGGUUUUGGUAGGUGAAACGUUGUUAGGUGAAUGCGGAUGCUGGCUGCUGUUGCACGUGCGAACUGCUGUGUGCAAGUUGCUGGAUCCUCCUCUAUUGUGCGUGGCUUGUGGCGGGCUUGGACUACUCUCAUGGCUUCGGCUCUUGGAACUGCUCGUCCGUCCUGCCCUGCGUGCAUCUCUCUCUCUCCUGGCUGGAGGCGUGCUGGCCUAGUGGCUUCUCUGUGUUUUUCUUUUUACGGCGGCUUCUCAUGUUGGCUAGGGUUGGCGUCAGGGGCCCGGUCAGCUAUGCUCCCUCAGCUUUUAUAGGCAACGCACCACAGCAGGAAGAGCAGAGAUAAAGAUUCCAAGUGCAUCCAUCUACAAACAAGGCUCUCGGUGGAAGGGAUAAAAGCAUGCAGCGCAAUUGCCGCUGCCCUGCUGCAGCCUUGACUCUCGUCAAUUGGAUGACCAAAAGAUGCCACCGUCUAAGCUCUUUUCUUUUGUGCAGCUGCCUGUUUGUCACCAACACAAAAUUGUAGGUGCCUGUUUGUCACCAAUUAUCCUCUACCACAAAGAACAACAAUAGUGAUGGAGGAUCCGAUCCGGCGCAGAUCCACUAUAAUGCAUAGUGGGUGAUGCAUGCCUAAUGGUGGUUGUUUAGUGUUAGUUUGGUCAUGUUGGAACUAAGCAAUUGUCGAUGCCAUACACUAGAAGUGAAGAAUGUUGUUAGCGUUAGGAGUAGACGUGUCAAUGGGGACCGAUACCCGUUAAGCCAUGGAGAAUUUCUCUAUAAGAUUUAGGGUAUGGGAAGAUUUUAAUUUCCAUUUGCUGAAGUUAGGUAUACAUCUAUUUGAACCAACAAUUACAGUUCAACAGAAACUCCUUCCGCUCUAGUUUGUUGUGUGUCCUACCUUUUUCCUAAACUAGUUUUUCCUAAAUUGACAUACUCUCUAGAAAAUCUAUCCAAAUUUUGAAGAUCAAAUCUGUUCCAUUGAAUUAUUCAUGACAUAUAUCUUGGUAUUGCUUUUUGUCAUCAGAAUAUAUUUUGAACUCAUUAAAAGUUAUACACGAUUUUUUUAGACAAUACUAAAGCAAGAUGUAAUUAAGAACACUUGAGGUGUGCGCCAAUUGCCACAUUUAGAUAUAAUCAUUCAAAUUUUGGUCAUCAUAUGUGUGUGCAUUGAUCUAUGCAUUCUAGGAUUUCAAUUAGUCUCAAUCUUGUAGUAUUUGUUCCUUCAUUGUCAAAUCACUUCUCAUCUAACUACUAUGCUUGUUUAACCAUCAGAACAUAACUACAACAAUAUCCAUUUAUAAAGGUUUUGAUAGCAAACUUUACAUAUUCAUAUCAUGUUAAGGUUGUCACAUGUGUAAAGGUGAAGAGAUCAUGCAUGUCAUUCCACGUAGAUGAAAAGAAUUCCUAUAUAAAAUGACACCUUUUCUUGUAGGUAGUGGAAAGUAUCUUUCCAGCAAAGACCAUAUAAUCCGAUAAAGUUGAUAACUAAAUGUCAAAAUAGAGUAGAUGCCAUAUCAUCUAUACCUUAUCUGUUGUUUGGAAAAAGACUAAAUCCAAAAAAUAUAUAUGAGAUCUCACUUGUAUAAAUAGCUCCCAAAUCAGUAGUUAACCAUCACCCAUAAUAUUUUGAGCAUUCAGAAACACACCUAGCGAAGCGCACUAGCAACGACCUAACAACAAUGGCUACCAAGAUAUUAUCCCUCUUUGCGCUUCUUGCCCUUUUUGUGAGCGCAACAAAUGCGUUCAUUAUUCCACAAUGCUCACUUGCUCCUAGUGCCAUUAUUCCACAGUUCCUCCCUCCAGUUACUUCAAUGGGCUUCGAACACCCAGCUGUGCAAGCCUACAGGCUACAACAAGCGCUUGCGGCGAGCGUCUUACAACAACCAAUUGCCCAAUUACAACAACAAUCCUUGGCACAUCUAACCAUACAAACCAUCGCAACGCAACAGCAACAACAAUUUCUACCAGCACUGAGCCAACUAGCUGUGGUGAACCCUGUCGCCUACUUGCAACAGCAGUUGCUUGCAUCCAACCCACUUGCUCUGGCAAACAUAGUUGCAUACCAACAACAACAACAAUUGCAACAGUUUCUACCAGCGCUCAGUCAACUAGCCAUGGUGAACCCUGCCGCCUACCUACAACAGCAACAACUGAUUUCAUCUAGCCCUCUCGCUGUGGUUAAUGCACCUACAUACCUGCAACAACAGUUGCUGCAACAGAUUGUACCAGCUCUGACUCAGCUAGCUGUGGCAAACCCUGCUGCCUACUUGCAACAGCUGCUUCCAUUCAACCAACUGACUGUGUCGAACUCUGCUGCGUACCUACAACAGCGACAACAGUUACUUAAUCCACUAGCGGUGGCUAACCCAUUGGUCGUUGCCUUCCUACAGCAGCAACAAUUGCUGCCAUACAACCAGUUCUCUUUGAUGAACCCUGCCUUGUUGUGGCAGCAACCCAUCGUUGGAGGUGCCAUCUUUUAGAUUACAUAUGAGAUGUACUCGAUAAUGGUGCCCUCAUAGCGGCAUGUGUUUCCUAGAAAUAAUCAAUAUAUUGAUUGAGAUUUAUCUCGAUAUAUUUCUAAACUAUGUUCAUCAUAUAAAUAAUUGAUAAUUGAAAACAUCAAAUCGUAAUUAUAAACUUAUGCUUGGUCGAUACAUAAACAAUAAAAUAUUACUUCAUCAUCCCAAUGAUGUCCUAGCCCAACCUCUUGAAUGUUAUAGUUUGGGUGUGUGCGGGUGUAUUUAUAAGAUAGAUGUGACUAUUUGCGCUUUUUGUUGAGUACAUACAUAUAUGGUAUGUUGAUUUGAUAUAGUGAUGGACACAUGCUUUGACCAUGAAUAUUCAAAUCGGUUGUACUUGCACGAAGCAAAACAUAAUAUUAGUUUAGGAGUAAACUUAUAACUGCGUCCAAACAUGCUCACACAAAUUCAUACCACAUUAUAAUUUUUUGGUAAGUAUUCCACACAUAUUUUUUUACAAGAACCCAAAUUUUGCACACAAAUGUACCAUUCUAGACAUGUAUAAUUCUUUGAAGCCCGUGAACUUAACAGCACCAAGGUCAUUAAAUCAAUUGGACCCUAUGAGUAACAAUUUCGAUAUCGCAAACACCAAAUUAUGGAACUUAUUGGCUGAAAAAAUUAUGAUCAAUGUAAAGUUUAAAUUAUUAUACCAAAAAUAUAUCAAAGAACUUUUUUGAGGAACGUAAAAAUUGCAUGGAAUGGGCUGCCUAACGUGCUAGCUCACUUUUAUGCUAGGUAGCAUUACUAAAGAUGGGAAUGUUGUUGAUGAACGCCAAACCCACUCAAAUAAUAUUUAUAUUUGGGUUGUUUAGUUGUAAAAGUGAAGAUCCAAGAUUAAAAUACCAAUUGGCCAAUGCCAUUCGAUUGUUUUGUUUAGAGAGCACUUGGUGCGUCAUUUGGACUCGUAUCUUAGUCCAAUAGAUUGCUUUUUAUUUCAAUGUGUAGAAUCCGACAAAGUGCAUGUUCUAAAAUUGUAAAUCUAACUAAAUUAGAAAGCUUGUUACUAAUUCGAUGGUUUAUUACGUGUAGCUCAUAAAACUAGAACCAACAUAGGCUGCACUCACAUGUCAUAGAAAAUAGGAGUAUCCAAGCACAAUUUGUGUGAGCAUCCAUGACACAAAUCAUAUAUAGACUGAUACAAUUAAUUCCUUCAAGAAUAAAAAAGGAAAAAAUAAAGUGUUUUUGGAUACUGCUGGAUAUCUCCUUUAGCUAAUCAUGAGUACUAAAAAGAUGUUGCACUUUUGGGUGGCGAGAAUUCCUCAAUCAUAACUUUGACAUAAUUUUAAUCCAGAUCACAUAUAUAUAUCAUCAUAUCUUAAUUAUUAAAUUAAUAUGGUAUGCAUCAUUGGAUUAUUAACUCAAUCCGGUAUAACCAUCGGAUCUUAAUUAUUAGAUUAAUCUGAAGCGUACAUUAGAUUAUCAAACCAAAUCAACCCGAUAUAACCAUCGAAUGUUCCUCUAUGCACCUUAAGCGCAUGGUCUCAGGCUUAAUCAUCCGGAAUAACCAUCUAAUCUUCUGGUAAGCAUAGUAAGUGUAUGGUUCACGGUUUCGUCAUUCGGAAUAACCAUCAGAUUUUCCAAUAUGCACUGAAAGUGUAUGAUCCGGGGUUUUGGCAGGCGAAACGUUGUUACGUGAUUGUGAAUGCUAGCUGCAGUUGCACGUGUGAUCUACUGUGUGGAAGCUGCUGGGUCCUCGUCUGUUGCGUGUGGCUUGUGGCGGGCUUGGACUGCUCUCAUGGCUUCGGUGCUUGGUGCUGCUCGUUCGUCCGGUCCUACGUGCAUCUCUCUCUCCUGGUUGGAGGCGUGGUGGCCUGGCGGUUUCUCUAUGUUUUUCUUUUUGCUACGGCUUCUCGUGUUGGCUUGGCUUGGCGUCAGGGUCCCGGUCAGCUAUGCUCCCUCAGCUUUUAUAGGUACGCAGCACAACAGGCAGAGCAGAGAUAAAGAUUCCAACGGCAUCCAUCUACAAACAAGGCUCUCGGCAGAAGGGAUAAAAGCAUGCAGCGCAAUUGUCGCUGCCUUGCUGGAGCCUUGACUCUCGUCAAUUGGUUGAUCAAAAGUGGCCACUGUCUAAGCUAUUUUCUUUGUGCACCUGUUUGUUUGUAUCGAACACAAAAUUGUAGGUGCAUGUUUGUCACCAAUUAUCCUCUACUACAAAGAACUACAAUAGUGAUGGAGGAUCCGAUCCGGCACAAAUCCACUAUAAUGCAUAGUGGGUGAUGCAUGCCUAAUGGUGGUUGUUUAGUAUUAGUUUGGGCAUGUUAAAACUAAGCAAUUGUCGAUGUCAUACACUAGAAGUGAAGAAUGUUGUUAGCGUUAGUAGUAGAGGUGUCAAAUGGGACCGAUACCCGUUCAGCCAAGGAGAAUUUCUCUAUUAGAUUUAGGGUAUGGGAAGAUUUUAGUUUCCAUUUGCUGAUUUUAGGCAUACAUCUAUUUGAUUCAACAGUUACAAAUCAACAUAUACUCCUUCCGCUCUAGUUUGUUGCAUGUCCUACCUUUUUCCUAAAUCAGUUUUUCCUAAAAUGACAUACUCUCUAGAAAAUCUAUCCAAAUUUUGAAGAUCAAAUAUGUCCCAUUGAAUUAUUCAUAACAUAUAUCUUGGUAUUGCUUUUUGUCAUCAGAAUAUAUUUUGAACUCAGUAAAAGUUAUACACGAUUCUUUUUAGACAAUACUAAAGCAAGUUGUAAUCAAGAACACUUGAGGUGUGCGCCAAUUGCCACAUUUAGAUAUAAUCAUUCUAAUUUUGGUCAUCCUAUGUGUGUGCAUUCAUCUAUGCAUUCUAGGAUUUCAAUUAGUCUCAAUCUUGUAGUAUUUGUUCCUUCAUUGUCAAAUCACUUCUCAUCUAACUACUAUGCUUGUUUAACCAUCAGAACAUAAGUACAACAAUAUCCAUUUAUAAAGGCUUUUAUAGCAAACUUUACAUAUCAUAUUAUGUUAAGGUUGUCACAUGUGUAAAGGUGAAGAGAUCAUGCAUUUCAUUCCACGUAGAUAAAAAGAGUUCCUAUAUAAGAAUGGCACAUUUUCUUGUAGGUAGUGGAAAGUAUCUUUCCAGCAAAUACCAUAUAAUCCGAUAAAGAUGAUAACUAAAUGUCGAAAUCGAGUAGAUGCCAUAUCAUCUAUAUCUUAUCUGUUGUUUGGAAAAAAAGACAAAAUCCAACAAAAAUAUUCGAGACCUCACCUAUAUAAAUAGCUCCCAUAUCAGUAGUUAAUCCAUCACCCAUAAUAUUUUGAGCAUUCAGAAACACACCAAGCGAAGCUCACUAGCAACGACCUAACAACAAUGGCUACCAAGAUAUUAGCCCUCCUUGCGCUUCUUGCCCUUUUUGUGAGCGCAACAAAUGCGUUCAUUAUUCCACAAUGCUCACUUGCUCCUAGUGCCAUUAUUCCACAGUUCCUCCCACCAGUUACUUCAAUGGGCUUCGAACACCUAGCUGUGCAAGCCUACAUGCUACAACAAGCGCUUGCGGCGAGCGUCUUACAACAACCAAUUGACCAAUUGCAACAACAAUCCUUGGCACAUCUAACCAUACAAACCAUCGCAACGCAACAGCAACAACAGUUCCUACCAGCACUGAGCCAACUAGCUGUGGUGAACCCUAUCGCCUACUUGCAAUAGCAGAUGCUUGCAUCCAACCCACUUGCUCUGGCAAAUGUAGCUACAUACCAACAACAACAAUUGCAACAGUUUCUACCAGCGCUUAGUCAACUAGCCAUGGUGAACCCUGCCGCCUACCUACAACAGCAACAACUGCUUUCAUCUAGCCCUCUCGCUAUGGUUAAUGCACCUACAUACCUGCAACAACAGUUGUUGCAACAGAUUGUACCAGCUCUGACUCAGCUAGCUGUGGCAAACCCUGCUGCCUACUUGCAACAGCUGCUUCCAUUCAACCAACUGACUGUGUCGAACUCUGCUGCGUACCUACAACAGCGACAACCAUUACUUAAUCCACUGGCAGUGGCUAAUCCAUUGGUCGUUGCCUUCCUACAGCAGCAACAAUUGCUGCCAUACAACCAGUUCUCUUUGAUGAACCCUGCCUUAUCGUGGCAGCAACCCAUCGUUGGAGGUGCCAUCUUUUAGAUUACAUAUGAAAUGUACUUGAUAAUGGUGCCCUCAUACCGGCAUGUGUUUCCUAGAAAUAAUCAAUAUAUUGAUUGAGAUUUAUCUGGAUAUAUUUUUGAACUAUGUUCAUCAUAUAAAUAAUUGAAAACAUCAAAUCGUAAUUAUAAACUCAUGGUUGGUCAAUACAUAGACAAUACAAUAUUACUUCAUCAUCCCAAUGAUGUCCUAGCCCAACCUCUUGAAUGUUACUGUUUGGGUGUGUGAGGGUGUAUUUAUAAGAUAGAUGUGACUAUUUGCGCUUUUUGUUGAGUACAUACAUAUAUGGUAUGUUGAUUUGAUAUAGUGAUGGACACAUGCUUUGACCAUGAAUAUUCCAAUCAGUUGUACUUGCAUGAAGCAAAACAUAAUAUAAGUUUAGGAGUAAACUUAUAAAUGUGUCCAAACAUGCUCACACAAAUUCAUACCACAUUAUAAUUAUUUGGUAAAUAUUCCACACAUAUAUUUUUUACAAGAACCCAAAUUUUGCCCACAAAUGUAGCAUUGUAGACAUGUAGAAUUCUUUGAAGCUCGUGAACUUAACAACACUGGGGUCAUUAAAUCAAUUGGACCCUAUGAGUAACAAUUUCGAUAUUGCAAACACCAAAUGUUUAAUAGAGGCAGCCACUCUAGGAUGUUGCCUCUAUUAAUUACUGAUAGAUGCAACCAUCCAACUCUAGCCACCUGUUGGCGUCUUUUUGGCCAAAUUCCGACAAAUCCUAGAGCCUACAAGCGGCGUGCAGUACCUUGGGUUCCUCUCUACGAGCUGACGGACUAUUCAGCCCUAGUGGUCGGACUACUAUCCACGGUUGGUAGGCAGACUAUUCAUAGCGAACUUGUCGGGGACCAUAAUUAGGGGUACCCUCAAGACGCCUAAUUCUCAGCUGGUAACCCCCAUCAGCAUAAAGCUGCAGAGGCCUGAUGGGUGCGAUUAAGUCAGGGAUCAGUCCAUACGAGUGACUCGAUCACGCUUCGCUCGAGCCUAGCCUCGGACAAGGGCAGCCGACCUCGAGGGACUUCCGUCCCGCCCGAGGCCCCCCCUUUUUAACGGCGGAGACAUCUCCGGCUCGCCCGAGGCCUUGGCUUCGCUAAGAAGCAACCCUGACUAAAUCGCCGCACCGACUGACCGAGUUGCAGGAGCAUUUAACGCAAAGGUGGCCUGACACCUCUAUCCUGACGCUCGCCCCCCGGCAGAGCCGAAGUGACCGUCGUCACUCCGCCGCUCCACUGACCGGUCUGACAGAAGGACAGCGCCGCCUGCGCCACUCCGGCUGCAGUGCCACUCGACAGAGUGAGUCUGACGGGCAGUCAUGCCUUGCCAAAAGGCUCCAUAGGAAGCUCCGCUCCGCCCGACCCAGGGCUCGGACUCGGGCUAAGCCCCGGAAGACGGCGAACUCCGCUCCGCCCGACCCAGGGCUCGGACUCGGGCUAAGCCCCGGAAGACGGCGAACUCCGCUCCGCCCGACCCAGGGCUCGGACUCGGGCUAAGCCCCGGAAGACGGCGAACUCCGCUCCGCCCGACCCAGGGCUCGGACUCGGGCUAAGCCCCGGAAGACGGCGAACUCCGCUCCGCCCGACCCAGGGCUCGGACUCGGGCUAAGCCCCGGAAGACGGCGAACUCCGCUCCGCCCGACCCAGGGCUCGGACUCGGGCUAAGACCCGGAAGACGACGAACUCCGCCUUGCCCGACCCCAGGGCUCGGACUCCGCUCUGGCCUCUGCCGAACGACCUCCGCCUCGCCCGACCCAGGGGCUCGGGCUCGGCCUCGGCAACAGAAGACAGACUCGACCUCAGCUUCGGAGGAACCCCCACGUCGCCCGGCCUCGGGCGCGGGUCCGCCACGUCAACAGGGAGCGCCAUCAUCACCCUACCCGAGCCGACUCGGGCCACGGAGAACAAGACCAACGUCCCAUCUGACUAGCUCCGCCAGACAGGCAAUGAUGGUGCUCUGCGUGCCCUGUGACGACGGCGGCUCUCAGCUCCCUUACGGAAGCAGGGGGACGUCAGCAAGGACUCGACCGCUCCAACAGCUGUCCCUCCGCCAAGCUCCGUUGCUCCUCCGAUAGCCACGACAUCACACCAGCAGGGCGCCAAGAUCUCUCCGGCUGCCACAUUGGCAUGUACUUAGGGCACUAGCUCUCCCUCCGCUAGACACGUAGCACUCCGCUACGCCCCCGUUGUACACCUGGAUCCUCUCCUUACGCCUAUAAAAGGAAGGACCAGGGCCUUCUUAGAGAAGGUUGGCCGCGCGGGACCGAGGACGGGACAGGCGCUCUCUUGGGGCCGCUCGCUUCCCUCACCCGCGUGGACGCUUGUAACCCCCCUACUGCAAGCGCACCCGACCUGGGCGCGGGACAAACACGAAGGCCGCGGGAUUUCCACCUCUCUCACGCCCGGCUCCGGCCACCUCGCCUCUCCCCCCUUCGCGCUCGCUCAUGCGGUCGACCCAUCUGGGCUGGGGCACGCAGCACACUCACUCAUCGGCUUAGGGACCCCCUGGUCUCGAAACGCCGACAGUUGGCGCGCCAGGUAGGGGCCUGCUGCGUGCUGACGAACAGCUUCCCGUCAAGCUCCAGAUGGGCAGUCUCCAGCAACCUCUCCGGCCCGGAACGGUGCUCCGUUUCGGGAGUCUUGAGUUCAUGUCCUUCGACGGCAGCUACGACAUGAUACUCCUUCCACCGCCACGCGAUAACGACAAUGGCGGCCGACAUCCCGCCCACCGGUGGCGGAACCGACGACAUCUUCCCCGCGCGGUGGAAGAACAACACUCAAGCUCACCCCGUCCUCUCCCCCGCCAACGGAGGAGGAGGCAGGGCAACCAAGGCCAAGCGGGAGGCCGCGCUUCGUCGGCUGUCGAGCGAAUCGACAUCCCCAGCGCCCCGACGGAAGGUACGCCGGGCGUCGACCUCGCGUUCGAGACGAAGGCGAGCACCGUCCCCCGCGACGCGCCAAUCCUGAGCAAAUGGACGACGCCGGCGCACUCGCGGAGAGCUUGCAGGACGUCGCCCUCAUACCUGAGAUGACGGUGCAACCAGUCCCCGAUGUGACUAUGUCGCUCCGCGUCGACCAAAAGGUACUGACUAAUUCCCAUCCUACGUUUUUUCGACUCGGCCUCAACCCGCCAAGCGAUCACGCUUUGGCGGGCGCUCUCAUUGAGGCGAGUGCAACCCCACUGGGGUUUCGUAUGCGGUCGCCUUGGGACCGAUUGACGGACGUCUCGACCUACGGGCCCUCUGGGUCCGAGGAAGAUGACGAUCCCAGCACCUGUUGGGAUUUCUCUGGAUUUGGCAACCCCAGUACCAUGCGGGACUUCAUGACCGCAUGUGACUACUGCCUCUCCGACUGUUCCAACGGAAGCCGCAGCCUUGACGACGAGGACUGCGGCCCAAGCCGCGAAUGUUUCCACGUCGAGCUAGGGGAUCCCUCCGAAGGCAACCAUCUUGGCAUGCCGGAGGACGGUGAUCUUCCCAGGCCGGUGCCCCGCGCUGACAUCCCGCGGGAGCUAGCUGUGGUCCCCAUUCCGGCGGGGUGUCGCGACCCACAGCUCGAGCAAGUCCGCGGGGCGUAGGCCAGGCUCGACGAGGGAGCAGGAGCGCUUGAGCCGAUCCGUCAGGACGUCGGGCAGGUAUGGGCGGGCCAACCCCCGGCCGGAGAAAUACGUCACCUGCCCCAGGGUCUCCAGCACCGCGUCGCCAACGAUGUCAGGGUCAGGCCACCGCCCGCAUCCAGCGGGGUUGGUCAGAACCUGGCAGCCGCAGCGAUGCUCCUCCGCGCGAUGCCGGAGCCAUCAACCACCGAGGGUCGGCGAAUCCAGGGAGAGCUCAAGAAUCUCCUGGAAGGCGCUGCGGCCCGACGGGCCGAGAGCACUGCCUCCCGAAGGAAAGGAUACCCCUCGGAACCUCACGCCGCGACUUCCCGAUUCAUGCGGGAAGCCUCGGUCUACACCGGGCGCACGCGCAACACCGCGCCUGCGGCCCCGGGCCACCUCGGCAACGAACACCAUCGUCGUGACCGUCGGGCCCACCUCGACGAUAGGGUGCGCCGAGGCUACCACCCCAGGCGUGGGGGACGCUAUGACAGCGGGGAGGAUCGGAGUCCCUCGCCCGAACCACCUGGUCCGCAGGUCUUCAGUCGGGCCAUCCGACGGGCGCCAUUCCCGACCCGGUUCCGACCCCCGACUACUAUCACGAAGUACUCGGGGGAAACGAGACCGGAACUGUGGCUCGCGGACUACCGCCUGGCCUGCCAACUGGGUGGAACGGACGACGACAACCUCAUCAUCUGUAACCUCCCCCUGUUCCUCUCCGACACCGCUCGCGCCUGGUUGGAGCACCUGCCUCCGGGGCAGAUCUCCAACUGGGACGACUUGGUCCAAGCCUUCGCCGGCAAUUUCCAGGGCACGUACGUGCGCCCCGGGAAUUCUUGGGACCUUCGGAGCUGCCGGCAACAGCCGGGAGAGUCGCUCCGGGACUACAUCCGGUGAUUCUCGAAGCAGCGCACCGAGCUGCCCAACAUCACCGACUCGGAUGUCAUCGGCGCGUUCCUCGCCGGCACCACCUGCCGUGACCUGGUGAGCAAGUUGGGUCGCAAGACCCCCACCAGGGCGAGCGAGCUGAUGGACAUCGCCACCAAGUUCGCCUCUGGCCAGGAGGCGGUUGAAGCUAUCUUCCGAAAGGACAAGCAGCCCCAGGGCCGCCCAUCGGAAGAUGCUCCCGAGGCAUCUACUCUGUGCGGCGCCAAGAAGAAGGGCAAGAAGAAGUCGCAAUCGAAACGCGACGCCGCCGACGCGGACCUUGUCGCCGCCGCCGAGUACAAGAACCCUCGGAAGCCCCCCGGAGGUGCUAACCUCUUCGACAAGAUGCUCAAGGAGCCGUGCCCCUAUCAUCAGGGGCCCGUUAAGCACACCCUCGAGGAGUGCGUCAUGCUUCGGUGCCACUUCCACAGGGCCGGGCCACCCGCAGAGGGUGGCAAGGCCCGCAACGACGACAAGAACGAAGAUCGCCAAGCAGGAGAGUUCCCCGAGGUCCGCGACUGCUUCAUGAUCUACGGUGGGCAUGCGGCGAAUGCCUCGGCUCGGCAUCGCAAGCAAGAGCGCCGGGGGGUCUGCUCGGUGAAGGUGGCGGCACCAGUCUACCUAGACUGGUCCGACAAGCCCAUCACCUUCGACCAGGCCGACCACCCCGACCACGUGCCGAGCCCAGGGAAAUACCCGCUCGUCGUCGACCCCAUCGUCGACAACGUCAGGCUCACCAAGGUCCUGAUGGAUGGGGGCAGCUGCCUCAACAUCAUCUACGCCGAGACCCUCAGGCUCCUGCGCGUCGAUCUGUCCUCCGUCCGAGCAGGCGCUGCGCCCUUCCACGGGAUCAUCCCUGGAAAGCGCGUCCAGCCCCUCGGACGACUCGACCUCCCCGUCUGCUUCGGAACGCCCUCCAACUUCCGAAGGGAGACCUUGACGUUCGAGGUGGUCGGGUUCCGAGGAACCUACCACACGGUACUGGGGAGGCCAUGCUACGCGAAGUUCAUGGCCGUCCCCAACUACACCUACCUGAAGCUCAAGAUGUCGGGCCCCAACGGGGUCAUCACCGUCGGCCCCACGUACAAACACGCGUUCGAAUGCGACGUGGAGUGCGUGGAGUACGCCGAGGCCCUCGCCGAGUCCGAGGCCCUCAUCGCCGACCUGGAGAACCUCUCCAAAGAGGUGCCAGAUGUGAAGCGUCAUGCCGGCAACUUCGAGCCAGCGGAGACGGUUAAGGCCGUCCCACUCGACCCCCAGUGGCGACACCUCCAAGCAGAUCCGGAUCGGUUCCAGGCUCGACCCCAAAUAGGAAGCAGUGCUCGUCGACUUUCUCCGCGCAAACACCGACGUCUUUGCGUGGAGUCCCUCGGACAUGCCCGGCAUACCGAGGGAUGUCGCCGAGCACUCGCUGGAUAUUCGGGCCGGAGCCCGACCCGUCAGGCAGCCUCUACGCCGAUUCGACGAGGAGAAGCGCAGAGUGAUAGGCGAGGAGAUCCACAAGCUAAUGGCAGCAGGGUUCAUCAAAGAGGUAUUCCAUCCCGAAUGGCUUGCCAACCCUGUGCUUGUGAGGAAGAAAGGGGGGAAAUGGCGGAUGUGUGUAGACUACACUGGUCUCAACAAAGCAUGUCCGAAGGUUCCCUACCCUCUACCUCGCAUCGAUCAAAUCAUGGAUUCCACUGCUGGGUGCGAAACCCUGUCCUUCCUCGAUGCCUACUCAGGGUAUCACCAAAUCCGGAUGAAAGAGUCCGACCAGCUCGCGACUUCUUUCAUCACGCCCUUCGGCAUGUACUGCUAUGUCACCAUGCCAUUCGGUUUGAGGAAUGCGGGCGCGACGUACCAGCGGUGCAUGAACCAUGUGUUCGGCGAACACAUCGGUCGCACAGUCGAGGCCUACGUCGAUGACAUCAUGGUCAAGACGAGGAAGGCUUCCGACCUCCUCUCCGACCUUGAAGUGACAUUCCGAUGUCUCAAGGCGAAAGGAGUCAAGCUCAAUCCUGAGAAGUGUGUCUUUGGGGUACCCCGGGGCAUGCUCCUGGGGUUCAUCGUCUCCGAACGAGGCAUCGAAGCCAACCCGGAGAAGAUCGCAGCCAUCACCAGCAUGGGGCCCAUCAAGGACUUAAAAGGCGUACAGAGGGUCAUGGGAUGUCUUGCGGCCCUGAGCCGCUUCAUCUCGCGCCUCGGCGAAAGAGGUCUGCCUCUGUACCGCCUCUUAAGGAAGGCCGAGAGUUUCGCUUGGACCCCUGAGGCCGAGGAAGCUCUCGGGAACCUAAAGGCGCUCCUUACAAAGGUGCCUAUCUUGGUGCCCCCAGCUGAUGGAGAAGCCCUCUUGGUCUACGUCGCCGCGACCACUCAGGUGGUUAGCGCCGCGAUUGUGGUCGAGAGGCAAGAAGAGGGGCAUGCAUUGCCCGUUCAGAGGCCAGUCUACUUCGUCAGCGAGGUAUUGUCCGAGACCAAGAUCCGCUACCCACAAGUUCAGAAGCUGAUGUACGCUGUGAUCCUGACGAGGCGGAAGCUACGACAUUACUUCGAGUCUCAUCCGGUAACUAUGGUGUCAUCCUUCCCCCUGGGGGAGAUCAUCCAGUGCCGGGAGGCCUCGGGCAGGAUCGCAAAGUGGGCGGUGGAAAUCAUGGGCGAAACAAUCUCGUUCGCCCCUCGGAAGGCCAUCAAAUCCCAGGUGCUGGCGGACUUCGUAGCUGAAUGGGUCGACACCCAGCUGCCGACGGCUCCGAUCAAACCGGAGCUCUGGACCAUGUUUUUCGAUGGGUCGCUGAUGAAGACGGGAGCCGGCGCGGGCCUGCUCUUCAUCUCGCCCCUCGGGAAGCACCUACGCUACGUGCUACGCCUCCAUUUCCCGUCGUCCAACAAUGUGGCCGAGUACGAGGCUCUGGUCAACGGGUUGCGGAUCGCCAUCGAGCUAGGGGUCAGACGCCUCGACGCCCGCGGUGACUCGCAGCUCGUCAUCGACCAAGUCAUGAAGAACUCCCACUGCCGCGACCCGAAGAUGGAGGCCUGCUGCGAUGAGGUUCGACGCCUGGAAGACAAGUUCUACGGGCUCGAGUUCAACCACAUCGCUCGGCGCUACAACGAGACUGCGGACGAGCUGGCUAAGAUAGCCUCGGGGCGAACAACGGUUCCCCGGACGUCUUCUCCCAGGAUCUGCAUCAACCCUCUGUCAAGAUCGACGACUCGCCCGAGCCCGAGGCACCCUCGGCUCAGCCCGAGGCACCCGCGGCUCAGCCCGAGGCGCCCGCGGUUCAGCCCGAGGCGCCCGCGGUUCAGCCCGAGGUACCCUCGGCCCCCGAGGGCGAGGCACUGGACGUCGAGGAGGAGCAGAGCGGGGUCGCGCCUGAUCGAAAUUUGCAGGCCCCGUACCUGCGAUAUCUCAGCCAGGGAGAGCUACCCCUCGACCAAGCCGAGGCUCGGCGGGUAGCUCGACGCGCCAAGUCGUUCGUCUUGCUGGGCGAUGAGGAGGAGCUCUAUCACCGGAGCCCCUCGGGCGUCCUCCAGCGAUGCAUCUCCAUCGCCGAAGGUCAGGAACUCCUGCAAGAAAUACACUCGGGGGCUUGCGGCCAUCAUGCAGCACCCCGAGCCCUUGUCGGGAAUGCUUUCCGGCAAGGCUUCUACUGGCCAACGGCGGUGGCUGACGCCACUAGAAUUGUCCGCACCUGCGAAGGGUGCCAAUUCUAUGCGAAGCAGACCCACCUGCCCGCUCAGGCUCUGCAGACGAUACCCAUCACCUGGCCCUUUACCGUGUGGGGUCUGGACCUCGCCGGCCCCUUGCAGAAGGCGCCCGGGGGCUACACGCACCUGCUGGUCGCCAUCGACAAAUUCUCCAAGUGGAUCGAGGUCCGACCCCUGAACAGCAUCAGGUCCGAGCAGGCGGUGGUGUUCUUCACCAACAUCAUCCAUCGCUUCGGAGUCCCAAACUCCAUCAUCACUAACAACGGUACCCAGUUCACCGGCAAAAAAUUCUUGGAUUUUUGCGAGGAUCACCACAUCCGGGUGGACUGGGCCGCCGUGGCUCAUCCCAUGUCGAAUGGGCAAGUGGAGCGUGCCAACGGCAUGAUUCUGCAAGGGCUCAAGCCCCGGAUUUACAACGACCUCAACAAGUUCGGCAAGCGAUGGAUGAAGGAACUCCCCUCGGUGAUCUGGAGCCUGAGGACAACGCCAAGCCGAGCCACGGGUUUCACGCCGUUCUUCCUGGUCUACGGGGCCGAGGCCAUCUUGCCCACUGACCUGGAAUACGGCUCCCCGAGGACGAGGGCCUACAACGAUCAAAGCAACCAAGCUAGCCGAGAAGACUCACUGGACCAGCUGGGAGAGGCUCGGGACAAGGCCUUACUACACUCGGCGCGGUACCAGCAGUCCCUGCGACGCUACCACGCCCGAGGGGUCCGGUCCCGAGACCUCCAGGUGGGCGAUCUGGUGCUUCGGCUGCGGCAAUACGCCCGAGGGAGGCACAAGCUCACGCCCCCUGGGAGGGGCCAUUCGUCAUCGCCAAAGUUCUGAAGCCCGGAACAUACAAGCUGGCCAACAAUCAAGGCGAGAUCUACGGCAACGCUUGGAACAUCAAACAGCUACGUCGCUUCUACCCUUAAGAUGUUUUCAAGUUGUUCAUAUACCUCGCACCCACACAAAGUUUAGUCAUCAAGGAAGGGUCGGCCUCGCCUCGGCAAAGCCCGACCCUCCCUCGGGGGCUAAAAGGGGGGAGACCCCCUCUACGUCGAAAUUUUCCUCGAAAAAGGGUCUCUUUUUAGCAGAAUUUCUUUCGUGCUUUUUGACUACUUCGAAAAGCGGAUCCUGGAAACGACGGAGUACACGUAAGCAGCCAAGGCUGACCGAGCCGAGGGACUCCUACGCCUCCGGGAUACAGAUACCUCACUCAUCACCUUCUGCGAUAAGUAACUCGCGCUCGGAUAAAGUAAUUUCGCGGACCGAACAAGUCUUCACGUUCGGAAGCUCUUCUGCCAAGGCGGUCCUUCGAGCCUUCUUGACUGAAUCGGUGACAGGGCCUCAUGGACGGGCGGAAGUACGCGUAAGCGGCAAGGCCGACCGAGCCGAGGGACUCCCACGCCUCUGGGAUACGGAUACCUCACUCAUCACCUUCCGCGAGAAGCAACUCUCGCCCACGCAAACAUCCCUGUUACCGACGGAAAGUCCAGAUGCUCGAAAUAAGAGGAAAGGAGACGCGGCUUUACAACGCAGCGAGGGUGUGUUUUCUGGCCUCGGCGGCCGCAGAAGGCACACGCUACAAGACAAUCUGAUCCUGCAGGCUCGGGUCUUCAUGCUGGAAGGGGGCUGUAGCACCCUCGGCAUCGACGACGCCUUCAGCGAGAUCCGACCCAGCCUCGGACGGCGAUGCGGUCCGGGGACUUCUCCGGGAAUCCGGCCCGAGCAGGCGGUUCAGCCGGUUACCCCUGGGGCCUCGGCCGACCAUCUUCCAAGGGCGCCAGCCCGGCCCGAGGCCUCGGCUGAUCGACUUCGGCGUCGGCCCCGCUGACGGACAACCCGGCUAGGCUCCGGCCAACCAGGUUCCCAUUUUCGAGCCAACUCCGCCUCUGUUCGAGCUGAUAUCGCUACCCCUGGCCUCGGCUCAUCGAAGAGCGGCCGAGGGGUCUCCUUAACUAAGCUAGAGGAGCCUCAGACAACAAGGCCGAUCGAGCCGAGGGACUCCUACGCCUCCGGGAUACGGAUACCUCACUCGUCACCUUGACACGGGGCGACUCAUGCUUGGUGAAGCGGUUCAGAUAAUCGACAGGCGAGACUUAGUGCUCGAAAACAAAGAAAAAAAAACACGGCUCCGUGCCGAAAUUACAUACAUGUUCAGGCCUCGACAGCCACAAUGAACAAAAACACUGGCAUUCGAAGUGCCAUUACAAACGGAACUCCGGUUCCCCCUCCACAGGUACGAACAACCCCACUCCGAGGGGGAAGGCCUGCGGAGCAAUGGAAGGCCGACGAACGGCGCGCCGUCACCUGCUCCAGCAGCGGCGACGACGACGACUUCUGCUCCGGGGGCCGAACAGCGGCAACGCUGACCUCAGGGUGGAUGCCGCUGCCAGGAGGCCCCCGCCCAUGCCAAAACUCGUGAGGCAAGGACGGGCAGAAGGCCGUAGAGUUGGAGGUCAGCCCGUGGUCGGCCCCGGCUAUCGCGCCGGUGGAAGAACCUCUUCCAGCUGCCGUGGCAGACGCCGGCGCCGCGAGCGGCUCCGAAGCCACUCGCGUCUGAAGACCGGGCACGCUGCAGCUGCCAGCGCCACGGACAACAACCGCUCCUUCCCCCCAUCACUGAGUGAAGGAGCGGGCCACCACCCGCGCAGGGGUCGACCCCAACUCGGCACACUCCCCUCCCCAGCCCUGGUGAUGAAAAUCCUUGAGGCUGAGGGAGGGGCAGAGGUCGCAGCCCGGCUCGCUUUCCCCCACCAUCAAGCUGGAGGUCACCAUCUUGGGUGACCGCCGGUGGAGGGGUGCAGCCGGGCUGCACGAUGAAAAUCCUUGAAGCCGAACGAUGGCUGAAAGGUACCAACUCCCACGGAGUUGCGUUCCUCCAGCAAGGAGGUGGAAAGACGGCGGAUACCCCCCAUCCGGGGGCUUGGAAGAUGGAAAGACACGGUGCAUAAGGGAGGAAGAAGACAUGGUUGCCUUCCAAAAGGGGUCGCCCUCCUUUUAAAGGCAACUCUCCCUACGUGUGCCCCCAAACGCCACGGGCUGAGUCUUCUCCAACACGCUCCAAGGCCCUCCCCUGCGGCGCGGGGGCUGGGUCCCGCAUGUCAUGCAAACCGACUCAGAGCAGAAGAAGCCAAAGCGCCGCGCGCGGUGUACGCGACCGCCCAGCGGUUCCAAGCGACCCCCCACUUUUGCCCAGACCAACGGGCGGAAGGGGCGGGCAGCCAUGCAGGCGGCAUGCAACCGCGCCAGGUGGACGCGCUUCUCCGACUUCUGACACGCCAGCUUGGAGGCCCAGGCCCGCGCGUCGCGCAACCGGCGCGCCGGAUGCUGCAUGCACGCAACUGCACCGCCACUUGCGCCACUGUCGCACCUCUUUGGUUGCGGAACCUAUGCCGCAACUCGAGGCGACCCAGCGCAUGACCCAGCAGCGCCAGCCUGGCGCGACGGUCAAUGCGGCCAAAAGUGGGCCGGCAGUAAUGACGGUGGCAGGCGGGCGGGAGCAGCAGUCACGUCGUCAGCCAGGCUCACGUCCCAUCUAAGGGCAGCCAGAGAGCCUCCUCCCACGGCGUGAAGACGGUGCGCCCGUGAUCCGUUCCUCGAACGGCUCACGCACGCGCAGCGGCCGCCCCGCCAACCACUCGCCCCGUCGCAUUAACUCCGCGGCGGGACAGGCGGCGCUCCUGGCAGGAGAAGCGGGCGACGCUUCGCCUUCGCCGUAAUAACCGCGUCAAAAAAGGUACGCCACGUCGUUCGAUUUCGUAUCCUUUUCCUUUUUUCCUCUUUCUCUAUCUCUUGCAACAGGGACCGGGAAAGGGGGAUACCCCGAAAAGGAUCCUUCUCUGUGAAGGAAUCGGGCUCCGAGCCCCCCCUACUGAUCAGGGGUUCGAAGACUGGCCCACCGAAGGGUUCAACAGUCGCCUCAGAUCGCGUGGGCCCGACACCCACUACUGGUAAGGGGUUCGAAGGCCGGCCCUCCGAAGGGCUCCAUGGCCGCCUCAGGCUACUCGGGCUCCGCGCCUAUUACUGAUCAGGGGUUCGAAGGCUGGCCCCCGAAGGGUUCACAGUCGCCUCAGACGCCGAGCGAGGGAUGACCAGGGGUACGUUCGAUACAUAACCGAGGCUCGGGCUGUGCUCCCGAGGUACCCUAGGACAUUUCUGAGACCAGCGGGAGCGAUCUUGUAACGGAAUCCCAUCGAAGGGAGGCAUCGAGCCCUCGGACCCCGUCGCCAGGGGACCGGGUCCGGCAGAUCACCCGCAGGUACUUUUGGGCGCGCCUCUAGGCCCCUAGCCGACCCCCAAUGUACGGGGCACGGACGUCCACUCGGAUUACCCGCUUGCAGCUCACCGGAGACACCAUGUUCGAUGCCCAUCGAGGGUAACAUGGCGCUCUCCCCCCCUCCUCCUUGCGGAAAGGCGACGUAGGGGCGUAUGUAAAAAGCUGAGUCUAUCCCUGAUCGCCCUCUCGCCCUGUGCGGAGGCUCGGGGGCUGCUCUCGCAAACCCGGCUCCGGCCAAACCGUUGACAGCGUCAACAUACCAGCCCGUGAGCUUGGGCCCCGACCGUGCACCCGGGCUACGGCCAGUUCGCAUGAGGGAACAACCAGACCAGCCGAAGCAUUACGCAAGGCAUUAAGACCUCGAAGGAGUGAAACCACUCCUCCGAGGCCUCGGGGGCUACACCCGGCGGGUGCGCUCGCGCGCACCCACCGGAACAAAAUGCAACCGAGAAAGGCUGGUCCCCUUGCAAAAAAGUGCGACGAAAGCCUCCAAGCGAGUGCUAACACUCCCUUAGAGGCUCGGGGGCUACUGUCGGGGACCAUAAUUAGGGGUACCCUCAAGACGCCUAAUUCUCAGCUGGUAACCCCCAUCAGCAUAAAGCUGCAGAGGCCUGAUGGGUGCGAUUAAGUCAGGGAUCAGUCCAUACGAGUGACUCGAUCAGGCUUCGCUCGAGCCUAGCCUCGGACAAGGGCAGCCGACCUCGAGGGACUUCUGUCCCGCCCGAGGCCCCCCUUUUUAACGGCGGACACAUCUCCAGCUCGCCCGAGGCCUUGGCUUCGCUAAGAAGCAACCCUGACUAAAUCGCCGCACCGACUGACCGAGUUGCAGGAGCAUUUAACGCAAAGGUGGCCUGACACCUCUAUCCUGACGCGCGCCCCCCGGCAGAGCCGAAGUGACCGCCGUCACUCCGCCGCUCCACUGACCGGUCUAACAGAAGGACAGCGCUGCCUGCGCCACUCCGGCUGCAGUGCCACUCGACAGAGUGAGUCUGACGGGCAGUCAGGCCUUGCCAAAAGGCUCCAUAGGAAGCUCCGCUCCGCCCGACCCAGGGCUCGGACUCGGGCUAGGCCCCGGAAGACGGCGAACUCCGCUCCGCCCGACCCAGGGCUCGGACUCGGGCUAAGCCCCGGAAGACGGCGAACUCCGCUCCGCCCGACCCAGGGCUCAGACUCGGGCUAAGCCCCGGAAGACGACGAACUCCGCUCCGCCCGACCCAGGGCUCGGAUUCGGGCUAAGCCCCGGAAGACGGCGAACUCCGCUCCGCCCGACCCAGGGCUCGGACUCGGGCUAAGACCCGGAAGACGACGAACUCCGCCUCGCCCGACCCCAGGGCUCGGACUCCGCUCUGGCCUCUGCCGAACGACCUCCGCCUCGCCCAACCCAGGGGCUCGGGCUCGGCCUCGGCAACAGAAGACACACUCGACCUCAGCUUCGGAGGAACCCCCACGUCGCCCGGCCUCGGGCGCGGGUCCGCCACGUCAACAGGGAGCGCCAUCAUCACCCUACCCGAGCCGACUCGGGCCACGGAGAACAAGACCAACGUCCCAUCUGACUAGCUCCGCCAGACAGGCAAUGAUGGUGCUCCGCGUGCCCUGUGACGACGGCGGCUCUCAGCUCCCUUACGGAAGCAGGGGGACGUCAGCAAGGACUCGACCGCUCCAACAGCUGUCCCUCCGCCAAGCUCCAUUGCUCCUCCGAUAGCCACGACAUCACACCAGCAGGGCGCCAAGAUCUCUCCGGCUGCCACAUUGGCAUGUACUUAGGGCACUAGCUCUCCCUCCGCUAGACACGUAGCACUCCGCUACGCCCCCGUUGUACACCUGGAUCCUCUCCUUACACCUAUAAAAGGAAGGACCAGGGCCUUCUUAGAGAAGGUUGGCCGCGCGGGACCGAGGACGGGACAGGCGCUCUCUUGGGGCCGCUCGCUUCCCUCACCUGCGUGGACGCUUGUAACCCCCCUACUGCAAGCGCACCCGACCUGGGCGCGGGACGAACACGAAGGCCGCGGGAUUUCCACCUCUCUCACGCCCGGCUCCGGCCACCUCGCCUCUCCCCCCUUCGCGCUCGCCCACGUGCUCGACCCAUCUAGGCUGGGGCACGCAGCACACUCACUCGUCGGCUUAGGGACCCCCUGGUCUCGAAACGCCGACAGAACUGUACCUAGAUCCCACCUCCCAAGAGUGACCCCAUCGGGAAGGAGGGAUUAUAGAGUUGCUUUGGGAUCGGCAGACCAUCUAAAGCACCUCAAGUCGAGGUAGAGACAAAGAUUGGAGGUUGGGAAGCUACAAUUAGGGAUAAACUAUGUCUAAUCUAAGAACAUGAAUGUAAAUAAGGUAAAACUAAUAUUUGGGUUCAAUUGAUUGUUGUUCCAAUCGGUCGUAACCCCUAAUAGGGGGAGGUCUGGACCCUUUCCUAGGUAGAGUCAAACAAAAUCCAUGAAUAAUCGAUUGAAUCUCGCAACAAAUCAUGACCCAAACCCAUUUUGAUCUAUUCCCAAAUUGACUGGGCUAACACACUGGACUGUCUUGUGCCGAACAGUCUAGGCUUCUACGCCGGACAAUCUAGAGGGUGCCAGUUUAGGUUCUCAACACAUGCCCCCUACCUUUUGGCGGUAUUUUGCGAGACAAAAGCACCUAGCACACCUUGUAUACUUCGACAAUUAAGACAUGCACAUGUUAAUUCAUAAUAUUCCGAAGUAAAGACUCGAUGUGAAAACAUCGACCUUCUAGGUGUCUUGCUAAACACUAGGAUAGUAUCGUUUUAACAAACAGUCAUUUAAUGCUUUAGUUAGCUUCUCACCUUGCAAAGUCUCCAAUAUAUAUGCAUUACCAGAAAUUACCUAUACAAUCCUAUAAGGCCCUUUCCAACUUGGGGACCAUUUGCCAAACUUUCGAUCUUUGGUCUUUAAUGGCAAGAAUGUCUUCCAUAACAUAUCUCUAACUUGAAAUUAUUUAGCCUUUACCUUCUUAUUGUAGGCCUUGGCAACUGCAAGUUUAUCCUUUUGUAUCUCCUUUAGAGCUAUCAACCUUUUACCAGUUACAUCAUCAAUAUUAUCCAUCAUUAGGUUAUGAUAUUCACCUAUUGUUAAGUCAUUUUAUUUUGCGAACAUAAUGGCAUUCAAACUUAUCUCCACCGGCAAAAUAACUUCCUAGUCGUAUAUAAGCUCGAAAGGAGUCACCUUAGUAGCAUUGUGCUUAGAUAUCCUAUGAGCCCAUAAAUCAUCGGAUAAAACCUUAUGUCAAUGUCUAGGAUAAUUAAAUAUCUUCUUUUUUAUAAUGCUAAUCAAUAUCUUAUUAUUUGACUCGGUCUGAGCAUAGUAUGGAGAUGAAUUGUGCAACUUAAUCUUAAAAGAUUUAACAAUCUCACGCACCUUUUUGUCGGACAUAAAAGAAGUUCCCUGGACCAUAGUCAAAGUUUGUGAAAUACCAAAUCUAUGAAUAACAUGUUCAGUUAUAAACUCAAUUACCUCCUAGUGUUUCAUAUUUUUCAAAACAAAGGCUUCAGUCCAUUUAGUGAAGUAGUUUGUGGCGACUAACACAAAUCGAUGACCUUUGAUGAAGAUGGAUGUAUUUCUCCCACAAAAUCUUGGCUCCAUCCUCUAAAGUGACAAGGCUUAAUGAUGGGAUGAAGUUUAGUAGCAGGAACUAUCUGUAAGUCACCGAACUUUUGACAUGCUUGACAUCCUUUGUAAUACUUAAAAUAAUCAGUAAUCAUGUUGGGCUAAUAAAGCCCCAACCUUCUCAAAAAUUAUUUAUUUUUAGAGCCAAUUGAUGAGUACCACAAAUGUCUUCAUGUACUUCGACCAUAGCUAAUAUAGCAUCAUCAGAGCCUAAGCACUUAAGCAUGAUAUCACUAGGAGUUAGACGAUAAAGUUUAUUAUUAAUGAGAACAUAUUAUAAAAGUUAUCCAUCAAAAACUCCUAUUUGUUCUAAUACCCGGAUCACGUAAGCAUGUGAUCAACGACAUCCUCAAAUCAAUCACAUCGGCUAUGUUGCCAACCGAAUUGGUCAAAGACAUCAUUGUGAUGGUUCUAUCAAUGCCUAACAGUCUGGUGGCCUAUUUCGGACAGUCCUACACACGAGGUCUUGGAGCACUAACAACCCCGAACAUCGUAUCUUUAGAAAUAUGAAAUUUUCUUUUGUUUAUCUAAUAUCCUGAAGCCACUUGGGCCAAGGAAUUAGCUCCAUAAUUCUCAGUUCUAAAUAUAUGACGAACAUCAAAAUCGUCAAAUAAAUAGAUUAUGUCCCUGCACUUUUCGAGAUAACUAUUUAAGGUACCAUCUAAACAUUGAUAUUCUCCCGAAACUUGUUAAACUACUAACUGAGAAUUACCCAAAACUUUCAUAUGUCUUACUCCCAUAUAUUUUAAUAACUUCAAGCCGAAUAACAAAGCCUCGUAUUCGAUCUAGUUAUUAGUGCAAUGAAACUCCAAUCGGCUAGAAAAAUCAAAGGCGACACCUUUUGGUGAAAUAAACACUAUGUCUAUGCCUCGUCCUUGUUUGCAAACUGAUCCAUCAAAUUAAAGUGUACAAGGAGUAAUAAAAAUAUAUCUAGCUCACCAAAAUCAUCAAUUUGAUGUUUUGCAAUGAAACCAGCUACCACUUAGCCUUUCAUAGCUUUUAAAGACUCAUAGGCCAAGCCAUAUUCUAUCAGUGCAAAUGCCCACUUGCUAAUUCUACCACUCAUAAUAGGAUUAUGCAACAUACAUUUAAUUACAUCAGUUUGGCAAGCAACAACACAAGAGCUAGUUAAUAGAUAAUGUAUAAGAUUGAUACAUGCAUAAAAUAAGCAUAAACACAAUCUCUUAAUAAAAGUAUACCUUGUUUUAGCGUCCACAAGUUGAUGACUCAGAUAUGCUAUAACAUACUCUUUUCCUUCAGUCUCCUGAGUCAAAACAACGCCAAUAACUUCAUUUUUGGUUGCUACAUAUAACCUGAAAGGAUCUCCACUCUUCGGUGCCCUAAGUACCGGGGCCGAAGGCAAGUAUUAUCUAAUUUGAUCAAAAGUGUGAUGUUUUCCCCCAAGUCAAAUCGGAAUUGUUCCUAAGCCGAAGAAUGGGAUAAAGGCAUCAACCUUUCCUAGGUGGUUAAAAAUAAACCUUCGUAAAUAAUUUACUUUGCCGAGAAACUUCUGCAUCUCAAACUUACAAGUAGAGGCUCCCACAUUCUGAAUAGUCUUUAUUCGGUCGGGGUCUACUUCUAUACCAUGCUCAUGAAUUAUAAAGCCUAAAAACUUUUCGGUCGACACACCAAAAGCACAUUUCAGUGGAUCCAUUUUUAAACCGUAUUGACGCGUUUUUUCAAAGUCCAUGUGCAAAUAGACCAGAUGAGAAUUGAACUCAAUUGAUUUGACUGUCAUCAAUGUAGACUUCCACAAUGCUUUCUAGCAUCUCAUGAAAGAUUAAAUUCAUAGUUUAAUAAGUAGUGCUUGUAUUCUUUUGCCCGAAAGUCUUUACAACCCAUUUGAAUAAACCAAUGAAGCAUGUACAUACAAAAAUCGUUUUGGGUGUAUCUUCUUCGGCUAUAAAGAUGAAUUAAAAACAAAAAAAAAGAUGAGCUAAACAAAGUAUAUUAUAUGCUAAACGAUAUCAUAGUAAAAAUUAAUAAUAACUGUGAUAUUAUUGAACAAGACGAGCUAGCCAAAUUUGACAUAAAAGGUCAAAUAAAUUAUAAAUUGGAACCGUGGUGUACUAAAUUAAUCGUAUACUGUCAUUUGCAUAAGUUACCAAAUGAAAAAAAAACUAUGUGCGGAGAGACCAUCGAAUAAGAACAAAAGGGAGAAGCAUAGUUUAGCGAUGUAAGUGGUGACAUCAAUGGUAGUUGUCGGUUCAUUUUUAGCUCACUCGCCUUGCUUCAAAAUUGGGAUUAGUUCAAUCUAUCAAAUUAGUUAUGAUUACGACUGGACAAAAUAAUGACCCGCUGCUGGAAGCAAAAGUUGACCAAAGCAUAAUCAAUAGUACGCACGGAUUAAUCAACUGGCCAUGAUAUAUUUAGAUAGACGUAAUGUACAUUCAUUUGUAUUAAUUAAAAACAUGGUCAAAUAUGGUUAACUACUACUAAUUAAUAGGAGCAGUUAGCCUGCAUGCAUCAGCAUCACAGAAUAGAUUUAUACUCACUGUACGCUGCAGGAAGGUACAUUUUUAUUUCCAGGCUCGCAUUAUUGCAGCUAAAGGACGUGCCAUCGGUUUGGAAUUGAAGAUUAAAAUCAACACUACGCGUGACCGGAGAGAGAACAGCGAUGGCACCAUAUGAUGCAACUCUGUUUCCGAAGCUUGUUCUUAUCAGCAUUCGGCAACCUUGGUUUGUUUUCGUAUGGUGAAGAGUAGUUAAACUAUCGUCCUUAGAAACUUUUUCCAGAGGAAGGAUAUUUUUUGUGUUUAGAUAUGAGACUUAGGGCUGAUUUAGUGACCAGCGAAUUGAAGCGGAUCCCUAUGAGGAAUCCCCUUCAAUUCUUUGGUCACCAAACCACCUUAUGUACUGUAACGUUUGGCUCUAGUCCACUUGGAACAGUUUUGUUGUUUAUAUGCUCAAACAAUGAUCAUGACCAGACCAUAGAGGCGAGUAUUUGAGACACGAGUUUGGCGAUCAUCUAAAACAAUGUGGAAUUGUUCCAUAUUUAACUCCACCCGCUACGCCUUAAUAGAAUGGGGUCUAUGAGCAAAGGAAUCGUAUUCUGUUGGAUAUGGUUCAGCGAAUGAUGAGCCAAGCUAAUAUUCCAUUGUCCUUCUAGGAAUAUGCCAUAUAAAUUGUUGUGUUUAUAAUGCACAUAGUUCUAGCUAAAUCAGUGGACAAGGCUCCGUAUGAGAUACGAAUUAGGGAAUAUUAUGGACUAUCUUAUCUUAAAAUAUGGGGUUGUGAAACUUAUGUGAUAUAGUUGACAUCUCAUAAUCUCUAUCCUAAAUAUGAUAAGUGCUUCUUUGUAGGGUAUCCUAGGGAAACAAAGGAUAUUAUUUUUAAAACCGGGAAUAAGGAAGUGUGUUUGUUGUGCUUAGAGUGGUGUAUUUGGAGAAAGGGUUUCUCUCAAAAGGAAUUAGUGAGAGUAGGGUGUAACUUGAGUAAUUUGAGAAAUAGUAAAAAGGUUUCAAUCCCUAUUUAUCCUCCAUAGGAUGUACAAAAUGUUGUACAACCAAUUAUUGAGGUAUCACUUUAACAACAACAACCCAAUUAAUAACUAAAAAUGCUAAUAUUCAGUCAGUCCAUUAUAAAGCCUUCGUAUGCAUUGGUUUUUAGUAUCACUUGCUACCCUUUGCUAUUUUUCUACAAAAAAUUAUGUUGCAUCCAAUGCAACCAUUGCUUAAUUAGACGGAGGAGGUGAAGAACAGGAGUACAUCAUGGAGUUCCAAGAGUACAACAACUAUUAGGCAGGUGGACCACUAGUCAGUUUGUCUGUGGAGCUUUGUUAUUAGUUAUAUACAUUAAUCAUUAAGUUUAAUUCGCUUUCGCUAGGCUAUGGUUUAGGGUUUAGGGUUCUAGGAGUAUCAUUGUGUUGAUACUUUCACUAAUGAUGUUGUUGUGUACAUGGAAUCGAUCCUGGCACAUGUAUGGUCGUAUUCAGUUGUCUUCUUAAAAUUGGGUGUGACAUACCAUAAGCUUGCACCUUCUCAAGAACGAUUUAAAUAAAUCUCGUAGAAAACCCAAGAUGUCGAUGUUGAAGCAACCACGACAAGAGAUUUGAAAUUUGGUGAAGCCAACCCCAAAUUUUAUAAGCAUGACUCUAAAAAAUAGUAGUGAGUGUCUGUCUCGCACAACCCUAUCUGUCCCUCUAGAACCCAAGUAAUUCUUGCCCUAUACAAGAAUCUAGUAUAACAGAACUAUAUAUCUAGCUUAAUCAUUUUGAGCGCUUCAAAUUGCUCCUUACAAGUUACAAGUGUUCUAUGAGAUCUUUGUGUCAGCUUGGUUGAUGCUAUGACGGUAUGACCUCUACCUCUUGUUUAUGUAGUCCCCUCCAAAAUUCUUAUACAUGCAAGUUGGACUACUCCUGGUAGGAUUCUAUACUCGGGUUCCAAUAGAAAUAGAGGUUAUAAUAGCACACCCCUAUUAAGUCCUAUUACAUGUAGGAUUUGUAUGUCACCCUACAACAGUUGUUUAUUACUCCCUCGAUUCUUUAUUUGACGCGUUUUAGUUCAAAAAUAAACUAGCGGGCGACAAAUAUUCGAGAACGGAGGUCGUGCUAUUCAAGAUUAACAGUAAUUAAGGAGUUGUACUCUCCAAUGAGCUUCUUUUAAUUUGAAUGGAGCUCUAUUUUAUAAACACUAUUUUAUAAACUUUUAUAAGAAAAAUAUAGAACACACUAUAAAUUGACUCAAAUAUACUACACCUCAGAUUAGUGCUAUAUCCUUGUUUUCUAUAUCAUUCUCGACUUUUUCUUUCAUAAUAAUGUAAUUUAAUUUCUAAAAUACCAUGAUUUAUUGCUUAACCGUUGGAGCUCAAUUCGUCUUUAGUGUUCUAAACACUUUAAAUAAUGUAGCUUGUUGGAUAUGCUUUAGAUAGUCAAACAAGCUAGGACAAAAAAAAUUUGGUGUGUUAUGAUAUGAAGACAAAUAGCAAACCACAGAAGUGACAAUUUACUUGUACUAGUUGGUGCUAUAUGAGUGUUGUCUAAAAUAAUCCUAAAAUCCAGGCACCUAAAAUAUAGCGCAUUAAUUCGAGAUGAUAAUGCAUGUGACGAAGCUCUCCGACCUGCUCUCGACUUAUUGGCAAGUCUAUGAGUGGUUACACCGACAUGGAACUACUUAGGAAAUGUUUGAAUGCACUAGCUAGAAUUAGUAGUUAGCUGCUAAAAUUAGCCGAAACAUACAAAUAGUCUAGAUAAUAGUUCAACUAUUAUUAUAUUUUUAACAAAAUAACUAAUAACUAGCUAGCUUAAAGCUAUAGUGUAUUAUUCAAACACCCGCUUAAAAAACUCGUGCUGAUUACGUCCAUUCAAGCUUGUGAUUGUGCCCUCAUCCAUUCAGCAAACAGGGAAGUAAUUUUAUACACGUGAAAAACGUGGAGAGCAACAGCUAGCACGUCGUGUCUACUUCUCAAGUUGCCUGCACAGAAGUAGUGUGACGACUAUGGUACCCAGUAGUCAGCUUUCCGUGUGGUAACGAGUCUAGCGUCGUACCUCAACAUCACUCCUCCUGUGAACACGAGUUCAUGGCACGUCUCUGUCGGCUUUUUCAGAUGGUGAUGCAUGUCGCCAUUUUUUAUUAUAAGAUACUGUGGAUUUGUUAGAGAAUUAAAGUAUCUUAGGUUUAGUUCAAAUUAUAAAUAAAGCACAAAGAUUCAUUUUUGCAUUCUAUGAAAACAUAUAAUUAAUAAAGAAUCCAAAUUAUACUUGUUUUGUACCAUAAACAUUUCUAUUUUCUGCGCCACAGAUUAUUAUUGGGGUCACGACGUGUCACUGCGCGCAUUAAAAAAAACCACCACACACGUAGACAUGGCAAUUUUGUUACUCGCACAGUGUAUAUACUAAUAUACACACUUCAGUAGCACGGAGAACUGGAAAUUACAGUCUACCCCAAGGCCCAAGUCAUAAUCACAUGUUUUUCAUGUGCUUUUCAUGUUGAACACACUAGCGGGAAAAAAAAGCAUCGACCCCGUGCGUAUGGGGCACACGGUCGUCUAUGUCAACCGUACAUGUUUUUUGUAUUGUGGAGGGGGACGACAUAUGCAUGGAUGUCGAAACAAGGAGAAACGAGAUAUAUAAUGAUUGGUCUUCCAAGUUUCCGAUAGCUCCACACGCUACAGAUCCAUCUAAACCAAAUUUAGAUCUAAAAUUUUUUAGCCAAAACACCAUCUAACUCCAUCAGAUCCACUGGUGAAUCUAUACUCCACCAAAUUUCUAGAUCUGCCCUUAGAUUUAUUAAAUUAUCGUAUCACCUUAAAGUUCGCUCCACCAAAUUCAACUUUUGAUAGAGUUGGGAAAAAUAUCCACUAUGCCACUAUUAUACCAACUUCAAAUUCAACUUUAAUGGAGUUGGGAAAUUAUCCACUAUGCCACUAUUAGACCAGCUCCAACAGCGCUCCGUAUUUCUGUAUGGAUCCCCAUUUUACACGCCUUAAGCUACUAUUGCGCCCUUCAGCGACCCAAACCACCACACAAAAUUAUCAUGUUGUCCCGCCCUCCCCCCCCCCCCCCCCCCCCCCCCCGCUUUUUAUGGUGUCUCUCUCCACUCCGCAGAAGACUAGAAAAACAUGGAUUUUAAACCUGGCAGCCGUGAGACCCAACUCUCAUUGAGAAGGAUGGAGAUAUGGAUGGGGAACCUGCUGGAUGACCCGGUUUAUGCAGACCAUAUGUUGGAGCUGGUCUUAGCAAAUAUAUGAUGUUAUUGACUUUUCCACCAAAACUUCAACCACCCGCCUUAUUCAAAAUAUUUAUUCAAAAAUGUAAAAUUUUAAGUCACAUUCAAAUGACUUUUUGCCUCUCAACGGGCGGAGAAUCCCCACCUGAAUUUCAUUGAUUCUGGCAUGACUAAGUCAUGCCUCAACGACCUCGUUUUUAAGGGAAACGAGGCAAACCCUUACAUAAUGUUGUGACAGAUCACAGAUUACAGACAACUACAAGCACAAAUGCACAAUGCAGCAAGGACUUCAGCAAUAGAGAGGAAACAAAGAGAGUAAAUACAACAGGACACAUGUUAAAGCGAUCGAAACGGCGAUUGUCGUACAACAACCAGCAACCUCCACUAAGAGCAACAUGCUCGUCAGCACACCGAAGCCAUUGCGCAUCUAGACAUCCCUCGUAGCUAAGCGCAUCUCGCUGCCUUGUGGCCAUCUGCCAUGCAAACGCGGACGGGGACUAAAGGAGGCAGGAGGCACGCUGACCACAAUAUACUACAAAUGACGACCUCCAUUCGAGCAAACAGAAUCACUCGACAGCGCAUCCGGGCUCCGCUUGCCACCAUCCAACGCCAUGCGAGAGGGGAAAUCCUCGUGGGGGAAUGGCGGUAGAUGCGGAUAUUCACUGACCCAGCAUAAGAUUUUCGUGUUCCAGUUAACAAGGAGAGCACUGACGGAGCAGAGGCGCCAAAGGGAGGCACCCGUUGCAUCACGACAAGGGUGAAACACCAGUGCCAAGCACAAGGGCACAAGAAACCUGCAAGAACAUGAUGACGACCAAAUCACCGUCGCAGCAUGAGUCGUCCAUGACGACACCUAGGGGUUGGAGGAAAGGUGAGGAGGCUCCCUGACGAUGCCUCCAAGGAGGUCAACGGCGCCGAGGGCAUCGACGUCGUUUGCAUAGACUAUACAUUUUGCAUGGCUUUCGCUUGGGAUCUCAGUGUUGCCAUGUGUUUGUGAAUAGAGGUAGCAUAAAAAAUAGUUUGUUCUUGCUUUUGUACGACUCUUUUCCUUCCAUGUGACCAAAUAUUGCAGGAAUGUGCCACACCUUAGGAUGGCAUCGGAUAAGAUACCUAAUUAGCACACAAGGCUAUACACAUAUUCACCAAAAAAAUACCUCAUUCCCGUACCUAUCAUGGUACAAAUUACCAUAUACUCAUACCCACUAACAUUUCAGUAGACAUGAUCAUUUUAAUUUCAAAAGUAAAUAUCAAAUAUAAAAUAUUAAAGUCCAACACCUCAUCAGUAAUGAAAGAUACUAAAAUAUCAUAUUAUCUUUGUGUUUUUAUCGAACCGAGCAUAAUUUUAUUACAAGUUCAAUGUUUUAUUUUAUGUGGAACACAUUUAAUAAUUCGGACACACAUGAUAUAGGUUAACGAGUAUAGUAAAUGACCCAAUAAAAUAUAUAUGUUAGCAGAAACAGCAUAAAAAAUGAAGUAGAUUAACCAACAAAACACAGAGCACGACACACAGAUUUACAUGAAAAAUCCUUCAAUGUGAAGGGAAAAACCACGGACACCAGUCAGGUGAAACCUUCACUAUAUAUUAAGUGUUUACAGAACACCGUUCACUAUAGAAUUUGAAUCACAGACUCAACACUAUGGACAUCAAAAUACCUCAUAUCAUAUCGAAUGGGGUUUUGACCCAUCGGACCUUGGAUAGCCAUUAUUGCCAUUUCUAGCCACACCUGCGCCUGCCGAGGCCCCGCCCGGCAAUGGACACCUCAUGCGCGCCCGCCCUUGCCGGCCCCGUGGUCGCUGGAGGGAAGAGAAAAGCACGAGUGGCAUAUAUGGGGCCUAGCUAGAUCUAGAUGAAAGUGAGCUGUUGCAAACAGUUUGAUAAAUUCCAACUCCAAUAAUGAACCUUGAUCGCGUUGAAUCCAAGUGGAUUCUGACAGCACUGUAUAUAUAUCUACACACAAGCAGGCUUUUAAUUGCCCAACACCCCGCCAACUACCCCCAAGUUUGAUCGAGCUCUCUCCACGCACCACCAGCAUACUUGCAAUGGCUUUCAUCGUGCUCCUUGCUGCUGCAGCAGCGGCAAUAGCCUUGGUUCUCCACCACCUCCUCAGUGCCCAAAAAAAGCGCAGCAGCAGGUCUGCAGGCUCGACGUCCUACAGCCUACCGCCCGGCGACCUCGGCGUCCCCGUCAUCGGCCAGACCUUCUCCCUCCUCCACGCGCUGCGCAGCAACACGGACGACCAGUGGUUCAGGGCGCGGAUCAAGAGGUACGGCCCGGUGUCCAAGAUGUCGGUGCUGGGCUCGCCGACGGUGCUGCUGGCCGGGACGGAGGCCAACCACUUCAUAUUCACCAACCAGGGCCUCAUCCUCACGCAGACGCGCGCGCUCCGCUCCCUCCUCCGCCGCUCCAUCCUCACGCUCACCGGCGACGACCUGAAGCAGGUGCGCAGCGCGCUGCAGGGCUACUUGCGGCCUGAGAUGGUCCGGGGGUACGUGGGGAAGAUGGACGCCGAGGUCAGGAGGCAGCUCAAGCUCAACUGGGUUGGUCGCAGCACUGUCAACGUACGUACCUACCUGUGAUUAUCAUAAACAGCUGUGUGUUUUAGUUUCGUUGUUCUAUCUAUAUUGUCGUCUAUCGUUGUGAGCUUUGACCAACAAUUUACUAAAAUUCUCCAGAUAGAUUAACAACGCAAAUUAAGUUGAUGUAUAUAUUCAUCAUGCAAAGCAAUUAGUUAUCUCUAUCAAGUUCUACAUCUUCAUAGACAUUGUUAGUCAAAUACUAUAGCCUUGUAAAAAUGUAUUGGUAUACCAUAUAUAACCAACCGAUCGACGACUUAAUUGAAAUUAUAAACGUGUGUUCUUGCUGGCCAUAUAUGUAGGUCCUGCCGAUGGCGAGGAGCCUUACACUAGGGGUCAUCUGCUCCGUCGUCUUCGGCGAGGAAGCAGCCGCCAUAGUAGACGCCCUAGCUACCGACUUCCAGCAGCUAGGUGACGCGAUCCUGUCGUUCCCAGUCAACAUCCCCUUCACCAGGUUCGGCAAGGGCAUGCGGUCGAGCGCCAAGAUCAGGGAGGCCAUCACGAAGUUCGCCAGGAAGAAGGAGGAGGAGUACUCCUUGCUGCUGUCGCAGGACGAAGGGUGCACCACCGCCACUGCUACUGCUACGACUUCAGCCGCCACCGACUUCGUCACCUACAUGCUCCUCCUGCGCUCCAGGGGCGCGCACUCCCUCUCGCUGGCGGACAUCGUCGACAACGUGAUGGGCAUCGUCAUCGGCGCGCACGGCACCACCUCGACGCUCAUCACCUUCAUGGUGCGCCACCUCGCCAACGAGCCAGACGUCCUCGCCAAGAUCACCCAAGGUACUGUGCGCGCGUCAGUGUGUGUGUGUCCACACUCCACAGUAGCUAGCGCCUAGCUACUACAUACACUUUUGGUCUCCUUUUCUGUAUAUCGAAGUGAACAUAUAUAUACAUAACAUCAUAUACUGGCAGAACAAGAUGAGAUCGCUGGUAGAAACGGAAGAGACGGUGCUCUAACAUGGGAAGACGUUUCGAGCAUGAAGUACACAUGGAGGGCGGCGCUGGAGACGCUGCGCACGGUGCCGCCGGUGUUCGGGAGCUUCAGGACUGCCACCAAGGACAUCGAAUACCAGGGCUACCUCAUCCCCAAGGGCUGGAAAGUAGGCAUCUUUUUCUUUCCUGCACAUAUAUAUAUGUUUUCAUCAGAACACAAUUGAUCAAGAAAUUAAAGCUUUAAUUUUGCUUCGCAACAUGCAAUUCGUGGCAGGUCUUCGCAUCCCAAAGCAUCACGCACAUGGAUCCCAGGUUCUUCGCCGAACCCACCAAGUUCGAUCCGUCCCGCUUCGAGAAGCGCUCGUCGAUCCCGCCGUACAGCUUCCUGCCGUUCGGGGGAGGGCCAAGGAUGUGCCCUGGAACCGAGUUCUCCAGGGUGGAAACCAUGGUGGCCAUGCACUAUCUAGUGACGCGGUUCAGGUGGAAGCUGCGCUUCGAAGACGAAGCCUACAACAAGGAUCCCAAACCUACGCCUGUUUUCGGAUGUCCAGUGGAACUGGAGCUGAGAAAAACCCCUGCAAUAUAAUAGCUGAUGGUGCUUGAAAUGAUGCUUUAAUAUUGUACGCCCAUUGAUUGUAAAAUGUACAGGCUGCUUGUUUGGCUGUGGCCAAACCAUUGUUGUCCGUCCAGCAAUACUUGGCCUAAGAAGAGUGCAUGGAUAUGUUUGGGUGUGCAGUUUUCAUGUGUAGAUGUAUAUACACUGAAGAAGUAGAUAUAUAUAUAGGUGUCACUUGUAAUUAGUUUAGGUUUCUAUAUAUGUUGUGAUUGUGUAAUGUCAAUGGCAUAAUAUUAGGCAGAUCAUCAAAACUUAUUCCCUGCAGCUUUAUUGAGGUAAACCAUAGUUAUUACCUUCCUUUGCUGUAUAUAUAUUUUUACUUUUUCUAUAACAAAUUAAUAGACUGGUUGUCUUUGAGCUAUGUGGUUUCUGACCAUCAAACGCCUCCGGAGCUAAUCAGACUACUACAGAACAAGUAAUCGCUGAUGGGUCGAAACCCUACAUCACUAUUGGAAUUGGGUCCGGCAGUGGGCAAUCAGCAGUGAUGGGAUCACCACUGCCGGUUUUGGAUCCGCACAACAGUAAAAUAGGGAAUUUCCGAGGGUCUAAACCGUCGGAAAUAAGCCAUAAACUUCGGACAUAAGUUAUUUUCGAUGGCUUAAGACUUAUGUUUGACGACAGGCGUCCGUCGGCAUUAAUGGGUCGGAAAUAGCCUUAUCUGACGGCUGUCGUCGGACAUAAGUUAUUGUCGAUGGUUGCAAGAGGUCGUCGGCAGUUGCAACCGUGAACGGCUAGCUGUAACGAGCGUUCGUGGGGCCCACACCUUUAUGUUUGACGGCUUUAAUGGGUCCUCAGACAUAAGGUGUUCUUAAUGUUGACGGCCUUAAUGGGCCCCACACCUUUAUGUCAGUAUAGCCAUCGAAGAUAACUGUUAUUUUCGACGGCCAAUCGAUGUCGUCGGACAUUGCGGGGUCGUCGGAUCUUUGUCGUUUUCCUAUUGUGCCGGUAAUGAAAUUUCAGUCAUGGUAUAGCAAAGAUGAGUGUAAUAGCUAGUGGUUGGUACUUGAGGUUGCGAAGACUUCGAGAUGUUUUUUAGUAUCAAAAGAUUCUAGAAACUUAUAAGUUACAGAUACAAUAGUGCAGAUGGAUGGCACAGAGGGGUGCUAGGAUGUGUAUGGGGUUUGUCCCUAAGACGGUGUUCAGCAAAUCGUGCAUAUGACCAUGCAAAACACUAUUUUGUAUUGUAAACCACAUUGUUUACAGAGUGAGGUUUGAAAUAGAAGGUAGGAUAGGAGAUGAGAUAGAAAGUCUGCUGGAGACAGCAUAAGGAGUGUGACUGCUAUGCUUUGACUUGUGUGCCAAUUAAUCUUGGUGAAUGGGCUCCAUAGAAUCUUAGGAGACCAAAUCCUUAAAAUCAAAUUAAGUGGUCUAGUAUAUCUUUCUAUGGGGCUAUAAAUAGGAUCCCAACCGACCAUUUAAGAUGUGUGGGAGCUGAUACACAUAUCUAAUGAGCUAACUCGUUCAUAUUAGCAACAGACAUGGAGGUACCCGUGCACAUAUGCGAUUUUUGCCCUUCAACUUUGAUUUGUCGCUGCAAUUUUUACAAUGAACCCUUCCACUGUUGACCUUGUGUUUGAGAGCACCUAGAGGGGGGUGAAUAGGUGAUCCUGUAAAAUCAAACACUAAUGGCCACAAAACUUAGUUUAAAGUGUUAGUACGGCUAAGUAGCCUUGAAGCGAGUUCUUGUGAACACAACAAUCACAGAGAAAGCAACACAAGAGACACGCGAUUUUUAUCCCAUGGUUCGGCCAAGUAACACUUGCCUACUUCCACGUUGUGACGUCCCAAUGGACGAGGGUUGCACUCAACCCCUUUCAAGUGAUCUGAUGAUCAACUUGAAUACCACGGUCUUUUCCUUUAGAGUAUGUUUCCCGUUUGCGAGGAAUCUCCACAAUUUGGAGUCUCUCGCCCUUUCAAUUGAGAUCACAAAGAAAGCACAGAGUAAGGUUGGGGAGAGCAACACACACAAGAUCUUUAUGUAGUGUGUCUUUAUAUAAGAUCAUAAUCGUAAUUGUGUGUUGCUAUACUUUUUAAAUCCGCAGCACAACAACGCACACAAGUGAGAACGUGAGCACACAAACACAGCGCGAGGAGUUUACAACUCGAAUUGUGCUCAAAUCUCAAGAACGAUGAUCCAAUAGCGUGAAAGCGGAGUCUAGAUGUCUUAGGAUGUUUCUUGUAAGCUUGGUGUACUCCUCCAUGCGCCUUGAAAGGGAAUUAGGCUUACACCUAUUUUCCUAAUUGAUUUUGGUGGUUGAAUUGCCCAACACAAAUAAUUGGACUAACUAGUUUGCUCUAGUGUAUAAAUUAUACAGGUGUAAAAGGUUCACUCUUAGCCAAUAAAAAGAUCAAAUAAUGAGGUUCAACAAAGAGAGCAAGGGAUAACCGAAGGCACCUCUGGUCUAGGGCACUGGACUGUCCGGUGUACACCGGACAGUGUCCGGUGCAUCAGAGGACUCCAACUCAAACUCACCACCUUCGGGAAUUUCCAGAGGCGCUCCGCUAUAAUUCACCGGACUGUCCGGUAUACACCGGACAGUGUCCGGUGCUCCAAGGAACGGCGCCUCAGGAACUCGCCAGCUUCGGGAAACCACGACGGCUGCUCCGCUAUAAUUCACCGGACAUGUCCGGUGUACACCGGACUGUCCGGUGUAACUGCGGGGCAACGGCUAUUUCGGCGCCAACGGCUACCUGCAGCGCAUUAAAUGCGCGCCAGCGCGCGCUGAAGUCAGGCUCGCCCAUACUGACGCACCGGACACUCUACAGUACAUGUCCGGUGCGCCACCGGACAUCCAGGCGGGCCCAGAAGACAGUGCUCCAACGGUCGAAUCCCAACGGCUUUGGUGACGUGGCUGGCGCACCGGACAUGUCCGGUGUACACCGGACUGUCCGGUGCACCAUACGACAGCCAGCCCCACCAAACGGCUAGUUUGGUGGUUGGGGCUAUAAAUACCCCCAACCACCCACCAUUCAUUGCAUCCAAGUUUUCCACUUCUCAACCACUUACAAGAGCUAGGCAUUCAAUUCUAGACACACCAAAGAGAUCAAAUCCUCUCCAAUUCCACACAAGGCUUUAGUGAUUAGCGAGAGAGAUUUGUCGUGUUCUUUUGAGCUCUUGCGCUUGGAUCGCUUCUUUUCUUUCUCACUUGUUCUUGUGAUCAAAACUCUAUUGUAAUCAAGGCAAGAGGCACCAAUUGUGUGGUGGCCCUUGCGGGGAAGUUUUGUUCCCAGUUUUGAUUUGAGAAGAGAAGCUCACUCGGUCGGAGGGACCGUUUGAGAGAGGGAAAGGGUUGAAAGAGACCCGGUCUUUGUGACCACCUCAACGGGGAGUAGGUUUGCGAGAACAGAACCUCGGUAAAGCAAAUCCUUGUGUCACACUCCUUAGUUGCUUGAGAAUUGUUUUGCACCCUCUCUCGCGGACUCGUUUUUAUUUCUAACGCUAACUCGGCUUGUAGUUGUGUUUAUAUUUGUAAAUUUCAGUUUCGCCCUAUUCACCCCCCUCUAGGCGACUAUCAAUUGGUAUCAGAGUCUGGUGCUUCAUUAGAGCCUAACCGCUCGAAGUGAUAUCGGGAGAUCACGCCAAGAAGGAGAUGGAGACCGGCGAAAAGCCCACUACAAGCCACGGGAGCACUUCAUCGGAAGAGUCCCGCAUCAAGAGGAAGGAGAAGAAGAAGAACUCCUCCAAAGGGAAGGAGAAAAGAUCUUCUUCACAUCACAAAGAGAAGAAGGAGAAAUCCUCUUCCCACAAUCCGCAUCGGAGUGGGGACAAGAAAAAGAGGAUGAGGAAGGUGGUCUACUACGAGACCGAUUCUUCAUCGACAUACACCUCCGGCUCCGAUGCGGCGUCCGUCACUUCUAAGCGCCAAGAGCGUAAGAAGUAUAGUAAGAUUCCCCUACGCUAACCUCGCAUUUCUAAACAUACACCUUUACUUUCCGUCCCAUUAGGCAAACCACCAAUUUUUGAUGGUGAAGAUUACGCUAGGUGGAGUGAUUUAAUGUGAUUUCAUCUAACCUCGCUCCACAAAAGCAUAUGGGAUGUUGUUGAGUUUGGUGCACAGGUACCAUCCGUAGGGGAUGAAAACUAUGAUGAGGAUGAAGUAGCCCAAAUCGAGCACUUCAACUCCCAAGCCACAACCAUACUCCUCGCCUCUCUAAGUAGAGAGGAAUAUAACAAGGUGCAAGGGUUCAAGAAUGCAAAGGAUAUUUGGGAUCUACUCAAGACCGCGCACGAGGGUGAUGAACUCACUAAGAUCACCAAGCGGGAAAUGAUCGAGGGGGAGCUCGGUCGCUUCCGUCUUCUCCAAGGGGAGGAGCCACAAGACAUGUACAACCGGCUCAAAACCUUGGUGAACCAAGUGCGCAACCUCAGGAGCAAGAAAUGGGAUGACCACGAGGUGGUUAAGGUUAUUCUUAGAUCACUCAUCUUCCUUAACCCCACUCAAGUUCAAUUAAUUCGUGGUAAUCCUAGAUACACACUAAUGACUCCCGAGGAAGUUAUCGGAAAUUUUGUGAGCUUUGAAUGUAUGAUCAAGGGCUCAAAGAAGAUCAACGAGCUUGAUGAUCCCUCCACAUCCGAGGCACAACCGGUGGCAUUCAAGGCGACGGAGGAGAAGAAGGAGGAGUCUACACCAAAUAGACAACCAAUCGACGCUUCAAAGCUCGACAACGAGGAGAUGACAUUAAUCAUCAAAAGCUUUCGCCAAAUCCUCAAGCAACGGAAGGGGAAGGAUUACAAAUCCCGUUCCAAGAAGGUUUGCUACAAGUGUGGUAAGCCCGGUCACUUUAUUGCUAAAUGUCCAUUAUCAAGUGAUAGUGACAGGGAUAACGACAAGAAGGGCAAGAGGAGAGAAAAGAAGAGGUACCACAAGAAGAGGGGCGGCGAUGCCCACGUGUGCCGCGAGUGGGACUCCGACGAGAGCUCCACCGACUCCUCCGACGACGAGGACGCCGCCAACAUCGCCGUCACCAAGGGACUCCUCUUCCCCAACGUCGGCCACAAGUGCCUCAUGGCAAAGGACGGCAAAAGGAAGAAGGUUAAAUCCAAAUCAUCCACUAAAUAUGAGUCUUCUAGUGAUGAUAAUGCUAGUGAUGAGGAGGAUAACUUGCGUACCCUUUUUGCCAACCUUAACAUGGAACAAAAGGAAAAAUUAAAUGAAUUAAUUAGUGCUAUUCAUGAAAAGGAUGACCUUUUGGAUUCCCAAGAGGACUUCCUAAUUAAGGAAAACAAGAAACAUGUUAAGGUUAAAAAUGCUUAUGCUCUAGAGGUAGAAAAAUGUGAAAAAUUAACUAGUGAGCUAAGCACAUGCCAUGACACUAUUGCCAACCUUAGAAAUGAAAAUGCUAAUUUAUUAGCUAAGGUUGAUUCUCAUGUUUGUAAUGUUUCAAUUUCCAAUCCUAGAGAUGAUAAUGAUGAUUUACUUGCUAGGAUUGAAGAAUUGAACAUCUCACUUGCUAGCCUUAGAAAUGAAAAUAAAAAUUGCUUGCUAAGGCUAAAGAUUUUGAUGUUUGCAAUGCUACUAUUUCCGACCUUAGAACUAAGAAUGAUAUGUUACAUGCUAAGGUUGUAGAAUUAAAAUCUUGCAAGCCCUCUACAUCUAUCGUUGAGCAUGUAUCUAUUUGUACUAGGUGUAGAGAUGUUGAUAGUAAUGCUAUUCAUGAUCACAUGUCUUUAAUUAAACAGCAAAAUUGUCGGGGACCAUAAUUAGGGGUACCCUCAAGACGCCUAAUUCUCAGCUGGUAACCCCCAUCAGCAUAAAGCUGCAAAGGCCUGAUGGGUACGAUUAAGUCAGGGAUCAGUCCACACGAGUGACUCGAUCACGCUUCACCCGAGCCUAGCCUCGGCCAAGGGCAGCCAACCUCGAGAGACUUCCGUCUCGCCCGAGGCCCCCCUUUUUACGGCGGACACAUCACCGGCUCGCCCAAGGCCUUGGCUUCGCUCAGAAGCAACCUUGACUAAAUCGCCACACCGACUGACCAAAUUGCAGGAGCAUUUAACGCAAAGGUGGCCUGACGCCUUUAUCCUGACACGCGCCCCCGGCAGAGCCGAAGUGACCGCCGUCACUCCACCGCUCCACUGACCAGUCUGACAGAAGGACAGCGCCGCCUGCGCCACUCCGACUGCGGUGCCACUCGACAGAGUGAGUCUGACAGGCAGUCAGGCCUUGCCAAAAGCGCCACGGCGAACUCCGCUCCGCCCGACCCCAGGGCUCGGACUCGGGCUAAGACCCGGAAGACGGCGAACUCCGCUCCGCCUGACCCCAGGGCUCGGACUCGGGCUAAGACCCGGAAGACGGCGAACUCCGCUCCGCCCGACCCCAGGGCUCGGACUCGGGCUAAGACCCGGAAGACGACGAACUCCGCUCCGCCCGACCCCAGGGCUCGGACUCGGGCUAAGACCCGGAAGACGGCGAACUCCGCUCCGCCCGACCCCAGGGCUCGGACUCGGGCUAAGACCCGGAAGACGGCGAACUCCGCUCCGCCCGACCCCAGGGCUCGGACUCGGGCUAAGACCCGGAAGACGGCGAACUCCGCUCCGCCCGACCCCAGGGCUCGGACUCGGGCUAAGACCCGGAAGACGACGAAACUCCGCCUCGCCCGACCCCAGGGCUCGGACUCGGGCUAAGACCCGGAAGACGACGAAACUCCGCCUCGCCCGACCCCAGGGCUCGGACUCCGCCCUGGCCUCGGCCGAACGACUUCCGCCUCGCCCGACCCCAUGGCUCGGGCUCGGCCUCGGCAACAGAGGACAGACUCAACCUCGGCUUCGGAGGAGCCCCCACGUCACCCUGCCUAGGGCACAGACCCGCCACGUCAACAGGAAGCGCCAUCAUCAUCCUACCCCGAAUCGACUCGGGUCAUGGAGAACAAGACCGGCGUCCCAUCCGGCCUGCUCCGCCGGAUGGGCAAUAAUGGCGCUCCACAAACUCUAUGACGACGGCGGCCCCCCAGCUCUCUUACGGAAGCAGGACGACGUCAGCAGGGACUCGACCGCUCCAACAGCUGUCCCUCCGCCAGGCUCCGUCGCACCUCCGACCGCCACGACAUCACGCCAGCAAGGUGCCAAGACCUCUCCGGCUGCCACAUUGGCAUGUACCAAGGGCGCUAGUUCUCCUUCCGCUAGACACGUAGCACUCUGCUACACCCCCCAUUGUACACCUGGAUCCUCUCCUUACGACUAUAAAAGGGAGGACCAGGGCCUUCUUAGAAAAGGUUGGCCACGCGGGACCGAGGACGGGACAGGCGCUCUCUUGGGGCCGCUCGCUUCCCUCACCCACGUGGACGCUUGUAACCCCCCUACUGCAAGCGCACCUGACCUGGGCGCGGGACGAACACGAAGGCCGCGGGACUUCCACCUCUCUCACGUUCGACUCCGGCCACCUCGCCUCUCCCCCCUUCGUGCUCGCCCACGCGCUCGACCCAUCUGGGCUGGGGCACGCAGCACACUCACUCGUCGGCUUAGGGACCCCCCUGUCUCGAAACGCCGACAGUUGGCGCGCCAGGUAGGGGCCUGCUGCGUGCUGACGAACAGCUCCCCGUCAAGCUCCAGAUGGGCAGUCUCCAGCAACCUCUCCGGCCCGGGACGGUGCUUCGUUUCGGGACUCUUGAGUUCAUGUCCUUCGACGGCAGCUACGACAUGAUACUCCUUCCACCGCCGCGCGACGACGACAAUGGCGGCCGACAACCCGCCCGCCGGCGGCGGAAUCGACGACAUCUUCCCCGCGUGGUGGAAGAGCAACAUUCGGGCUCGCUCCGUUCUCUCCCCCGCCAACGGAGGAGGAGGCGGGGCCAUCAAGGCCAGGCGGGAGGCCGCGCUUCGUUGGCCGUCGAGCGAAUCGACGCCCCCGACGCCCCGACGGAGGGCACGCCGGACGUCGACCUCGCGUUCAAGACGAAGGCAAGCGCCGUCCCCCCGCGACGCGCUGACCCCGAACAAGAAGACGACGCCAGCGCGCUCGCGGAAAGCCUGCAGGACGUCGCCCUCGUACCUGAGAUGACGGUGCAACCAGUCCCCGAUGUGACUACGUCGCUCCUCGUCGACCAAAAGGUACCAACUAACUCCCAUCUUGCGUCAUUUCGACUCGGCCUCAACCCGCCAAACGACCUCGUUUUGGCGGGCACUCUCAUUGAGGCGAGUGCAACCCCACUGGGGUUUCGUAUGCGGUCGCCUUGGGACCGGCUGACGGACGUCUCGACCUACGGGCCCUCUGGGUCCGAGGAAGAUGACGAUCCCAGCAUCUGUUGGGAUUUUUCCGGACUUGGCAACCCCAGUGCCGUGCGGGACUUCAUGACCGCAUGUGACUACUGCCUCUCCGACUGUUCCGACGGAAGCCACAGCCUUGGCGACGAGAGUUGCGGCCCAAGCCGCGAAUGUUUCCACAUCGAGCUAGGGGAUCCCUCCGAAGGCAACCAUCUUGGCAUGCCGGAGGACGGUGAUCUCCCUAGGCCGGCGCCUCGCGCCGACAUCCCACGGGAGCUAGCUGUGGUCCCCGCUCCGGCGGGGGGUUACGACCCACAACUCGAGCAAGUCCGCGAGGCGCAGGCCAGGCUCAACGAGGGAACAGGAGCGCUUGAGCCGAUCCGUCGGGACGUCGGACAGGCAUGGGUGGGCCAACCCCUGGCCGGAGAAAUACGUCACCUGCCCCAAGGUCUCCAGCACCGCGUCGCCAACGAUGCCAGGGUCAGGCCGCCACCCGCAUCCAGCGGGGUUGGUCAGAACCUGGCAGCCGCAGCGACGCUCAUCCGCGCGAUGCCGGAGCCAUCAACCACCGAGGGUCGGCGAAUCCAGGGAGAGCUCAAGAAUCUCCUGGAAGGCGCUGCGGCCCGACGGGCCGAGAGCACUGCCUCCCGAAGGCAAGGAUAUCCCUCGGAACCUCACGCCGCGACUUCCCGAUUCAUGCGGGAAGCCUCGGUCUACACCGGGCGCACGCGCAACACCGCGCCUGCGGCCCUGGGCCACCUCGGCAACGAGCACCAUCGACGCGACCGUCGGGCUCACCUCGACGAAAGGGUGCGCCGAGGCUACCACCCCAGGCGUGGGGGCGCUACGACAGCGGGGAGGAUCGGAGUCCCUCGCCCGAACCACCCGGUUCGCAGGCCUUCAGUCGGGCCAUCCGACGGGCGCCAUUCCCGACCCGGUUCCGACCCCCGACUACUAUCACGAAGUACUCGGGGGAAACGAGACCGGAACUGUGGCUCGCGGACUACCGCCUUGCCUGCCAACUAGGUGGGACGGACGACGACAACCUCAUCAUCCGUAACCUCCCCCUGUUCCUCUCCGACACUGCUCGCGCCUGGUUGGAGCACCUGCCUCCGGGGCAGAUCUCCAACUGGGACGACUUGGUCCAAGCCUUCGCUGGCAAUUUCCAGGGCACAUACGUGCGCCCCGGGAAUUCCUGGGACCUUCGAAGCUGCCGGCAACAGCCGGGGGAGUCGCUCCGGGACUACAUCCGGCGAUUCUCGAAGCAGCGCACCGAGCUGCCCAACAUCACCGACUCGGAUGUCAUCGGCGCGUUCCUCGCCGGCACCACUUGCCGCGACCUGGUGAGCAAGCUGGGUCGCAAGACCCCCACCAGGGCGAGCGAGCUGAUGGACAUCGCCGCCAAGUUCGCCUCUGGCCAGGAGGCGGUUGAAGCUAUCUUCCGAAAGGACAAGCAGCCCCAGGGCCGCCCAUCGGAAGAGGCUCCCGAGGCGUCUGCUCCGCGCGGCGCCAAGAAGAAGGGCAAGAAGAAGUCGCAAUUGAAACGCGACGCCGUUGACGCGGACCUUGUCGCCACCGCCGAGUACAAGAACCCUCGGAAGCCCCCCGGAGGUGCAAACCUCUUCGACAAGAUGCUCAAGGAGGUGCCAGACGUGAAGCGCCAUGCCGGCAACUUCGAGCCAGCGGAGACGGUUAAGGCCGUCCCUCUCGACCCCAGUGGCGACACCACCAAGCAGGUCCGGAUCGGUUCCGGGCUCGACCCCAAAUAGGAAGCAGUGCUCGUCGACUUUCUCCGCGCAAACGCCGACGUCUUUGCGCGGAGUCCCUCGGACAUGCCCGGCAUACCGAGGGAUGUCGCCAAACACUCGCUGGAUAUUCGGGCCGGGGCCCGAUCCGUCAGGCCGCCUCUGCGCCUCGGUCAUCAAGGAAGGGUCAGCCUCGCCUUGGCAGAGCCCGACCCUCCCUCGGGGGCUAAAAGGGGGAACCCCUCUGCGUCAAGAUCUUUUUAAAUCAAAAAAGGGGCCUCUUGCGUGCUCCCGGCUAUGUCAGAAGCAGGGUCUCGAGGAGCGAACGCGGGUACAUGAAAAUGGCAAGGCCGACUGAGCCGAGGAACUCCCGUGCCUCCGGGUUAGGGAUACCUCACUCAUCACCUGCCACGAAGAAUGGCCCAACUCGAGAAGCCACCCUAUUAUUGAUGAGCCAGGACGAACAUGUAGAUGGAAAGAAAGGAGAGUACGACUCCAUGCAAGAAAGACAAAAGUGUUCAGGCCUCAGCGGCCGCGGUGAGACGCACAUUCAACAAGAAACUGUUCAAACGAGAAUCAGGCGCCGCCUUGGGAAGGAGCCGCGCCUUCAGCUCCAUCCCCGCCAUCGGUGGGGUCCAUCUCGGCCCCCGGUGACAUCGCAGGGGGAAGGACCUCCGCCUCAAAGGUGGUCGCCAGCACCGCGCUCGGACCCGCGGCGACCGCGUCAAGCCGCUGCACCUCCGCUAGAGCAGCAUCGUCUUCGUCAGGAAGACAGUACCCCUCACUAACCCGCUCCAGGUCCACAACGUAGUGGGAAGCGAGCACGGCGAAGGCCCGCCUGACGCCAUGGUGUAGCGCUUCGCGGACUCUGCCGCGGGCGUGACCACCCAAGGCUCGAAGGCGGCUCUGAGGGGAGCUUCCUGAAGGGACGUCGCCGGAGCCGAGGACACGAUAAAAGUCCGAGACGGCCUCGGACAUGGCCGCGAGGUCCGCCUCCCUCUGCUCGGCGGCUCCGGCAAGCGCCUCAGCAAGCGCCUUGGCGGACUCGUCAAGGGCGGACUCAAGCUCUGCAAGCAACCAGGAGAAAUACCUCAAGCACAAGCAAAGGAAACGGACAAGAAAAAGAACUAGGGAGGACCAAGACAUACUCCCGGCUCGGGCACGGUGCUCCGAGGCCGCGACCUGGGCCGCGGCUAAGUCAGCCGCAAGGGUCUCGGCUCGGCUUUCGGCCUCGGCAGCCUGGCCCUGAAGUCGGUUCCGUUCCUCGACGACCUGGACGAGCUCCGAUCGCUGCUGUUGCGCCUCCGCACGCGCUGCUGCCGCCUCGGCUCUCAGGUCGGCGCAGAGCAGCUGGAGGUCCGCCACCUUGGCAUCCUGCUGAGAAAGGCGCGUGGUAGCCCCGGCGAGCGAAGACCUCAGGGAUCGCAGCGAACCCCAGACAUCAACCUCGCGGCGGAUGAACGACGACUUGGCGGCGCUCCGGUCCGUCAGAUCCUGGGGAAAGGAAACAGGGCGUCACAACGAGUAUCUCGCUCACAGAAGGAAAAAAGGUAUGCCCGAAACCGCUACCUGGAGGAUUUUGGGGACGUCUCUGCAGAAAACCUCCAGUGACGACCGGAGCGACCCCACCGUUGCCUCUGCGCGCUCGCGGAGCUCACCCCAGGACUGGUCCUCCUGCUCAUCAUCGAGAACGAAGACGGGGUCCGAGGCCUCGCGGGUCCGGAAUCGGAGCAACGGGUGCCGGGCCUCGGGGCUCCGCCGCACAGCGAUGAGGCUGUCACCCGGCUGGACGGAUUGCGCGACCGCGCCCACCUCUUCUGAGGUCUUGGGUGCCGACGCAUCAGCCAUCCCGGCGCUGGCGGCAACUGGGCACCCUUCGACAGGGACGGCGGCAACCUCGGCGGUGGCAGGCGCCGGCAUGACCGGCACGACAGGCGAACUCAGAGCCGCGUGGGCGUCAGCCGCCUACUCAACCACGAUCGCCGCCUCGGCUGGAGAGCCGGCCUCGGGAGCCCGCUCCUCCGAGAUUGGCGACGCUCGAGCCCCCGAUGGUGGAGUACCCCGCGAAAGGGUCGGCUGAAUGGCGCUGGCCACACAGUUCGGCGCCGUCUUGAGGGCCUUCCGGGGUGCCAGGUCGGUCUGGCCAUGACUUCGCUUGCUGGAUAAAAAAGAAAAGGGAUCACAACCGAGACAUACAAAUGGGAAGCCAAGACGAAGACGUUCCGAGGUACUCACCCACUCCGGGCCAUGAUCCACCGCGCCUGGGGGGAGCCUUCUUGGAUCCCGGCUCUCGAAACAGCCGCCGAGGUCCGCUUCGCCGGCGCUUGGGGCGCCUGGGAGGCAGAUUCCCCGGGCACAGCCGCGACGACCUGAGGGUCACCCCCAUGCGCCACCAACACGAGCGGCGGCCCCUGGGGAACAGACGCCUUGGCCUGGACCUCCGGAACUGCUUCAGCUCCUCCGGCUGAGGGGUCAGAUGACCUCUCGGUUCGCCCCGUGCCUCGGGUCGGGAGCCCGACGCCCCGACUUCGGGGGCUGACGGAGUCGGCUCGCUCGGGGGCUGGCUCGACGGCUCCUGGCCACACCCCAGGCCGAGGCUGAGGCCGAGACGGGCGGCCAUGUCAUCAUCAUUAUCAUCAUCAUCGUCGUCAUCGUCGUCGGGCGUCUCCGGCGACGGCUCCCUCGGGAGUCCGUCCCUCUCCUGCUGGCGACGGCGCUUCUCCAAGGCGUCCCGAGCCCGCCUUCGCUCGCGGGCCCGGGCCUUCUCCGCGUCCUUCUUUUUCUUCUUCUCCUCCGCGGCGACCCGCCGCGCUGCACGGUCCACCGCGUCCUCCGGGACCCGUGGCAGGGAGGGUUUGUGCCACCCCACAUCCUAAAAGGAGGGGAGAAAGGAACCCGAUCAUGAGGACCCGGAGCGACCAGAUAUACGAAGAAGGGAGGAGCGAACACUCACCAAAGUCACGCACCCCUGGUCGGGGCGCAUCCGAAGCUGGGAGUAUGCGUGGGGGUCCGGCUUCCCCAUCGCGGCCGACACCCGCCAUUGGAGGGCGUUGAAGGGGAGAGAAUCAGGGGACAUUCGUGAGCCCUCCCAGUCAGCUUCCGGGGUCAUCUCCCAGAGCGGCAGCCGCCGCUCCGCCAAUGGAAGCACCCUCCGACGGUGGAUAGUGGCGAUCACUCCCGCAGCGGUAAGUCCCCCCUCCCGCAACUCCUUCAGGGCCUGGAGAAGGGGCUCGAGAUUCUUCUGCCUCUCGUGCGGGGUCCCGUGGCGCCAGGCGUCGGUGGCAGCCGUAACUACUCGCUGGGAAAACGGUGGGAGCAACUCACCGUCAUUCCGGAGGUAGAACCACCGGCGCUGCCACCCCUUGUUCGAAGACGCAAGAAUGGCAGGAAUGUACUGCAACGCCCGCGACUGCCUCAACAAGAGAAUGCAGCCGCCGGCCCGCACCGCUGCACGGAUCCUCCUCUCCCCCGUCGACAAGGCGAAAGGCUCGGCGAGAAAGAGGUGAGUCCACAAAUCCCAAUGAGGAGCGAUCCCCAAGUACCCUUCGCAUAACACUACGAAAAUAGCGGCCUGCGAGAUGGAGUUGGGGGAGAGGUUGUGCAACUCCACCCCGUAGUGGAAUAGGAUGGCCCGCAUAAAGCGGCCCGUCGGCACACCAAAUCCCCGCUCAUGGAAGGAGACGAAGCUCACGACAUACCCCGGCGGUGGGGACGGAGCGGCUCCGCCCACGGGAGGAAUCCACUCUGGUCGCUGCUUGUCGGUGAGGGGGCGGAGCAAACCUUCGCCGACCAGCUCCUCCAGAUCACUCGCCGUCACCGUGGAGAAGGGCCACGGAUCGCGCGGGGGGAUUAUGGUCACUCGAUCCGCCAUCACCAAGAUGGAGAAGAUGGCGGCGCGGGGGGCAGGGAGGGCGGUUUCUCUCUCCUCCGACUAAAGUUUCCCGGGUUGCGAAAACCUAAAGGGAAAAGAAGGGAGCAGAGCGAAGAACCGUCACCGGACCCCCUCUCAAGUAUAUGAAGGCCAGGGCGAAACCGUUUCCAGCACGCCGCCUGGACCGGACGCGGGAUUCGAAAAGCGCGAAGUGGUACAGCCGUUCCUCAAACAGCUCGCGCACGCGUAACGGCCACCCCGCCAACCACACGCCCCGUCGCAUUUACUCCGCGGCGGGACAGGCGGCGUCUCUGACGGGAGGAGCGCGCGACGCUUCACCUUCGCCGUAAUAACCGCGUCAGAAAAGGUACGCCACGUCAUUCGAUUUAGUAUCCUUUUCCUUUUUCCUCUUUCUCUAUCUCUUGCAACAGGGACCGGGAAAGGGGGAUACCCCGAAAAGGACCCUUCUCCGCGAAGGAACCGGGCUCCGAGCCCCCCCUACUGAUCAGGGGUUCGAAGACUGGCCCUCCGAAGGGUUCAACAGUCGCCUCAGAUCGCGUGGGCCCGACACCCACUACUGGUCAGGGGUUCGAAGGCCAGCCCCCCAAAGGGUUCCAUGGCCGCCUCAGGCUACUCGGGCUCCGCGCCCAUUACUGAUCAGGGGUUCGAAGGCUGGCCCCCUAAGGGUUCACAAUCGCCUCAGACACCGAGCGAGGGAUGACCAGGGGUACGUUCGAUACAUAACCAAGGCUCGGGCUGCGCUCCCGAGGUACCCUAGGACAUUUCCGAGACCAGCGGGAACGAUCUUGUAACGGAAUCCCAUCGGAGGGAGGCAUCGAGCCCUCGGACCCCGUCGCCAGGGGACCGGGUCCGGCAAAUCACCCGCAGGUACUUUUGGGCGUGCCUCCGGGCCCCUAGCCGACCCCCAACGAACGGGGCACGGACGUCCACUCGGAUUACCCGCUUGCAGCUCACCGGAGACACCAUGUUCGGUGCCCAUCGAGGGUAACAUGGCGCACUCCCCCCUCCUCCUUGCGGAAAGGCGACGUAGGGGCGUAUGUAAAAAGUCGAGUCUGUCCCUGAUCGUCCUCUCGCCCUGUGCAGAGGCUCGGGGGCUGCUCUCGCAAAAAUCGGCUCCGGCCAAACCGUUGACAGCGUCAACAUACCAGCCCGAGAGCUUGGGCCCCGACCGUGCACCCGGGCUACGGCCAGUUCGCAUGAGGGAACGACCAGACCAGCCGAAGCGUUACGUGAGGUAUUAAGACCUCGGAGAAGUGUAACCACUCCUCCGAGGCCUCGGGGGCUACACCCGGCGGGUGCGCUCGCGCGCACCCACCGGAACAAAAUGCAACCGAGAAAGGCUGGUCCCCUUGCAAAAAAGUGCGACGAAAGCCUCCAAGCGAGUGCUAACACUCCCUUCGAGGCUCGGGGGCUACUGUUGGGGACCAUAAUUAGGGGUACCCUCAAGACGCCUAAUUCUCAGCUGGUAACCCCCAUCAGCAUAAAGCUGCAAAGGCCUGAUGGGUACGAUUAAGUCAGGGAUCAGUCCACACGAGUGACUCGAUCACGCUUCACCCGAGCCUAGCCUCGGCCAAGGGCAGCCGACCUCGAGAGACUUCCGUCUCGCCCGAGGCCCCCAUUUUUACGGCGGACACAUCACCGGCUCGCCCAAGGCCUUGGCUUCGCUCAGAAGCAACCUUGACUAAAUCGCCACACCGACUGACCAAAUUGCAGGAGCAUUUAACGCAAAGGUGGCCUGACGCCUUUAUCCUGACACGCGCCCCCGGCAGAGCCGAAGUGACCGCCGUCACUCCACCGCUCCACUGACCAGUCUGACAGAAGGACAGCGCCGCCUGCGCCACUCCGACUGCGGUGCCACUCGACAGAGUGAGUCUGACAGGCAGUCAGGCCUUGCCAAAAGCGCCACGGCGAACUCCGCUCCGCCCGACCCCAGGGCUCGGACUCGGGCUAAGACCCGGAAGACGGCGAACUCCGCUCCGCCCGACCCCAGGGCUCGGACUCGGGCUAAGACCCGGAAGACGGCGAACUCCGCUCCGCCCGACCCCAGGGCUCGGACUCGGGCUAAGACCCGGAAGACGGCGAACUCCGCUCCGCCCGACCCCAGGGCUCGGACUCGGGCUAAGACCCGGAAGACGGCGAACUCCGCUCCGCCCGACCCCAGGGCUCGGACUCGGGCUAAGACCCGGAAGACGGCGAACUCCGCUCCGCCCGACCCUAGGGCUCGGACUCGGGCUAAGACCCGGAAGACGACGAAACUCCGCCUCGCCCGACCCCAGGGCUCGGACUCGGGCUAAGACCCGGAAGACGACGAAACUCCGCCUCGCCCGACCCCAGGGCUCGGACUCCGCCCUGGCCUCGGCCGAACGACUUCCGCCUCGCCCGACCCCAUGGCUCGGGCUCGGCCUCGGCAACAGAGGACAGACUCAACCUCGGCUUCGGAGGAGCCCCCACGUCACCCUGCCUAGGGCACAGACCCGCCACGUCAACAGGAAGCGCCAUCAUCAUCCUACCCCGAAUCGACUCGGGUCACGGAGAACAAGACCGGCGUCCCAUCCGGCCUGCUCCGCCGGAUGGGCAAUAAUGGCGCUCCACAAACUCUAUGACGAUGGCGGCCCCCCAGCUCUCUUACGGAAGCAGGACGACGUCAGCAGGGACUCGACCGCUCCAACAGCUGUCCCUCCGCCAGGCUCCGUCGCACCUCCGACCGCCACGACAUCACGCCAACAAGGUGCCAAGACCUCUCCGGCUGCCACAUUGGCAUGUACCAAGGGCGCUAGUUCUCCUUCCGCUAGACACGUAGCACUCUGCUACACCCCCCAUUGUACACCUGGAUCCUCUCCUUACGACUAUAAAAGGGAGGACCAGGGCCUUCUUAGAAAAGGUUGGCCGCGCGGGACCGAGGACGGGACAGGCGCUCUCUUGGGGCCGCUCGCUUCCCUCACCCGCGUGGACGCUUGUAACCCCCCUACUGCAAGCGCACCUGACCUGGGCGCGGGACGAACACGAAGGCCGCGGGACUUCCACCUCUCUCACGUUCGACUCCGGCCACCUCGCCUCUCCCCCCUUCGCGCUCGCCCACGCGCUCGACCCAUCUGGGCUGGGGCACGCAGCACACUCACUCGUCGGCUUAGGGACCCCCCUGUCUCGAAACGCCGACAAAAAUGAUCAUAUAGCAAAAUUAGAUGCUAAAAUUGCCGAGCAUAACUUAGAGAAUGAAAAUUUUAAAUUUGCUCAUAGUAUGCUUUAUAAUGGGAGACGCCCUGGCAUCAAGGAUGGCAUUGGCUUCCAAAGGGGAGACAAUGUCAAACUUAAUGCCCCUCCUAAAAGAUUGUCUAAUUUUGUCAAGGGCAAGGCUCCCAUGCCUCAAGAUAACGAGGGUUACAUUUUGUACCCUGCCGGUUAUCCCGAGAGCAAAAUUAGGAGGAUUCACUCUAGGAAGUCUCACUCUGGCCCUAAUCAUGCUUUUAUGUAUAAGGGUGAGACAUCUAGCUCUAGGCAAUCAACCCGUGUUAAGUUGCCUAAGAAGAAAACUCCUAGUGCAUCAAAUGAACAUAGUCUUUCAUUUAAAACUUUUGAUGCUUCUUAUGUUUUGACUAACAAAUUCGGCAAGGUAGUUGCCAAGUUUGUUGGGGGCAAACACAAGGGAUCAAAAACUUGUGUUUGGGUACCCAAAGUUCUUGUUUCUAAUGCCAAAGGACCCAAAACCGUUUGGGUACCUAAAGUCAAGAACUAAAAUUGUUUUGUAGGUUUAUGCAUCCGGGGGCUCAAGUUGGAUACUCGACAGCGGGUGCACAAACCAUAUGACAGGGGAGAAGAAGAUGUUCUCCUCCCACGAGAAAAACAAGGAUCCCCAACGAGCUAUCACAUUCAGGGAUGGAAAUCAAGGUUUGGUCAAAGGCUUGGGUAAAAUAGCUAUAUCCCCUGACCAUUCCAUUUCCAAUGUUUUUCUUGUUGAUUCAUUAGAUUACAAUUUGCUUUCCGUAUCUCAAUUAUGCAAAAUGGGCUACAACUGUCUCUUUACUGAUAUAGGUGUCACUGUCUUUAGAAGAAGUGAUGAUUCAAUAGCAUUUAAGGGUGUGCUAGAGGGUCAGCUAUACUUGGUAGAUUUUGAUAGAGCUGAACUCGAGACGUGCUUAAUUGCUAAGACUAACAUGGGUUGGCUCUGGCACCGCCGACUAGCCCAUUUUGGGAUGAAGAAUCUUCAUAAGCUUCUAAAGGGAGAACACAUUUUAGGACUAACAAAUGUUCAUUUUGAGAAAGAUAGGGUUUGUAGCGCAUGCCAAGCAGGAAAGCAAGUUGGUGCCCAUCAUCCACACAAGAACAUCAUGACGACCGACAGGCCGCUUGAGCUACUCCACAUGGAUCUAUUCGGCCUGAUUGCUUACAUAAGCAUCGGCGGGAGUAAGUAUUGUCUUGUAAUAGUGGAUGACUAUUCUCGCUUCACUUGGGUGUUCUUUUUGCAGGAAAAAUCUCAAACUCAAGAAACCUUAAAGGGAUUCUUGAGACGAGCUCAAAACGAGUUCGGCUUAAGGAUCAAGAAAAUUAGAAGCGACAACGGGACGGAGUUCAAGAACUCUCAAAUCGAAGGCUUCCUUGAGGAGGAGGGAAUCAAGCAUGAGUUCUCUUCUCCCUACAUGCCACAACAAAAUAGUGUAGUGGAGAGGAAGAAUCGAACUCUAUUGGACAUGGCAAGGACCAUGCUUGAUGAGUACAAGACUUCGGAUCGGUUUUGGGCCGAGGCGGUCAACACCGCCUGCUACGCCAUCAACCGGUUAUAUCUACACCGAAUCCUCAAGAAGACAUCCUAUGAACUCCUAACCGAUAAAAAGCUCAACAUUUCAUAUUUUAGAGUCUUUGGUAGCAAAUGCUUUAUUCUUGUUAAAAGAGGUAGAAAAUCUAAAUUUGCUCCUAAGACUGUAGAAGGCUUUUUACUAGGAUAUGAUUCAAACACAAGGGCAUAUAGAGUCUUUAACAAGUCCUCUGGACAAGUUGAAGUUUCUUGUGACGUUGUGUUUGAUGAGACUAACGGCUCUCAAGUAGAGCAAGUAGAUCUUGAUGAGAUAGGUAAUGAAGAGGCUCCAUGCAUCGCGCUAAGGAACAUGUCCAUUGGGGAUGUGUGUCCUAAGGAAUCCAAAGAGCCUCCAAAUGCACAAGAUCAACCGUCCUCCUCCACGCAAGCAUCUCCACCAACUCAAAAUGAGGAUGAAGCUCAAGUUGAUGAAGUAGAAGAUCAAACAAAAGAGCCACCUCAAGAUGAUGGCAAUGAUCAAGGGGGAGAUACAAAUGAUCAAGACAAGGAGGAUGAAGAGCAAAGACCGCCACACCCAAGAGUCCACCAAGCAAUCCAACGAGAUCACCCCGUCGACACCAUACUCGGCGACAUUCAUAAGGGGGUAACUACUAGAUCUCGUGUUGCACAUUUUUGUGAGCAUUACUCUUUUGUUUCCUCUAUUGAGCCACACAGGGUAGAGGAAGCACUCCAAGAUUCGGAUUGGGUGGUGGCGAUGCAAGAGGAGCUCAACAACUUCACUAGAAAUGAGGUAUGGCAUUUAGUUCCACGUCCUAAUCAAAAUGUUGUAGGAACCAAAUGGGUCUUCCGCAACAAGCAAGAUGAGCAUGGUGUGGUGACAAGGAACAAGGCUCGACUUGUGGCCAAGGGAUACUCCCAAGUCGAAGGUUUGGAUUUCGGUGAAACCUAUGCACCCGUAGCUAGGCUUGAGUCAAUUCGCAUAUUAUUGGCCUAUGCUACCUACCAUGGCUUCAAGCUUUACCAAAUGGACGUGAAAAGUGCCUUUCUCAAUGGACCCAUCAAGGAAGAGGUCUAUGUUGAGCAACCUCCCGGCUUUGAAGAUAGUGAGUACCCUAACCAUGUUUAUAAACUCUCUAAGGCGCUUUAUGGGCUCAAGCAAGCCCCAAGAGCAUGGUAUGAAUGCCUUAGGGAUUUUCUUAUCACUAAUGGAUUCAAAGUCGGAAAGGUCGAUCCUACUUUAUUUACUAAAACUCUUGAAAAUGACUUGUUCGUAUGCCAAAUUUAUGUUGAUGAUAUUAUAUUUGGGUCUACUAACAAGUCUACAUGUGAAGAAUUUAGUAGGAUCAUGACACAAAAGUUCGAGAUGUCUAUGAUGGGGGAGUUGAAGUACUUCUUGGGAUUUCAAGUAAAGCAACUCCAAGAGGGCACCUUCAUUAGCCAAACGAAGUAUACUCAAGACAUUCUAAACAAGUUUGGGAUGAAGGAUGCCAAGCCCAUCAAGACACCCAUGGGAACUAAUGGGCAUCUCGACCUCGACACGGGAGGUAAGUCCGUGGAUCAAAAGGUAUACCGGUCGAUGAUAGGUUCUUUACUCUAUUUAUGUGCAUCUCGACCGGAUAUUAUGCUUUUCAUAUGCAUGUGUGCAAGAUUCCAAGCCGACCCUAAGGAAGCUCACCUUACGGCCGUAAAACGAAUCUUGAGAUAUUUGGCUUACACUCCUAAGUUUGGGCUUUGGUAUCCUAGGGGAUCCACUUUUGAUUUGAUUGGUUAUUCGGAUGCCGAUUGGGCAGGGUGUAAAAUCAAUAGGAAGAGCACAUCGGGGACUUGCCAGUUCUUGGGAAGAUCCUUGGUGUCUUGGGCUUCAAAGAAGCAAAAUUCGGUCGCUCUUUCCACCGCCGAAGCCGAGUACAUUGCCGCAAGCCAUUGUUGCGCGCAAUUGCUUUGGAUGAGGCAAACCCUGCGGGUCUAUGGUUACAAAUUAACCAAAGUCCCUUUGAUAUGUGAUAAUGAGAGUGCAAUCAAGAUGGUGGACAAUCCCGUCGAGCAUAGCCGCACUAAACACAUAGCCAUUCGGUAUCAUUUUCUUAGGGAUCACCAACAAAAGGGAGAUAUCGAGAUUUCUUACAUUAACACUAAAGAUCAAUUAGCCGAUAUCUUUACCAAGCCUCUUGAUGAACAAACUCUUAACAAACUUAGGCAUGAGCUCAAUAUUCUUGAUUCGCGCAAUUUCGUUUGCUAAAAUUGCACACAUAGCUCAUUUGUAUAUCUUUGAUCAUGUCUCUUUCAUAUGCUAUGACUAAUGUGUUUUUCAAGUCUAUUUCAAACCAAGUCAUAGGUGUAUUGAAAGGGAAUUGGAGUCUUCGGCGAAGACAAAGGCUUCCACUCCGUAACUCAUCCUUAGUCGUCGCUCCGCGCAUCUCUCCAUCUUUUUGGGAGAGUUCAAAAGGACUUCGUCUUUGGUACAAUCUUCACUCAUUUAUUCAUGAACAAAGGGGAAGAAAGUACUUCCAGGGCUCUAAUGACUCCGUUUUUGGCGAUUCAUGCCAAAGGGGGAGAAAAUAUUUGCCCAAAGCAAAAGGACCGCACCAUCACCUAAUUUUAAAAAUUAGAGAUUUCUUAAUUGGUAAAAUUGGUAUCCUAUUGUGUUCAAAAGGGGGAGAAAGUAGUAUUUCAAAAAUGAUAUAUCAAAACCCUCUUGAACACUAAGAGGAGGAUCUCAUUUAGGGGGAGUUUUGUUUAGUCAAAGGAAAAGCAUUUAAAACAGGGGGAGAAAAUUUCAAAUCUUGAAAAUGCUUCGUAAAAUCUUAUUCAUUCACCUUUGACUAUUUGCAAAAGAACUUUGAAAAGGACUUACAAAAGAAUUUGCAAAAACAAAAUCUGUGGUGCAAGCGUGGUCCAAAAUGUUAAAAAUGAAGAAACAAUCCAUGCAUAUCUUGUAAGUAUUUAUAUUGGCUCAAUUCCAAGCAACCUUUGCACUUACAUUAUGCAAACUAGUUCAAUCAUGUACUUCCAUAUUUGCUUUGGUUUGUGUUGGCAUCAACCACCAAAAAGGGGGAGAUUGAAAGGGAAUUAGGCUUACACCUAUUUUCCUAAUUGAUUUUGGUGGUUGAAUUGCCCAACACAAAUAAUUGGACUAACUAGUUUGCUCUAGUGUAUAAAUUAUACAGGUGUAAAAGGUUCACUCUUAGCCAAUAAAAAGAUCAAAUAAUGGGGUUCAACAAAGAGAGCAAGGGAUAACCGAAGGCACCUCUGGUCUAGGGCACCGGACUGUCCGGUGUACACCGGACAGUGUCCGGUGCACCAGAGGACUCCAACUCAAACUCGCCACCUUCGGGAAUUUCCAGAGGCGCUCUGCUAUAAUUCACCGGACUGUCCGGUGUACACCGGACAGUGUCCGGUGCUCCAAGGAACGGCGCCUCAGGAACUCGCCAGCUUCGGGAAACCGCGACGGCUGCUCCGCUAUAAUUCAUCGGACAUGUCCGGUGUACACCAGACUGUCCGGUGUAACUGCGGGGCAACGGCUAUUUCGGCGCCAACGGCUACCUGCAGCGCAUUAAAUGCGCGCCAGCGCGCGCUGAAGUCAGGCUCGCCCAUACUGGCGCACCGGACACUCUACAGUACAUGUCUGGUGCGCCACUGGACAUCCAGGCGGGCCCAGAAGACAGUGCUCCAAUGGUCGAAUCCCAACGGCUUUGGUGACGUGGCUGGCGCACCGGACAUGUCCGAUGUACACCGGACUGUCCGGUGCACCAUACGACAGCCAGCCCCACCAAACGGCUAGUUUGGUGGUUGGGGCUAUAAAUACCCCCAACCACCCACCAUUCAUUGCAUCCAAGUUUUCCACUUCUCAACCACUUACAAGAGCUAGGCAUUCAAUUCUAGACACACCAAAGAGAUCAAAUCCUCUCCAAUUCCACACAAGGCUUUAGUGAUUAGCGAGAGAGAUUUGUCGUGUUCUUUUGAGCUCUUGCGCUUGGAUUGCUUCUUUUCUUUCUCACUUGUUCUUGUGAUCAAAACUCCAUUGUAAUCAAGGCAAGAGGCACCAAUUGUGUGGUGGCCCUUGCGGGGAAGUUUUGUUCCCAGUUUUGAUUUGAGAAGAGAAGCUCAGUCGGUCGGAGGGACCGUUUGAGAGAGGGAAAGGGUUGAAAGAGACCCGGUCUUUGUGACCACCUCAACGGGGAGUAAGUUUGCGAGAACCGAAUCUCGGUAAAACAAAUCCUUGUGUCACACUCCUUAGUUGCUUGAGAUUUGUUUUGCACCCUCUCUCGUGGACUCGUUUUUAUUUCUAACGCUAACCCGACUUGUAGUUGUGUUUAUAUUUGUAAAUUUCAGUUUCGCCCUAUUCACCCCCCUCUAGGCGACUAUCACGCCUAGGGGUCCCUUUUAUAGCCCCAAGGCAGCUAGGAGCCGUUGAAGGCCAACUUGGAAGGCCAAACUUGCCUUCUAUCGGGUGGUGCACUGGACAGUCCGGUGCACCACCGGACAGUCACUGUAGUUGUCUGGUGCGCGAUCUCCUUCCAUAUCUGGCGCAUCCGACCGUUGGUCCUCAGGGUCGGUUGUGCACACCGGACAGUCCGGUGUGCCCAACCGACCGUUGUUGCGGGCCACGCAUCGCCCGCGGAUUGCGCAGCCGACCGUUGGCGCUGGCGACCGUUGGCUCACCGGACAGUCCGGUGCACCACCGGACAGUUCGGUGAAUUAUAGUCGUACGCCUCUGCAUUUUCCCGAGAGCAGUCGGUUCACCGCCGGCCAGCCUAGCGCACCGGACACUGUCAUGUGCACCACCGAACAGUCUGGUGUGCCUGGCCAGCGUUGGUGUUGGCUGUACUCAGCCAAGUCUUUUCCUUUUCUUUUCUUCUUCUUUUGUCGUUGUUUCUAGCACUUAGACAAACACAUUAGUAUACAAAAUAAUAUACUAAGUCUAGAAACAUACCUUAUGCUUUGAUUUGCACUCUUCACACAUUUUGCACAUAAGAACUCAAUUAAUGUGUUGGGCAUCUAAUCACAAAAAUACUUAUAGAAAUGGCCCAAGGGCACAUUUCCCUUUCAAUCUCCCCCUUUUUGGUGAUUUAUGCCAACACAUCCAAAAGCAACCAAAAGAAGUGCAGCAUCAAUGCAAUUGAAGACCAAAUUGUUUUCACUAAUGAUUUGGCAUAUUUGGAUCACUCUUUGCCACCACUUGGUUUGUUUUUGCAAAUCAAAUUCUUUUUCAUAUCUCUAAGUCAAACACACUUGUUUGGGCAAAUCGAGAGAUAUUUUAAGAGAAAAUUAAUCAAGUGCCAAAAACUCUCCCUUUUUCCCAUAAUCAAAAUUCUCCCCCAUAAGAGACCAAAUUUUGCAAUAAGAGUAUUUUGGACAAAUCACAAAUUCUAACUCUACUAUUUUCAAAAUUCUCAAGUGGUUGGCUGAUCCAGUUGCUUCGGCCUUAAUUUCUUCCCCUUUGGCAUUAAGCACCAAAACGGGAUCAUUUUUGGCCCUUUAACCCCAUUGCCUCACCAAAAAUGUCAAUUAAGAGCAAAAGGGCAAUGAGAGCAUAAUUAUGAACUUGGAAUUAAAUACACUAAUACCGGAGUGCAGUGGAAGUCUUUUCAUCGUCCAAGUUCACCUUUCCCUUUCAAUGCACCUUUGAGACUACAUCAAGUAUACUCACACAAACAGGUUAGUCUCAAAGGGUCAAGUUGUAGCAUAUCUCCCCUUACAUAUGUGCACCAUUUGCAUAUGGACUUGUGAGGUCCGGGGAGGGCUUGUACAACUUGAGCACCACAAAUAGAUAACAAAUGUUGUAAAUACAUAAAGUAACAUGAUCAAAGGCAUAGCACACAUGUAUGCUAUAGAUCAAUCCAAGUUACGUGAAUCUAAGACACAAAAUGUUUUCUCCUCCAACGGCUUGGUGAAAAUAUCGACUAGCUGGUUCUCAGUGCUAAUAUGAAAAUAUCGAUAUCUCCCUUUUGCUGGUGAUCCCUCAGGAAGUGAUGCCGGAUGUCUAUGUGCUUAGUGCGGCUGUGUUCAACAGGAUUAUCCGCCAAGCGGAUUGCACUCUCAUUGUCACAUAGGAGUGGGACUUUGCUCAGAUUGUAGCCAAAGUCCCGGAGGGUUUGCCUCAUCCAAAGUAGUUGCGCGCAACAUUGUCCUGCGGCAACAUACUCGGCCUCAGCGGUGGAUAGGGCAACGGAUGUCUGUUUCUUGGAACUCCAGGACACCAGGGACCUUCCUAGAAAUUGGCACGUCCCUGAUGUACUCUUUCUAUCAACCUUGCACCCGGCAUAAUCGGAGUCUACGUAUCCAAUUAAGUCAAAGGUAGACCCCUUUGGAUACCAGAUCCCGAAGCACGGCGAAGCAACUAAAUAUCGAAGAAUUCGCUUAACAGCCACAAGGUGACAUUCCCUGGGGUCGGAUUGAUAUCUAGCACACAUGCAUACACUAAGCAUAAUGUCCGGUAUACUAGCACAUAAAUAAAGUAAUGAACCUAUCAUGGACCGGUAUGCCUUUUGAUCAACGGACUUACCUCCUUUGUUGAGGUCGACAUGCCCGUCGGUUCCCAUCGGUGUCUUCGCGGGCUUGGCGUCCUUCAUCCCAAACCUCUUGAGAAGAUCUUGAGUGUACUUCGUUUGGGAGAUGAAGGUACCGUCCUUGAGUUGCUUCACUUGGAAUCCAAGGAAGUAUGUCAACUCGCCCAUCAUCGACAUUUUGAAUUUAUGCAUCAUCACCCUGCUAAACUCCUCACAAGACUAUUGGUUAGUAGAACCAAAUAUUAUGUCAUCGACAUAAAUUUAGCACACAAAGAGAUCACCAUCACAAGUCUUGGUAAAAAGAGUGGGAUUGGCUUUCCCAACCUUGAAAGCAUUAGCAAUUAGAAAAUCUCUAAGGCAUUCAUACCAUGCUCUUGGGGCUUGCUUAAGUCCAUAGAGCUCCUUAGAGAGCUUAUACACGUGGUCGGGAUACCUGUCAUCCUCAAAUCCAGGGGGUUGUUCCACGUAUACCUCCUCCUUGAUUGGCCCAUUAAGGAGAGAGCUCUUCACGUCCAUUUGAAAUAGCCUAAAAGAGUGGUGAGCAGCAUAGGCUAACAGUAUUCGAAUUGACUCUAACCUUGCAACAGGAGCAAAAGUCUCCCCGAAAUCCAAACCUGCGACUUGGGCAUAACCUUUUGCCACAAGUCGAGCCUUGUUUCUCGUUACCACCUCGUGCUCGUCUUGCUUGUUGCGGAACACCCACUUGGUGCCCACAACGUUUUGCUUUAGACGUGGCACCAGGCUCCAGACUUCAUUUCUUUUGAAGUUGAUAAGCUCUUCCUGCAUGGCCAACACCCAGUCUGGAUCCUGCAAGGCCUCUUCUACCCUGAAAGGUUCAAUAGACGAGACAAACGAGUAAUGCUCACAAAAAUUAGCUAAACGUGAGAGAGUCGUUACUCCCUUGCUGAUAUCACCCAGAAUUUGAUCCACGGGGUGAUUUCUUUGGAUCGUCGCUCGGACUUGAGUUGGAGGGACCCGUGGUGCUUCUUCCUCCAUAACUUGUUCUUCUUGUGCUCCCCUUGAUCACACUCCUCUUCUUGAGGUACAUGUCCAUCAUCUUGAGUUGGGGGAUGCACCACCGUAGAGGAGGAUGGUUGAUCUUGCUCCUGUUGUUCCUGUGGUCGCACAUCACCUAUCGCCAUCGUGCGCAUUGUGGCCGUUGGAACUUCAUCUUCAUCUAUAUCAUCAAGAUCAACUUGCUCUCUUGGAGAGCUAUCAGUCUCAUCAAAUACAACGUCGCUAGAGACUUCAACUAAUCCUGAUGAUUUGUUGAAGACCCUAUACGCCUUUGUAUUUGAUUCAUACCCUAGUAAAAACCCUUCUACAACCUUGGGAGCAAAUUUAGAAUGUCUACCUUUCUUCACCAGAAUGUAGCAUUUGCUCCCAAAUACACGAAAGUAAGAUACAUUGGGUUUGUUACCAGUAAGGAGUUCGUAGGAGGUCUUCUUGAGAAGGCGAUGCAGAUAGAGCCGGUUUAUGGCGUGGCAAGCUGUGUUCACAGCUUCCAACCAAAACCGUUCGGGUGUCUUGAACUCUCCUAGCAUUGUUCUCGCCAGGUCGAUAAGCGUGUUGUUCUUCCUCUCUACCACACCAUUUUGAUGUGGUGUGUAGGGAGCGGAGAACUCGUGCUUGAUGCCUUCCUCCUCAAGAAACUCUUCAACUUGCAGAUUCUUGAACUCGGACCCAUUGUCGCUCCUUAUCUUCUUCACCUUUAGCUCAACUUCAUUUUGAGCCCUCCUUAGAAAGCGCUUUAGGGUCCCUUGGGUUUCAGAUUUGUCCUGCAAAAAGAAUACCCAAGUGAAGCGGGAAAAAUCAUCAACAAUUACAAGACCAUACUUGCUUCCCCCGAUGCUAAGGUAGGCAACGGGUCCAAAGAGGUCCAUGUGGAGAAGCUCCUGUGGUCUUGAUGUCGUCAUCACAUUCUUGCUGUGAUGAGUGUCUCCCACCUGUUUCCCUGCCUAACAUGCUGCACAAGGUCUGUCUUUCUCAAAGCAGACAUCAUUUAGUCCUAACACAUAAUCUCCCUUUAGAAGUUUAUGAAGGUUAUUUAUCCCAACAUGUGCUAGACGGCGAUGCCAAAGCCAGCCCAUAUUAGUCUUAGCUAUUAAGCAUGCAUCUAGAUCGGCAUUCUCUUUCGAAAUAUCUACUAAAUAGAGUUUGUCGUCUAAUACACCCUUAAAUGCUAAUGAACCAUCACUUCUUCUAAAGACAGAUACAUCUAUAUUUGUAAAUAGAUAAUUAUAACCCAUGUUACACAAUUGACUCACAAAUAACAGAUUAUACCCGAGCGAUUCAACUAAAACACAUUAGAGAUAGAAUGCUCGGAUGUAAUGGCUAUUUUUCCUAAUCCUUUGACCUUGCCUUGGUUCCCAUCUCCAAAGAUGAUCGAAUCCUGGGAAUCCUUGUUCUUGACGUAGGAGGUGAACAUUUUCUUCUCCCCCGUCAUGUGGUUUGUGCAUCCGCUGUCGAUAAUCUAGCUUGAGCCCCCGGAUGCAUAAACCUGCAAGGCAAUUUACGCUUGGGUUUUAGGUACCCAACUCUUGUUGGGUCCUACAAGGUUAGUCACAAUAAUUUUUGGAACCCAAAUACAAGUCUUGUCUCCCUUGCAUUUGGAUCCCAACUUCCUAGCAACUACUUUUUCAUUCUUACAUGAAAGAAUAAACGAAGUGUUGCAAGCAUGAAAAACAAUAGUGGGUUUAUUACACAUUUUCCUAGGCACAUGAUGCACAACAUGAUUUCUCCUAGGGCUACAUCUACCAUGCACAAAAGUAGAGCUAGAGGCAAACAUAGCAUGUGUAUCAUUGUAAACAGUAUGAACAUAACUCUUAUUAUAAUUAGAACGACUAGCAAUUUUCCUAUCAUAAAUAAAAGCAUGGUUCCUUUGAGGACUACUAGCCAUAGGGGCCUUCCCUUUCUCCUUGUUGAGAACAGGAGCCUUUUGCCUUGUUAAGUUCUUGGUUUCCUUUCAAAAACCAAGUCCAUCCUUAAUUAAGGGGUGUCUACCAAUAGUGUAGGCAUCCCUAGCAAAUUUUAAUUUUUCAAAAUCACUUUUGCAAGUCUUAAGUUGAGCAUUAAGAUUUGCCACCUCAUCAUUUAAUUUAGCAAUAGAAAUAAGAUGAUCAUCACAAGCAUUAACAUCAAAGUUCGUGCAUCUAUUGCAAAUAACAACAUGCUCUACACAUGAACUCAUUUUAUUUGCUUCCUCUAGCUUAGCAUUUAAUUCAUCAUUUAAACUCUUUAAACUAGAGACAGAUUCAUGGCAAGUAGACAACUCAGAUGAUAGCAUUUCAUUUCUCUUAAUUUCUAGAGCAAGAGAUUUUUGAACACUAACAAAUUUAUCAUGUUCUUCAUACAAAAUGUCCUCUUGCUUUUCUAAAAGUCUACCCUUUUCAUUUAGAGCAUCAAUCAAUUCAUUAAUUUUCUCUACCUUAGCUCUAUCUAAACCUUUAAACAAUUCAGAGUAAUCUACUUCAUCAUCAGAAGAUUCUUCAUCACUAAAGGAAGUGUACUUGGGGGUGUCUCGAAUAUGUACCUUCUUCUCCUUGGCCAUGAGGCAAAUGUGGUGUUCGUUGGGGAAGAGCGAAGACUUGUCGAAAGCCGAGGCAGCCAAUCCUUCAUCAUCGGAUUCAGAUGAGGAGCAGUCAGAAUCCCACUCCUUUCCAAUGUGUGCCUCGCCCUUCGCAUUCUUGUAGUUUUUCUUCUUCUCCUUCUUCCCGUACUUUUCUUGUCCCCAGUCAUUAUCGUUAUCGGGGCAUUGUGCUAUGAAAUGACCAGUCUUACCGCAUUUGAAGCAGGAGUGCUUUCCCCUUGUUUUAUUCUUGGAGGGGUACUCUUUGCGUCCUUUGAGCGCGGUCUUGAAAGCGUUUGAUGAUGAGUGCCAUCUCAUCUUCAUUUAGCCCGGCAGCCUCAACUUGUGCCACCUUGCUUGGUAGCGCCUCCCUGCUGCUUGUUGCUUUGAGUGCAGCGGGUUGUGGCUCGUAGACGGGUAGUGGACCAUUUAGAGCAUCAUCCACGUAUCGCGCCUCCUUCACCAUCAUGCGCCCACUCACAAACUUUCCAAGGAUCUCCUCGGGUGUCAUCUUUGUGUACCUGGGGUUUUCACAAAUAAGAUUGACAAGAUGGGGGUCAAUAACCGUAAAUGACCUGAGCAUGAGUCAGACAACGCAUGAUCCAUCCAUCUUGUGCUUCCAUAGCUUCGAAUCUUGUUGACCAGGGUCUUGAGCCUGUUGUAGGUUUGUGUUGGCUCUUCUCCCCUGGUCAUGGCGAAUCUCCCUAGCUCGCCUUCCACCAGUUCCAUUUUGGUGAUCAUUGUAGCAUCAUUUCCCUCAUGUGAGAUCUUGAGGGUGUCCCAGAUUUACUUGGCGUUGUCCAAGCCGCUAACCUUGUUAUAUUCAUCCCUGCACAGAGAUGCUAGCAAAACAGUAGUGGCUUGGGCAUUUUUAUAGAUUUGUUCAUUGAUAAUCACAGGGUUAUCAGUGCUAUCAAAAUGCAUCCCAUUUUCUACAAUUUCCCAUAUGCUAGGAUGGAGAGAGAAUAAAUGACUACACAUUUUAUGACUCCAAAACGAAUAGUCCUAUCCAUCAAAGUGUGGAGGUUUUCCAAGGGGAAUUGAAAGUAGAUGCGCAUUUGAAUUAUAGGGAAUGCGAGAGUAAUCAAAAGAAUAAUUUUGAUUAACCGUCUUUUUCUUUGACGAGGAGUCAUCGUCGUCAUCGUCUCUUGGUGAAGAAGAGGAGGCAUCGCUAUCGUAGUAGAUGAUCUUCUUGAUGCGCCUCUUCUUAUUCCCAUCCCUCUUCUUGUGACUCGAACCUGAGUCAGUGGGCUUAUCGUCCCUUGGUUCGUUGAAGAGAGACUCCUCCUUGUCGUUGACCACCAUCCCCUUUCCCUUAGGAUCCAUCUCUUCGGGCGAUUAGUCCCUUAGAUGAAGAGUACGACUCUGAUACCAAUUGAGAGCACCUAGAGGGGGGUGAAUAGGUGAUCCUGUAAAAUCAAACACUAAUAGCCACAAAACUUAGUUUAAAGUGUUAGUACGGCUAAGUAGCUUUGAAGCGAGUUCUUGUGAACACAACAAUCACAGAGAAAGCAACACAAGAGACACGCGAUUUUUAUCCCGUGGUUCGGCCAAGUAACACUUGCCAACUUCCACGUUGUGGCAUCCCAAUGGACGAGGGUUGCACUCAACACCUUUCAAGUGAUCCGAUGAUCAACUUGAAUACCACGGUCUUUUCCUUUAGAGUAUGUUUCCUGUUUGCGAGGAAUCUCCACAAUUUGGAGUCUCUUGCCCUUACAAUUGAGAUCAUAAAGAAAGCACAGAGUAAGGUUGGGGAGAGCAACACACACAAGACUCAAAAUCCGCAGCACAACAACGCACGCAAGUGAGAACGUGAGCACACAAACAUAGCGCGAGGAGUUUACAACUCGAAUAGUGCUCAAAUCUCAAGAACGAUGAUCCGAUUGGGUGAAAGCGGAGUCUAGAUGUCUUAGGAUGUUUAUUGUAAGCUUGGUGUACUCCUCCAUGCGCCUAGGGGUCCCUUUUAUAGCCCCAAGGCAGCUAGGAGCCGUUGGAGGCCAACUUGGAAGGUCAAACAUGCCUUCUGUCGGGUAGUGCACCGGACAGUCCAGUGCACCACCGAACAGUCACUGUAGUUGUCCUGUGCGCGAUCUCCUUCCAUAUCUGGCGACCGUUAGUCCUCGGGGUCGGUUGGCGCACCCGACACUGUCCGGUGUGCCCAACCGACCGUUGCUGUGGGCCACGCAUCGCACGCGGAUUGCGCAGCCGACCGUUGGCGCUGGCGACUGUUGGCUCACCGAACAGUCCGGUGCACCACUGGACACUCCGGUGAAUUAUAGUCGUACGCCUCUGCGUUUUCCCGAGAGCAGCCGGUUCACCGCCGGCCAGCCUGGCGCACCGGACACUGUCCGGUGUGCCUGGCCAGCGUUGGUGUUGGCUGUACUCAGCCAACUCUUUUCCUUUUCUUUUCUUCUUCUUUUGUCGCUGUUUCUAGCACUUAGACAAACACAUUAGUAUACAAAAUAUUAUACUAAGUCUAGAAACAUACCUUAUGCUUUGAUUUGCACUCUUCACACAUUUUGCACAUAAGAACGCAAUUAAUGUGUUGGGUAUUUCCUUUCCUUAUUAUUAAAGCAGUAAGGAAAACUGCUCCCAGAAUCGUCCACGUCAGCGAAAUUGUUUUGGUUGUUGGAUCGUUGAUCAUUGGUGUCAUUUUCUCCUGUGCGCCAUGUGUGUGUAGAUUCUUCUAGCAGGCUGUGUCUUCUUCUUCCUUCACAUCUCGCUCUCGCGCUCUCUCCUCCUCCCCCAAAACUCCACCUUCCCCCGCUCGCCCGCAUGCUCUGGCAACAGUCGCUUUCGGACUUUGGUUUCCCUCCACCGGCGCUCCAAAGGUAAGUACACUUCCUCCCCCGCCCCCUCCACCCCACCCUCUCCACCACAUUCUGAUUCCCAUUGCUAGGGUUCGUCGUGUUGGGGUUGGAGUAGACACGGCAGCGGCUCUUCCCCCUCCCCCCUCGUACGUUUUUUCUUGCUAGGGUUUGACUAGGAAUCCUCAUGCUGCCAUUUAGGGUUUAGGGUUCAUCGUCCGAUUUCUUCCUUCACAUCUCAUGCUCUCUCCUCUUCCCCCAAAACUCCACCUUCCCCCGCUCGCCCGUGUGCUAUACUUCUAGAGUCCUCUCUCUUUCUGGCGAAAAGGGGAGCAGUUUGAUUCCCCUCUGACGAUGCGACGACAGUAGGUCCAUGGCUUCCCACCUCGCUGCAUCGUCCGACCAGCCGAGCUGCUAAUUUCUUCGCGCCUCUCGAUUCUUCUCGCAUGUGUCACCUCUCUCGUUGUCCCUUCUUGCCUACAUAUGGAUGUGCUUCAGUAUAUCUUAUUUCAGUUUUUUAUUCAUUGAAUUAUGUGCUUCAGUACUCGAUAUGGAUGUUUUCAAUGGAAAAAGUGGCUCCUGUUCUUCGGAUUUUUUUACUCCUUCCUCGUAGCCAAUAUUUCUAGCAAUCGUAAUAUCAUUCAAACUGCACCUAGAGGAAUGUAAUUGAUUGCAUUGUGCCUUCUGAGGAGCUUAGAAGGCUUACGAAAUGUCAAACUGCUUUAGCACUAACGAGGAGAGACAGACCUUUGUUGUUUCUGUUUCAGAAAAAGAAGCAGCGACAGCAAUCUGAACUCUGAAGAGUUGUUGUUGCUUAUGUGCUAACCGAACAAGGAAAAAAGAGGCAUGGAUUAAUGAACCACCUAGGGAAAGAGUGACAACAGGGGAUCCAUUCAAUCCACGUCUGGAUUAAUUCCACCUGGGGAUUAAAUCCAUGCCUACCGAACAUGGCCCGAAGAGGAUGAAAAGGCAGGGAAGGUGGUCCAUGAAGCAUCAAUCAACUUAUUAGUGACAUGGCAUUGGCUUAAUGUGUGGAGUGCAUCCAUUUAAUUGCUUUCAUGAAUUGUUGUGAUCUUUCAGAUCUGUCAAACUCAUAGCUUUACAGGUGCUACAGAUGGUAAAAAAGAUUCUACAGGAAAAAAUCUAGAAAAUAACAGCAUGGUUAAAUGUAUUUAGAAACAAAUGGAGAAAAUCUUUCGAAACAUGAAACUUGAAAAGCAGGAAAAAUUUUCAGUAUGAUGCUAUAUCCCAAGUAACCGGAAGUUAAAACUGUUGAUGUAACACUUUGAACAAAAGGAGCAUUUUCAAAAUGCGGACUUCUUAUCUGAUUAUUUGCACAAUACAAAGGCUAACCUGUAUCGGUCACACCCUCAGCAGUUGUCCACGGAUUUAACUGCCACAUUUCAGGUUACUGCUUUCCAUUCCUUGUCCAUAGGAUGGCAGUGUGGAAGUGGAGGAAACAAAUGGAGCAAACAGUGUGUCCUGCACUGGAGAGCUCAGAGCCAUUCAGCCAUCAUAGAGAAGUCCCUUCAUCAAGUUAAUAAAUCUCUGUGAAAAUUAUGUAAUUAUGUUACACCCUUCGCUUUCUGAGAAUCAUCACAAUCACCCAUGUCAUUGCCAAUGCCCAAAAUGCAACACAGCUUUCCAUCUGGAACAAUUUCUGCAUGACGCAUACUCUCGUACAUCAUACAAGCUUCCUUCUCAUCCCCCAUUUUAAGGUAUCCAAUAAUGUUAAUAAGGAAGAAAUUGGAAAUAGGUGACUUACACUAUGUAGGCUUACGUAUCGAGGUUUCCAAUAUCGAUAGUGUUCCAAAAUCAUCUCUUCUAUCAUUCUUCUUUAGUCAUCGUGUUCUGCUCCGCAAAUCGCUGUCCGUGUUGCUGCGCUUUUAUUUUCGCUUCGUCACGUUGUUCGUCCAUGAGCUAAACCGCAUUGGAGACGUAGAUGAAAUGUUGUCGUGCAUGUUGUAUCUUCUUCGUGCUGACUUAGCGCUGCUUUGUCAGCUUUCAUAAUAAGAAAUUUUCUUUUUUGUAAUAUUUCUGACUGCUUCAAAUUUUGUAUUAUAUUUUUUAAAAAUCUGUGAAUCACUAAUAUACCUGCCUUUUUUAUUUAGCCUACAACGACGGAAAGGAAGUUGGCACCUUCAAGGGUCCUCAAACAUUGCUGCACUGGACGUUGUGUCGUGUAUCAUUGGUAAGAGUACUUUUGAAAUUCUAGAUGCUAUUAGUUUUCUGUAAGUCGUUUUAUGCUUACUAAAGUAUGAUCUAAAUCUAGUUGUUUGAUUCCUCUUUGGGAUCCUUUUUUCCUUCAGCAACGUGCUUUCAUGUUCCUUAAAAAUGAUUUUCUGGUUUUGAAGACUAUGUAUAGUUUCAUACAAAUAAAUACCUAUUAUGCUUGAGAUAGCUUCAGCUAAGAGUUCCUCCAUAACUGUGCAUUCAAACAUUAAGAGAACAUUUUGCAUGAAACAUACUUAUCAUCAGUUCUGAAUGAAACCCUUUUAUCUGCUAACUAUAAGUUCUCUAUACGCUAACUAUAAGUUUUACAACGCUAACUUUUGAUUCUUAUAUCAGUCAUGUAAAUUAUCUCUUCUAGUCACCAUCCAUUAUGAUAUGGAAUCUACAACACAAGGAUGCAUAAAUAUGACAUCUUCUGGUUUUAGGACCUUAGAUCCUUAAACAAAAAAAUCAAGAAAAUGACUAUGUAUAAUUUAAAGUAAUUUUUUGAUAGGUCAUGUUCAUCACCAAAACUGCAUGUGCCUGUCAUAUCUGACAAAACAAAUACAUAUCUAAGAAUACAAGAGUUAAUCUACAUAGUUGUACAAGAAGAAUGAAUGACUUUGCGACUCCAUUUUUUCGUUUAAAUUAUGAAACAUUGCAUGUGUUCAUGUACAAUUGUGAUUCCAUUUUUUCGUUAGAAUUAUUAAACACUGCAUGUAUUCCUUAUUUUGCUGGUACAACAGUGUAUAUUUAUAUACCGAAAGAUCACUAUAUACUUGAUCUAGGUAUAUAUACUUACGUAUUAUUAGAAAAAAAACGCAGGUUCAAAACGUGAAACGUUCCAAGUUGCUACAUUAUUAAUAUAUAAAAAUUAAUAUCGCUGAUCUAAAAUGGAACAUGUUAUUCCAAACAUCAUAAAGAAGAGAAGUAAGCGCCUUCGUACCCUGUCUACAUACAUCUCCUGAGUCUAAACGGAAAAAAGUAUCAUCCAUGGACAACUACUGCUAUUGCGCUAUUGGUAGACAACACGCGCGCAGGCGCGCGCGUAACGCACUAGUCUAAUCACCAAAAUACUUAUAGAAAUGGCCCAAGGGCACAUUUCCCUUUCAGUGUUGCAAACUUCCUUUGCAAAAAAAAUCCUUGUCCCCUUCUUCCCCCGCCAGAAGCAUGGGAACGACAGCUUCGAGUGUCGUUGCAUCCUCGUCAGUAGCCUCCUCCUUCAUCGUCGGUCGUCGCCUCUGGCCUCGCCACUCCACUGUCGACAAAUGCCUCGGGCCACCUCGGCGAGGUCCUAUGGUUCACCGCUAGUUGCCAUGGUCACCGCAUCCAGCCACCUACGUCCUCAUGGGCCUCUGCCUCCGCCAUCGACCAUGUUACGCGCUCCUCCACCGCCCAAUCGCCUUCGUCCUAGCUUCUGCCCAGUCGACUGGAACUAUCACGAACCAUACGUAGCCAGGGUUAGUACCACCUCGCUUGUGGGAGAGAGUCAUGGUCGGCUUAUAAGAGUGAGCUUCCCUCCUCUCUCUCAGCAUGGGUUUUGAGAUGUGAGUGCGGGGCUCGCUGCUGAAGACCGGCCCACGAGCGCAUGAACGACCGAACGCAUGUCGAGUGUGGGUUUUUCGGUGGACUGGCCUAGGUACGCUGACAAAUGGUAUCAGAUCCUAAGCCCGUCUGUUUAGGGGGAUAGGAUGUCACGAACCAUGUGUAGUCUGGGUUAGUACCACCUCGCUUGCGGGAGGGGAUGUAGCCGGCUUAUAAGGGUGAGCUUCCCUCCUCUCCCCGCCCGAGUUUUGAGAUGUGAGUGCAGGGCUCGCUGCUAAAGACUGGCCCACGAGCGCAUGAACAACCAAACGCAUGUCAAGUGUGGGUUUUUCGGUGGACUGGCUCGGAACGCUGAUAAGAACUCACCGUAGUGAAAGGACCAGGACACGCUGGGUCCUGCAUGCAACAAACAUCUGAACCCCAUGUAAUUAGCCGGCACACGCCUUAACCACUUGAAAAAAUUCUUUGCAUCCUAGAUGUAAACGUGGUCCUUUGCAGCCCCUCACAUCCACCACCUCGAGGCAUAUAUAAAUUGAAAAAAAACAAAUUACCAAAAGAUUAAGUUGCAAAUUUGAUCUGUUUUGGUGGGUCUCCAGGUGGUGGAUGUGAAAUACUGCAAAAGAGUGUGUUUGCAUCCGAAAUGUAGAGAAUAUAUUUCCUAACCACUCCACCAAAACACUAUUUGGUAUAUUUUUUACUCGUUUUACAUAAACAUGGUACUAUAUGAUAUAAAUGAAAAGAGGCUUGAACAAUGCAAGGGCCCUCUUUAUUUUUCUUUACAAUAGCCGAAAAGAGAAGAUAUUUUAUUUGUUGUUGUUUUGGCGGACCAGUGAAACAUGUUUUUGGAUCUUGGCUACUAGAGGUAUCAUCAAAAAUAAAAAAAAUAUGAUUUUUACAAGUGUCGUAGCAUUAUAUUGGGCUAUCUGGACUAGUGGGAAUGAUUUAGUUUUUAUAAACCCCUAUGGUUACUUAUUUGCAGGUGAUGUUUUGAAUGAUGUAUUGGCUUAGACUUUGGGCUCAACUUCAAAAGGAUGAAGAGGUUAUAAUAAAGGUGGCAUGUAAGCGAUUGGAGAUGACGUCUAUCCAAAUUUUCGCUCACUUUGGCUGGAGAUUACGAAUCGGAUCAUGUCUGUUUAGAUGUCGUCAAAGUCUGUUUUAUUUCUCUUAGUUGUUUUGUUUUCUGUUGAAUUCAGUUCGGUGAUUUUUUUAUGUGGUGGUCAAGGACCGAGCCAGAAAAAAGUUUAGGAAGGACUAAACUAAACUGUUGCAGUAUAGAAGCCCUUCGUUAUAUUGUAUAUAUUUUAGAUUAGAGGAGCCUCUAGUGAGGCUCUAUAGGACCGGAAGCAGUAGGGGGCUCGAGACCCGUCCGCCCCAUCGCUGAAUUUGUCCCUGGUGGCCGAAUUUUUUGUAUUUUAGCCCUUAAACAGAAGUAAAAUCACGUUUAGACCUAAAAAAAUUUUAAAUGCAGUUUUGGACCCUUUGCUCGGCGCCAUAGCCUAUGGCGCCGAGCUAACACAGCUCGGCGCCAUAGGCUAUGGCGCCGAGGUCGUGUUGCGUUGGCACAACCCAGACGCGUGGCGUCGACGUGGAACCGAGCUCGGCGCCACAGAUCUUGGCGCCGAGCUCGGUUGUGUUAUUAAAAUAUUUGUUGCAGACAUGAGCACAAAGCCCAUCUAGCCCACUUGGUAGAGCACAAGGCUUCUAACCAUGUGGUCGUGGGUUCAAGCCCCAUAGUUUGCAUUUUUUUGUUUUUUUUGUUUAUGUCAUUGGUGUGUCCGCUUAAAUUUAUUUCUCGCCUAGAUUUUUUUUAUCUUUGUUUUGUCACUGAAGUCAGUUCAGCUUAUAUAAUUUACCUAUACUUACACUGAAGUUUUGCUAAAAAUUUCUAGCCAUCUGUCCCUUCCAAGGUGUAAGGGAUCAAGAGCAAAAGCCCAAUACAGUACAGCCGAAUGUCGCCUCGCAACACCGUCGACAUGCAUGCAUGGUCACUCUUUCAGCUGUACACACGUAGCUGGCACGACGUGUGCAGUGCGCGUAGGUAUAUACGCCCAGAUGUAGCACAGGACAUACAUGUCUUAUUGGCAUGCAUGCAUCAUCUAGGAUGGCAGGGAUCGAUCGGACCAUUUUGUAAAUUAAGAAAACGUUAACUUGGUUGAAACCUAGAUUAAUUUGUAUAUUCGUGCCGAGAAUAUAUAUGGUUUAUCGUCUCAGCUAGAGCUAGGAAUAAUGGCAUGCAGACGACAUAGGUUAUGGCGCCAAGGUACGUGAUACGCCGAGAUUAAAAAAAAUCUAGGCGAGAAAUAAAUUUAAGCGGACACACCAACGACAUAAACAAAAAAAAACAAAAAAAUGCAAACUAUGGGGCUUGAACCCAUGACCACAUGGUUAGAAGCCUUGUGCUCUACCAAGUGGGCUAGAUGGGCUUUGUGCUCAUGUCUGCAACAAAUAUUUUAAUAACACAACCGAGCUCGGCGCCAAGAUCUGUGGCGCCGAGCUCGGUUCCACGUCGACGCCACGCGUCUGGGUUGUGCCAACGCAACACGACCUCGGCGCCAUAGCCUAUGGCGCCGAGCUGUGUUAGCUCGGCGCCAUAGGCUAUGGCGCCGAGCAAAGGAUCCAAAACUGCAUUUAAAAUUUUUUUAGGUCUAAACGUGAUUUUACUUCUGUUUAAGGGCUAAAAUACAAAAAAUUCGGCCCUGAUGGUGGUGUAAACUGUUUGUCAUAUCCUACAUGUGAGUGAAAAGGCCGGAAUGAUGUUUUUCCAUUAUCUAAAAAUAGAAGAAUAGGGUAAGAGGAGUGCGGCUCGAUGAAACUAAUGCUUAAAUGCCUAGUUUAGUUGUAAAUUUAGCAAAGAUAGAAUGUCUUAUGAAAUUUACUCAAACAACACAGGACUUUCGAAUCUAAAAUACAUGCAUCCUUAAUUACAACAAAGCCAUAGCAUCCUAGGACAAAACGCUGCUUUUGGCAUGCUUGAGGUCGUAAAUGCUCUCUCUCUCUCUCCUCUAGAAGCCCCUAGUAGAGUAUGUUUUUUUCAAAUUGGCAUGCGUACACCCAGCUCCCUCUUCCAUUUUUGCCCUUUUCAUUUACAAAUUCGGACCACAGCAAUACUUCUGUACACGCGGCACAACCAUACCCAUACGUCAUCUGUGAUGAACGGUCAGGAUCUGACGACCUGGCUCCUCCACAUGCAUGCAUGUCCUUCCGUUCCACUCCACCGAUGCAGCGCCAGCGACGUCGACGUGCGUGAAGCGUGAUCACGAUCACGACGCGCCGGCGCCAAUCUCCUCCACCAUCGAUGCCGCCUCCGCCACGCUGAGCCGGCGCUCCGGCUCGGGGUUGGCGCAGCGCACGCCUACCCGGAGCAGACUCACGGCGGCAUCCCGGCCGGCCGCGGCGAUGGCGGGGUCCACGAGGUCCCGCUCGCCGCCCUCCGCCACUGCCGUCGCCGCCCAGUUCACGACGUCGGUGCCGCCGCGCGCGUUGAGGAGGUACUGCGACGGGAACCGCCCCGUGACUAGCUCCAGGAGCACGACGCCGAGGCAGUAGACGUCGGAGCGCGCCGACACGACCCCGCGCGUGGUGCCCUCGGGCGACCGGAACGCGAACAUGGCCUGCGGCGCCUGCGCCGCGUUCACCAGCGGGAAAAAACCGUAGUCCACCAGCCGCGGCUCCAUGUCCGCGUCCAGCAGGAUGUUGCCGGACUUGAGGUUCCCGUGCGGCGGCGGCGGCGGCGGCGCGUCGAAGUCGGCGCCGUCCAUGCUCACCAGCCGCCCCGCCGGGAUCCCGAGCCUCUCGUGGAGGAACGCCAGGCCGCGCACCACGCCCACGGCGACCCUCAGCCGACCCUGCCAGUCCAGGAUCAGCCUGUUCGGACUCUGGUCGCCUGCCAGUUAUUAAUUAGAUCGAGGUGAUUAGUCACGUCACGUGAUUAGGUUAGCUGUGCUAGUUAACCAAUCAGAUGGAGAUGGUUGCCAUACCAUGCAGGAUGUAGAGGAGGCUGCCGCGUGGCAUGUACUCGGAGACGAUGAGCUUCUCCUCCUUGCGGUAGUGGUAGCCGACGGGCGGGAGCACGUUGGGGUGGUGGAGCCCGCCGAGCAUCUGCACGUGCUGCUCAAACUCCUCGCGCCCGACGCGGUUCAUGUCGCGCAAGCGCUUGACGGCCACGGUGACGCCGUUGCGCAUGGCGGCCUUGUACGCCGACCCCAGGGUGCCGUUGCCCAGCACCUCGGCGGAGGCCUUCAUCAGGUCCGGCAGGCCGAACGCGGGGAUGUGGUCGUUCAGGAGGACGAACUCGCCCAUCCGCCGCCCGCCGUGGCUGGACGACCCGCCGGCCACGUCCACGGCCACCAUCUCCCCGGCGCGCGGCGCCGCGGACUUGCUGGCGCUGGCGCCGGCGCCGACGGCCGUGCCGGCGUAGUAGUCCCACGCCGGCGCGGCGCUGUUCCUCUCGUCCUGCCGCAGCAUGAGCACCAUGGCACCGCUGACCAGCAGGAUGACGAGCAGGAUGAUGCCGACGACCACGAACACGCUGGUCUCCUCCUCCGUGGCCGCGUAGUCCGCCUCCGUGGGCGACGGCAUGGCCGGCGGGAGCGCCGGGCCGGCGGCCACGCACACCGCGGCGUCGCUGCCCUGCGAGCCGCACAGCCCGGGGUUCCCGGCGAACGAGGACGCGUCGUAGCGCACGGCGACGCUGGGCGGGAUGGAGCCGCUGAGGCGGUUGUGGGACACGUUGAAGCGCUUGAGCGAGUCCGGCAGCUUGGACGGGACGGGCCCGUCGAUCUGGUUGUGGUCGAGGUGGAGCUCGAUGAGGCGCGGCGCGCUGGCGAUCGCGUCGGCCGGCAGCGGGCCCGUGAUGCGGUUGUUGUCCAGGUAGAGCUUCUUGAGCCACCGCAUGUUGGCGAACACGGCGGCGGGGAUCGGCCCGGAGAAGUUGUUGGAGGACAGGUACAGCGCGCGGAGGCCGCGCAGGGUGCCGAGGCUCGGCGGCAGCGGGCCGGAGAGGGCAUUGUGCUUGAGGUUGACGGAGUGCAGCCGCGGGAGCUUGGCGACGGCGCCGAAGUCGAACGUGCCGGACAGGUUCAUGUGCGUGAGCCGGAUGCCGACGAGGCUGCCCUUGUAGCACUGCACCCCGGGCCAGGGGCUCGCGGCGUCGCACGGCGCGAACGGCGACGCCGCCGACCACGCCUCCAGCCUACCGGUCGGGUCCGCGAACGACUUCUUGAGAUUUAAGAGCGCCGCCAUCGCCUCCGCCCCUUCCUGCGGCAUAUUGCCAUCGUCGGCAGCGGCUGCAAUGAGGGGGAGGAGGACAAGGAAGAAGAAAAAAAGAGGUGGGAGCCGGAAGGCGAGGAGGGUGACCAUGACCGGGUGUGGUGGUGGUCAGAGCCUGUCCUCUAGCUUUCUCCCAGCUCUCUCUUCUCGGACGGAUCCUGCCUUUCGUGGCGCUGCUUCGCCCUGGUUUCUGUCUAACGCCUCCUCCAGUGGUUGCGCUGGCGCCCAAAAAUAGGUAGGGUGCCCCUGCCCCCGCAGCUGAGACGGCAAGCGACCAACGGGAGAAGACGAUGCGAUGCAAUGCAAAGCAGCAGAGGUACGGUGCUCCAGCUUCUUUCAGAACAGGUGUGGAGGAAUGUAAUGGGAGACCAAGGCUGGAUUACAAUUACAACAGAGGAUGUCCUACAGCUAAACCUCUCUUUCUCCCUCCCUGGCCUGGCAGGUAAAAUGGUCCCUGGCUAAAUAUAGCCAGGGUGCAAAAUAAGCAAGGAUUAAAUUGGUAAAAGCUGAAACAGCUUCAUGUUCGUUGUUGCAUUGCACGAAUAUAACAUGCUAGAAAUCAAAUGCGGAAAAUGAGGCAUAGGAUAUGUUUACCUUCGUUUAGAAAUUAUACAUACAUAUGCUUUUCUUCAUAACCACAAGCCCACAACCAGUAAGCCUUUUAAGAAAACAAAAUCAUCCUCCGAAGAACCUUACGUAACUUGAUAUGUAAUACUUCUCUCUAAUAAAUGAAUUGAGUACCGAAGAAUUUCUUGCUGUACAUCUAAACCAAAGAAAAAUUGUCUAUAUGCCAAAUUUUGUCUAAUACUUUAUUUCCAAUCGCAAAUGUCCUAAUCUCUCGUAAUGACACUCGGAUGGAUGCAAUUUCUUACCUUUCCAUGCCACCGGCGACGGCAUAAAAAAAUAUAAGAAAACUGCAUGUCCUGGUCCCUUCUAUACCACUAGCAAUGGUAUGGAAGGAUAAGAAAUUGCAUUAGGAUAUUUGCGAUGACAAAUAAGUUAUAGGGUACAUUACAAUUACAGUGGAGUACAGGAAUUCCCCCUAAGACAAAACACUACAAACACUGCCAGCAACCUGUGGACAGCAAAAGAGUAAACCACUUCGUACACUAUCACCAAUCCUCCUAACUAGCAAAAACAAAUUCAGCAUCCAAAGUUACAUUUGUCAUAUGUACACACAUCACCAUCCAUCGGCACUCAGCCUGGGCUACCUCGGUUCCUGGACAAUCUACUGUACAUGCUCCUGCCUUGAAAGCUUGAACAGCUCCGCAAUGAGCUCCAGGUUAAGCAUCUUCGUCUCUGGUAUUCGAUAGUAGACGAGAAAAAGCGGAGCGCAGCACACAAGUGCAUAGAUCCCACACGCUCCGCCAAGCCCGAUGGUGCUCAACAUCACCGGGAAGCAGUACGCUGAAAGCAGGCCCCCAAACCAGAAGGAAAGCGAACAGAAACUUGCACAUGUCGCACGGGCCUUGGUUGGGAAUAUCUCGGAGCAGAGAAUGUUUGGUAUCGGUCCCAAACCAAUGACAUAGGACCAGAAGCAAAUGGUUAAUGCGAAGUGGAAGAGGACGGCACUUUCGAACGGUCCCAUAUUCACCAGGGUGGACAUAGACAUAACACUCAAUGAUAGUAUCAGGACAGGAGUAGUGGCCAGCACAAUAACCCUGCAAAAAAUGUUGAGAUGUAUUAAUAAGUAGUUUCUCUUAGAAACCGGAACAUGAUUAACUAAAAAACUCGACCUACAGGCUACAGGGGUAAGAUAGCCCCCAAGUGUUGUAUUAAGAAGAAGACAUUCUCUCUCGCACAGGUCGAGAAAACCCCCGAACCCUGCCCCACCCAUACACAGCGGCAAUGAAGCACAUAUGAGAACGACCGCGACUGAGGCUGAGCCUUAGACCCGUGCUUUGGCGUGGGACAGACGAGGGGAUUUUUUGAACCACAGCCUGAAAUUCGCUCCCACGGUAAGUCGAACACAGGACCUGAGGAGUGCUACUCAGACCACCUAAUCAACUCAGCUAGAGGCCCUUUCGCGGGAACAUGAUUAACUAAAAAUGGAUGUAAUUCAAAAUCAUGAUCGCUACAUGAAAAAGACAAACUUGUUGCUGGAAAAGUCUGCAAAGCGAAAUGUUGAUAGAUAAUGUUGGCAAAGGAUUUUUAUUUUACGAUACUAAAAGCAAAUGAACCUAAGAAGCAAAGUGUGGAAUCACAACUAUCAACUAUGCAACGUCAGAGGAGUACUGGAGUUCAGAAAUGGCACAUCUAAUGCUGAUCCGGUGAGGCAGGAAAAGGAUAUAAUAGACCAAAUGAUGUAUAUAUGAACAAACCUUUUUUUCUCUUGGUCAUGUGGAUGCAUUUCUACUAAUUGUAAAUCAACAUUAUUUUGAAAUCUUAAUUUUCAUGGUGUCUCAGAUUCUACCUUCUCCCGCAGACAUCCAUCAGCAGCAUUGCGGCAGUUAUACAAGGGAGUAUCAGCAAAGCAUUAAGGGUACUCAUGAGAAUUGAUGUUGAAUGAGGAGAAAGUCCAAUGUCUGAAAACAAACUAGCCACUCCAGACUGCUCAAAUAUUUCAGGAGCGCAGCGGAGAAGACCACUGAUUCCUGUAGACUGUAUUUUUUAGAAGAGCAAACAAGAAACAAGCAAAAAAGAACGUGUCAGCAGACUAACUAGCAUUCUGUAUACAUGGUAGCCAGUGCGCAAGUAAACUGAACUCCAUGCUGAAUUGAAUACAUAAUCUACAAUAACACAUAAUCGUACUUGCUGAAGGGCUUGAAUUAACAUGCCAUAACAUAAGGCAUGCCUGAUUCCUGGUUGAAGAAGCACCCGCCAUUUAAACUUCAUAUCAGCUGUUUCAGAUAACCGGACUAUUUGAUGUCUGAAUGGAUGUCUCCCGGUGCUUUCCAUAUCACGAGGUGCAGACUGGUGAGGCAAUGCAAACCCAUGGAUUUCUUCUUCUUCUUCUUCAAUGUCAUAAUCAUGUAUAGACGCCAUAAACUCUUGUGCAAGCACUGAUGUUCCAUGCCUUCUUAAAUAUGAAGAGCUCCCUUCAGAAGUAAAAGAGGUAUUUGUAUCAUUUACUUCAACACUUGCUGCCUGAGAAAGCAGAGAAGCCCUUAAACCAUCUCCAUUAUUAGCUUCUCCAGCAUAAUAAGUCUCCCUAGUCUGUUGAUCACUGUUACCAUCCCUGUGUUCAUUCAUAUGUUCAUGCUCUGGAAAAGAAAAACUGUUGAAGACUGGGAAGAAACUAUUCCGUCUACUUCCUCCUUCUGACAUAUUCUCAUGAACGCUUCCGAGAAGAUCAACUAGUGGGUCUGAAAGCUGCCAAUAAAAAGUACUACGGGGCCAAGUGUGGCUAGCACUGGUUCCAGAGAAACUCUGAGCACGAGCAGCGCCAACAGUGGAGUCCGAUAUGAUGUCCACACCUUCCACAAUAGCAGCUAUCUCUCCUGCAGGUCUAUGUGAUGUCAUGAUGCAUUUAUGCUUCUUAAUUCUUGACAAAAUAGAAAUGAACAAGUGAUUGGCUCGAUUUACCAAAACAAGACAGUCUGUUAAUGCAUCAUGUGUAAUUAAAGCACCAUCAACCCCCAAUUAUAUUGACAUAUUGUUGUCAGUACUUUAUCAGCAUUGCUUCACAGCCUUUAACUGUAAAACAAAACCCUCAUCCAAUUGUACAAACUCUAUGUUAAGUAUGUAAUGUUAAGUGACCCUUAUGUUUACAAUGUUACACCAUAAAGGUUCUAGGACAUGAAUAAGAGGACUGAAUUAGUUCCCAAUCAGUUCUUUGAUAUGAAGUCAUGUAUUACUAGGCCACUAUGUUACUUACAUAGUUCUGUUAGUAUCUUCUAUGUUAGGAGGCCUUUUGUAUGUAAUGUAAGAGGUUGUUCAAUUAGCACCUCCAGUGACAAGCUGAAAUUAAAAGAUCGUAUCUCUUCAAUUAUCAUAGUUCUGACUGCGUGGACACAAGACAAAGAAAUCGGUGGAUAGAACAGCACCAUCCAUCACCCAUUAAAUGCCACAAAAAUCAGGUUCAUGGUCCCACAAUUCAACUGACAACAGUAAUAUUUCUAAACUACAGAUUUAGUUUGUAUGGUCAUGCUGUCAAACAUUGGUUACAACUUUACAUUUCUCAAGUCCCCGCAAUAACGACAUCUAUUUACUCAGUUCCCUACUAAUUAAGACUGAACCAUCUUCAGAUGAAAUAGUAGCUUGUGAAUAAAUUUGGAAGCAUUGUCAAGUGGCAACAAUCUCACCUGAAACAUCAUGUUUCUUUCCUCUAAGCCACUGCAGAGAAACUCUGGCCUCACUAAUCUUUCCAUCACUUGCAAGCCACCUAGGUGACUCUGGCAAGUAGUAAACCAACAAAGCAAAGUACACGAUGGAAGGAGCAAAGAUUGCACCAAUCAUGAUUCUCCAGCUAGGUGAAGACAUUAAUGUUAACCAGAAUAUCAGGCAAUAUGAAAAGAUAGUUCCUAUGAAGAACAUAAACUGUGGCAUAGUUCCAAGUAAGCCCCUCAUAUUUGAAGGAGAUGUUUCGGAUAUAUAAAUAGGGACACAGGUGAAAACCAACCCACUUCCUGAUCCAACAAUUAACCUAGCUAGAAGUACAAUGUAGAUGUUAGGAGACCACAGCAUCAAGACGCCACCCGAAAAUAAUACCAGAGACGAGUAAACCAGUAUGACACGUCUUCCGAGCCAAUCUAAUAGCGCGCCAGAGAAUAUUGUUAUCACAAUAGCCCCAAAUGUUGAGGCUGCUAAUGUUAUACCUUCAAUAGAAGGUCCAUUCAACAAUUCAAAUUCUUUUUCCAUAUGAUGAUUAGCUUCUGUCAGAUGAUAAAAAAUCAUGGUUAGCAUGGUUGUAAGAUAGUUGAGAUCUCUAAUGGAGGUAAUUAAUGUAUAAUGACAAUCAAUAGAGCACAAAAUUAAAAAAUACCUGAUAAUGCUGCAAAAUCCCAUCCAAGCAAUGCAUACCCAAUAGAAACAACAGCUGUUGAAAACACUGUUGACUUCAUCUCAUCAAGUACUAUAGCCCUUUUGCAAACAAUUAUAAAACCUAGAAAAUAUGAAACCUGUGAGAAAAAACUUGCUUAAAAUAGAAUCCAGUCAAGUUAAUUUUUUUAAGGCAACCAGUUGAACUUCUCAUCUCAAAGUUAGACAAACAGUUGCCUGUCUACAAACCCAUCAGUCACUACACCAGUUAUGUUACAACAUAUGAACCCUCGUUUGUUUUAAAAUUAGCAGGUUAUAUAGCUAUGUCAUAAACUUACGUGUGGUAAUUGUGUCAUUUGUUAUAAGAAACUUUAGAUACUUCUCCAGUGUGUUCAGUUUUACAUCUCAAAAAUAGUUAUAACCUUUGAUUCCAUCUAUAGUGACAGCACAUUUGAUUGAUACUAGAAAAGGCACUCUGAAAGGCAGCAUACAUGAUUAAAUGCACAACAAGCAGAAUAUAUCAGGACUCUUCAAAAUGUGUGUAAAAAUAUCCUGCUUUGACAGUUCAGUUACCAGUAGACCACAUUAAGGACUUGUUCGGUUAUUUCCAUCCCAUAGGGAUUGGAGGGAAUUGGAAAAAAUUAAGAAUUUUUUUGACUUGCUAGGGAUUUAAACUCACUCAAUCCCCUUCAAUCCACAUGGAUUGAGAUUAAAACGGACAUGCCCUAAGGUGGAACCAGAUGCAAAUGAAUAAACAAUAAAAGAGAUAUAUGACAAGAAUGUGUUCAGGGAGCAUUUGAGUGAAGUUUUUUACUGUGUUAUAGAUUACUCCAACUCUGAAUGACUCCAUCGGAGAAUCCUCCUCUCACAUUUGUCAAUUGUAAAAUCCUUCUCACACCUCAACUGCCACUAUCCUGUCAUUCCUGUGGCUCACACCCAGCGGAUCCAACUCCUCUAACUUGCCACCAUUACGUCACUGUCAUCUCAAUUUACAGUCUAUCAUGCUCGCUGAUGCUUGCCAGUAUCAUGCAGCACCAUACCAUUUCCCACACCAGGUUUGUCCCAUUUUCCGAGAGAAUCUGAUAUUUGCCAUUAUAAUGAAACAGGUUCGCAAAAUUGCCAGCAGACCCACGUUUCAGACUCAGAUGGACUUACAAUUCAUAGACACAGUGGCAAAUAUAACAAUGAGGCAACGUUUUGAGUGGUAAAAUACCAAUUAUUUCCCCCUUUUCCCCAUUCUCAAUCUAUAGUCAGAGAAUCUGCCCUGGUGAAACCAAACCCAAAUAUAUAAGAUACUCAUGCAAGUUCACAAAACCCAAGUGCACACACAAACAUGAAUACACCAAUCACCCUACACCUACAUCAUCAUGCUGAUCACCUCUAAAAGUCCCCACCAAUUCCAAGCCACUACUGCCAAGUGCAACUGCAAAGUUUCCAUGUUUACAUUAGUUCUCUUGACUGACGGGUCCACGGAAUUUAAAGAAAAAUAUGUUAAAUUAUCAGGAAUACACGGCUCAGAUACAUGAGUUUUCUCCGUCUACUGUUGUCUAAACAUAUUAUUAUACAGCUGCUUGACAAUUUAAACCCUAGAAAUGAGGCAAUCACGAGCAUUUAGAAGCAUGACUGAUCCAUUGCAGCUCUUUGUUUUUCUGUUUGUUUAUCCCAUUUGCAAUAUUUAGCUAACAAAGGGCAAAGUCACAACAGCUAAAAUGGCCCCAACAAUCAGUAAAAAAUUGCUGAUCCAACCAACCCUGCAGAGCAUGCAACGCAAGAUGUGUAUUGAAGGAUAUGCAUGGAGGGUAUGCCAUAAAAAAAUCAAAGACAGCAUGCACAGUACGGUACAGACAUUAGGAGAAGUAAUACUUUUUGGGUGUAAAACACAAUACUUGUCAAAACAUAUUUGGAAUGGGAUCAACUUUGUCUAUUUGUGAAAGUAUCAAGUAUGGAACACCUGUCAGAAGUCAAAACAAGAUAAAAAUAACCCCAGUGGAGAAGUGGAAAGAUAUGGCCUUCUAAUAAUAGGGGUUCGAUUAAAAACACUCAGCAAAUUAAGUAGCAUUUGUAAUUAUCACGAGCAAUGGUGAACCAACGAAAAUCAAUGUAGUCAGCUGUAUUUCAAAUAUCAACCAUCAGCAUUGUCCACAAGAAAUGCUCUUAAUUAUCUCCCAUCUCUCUAAGAGAAUAUGUGUUUGAUCUUUACGGAAAUCGACUCAACUAUAUGACCCCACAUUCAGACAGAAUUUACAAACAAAUGUAAAAUCAAAUAUCCCGCCAAAAAAGUAGAAAUAGAACUACUGGGGUACAGAAACAUUUGAGAAACCCAAUCCAAGUCAUACAACGAAUGUCGGCUGAUUGGCCCAUCUCACAUCAAAUACAGUUCUUCGUUUUUAACCUCGAUCACCUGGCCUGAGGAAUCACAAGUGGUUUCGCCAUUUUCUUCCAUCAAAUGUCAGCCGAAGCACAUGGCGCGGCAUACAGAAAUCCACAAGCGUGCAGUACAGGUAGGCAUAGUGUGCACUGUGAACUGAUUGUAGAUGGGCACGUGCUGCUAUAAUUCCCGAUUGCAAACACAAGGUUCAUCCAGAAGCACGAACGGCCAACUAGUUUUACCAAUAUGGGCAGGGAGCCCCAAAAGCCAAUCCAUAUCACGAUACGCUGGGCUUCUUCCACUUCCUUAUCUAUAUACUGUAGUACCAUAUCAGGAUCUUACCAAUCCCGUCCAGUAUGACUAUGAUCUACAGCCACGCCCACCAAAAUAGUGUCGGAAAUACCCGUCGGCACAGACUAUCACAAGCAGGCGUGGACAGGCAAGGAUUCAUCUCCGCCCGUGCUCCGACGCCGCAACAGCCACGGGAGAUCAAGCGUUUCCUCAAUCGACACUCCAAAAUGAGUAAAUGACGCGAGACAGGGGGGAAUAACAGGGAGAAAUCAUCACCUGUGAGCGUGCGAGUUCACGGGAGGGAACCAGCUGGUGCGGGGGCGGACGGAGGAGAGGCGGGGCGGGUUUGGUCGCCGCCGGCAGCUUAGAUGCGGAGGAUACGCGACGGCGUCAGCGACAAGCGGCAGCGGCAGCAGGGACUAGGGAGACUGGAGACGAUGAUGAUUAGUUGCACAGAUUAGCAGAGAUGGAGACACGGAGAGAGCGAGGGGAGAAGAGAAAACUGGGGUAGGGGGUAGAUUUGCUGGACUGCGGCCCUGCCGUCCGUUGGUGGAUCAACGGCGCUGAGUUCACCUACAUGCGUUGGAUCGGUGGCAGCUGGCUAGGAGUUGAUCGAAUGGGAUUAAAUAGGAUUACAUUACUUCUUUAUUUAAAAUUGAAUGAAUGGAAGAGGAUUUAAUCUCCGCUCAGGGCUAGCUUGGAAACUCUAUUUUCGUAAUAGCUUGUUUGGAUAUCGAUAUUAGAGUAUAAAAUUGGGAAUUAGCUUUCCUAAAUUCUAUUAUUUGAUUACACACAAAAUUGAGAUUUGGAAUUAGAGACUUAGUUCUCUGGAAUUGGACUAUAACUAGAAACUCCAGCUCUCAAUACAUAGUCUCACCCCUGCGUAUUUGCGUGGAAUUAAACGACACAAUUCUAAACUCCAAUUCAUCAACAUCCAAAUUGUAAUUACAUCUCUUCAAUACCAUGGUUGAUUGGUAUUAAACACAAUUCAAUUCCAUGUUCUCUAAUAUCGACAUCCAAAUGCAUAAUACCUCGUUUUGAUGUAGAUAUUGGAACACAAAAUUAGAAAUUGGAAUUAGCUUUCUAGAAUUCUACUGUUUUGUUGCACAUGGAAUUGAGAUUUUAAAACCAAAGACUCAAUUCCUUAGAAUUAGACUACAACUAGAAACUCUAUAUCGCAAUAUAAAACAUCACCCCUUUGUAUUGCGUGUAAUUGGACCACAUGAUUUCAAACUCCAAUUAAGUGACAUUCAAACAAUAUAAUUAGAAUUACAUUCCAUUUCAAUAUUAUGGCUGAUUUGGUAUUGAAUCCAAUCAAAUUCUAUGUAACAUUCAAACGGAGCAUAAAAGGAUUUUAUUUUCUCAAUAAAAAAUAAACUAUUUUUUGGAAAAAUAUCAAGAGAAAAUAAACUACUUUCCAUUAAAAAAUGGUCCAUGUUUACCAAACACCGGUAUCUCGGUCAUCUGGCUCAAGUGCUGCGCCCACAGGAACGCACACUUUGCACUCUACCCCUCGAGUUUCUCCACAACCGCAACGAGCAUCCACUCACCCAUUGACACAACACACUCCGGGGACAGGGCACGGUUGGAGAUCACGACAACAUAAGGGUCCGAAACGAAAAUCCCGCACGCCCGUGGAAAUAUCCACCCGCGGCCCGGGUCACCCCGCAAGGCCGCAACGCCUCCGCUUUCAUUCUUCUCUUCCCCUCGGCUUCGAGGGUUAUUUUUAUUUCUUUCUUUCCUUUUUUCGUUUUUAUUUUCUUUUUAUUUUCUUUUUUCUUCCUUUUCUCGUUCCCCCGUUGGGGUUUUGAGCUCCGACGAACCCUAAUAAUCGCCGGGGACCGGCGGCCGAUCGCCCGCCGGCAUGCACCAUCAGCAGCGGAUGAAGCAGGCGGCGGCGGCCGCGGCCGCGGCGCAGCAGCAGCAGCUGAUGCAGCAGGCACUGCUCCUGCAGCAGCAGCAGCAGUCGCAGGCGCAGCCGCCCUUGUUCCCCGGGCACCACCCGCACCCCGGCCUCCUCGCCGCACCACAGGUGGGGCAAUUCUCUGUGAUUCCUCUUUCUCGUCUCUCCGGUGACGGGUGACGGGUGACGGGCGUGGCUUUUGUGGAAUCUACGAUUGAUGGGGUUACGAUUUGGGGGUUUUCCGCGCUUAAGGCAGCCGGCGGGGUUCGGGAGCUUCGAAUCGGGUUUGUGGAUUUCCAUCCGCAAGGGCUGUUUGGGGUUCCGAGGUUGCGGGUUUCCGCUGGAAUUUUGGGAUUUAGUAGCAGUGUUCUGCGGUCGGUUAUGUCAAUCGCAUCGCCAUUUGUCGCGAUUCUCUGGGAUCCUCGUUGUGGAUGCGGCCAUUUGUCACGAUUCUGGGAUCGUCGAUGCGGGUCGUGCGUGUCAGAAAACAAUUUAAAUUUCUGCUUCGUUGGUAAUUUUAAGAUAAUUUUGUAUCACUAUGUGCAUGGGCCGAGUAUUGUGAUGCCCGAAUCUUUUUGGUUUCACUUUUAGUUUAUUGUUCUCCCCCAAAAAGAUAAUAUGUAUGUUCAGUGGUGCACACUUUCCCAGUUUUGGAGGUUUUGCUUUAGUAUGGUCCGGAUAUUCAUUAUUUGGACUAUGGCAGUGGUGUUUGAGGAGUCAGGAUUGUCAGUUCCUUUUUCUUAGCAAAGGAGCCACUUUGAACUUUUGCAAACUGCAACAUCGUCGGGCUACAAACUGAAUGCGUGAUUUCGGUAGAGCUUUAUGGGAUGCAGAAAGGGAUUCCAUUGCAAAACACAUUGGGCGUUUCAAUGUUAACAGUUUUGGUGCAAAUUGUCCUAAGGUGAAAGUGGGUUCCUGGCAAGGCUGGGUAGGUUAGAAAUCUGCCCCCCUAUGUUUUAUAUACUUCUGCUCUAUCAAUCAAUCAUAUCAUAAAGAAGUGUACUUGUACGGUGAAUUUGUGUUUCCUGUAUCAGGGGUGCAAAUGGUACGUAUAUUUUCUGAACAUAGAAUAUGUUUAGAGGAGUUCAGAUCCGUUCGUAUUUGAGUCUGGAUGUUUAACAUCCGAUACCGCAUCCAUAUCAGAACAAAUAAAUCACAUAUUUAUGAUGUCGAUAUCCAUUCGUAUCCUAUCCGACAUAGCUAGUUGAUACUAUCCAUAUUCGAAUCCGAAUAGAAAUCUGGAAACAAAUGUAAUAUUAGUGAUAUCUGUUUGUGUCCGAUCCAUGUGCACCCUUAUCUUUAUGAUUUCACUGGGUUAUUUGUGGGUAUAGUUUCACUUAUUUGUUUGCCUGGCUCCAGUUUUCUUCAUUUAAGACAAAUGCGAACUGCGUUAUGAAAUCAUAGAUGUUAUCUCUGUUCUUCAUAGAACCUUUUGCUUACACUUGUAUGUCUUUGCAGAUAGAGCCCAUAGUCAGUGGAAACCUGCCUCCUGGGUUUGAUUCAAGUACAUGCCGCAGCGUGUAAGUGUUGGAAGUUGUUCUUUCUCUGAUCUUAUACCCUAGGGACUGCUAUAGUUCUAAAUUCUUCUUUUAAGAACAUCUACAUAAAAUAUGGCUUUUCUGACCCCUUAAUUUCUAAAUGGUCGAAAUGAAACAAGGCCUUUAUGCAGAAUGUUCUGUGUUCAAUGUUAUAGAUCAUAUUGCCCCUGCAUGCUGUAAUUCUGCAAAAUAAUGUUGACUACCUUUUCUACAUUUAUCUUUUUUGUGCUCAUCGAUCACAUUCUCAAUAGGUAUGUUGGCAAUAUCCAUCUUCAAGUGACGGACACAGUACUGCAGGAAGUCUUCCAAAGCAUUGGUCCAGUAGAAGGGUGCAAGCUCAUCAGAAAAGAAAAGGUGGAUCUUUCUUUAUUUUAAUUAAAAAAUGACUAUAGAUAGCUUGUAACAGAUAAAUCCAUACCCCACCUGUCCCCAACACCCACUCGCCCACUCACCUGUAAAAUUGUGGCUGCCUUUUCAGAUUGCUCUUCACAUCUGAUUUUUGGCUUUGCUUUCCCCGUAUGUCUCAAGUCUAGUUACCAUGAAAAUACAGAGUUACAGACCAUGUAACAUGCUUUGCAGAUUUUCAUUUUCUUUGGCUCUUGUUUUGACGAAUUAAAUCCUUGAUUAUUUCUUUCAACACUUUUUGAUAAGUUUUCUUUUAUCUGAUGCUUAAUUGUAUAUUAGCUGUAUUAAAACCACUGAGAUACAUAAAAUAUUUAUUGUAGUCACUUGAAAAUAAUUAUGAGUAGUACUAGAAUGCUUCCUUAUGGUGUAUUUUUUGUUACUCAACUUAUUUUGGCUGAGCAAACAAAAUGAGUAUAAGACAAGAUUAGCGGGGAGAAGGGGGGAUUGGGUUGAUUAUUGAUACUCCUUUUUGAAUUGUAAAAUAUUAUGCUAAGUUUUUUUAGAACAAAAGUUUAAUUUCAGCUGGCUGACUACAAUCAGCAGUGUGCUAAUCUUCUUCUACUGGAAUGAAAGCACACAUGCACUCUGCAGUGCAGCCUAACCUAUUUAUCUAGGUGGGCAUAACAGUCUCAUUGCUAUUCAUGUUAGCUUUUAAAAGUUUGAUGAGUGCAAUGUGGUAAAUUGAGAUGGCAUCGGGGGGCUGAGCCAUAAAGAUAAGUGAAACUGCAUUUCAUGAAAAGGGCAUAGUUAAUGUGGUUUGACUUCUGGUGGAAUGUAGACCAACUUAUUGACAUGUGCUUCCAUCAAAAGCCAAAAGGGCAUGAGUGCAGGAGGCUCCCACAUGAGUGGGGUCUGGGGGGAGGGAUAAACUCUGGCAAGCCUUCUAAAUAAGUCUGGGGGGAGGGAUAAACUACCAGCAAAUGCGGAGAGGCUGCUUCAAAUCCAUGACAUGGUGACAUGUGCUUCCAUACCUGUCUCUAAAUUAUUAUGUUGUAAUAUCAGUUAAAACACAUACGAGAAUUUAAACAUUUGUGGAUAGAACUUAUCCAUCUGUAGUUGCUGUUUACUGUCUUUCAGAAACACCUUUCGACUAGCAUAUUAUUUCCGGGAUGUGGAAGCAUAGUUAGAACUUAGAAGCUAUUAGAUGCAACGAACAUUUUGAAUGUGAGACAUAUUAUUUUAUUGGCUAAACUUUGAAUGGAUGAAAAUGAUUAUGAUUUUAUAUGGUUGUUCUAGUGCUGUCAAUACUCACACUCUCUCAUCAGUACCCCUUUAUCUUAGGAUUAGGAUAUCUUAAUCUGGGAUACUGCAUUUUCAUAUGUAUAAUGUGUUAAUUGUUAAUGAUUUAUGUAGAUUUUCUUAUCCUUUAUAUAUUAAAUUGUUUAUGGCAAUGUGAUCUUAACACUUUCUGUUCUGAUGUUGCAGUCAUCCUUUGGUUUCAUUGACUACUAUGACCGCAGAUAUGCUGCACUAGCAAUUUUAUCUCUCAAUGGCAGACAACUGUAAGUUUUUUAUUGGUUUUGUACUCUCCACUCCUAAUUGUAAGUCGUUUUGGCUUUUCUAUAAUCUAUGUUCAUACCUUUUACUAUGUACCUAGACACAGUGUAUAUCUAGGUGCGAAGAAAAAGCUAUGUACCUAGAAAAGCCAAAAUUACUUACAGUUCAAAAGGGAGUACGUGCUAAUUCCUCUUAACAUUGCCCUUGUUUUGGCUCUGAUUUUUUAAUACCACCAAAAUUCAGGUAUGGUCAGCCGAUUAAAGUCAAUUGGGCAUAUACAAGUACUCCGAGGGAGGACACAUCAGGUUUGGAACUGAAGCUGAAGUGCUGAACUAAUCCUGUAUUUUGUAUUUGUAUUUUACUUGGUUCAAGUCAUGCAGGUAUGUGAAUGUAUGGUUUCUGAAUUCUAAGCUUUGGUGGUGAAUCUUCAUCUAUGCAGGUCAUUUUAAUAUUUUUGUUGGGGAUCUUUGCCCGGAAGUCACUGAUGCUACUUUGUUUGCAUUUUUCUCUGGAUACUCUACUUGCUCGUAAGCACUGCCUGGCUCUCAUCUCUCCUCCAUUUACUUGUCAUUGUUGACAUUUUAGCAGAGUGGCUUGCUACUUGUGCAGUACAUGACAUGUCUAUUUACCAGUUUAGCUUGGUAACUUUUGCAGAGAUGCUAGGGUUAUGUGGGACCAGAAAACAGGACGAUCCAGAGGGUUUGGUUUUGUUUCUUUCAGGAACCAGCAGGUAGUGUCGCCAUUAUUUAAACCCUUUGUGCAUUGUUGCCAUGAACUUUUGGAGCUGCUGUUUCAUCUCGUUAUGUCAUUAUUCCUUAACAGGAUGCUCAAAGUGCGAUAAAUGACUUGAAUGGUGUGUUCUCUAGUUCCAUGUUUCUAACUUAUGUUUCAUUUUGAAGUCCUAAGCUUUCACAAGGUGAUUACACCCGUUCACUUUUCUACUGGCAGGGAAGUGGCUUGGGAACCGUCAAAUUCGUUGCAAUUGGGCAACGAAAGGUGCUAAUGCUGGUGAAGAGAAACAGAUUCUGGACACUAAGGUUGACCUGUCAAAUGGUUCAUCAGGUGAAUACAUGUGCUUUGGCUUCUUGAGCUUCUCUUUUUCUGAGUGUUUCAAAAAGUGCUAGCCGCUAGACGUGCCUAGCAACCUAGGUGGUGCUCAGGUGUUGCUUGACAUUUGUACUUUCUAUGGACAGUAUGCCAUGUUGAAUAAAGUACUUUUGGCAUGGCAUAUCAGAACAAAAAUAUUUUACCAUGCUCCCUUGAGUAAUAUGACUGUAGUUUAUGUUCCUCCAUCUCUAAUUUGCCAUGUUCAUGCAUACAUCAGACCUGUAACACACUUAUCCAGGAAAUAAAGCCUAGACAAAAUGGCUAGGUGCUUUGUCGAGACAGUGCAGCACUGCCUAGGUAGAAUGACAGUUUUUCUCCUCAGUAUGUAUGAUAUGGUACAACAUAUAACAACAAAUUCUGCCAGGCUCUUAUGUUCAACUUUUACCAAGAACUUUUAUUCUGUUAGAACUAUUUCUGAAUACUUUAGUUGUGUGUACUACUGCCUCCAUUCCAAAUUACAGUUCAAUUUAGUUUUGUCCCAAGUCAAAGUUCUCUAACUUGAUGUUAUAUCUAGACUACAAGUUCAAAUAAACGCACUGUCAAGAAGUUCCAUGGAGAAUUUAAUGAAAAUAAUUUGAUGCUGUAGGUGUUUGUGUAUUUUCCAACAACCGUGGUCGCAGUUAGAGAAGUCUGACUUAGGACAAGGCUAAAGUGAACUAUAAUUUGGGAUGGAUAGAGUACAUUCUAAUCUUAGUUUUUACUCCCUCGGUCCCAAAAAAUGACAUCCUAGUAUUAAAUUUCAAAGAUUGUCCAAAAAAACUUGAUCUAGCCCACUAUACAUAAUGAGUCUAUCCACUUUAAUUGAGGGGUCUAAUUAGAUCCAAGCAUGCUAACUAAUCUGCAUGCCUGCAAUCGGUUCCUUAAUUUUGCGUGCACUGUGGAAGGUUACCCAAGUGACAGCCCUGUUUCAAGGGAAAACACUUCCUAAUAAAUAGGGUACCAUGGUCAUUUCCCUCGAUACUAAUAUAUCUGAAAAAUCCUAGGAUGUCAAGUUUUUUGGGAUGGAGGGAGUACAAUUUUGAUUCAUAUGUAAGAUGGGAAUUUGGUAGAAGCCGGAAUUUGGUAGAAGCCGUACAUGUCACAGUUAUGGCUUGAAAUUGACCAGCAUUGCAGCAACACCUUUUAAUCUUUUAUAAUGUUCUGCAGAAUCUGGAAAAGAGAAUCCAAAUGAAGAUGGUCCUGAAAAUAACCCUCAGUUUACUACUGUUUAUGUUGGCAAUCUUCCUCACGAGGUAUUACUCUUCCAAUAGAACAGCUGCUGUCUAUGUUUACUGUGCUUGUGUUUGGCUUUCUAUUUGCUCUUACCUUUUUUUUGUUAGCUUUCUUUUUAUUGUCUAAUUUGUCUUAUUUUUUUUCAGGCUACCAUGAAUGAUGUGCACCUGUUUUUCCAUUCACUGGGGGCUGGUUCAAUUGAGGAAGUCCGUGUAACUCGUGAUAAAGGCUUUGGCUUUGUGAGGUACAGCACCCAUGAGGAGGCUGCAUUGGCAAUUCAGAUGGGUAAUGGCCAACUUAUUGGCGGGAGGCAGAUAAAGGUAUCUUUGGUUCAUGUUUUCACAUUUCCUUGGUAACGGAGAGUAGAUUAGGAUUUAAUAAAACCCUGAAAGUUCCUGGGUCAAUUUUACAAUAGAAUAAUAUUGUUGGUGGGUACGGUAGUAUUACUAGGCUUGCUUUUGGGUCAAAACUCAUUCCUUUUCCAACCCCACCCCACAGCAGGACUCAACCUGGCAAGCCACUCCAAACCUCCUAGCACCCAACCCACUGAAAAAGUUCACCCAACCCAACCCACUGAAAAAAUUCACCCAACCAAGUAGAUACAACCCAAACCCACCUGCAUUGACCGAAAUUUGCUAGGUGGAAAACGGCACCAGGAAGCAUGGUGUAUGCGCAGCGGUCAUCAGAGUGGAGGACGAGGGGCGAAUGGACACACAGCGGCCAUCAGAGAGGAGGACGUGGGGUGGAUGGACACGCAGCGGCAGUCGGGGAAGAGGAUGUGGAGUGGGUGGAUGCGCAGUGGCGGUCGGGGAGGAUGGGUUACCGCGGUGCUGUACCGAGUGCCAACUCUAGUGCUUCUGCUUCCACCAGUCCAGCAAGCACGAACUGCAGCUCCUGUCAACCUUGAGUGCCACCUUUAGAUCGUGCACCUGGACAUCAACCCAUCUCAACCACCGUCUACGAUGGUGCCUAUGAGCUUAGGACAACCGAGGAAUCUGACCACUGCAAGGUCCUGAUGGCUGCUGUACUGGUUGAGGCUGGUGACUGGCGGCGUCCUUAGGGGUCGUCUUCCGUGGAGUUCCUGCUGGAGGGCAUCCUGCUGGAGGGCAACGAUGCUGUCAGGCAGGGUGGUGACCUCCUGUACGAUGCUGGCACCACGUGUAUGCCCUGCACCCACAUCUAUGUCACUCCAAUCAAGUGCUUCUUCCAGACCCUGUCGGCUGUCAGGGUGCUCGGUUUCAUCAUGACCUACCUUGUGGCUGCCCAGCCGCCGGACGAGAGCUUAUUGACGGAUGAAGGACGCUGCUGCGACACAUGCGAGGUGAUCAUCCGCCAGGGCGAGCCGUGCAGCAGUGGCGUAGCAGAGAGCAGCGAGGACAAGCGUUUAGCUGUUGACUGUGGGACUGAGUCUCACCAUCCAUUCAUUCUGAGUGUCAUCUCUCGACCCUAACCUGCCCCCCCCCCCCCCCCCCAACCCAGCCUGCUGAUUAACCCAUUCUAACCCUUCUAAACCAAAUGAGAACCCACCCGGUUAACCCAAACAAACACAACCCAUUAGCAGCAUGCCUAAGUAUUACAUUAUUGGUUUGUAGGUAACAUAAAAUUGGUUUAUCUACAUUAUCCCCUGAAAAUAUAGCCAGAACGUAGAAGUAUUGUUUGCAUUGAUUAAGGUCAUCAGUAGGUAUGCACGAUGUGAUCUAGUUGUUUACUUGUAUUAAUCACAUUGAUCACAGCAAAAUACUGAAGUAGUCUUGUGCCUCAAUUUGUUGCAGUGUUCCUGGGGAAGCAAGCCGACUCCACAAGGGACAGCAUCCUUGCCUCUGCCUCCUCCAGCACUGGCACCAUUCUCCACUGGAGUGUCGGCCACCGACUUGCUGGCCUACCAGCGCCUGGCUCUGAGCAAGAUGGCCUCGAACCACCCAGCCCUAAUGGGUCAGCACUCCUUGAAGCAGGUCGCUGCAUUGGGGAUUGGCGGCGGAGCCAGCCAGUCCAUCUAUGAUGGCGGCUUCCAGGGCAUCAAUACUGUCACCGGCACAACUUCCGCCCAGCAGCAGCAGCAGCUCAUGUACUACUAGAGUACUACUACUCCAUGAGGCACCCAGCUACCUAUCCCUUCAAGAGGAAGGCGAGGAUGAAUGGAUGAUGCCCCUUACUAUACCCCUAUACAUAUAGUAGAUGAUGAAGUCAUUACUAGGACCUUUUUUCCCUAAUCUUUUUAAGACCCAUCUAAGUAACAUGUCCUCUCUAUGCUAGCUAUAUAAUUGUGUAUUUCUGGAUACAUAAAGCCAAGGUUCUUAGUAGUAUAAUCUUCUGUGUUUGACCAUCUUUUAUUGUGAUGUAUGGAUUUUCGUUGGCAAUUACCGUAUGUCACUGGAUAGGGGUGGUAAUGGAUCGUGAUCCAAAUGCUUCUUCACAAUAUUGUAGAGUCCUAAAUAAAUUUCAGUUUAAAAAUGAAUAGAAAUAUAGUUUGAUCCUAAUCCGAUUCUUAAAUCUUAUAGUGUAAAAUUGAAAGCACAUUGUCAACCCUAUCAUUGGAUGGUAAGCGUCAUAUCAUCUGAGUCUUAGGGCAUGUAUAACCUAGAGCCUCUUGCUCGGUUUUUUAUGUAGAAGAGAUGGUUAAGAAAUUACGCCAUACAAACCCUGAGCUUCUAAAACAUUAAUGCAGUUAAGAGACCGCGUGUAGAAAGUCGUGAAGAGUUGUUUCUUGAUUUUUUUUGCACUUAACACUCUAGAGACUAUCAAGAGACUCAUUAAUCAAUAGGGUUGUACAUGCCUUUAAGCCAUUUUUAGUUGGAGUUUCAUUCUCAUUAAAUGACAUGCCACAUAAGAACACAAGAUGACAUGUCAUAUAAUUUAAUGAGAGAGAUAAGAGAGAUAUGAGAGUUUCAUGGCUCAUGGGAGAUGAGAGAGAGCUUUAUGGGAAACAAAUGUUGACAUGGUAGUUUUGAAAAUAGUGUGAUGAAACCCUUUAUUGAGAAUAAUGACCUUACCGGGUGCUGUUUGGUUACCCAUUGUUUCAAUCUUGGUUAGAGCCAGGGGCGGACCCACAGGGGGGUCCGGGUGGGCUCUGGCACACCCUAAGCCAGGCCCACCGGGGACCCCACCCGGCCACCCGUUCAGCCGUCGAGAUGCCGUUUCAACUUCUCCAGACUCUAGUUCUCUGAUUUUUGCGGUUGUUCGACUGUUCCUGGCGUCCUGGCGGUUGGAGACCUGGCCACUGCGAGAAGAGUUCCUGGCGGCUGGCUUCCUGGCAGCCGGAGUAGUGGAGUGGUGAGUGCGCGCUGCCCGCUGCCGCCGCUGCGCGGCUAUCCGCCACUGUGGCUGAACGCCCAGACUGCCACUGCGGUACUGCCUGUUCCUGGCGGCUGCCUGCUGGUGAUUGGUACGAGUUGCUGCCUACUGGUUUAGGAUUUAGGAUUUUUGUUUUAUUGAUUGUUGAUUUACUACCAUUAUUUUUGUAGUGACUAAAAUAUGAAGCAGAGAGAUAUUGCAUCUCUUUUUCGUAAUCAUGCUGAAAAAAACAGAAGUUUAUUGUUUUUUCAUGUUUAUUUGUUGAGUGUCAAAAUUUAUAUCUAUAUAUCAAAUUGUUUACCAAAUUUAUUAUCAAAUUAUAUGUACAUUAGAUAUAAUUAUACAUAAAAAUUUUGUUGCGGCACACCUUAUGUAAAAAUUCUAGGUCCGCUACUAGUCAGAGCAGCCCGUAUUGAUUCAUAAGGCUACGAGAUACAACUGACAUGAAUGCCACAUACUUUAUCGUUAAUACAUUUAUGCUCAUUGAAUCUCGUGUUUUAGUUGUGGAAAGUUUUUUAGAAGUAUUUUGUUGAUUAUAUUUUUUUGGUAAUUCUAAAGAUUACCUAGAUACAUUCUCAGUUCUCUAGAGCUAAAUCUAAUGUCUAGAAGCUUCUAUACAUACAAUUUAACAAGAUUUAAAUAUUUUAUUUGGGCUUAGUGUAUCAAAAAUAUCUUUAUGAUUGUUUCUAAGAAGUCAGAAACUAAGCCCCAUAUAUACCAUUUAGUACUUCUAACCGGGGCAAUGAGAUAGUUUAAAUGAUUUUUUGAAAGUAAACUAGGGCUAGUUUCUCCAGUUUUAUAGUAGAAACACAACAAUGAGAUGCAUGCGAAGUUUACUUAUAAUUGCAUGCGCAGUUUUAUAGACAGAUGCAUGCGCGGAGGCCUCGAUGGGAGUUGAUGCAUGCGCAGUUGUGGAUAGUUGCGACACCAAACUCCAAUGAGACAAAGUUUACAAGGGAUCCCUUGCUCCUGUUAUGUCACCCGCCCGCACGCUACCAAACGGUUGACAUAAAGAUGGAAUAAACAAAUCACACCUUGCUCCAUGUUUUGAGGGCAUUCCAUGUUUUGAGGGCAUGUGUUCUCCCUUUUAGAUCUAAAAUAGACUGGCGAUUGCGAAAAAUAUUCUACCUUUCCAAAGAGCCUGUUUGGUUCGUGGCUAACUACGUCAUACUUUGCCUAAGGUUAGUCGUUCGAAUUGAAGAACUAACCUUAGACGGAAAAGUUAGGUAAAGUGUGACAAGUUAGGUAGCGAACCAAAUAGGCCUUUAAUCCUAUUUCACGGUCAGAUUGUCUCAUGUGCUGUCCGUGUCCGGCAAGGUCUGUCUUGUUUCUUUCAACGAGCAAGGACUUCAAAGUUUCAGAAUUUCAAAGUUUCGACCCAAGCUACCAUCGGGCGACCCCAACAAUUUCAAAAACAACUCUAAACACUUUUGCUUCAAAGUUCAAUCAGAUAAUACGAAGCUUCCAAGCACGCAUGUGUAUAACCAAUUAAGGCCUUAUUCGGUGAAUCCUGUUAACCAUAGAUUGAGUGUAAUUAGAAAAAAUUAAGAAAAAAAUUGACUUGUUUAGGAUUUAAACCCACACAAUCUCAAUUAAUAUAUAUGAAUUGAGAGCUAACCGAACAAGCUCAAACAAUACAGACCAAGUGUGGUAGUGUGGAGUGCAGGCCCCACGUAUAUCGGUAGACAUUUCGAAAUAAUUUAACUUAUCGGUAAUAAAAGUGAUCACCUCGUAAGCAUGCAGCCUAGCUCUUAAUGGUGUGGUGGCCUUGUAAAUGUAACCCCUACACUACACGUCCAAACAAAACAAAACCAGUAGCUUCCGUCAUGAAAAGAGGAGAAGCAUGUCAAGGAAGGAACAUGUACAAAAUAACUUAAUCGCAUAAACGCACUGCAUCCCAAACCCAUGGCCAACCACUCCAGCAAGAAUGGAUCUGAGCUCACCAACAGCGGCCACCACCACCAUCCAAGCCUGUUCUGCUACAACAGUGCCAUGGCAGCCUCGCCGCAGCACCCAGGUGGUCGAGAAGCUGCUGGAGAGCGCUGCUGAGAAGGGACAUUGAAUGUUGACGAGGCAUGCACACCGAAACGGAAGCUCGGCGCCAUGAAUCAUGGUGCUGAGCUCUGCCACAAGACGCCAGUGUAGCAGUGACAGUUUAGUGCACUAGAUAUCUCGACGUUGUAGGCUAUGACGUCGAGCCGUGUUAACUCUGUGUCAUGGGCUAUGGUGACGAGUAAAUGGUUCAAAAGCGACAUUAAUUCAUCCAAGGGUCUAAACUUAAUUAAAAAAAAUUCAAAUAAUAUAAAAUUCGUCCCCAGCAUGUGGGACUUGUGGGCCGAAAGAAACUAAGAAGCCCAAGCCCAGCUGACCAAGAGAGGUAGCUGAGCGAAGCAUCCGGUGUGUUCCCUCGCCAUCCGCCGCCGCCGCCAUGCCGGGCUUCGCUCAGCGUCUCGCGGGCAUCCCGUGGCGGAGCAUCGCGAGGCAAGGCCUCUCCCGCGUGUUCCUGGUGGCGAAGGCCUACUGCGUGAUCCACGUCGUCAACGACCACCUCUGCUCGGUGACCUUAGUGCGGGGCGCCAGCAUGCUGCCGUCCCUGAACCUGGCGGGCGACGCGGUGGCGGUGGACAGGGUCAGCGUGAGGCUCGGCCGGGUCGCGCCGGGGGACAUCGUGCUGAUGAUCUCCCCUGAGGACCCGCGCAAAUCGGUCGUCAAGCGCGUCGUCGGGAUGCAGGGGGACUCCGUCACCUACCUUGUCGACCCCGGCAAAAGCGACUCCUCCAGAACCGUCGUGGUGAGUUGGUCACUAACUGGGCUGGGCUGGGCUUUUGGGUUCCUACUGCUUGUUAGGUGCUGCCUCCGUGAUCGGAUUUGUGCUCAACUGAUUGAUGCUGAAUGAGCAUUGUUGGUCUUAAAAGGAGUUUCAGCAGCUGCUUUUAGAGACAGUACAUUUUUACACGCUUCGAGUUGAGAUGCAUAGGAAUUAGGAGACGUGUGUUUUUGGUAAUUGGUACCUACUUGCGCCUGAGACUCUAGUCUAGGCACCAAAGUCAGGGAGGUGUUUCUAUGAGCUCUGCUUCAAAACUGUAUUAUCUGAUGUCUGUCUGAGCCACUGGUGGUGUUGGAUUGGAUCAGUAAUGAGAUGUGGUGUUACUACUGACCCUAAAAUUAAUCACUACUGAUAUAAUUAGAUCCUCAAUGAAUUAGAACUAUGUGCUGGUAAAACCUUGCACUAUGCUACCCUCGGUAUAUUUACCCCGCCAGACCAGAAGGUGCAAUUUCUACACUUCUGUUUCAACUUAUAAUUGUAGAUGUCAAUAGCGCAGAGUUUGGCUUAUUUAGGUUUGAGUUUUCAUAGACUGUCGACACCACUGGUGGUGUUGGGUCAGUAUGAGAUAUGAUGUUACUAACCCUAAAUUAGUUACUACUGGUAUAAUUAAGUUCUCGAUGAAUUAGAACUACAUGCUGGUAAAUCCUUGCACUAUGCUACCCUCAGUAUAUUUACCCCACCAGAAGGUGCGAUCUCUACCAUUCUGUUUCAAGUUUCAGCUUAGGGCUUGUGUAAUUUAUAUAAGUUUUGAUCAGAUGGAAUGAUUCUAGGGUGGAAUGCGGAAGAAACGAACAGGGCCUUAUAAUUGUAGAUAUCAAUAGCACAGAGUUUGGCUUAUUUAGGUUUGAUUUUCAUAGUGUGUCUGUAUGAUGUCCAUGUCUUUAAAUUCAGGCGUUUAUUUAUGUUCACUUCCACCACUGAUUCAGUGGGCUCCAGGCGUAAUGUUAGGGCAUGACGAGUUCAACGCUUUCUUGAGUUUUGUAUUCUUUUAGUUAUCCCUUACCAUUCUUUUUGCUCCAAAAUUGUAUGGUCACUCAGUGCCCUUUAACUUGGGUGACUGCAUUGGUUAUAGGUACCGCAAGAUCAUGUCUGGGUGCAGGGUGACAAUAUCUUUGCUUCUAACGAUUCGAGGCAAUUUGGAGCUGUGCCUUAUGGGCUGAUUACAGGGAAGAUCUUUUGCCGGGUAAGUUCAGUCAGCUACUUGUUUUGCGUCUUUGUCGAUUCAGUUUAGGAGGGCUGCUGCAACCUCUGGAGCAAACGUUUUUGCUUUAUGGCACCAUUAAGCCGGGGGGGACACAAUGCAAGCAACUAUCAAUUGUUGACUUUGCUGAAAAGGAAAAAAAGCUACCAUGUUUCCUAAGGCUUAAGGUUCAGUUAUAUUGUUUCCAUAAUCCUUCCUCAGCGCAUCAGCCAAACGAUUCGCUGCUUCCGAAUCGCGUCGACGACCACCCUUUGUCGCCGCAGCUGCGACGAGUACUGACAGUGGCUCUGUUGGAUGUUAGGUUUGGCCGCCAGAGAGUUUUGGCGCAAUUGAUGACGCAACGAAGCAGUCUUAACGCUGAGGAGGAGCCGAGGAGGUACUGAGGUAGUCUAUAGCUUUCUGUUUGCAUCUUGUUUUCCGAAACAUGCCUGGCUCUCUCUAACCACCAUUUUUGCUGUCGGUUUCUUUUCUUCUUCUUCCCCCAGAGCACAUGGACCCAUAUUGUUUGCUCGCCCCCAGAGAUUCUAUAAUAGCCAACUGCAGGGGGGCCCUUCCUUGAGCUCGAGAGCUUUCGACGACCUACCGCAGCGCAUUUCUACAGCGAAGCAAAGAGCGUUGUGUGUCUUGAUUGAUGUCCCGUGUUUUUACAGUUUUGGUGUGACAAGUUCUGAAACCCGUGUUUUUACAACUACACUACAACUUCACAUGCUUAUUCGAAACAUUUGAACUGAUUUGUCAGUCCUCGUUUUGCAGAAGGGCGUGUCUGUUUGUUUAUCCAUGUCCAUGUCAAAACACACGACGAUUAUUGUUCAGCAUGUCCAUGUCAAAACAUACAUCGAUCUUGAGGUUAUUAUGCCAUAUACUAUAUAUAACACUGUAAUAAAGUCAUCCAUCCGGCCUCUACGUCGACGCGGCGGCGGCGGCGGUGGCGCUGGGCUCCGGUGCUGCUGCCGCCGCUAGCUGGAACCGAUGGUGCUGCUGCUGCAGCAGAAGCAGCGACGACUUGCACUGGGCGCACAUGCAGAUCUGCUGGGUGGUGCAGAAGCCGCCGACGUAGCCCUUGUCCUGGCAGCGGGCGAUGCAGAGCAGUGGCGCGUCGCGGCACUCCGGGACGAUGCUGCGGAACAGCGGGCACAUGCCCUUGCCGUCUGCUUGGUAAUUAAUGUGAACCCAUCCAUCCAUCCCAGAUUAAAUUAAAUUAAAUUGUAUUGUUACCCGAUGAGCUGAGAGGGUGAGCUAUACAGUAUACGUACUUAUGUAUAUAUAUACAUAUGUGUGUGUAUACCUGAGGGUGACGGCAAAAUAAGGAAGGAGAACAUGAUCAGUAGUAGGGCAUCAGUUGCAGCCAUGACGACCACCUUGGAAGAAGCCAUGGCACUGGUUGUAGCUUCCGCUUCCGAUCUGCAGGCGGAACGAAUAAUCGGUUUCAGGCUUUCAGCUGUGCUGCUUAGAUGUACUGUCUGUACUUACAUAUAUAUGCAUGCGCCGGGGCGAUAAUAAGGAAAAGAGCUAGGAGUUUUAAUUUUCUUCUUCUUCCUUUUUUAUGCAUGGCAACCAUUAAUUCAACGAUAUAUGAAGUGACUAAAUAGGGGCGGUCUUUAUUAGUAUAUAUAUAUAUAUAUAUAUAUAUAUAUAUAUAUAUAUAUAUAUAUAUAUAUAUAUAUAUAUAUAUAUAUAUAUAUAUAUAUAUAUAUUAUAUGUCCACUAAGUUAGUGCAAGAAUGGAAUUCACGAUAUAUAGAUGGCCCUUAACUUCUGCUGUCCUUUUGGUCCCGCAAUUCAGGAAAUUAAACCCUACUUCCGGAUUAUUAAACUUGGCACUUAUAUAUGCCUAACUAUAGAAAAUGCUGUGUUUCUUGUAUUUUUUUAAAUUCUACGUUUUACACUAUUUCUAAAAAAAGGUUCGGGAAACUUUUUAAUGUACAUCAUAGGCCGGAAGGGGUACUGUACUGAUCCAUUAUUGGUUUCUAAUGUACAUCAUAAGAAAAAUAUGUUUGGUUUCUAGGGACUAAUUUGUAGUCCAUCCAUUUUAUUUCAUUUUAAGCCUUAAUUUACUAAAUAUAGAAACUAAACGUAUUUGACAAUUUAGUAUUUGACAAUUUAAUGACUAAAAUGUCCCUAGAAACUAAACAUCCACUAAACCUAACUCAGUGGCGGAGACAGGCCUAUGGCCAGUAGGGCCUGGGCCCUAACCCUUGGGCCGACUAGCCUCGAAAGGUCUAUAUACCAGUCAGUAUGGUUAGCUGUGAUUGCUUUUGAAAGAGCUAGCUUUUGAUGCCUAAAGAUUUAUACAUCGUUUUUAGUGUUAUAUAUGGUCUCAUACUUAGAGAGAUGACCUAACUGUAGGAUGAAUUACCAGGUCCGAUAGCGUUGAUGGUGUGGCUGGUGAAAAGACGAUGGCAUGGCUCAUCGCACCAUGGAACUGGUUCAUUCUCUGUCGGGGGGGAAGAACUUAAAGAAAGAAAGAAAUUCCAAUCCAUUCUCCUCCCUGGGAAAAAGAACUGAAUCCAUUCUCGGUCAGAAAACAAAACCUUGUGGAAAUAUAUCUGAACCUAAAACAAAAAAAAAUUAUCACAGUUGCAAGGAUCAGAGCGCUCGGCCUUCGCACAUCACAUGUGAGAGAGAGAGAGCACACAAGCUCUGAACCUCAUGAGACCAUACACACACUUGUGGAGUUGUGGUCCAAAACAAACACCUCAUCUUCAGGGAUCUGAAUUUGCUGCACUACACAAAAAAAAAAAACAAAAAGGUGGUGGUAUUGGGGAUUCCGAGAAUUGAACUCGGGACCUUACGCUCCCUAAGCGUACAUCUUACCACUAGACUAAAUCCCCAGCUGGUGCUGUACGUAUGCAUGCAGAGUUUCAGAAACGAAGAAAGGGGCAGCAAAUUCAGACGAUUCAGAAACCACCUCCGCAGGGCCUCUCUGAACGAUGGACUUGAGACCCUUCAAGAGUCCAUGCAUGUGUUUCAUGUCACGGAGAACUGAAGCCAUUUUUUGCCACUGCACCGCUCCUCCGCGCGUCAGCAUUGCAUUGCAAGCCAUCGGGGCCGCCGGCCGUGGGCCAUUUUGGCUCAGUGUAAACUCCGCUAGCUGGGCCAUUUUGGCUCUUGUUCCGCAGUCGCUUAUACUGCUUCUAUAUUGUUCAUGUGUCAGCAUGGUUGAGGAAAGAUGGUGCCUCUGCCGAGAAAGAUAAUAAAAAGAUGGUCCUACUCCUACGUAGCUGUAGCGCCCUAGACUGACAUAGUGAAUUCAAGAGCCUGCAAUGCAAAAGUAACGUCGCUGCAGGGCCGGGCCGGGUGACCAACAAAUUGACGGGUCAACAUACCGAAACUGCCCGCCGUAAACUCUCUGACGAGUGACUGACGACGAGCAUUCAGAAAUGGUGACAACAUUCAGACUGACAGCUUCGUCGUGUCUGGCAUCUCGGGCAAAUUUUUUUUUUUGGAUUAGAAAGAAUAUUCAGAUCAGUGACCUCUCUUGUGGGCAGGAGGAUUGUUGCAGGUAGUGUGAGUGUCUGACAAAGGUGCUCUCAACUCGAUGGAGACUCUACUAAUCGACCGUUGUUAUGCAGCAAAGGUCAUAGCUAGGCCCACAAGCCAUGCCUAUUCUAUUACUAGUUUGCUUCGUAGUUCGUACACACACAUUACUGUAGUCCGUCUCCUCUGAAAACGGUUUCCGGCUCCUCACAGAGUAGUAGCUCCUCUGAAAGCUCGGUCAGGGUGACCAACCAAGAACACACACACACAUGUCCAUGGAGCUCAAGUCCUCCUCCUCCACCUCCACCUCAACAACAAGAGGAGCAAGCAAGCAAGCGACCACCACUUGUCUCUGUUUUCUUCACCCACCAAGACCAGUAAACACAGAGCAACCACCAAGCCUGUUUCCUGGAGCGUCUACUCUUUCACGAGACGGUUUCACCACACUUGUCUGAACGUGAAAGAGACCCUCCGAGUUCGUCAGACCGUCCUCCUUUCCCCAUGGCCACCACCCUCGCCAUGAGCAGCAGCAGCAGCAACGGGCACGGACGCCGCCACGAGGCCUCCACCACCUCGUCUUCGUCGUCGUCCUCCACGGCCUCGGCUCAGAAACGAAGGGGGGAGUCGCAGCAGCAGGCCGCCGUCGUCCCGGCGACGCCGGGUCCGGCGCUGCAGUUCCUCGCGAGCCCCGCGCACCACCACAACCACCCCCAGACCCAGCUCGUCGCCCCGAGGAGGUCGGUGCCGUCCAAGUGGGAGGACGCGGAGAAGUGGCUGCGGCAGUCGUCGUCGUCCUCGGGUUCCGACCACCACCUCCACGGCAACGCGAGGGCCGCCUUCUCCAGGCAGCGGAGCGGCGGGCUCGGACACCGAGGCGGCGCCGGAGGCGGGGGUGGGGACGAGAAGAGCGCGGCGGUGGCGGUGAGGAGGUCGGUGGACGCGCUCCGGGACGCCCACUCGCUCGCGCUGUACGCGGCGCCGGCAGCGGAGGUGCUCCUCAAAGGUGUUUUGUGGGGUUUUUAUUUAUUUAUUUAUUUGGGUAUUUAUUUCCUGCUCCGCUCGAAUUUCGCAAGACAUCUUAUUGGCGUUCCAUCCAACUCGACGCUGAGCUUUGCAAGACAUGGCUGGUUGCAGACAAGUUCACCGACAAUGAGGAGCCGUCCAAGGAGAGCUUCGUGUUCCGGAGCUCGUGCUGCGAGGCUGCUGAACCGGCGAAGGGCGCCGACGACGACGACGACGGUCGCUGCCAGCGGAGGAGGGACGUCGGCACGGAGACGACGCCGCUGGGCAGCUCGUGUCACACGCCGCUCAAGAGCGCGUCCCCGGCGCGGCACAACACGCCGGCGAGCCGGUCGUCGGGCCCGCUGGUGCCGUACGCCGGCGGCGGCGGCGGGACGGACAUCUCGGAGCUGGCGGGAUUCCGCCUCGCCAAGCUGGACCUGGGCGCGCGGUUCGGCGCCCACGCCACGCUCGUCGGCUGGAGCUCCAAGGAGGAGGAAGAGGACGACGAGGACGUGUCCAAGAGCCUCAGGCACUUCGAGGCCACCGUCGGCGGGAUAGCCUGCGAUAGACGCGGCGGCGACUGCCGUUGGGAUGACGACGACAGGGCCAAGAGCUGUAUCAGGUAUCAGAGGGAAGAGGCGAAGAUCCAGGCCUGGGUUAACCUGGAGAGCGCCAAGGCUGAAGCGCAGUCAAGAAAGCUGGAGGUAAAAUUAAACCAGGUUCAGUACCAUCUUUGGGCAGGAUUUUUCUUUGUUUUCAUCGGCAAAUGUCAUUGGCUUCAUUCCCCACCACCCCUUGAUUCAUCUUUCGGACUGAUUUGGUGAAUAGGGAUCACCAGAGAUUGGAGGGGAUUGAGAGAUAAUUUGUUCAUUUUCCUUUCAAUCCUCUCGUGAUCCACUUGUCAGCCCUUAGAGUUUAAGGGUUUUAGUAAGGCAAUAUUUGGAGCCAGAGUUUUUUUUUUAGAUCCAUGUCUACUUCCAUUCACGUUACAUAUCCUGUUCAAACUCCGCACAUCGCGUUCCAAAGAAUGGCCAGCGCGUGUGAGUAGAAACAGAUCGAAGCUGUUGGUUGCUUAGAACGUGAGACCCUUUAGUUGCUUAUUAGAACGUUGUGAGGCAUGAUUGUUCGUUGUUGCUUUCUAUGCAAAUGAAACCCCCCCCCCCCCCCCCCCCCCCCACACGCGGCGGUUCAUCGGAACUCGAAUUAGUUAGCUGCUCUUGUUCUCAACUUGGUCGACUAGGCAGCCAUGUGACAAAACUCCGAAGGCGUGCAUGGAGUUCAAAGUUUGAAACCUUUUUUUUUUCUCUCUCUCUCCCUCCAUGCUGCACUGCUCAAGGCAGCAACGACAGUGCGUGCGUGCCCGCCAUGCUGCGAACCCAGACCCAGCUAGCUGAUCAGGUUCAGAUCCGAUCCUGACGUUUUUUUCUUUCUUUUUUGUUUGCAAUGUGCGGCCGGCUGGUGUCUGCAGGUGAAGAUCCAGAAGAUGCGGUGCAACCUAGAGGAGAAGCUGAUGCGGCGGAUGACGACGGUGCAGCGGCGCGCGGGGGAGUGGCGCGCCACGGCGCGGGCGCAGCACCUCCAGCAGCUGCGGCGCGCGGCCGCCCACGGCGACGGCGACGGACGGCGGCUCAGGGCCACGGCCACGUCCACGGCCCACCACCACCGCCACCUGCCGGGCAGCAGCGAGGCGCCCUCCUGCGCCUGCUUCCCCUGCAGCACCAGCACCAGCGGCGGCGGUAACAACGUCGUCAGCGGCGGCCUCCUCAGCUACUACUAGCUAGCUUGCUUGCUGGUGUCGUUGUUGUUGUUUUCUUUGAGGUCUGCGAACGGAGAGAUUGGUCGGCACGGCAGUGCAGCUGUGCCGCGCACUUGAGAAUCAGUGUUCUAACCCAAGCUCCAGACCUGAUCUAACUAUUAUGCAAUUCGUAUUUAAAAAAAGAGAGUCAUGGAUCAUCAUCUAACUAUUAUCCAUAAUCGUGAGGAAUACGUACGCGACAAAACUAUUGCCAGUUAGUUUUCUUUCUUUCUUCAAAAGCCAUUUCAGUGUCCACGGAAAUACGGCGGCAGUUUUUCACUUGAAGCGCGUCGCGACAGAGCACGGCCAUCUAUGCCGCGCAGGCGGGGGCCCCCUGUCGUGGAGCCGUGUGUCCAUGUCGGGGAGCGAGAAGGGGGCGGCUGAACCAACGCGAGGUGAUGGCCACCCACGCCGUGGAUGUUACUGCAGCCUGCUGCUACUUUCCACCACUGCCGAAGCAGCAGGCAGGCAGAGGUUGGAUUGGAUUGGACGGAGAAAGAAGAAGUGCCAUCAUGUCCCCGAGUCCCACGUCGACGGCGGAGGUCGAGGUCGUCGUGGGCCGUCGGGGUCGGGGCACGACCUCACCAGGCCUCCUGCUCCUCCAUGGACUGGGGCCACCAACGGUGAUGGUAGUAUUACGUGGGCCCGCCCCGCCUCCGAGCGCAUCGGCCGUCGUGCCAGCGCAGAGCACGGCCAUCCAAGACGGUACUGGCCGGCAGGCACUGUACUAGCACUCUAGCAGAGCUCUCUCUCUCUCUCUCUCCUCGCUCGUCUUCUCGCUCGGUCACUGACCGCACGCCUCACCUUGUCGUGGAGCCGUGUGUCAGGCGAGGCAGCCAUGCGUAGCUCCUUUCCUGGUUGGUCAAUGGUACCGUACGGACGGCGACGACGCUCGCUGUCCAGUACGUCCGCUGCCUGGGAUUCCAUUCCGUCCGCGGCGGCGGGCCCGUUCCUGCACGCAAGUGCACGACAGACUGCUGCCAACGCCUGAUGCCGUUCCUUCCCUCCAUGCACGCUCAGUCAAACCGGUGUACGUACUCGGGACGGCAUCCGAUGCCCAUGCAUGCGUGCGAGGGCCCAAAGUAGGGGUGGACAUUUUACAAACUAAAACCAGAACCCAAAUUAGAAUACAUCUAAUUGUCAGUUUAUUCAGGUUUUUUCGAGUUCGAGUUCGGUUUCUAUAUAUAUAUAUGCUAUAUUUCAGGAUAUGUGUUCGGUUCCUAACCUUUAAAACCCGAAUAAAUCGAAUAAUCCGAAAUAUAAAAAAUCUCUUAAUAUAUGAUGAUAUUUGUCGGGUACCAUAAUUAGGGGUACCCCCGGCAUUCCUAAACAUGGCUGGAGAACAUCUUUAAAAAGACUGGUAAGCACGAUUCAGGGUUAAGGCCUUGUCUACCGAGGGACGCGGUCCCGUCUCACCCGAGUCCAGCCUCGGGCAAAAACAGUAGUCACGUACGGAUUCACGGCUCGCCCGAGGGUCCCCUCAGGCAGUGGAGGCGCCCCCGGCUGGCCCGAGGCAAAACUCGAGUAAACUUUGUCGCAUAGCGACCUCGACCAAACCGCCUUGCCACCGACCGUAUCACGUGCACAUUUAGUGCGGGGAUCACCUGACACCUUAUCCUGACACGCGCGCCUCAGUGGGCAAGAUCAAAAUGACCGCAGUCACUUCACCCUUUUACUGAUCGUUCUGACAAGAUAACAACACUAUUCACCCUGUUCCGACUACUGUGCCAACCACCGGGGUAAGACUAACAACAGUAAGUUACCGCCUCUCCCGAGUUCAGCCUCGGGCGCAACAGGGAGUUCCGCCUCGCCUGACCCCAGCUUCGGCCUUGGAAGGAAUCGUCGCCACGCCCGACCCAGGUCUCGGCCUCAGCCUCGGCCUCGGAAGGAGGUCUUCGCCUCGCCCGACCUAGGCCUCGGCCUCAGCCUCGGCCUCGGGAGGAGGUCUUCACCUCGCCCAAAACGGCCUCGGACCGACUACGCAAACAGGGAAUACAACACUACCCUUCCCCUAGCUAGCCACCUCAGGCUACGAAGGAACAAGACCGGUGUCACAUAAAAUUACUCCAGUAACAGGUAAUGAUGAUCCCCGACAUGCGCCCAUGACGUCGACUGUCCUCAAGCUCUCUACGAAAUCAAAGGAACGUCAGCAGGACACAUACUUCAAGGCCACCUCGACGACCAGGCCAUACCGCCAGCAACACUUCUACAGGACUCAAGCACUUCUCCACCGUCCAUGUUAGCGCAUAGCUACACCCCCAUAUGUACAGCUGGGUCACCUCCUUGCACCUAUAAAAGGAGAUGCCCAGGGCCUUCCCAGGGAAAAGGAGGAGACGGACUGAGACGGCUCACUCAACAUCAGCCUCCUCUCCACAACACUAGACCUCUCAAGAGACCUGGGAUCUGUUCCCUCUCUCGAAAAAGCUUGUAACCCCUAAUACAAGCACCCCGAUGCAAGAUAAUAUAAGCCUCAUCCUCCCUCUGCUGGAAGUAGGGCCUUCCUAGCCCGAACCAGGAUAAACCUUGUGUUUCAUCUUGCAUCAAUCCAUCCGGGCAGGGACACGCAGCAUAAGAUUUACUAGUCGGUUGAGGGUCCCCGGGUCUAAAACACCGACAAUAUUACCGAAUGAUUUAUGAAUUUAUUAGAUAAAAAUUAGAUAUAUCAUCUUAACGAUAGUGUAUAUAUAUAUACUAGGUACAUGCCCGUGCGAUGCUACAGAAAAAUUGACGAGACUACAACAAAAAACUGUGAUUAAACAAAAAUACGAAAACAUAAUUCAUACAUGCAACAUAUCUUAGUUAAGAAAUAUAUCCUACAGAAAGGAAACACAAUAAGUCACACGAGGAAACAUCAAUCAUGUAUACAACAGAUCCUAAUUAAGGAAUAUAAUCAUGUAUGCCCUAAAAAAGGAAACACGGAAUAAGAAAAGAAACACAAUAAUCAGGCAAAGGGAACGUGCAUGCACCCGAUCCUAAUUAAGGAAACGUCAAUCAUGCAUCCAACACAUCCUAAUUAAGGAAUAUAAUAAACAUGGAUGCCUAAAAAAGGAAAGAAAAAAUAAAAAAGAACCACAAUAAUCACGCAAGGGACGUGCAUGCACCAUAUCCUAAUUAUUAAUAAGGAGUAUAUAAUAAUGCAAGGGAACGUCAAGAGAAAAUUGAAGGCAGAUAUCUAGUGCUCAAAUAUAUUACAUGGCAUUAUAUAGAAUACAACCAGGAGUAAAUUCAGAUACUAUGCUAUGGACAAUUCACGAUAUUAGGGACAACUCACGAUUCACUUUGCAGCCUAUCCAAUACCAUACUUCACUUCCUAAUAAAGAUAACGUGUUACUAAAGGAUAACAUCAACAAAAUCUUACUGAUUUUUUACAAUAAGCAUGUUGAUUUUUAUUUAUUUACAUCUUCUGUCUUCUCAAUCAAUUAAGCAUCACAAUCGGUAUCACCUUCUUGCACAGCAACACCAAGCUUUUCAUUGAUUUCAGUAAUUAUGGCCUGCAUUAAACAUAUUAACAUGUAAGAAUUCGAGGAACAUAGGGUGGAACACAAAAUGCAAAAAGCAGAGAAAGGUAAUCAGGCUCAGAUCAUCACUCACCACCUAGGGAAAUAUCGAAAGUUAAGUGCAUCAAAUGCAAGUGUUGUAUGGAUUUACCAAAAGUUAAGUUUGUAUGGAUUUGUCAAACAUAUUACCUGGUUCUAAUUUCCAAAUUGUUUUAGCUAUCAUAGUAUUAAGCACCUGACAAUCAAUUUGCCAAAACAAGGGCAUGAUAUGAUGGUACAAUAAUAGAAGUAGAAGAGGGAUUUUUAGGCAGACACGACAGUAACUCGUCGACUGAAACCGUCAUGUAUAAGUGAUCUAGGGACUGGGGGCACAUGUGAAUAAUUUUAGCGAUCAGGUCAAAUAGAGCACGUGUGAAUAAUUUCAGAUGCACUAUUUUUCAACUUCACCAGCAGAGACCUUACGCAAUGGGAAGUUUAAAAAAAGGGUGGUAAACCUAGAUCACCUCCAACCAGAAGAAUUUUCAUAGUAGACUUAGUCGCUUAUCACAAUCAGAUGACUUUUUUGUACGGCUAGAACUGCAUGAUUAACUAAAGAUGAGUCUAGCUAGAGAAGUACUAAAAUGAAAACUAUCAAUCUAUUUCAUUGGUGGAAAAUUAAUACAAAGUCCUACAUCACAACAUUGACAGCAUGGCUUUCAAUACUGCUAUAGAAUCAUGAGAUGAUGCAUUACAAAAUGCAUGAGCCAUAUAUGCAUCACAUACCGAAAUAAAAAAGGACCCCAAAAAUGGACUCAAAUUUUUAGUCAUGACUAAAUCUGCAAAAAUAUAUAGAGCAGAGAUUACUGAGAUGACAGACUGUACAUACCACCAUAUCCCCAGUUGCCUCGUCCUCGGCCACCACCACCUCCUUUGUUCCCGUUGUAAUUCCAGCCUCCAUUUUCUGAUGGCAAAAAUAUUAUCGUCAUACAUGAUUGUAUAGAACCAUAAAUAUUAUCAUCAACUCAAGGCAAGGAGCAAGGCAGAAGGAAAUCCGUGCAGCCUAGCAGUAGCAGCUCUAAUGUUUUAAAAUAUCGUAAGUUAAUGUCAAGGAUAUGAGCUUUGACAUGCUUGAAGUUUUACAGACCAAUAUAAAAUUAUCAAUUGUGAGUUUGUGAUGAAGUUAAAAACUAAUUUCACCUGAUGCCAUUUGAAUGUUGUCCUCAGCAGCAGGCUCACUACUUCCAGCACACAUAUCAAAGAGGUCAACCCUCUUAUUGUUGUUACCAAGGUUACUUUGGUAUCUAAAAAAAACAUAACAAAAGUAAUAACCUUGAAUCCCAAUGUGAGUCUGCGAGUCUACGAGUUUUGUACUCCACAUAAUAGCUAAUAAUUACACUGUGAGUCUGCGAGUCAUCAUUCACCUUGAUUCCUUGAAGCUGUAUGCAGUGCAACAAAAUUGAUGGCAAUAGUGCCAAGCAUUGCAAGCUUCAGGUGAGAUAUGCGGGGUCAGGACGACAACAAAAAAGUGGCAAAACAAAAUUAUGCCUACAUCCACUUGUGUGUGGACAAAUGGAGGCAAAAAAUGUGACAAAAUCAGAUGAAUCUUCGAUCGUAUUGAGAACAACGUGAGAUAGUGACAUUAACGAAGAAGAAAAAAUAAAAUGAAAUCCAUAUUUUCGGAUAAUGGAAUCGAAGCUCAAAUGCUAAAUUGGCACGAUUAGUACAAAUGUCUAUGUGUUGGGGACGCUGUAGACAUUGAAUCUCAAUGUAAUGACCAACAGUCGCCACCACUUCACCAAAAUGGAGGGGAUAAUCACCCACCGGCGAGGGUACUUGGGCUUUCCAUCCUUGCUAUCAAACAACUGCAGAUGUGCUUUAGUAAAGCUAUGAAAAUUUUCCAAGGCAAUGGUCAGUAUACAAGGAAGAACCACACUUGCCUUGUUUAGACGGUUGUGCUUGCCAAGCACCCAUUUGUUGAUAUGACAUAUCUAAUCUAUUGAUGCACAUUAGACCCAUAGAGAAUUAAUUGCUGCUAAUUUGGUGAUAGAUAUUCCUUGACUAAACUGAGUAGUGAAUACACUGUCUACAAUCUAAAACUUUAUUACUAAUUUUGAAGUGCUAGAUUGAAAGCGUUGUAAAUUUAGUUGACUACAAAUACUGUACAGACAUGGAAUAGAACAUAUGAGCGGUGCUUGAAUGUGUGGUUUAUUCAAUUUCAUACCAAAUGCAGUACUGCCAAUUGGUCCCGACGUCAGGAGGGCUCGGGUGCCGGACCUGCUGAUGCUACUGACAUGAGGAGGUGUCUAGUGUUGCAGACAGGGCGCGGUCACACAAAAGCGGAAGCAUAGGGCGCAAAAGUGAAAGGGAAUUAGGCUUACACCUAGUCCCUAAUUAAUUUUGGUGGUUGAAUUGCCCAACACAAAUAAUUGGACUAACUAGUUUGUUCUAGUGUAUAAGUUAUACAGGUGCAAAAGGUUCACACUCAGCCAAUAAAAAGAUCAAGUUUUGGAUUCUACAAAUGAGCAAAGGGCCAACCGAAGGCACCUCUGGUCAGGGGCACCGGACUGUCCGGUGUACACCGGACAGUGUCCGGUGCACCAGAGGACUCCAACUCAAACUUGCCACCUUCGGGAAUUUUCAGAGGCCACUCCGCUAUAAUUCACCGGACUGUCCGGUGUACACCGGACAUGUCCGGUGCUCCAAGGAAGGGCGGCCUCCAGAACUCGCCAGCCUCGGGUUUUCACUUCAGCUGCUCCGCUAAAAUUCACCGGACUGUCCGGUGUACACCGGACUGUCCGGUGCAUCCUCGGGGCAAUGGCUACUUCGCGCCAACAGUCACCUGCAGGCGCAUUUAAUGCGUGACAGAAGCGCGCAGUCGUCAGGCACGCGAGAGCAGGCGCACCGGACACUCUACAGUGCAUGUCCGGUGCGCCACCGGACAUCAAGGCGGGCCCAGAAGUCAGAAGCUCCAACGGUCGGAAUCCAACGGAACUGGUGACGUGGCUGGGGCACCGGACUGUCCGGUGUGCACCGGACUGUCCGGUGCGCCAUCGAACAGACGGCCUCCACCAACGGUCAAGUUGGUGGUUGGGGCUAUAAAUACCCCAACCACCCCACCAUUCAUUACAUCCAAGUUUUCCAGCUUCCAACCACUAUACAAGAGCUAGCAUUCAUUGCAAAGCACACCAAAAGAGAUCAAAUCCUCUCCCAACUCCACACAAAGCAUUAGUGAUUAGAGAGAGUGAUUUGUAGUGUUCAUUUGAGCUCUUGCGCUUGGAUCGCUUCUUUUCUUUCGCAUUCUUUCUUGUGAUCAAACACUCACUUGUAAUUGAGGCAAGAGGCACCAAUCGUGUGGUGGGCCUUGCGGGAAGUUUGAUUCCCAAGUGAUUUGAGAAGAGAAGCUCACUCGGUCCAAGGGACCGUUUGAGAGAGGGAAGGGUUGAAAGAGACCCGGCCUUUGUGGCCUCCUCAACGGGGAGUAGGUUUGAGAGAACCGAACCUCGGUAAAACAAAUCCACGUGUCUCACUUCAUUAUUCGCUUGCGAUUUGUUUUGCGCCCUCUUUUGCGGACUCGAUUAUAUUUCUAACGCUAACCCGGCUUGUAGUUGUGUUUAUAUUUGUAAAUUUCAGUUUCGCCCUAUUCACCCCCCCUCUAGGCGACUAUCAAUUGGUAUCGGAGCCCGGUGCUUCAUUAGAGCCUAACCGCUCGAAGUGAUGUCGGGAGAUCACGCCAAGAAGGAGAUGGAGACCGGCGAAAAGCCCACUACGAGCCAAGGGAGCACUUCAUCGGAAGAGUCCCGCACCAAGAGGAAGGAGAAGAAGAAGGACUCCUCCAAACGGAAGGAGAAAAGAUCUUCUUCCUCACACCACAAGGAGAAGAAGGAGAAAUCUUCUUCCCACAAGUCGCAUCGGAAAGGAGACAAGCACAAAAGGAUGAGGAAGGUGGUCUACUACGAGACCGACACUUCAUCAACAUCUACCUCCAACUCCGAUGCACUGUCCGUAACUUCUAAGCGCCAAGAGCGCAAGAAGUUUAGUAAGAUUCCCUUACACUAUCCCCGUACAUCUAGACAUACUCCAUUGCUUUCCGUUCCAUUAGGCAAACCGCCAACUUUUGAUGGCGAAGAUUAUGCUAGGUGGAGUGAUUUAAUGAAAUUUCAUCUAACCUCACUCCACAAAAGUAUAUGGAAUGUUGUUGAGUUUGGAGCACAGGUACCUUCUGUAGGGGAUGAGGAUUAUGAUACGGACGAAGUGGCCCAAAUCGAGCACUUCAACUCCCAAGCCACAACCAUACUCUUGGCCUCUCUAAAUAGAGAGGAAUACAACAAGGUGCAAGGGUUGAAGAAUGCAAAGGAAAUUUGGGACCUCCUCAAGACCGCGCACGAGGGUGAUGAACUAACAAAGAUCACCAAGCGAGAAACGAUCGAGGGGGAGCUCGGACGCUUUCGACUUCGCCAAGGGGAAGAGCCACAAGACAUGUACAACCGGCUCAAGACCUUGGUGAACCAAGUGCACAACCUCGGGAGCAAGAAGUGGGAUGACCACGAGGUGGUUAAGGUUAUUCUUAGAUCACUCAUUUUCCUUAACCCCACUCAAGUUCAAUUAAUUCGUGGUAAUCCUAGAUAUACUCAAAUGACCCCCGAGGAAGUUAUCGGGAAUUUUGUGAGCUUUGAAUGCAUGAUUAAAGGAUCAAAGAAGAUCAACGAGCUUGACGAACCCUCCACGUCCGAGGCACAGCCGGUGGCAUUUAAGGCGACGGAGGAAAAGAAGGAGGAGUCUACACCAAGUAGACAACCAAUCGACGCCUCCAAGCUCGACAAUGAGGAGAUGGCUUUAAUCAUCAAAAGCUUUCGCCAAAUCCUCAAGCAACGGAAGGGGAAGGAUUGCAAAUCCCGUUCCAAGAAGGUUUGCUACAAGUGUGGUAAGCCCGGUCACUUUAUCGCUAAAUGUCCAUUAUCAAGUGACAGUGACAGGGAUAACGACAAAAAGGGAAGAAGGAAAGAAAAGAAGAGGUACCACAAGAAGAGGGGCGGCGAUGCCCACGUGUGCCGCGAGUGGGACUCCGACGAGAGCUCCACCGACUCCUCCUCCGACGAGGACGCCGCCAACAUCGCCGUCACCAAAGGACUCCUCUUCCCCAACGUCGGCCACAAGUGCCUCAUGGCAAAGGAUGGCAAAAGGAAGAAGGUAAAAUCAAGAUCCUCUACUAAAUAUGAAACCUCUAGUGAUGAGGAUGAUGCUAGCAAUGAGGAGGAUAACUUGCGCGUUCUUUUUGCCAACCUUAACAUGGAACAAAAGGAAAAACUUAAUGAGCUAAUUAGUGCCAUCCAUGAAAAGGAUGACCUCUUGGACUCCCAAGAGGACUUCCUAAUCAAGGAAAAUAAAAAGCAUGUUAAGGUUAAAAAUGCUUAUGCUCUAGAGGUAGAAAAAUGUGAGAAAUUGUCUAGUAAGCUAAGCGCUUGCCAUGAGACCAUUGACAACCUUAGAAAUGAAAAUGCUAGAUUAAAUGCUAAGGUUGAUUCUCAUGUUUGUGAUGUUUCAAUUCCCAAUCCUAGAGAUAAUAAUGAUGAUUUUCUUGCUAGGAUUGAAGAUUUAAAUGUUUCUCUUGCUAACCUUAGAGUAGAAAAUGAAAAUUUAAUUGCUAAGGCUAAAGAACUAGAUGUUUGCAAUGUUACAAUUUCCGAUCUUGGAGAUAAUAAUGAUAUCUUGCGUGCUAAGAUCGUUGAGCUUAAUUCAUGCAAACCCUCUACAUCUAGUGUUGAGCAUGUUUCCAUUUGUACUAGAUGUAGAGAUAUUGAUAUUAAUGCUAUUCAUGAUCACAUGGCUUUAAUUAAACAACAAAAUGAUCAUAUAGCAAUAUUAGAUGCUAAAAUUGCCGAGCAUAACUUAGAAAAUGAAAAAUUUAAAUUUGCUAGAAGUAUGCUCUAUAAUGGGAGACGCCCUGGCAUCAAGGAUGGCAUUGGCUUCCAAAGGGGAGACGAUGUCAAACUUAAUGCCCCUCCUAAAAACUUGUCUAACUUUGUUAAGGGCAAGGCUCCCAUGCCUCAGGAUAAUGAGGGUUACAUUUUAUACCCUGCCGGUUAUCCCGAGAGCAAAAUUAGGAGAACUCAUUCUAGGAAGUCUCACUCUGGCCCUAACCAUGCUUUUAUGUAUAAGGGUGAGACAUCUAGCUCUAGGCAACCAACCCGUGCAAAGUUGCCUAGAAAGAAAACUCCUACUGCAUCAAAUGAUCAUAGCAUUUCAUUUAAGACUUUUGAUGCAUCUUAUGUGCUUACUAACAAAUCCGGCAAACUAGUUGCCAAGUUUAUUGGGGGCAAACACAAAGGGUCAAAGACUUGUGUUUGGGUACCCAAAGUUCUUGUUUCUAAUGCUAAAGGACCCAAAACUGUUUGGGUACCUAAAGUCAAGAACUAAAAUUGUUUUGUAGGUUUAUGCAUCCGGGGGCUCAAGUUGGAUACUCGACAGCGGGUGCACAAACCACAUGACAGGGGAGAAGAAUAUGUUCUCCUCAUAUGAGAAAAACAAAGAUCCCCAACGAGCUAUCACAUUCGGGGAUGGAAAUCAAGGUUUGGUCAAAGGAUUGGGUAAAAUUGCUAUAUCACCUGACCAUUCUAUUUCCAAUGUUUUUCUCGUAGACUCCUUAGAUUACAAUUUGCUUUCUGUAUCUCAAUUAUGCAAAAUGGGCUACAACUGUCUUUUCACUGAUGUAGGUGUCACUGUCUUUAGAAGAAGUGAUGAUUCAAUAGCAUUUAAGGGAGUGUUAGAGGGUCAGCUAUACUUGGUAGACUUUGAUAGAGCUAAACUCGACACUUGCUUAAUUGCUAAGACUAACAUGGGUUGGCUCUGGCAUCGCAGACUAGCCCACGUUGGGAUGAAGAAUCUUCAUAAACUUCUAAAGGGAGAGCACAUUUUGGGACUAACAAAUGUUCAUUUUGAGAAAGACAGGAUUUGUAGCGCAUGCCAAGCAGGAAAGCAAGUUGGCGUUCAUCAUCCACACAAGAACAUCAUGACUAGUGACAGGCCACUGGAGCUCCUACACAUGGACCUAUUCGGGCCGAUAGCUUACAUAAGCAUCGGUGGGAGUAAGUACUGUCUAGUUAUUGUGGAUGAUUAUUCUCGCUUCACUUGGGUAUUCUUUUUACAGGAAAAAUCUCAAACCCAAGAGACCUUAAAAGGAUUCUUGAGACGGGCUCAAAAUGAGUUUGGCUUAAGGAUCAAGAAAAUAAGAAGCGACAACGGGACGGAGUUCAAGAACUCUCAAAUCGAAGGUUUUCUUGAGGAAGAGGGCAUCAAGCAUGAGUUCUCUUCUCCCUACACACCUCAACAAAAUGGUGUAGUGGAGAGGAAGAAUCGAACUCUAUUGGACAUGGCAAGGACCAUGCUUGAUGAGUACAAGACUUCGGAUCGGUUUUGGGCCGAGGCGGUCAACACCGCCUGCUACGCCAUCAACCGGUUAUAUCUUCACCGAAUCCUCAAGAAGACAUCCUAUGAACUCCUAACCGGUAAAAAGCCAAAUAUUUCAUAUUUUAGAGUUUUUGGCAGCAAAUGUUUUAUUCUUGUUAAAAGAGGAAGAAAAUCUAAAUUUGCUCCUAAAACUGUAGAAGGCUUUUUACUAGGAUAUGACUCAAACACAAGGGCAUAUAGAGUCUUUAACAAGUCCUCAGGACUUGUUGAAGUUUCUUGUGACGUUGUGUUUGAUGAGACUAAUGGCUCUCAAGUAGAGCAAGUUGAUCUUGAUGAGAUAGGUAAUGAAGAGGCUCCAUGCAUCGCGCUAAGGAACAUGUCCAUUGGGGAUGUGUGUCCUAAGGAAUCCGAAGAGCCUCCAAAUGCACAAGAUCAACCGUCCUCCUCCACGCAAGCAUCUCCACCAACUCAAAAUGAGGAUGAGGCUCAAGUUGAUGAAGGACAAGAUCAAGAAGAUGAGACACCUCAUGAUGACGACAAUGAUCAAGGGGGAGAUGCAAAUGAUCAAGACAAGGAGGAUGAAGAGCAAAGGCCGCCACACCCAAGAGUCCACCAAGCAAUCCAACGAGAUCACCCCGUUGACACCAUCCUCGGUGACAUUCAUAAGGGGGUAACUACUAGAUCUCGUAUUGCACAUUUUUGUGAAUAUUACUCGUUUGUUUCCUCUAUUGAGCCACACAGGGUAGAGGAAGCACUAUAAGAUUCGGAUUGGGUGGUGGCAAUGCAAGAGGAGCUCAACAACUUCACUAGAAAUAAGGUAUGGCAUUUAGUUCCACGUCCUAAUCAAAAUGUUGUAGGAACCAAAUGGGUUUUCCGCAACAAGCAAGAUGAGCAUGGUGUGGUAACAAGGAACAAAGCACGACUUGUGGCCAAGGGAUACUCCCAAGUCGAAGGUUUGGAUUUCGGUGAAACCUAUGCACCCGUAGCUAGGCUUGAGUCAAUUCGCAUAUUAUUAGCCUAUGCUACUUACCAUGGCUUUAAGCUUUAUCAAAUGGACGUAAAAAGUGCCUUCCUCAAUGGACCAAUCAAGGAAGAGGUCUAUGUUGAGCAACCUCCGGGCUUUGAAGACAGUGAGUAUCCUAACCAUGUCUAUAAGCUCUCUAAGGCGCUUUAUGGGCUCAAGCAAGCCCCAAGAGCAUGGUAUGAAUGCCUUAGAGAUUUCCUUAUUGCUAAUGGCUUCAAAGUCGGAAAAGCCGAUCCUACACUCUUUACUAAAACUCUUGAAAAUGACUUGUUUGUAUGCCAAAUUUAUGUUGAUGAUAUUAUAUUUGGGUCUACUAACGAGUCUACAUGUGAAGAGUUUAGUAGGAUUAUGACACAGAAAUUCGAGAUGUCUAUGAUGGGGGAGUUAAAGUAUUUCUUAGGAUUCCAAGUAAAGCAACUCCAAGAGGGCACCUUCAUUAGCCAAACGAAGUACACUCAAGACAUUCUAAACAAGUUUGGGAUGAAGGAUGCCAAGCCCAUCAAGACACCCAUGGGAACCAAUGGGCAUCUCGACCUCGACACGGGAGGUAAGUCCGUGGAUCAAAAGGUAUACCGGUCGAUGAUUGGUUCAUUGCUUUAUUUAUGUGCAUCUCGACCGGACAUUAUGCUUUCCGUUUGCAUGUGUGCAAGAUUCCAAGCCGACCCUAAGGAAUCACACCUUACGGCCGUAAAACGAAUCUUGAGAUAUUUGGCUUAUACACCUAAGUUUGGGCUUUGGUACCCUCGGGGAUCCACAUUUGAUUUGAUUGGUUAUUCGGAUGCCGAUUGGGCAGGGUGUAAGAUUAAUAGAAAGAGCACAUCGGGGACUUGCCAGUUCUUGGGAAGAUCCUUGGUGUCUUGGGCUUCAAAGAAGCAAAAUUCGGUCGCUCUUUCUACUGCCGAAGCCGAAUAUAUUGCCGCAGGCCAUUGUUGCGCGCAAUUGCUUUGGAUGAGGCAAACCUUGCGGGACUACGGUUACAAAUUAACCAAAGUCCCUUUGCUAUGUGAUAAUGAGAGUGCAAUUAAAAUGGCCGACAAUCCCGUCGAGCAUAGCCGCACCAAGCACAUAGCCAUUCGGUAUCAUUUUCUUAGGGAUCACCAACAAAAGGGAGAUAUCGAGAUUGCAUACAUUAAUACUAAAGAUCAAUUAGCCGAUAUCUUUACCAAGCCUCUUGACGAACAAACUUUUACCAAACUUAGGCAUGAGCUCAAUAUUCUUGAUUCUAGGAAUUUCUUUUGCUAACUUGCACACAUAGCUCAUAAAUAUACCUUUGAUCAUGUCUCUUUUGUAUAUGCUAUGACUAAUGUGUUUUCAAGAGUAUUUCAAACCAAGUCAUAGGUAUAUUGAAAGGGAAUUGGAGUCUUCGGCGAAGACAAAGGCUUCCACUCCACUCCACUACUCUUUCUUCGCCGUCACUCCGAGCAUCUCUCCAACUUUGGUAUACUCUUCAUUCAUUUAUUUUAUGACCAAAGGAGGAGAAAAUACUUCAAGGGCUCUAAUGAUUCCGUUUUUGGCGAUUCAUGCCAAAGGGGGAGAAAGGUUGAGCCCAAUGCAAAAGGACCGCACCACCACCAAUUUCAAAAACUUAGUGUUUUCCAAGAGUAUUUUUCAAUUGGUAUCUUAUUGAGUUCAAAAGGGGGAGAAAAUAGUUUUUCAAUUUGAAUCAUCAAAACCCUCUUGAACACUAAGAGGAUGAUUUCAUUUAGGGGGAGUCAAAGGAAAGGCAAUUGAAAUAGGGGGAAAACAUUUCAAAACUUGAAAAUGCCUUGCAAACUCUUAUUCAUUUACCUUUAACUAUUUGCAAAAGAACCUUGAAAAGAUUUACAAAAGAUUUUUGCAAAAACAAAACAUGUGGUGCAAGCGUGGUCCAAAAUGUUAAAGAUGAAGAAACAAUCCAUGUAUAUCUUGUAAGUAUUUAUAUUGGCUCAAUUCCAAGCAACCUUUGCACUUACAUUAUUCAAACUAGUUCAAUUAUGCACUUCCAUAUUCGCUUUGGCUUGUGUUGGCAUCAAUCACCAAAAAGGGGGAGAUUGAAAGGGAAUUAGGCUUACACCUAGUCCCUAAUUAAUUUUGGUGGUUGAAUUGCCCAACACAAAUAAUUGGACUAACUAGUUUGUUCUAGUGUAUAAGUUAUACAGGUGCAAAAGGUUCACACUCAGCCAAUAAAAAGAUCAAGUUUUGGAUUCAACAAAUGAGCAAAGGGCCAACCGAAGGCACCUCUGGUCAGGGGCACCGGACUGUCCGGUGUACACCGGACAGUGUCCGGUGCACCAGAGGACUCCAACUCAAACUUGCCACCUUCGGGAAUUUUCAGAGGCCACUCCGCUAUAAUUCACCGGACUGUCCGGUGUACACCGGACAUGUCCGAUGCUCCAAGGAAGGGCGGCCUCCAGAACUCGCCAGCCUCGGGUUUUCACUUCAGCUGCUCCGCUAAAAUUCACCGGACUGUCCGGUGUACACCGGACUGUCCGGUGCAUCCUCGGGGCAACGGCUACUUCGCGCCAACGGUCACCUGCAGGCGCAUUUAAUGCGUGACAGAAGCGCGCAGUCGUCAGGCACGCGGGAGCAGGCGCACCGGACACUCUACAGUGCAUGUCCGGUGCGCCACCGGACAUCAAGGCGGGCCCAGAAGUCAGAAGCUCCAACGGUCGGAAUCCAACGGAACUGGUGACGUGGCUGGGGCACCGGACUGUCCGGUGCGCCAUCGAACAGACGGCCUCCACCAACGGUCAAGUUGGUGGUUGGGGCUAUAAAUACCCCAACCACCCCACCAUUCAUUACAUCCAAGUUUUCCAGCUUCCAACCACUGUACAAGAGCUAGCAUUCAUUGCAAAGCACACCAAAAGAGAUCAAAUCCUCUCCCAACUCCACACAAAGCAUUAGUGAUUAGAGAGAGUGAUUUGUAGUGUUCAUUUGAGCUCUUGCGCUUGGAUCGCUUCUUUUCUUUCGCAUUCUUUCUUGUGAUCAAACACUCACUUGUAAUUGAGGCAAGAGGCACCAAUCGUGUGGUGGGCCUUGCGGGAAGUUUGAUUCCCAAGUGAUUUGAGAAGAGAAGCUCACUCGGUCCAAGGGACCGUUUGAGAGAGGGAAGGGUUGAAAGAGACCCGGCCUUUGUGGCCUCCUCAACGGGGAGUAGGUUUGAGAGAACCGAACCUCGGUAAAACAAAUCCGCGUGUCUCACUUCAUUAUUCGCUUGCGAUUUGUUUUGCGCCCUCUUUUGCGGACUCGAUUAUAUUUCUAACGCUAACCCGGCUUGUAGUUGUGUUUAUAUUUGUAAAUUUCAGUUUCGCCCUAUUCACCCCCCCUCUAGGCGACUAUCAAAAAGCUCCCGUCACGCACGGUAGAUAGGGUCGCGCUGCGUGGGCUCCUCAGCUCUUGGUGGCCGGCCAGCGGCGGAUGGCUUCAGCCGGCCACGGUGCGCUCCUAGUGGCCAGUGAGGCGGUGGACGACAUCAGCGCUCGAUGGGUCACGCGGCAGCAGACAGCUUUGGAGUCAUCUACUGACCUGGACCAUGGAGAGGGAGGAUGAAGAGGCGUGACGGGAGAGGAGCCUCCGAGCGGCGGCAGCAGCCAUGGUGGCAAAACCCUAGCGGGGAGGGCAGAGACAGGUGGGUCUGCAUGGGGGACCAAAUAAAAAUGAAUGCCUAGAUGCUACAAUGUUGCAGAUAAUAUGAACUGAACUGAAAAACUGUUUUUAAAGUUUGUUUCUUGCUUGCUCUAUUUCCUCGACCGACGUGAUGUGCACGACAUGCACAUGCAUAUUCUGCAACUGGAGAUGCACUUCAAGGAUCAGUAGGUGGUGUCGGACUGCUGGGUGCUUGACCAGUAUUUAUCAUUAUUUACAAGAGUUCAACAUGAAAAGUUUGUGGUAAGAGAGAAUAGAAAAGGCUAGCAGAAUACUAACGCAGCUUGAAUGCAAAAUGCAAUAAAUUUAUAGAGUAUACAACCAAAAUGAGGUCAUGGAUAUGCUCUCCUAGCUCUAAGGGGCUACAAAGUGAUAUUACUAACACAAAUAGAAUCAUGUCUGGUAGGCUCCAAAAUGCAAGUAACAAAAGAUACCAUGCUAGAUUGAUUGAUAAUAAUUACUGGAGAAAGAAAAAAGAUACUUAUGAUUAUCCAUAAUCUAUCUAGGUCAUUUGACCCCCCCUAUCUACUAAGGUGAACAUAAAAACAUUUUUCUUCCAUGUCAUCUAUAUUUAGGUGAAAAUACAAGGCAAUUAACCAUGCUUAUUGGAAAAGAUAAACAUUAUAAAGCAGACAACACACUCGCAACAAUGAACCAUGGCAAAUAUUUCUCUUUCAUCAUAUCACAUAGGUCAACCAUGCAUACAGAACAAAAUGGCUAGCCAUGGCGAUGGCGGAUGAGCAGCGCAACAACGAUGAACUUACGGAAGCGAUGGCUGAUGACCUUGAGCGUCUUGUGAAUUUCAAGCUAAGACAUGUAAACCAGUUUGUCAGUUUGACUUCUUACAAAGUCAAGUUUUAUAAAAUUAAAUGAAAAGUCAAAUACCUUGCUCAAAAGAUUAUUUUUUACGCACAAUACCCCGCACAUCCUGAUACUCGGCAACAUCAAAUGAGAUUAACUUUUUUAACUGUAAAUUGUGAGGAUAGGGAUACAAAUGUCAUAUAUGAACUAAAGUUUAAAAAAACAAGAAAGUGUUUAUACAAAAUGCCAUAUAUGAACUAUAGUUAGUUGCCCGUGCGUUGCGACGGCACCCAGCCAUAUUUGAUGGUACCGGUUAGGGUAGGGGUCAGAUCAUAUCAGCAUGGUUAGGGGUUACAUGUGGGUCCUGUAGUACCCUCCCACAAAAAAUAAAUUUAAUAUCAAAGUGGGCCCAUAUUGGUACUACACUUGAUUUUAACUAAAAGACCCAAAAAGUAUAAGUUGAAAAGGAAUUUACCUCUUUUUAUAGCUAGUUGUACACCCGCGUCAGCACCUCGUGUGGGAAGUCCAGCUUGACCUGCACCACAUGUGUUCUAGGAGAAAGGGUGUCAUGUGCUGAAGAAAUAUGCAGGGCUGAUGGCCUAAUAAGUUCCAUCAUUUUUUCUAAUAAUAAAUUAUCACAUUCUAUGCAUUAACAGAUCCAAAAAAAGUAUCAAUGACCAAUUCUGCAAGAUGAGGAUGACAUAAAUCAAAUGUAAAAAUCAAUUUCAGCUAUGACGAGUCAAUGAUAACAUGGACCAAAGUCGCAAUUGCAUCUUGUGCUUCUGUUGAGACUAUGACAACAUGGAUAAGUCUGUUACUUAUAGGUGGUGGUUGAAUCAGAAUUUCAGAGCAGCUCUUGCCAUUUCCGAUGCUCCCUUGUAGGUCUUGUUGCCCCCAAUGAAGCCAUUAAUAUGCACAAACACACAGCUAGAUGUCGGUUUCUGCUGAAAGUCUUUCGUCUCUCAUUCCCCUCCACUUUUCUGCCAGAGCCUUUCGCCUCUUGAACCCAUUAGGAGCAACUGCGACUGCUUAGACUCGCCAACACUUGCUCUCAUCCUGCAAUUAAUUAGUGAAAAUCAAAUACACGUAGCAAUGAUACUGGGUUUUAAGAAGAAAAGGUAAAUAGCAAGGCUCAAAAAUCUACAUGAGCAAUUUAAAAUUCCAUCAGUUCAGAUAUAUACAAAAUCAAAUCAAUUACACGUAGCCUAAAUGUUUCAUGUGCGAGAUCUUACAUUGCUUAUGAGAUUCAUUAUGAAGCUAAAAUAUCAGAGGAUACAAAAUGUUGGAAAACUCAGCAACUAGUAAAAGAAGUGUACAUUUUAAUUGUAGUAGUCAACUACCAGUAAAAAAGUGUACACUUGAGCGGUCAGCAACCAGUGCGAAAGUAUACAAAAGCCUGAUUUCCUUUAGUGGUCAAAAGAAACAUUCAUUUCAGGGUGACAUCGUAGAUUGCUACAAACUGCAUCACGUUUUAUCUUUCAAUAGCAAGCGAACUAAGAAGCAUCAUGAAAUCUAUGCUGGAUUGCACUCUGAGAAGAGAAGACUCUUACCUGAUACAACACAUACUUGGUCAAAGGAUUAGUCGUUAGCACCUCUUCAAGCUCAAAUAGAUGAAGUUCCAAUAUUGUAAGAUAAAUCAUCAGCUUACAUGUUCAAAGCAUUUCGAUAGGCAAGUUCAAAGAUAUAAUUUCUAAAUUAAAUAACUUGCUACAAUCACCAAACAUAGGUCAGCCCAAGUUUGAAGAUGGUACCUAAAGCACAGACCAUGAAUUUUCCUUUUUUAGGGGGCACAACAAUUUUUAAAUGUCUCAUUUACAACAAAAGCAGGACAACUUGAUCUCAUGUAGAUAUCACAUAAUACCAUGCACAUGAGAUGGUAAAAUCUAUAUAUGGAAAGACUAACUCGGCAUGGUUGAGAUUAUUUAUUAUGAAAACGGUUUAUGUAGUUUGCACUAUUUAAAGCGUCACAUAGGAAAGUCGAGAAGUUGUCCUAUAGAACUUACAUUUCGGAUAAGAGGAGGUAUACCAUACACAACACAUUUAAUGUAAGAAACUAAAGAAACAACUUGUCAUAAACAAAAGGCCUUGUAGCUGCUCCACCAGCAAUCAUGUUCAUCAUCGGAGUCUCCACCUAGAACUAGAAUACACAUAAGGUCAGAUAUUGAAGUGUCAACGGGAAAGAAACUGCACAAAUCUCGUGCUUUCCUCCAAAAAUUCAUGGUAAAGGUUCAUGCCAUGCCAUAUGAUCAGUAAUUACUUGUUCCCCAUUCAGAUAGACCUAUGCAUAGAAGAGGAAGAUUGACAUGCAGAAAACUGUGUGUGACACAACUAUAUACCUACCUACAUGUGUAGCUAGUAUCUAGGUACAAAAUAUACAUGACAUGGCUCCACAAAAUUUCGUAAACAUAUAUACGCAUACCGAAUCAUAUGACCCAACAACAUGCCCUCUCUCUCUCUCUAUAUAUAUAUAUAUAUAGUUUAUAUAUUAGGAGCCCUGGGCUUCUAAUAACUAGAGGAAGCCCAGGUCAGACGGUGCAAUCCGGUCGAGCCGGACCACAUCCGGACGUCUAUAAAAUAGGACCCAGAGUGCUAGGGUUCGGUUUUUUACGCUCCACCCCGAUUCAUUAGCGACGCCGCAUGCGACGACGGCGGUUGCCCCAGAGCAUGCGCGGCGGUGGACCCCCAGCCGGUGGCCUCAACUCCAUGACCUCGACGCGCGAUGGCGGAGGUUCUUCGAUCCAGAGUAGUGGCAGCGGUUCCCAAGUCGGUGGCGGCGGCUCCCCGAUGCAGAGGGCGAGCGACAACGGGGCCCUUGUGCGGGCAAGCGGCGGCGUCCCCGAGGUCCCGAGGAGGCGGCACUUCCAAGGCCGGCGAGCAAGCGACGUCCGUCGACGUGCGAGUAGCGACGGCAACGCAUGAGGCGCGAUGUUCGAGCGAGCGGCGUCACGGAAGGCCCGAGAUGCGCGCAGCGAUGAUCGCACGUGACAUCCUUCGAUCCGGCGCAGUUUUCUUUUUGAUUAUUAUGUUUUAUGCCUACCACAUGUAUUAUUUACGCCAAAAACUAUACGAUUUUAUGCUUAAAUACAGAGUUCGUAUAUCAGUUUACUGCACGCACAUUGGAAAGGCAAUUCCUUGAUUUAUGUUGUUCGUAAUUUGCGCGUAUGCAAUGGAAACUCCCACGAUUUUUGCCAUAAUUUUUGGAUCUGUAUAAAAAUAGAAACCACAUGCAUGCGGCUGCCAUGUUUUCGGAUUUGUCAUAAAAAUAGGAUAGUAAUAACAACCUACUAGAGCUAUCAACCUCUCACAUUGACUUGUUAUUUACGCUUAUAAUUGAGGGAUUUUAUGCUCAAAACUUAAGGUUAUUACACUCCAACCCGGAGAUGCGUCCACCAGUGAACAACAUGCCAGAUUUUUUACGCAGCGUAACGAAUUGCAUAAAUACCUACACUAUGUAGUAUAAUUUGUAUCAGUAUAUAUCAUAAACUAGUUCCAAUGUGUUUUAGCUGCAUGGCUGUUGGAGGGAUCCUAUAUUUACGAAGAAAAUAAAACAUUAAAUACGAUUUUUUGUUUCUAUGCAUGCAAUUCAUUUCCUUUCAUUGCAUAUUCUUUCCAUCAUAAAUUCGUGUGCAUGCAGUUGGUAACAGAUUUUUACGCAGUAUACCGAAUUGCAUAAUUAUUUACACAGUAUGGCAUAUUUAGUAUCAAUAUAUAUCAUAAAAUGUCAAUACGAGUCUAGAUGCAUGGCUGUUACAGCGAUCCUAAAUUUAUGGAGGAAAUAAAACAUUUAAAAUAGAAACCGCCACGCAUAUCUUUCCUAAAUUUACGCGCAUGCAAGAGAGAACGUGUUUGAUUCAUGCAUGCAUUUUGCCAUAAUUUUUGGAUCUGUAUAACCGUAUGCAUGCGGCUGCCAUUUUUUCGGAUCUGCCAUAAAAAUAGGAUCGUAAUAACAACCUAAUAGAGCUAUCAACCUCUCACAUUGGCUCGGUAUUUACGCUUAUAAUUGAAGGAUUUUAUGCUCAAAACUUAAGGUUAUUACACUCCAACCCGGAGAUGCGUCCACCAGUGAACAACAUGCCAGAUUUUUUACGCAGCGUAACGAAUUGCAUAAAUAACUAUAAAAUAUAGUAUAAUUUGUAUCAAUAUAUAUCAUAAACUACAUCUAAUGUGUUUAGCUGCAUGGCUGUUAGAGAGAUCCUAUAUUUAUGAAGGAAAUAAAACAUUAAAUACGAUUUUUUGUUUUUAUGCGUGCAAUUCAUUUUCUUUCAUUGCACAUUAUUUUCAUCAUAAAUUCGUGUGCAUGCAGCGGGUAACAGAUUUUUACGCAGUAUACCGAAUUGCAUAAUUAUCUACACAGGGUAGCAUAUUUAGUAGCAGUAUAUAUCAUAAAAUGGUCCUUACGAGUCUAGUUGCAUGGCUGUUGCAGCGAUCCUAAAUUUAUGGAGGAAAUAAAGCAUUUAAAAAUAGAAACCGCCACACAUAUCUUUCCUAAAUUUAUGCGCAUGCAAAGGGACGUGUUUGACUCAUGCAUGCAUUCCUUUUUUGCGCGCACAGACGUGGGCGCGGGUGAUGCAACCGACAGCCUGGUCCAGUCGGUGCGCUGGGUUGAACCAGGUUGCAGGGAUGAUCGACCUGAGCUUCCUUUAACUAUUGGAAGCCCAUGGCUCCCGUUAUACCUGCCCUAUAUAUAUAUAUACAUAAUUAAUUACCUCAAGCACAAUGUGACCUUGCCAUACAGAUAACAAUUCAAGCACUUGAAGAAAUGGGGUCUCCUACUGAAUAUGGUAUAUUUAACUAUAAAUCUGUUGCAGCAAGGUGAAAAUCAUAUGUCAAAUACGUGUUGUGUAGCUGCAGCAAUUGAAGUAAAAGAAAAUACUGAUGUCUGGCUGCUGCUGGUAGUGAUAGGUGCCCCGACAACCAAUGCAAAUAUGAGAAGUUUGUUCCCAUAGAACGCUGCAACGAACCUUUAGCUCCUAGUCCUAACUACCUGCCAAGUUAGUUUGUAUAUGUUACAUACAGUUAAUGUCGAGAUAGUAUGUAAACGAUUCAUGUGAUUUCUUGAUAUGUGAUCAUGACAAUAAGUAACCCAUCACUUGUUACAUAAUAUAAGCUACAAUCUACAAAUCAUUCAAUCAAGUGUAGCUUAUUUUGCGAGUCAUAUGCAUCAUCACUAAUUCACAUGUGCCUUGCACAAACUCUGACAGCAACAAGCAGUCCCAGCUUCUUGCUUGUUUUAUUGCAGUUAGAGAAUAAGUUAUUGUCCUAAUUACACAGAGGAAGCUGGAGCAAAGCAACAUGUUGAAAGGGAAAUGUGCCCUUGGGCCAUUUCUAAGUAUUUUGGUGAUUGAGUGCCAACACAAGUGUUUUUGUGUUAAUCUAUGCAAAGUGGUGGACAAAGUGCAAAUCAUGUCAAAAGGUAUGUUUCUAGACUUAGUACAUUGUUUUAUGGACUAAUGUAUUGUGCCUAAGUACUGGAAACAGGAAAAAUCGAGGUGGAGAAGAGAUGGCUAAGUUCAGCCAAGGUCAGCGCAGUCUGGGUGCACCGGACUGUCCGGUGGUGCACCGGACAGUGUCCGGUGCGCCAGGCUGACUCUGGCGAACUUGCUACUCUCGGGAGUUCGACGGCGGUGUACGGCUAUAAUUCACCGGACUGUCCGGUGGUGCACCGGACUGUCCGGUGAGCCGUUCACAGGCGAACUCGUCGCUCUCGGGAGAUGAUUAACGGCGUACGGCUAAAAUUCACCGGACUGUCCGGUGGUUCACCGAACUGUCCAAUGAGCUAACGGUCGACCGGGCCAACGGUCGGCCGCGCGAUCUGCGCGGGACACGUGGCCGAGCCAACGGCUAGAAGGAGGCACCGGACUGUCCGGUUUGCACCGGACUGUGUCCGGUGCGCCAACGGCUCUCAAAUCCCAACGGUCGGCUUCGCCAAAUAAGGAAGGAUAUCCGCACCGGACAGUGUCCGGUGGUGCACCGGACUGUCCGGUGCGCCAGACGACAGAAGACAAGAUCAACCUUCCUAGAAUGCUCUGAACGGCUCCUAGCUGCCUUGGGGCUAUAAAAGGGACCCCUAGGCGCAUGGAGGAGAACACCAAGCAUUCCUUGAGCACUCUUGAUCACUCACACUCCAUUCUUGCGCACUUGUUCGACAUUCUAGUGAUUUAAGCUCCGUUCUAGUGUGCUAGUCUUUUGAGCUUAAGUCUGGGUCUUGUGUGUGUGUAUUUCCUGUGAUCUUAGUGUCUUGUGUGAGUUGCUAAUCCCUCCCUUACUCCGUGCUUGUUUGUGAACUUCAAGUGUAAGGGCGAGAGGCUCCAAGUUGUGGAGAUUCCUCGCGAACGGGAUUAAGAAAAGCAAAGCAAAACAUCGUGGUAUUCAAGUGGGUCUUUGGACCGCUUGAGAGGGGUUGAUUGCAACCCUCGUCCGUUGGGACGCCACAACGUGGAGUAGGCAAGCGUUGGUCUUGGCCGAACCACGGGAUAACCACUGUGCCAUCUCUGUGAUUGAUAUCUUUAUGGUUAUUGUGUUUUGUUGAGACUCCUCUCUAGCCACUUGGCGAUUAUUGUGCUAACACUUAACCAAGUUUUUGUGGCUUAAGUUUCAAGUUUUACAGGAUCACCUAUUCACCCCCCUCUAGGUGCUCUCAAUUGGUAUCGGAGCCGUUCUCUUCACAAAGGGACUAAUCGCCUGAAGAGAUAGAUCCUAAGGGGAAGGGAAUCGUGAUCAACGAUAAGGAGAAGGAGUCCUUCAUCAACGAGCCGAAGAAUGACAAGCCUACCGACUCGGGCUCGGGCCACAAACGCAAAGAUGGGAAGAAGAAGAAGACGAGACGCAUCAAGGAGAUCGUCUACUACGACGACAGCGAUGAGUCCACUUCUUCCCAAAAGGAUGACUACGACUACGAGAAACAAAAGACGGUUAAUUUGAAUUUUUCUUUCGAUUACUCUCGUAUUCCUCAGAGUUCAAAUUCACAUUUGCUCUCCAUUCCUCUCGGCAAGCCUCCACACUUUGAUGGGGAGGACUACGGAUUUUGGAGCCACAAAAUGUGUAGUCACCUGUUCUCUCUCCAUCCAAGCAUAUGGGAGAUUGUUGAGAAUGGAAUGAAAUUUGAUAGCUUGGAUAGUCCUAUAUUUAUUAAUGAACAGAUUCAUAGAAAUGCACAAGCUACUACUGUGUUGUUAGCCUCCUUGUGCAGGGACGAGUACCAUAAGGUGAGCGGCUUGGACAAUGCCAAGCAAAUCUGGGACACCCUCAAGAUCUCUCAUGAGGGGAACGAUGUCACCUUGCUCACCAAGAUGGAGUUGGUAGAGGAAGAGCUUGGAAGAUUCGUGAUGAUAAGGGGCGAGGAGCCAACCCAAACAUACAACCGGCUCAAGACCCUUAUCAACAAAAUAAGGAGCUACGGAAGCACGCGAUGGACGGACCACGACGUCGUCCGCCUAAUGCUAAGGUCCUUUACUGUACUUGAUCCACAUCUGGUGAACAAUAUUCGUGAAAAUCCUAGGUACACCAAGAUGUCGCCCGAAGAAGUCCUUGGGAAAUUCGUAAGCGGGCGAAUGAUGAUCAAGAAGGCGAGAUACGUCGACGAUGCACUGAAUGGUCCAAUCAAUGAGCCUCAACCCGUUGCUCUCAAGGCAACAAGGAGCAAGGAGGCGCUACCUAGCAAGGUGGCGCAAGUUGAGGCAGUCGGGCUCAAUGAUGAAGAGAUGGCCCUCAUCAUCAAGCGCUUCAAGACGGCGCUAAAAGGUCGCAAGGGACAGCCAAGCAAGACCAAGACAAAGGGGAAGCGCUCAUGCUUCAAAUGUGGUAAGAUUGGUCAUUUUAUUGCUAACUAUCCCGAUAAUGAAAGUGACCAGGAAAAAGGGAACAAAAGGGAGAAGAAGAAGAAUUACAAGAAGGCCAAGGGUGAGGCACACCUCGGAAAGGAGUGGGAUUCGGAUUGCUCCUCCUCCGACUCCGACAAUGAAGGACUCGCCGCCACUGCCUUCAACAAGUCAUCCCUCUUCCCCAACGAGCGUCACACAUGCCUCAUGGCGAAGGAGAAGAAGGUAUGUACUCGAGACAGUACUACUUAUGAUUCUUCUAGUGAUGAUGAGUCUAGCGAUGAGGAAAUAGAUUACUCUAGUUUGUUCAAGGGAUUGGAUAGAAAUAAAAUUGAUAAAAUCAAUGAAUUGAUUGAUGCCUUGAAUGAAAAGGAUAGACUUUUAGAAAAGCAAGAGGAUUUGUUGUAUGAAGAACAUGAUAAAUUUGUAGAGGCACAAAAAUCUCAUGCUUUAGAAGUUAAAAGAAAUGAAAUGCUUUCUUAUGAACUAUCUACUUGUCAUGAAACCAUUUCUACUUUAAAAGGUGUUAAUGAUGAUUUAAAUGCUAAACUAGAAGUAGCUAGUAAAUCUAACUCUUGUGUAGAACAUGUUGUGAUUUGCACUAGGUGUAAAGAUCUAAAUAUUGAUACUUGUAGUGAACACCUAGAGUGCAUUUCUAAACUAAAUGAUGAAGUAGCUAGUCUUAAUGCUCAACUUAAGAAUAGCAAGAGUGAAUUUGACAAACUAAAAUUUGCAAGGGAUGCCUACACAAUUGGUAGACACCCCUCAAUUAAGGAUGGUCUUGGCUUCAAGAGGGAAGUCAAGAACUUAACAAGCCAUAAAGCACCCAUCUCCGCCAAGGAGAAAGGGAAGGCCCCUAUGGCUAGUAAUGUGCAAAAGAACCAUGCUUUCAUGUAUAAUGAUAGGAGACAUUCUAGGAAUGUCUUUAAAAGUUAUGAUGCUUUUGAUAUGACUGCUUCUAGUUCCUGUGUUGUGCAUGAUAGAAAUGUUGCUAGGAGAAAUGUUGUUCAUCAUAUGCCUAGGAGAAAUGUUGUUAAUAUUCCUAGGAAAAUUAAUGAACCUUCUACAAUAUAUCAUGCUUGCAAUGCUUCAUUUACCAUUUGUAGAAAGGGUAAGAAGGUAAUUGCUAGGAAAUUAGGGGCAAGAUGCAAGGGAGAUAAAACUUGCAUUUGGGUCCCUAAGACAAUUGUGACUAACCUUGUAGGACCCAACAAGAGUUGGGUACCUAAGACCCAAGCCUAAAUUUGCCUUGCAGGUUUAUGCAUCCGGGGGUUCAAGCUGGAUUAUCGACAGCGGAUGCACAAACCAUAUGACGGGGGAGAAGAAGAUGUUCACCUCAUACGUCAAAAAUAAGGAUUCCCAAGAUUCAAUAAUAUUCGGUGAUGGGAACCAAGGCAAGGUAAAAGGGUUAGGUAAAAUUGCUAUUUCAUCCGAGCACUCUAUAUCUAAUGUGUUUUUAGUUGAGUCUCUUGGAUAUAAUUUGUUGUCUGUUAGCCAAUUAUGCAAAAUGGGAUAUAAUUGUCUAUUCACAAAUGUAGAUGUGUCUGUCUUUAGAAGAUGUGAUGGUUCACUAGCUUUUAAGGGUGUACUAGACGGCAAACUUUAUUUGGUUGAUUUUGCAAAAGAAGAGGCCGGUCUAGAUGCAUGUUUAAUUGCUAAGACUUGCAUGGGCUGGCUGUGGCAUCGCCGCUUAGCACAUGUGGGGAUGAAGAACCUCCACAAGCUUCUAAAGGGAGAACACGUGAUAGGUCUAACCAAUGUGCAUUUCGAAAAAGAUAGACCUUGUGCAGCUUGUCAAGCAGGGAAACAGGUGGGAGGUUCUCAUCACACCAAAAAUGUGAUGACCACAUCAAGACCUUUGGAGAUGAUUCAUAUGGACCUCUUCGGACCCGUCGCCUAUCUAAGCAUAGGAGGAAGUAAGUAUGGUCUUGUUAUAGUCGAUGAUUUUUCCCGCUUCACUUGGGUAUUCUUUUUGCAGGAUAAAUCUGAAACCCAAGGGACCCUCAAGCGCUUCCUCAGGAGAGCUCAAAAUGAGUUUGAGCUCAAGGUGAAGAAGAUAAGGAGCGACAACGGGUCCGAGUUCAAGAACCUUCAAGUGGAGGAGUUCCUUGAGGAGGAAGGAAUCAAGCACGAGUUCUCCGCUCCCUACACACCACAGCAAAAUGGUGUGGUAGAGAGGAAGAACAGGAUGCUCAUCGAUAUGGCGAGGACUAUGCUUGGAGAGUUCAAGACCCCCGAGCGAUUUUGGUCGGAAGCCGUGAACACGGCUUGCCACGCCAUCAACAGGGUCUACCUUCACCGCCUCCUCAAGAAGACUUCGUAUGAGCUUCUAACCGGUAACAAACCCAAUGUGUCUUACUUUCGUGUAUUUGGGAGCAAGUGUUAUAUUCUUGUGAAGAAAGGUAGAACCUCUAAAUUUGCUCCCAAAGCUGUAGAAGGGUUUUUAUUAGGUUAUGACCCAAAUACAAAGGCGUAUAGAGUCUUCAACAAAUCAUCGGGUUUGGUUGAAGUCUCUAGCGACGUUGUAUUUGAUGAGACUAAUGGCUCUCCAAGAGAGCAAGUUGUUGAUCUUGAUGAUGUAGAUGAAGAAGACGUUCCAACGGCCGCAAUGCGCACCAUGGCGAUUGGCGAUGUGCGACCACAGGAACAAUUGGAGCAAGAUCAACCAUCUUCCUCAACAAUGGUGCAUCCCCCAACCCAAGAUGACGAACAGGUACCUCAAGUGGAGGCGCAUGAUCAAGGGGGAGCACAGGAUGUUCAAAGUGAAGAGGAAAAAGCACCUCAGGCACCUCCAACCCAAGUUCGAGCAAUGAUUCAAAGGAAUCAUCCCGUCAACCAAAUUUUGGGUGAUAUUAGCAAGGGAGUAACUACUCGUUCAAGAUUAGUUAAUUUUUGUGAGCAUUACUCCUUUGUCUCUUCUAUUGAGCCUUUCAGGGUAGAAGAGGCCUUGCUAGAUCCGGACUGGGUGUUGGCCAUGCAGGAGGAACUCAACAACUCCAAGCAUAAUGAAGUUUGGACACUAGUGCCUCGUCCCAAGCAAAAUGUUGUGGGAACCAAGUGCGUGUUCCGCAACAAACAGGACGAGCAUGGGGUGGUGACAAGGAACAAGGCUCGACUUGUGGCAAAAGGAUAUGCCCAAGUCGCAGGUUUGGACUUUGAGGAGACUUUCGCUCCUGUGGCUAGGCUAGAAUCAAUUCAUAUUUUGUUAGCAUAUGCCGCUCACCAUUCUUUCAGGUUGUACCAAAUGGAUGUGAAGAGCGCUUUCCUCAACGGGCCGAUCAAGGAGGAGGUGUACGUGGAGCAACCCCCUGGCUUCGAGGAUGAACGGUACCCCGACCACGUGUGUAAGCUCUCUAAGGCGCUCUAUGGACUUAAGCAAGCCCCAAGAGCAUGGUAUGAAUGCCUUAGAGACUUUUUAACUGCUAAUGCUUUCAAGGUUGGGAAAGCUGAUCCAACUCUUUUCACUAAGACUUGCGAUGGUGAUCUUUUUGUGUGCCAAAUUUAUGUCGAUGACAUAAUAUUUGGUUCUACUAACCAAAAGUCUUGUGAAGAGUUUAGCAGGGUGAUGACGCAGAAAUUCGAGAUGUCGAUGAUGGGCGAGUUGAACUACUUCCUUGGGUUCCAAGUGAAGCAACUCAAGGACGGCACCUUCAUCUCCCAAAUGAAGUACAUGCAAGACUUGCUAAAGCGGUUUGGGAUGAAGGACGCCAAGCCCGCAAAGACGCCGAUGGGAACUAACGGACACACCGACCUCAACAAAGGAGGUAAGUCCGUUGAUCAAAAAGCAUACCGGUCCAUGAUAAGCUCUUUGCUUUAUUUAUGUGCUAGUAGACCGGAUAUUAUGCUUAGUGUAUGCAUGUGUGCUAGAUUUCAAUCCGAUCCUAAGGAGUGUCACUUAGUGGCUGUGAAGCGAAUUCUUAGAUAUUUAGUCGCUACGCCUUGUUUCGGGAUCUGGUAUCCAAAGGGGUCUACCUUUGACUUAAUUGGAUAUUCAGACUCCGACUAUGCUGGAUGUAAGGUCGAUAGGAAGAGUACAUCGGGGACGUGCCAAUUCUUAGGAAGGUCCCUGGUGUCGUGGAACUCUACGAAACAAACUUCCGUUGCCCUAUCCACCGCUGAGGCCGAGUAUGUUGCCGCAGGACAGUGUUGCGCGUAACUACUUUGGAUGAGGCAAACCCUCCGGGACUUUGGCUACAACCUGAGCAAAGUCCCACUCCUAUGUGAUAAUGAGAGUGCUAUCCGAAUAGCGGAAAAUCCUGUUGAGCAUAGCCGCACAAAGCACAUUGACAUCCGGCAUCACUUUUUGAGAGACCACCAGCAAAAGGGAGAUAUCGAAGUGUUUUAUGUUAGCACCGAAAACCAGCUAGCCGAUAUCUUCACUAAGCCUUUAGAUGAGAAGACCUUUUGCAGGCUGCGUAGUGAGCUAAAUGUCUUAGAUUCGUGGAACUUGGAUUGAUUCAUAGCAUACAUGUGUUUAUGCCUUUGAUCAUGUUCCUUAUGCAUUUUGUUGCUUAUGUAUGGUGCUCAAGUUGUACAAGCACUCCCCGAACCUCGCAAGUCCUUUGCACGUGAUGCACAUAUUUAGGGGGAGAUGUGCUACAACUUGACCCUUUGAGACUAACCGUGUGCUUGAGUUUGCUUGAAUUAGUCUCAAAGGAGGUUUGAAAGGGAAAAGGUGGACUUGGACCAUGAAAGACUUCCACUGCACUCCGAUGAGAGGGUAACUUAUUCCAAGUUCAUCUCAUGUACUCUUAUUGCCUUUGUAUUCUUAUUUAAAGAUUUUGGUGAGGCAAUGGGGUUUAAGGGCCAAGAUUGAUCCUGUUUUGGUGCUUGAUGCCAAAGGGGGAGAAAAUAAAGGCCAAAUCAAUAAAUGGAUCAGCUACCACUUGAGAGUUUUUGAAAAUAGUAGAAUAGAGCUUUUGGUUUGUUUGGUUUGUCAAAACUCUUUUAUUGUCUCUCGUGUCAAAAGUUGGCUUCUUGUGGGGAGAAGUGUUGAUUAUGGGAAAAAGGGGGAGUUGUUGAAAUCUUGAAUCAAUUUCUCUUGGAAUGACUCUAUUUAUGUCUUAACAAGUGUGGUUGACUUAGAGAUAGAAAUUUGAGUUUGAUUUGAAAAAACAAACCAAGUGGUGGCAAAGUGUGAUCCAUAUAUGCCAAAUAUGAAUCAAAACAAUUUUGAGUUCUCAUUUGCAUUGAUAUUGCACUUGUUCUAGUUGCUUUAUGUUGUGUUGGCAUAAAUCACCAAAAAGGGGGAGAUUGAAAGGGAAAUGUGCCCUUGGGCCAUUUCUAAGUAUUUUGGUGAUUGAGUGCCAACACAAGUGUUUUUGUGUUAAUCUAUGCAAAGUGGUGGACAAAGUGCAAAUCAUGUCAAAAGGUAUGUUUCUAGACUUAGUACAUUAUUUUAUGGACUAAUGUAUUGUGCCUGUAGAAAACGGGUGACGCCUAAGAGGGGGGGGGGUGAAUUAGGACUUCUAAAACUUUCGCUAAACUAGGCCACAAUUAAAUCCCUAGAGCAAAACCUAUGCAAAUAAUCAAAACUAGAAUGUGCAAACUAGGUUUUGUCUAAGUGUUGCUAUCUUUACCGCAAAGGCUAAGUUUCAAUCUACACUAAAUAAGUAUAACUACAAGAUUGAAACUUAAAUGCUUAAUAUAAAUGCGGAAUGUAAAGAUCUAAGUAGAGAAGCAAACUCUCGUGGAUGACGCCGGUAUUUUUACCGAGGUAUCCGGAACCACGCAAGGUCCCGACUAAUCCUCGUUGGUGCCCCUACGCAAAGGGAAGCCCACGCGUGGGCCAAGCACCACGGUCGAGUAACUCCGUAGAGAGCCACGGGCCUUCUCCACGCGCAAGUGGUGCUCCGCUUCCGGCUCCUCUCGGACGCUCCCCGCCGUCUCCACUAUCGAGCUUCCGGCCGAAACGCCGCGGGCCUCGUUCCCUCCGAUACACGGUGGCGGCCGUGACACAAACGCGGUUGUCACGGUCUCGCAAGACUCACGCCCCACUCGGUACAAUUACAACGACUCACGCAAGAGCCGAGGGGUUGUGUGGUUUUACAAAACUCACUCAACUAACUAGGGUUCACCUAGAGCAAGCGCUAAAGCGGUCUAACUAACCUAAGCACUUCGCAAAGCACCUACGCUAAUCACCGAGUGAUUCUAUUAAGCACUUGGGUGUUUGAGCUCUUGGAAAUAUGCACUAUGUGUCUUGGUAUGUUGCUUGGGCUCUCACACUUGAGAAUGGCCGGUUGGGGUGGUAUUUAUAGCCUCCACACCCCAAACUAGCCGUUGGACAGAAAGCAGCAGCUUUCUGUCGUCGGGUGCACCGGACAGUCCGGUGCACCACCGGACACUGCACAGUAGAUGUCCGGUGCACGCCACGUCAGCCGACCGUUGGCGCUUGUAGCAGUCGACCGUUGGAUCCGACCGUUGCCGUCUGCCCGUUGGCACACCGGACAGUCCGGUGCACACCGGACAGUCCGGUGCUACAGCCAGAGAGCGCCUGUCUGCGGCCUCUCUGCGCAGACUGUCCGGUGCCUCACCGGACAGUCCGGUGCACACCGGACAGUCCGGUGCACACCGGACACCAAUGUCCGGUGCGCCAUCAGGCGCUGGCUGACAGCCCUUAUCUUGGAUUUCUUCGCUGAUUUCUUCGGGCUUCUUUGUUCUUGAGUAUUGGACUCCUAUGCAUCUUUUUAUGUCUUCUUUUGAGGUGUUGCAUCCUCAUUGCCUUGGUCCAAUUCUCUUCGCAUCCUGUGAACUACAAACACAAACACUAGAAAACUUAAUAGUUCACGGAUUGUGUUGUUCAUCAAACACCAAAACUCAAUUAGCCAAAAGGCCUGGGGUCCAUUUUCCUUACAGUGCCUAAGUACUGGAAACAGGAAAAAUCGAGGUGGAGAAGAGAUGGCUAAGUUCAGCCAAGGUCAGCGCAGUCUGGGUGCACCGGACUGUCCGGUGGUGCACCGGACAGUGUCCGGUGCGCCAGGCUGACUCUGGCGAACUUGCUACUCUCGGGAGUUCGACGGCGGUGUAUGGCUAUAAUUCACCGGACUGUCCGGAGGUGCACCGGACUGUCCGGUGAGCCGUUCACAGGCGAACUCGUCGCUCUCGGGAGAUGAUUAACGGCGUACGACUAAAAUUCACCGGACUGUCCGGUGAGCCAACGGUCGGCCGCGCGAUCUGCGUGGGACACGUGGCCGAGCCAACGGCUAGAAGGAGGCACCGGACUGUCCGGUGUGCACCGGACAGUGUCCGGUGCGCCAACGGCUCUCAAAUCCCAACGGUCGGCUUCGCCAAAUAAGGAAGGAUAUCCGCACCAGACAGUGUCCGGUGGUGCACCGGACUGUCCGGUGCGUCAGGCGACAGAAGGCAAGAUCAGCCUUCCUAGAAUGCUCUGAACGGCUCCUAGCUGCCUUGGGGCUAUAAAAGGGACCCCUAGGCGCAUGGAGGAGAACACCAAGCAUUCCUUGAGCACUCUUGAUCACUCACACUCCAUUCUUGCGCACUUGUUCGACAUUCUAGUGAUUUAAGCUCUGUUCUAGUGUGCUAGUCUUUUGAGCUUAAGUCUGGGUCUUGUGUGUGUAUUUGUUGUGAUCUUAGUGUCUUGUGUGAGUUGCUAAUCCCUCCCUUACUCAGUGCUUCUUUGUGAACUUCAAGUGUAAGGGCGAGAGGCUCCAAGUUGUGGAGAUUCCUUGCGAACGGGAUUAAGAAAAGCAAAGCAAAACACCGUGGUAUUCAAGUGGGUCUUUGGAUCGCUUGAGAGGGGUUGAUUGCAACCCUCGUCCGUUGGGACGCCACAACGUGGAGUAGGCAAGCGUUGGUCUUGGCCGAACCACGGGAUAACCACUGUGCCAUCUCUGUGAUUGAUAUCUUUGUGGUUAUUGUGUUUUGUUGAGACUCCUCUCUAGCCACUUGGCGAUUAUUGUGCUAACACUUAACCAAGUUUUUGUGGCUUAAGUUUCAAGUUUUACAGGAUCACCUAUUCACCCCCCCUCUAGGUGCUCUCACAUGUUACAUAAAAAUUUAGGUGUUUGUUAAUGCAGGUCAAUGAACUUCGUGAAUUAAAGCAAACAUGUGUGUUAGACCAUUGUUUGCUAUGUUUUAAGCUUAGUACACACCAUCGACACAUCAUCUCAAGAAACAAAAUGCAGCGAGCAACGGAGGGGAUGCAAAUUGCAGAGGAAAUGGACUCACGUAGCGGCCAGGUGCAUCUCAUACAUGCGCCAAGAAGACAACAUAUAUAAUAACAGAGUGUAUAGAGAUAAAUGUCAAUAACAUCAGAGUAUUUAUUACAUAGCGGAAGACUUAUUACAAAAUAAAAUAAUAAAAAUAAAACAAACUAAGGAUCGUCGGUGCCAAUGUCAACUGAGAAACGCCACCUAGAUUAGAUCAUACUCCUCGCCUUGUGGCUCCUCCUGAACCACCUGUUCUUCUCCUGUGGGGGGUGUGAGACAGCAAGGGUGAGCUCACACAUGAUCAUAGCUCAACAAGUUGUGGGGAACCAGUGGACAUAAACUCACAAAGGUGUGAGUUCAUGUGAUGUGUAAGGCUAAUCAAUGAUAGGGGUUAAAGCUGAGCAUUGCUUUUAAGUAGUUGGUCAAAAUUUUAUUAGCAGUUACUAAGUGUAAGUAAAUACCAAACCAUAAGUAAAGUAAUAGAACAAAUUAAUAAUAAACCCAUGCAAAGCAAAUGACAAAAUUGAAUUUAAGUUCCAUAAUUUAAACAUCAGAGAGUCUUGAGCUGCUCAUGACCGUGAGCUCGGCUAGUAUACCAGUUUUACACUCUGCAGAGGUUGUACCCUUUACCCACAAGUCAUGUUACCCAUCUGCCAAGGGAUCGCGACUUCCCAUACACCUCUAACUAGGAAGCGCGGCAGGGCAACACUACGAGGCUUUUACAAAGUUCCACUAGAUUCAGAAAACCCGCUACAGUUUAUAGGAAGUCCCAAUGCAGGGUUCUUGUCUGACCGCCAUCGCAGCAAAAUCAACCAAGGACCUCCCUACACUGACCACUCCCCUACUGCCCUUGCCCCUUUCGGGUAAGGUAGUCUUCCACUAGCUUUCCUAAUUAGUCAGCCAAGGGCGUCCCAUUAAACCCUUGUGGUGGCACGUGUUACUCAAGUUAAGCUCUAUGUUCCAAUUAACAUUAAUGAUCUCAACAUGAACAUAAAUAGAAUAACAAAAAGAAUUGGAACAUAGAGGUAAUAAAUGAUUAUCCCAAAACCAUAUAAAGCAGUAGCAAACUACCCAAGUGAUUCAGGGGUAAACAAGGUAAUGAGAUAAACAAUCUAGGGUGACCUAUUGGGUCCCAUCAAAAUUAACCUAUGCAUGGAUAAGUGAUAUUAAAGAACAUUAUUAGGUAAAAAGUGGUCAAGGGCACAACUUGCCUUCAAUGAGCUCCUGCUCAGCUACUUCAACCUGCUGCUCACCAGGAUCCUCAGUCACGUGCUCUUCUACUCGCCACAAUACAAACAAGCACAGUGCAUACAUAGAAAUUAACAUUACACCAAACAUAUAAACAAAAUACACAGUAAUAAUCUACUCAUUAAAAUAAAAUCCUAGGAACAGGAAUUAUAAUUUUUCGAUUAUAGAUUUUAAGUUAUGAAUUUUCAAAGGUUUUAUGUGUUUAAAAUGGAUUAAGUGAGAGAUUAAAUUUCUUAUUAUUUUCAUGACAAAACAGAGACUCUAAGUGAUAGAUAAUAAAAUUACAAAAUUUCAGGAACUGGAAUGGAGUGAUUUGGAGUUAGUAUGAAUUUUCUAUGAAUUAUUGAAGUUCUAGCAUAUAUUUUUGUAUUAAAAACCUAUUUUUCAAUUCAAUUAUUCCAUUUUAAACAGCUCUGGACUGGGCCUCAAUUACCAGAAAGGUCAGGGGGCUCGGCGAUAAAAUUCCUAAGACACAGAGCACAGCGCCAAAGGAUGGCGGGUUGAUUCUCCGGAAUCCCAGGGGCUCUUUAAUAAAACUGACCCGCGAAGGGGUACGGUGCACUCUAGGCCGUCCGAUUACAAACCGACGACCAGGAUUACAUCCGCACGGGAUCGAACCGGUAUCACGCCGAGACCGACCGAUCUGGAGUCUGUGGCUCAGAUUCAAAGUAGCCACGACCUACUCACACCCGACCGAUCCUAACGCAACGGUCCAGAUCCAUUCGCCCGAAAGGGUACGCGAUCCUCUAAUCACCACCGUGCGAUUCCCAUCGAACGCCACGAGGUCAUCGCCCCCUUCCUCCACCCGACGCAAGCAGCGCCGCCACGGCCACGGUGGAUUCCUCGCCGGAGUUCACCAGAUCGGCGCCAGCACCCGAAUUAACCCAAAUUGAUAGCUUCUACGCGCACCGAGCAUGACAACGGACUCAACUGAAACGAACGCAUACCGGAGUAUGGCGAUAGAGGCUCGGUCCACGGAAUGGGCGGCACAGCGGCGGUCGGAGAGGGACGGCGAGCGAUUCGAUCAUGCCACGGACACCACGGCCACAGCGACCGGACCAGAUGUACUACUGCUACGCUGCCAGUCCACCAGCGCCCGAUCUCGUUGACGCAAGAGCGCUACCGCCGAUGAUUGCCUGCGGCGGCUCUGCUCAACAAUGGUGGCGGCCUCGAUUCCUUCCGCGGCGGCGAGAAAUCCGUGCGCAUGCAGUAGGGAAAGCGAGAGGAAAAAAAAGACGAGGGGAUUGAGUCGACGGCCGAGGCUUAUACUACUCCCACGCGGUCAACGCGAUCCGAUUUCGGCGGUGCGCUCCGCCGAGCUCGGUUGAGCUGUUGCGCCCGAUUGCACGGGGAAGACGGAGUCGGAUCCAGCGGACCCACCUGGCAGCGUGCCAACGCGAACAGAGAUAAUGCGCGCGCAUAGGAGUUUAGUGGCUGGCACGCGGGCCCUACCUGUCGGCGCCAUCACCAGGAGCUGGGCUUGCGCUGGGUUAAUGAGUUAGUGGGCCAAAUUCCGUUUCCUAGGCCCAACCGAGUUAAAACUCCUUUCCUUUUAUAUCUCUUCUUCCCUUUUGAAUUUCAAAUUCAACUUUGAAUUUCAGUUAUAGGUUUGCACAUGUAUAAAAUGUGUCAAAUUAAAUUUUGGGGAUGAAGGAAAUAUUUUUAUGUAUAUAUUUAUUUCCUAUGUUUUAUGUGGUAUUUCUUUUCUUUCUCCACUUCUAAAUCCUAGAUUUUAUUUUAUAUUCUAAAUUCCACUUUGGGACUUUAAUGCAUUUCUUGUCUCAUUAUUUCCAUGAGUGAAUGCACAAUCAUAUAAACACCAGCAUGAUGCAUGAUUCUAGUGGCUUUUAUGUUAUUAAUUAUUUGUUUUUACCUAGGGUGUACACAUGUGAUGAUGCACAAAGGUUAAACUGACAUAAGGAGAAAUUGUUUCUCUAUUCAUAUUAUUACAAAGUGGGUGUUACAAAUCCUACCCCCCUUAAAAAUAAUCUCGUCCUCGAGAUUAAGAAGAACUAGAGAAAAGGUGGGGAAAAUCUAUGCGAAGCUCUUCUUCUCUUUCCCAAGUUGCUUCAUCUUCACCGUGGUGACUCCAUUGCACUUUACACAUCUUUAUCACCUUAUUUCUUGUAACUCGAGUCAAAGUGUCAAGAAUCUUGAUCGGGUACUCCGUGUAAGUCAAAUCACCUUGAACACUGAGCUCUUCCAUUGGUAACUGUUCCUCAAGGACACGGAGACACUUCUUCAGUUGGGAUACGUGGAACACAUUAUGCACAUCUGAUAGAGUAGCAGGUAACUCGAGUUGGUAUGUCAUCUCCCCAACUCGCCUAAAGAUCAAUAAUGGUCCAAUAUAGCGAGGGGACAAUUUGCCCUUAACUUUGAAUCUCCUCAUUCCACGAAGUGGUGACACCUUGAGAUACACAUAAUCUCCUUCUUCAAAUUCCAGUGGUCUUCUUCUAUUAUCAGCAUAGCUCUUUUGCCUGGUUUGAGCCACCCUCAAAUUCUCUCGAAUUAUACGGACUUGUUCUUCUGCUUCUUGAAUCAGUUCAGGCCCAAAGAACUGUCUCUCUCCAGUCUGAUCCAAAUAUAGAGGAGUCCUGCACUUCCUCCCAUAUAAAGCUUCAAAAGGUGACAUCUUCAAACUGGCCUGGUAACUAUUAUUAUAUGAGAACUCCGCCUACGGUAGACUUUUAUCCCAACUUCCUCCAUGUUGAAGGGCACAAGCUCUCAACAUAUCCUCCAAAACUUGAUUUGUCCUUUCAGUCUGUCCAUCAGUCUGAGGGUGAUAAGCCGUACUGAAAUUCAACUUCGUACUCAUGUUCUCAUGAAAGCUUCUCCAAAAUCGUGAGGUAAACUGCGAACCUCGAUCAGACACGAUCUUCUUUGGUACUCCGUGCAAACACACAAUCCGAGCCAUAUAUAAUUCUGCUAGCUGAGAACCUUUAUAAGUAGUCUUCACAGGAAUAAAGUGAGCCACUUUAGUCAACCUAUCCACAAUCACCCAUAUAGCAUCAUAUCCUUUCUGGGUGCGCGGCAAUCCGGUAAUGAAAUCCAUACCAAUCUCUUCCCACUUCCACUCGGGUAUCUUCAGUGGAUGCAAUAGUCCAGCUGGCCUCUGGUGUUCAGCCUUAACUCUUUGACAUACAUCGCACAUAGCCACAUGUGCAGCUACAUCUCUCUUCAAUCCAUACCACCAAUACUUCCGCUUCAAAUCCUGAUACAUCUUGGUACUACCAGGAUGAAUAGAAUAAUUCGAGUCAUGGGUCUCCUUUAAAAUAGUAUCUCGAAGGCUUUCAAUAUCAGGAACACACAUUCUGUCCUUAAACCAUAUGGUGCCUUGCUCAUCUUCCGUAAAUUCCGGAACUCGACCUUCAGUAAUCAGAUCCUUGAUCUCUUUUAUUUUAGCAUCACCAAUUUGUCCUUUGCGGAUCUCUUGCUCCAAAGUAGGUUCCACAUCAAUAGUAACUCCUUCAGUAUGAGCAACUAUCCCCAGGUUAAGUUUCCUGAAAUCCUCAACAAUCUCAUCGGGUAGCUGGGCAACAAUAGCUGAAUGUACAUGCUCCUUGCGACUCAAGGCAUCUACAACCAAAUUUGCCUUGCCCGGGUGAUAGUGAAUCUCCAAGUGGUAAUCCUUAAUAAGCUCCAACCAACGGCGUUGCCUAAGGUUGAGAUCCUUCUGAGUGAAUAUAUACUUCAAACUCUUAUGAUCCGUAUAUACUUGGCACUUAGUUCCCAUGAUGUAGUGUCUCCAAAUCUUAAGUGCAUGCACGACUGCUGCCAAUUCCAAGUCAUGAGUGGGGUAGUUCAAUUCAUGUCUCCGUAACUGACGAGACGCAUAGGCAAUCACAUGUCCUUCUUGCAUAAGCACACAUUCUAAGCCUUGGCCACAUGCAUCACAAUAGAUAUCAAAUCCUUUCUGUAAGUCCGGCAUAACCAAUACUGGUGGCGACAUCAACCUCUUCUUCAAUUGAUCAAAGCUGUCUUGACACUUCUCAUCCCACUUAAAUUCUCUUCCUUUCUCUAAAAGUGAAGUCAUAGGUUUAGCCAUCUUAGAAAAUCCUUCAAUAAAUCUCCGAUAGUAUCCUGCUAAUCCCAAGAAACUCCGAAUCUCAGUAACUGUAGUGGGUACUCUCCACUCCAUUAUCUCCUUAACUUUAGCAGGAUCUACUGAAAUUCCUCCAUUAGAAAUAAUAUGACCAAGAAAUGGCACCUCGCCAAUCCAAAACUCGCACUUGCUGAACUUGGCAUAUAGCUGGUUAUCUCGUAGCUUCUGUAGCACCAAUCUCAGAUGUUCCUCGUGAUCACUAUCACUCUGAGAAUAAAUAAGAAUAUCGUCGAUGAAUACCACGACGAAUCUGUCCAAAUAUUCCAUAAACACCUUAUUCAUCAAAUUCAUAAAGUAAGCUGGUACAUUGGUUAAUCCAAACGACAUCACGGUGAACUCAUAUAAUCCAUAUCGAGUCGAGAAAGCCGUCUUGGGAAUAUCCGAUGGUCUAAUCCUCAUCUGAUGGUAACCGGAUCGGAGAUCAAUCUUCGAGAAUACUCUAGCACCUCUCAUCUGAUCAAAUAAAUCCUCAAUACGGGGUAACGGAUACUUGUUCUUCACAGUAACAUCGUUGAGAGAUCUAUAAUCCACACACAUUCUUUGUGAUCCAUCCUUCUUCUGUACAAACAGAACCGGUGCUCCCCAAGGUGAGGAACUCGGACGAAUGUACCCAGCCUCUUGUAACUCAGUUAACUGCUUCUUAAGUUCCUUCAACUCCUCUACGGACAUCCUAUAUGGCCGUUUAGAAAUAGGGGCGGUUCCAGGUAAGAGAUCAAUAACAAACUCAACUUCUCUAUCAGGUGGCAUCCCUGGUAACUCCUAUGGAAAGACAUCUGGAAAAUCUCUAAUCACCCGGAUGUUGUCACCAACAAACUCCUCAGGUAUAAAGAACAUUGCACGCAUGGAUGAGGAGGUUACUGCAAUAUUAACUUGAAAUCUUUCUCCUUUAGUGGUAGUGAGUUCUACGGUACCUCUACCACAUGCUAUAACGGCCUUUGACUUUCUUAGCCAUGACAUACCAAGGAUCAUAUCUAUACUGCUUGACUCUAAUAUUAUAGCAGUAGCUCCAAAUUCUCUACCCAUAAUGGUUAAUGUCAAUCUACGUGUCAUUUGAUUUGCCUCAACAGGCCCUUUAGGUGUAAUUACUAUCAUGGGUUUUCUCAUAUUUAGCAGUGGUAUUUCAUUUGUGUUGGCAUAUCUAGCAGACAUGAAUGAAUGUGUAGCACCAGAAUCAAAUAAUAUGGUUGCAGGAAUUGCAUUAACAUAAAACAUACCAAGUACGAGGUCCCCACCAUCCGGAGUAGCAUCAACGCUGACUUGAUUAACCUUGGCAAUAGAAUAUCCCUUGCCAGAUCCUGGAGUUUGCUGCCUGUUCUGAACUGGAGUAGUAGCAAUCCUCUGUGGACAGACAUUUGCAUAAUGGCCAGUUUUCCCACACUUGAAACAAGUAGUGCCUGGACUCUGUCCUGAAAACUUCGUCGGGGUGCUAGUAGGGGUAGCCUGUCGAGGAGGUGGAGUCCUCAGUGGUGAUUGCUGAACUGGGCGCUGGCCUCCGCCAGUGCGAACUGGUGUACCCUGAGGUGAACUAUAGCGAGGACGAACACUGCUGCUUCCUUGUCCUUGAGAUAUAGCCUUUCUCUUCAAAUCUCCCAGCUGAACACGCUUGUGUUCAAUAGCCAGGGCCUUAUCAAGCAGCCUCUGAAAUGAUGGAAAUGUGUGUGCCACUAGAGCAUACUGCAGGGGUCCAUUAAGUCCUUCAAUAAAAUGCUCCUGUUUCCUCUCAUCUUCAGCAACUUCAUCAGGGGCAUAUCUGGAUAACUGAAUAAACUUGUCGCGGUACUCGCUGACUGACAUAAUUCCUUGCUUCAGCGACAGAAAUUCCUUCUUCUUAAUCUUCAUCAAUCCAGCUGGUAUAUGAUAAUUCCGGAACUGUGUACUGAACUCUGCCCAAGUGAUAGUAUCAGCAGCAUCAUGGGCAGCAGUAUAUGAAUCCCACCAGUCAGCAGCAGGACCUGUCAGACGUCCAGAAGCAUAUAAAACCUUCUCCCGGUCAGUGCAUUGUGCAAUAUUCAACAUCUUCUCAACAGACUUCAGCCAAUCAUCCGCGUCCAGUGGAUCAGGUGAGCUAGCGAAGGUAGGUGGCUUAUGACUCAUGAACUCCCUAUGCUUAUCUCGGGGUGGAACUGGUGGUGGUGGUGGAGGCAGUGGUACUUGUUGCUGUUGCUGCUGUUGCUAUUGUUGUUGCAUUUGUUGUUGCAGCUGCUGUUGUUGCGCCCUCCUUUCCUGGCGUAUCUCCUCUCGUUCCUGGCGCAACUCCUGUCGUAUCUCUUCUCUUUCUUGACGCAUUUCCUGGCGUUCUUGCUGCAUCUGUGCACGCAUAUCUGCCAUGGUGUCCGCCAUUUGCUCCAUCAUAUUCAUCUGAGCAGCAACCAGGGGUCAACUCCGCUUGGUGGAGGAUUAGGAGGAUUCAUCUCUGCAGGUUGUGGCUGGGGUUGUCUAUAUAUCCACCGAGUGUGUCGAUUAGGAGGCAAAUCAAUUCCACCACCCCGCCUGGUAUUGACCAUCUGAGUUAGAUACAUAUGGUAAGAAAAUAGUAGACAAGGUAGGUAAUUACAAAUCAGGUUACUUUGGGGAUUUAUUAGCUAAGCAGAUUAAUAUUUCACCUACUAAAGCUAAUUCAAUACCUCAUGUUGGUACAUGCUAAGAUGCCCAUCUAUAAUAAUUCAAUCAAUCAAAGAAGCAAAUCAGGCAUUUAGCAUCAGCACAAUCAAACAACAUUUUUAAAGAAAAUAGUUUUAAAUUUUGUCUUGGGUUCCCUAUCUCUAAAAAAAAUCAUAGUGGUAGGAUUCCAAGGUGUGAAAUCCAUCUUGUCUUAGAGUAGAAAAGAUAGGAUUAAUCAGAGGAGAGUAGCAGAAGGUGAGACAAGAUCAAGAUGAGAUGAGUAUAGAAUGAAUCAGAGUAAGGUAAGUAAUGAAGGGUUUGUCCAUUUCUAUCUAGGUCUCGUCCUACAGUCAACAUUUCCUCUGAUACCACUUCUGUCACACCCGGCUUUAAGGAACAAAGCCAGGUGCAUCUCAUACAUGCGCCAAGAAGACAACAUAUAUAAUAACAGAGUGUAUAGAUAAAUGUCAAUAACAUCAGAGUAUUUAUUACAUAGCGGAAGACUUAUUACAAAAUAAAAUAAUAAAAAUAAAACGAACUAAGGAUCGUCGGCGCCAAUGUCAACUGAGAAACGCCACCUAGAUCAGAUCAUACUCCUCGCCUUGUGGCUCCUCCUGAACCACAUGUUCUUCUCCUGUGGGGGGGUGUGAGACAGCAAGGGUGAGCUCACACAUGAUCAUAGCUCAACAAGUUGUGGGGAACCAGUGGACAUAAACUCACAAAGGUGUGAGUUCAUGUGAUGUGUAAGGCUAAUCAAUGAUAGGAGUUAAAGCUGAGCAUUGCUUUUAAGUAGUUGGUCAAAAUUUUAUUAGCAGUUACUAAGUGUAAGUAAAUACCAAACCAUAAGUAAAGUAAUAGAACAAAUUAAUAAUAAACUCAUGCAAAGCAAAUGACAAAAUUGAAUUUAAGUUCCAUAAUUUAAACAUCAGAGAGUCCUGAGCUGCUCAUGACCGUGAGCUCGGCUAGUAUACCAGUUUUACACUCUGCAGAGGUUGUAGCCUUUACCCACAAGUCAUGUUACCCAUCUGCCAAGGGAUCGCGACUUCCCAUACACCUCUACCUAGGAAGCGCGACAGGGUAACACUACGAGGCUUUUACAAAGUUCCACUAGCUUCAGAAAACCCGCUACAGUUUAUAGGAAGUCCCAAUGCAGGGUUCUUGUCUGACCGCCAUCGCAGCAAAAUCAAUCAAGGACCUCCCUACACUGACCACUCCCCUACUGCCCUUGCCCCUUUCGGGUAAGGUAGUCUUCCACUAGCUUUCCUAAUUAGUCAGCCAAGGGCGUCCCAUUAAACCCUUGUGGUGGCACGUGUUACUCAAGUUAAGCUCUAUGUUCCAAUUAACAUUAAUGAUCUCAACAUGAACAUAAAUAGAAUAACAAAAAGAAUUGGAACAUAGAGGUAAUAAAUGAUUAUCCCAAAACCAUAUAAAGCAGUAGCAAACUACCCAAGUGAUUCAGGGGUAAACAAGGUAAUGAGAUAAACAAUCUAGGGUGACCUAUUGGGUCCCAUCAAAAUUAACCUAUGCAUGGAUAAGUGAUAUUAAAGAACAUUAUUAGGUAAAAAGUGGUCAAGGGCACAACUUGCCUUCAAUGAGCUCCUGCUCAGCUACUUCAACCUGCUGCUCACCAGGAUCCUCAGUCGCGUGCUCUUCUACUCGCCACAAUACAAACAAGCACAGUGCAUACAUAGAAAUUAACAUUACACCAAACAUAUAAACAAAAUACACAGUAAUAAUCUACUCAUUAAAAUAAAAUCCUAGGAACAUGAAUUAUAAUUUUUCGAGUUAUAGAUUUUAAGUUAUGAAUUUUCAAAGGUUUUAUGUGUUUAAAAUGGAUUAAGUGAGAGAUUAAAUUUCUUAUUAUUUUCAUGACAAAACAGAGACUCUAAGUGAUAGAUAAUAAAAUUACAAAAUUUCAGGAACUGGAAUGGAGUGAUUUGGAGUUAGUAUGAAUUUUCUAUGAAUUAUUGAAGUUCUAGCAUAUAUUUUUGUAUUAAAAACCUAUUUACUCACACCCGACCGAUCCUAACGCAAUGGUCCAGAUCCAUUCGCCCGAAAGGGUACGCGAUCCUCUAAUCACCACCGUGUGAUUCCCAUCGAACGCCACGAGGUCAUCGCCCCCUUCCUCCACCCGACGCAAGCAGCGCCACCACGGCCACGGUGGAUUCCUCGCCGGAGUUCACCAGAUCGGCACCAGCACCCGAAUUAACCCAAAUUGAUAGCUUCUACGCGCACCGAGCAUGACAACGGACUCAACUGAAACGAACGCAUACCGGAGUAUGGCGACAGAGGCUCGGUCCACGGAAUGGGCGGCACAGCGGCGGUCGGAGAGGGACGGCGAGCGAUUCGAUCACGCCACGGACACCACGGCCACAGCGACCGGACCAGAUGUACUCCUGCUACGCUGCCAGUCCACCAGCGCCCGAUCUCGUUGACGCAAGAGCGCUACCGCCGAUGAUUGCCUGCGACGGCUCUGCUCAACAAUGGUGGCGGCCUCGAUUCCUUCCGCGGCGGCGAGAAAUCCGUGCGCAUGCAGUAGGGAAAGCGAGAGGAAAAAAAACGAGGGGAUUGAGUCGACGGCCGAGGCUUAUACUACUCCCACGCGGUCAACGCGAUCCGAUUUUGGCGGUGCGCUCCGCCGAGCUCGGUUGAGUUGUUGCGCCCGAUUGCACGGGGAAGACGGAGUCGGAUCCAGCGGACCCACCUGGCAGCGAGCCAACGCGAACAGAGAUAAUGCGCGCGCAUAGGAGUUUAGUGGCUGGCACGCGGGCCCUACCUAUCGGCGCCAUCACCAGGAGCUGGGCUUGCGCUGGGUUAAUGAGUUAGUGGGCCAAAUUCCGUUUCCUAGGCCCAACCGAGUUAAAACUCCUUUCCUUUUAUAUCUCUUCUUCCCUUUUGAAUUUCAAAUUCAACUUUGAAUUUCAGUUAUAGGUUUGCACAUGUAUAAAAUGUGUCAAAUUAAAUUUUGGGGAUGAAGGAAAUAUUUUUAUGUAUAUAUUUAUUUCCUAUGUUUUAUGUGGUAUUUCUUUUCUUUCUCCACUUCUAAAUCCUAGAUUUUAUUUUAUAUUCUAAAUUCCACUUUGGGACUUUAAUGCAUUUCUUGUCUCAUUAUUUCCAUGAGUGAAUGCACAAUCAUAUAAACACCAGCAUGAUGCAUGAUUCUAGUGGCUUUUAUGUUAUUAAUUAUUUGUUUUUACCUAGGGUGUACACAUGUGAUGAUGCACAAAGGUUAAACUGACAUAAGGAGAAAUUGUUUCUCUAUUCAUAUUAUUACAAAGUGGGUGUUACAAAGGAUAUCUAUAUGUAUGUUCACUUAUUGUAAUAAUAUUACUUCUAAUUAAUUAUUCAUUAUAAUACAUUUUAACAAAAGAUACAGUUUCUCUACUAUUCGAGUCUAUUCGGACCGAACUAAAAUUUCACAAAUCCGAAUGGACAGAACUGAAUUACUCAAAUAGAGCCCUAGGCCCAAGAAUACCCGCAGCACAAGCUACUGGGCGCUCUACUUGCAACGGCUUGCUUCGAUCCACAAUGCCGCCCAUUCAUUGGCAUCGCAUCAAUGGACGGACCCGUCUGACAGCACAAGCAUCAGACACCGAGUAUGGAACACACCCGCGCAGUAGAGAGAAUCAAACCAUUCUCAGGCUUCGUUUAAAUCAAUACAUAUGUAUUGGAUCAUUACUAGAGUAUCCAAACUAGGCAGAGCUCACACCAUCGCUUUACCACUCCACACCGGCACAUGUCCGUUGGCAAUGCGUGCAAAGAAAUGCACCAACAUCACAAAUGACACAGUGUACCAAGUACUUGGCCACUCUACAUCAACGGUUAAAACCAUUGCGAUACAACAAAAAAAAUAUAUAUAUUCAGACUGCGUAGACACAUCUGAACAUAUUCUGACCUCUACAAAUGGAAGGAGAAUUCAGCAACGAGUUCCUAUCCAAGGUACAAACCUCCAAACCUUACUAGUGAGAAAACAUCACACAUGUUCAGUCUUGUUACCCUGAUUCGCACAAUGAUCUAAAACAAAACAACCGCAAAAGCAGCAGGGGUUGUCUUGUUCCACGCUCCAUGUCCACCGAUCAUGUGCUGCGGACUGCCAAACACUCAGCUUUUCAGCCAGCUUCUAUAAAAUUCGUUUGGAUAAAAAACAUUCAAAAUCAACAUAAACAUAUAAUCAGUUGAGUCGUCGCAAUAGUAGUAAUCCGUCACUUUAUAGAUCCUGAGCCCCAUGGACAACUUUAUCUUUCUCCGCACGUAAUUCUAAUGAUACUCAGAUUCUCUACACAGCUAGAUUCUCGGAAAAGCUGGUCAGAAAAAAGCUGAACCAAACAGACCCCAUGCUCUCUCAGCGGACAAGGCCUCCGCUCCGUGCCUUCUCCCUCCCUACAGAUUUCCAGCACCCAGAAACUAACUACCCUUCAGUGUAGCACAACUGCAAACAAACACCGGGGGGGCCUCGCUCGCGUGUUCCGCCAUUUGAUGAUUGCCGCGUCCGAUUCCAAAUUCCCGACUCCACUCGCGCCAUGUCUGGACACUGUUCCAGCGCGCCUACGGGCGGUCACCGUCCAGAGCCGCUGUCACCUUUUUGGUUGCACAAUCUGCCAAGCACAUACAUUGCUCCCUUCUGUAGUUUGUCGCGCCACCAGGACCUGGGCUACACACGCGGCGGCUGGCCGUUCAGGGCACAGGCGGCCGCCGCCGCCGUUGAGGAACUCUUGUCAGCAGCGGCCCCCCACACAUCGAAACCCGUGUUCGCUAGGACGCCCUCGUGGGCGAUCCUUGCGUCCUGGAAUGGCCCCGCGCAUUUUGCCUUCGCGAACUUAGCGCAGGCCUCCCUCGCCGCCUCCAGGCAGGCGGCCAUCUCGCGCUCCUCGCAUCUCGACCUCUCCUCGUAGUCCGUCGGAGGAGCAGCAGCUACAACUACAAGUAAGCGUUUCCACCAGGGUGGCUUGCACUUGCGUGAUGCGCUGACUGAGCACCCUGACCUUGCACCGGCCUGCAAAAGACAUGUGUACCGGCAUCAUGUUAUUGCAUUUUUCUUACCCCCCCCCCCCCUCCUUGAACGAAAAAAAAACACAUCUUUGCUAUAAAAAACACAUCUUUGGAGUAAUAGGGACAUUGUCAACCCAAAUCAUCACAAUAAAGCAAAGCAAACAUAGUCUGAUGUAAUAGGACAUUUUGUCAACCCCAACCAUUCAACAACUCCAGUAGCCAGGAUCUGGUUGUCUACUAUCAUACAGAAGGGAUCACUAAAACCCUAUACAAUAUGUUCUAAGUGUGACCUGUGCUUCUUCCCCACGUGUUUAACCACACUCUGUUCUUCAGCCUAGACACUACUAAAAAGUAUUGGAUGUAGCUAUUGGUAUAACAAGUGGGUUUUUUGACAUGUGUACUGUGGAGCAGUGUCAACCACGACACUAAAGGUAAGUAGUCAUGAGCUGGUUUGCUCUCUUCAAUGUAUGCAGCUGCUAUACUUAUUGGCUGGCAGAGCUUAAGCCAGCCAACUCGGCCAGCUGCAAUGGCAAAUCAAAUCCCUUCAGCACAUUAGGCAGGACAGAACAAGAUUUAUUUAAAAAAAAGAGGGGAAGGGGCUCUGUCUCAGCGAUGGCUGAUAAAAUCGAUGAUCGAUACUAUUUGAGAUAGAAACAUCAAGUACAAAUAGGUUUUCCCUAGAAGAAGAGAACAUAAGUUGCACAUGCUUGAGAAGCUACAUGAAGAACAAAAGAAAAAACAUAACUCGUCUGAUUAAAAGCACGUAUUAUCUUUUUGCGAGCAGAACCAUCUACAAUGUACUCUAAUUAAUGUUGUUGCUGUUUUCCCAUAAAAGCAGGAGAGCGCUAGCGUCCAGUUAAUCAGGCAACAACUAAUCAACGUGAGACGAAGUCAACUGUGGCUUCGCUCAAUGUGUAAAAGCAUGAUACUUGAAACAGCUAGGAUGAAGCAAAAAAAAACUAGAUUGGAAGAAAGCAAAUAGAAAUGGGGCAUGAAAGGACAAGAACACGUACACCUGAAUAAGCUAAAGCGCUCGACUUAUCUGCGUUUACCGACUACUACAUAACCGGCAUGCUUGAGAAGCUACAUGAAAAACAAGAGAAAAAACAUAACUCAUCUGAUUAAAAGCACGUAUUAUCUUUUUGCGAGCAGAACCAUCUACAAUGUACUCUAGUUAAUGUUGUUGCUGUUUUCCCAUAAAAGCAGGAGAGCGCUAGCGUCCAGUUAAUCAGGCAACAACUAAUCAACGUGAGACGAAGUCAACUGUGGCUUCGUUCAACGUGUAAAAGCAUGAUACUUGAAACAGCUAGGAUGAAGCAAACAAAAAAACAUUGGAAGAAAGCAAAUAAAAAUGGGGCAUGGAAGGACAAGAACGAGUACACUUGAAUAAGCUAAAGGACUCGGCUUAUCUACGUUUACCGACUACUACAUAACCGCCAUUCCACACAGAAGGCAUCGCGACUAUAUAGCACGGUCCACCCUGACCACUGGAAUUCAGAUGCCAGGAGGUGAUUUGUACUCUUUGCCCCCAACUGGGGUGAAACUGGAAACAGCAUUUUCAAAAAGGAAACAAAUAUAAAUGCCACAUUGAAAGUCCAGUGGUUAUGUGGGCAUUGUCAACCCUAACCAUUCGGGUUUCCACAAAGAACACAUCGUCACAAAGUAAAAAAAAACAUAAGUGAAACAAACAUAGUCCGGCGAUUAUGGGGGCAUUGUCAACCCUAACCACUGAGCUCCAGUAGCCAGGAGCUGGUUUGCCCUCCUUGAUAUUUGCAGCUGCUAAACUUACUGCCUUGCAUGACUACCGCGAGGCACCUCGGCCAGCUGCAACAACAACAACAACAACAUGAUCACAAUUGACAUGUGGUGUCCAGCAUUCGUACGUGCUGACGCGCUAAGACACCGGAAAGAUCUAAGAUAAACGCUGGAUCUAUCCCAAUCCUACUCGCGUGGCUGCAUUCUCAGGCCAGGCCACUCAUGACCUCGCAUUGCUCCCACGCUUUCCCGAAAAUUUCAUCACUUUGCCAACACAGGAACGACCUGAGACGUGAGAAGACGGGGGAUUACCUCGCACUGGGAGACGAGGCUGGCCUCGGCGGCCUCCCAGGCGGCUCGCCAGCUCGCGGCGUCGCGGAAGGCGAGGACGGGGCCCUCGCCGCUAGAUGCUGGGGAGGGGACUGGCGCCCGGAGGAGAGGGAGCGGCGGGUCGAAGCGCACCACGGUGGCCUCCGCGGAAUAGUCCUCCGCCGAGUCGUCGGCGUUGCCGGCGAAGGCCAUUGAGAAUCGCCGACGGGCGGCGGGAGGUGUCAGGUGUGGGGGAUGGUGACUAGGGUUUGCCUUUUGAGUCCGCUGGAUUGGGCCUGGGAACGAGGAUUCAUUACCGGGCCGGGCCCUUCAUAUUUGGUCUCUGUCCUUGAAACCCUCUGGAUUCAUUCCGCCGCAGCCGGCAGCGGCGCGCCGUGUGCUGACGCGGCCGCAUUUUCGGGUUGGGGUCUUUGCAGGACGGAGUAUGACCGUCGCGGCCGGCGAGCUCGAAGACGAAGACGGCGUGCGCGGGCGGAGCCGUGGCCCGUGUCGUCAGAGCAGGAGCGGGAGCGGGUGGCGGAGCGUGGGCGCCGCUCGCCCUGGGUGUUCAGCAGCCGAGACGUCGCUGUUGCUGCCGCGCCCAAGCCGCCCGCGGACCCGAGCAGCGGGCGCCGGGCCGAGGACGAGGUGCAGCUGGCCGCCGGUGCGCGGCGCGGGAACGCGACCGCGGCGCGCUUGAAGCUCAGGCUGCGCAGGCUUUGCGCGUAGGGCGGUUCUCGUCGGAGCGGCGGCGGCGGCGACGGCUACACGGCAGCUCUCUCCCUAACCCUAGCUUUGUAUACCAUGAUGAAUUGAGAAUUUUGCAAACAUGACACGGCUACGGCGGGCUUCAAACUUUUGGCACCGCCGUCGUGGCAAUUGAAAGUGUGGCAUUGAAAUCUCUCUCGAAUUGUAAAUUUGGCAUCGAGCGCGCUUAAUGGUGUUUAGCCCUUGUGCAGUGCUCGUGCUGCCCUCGCGCCGUUAGAAACUUGCCGCCGUCUUCCUCUUCUACCGUCGCCCGUGAAGCUCCCGUAUGCCAUUCUCUCUGUGUCCUCUCCUCCUCAUUCUCGCCCUAGUCGUCGUCUUGCUCGCUCGAACUCUGCUCGCCCUAGCCGUCGUCUUCCUCGAGCUGCUCUCUUUGUCUCCGCGCACUGGGCCCUGUCCUUCUCCAGAUCCUCUCGUAUUCCAUUCUCCCUGUCUCCUCUCCUCCUUAUUCUCGCCCUGGCCGUCGUCUUCCUCGAGCUGCUCUGUUCGUCUCCGCGCACUGGGUGCAUUCGUGCCCUGUCCUUAUCCGGAUCUCGCCCUUCCCUGCCUCGCCGGUUCCUACGCUCGUGGUCCAUUGCCGACCUCCGACGCUGGUGAGCUUUCCUUCUUCUGUAACCCUAGGGUUUGCAGAUUAAGAAGCCGGCAUGGAUUCUGCCGCCGAGCUUUGUGCCCAGAAGUUGUCCUUGGCGGCUGUUGUAGCCCGUGACACACUGAAUGCUUCUGUUGCCGCGAGUAUUGUUGCUGGUGAUUAUUGCGCCACAUUUUCGUUAGGUAACAAUGUGGUUUCUACUCUUGAUGUUCUUGAAUUCGCUGUGGCGGCGGAAAAUAGUGCUUUGCGUUCUUACAAACAGGCGAGUGCAGCCGUCGAUUGUGCUAAGGAGACAGUGGCCAAAUAUUCUGAGGUUUGUAUUCUUAAACUUAUACUGUGCCCUGUGAUUGAAUUGUGAAGUGAGAAAUGUGAAGUGAGGAAAUGCUUAGCCCUGUGAUGAAUUCUUUGAAAAUACUCAGCUGAAUACUACACUUGUUGUUUUUAUGCGAUGAAAUUUGUGAGGGCUAUGGCUGUUUCAGCCUGUUUGAUGUUGUUUCAUUGAAUAAUUUGACCUGAGGCUUGUGCUAAUUUGAGAUUAUCAGGUUGCUUAGCCCUGUGAUGUUUUCUUUGAAAAUAGUGAACUGUAUACUACACUUGUUCUUUUUAUGUUCAAAAAAUACUGAGGGCUAUGGCUGUUUCAGCCUGUUUGAUGUUGUUUCAUUGAAAAAAUUGACCUGAGGCUUGUGUUAAUGGAAGAUGAUCAACUUGAUUAACCCUGUGAGGGUUUUUUUUUGAAAUUAGUUAACUGUAUACUACACACUUGUUCUUUUUAUUCUCAAAAAUGACUGAGGGCUAUGGCUGUUUUAGCCUGUUUGAUGUUGUGUCAUGUUUGCAAAAUUCUCCAGUUCAAUUAACAUUGGUUGUUGCCCUAUGAUGUUUCCAUAGCAGUAACUGAGGGCAUAUGAUCUUUCAAUAAAUAUUGUGGCAGUAUUAUUGAUAUUGGUUGUUUUCAGCCUCUUUGCUGGUUUCCAAAGAUGACCCUGAACCCUCAGUUAACUUUGGUAGUAUUACUGGUAUGGAUGUUUUCAGCCUGUUUUUCCAGUUGAGUUCAAAUUAGUAGUUGCCCUAUGAUGUUUCUUGAUACUUUAGAACUGCCUAGUACAUAUGAUGAUUUUAAAAAAAACUGAGGGCUGUCCAUAUGUGGUUCAUAUUAGUAGUUGCCAUGUGUCAGCCAGUUUGGUUCAGUUCAUGGUAUGUGGUUCAUUGUUCAGUUGUUAGUUCAUAUUCGACUACUUGCGCAUAUGGCUCUCCAUAUUCUAAUGUUAAUUUUGUUUUCAGGUGAACCGAAAACUAGCGCAAGCACUCAGAUAUGCCAUGUCUCAAAUGAGUGAUACGGCUAAGAAACUUCAAGAUACUGCCUCUUUGUGCUACACAAAUGAAGAAGUUGUAGACGGUUUCAAGCUGACUCAAGUAGCUCGUUCAAUGGACGAGUUAGCUGAAAUGCUUGAAGUAACUGCAAUUGACUGCCAGGUCUCGAUGAUGGAUCCAACUACUAUGUUAGAAGCUGGCUAUGCUAGUGAAGAUACUGCGGUGUGGGAGGACGUAUUCCGUGACCGAGAAAUAAUGAAUCAACCAUUAGAAGCGGAGACACUUGCUGAGCACUGUGCUAAGUGGGGGCUUAAUUACAAUGAGAUCUGGGAUAGAUCAGUGUAACUUUGGCUUGUGUAGUUCUUUUGUAAUGAGUUCACUUAGAUGAACUAGAUCAGUGUAACAAUGGCUAUGGUAUUGUAAUGCGUGAGUUCCAAAUUGUAAGACAUCUUGAACUACUUGUGGCUACUUAUCUUCUAUGAAAUGCUAUGAAGUACCUGUUAUGACUAUAUGUUGGUACUUGUGUUAUUUAUUUGUGUUCUAUUGUGUGAUCUACUUUGAAGUAAGAGUGGUCAUGUUAAAAUGUCACAGGAAAUCAAGCUGCACAGGGGGUUAACAGAAAAGCAAGCAUUUUUCUGUGACAUUGGUGCUUGCUUUUCUGUUGCUUGCCCAGCUGUAGCAUCCAUUCGUGCUUGCUGCGCAGCUGCAUGCCCAGCUGUAGCAUCCAUUGGUGCUUGCUGCUUGCCCAGAAAAUGCUAGCUGCUACCUCCAUUGGUGCUUGCUGCUUGCCCAGCUACUUGCCCAAAGCAAGCAUUUUCUCAUCGCAAUGCAGCAAAAAAGCAAGAAAAAAUGUACCAUAACAACAGUAAUGUGUCCAAAUAGAAAAAGAGGACAUGGUAAAUUCAAGGGGCACAAAAAUGACACAGAAAUACCAUAGUUUCAUACAGAGGACAAAGUACCAUACAAAUGUCACCUAUGACCAUACAAAGUACCAUACAAAUGUCACUUAGGUAUGUUACAGAAAUACCAUAGUCUCAUACUCAAAAAUUCUUCUUCCUAGGUGUGAUCUUUUUAACUAGGACACGAACUACACGUUCUUCGGGUGGCGACGAAGGUCUUUCAACAAGAUCUUCAUUAGCUGGUAUAAUUGCAAGGUGUGAUCUUUCAACAAGGUCUUCAUUAGCUUCAUUCUCUUGGACACCUGCCUGUGAUGACUCAGGUACAUCUUUGGGGAACCAGCCUUUUGUUGAAUUUUUCCUAGGCUUUCGCUUCCUGUUUUCAAAGAUAUUAGUUAAUAGCAUAAAAUAGACAAUUCCAUCACAUAAAUUAGUUAAUAUCAUAAAAUAGACAGAUUAAAUGUAACCUUUUCUUUGUGCCAUUUAAUGGACAUUUGUAGCUUGCUUUCCUGUGCCCUAGUUCACCACAGUUUGGACACUUGAUCUUGCCCCGAAUGCUUUUCUUACCAUUGUCAGUGUUAACUUUCUUUUUUCCACUACCUCCCUCAAGGCAUCCUUUCAUCCUAUUUUUCCUCUGUCGACCCACAGCUCGUUUUCCAAUUGGAGCACCAACUUCUUUUGCGAAAGGGACUUCUGGCCAAAAUGAUUUGUCACCAAUAGGUGGAACCACCCUUGAGUAUGCUGUGGUGAAAUGAGAUACAGAGUAGUACUCAUCAACAAAUUCCUUCAUUCUGACAUCCCUAAAUUCUUGAGCUGUUAUCAAGCACAAAGCAUGGUUACAUGGUUUGCCCGUGUGCUGCCACUCUUUGCAAGAACAUUCCCGCAAAUGAGCAUUGACAAUGUGCUUUGAAUGCACAUCAUUGUUAUCCCUUACCUCAGCAAUGUAGUUGUCAGCUUUACGAACUGAUAAAUGACUUAAACCUCUUGUUCUGUCGUGUAGGAUAUGCAGAACCGACGGUAGAAUCCUUCCUUGCAACUUCUGUGCAAUCCUCCUCCGCCUGUGAAACAUCUCCAUAAUUUCCUCCCUUAUCCUUCCAGCCAAAUCACAAACAGGCAGAUCCUUCCAAUCCUUAAUCCAAUUGUUGAAAACCUCAGCAAUGUUGUUAGUCAUGUAGUCGCACUUGAUGUCCGUAUUGAAGCCACUUCUGUACCAAAGAUAGUCAUGAUGCUCAUUUAGCCAACUACUGACCCUAGGGAUUUCUUGGAUGCUACUAAAAUAGUGGUCGAAGACUUCUCUCCUAUAAGCCCUAGCUGCUGGAUACAUGUACCCAGACCCACCAAACAGCUUUAUGUAGUUUUGUAUGAGAUGCCUAAAACACUCCCUUUUCUCAGCAUGCGGAAAGACAUUGUUCAUAGCAUUUUUAAGCCCUUUGCAGGCAUCUGAACACAAUGCUAACAAAGGCAGAUCCCCCACAACCUUGUGCAACUGAUGAAAGAACCAUGUCCAGUUUUCAGUAUUUUCUGCCUCAAAAAAUCCAUAUGCUACUGGAUACAUCCAAUUGUGCCCAUCAACACCUAUUGCACAACAUAGGUGACCAUUCCACCUUCCAUUAAGAGCUGUGGAGUCAACACUUAGGUAUGGUUGGCACCCACCCUUGAAACCAGAAAUGCAUGGACCGAGCGCACAAAAAAAUCUACUGAAAAAAGGACGCCCCUGAUCCAUUUUGACAUCAAGCUCAACGACACUAUCCGGUGACUUUUGCAUAACUGCUUCUCUCCAACGCCAUAGUAGCUGAAAGCUCUCUUCCCAACUUCCAAAUAAUUCCUUCAAAGCUUUCUCUUUCCCAUGCCAAACUGUGUCAUAUGCAAUUGUACAACCAAAAGUGUCCUGCAAUGUAGUUUGAAGCUCCUUAGCACCCAUAUGAGGCUUCUUCAUUAGCAAAGGAAGCGCACGUGCAGCAACCCAAGCUCCGGUAGUGUCACACCCGGGUUUCGGGGCACCAAGACCCGGGCGCGAACAUAAUCACCAGGUGUGCUGGGACCAAGUCUCACACAUAUGAUGAAUCAUGGCACAGGAUCGAAUGUCACAUCUUUACUAUAUCAUAGGAGUUCUAUACAAAAUAAAUAAAUAAUUACAUUAUAAGGAGACAACGGUCUAGCAACCCAAAGUUGACUGGGAGACGACGGCCUAGACCUCUCACGAACACAUCGCAGCAUCCUCCAUGUGCCUCAUCCUGUGGUACCUGUUCUUGACCUAUGGGGGGGGUGAGACAGCAAGAGUGAGCUCACAUACGUUCAUCGCUCAACAAGUUGUGGGGAAUAAUGUGCAUGAACUCGCCAAAGGUGGGAGCUCACGUGAAGUGUAAGGCUUACCAAAGAGGAUGGUUAGAGCUGAGCAUUGCUUUUAAAGUUGGUCAAAAUUUUAUUAGCAAUUACUAAGUAUAAGUAAAUACCAACUCAAUUAAGCAGUAGAACAAAGGUAACAACAUCACCUGCGAUGCAAUGCAUAUGACAAAUUGAAUUUAGUUCCAUAAAUUAAUCAUGUGAGGGUCCGAGCUGCUCAUGACCGUGAGCACGGCUAGUAUACCAGUUUUACACUCUGCAGAGGUUGCACAUCUUUACCCACAAGUCAUGUUACCCAUCUGCCAAGGGAUCACGACUUCCCAUACACCUCUACCGAGGAGGCGAGGCAAGGUAACACUACGAGGCCUUUACAAAGUUCCACUAGCUUCAGAAAACCCGCUACAGUUUAUAGGAAGCUCCAAUGCAGGGUUCUUACCUGACCGCCAUCGCAGCAAAAUCAACCAAGGACCUCCCUACACUGACCACUCCCCUACUGCUCUUGCCCCUUUCGGGUAAGGUAGUCUUCCACUAGCUUUCCUAAUUAAUCAGCCAAGGGUAGGGAUGGAUUCGGAUAUUUAUUCGGAUGUCAAUUUUUUGGUCUUCUUUCUUCGAUUGUGAACAAAUAACAUAUAGAAUUUGCUAUGUAAAUUUAUAUUCUUGUUUUUAGCAUUGAGGUUAUUAAUCUUCACAAAAAAUAAACAUUAAAUUCGUUCUAGAUAUUUUUAAAUAAUUGAUAUAAAAUUCGGAUGUCUAUCCGAAUACGGAUUCGGAUGUUUUUUCACCUUUUCUGUUGUAGGGAGAAAAUAAUGUACAUAAAAAAGUAUACAGAAAUUUAUUUAAAUACUUCAUAAUAUUCUUCAUAACAUUGCCAAAAAUUAGCUUUAAAUUAUAUGUAUAUCUAUGCUAAAAUAUUAGAUUUGUGAUACAAUUCGGAUGUUUUAGGAACAUCCCUAGCCAAGGGCGUCCCAUUAAACCCUUGUGGUAGCACUGUUUUCCCGGGUGGUCGCUGAAAGGGAAUUAGGCUUACACCUAGUUCCUAAAUUAUUUUGGUGGUUGAAUUGCCCAACACAAAUUGAUAAACUAACUAGUUUGCUCUAGAUUAUACGUUCUACAGGUGCCAAAGGUUCAUCUACAACUAUACUAAUUCGACUGUCCGGAAUACCGUAGAUUAUUCCGGACAGGAGAAGCUUUUUGGAAAAACAGGCCAAGCGCGGACCGUCCGGGCCUUUGCGGCGGACCGUCCGCGACACGAGGAUGCCCCUCGGACAGAACCAAUGCAAAAAUACAAGUAUCCACUACAGACUGUCCGGAGGAAAAGCAAAGACCGUCCGAGCCCUUGCGCGGACCGUCCGGCCUCAGGCGCGGACCGUCCGGUAGGUAAGAAACUGAAUAACCCGAAGGUAACGGGUUCGGAGAAAUGAAUUAUAGGGGCCUCGCGGACCGUCCGGGGUGCACGACCGGACCGUCCGCGACUGGCUCUGUCUGACAUCUGACGACGCAUUAAAUGCAAUAUAGCCGUUACUGCUGACCAUUGCAUUUUCAGCCGUUGAUCUAUAGGGGCGGACCGUCCGGACCUGGCACGCGGACCGUCCGCGCUCAGCAGAAUGGAGCAACGGCUAGGAGGUGGUUGGUGGCUAUAAAUACAACCCCAACCACCUCCAUUCACUUCAUCCAAGCAUUCCAACCUUCAACAUUCAAUACAAGAGCUAGCAAUCCAUUCCAAGACACAUUCAAAGCCUCCAUCUCUCCAAGUUUCACUAUUGAGGAAAGAGAUCAUUAGUGAUUAGUAGCUUGAGAGAGAAAGUGAUCCGUGUGUUAUUUGUCGCUCUUGUCGCUUGGCCUCUUUAAAUCGUGCUUUCUUGAUUCUUUCAUCGCAAUCAAACUCACUUGUAAUUGAGGCAAGAGACACCAAACUUGUGGUGGUCCUUGUGGGAACUUUGUGUUCCAAGUAAUUGAGAAGAGAAAGCUCACUCGGUCCGAGGGAUCGUUUGAGAGAGGGAAGGGUUGAAAGAGACCCGGCCUUUGUGGCCUCCUCAACGGGGAGUAGGUUUGCAAGAACCGAACCUCGGUAAAACAAAUAUCCGUGUCUCACUUGCUUAUUCGCUUGAGAUUUGUUUUCCAUCCUCUCUCGCGGACUCGUUUCUUUAUUACUAACGCUAACCCCGGCUUGUAGUUGUGUUUAUAUUUGUAAAUUUCAGUUUCGCCCUAUUCACCCCCCUCUAGGCGACUAUCAAUUGGUAUCAGAGCCCGGUUCUUCAUUAGAGCCUAACCGCUCGAAGUGAUGUCGGGAGAUCACGCCAAGAAGGAGAUGGAGACCGGCGAAAAGCCCACUACAAGCCACGGGAGCACUUCAUCGGAAGAGUCCCGCACCAAGAGGAAGGAGAAGAAGAAGGACUCCUCCCAACGGAAGGAGAAAAAGUCUUCCUCUUCUCACCACAAAGAGAAGAAGGAGAAAUCUUCUUCUCACAAGCCGCAUCGGAAAGGCGACAAGCACAAGAGGAUGAGGAAAGUGGUCUACUACGAGACCGACACUUCAUCAACAUCGACCUCCGACUCCGAUGCGCCCUCCGUCACUUCUAAGCGCCAAGAGCGCAAGAAGUAUAGUAAGAUCCCCCUACACUACCCUCGCAUUUCCAAACAUACACCUUUACUUUCCGUCCCAUUAGGCAAACCACCAACUUUUGAUGGUGAAGAUUACGCUAGGUGGAGCGAUUUAAUGCGAUUUCAUCUAAUCUCGCUCCACAAAAGUAUAUGGGAUGUUGUUGAGUUUGGUGCACAGGUACCGUCGGUAGGGGAUGAGAACUAUGAUGAGGAUGAGGUGGCCCAAAUCGAGCACUUCAACUCUCAAGCAACGACAAUACUCCUCGCCUCUCUAAGUAGAGAGGAGUAUAACAAAGUACAAGGGUUGAAGAGCGCUAAGGAGAUUUGGGAUGUGCUCAAAACCGCGCACGAAGGAGAUGAGCUCACCAAGAUCACCAAGCGGGAAACGAUCGAGGGGGAGCUCGGUCGGUUCCGGCUUCGCAAAGGGGAGGAGCCACAACAUAUGUACAACCGGCUCAAGACUUUGGUGAACCAAGUGCGCAACCUCGGGAGCAAGAAGUGGGAUGACCACGAAGUGGUAAAUGUUAUUUUAAGAUCUCUCAUUUUUCUUAAUCCCACUCAAGUUCAAUUGAUUCGUGGUAAUCCUAGAUAUACUAAAAUGACCCCCGAGGAAGUUAUCGGGCAUUUUGUAAGUUUUGAGUGCAUGAUAGAAGGCUCGAGGAAAAUCAACGAGCUUGGCGACCCAUCCGAAGCCCAACCCGUUGCAUUCAAGGCAACGGAGGAGAAGAAGGAGGAGUCUACACCAAGUAGACAACCAAUAGACGCCUCCAAGCUCGACAAUGAGGAAAUGGCGCUCGUCAUCAAGAGCUUCCGCCAAAUCCUCAAGCAAAGGAGGGGGAAGGACUACAAGUCCCGCUCCAAGAAGGUUUGCUACAAGUGUGGUAAGCCCGGUCAUUUUAUUGCUAAAUGUCCUAUAUCUAGUGACAGUGACCGAGGCGACGACAAGAAGGGGAGAAGAAAGGAGAAGAAAAGGUACUACAAGAAGAAGGGCGGCGAUGCCCAUGUUUGUCGGGAAUGGGAUUCCGACGAAAGCUCAAGCGACUCCUCCGACGACGAGGACGCCGCCAACAUCGCCGUCACCAAGGGACUCCUCUUCCCCAACGUCGGCCACAAGUGCCUCAUGGCAAAGGACGGCAAAAAGAAGAAGGUUAAAUCCAACUCCUCCACUAAAUAUGAAUCUUCUAGUGAUGAUAAUGCUAGUGAUGAGGAGGAUAAUUUGCGUUCCCUUUUUGCCAACCUUAACAUAGCUCAAAAAGAAAAAUUAAAUGAAUUAGUUAGUGCUAUUCAUGAAAAGGAUGACCUUUUGGAUGCCCAAGAGGAUUGUCUUAUUAAAGAAAACAAGAAACAUGUUAAGGUUAAAAAUGCUUAUGCUCUAGAAGUAGAAAAAUGUCAAAAACUAUCUAGUGAGCUAAGCACUUGUCGUGAGAUGAUUGACAACCUUAGAAAUGAAAAUGCUAUUUUAAAUGCUAAGGUUGAUUCACAUGUUUGUAAUGUUUCAAUUACCAAUCUUAGAGAUGAUAAUGUUGACUUGCUUGCUAAGAUUGAUGAAUUGAAUGUAUCUCUUGCUAGCCUUAAAUUAGAGAAUGAAGAUUUAAUUGCUAAGGCUAAAGAUUUUGAUGUUUGCAAAGUUACAAUUUCCAAUCUUAAAGAUAAAAAUGAUAUUCUUCAUGCUAAGAUUGUGGAACUUGAUUCUUGCAAACCCUCUACAUCUACCAUUGAGCAUGUCACUAUUUGUGCUAGAUGUAGAGAUAUUGAUGUUAAUGCUAUUCAUGAUCACAUGAUCUUAAUUAAGCAACAAAAUGAUCAUAUAGCUAAACUUGAUGCUAAAAUUGCCGAGCACAACUUAGAAAAUGAGAAAUUUAAAUUUGCUCGUAGCAUGCUUUAUAAUGGGAGACGCCCUGGCAUUAAGGAUGGCAUUGGCUUCCAAAGGGGAGACAAUGUCAAAAUUAGUGCCCCUCCUAAAAGAUUGUCAAAUUUUGUUAAGGGCAAGGCUCCCAUGCCUCAGGAUAACGAGGGUUACAUUUUAUACCCUGCCGGUUAUCCCGAGGAUAAAAUUAGGAAAAUUCAUUCUAGGAAGUCUCACUCUGGCCCUAAUCAUGCUUUUAUGUAUAAGGGUGAGACAUCUAGCUCUAGGCAACCAACCCGUGCCAAGUUGCCUAGAAAGAAAACUCCUAAUGCAUCAAAUGAUCAUGCCAUUUCAUUUAAAACUUUUGAUGCUUCUUAUGUGCUUACUAACAAAUCCGGCAAGGUAGUUGCCAAAUAUGUUGGGGGCAAGCACAAGGGCUCCAAGACUUGUGUUUGGGUACCCAAAGUUCUUGUGUCUAAUGCCAAAGGACCCAAAACCAUUUGGGUACCUAAAAUCAAGAACUAAACUUGUUUUGUAGGUUUAUGCAUCCGGGGGCUCAAGUUGGAUACUCGACAGCGGGUGCACAAACCACAUGACAGGGGAGAAGAAGAUGUUCUCCUCAUAUGAGAAAAACCAAGAUCCCCAAAGAGCGAUCACAUUCGGGGAUGGAAAUCAAGGUUUGGUCAAAGGUUUGGGUAAAAUUACUAUAUCUCCUGACCAUUCUAUUUCAAAUGUUUUUCUUGUUGAUUCUUUAGAUUACAACUUGCUUUCUGUUUCUCAAUUAUGUCAAAUGGGCUACAACUGUCUAUUUACUGAUAUAGGUGUCACUGUCUUUAGAAGAAGUGAUGAUUCAAUAGCAUUUAAGGGAGUGUUAGAGGGUCAGCUAUACUUGGUAGAUUUUGAUAGAGCUGAACUCGACACUUGCUUAAUUGCUAAGACUAACAUGGGUUGGCUCUGGCACCGCCGACUAGCCCAUGUUGGAAUGAAGAAUCUUCAUAAGCUUCUAAAGGGAGAGCACAUUUUAGGACUAACCAAUGUUCAUUUUGAGAAAGACAGGAUUUGUAGCGCAUGCCAAGCAGGAAAGCAAGUUGGCUCUCAUCAUCCGCAUAAGAACAUAAUGACGACCAACAGGCCGCUAGAGCUCCUGCACAUGGAUCUAUUCGGCCCGAUCGCUUACAUAAGCAUCGGCGGGAGUAAGUACUGUCUUGUUAUUGUGGAUGAUUAUUCUCGCUUCACUUGGGUAUUCUUUUUACAGGAAAAAUCUCAAACCCAAGAGACCUUAAAGGGAUUCCUGAGACGGGCUCAAAAUGAGUUCGGCUUAAGGAUCAAGAAAAUAAGAAGCGACAACGGGACGGAGUUCAAGAACUCUCAAAUUGAAGGCUUUCUUGAGGAGGAGGGCAUCAAGCAUGAGUUCUCUUCUCCCUACACACCUCAACAAAAUGGUGUAGUGGAGAGGAAGAAUAGAACUCUUUUGGACAUGGCGAGAACCAUGCUUGAUGAAUACAAGACUUCGGAUCGGUUUUGGGCGGAGGCGGUCAACACCGCUUGCUACGCCAUCAACCGGUUAUAUCUUCAUCGAAUCCUCAAGAAGACAUCAUAUGAACUCCUAACCGGUAAAAAGCCCAACAUUUCAUACUUUAGAGUCUUUGGUAGCAAAUGCUUUAUACUUGUUAAAAGAGGUAGAAAAUCUAAAUUUGCUCCUAAGACUGUAGAAGGCUUUUUACUUGGUUAUGACUCAAACACAAGGGCAUAUAGGGUCUUUAACAAGUCCACUGGACUAGUUGAAGUCUCAUGUGACGUUGUGUUUGAUGAGACUAAUGGCUCUCAAAUAGAGCAAGUUGAUCUUGAUGAGAUAGGUGAAGAAGAGACUCCAUGCAUCGCGCUAAGGAACAUGUCCAUUGGGGAUGUGUGUCCUAAGGAAUCCGAAGAGCCUCCAAUUGCACAAGAUCAACCAUCCUCCUCCAUGCAAGCAUCUCCACCAACUCAAAAUGAGGAUGGAGCUCAAGUUGAUGAAGAAGAAGAUCAAUCAAAUGAGCCACCUCAAGAUGAUGGCAAUGAUCAAGGGGGAGAUGCAAAUGAUCAAGAAAAGGAGGAUGAGGAAGAACCAAGGCCGCCACACCCAAGAGUCCACCAAGCAAUCCAACGAGACCACCCCGUUGACACCAUCCUCGGCGACAUUCAUAAGGGGGUAACUACUCGAUCUCGUGUUGCUCAUUUCUGUGAACAUUACUCGUUUGUUUCCUCUAUUGAGCCACACAGGGUAGAGGAAGCACUUCAAGAUUCGGAUUGGGUGGUGGCGAUGCAAGAGGAACUCAACAACUUCACGAGGAAUGAGGUAUGGCAUUUAGUUCCACGUCCUAAUCAAAAUGUUGUAGGAACCAAAUGGGUCUUCCGCAACAAGCAAGACGAGCAUGGUGUGGUGACAAGGAACAAAGCUCGACUUGUGGCCAAGGGAUACUCCCAAGUCGAAGGUUUGGAUUUCGGUGAAACCUAUGCACCCGUAGCUAGGCUUGAGUCAAUUCGCAUAUUAUUGGCCUAUGCUACUUACCAUGGCUUUAAGCUUUAUCAAAUGGACGUGAAAAGUGCCUUCCUCAAUGGACCAAUCAAGGAAGAGGUCUAUGUUGAGCAACCUCCCGGCUUUGAAGACAGUGAGUAUCCUAACCAUGUCUAUAAGCUCUCUAAGGCGCUUUAUGGGCUCAAGCAAGCCCCAAGAGCAUGGUAUGAAUGCCUUAGAGAUUUCCUUAUUGCUAAUGGCUUCAAAGUCGGAAAGGCCGAUCCUACUUUGUUCACUAAAACUCUUAACAAUGAUUUGUUUGUAUGCCAAAUUUAUGUUGAUGAUAUCAUAUUUGGGUCUACUAACGAAUCAACUUGUGAAGAAUUUAGUAGGAUCAUGACACAAAAAUUCGAGAUGUCUAUGAUGGGGGAGUUGAAGUAUUUCUUAGGAUUCCAAGUAGAGCAACUCCAAGAGGGCACCUUCAUCAGCCAAACAAAGUACACUCAAGACAUUCUAACCAAGUUUGGGAUGAAGGAUGCCAAACCCAUCAAGACACCCAUGGGAACUAAUGGGCAUCUCGACCUCGACACGGGAGGUAAGUCCGUAGAUCAAAAGGUAUACCGGUCGAUGAUAGGUUCUUUACUUUACUUAUGUGCAUCUCGACCGGAUAUUAUGCUUUCUGUAUGCAUGUGUGCAAGAUUCCAAGCCGACCCUAAGGAAGCUCACCUUACGGCCAUAAAACGAAUCUUGAGAUAUUUGGCUUAUACUCCUAAGUUUGGGCUUUGGUAUCCUAGGGGAUCCACAUUCGAUUUAAUUGGUUAUUCGGAUGCCGAUUGGGCGGGGUGCAAAAUCAAUAGGAAGAGCACAUCGGGGACUUGCCAGUUCUUGGGAAGAUCCUUGGUGUCUUGGGCUUCAAAGAAGCAAAAUUCGGUCGCUCUUUCCACCGCCGAAGCCGAGUACAUUGCCGCAGGCCAUUGUUGCGCGCAAUUACUUUGGAUGAGGCAAACCCUGCGGGACUACGGUUACAAAUUAACCAAAGUCCCUUUGCUAUGUGAUAAUGAGAGUGCAAUCAAAAUGGCCGACAAUCCCGUCGAGCAUAGCCGCACUAAACACAUAGCCAUUCGGUACCAUUUUCUUAGGGAUCACCAACAAAAGGGAGAUAUCGAGAUUUCUUACAUUAACACUAAAGAUCAAUUAGCCGAUAUCUUUACCAAGCCUCUUGAUGAACAAACUUUUACCAAACUUAGGCAUGAGCUCAAUAUUCUUGAUUCCCGCAAUUUCUUUUGCUAGAUUGCACACAUAGCACAUUCAUAUACCUUUGAUCGUAUCUCUUGUAUAUGCUAUGACUAAUGUGUUUUCAAGUCUAUUUCAAACCAAGUCAUAGGUAUAUUGAAAGGAAUUUGGAGUCUUCGGCGAAGACAAAGGCUUCCACUCCGUAACUCAUCCUUCGCCGUCGCUCCAUGCCACUCUCCAUCUUUGGGGGAGAAAGCAAAAGGACUUCGUCUUUGGUAUAAUCCUAACUCAUUUAUUUAUGACCAAAGGGGAAGAAAGUACUUCGAGGGCUCUAGUGAUUCCGUUUUUGGCGAUUCAUGCCAAAGGGGGAGAGAGUAAGAGCCCAAAGCAAAAGGACCGCACCACCACCAAUUUCAAAAACCACCAAUUUCAAAACUUAGUGUUGAAUAUUUUUGGUAUCCUAUUGUGUUCAAAAAGGGGAGAAAGUAGUAUUUCAAAAAUGAUAUAUCAAAACCCUCUUGAACACUAAGAGGAGGAUCUUAUUUAGGGGGAGUUUUGUUUAGUCAAAGGAAAAGCAUUUAAAACAGGGGGAGAAAAUUUCAAAUCUUGAAAAUGCUUCUCAAAAUCUUAUUCAUUUGCCUUUGACUAUUUGCAAAAGAACUUUGAAAUGGAUUUACAAAAGAAUUUGCAAAAACAAAACAUGUGGUGCAAGAGUGGUCCAAAAUGGUAAAUUAGAAAGAAACAAUUCAUGCAUAUCUUGUAAGUAUUUAUAUUGGCUCAACUCCAAGCAACCUUUGCACUUACAUUAUGCAAACUAGUUCAAUUAUGCACUUCUAUAUUUGCUUUGGUUUGUGUUGGCAUCAAUCACCAAAAAGGGGGAGAUUGAAAGGGAAUUAGGCUUACACCUAGUUCCUAAAUUAUUUUGGUGGUUGAAUUGCCCAACACAAAUUGAUAAACUAACUAGUUUGCUCUAGAUUAUACGUUCUACAGGUGCCAAAGGUUCAUCUACAACUAUACUAAUUCGACUGUCCGGAAUACCGUAGAUUAUUCCGGACAGGAGAAGCUUUUUGGAAAAACAGGCCAAGCGCGGACCGUCCGGGCCUUUGCGGCGGACCGUCCGCGACACGAGGAUGCCCCUCGGACAGAACCAAUGCAAAAAUACAAGUAUCUACUACAGACUGUCCGGAGGAAAAGCAAAGACCGUCCGAGCCCUUGCGCGGACCGUCCGGCCUCAGGCGCGGACCGUCCGGUAGGUAAGAAACUGAAUAACCCGAAGGUAACGGGUUCAGAGAAAUGAAUUAUAGGGGCCUCGCGGACCGUCCGGGGUGCACGACCGGACCGUCCGCGACUGGCUCUGUCUGACAUCUGACGACGCAUUAAAUGCAAUAUAGCCGUUGAUAUAGCCGUUACUGCUGACCAUUGCAUUUUCAGCCGUUGAUCUAUAGGGGCGGACCGUCCGGACCUGGCACGCGGACCGUCCGCGCUCAGCAGAAUGGAGCAACGGCUAGGAGGUGGUUGGUGGCUAUAAAUACAACCCCAACCACCUCCAUUCACUUCAUCCAAGCAUUCCAACCUUCAACAUUCAAUACAAGAGCUAGCAAUCCAUUCCAAGACACAUUCAAAGCCUCCAUCUCUCCAAGUUUCACUAUUGAGGAAAGAGAUCAUUAGUGAUUAGUAGCUUGAGAGAGAAAGUGAUCCGUGUGUUAUUUGUCGCUCUUGUCGCUUGGCCUCUUUAAAUCGUGCUUUCUUGAUUCUUUCAUCGCAAUCAAACUCACUUGUAAUUGAGGCAAGAGACACCAAACUUGUGGUGGUCCUUGUGGGAACUUUGUGUUCCAAGUAAUUGAGAAGAGAAAGCUCACUCGGUCCGAGGGAUCGUUUGAGAGAGGGAAGGGUUGAAAGAGACCCGGCCUUUGUGGCCUCCUCAACGGGGAGUAGGUUUGCAAGAACCGAACCUCGGUAAAACAAAUAUCCGUGUCUCACUUGCUUAUUCGCUUGAGAUUUGUUUUCCAUCCUCUCUCGCGGACUCGUUUCUUUAUUACUAACGCUAACCCCGGCUUGUAGUUGUGUUUAUAUUUGUAAAUUUCAGUUUCGCCCUAUUCACCCCCCCUCUAGGCGACUAUCAGUCGCUCCAUGUUCCAAUUAACAUAAUGAUCUUAUCAUGAACAGUAAAUAAUAAUGGAUAACAAAAGUAUAAUCAUGAAUAAUGUAUCUUCAUACCCAAAACCACAUAAAGCACUAGCAGGUACUACCCAAAAAGUUCAGUGGUAAACAAGGUAUAAAGAUAGACAAACUAGGGUAACCUAUUGGGUCCCAUCAAAAUUAACCUAUGCAGAUCAUUAUGAUUAAUCAGAACAUGGCUAGGUAAAAAGAAGUGAUCAAGGGCACAACUUGCCUGGGACUUGAGAUUCCAGGUACCAACUUGCUCUUCCGAUGACACGUGUCCUCACGCUAGUCAUAGUAAUACAGACAAACAUAGUACAUGCAAAAUUAACAUCACACCAAACAUAGGAAUAACUACGUAUUAAUAAUCUACACGCUGCUACGAGAUCGUGGAAACAAGAAUCAUUAAAUUCGGAGUUACGGUUACCAAGUUAUGGAUUUCUGAAGUUAUUUAGCACAUAGAACAGAUUAAUUCAAAUGAACAAUUUUAAUUCAAGUUUCAUGGCUAAACAGUGUUACUAGUUGAUAUACAAUAUUAAAACAAAAUUAUAGAAACUGGAACGAGUCAAUUCGGAGUUAGAAUGAAUUAAAUACGGAUUAAACAAGUUUAUGGAUUUAUUUUUAUACUAAAAACCUAUUUUCUAAUCCAUUUAUUCAAUUUAUCACAUCACUGGACUGGGCCUCAAUUUCCAGAGAAGGCAGGGGGCUAUGCGCAAGAUAUCCCAGACACAGAGAACAGGGUCCCUGGACGGCGGGUUGUUUUCUGAUAAGCGUAGGGGCUCUUUUGUGAAAUGAGCGGCUGAAGGGGUAUCCGAUGAUGUGGGCCACCCGAUCGGCCACCAACGCUCCAGAUUAAAUCGCUGAAAGGGAAAUGUGCCCUUGGGCCAUUUCUAAGUAUUUUGGUGAUUUAGUGUCCAACACAAGUGCUUAAAUGUAAAAUGGUGGACAAAGUACAAACCAAGGAUAAAGGUAUGUUUCUCAGACUUAAUACAUUGUUUUAUGGACUAAUGUAUUGUGUCUAAGUGCUGGAAACAGGAAAAAUCGAAUUGGAAAUGAGAUGGCUUUGUUCAGCCAAAGUCUGAUGUCUGGGAGCACCGGAAUGUCCGGUGGUGCACCGGACAGUGUCCGGUGCGCCAGGCUGGCUCGAGUGAACUGGCCGCUCUCGGGAAUCCACCGGUGACGUACAGCUAUAAUUCACCGGACUGUCCGGUGUGCACCGGACUGUCCGGUGUGCACCGGACUGUCCGGUGAGCCAACGGUCGGCCGCGCGAUCUGCGCGGGACACGUGGCCGAGCCAACGGCUAGAAGGGGGCACCGGACUGUCCGGUGUGCACCGGACAUGUCCGGUGCGCCAACGGCUCUCUGGCAGCCAACGGUCGGCUGCGCCAUUUAUGGAAAGAAAUCGGGCACUGGACAUGUCCGGUGUGCACCGGACUGUCCGGUGCGCCAGUCGACAGAAGGCAAGAUCAGCCUUCCUAGAUUGCUCUCAACGGCUCCUAGCUGCCUUGGGGCUAUAAAAGGGACCCCUAGGCGCAUGGAGGAGGACACCAAGCAUCCUUUGAGCACAUUUGAUCACUCACACAUCAUUCUUGCGCACUUGUUCGACAUUCUAGUGAUUUGAGCUCCGUUCUAGUGUGCUAGUCUUUUUGAGCUCAAGUCUGGGUCUUGUGUGUGCGUAUUUGCUGUGAUCUUUGUGUCUUGUGUGAGUUGCUCAUCCCUCCCUUACUCCGUGAUUCUUUGUGAACAUCAAAAGUGUAAGGGCGAGAGGCUCCAAGUUGUGGAGAUUCCUCGCGAACGGGAUAAGAAAAGAAAAGCAAAACACCGUGGUAUUCAAGUUGAUCAUUGGAUCACUUGAGAGGAGUUGAGUGCAACUCUCGUCCGUUGGGACGCCACAACGUGGAGUAGGAAAGUUUUGUACUUGGCCGAACCACGGGAUAAACCACUGCGUCAUCUCUGUGUUGAACUCUUUGUGGUUAUCGUAUUGUGCAAGAUCUUCUCUCUAGCCACUUGGUGAUUAUUGUGCUAACACUUAACCAAGUUUUGUGGCUUAAGUUUUAAGUUUUACAGGAUCACCUAUUCACCCCCCCCUCUAGGUGCUCUCAAUUGGUAUCAGAGCCGUUCUCUUCAAGAAAGGGACUAACCGCCCGAAGAGAUGGAUCCUAAGGGGAAGGGAAUUGUGAUCAACGACAAGGAGAAGGAGUCCUUCAUCAACGAGCCGAAGGAGGACAAGCCUACCGACUCGGGCUCGGGCCACAGACGCAAAGAUGGGAAGAAGAAGACAAGACGCAUCAAGGAGAUUGUCUACUACGACGACAGUGAUGAGUCCACUUCUUCCCAAAAGGACAACGACGACAACGACUGCGAGAGAAGGAAACCGGUUAAUUCAAACUUUUCUUUUGACUACUCUCGUAUUCCGCAAAGUACAAAUGCUCAUUUAUUAUCAAUUCCACUUGGUAAACCUCCUCACUUUGAUGGAGAGGACUACGGAUUUUGGAGUCACAAAAUGCGUAGUCAUUUGUUCUCUCUCCAUCCAAGCAUAUGGGAGAUAGUUGAGAACGGAAUGCAUUUUGAUAGUAGUGAUAGUCCCAUGUUUAUCAAUGAGCAAAUUCAUAAAAAUGCACAAGCUACUACUGUUCUUCUAGCUUCUUUGUGCAGGGAUGAAUACCACAAAGUGAGCGGCUUGGAUAACACCAAGCAAAUUUGGGACACCCUCAAGAUCUCUCAUGAGGGGAAUGAUGUCACAAUGCUCACCAAGAUGGAGUUGGUGGAAGGCGAACUCGGGAGAUUCGCGAUGAUAAGGGGAGAAGAGCCAACUCAAACGUACAACCGGCUAAAGACCCUUGUCAACAAGAUAAGAAGCUAUGGAAGCACGCGAUGGACGGACCACGACGUCGUCCGCCUAAUGCGAAGGUCUUUUACUGUCCUUGAUCCUCAUCUUGUAAACAAUAUUCGUGAGAAUCCUAGGUACACCAAGAUGACGCCCGAGGAGAUACUUGGAAAGUUCGUGAGCGGGCGAAUGAUGAUCAAGGAAGCAAGAUACGUGGACGACGCAUUGAAUGGUCCAAUCAAUGAGCCUCAACCUCUUGCUCUCAAGGCAACAAGAAGCAAUGAGACGCUACCUAGCAAGGUGGCACAAAUUGAGGCGGCCGGACUUAAUGAUGAAGAGAUGGCUCUCAUCAUCAAGAGAUUCAAGACGGCGCUAAAAGGUCGCAAGGGGCUGCCAAGCAAGACCAAGACAAAGGGGAAGCGCUCAUGCUUCAAAUGUGGUAAGCUUGGUCAUUUUAUUGCUAACUGUCCCGACAAUGAUAGUGAUCAGGAUCAAGGGAACAAGAGGGAAAAGAAGAAGAACUAUAAGAAGGCAAAGGGCGAGGCGCAUCUAGGCAAGGAGUGGGAUUCAAAUUGCUCCUCUUCCGACUCCGACAAUGAAGGACUCACCGCCACCGCCUUCAACAAGUCAUCCCUCUUCCCCAACGAGCGUCACACAUGCCUUAUGGCAAGGGAGAAGAAGGUAUGUACUCGAAACACUACUUAUGCUUCUUCAAGUGAGGACGAAUCUAGUGAUGAGGAUGAAAUAGAUUAUUCAUGUUUAUUUAAGGGCCUAGAUAGAACCAAGGUAGAUAAAAUUAAUGAAUUAAUUGAUGCCUUGAAUGAUAAGAAUAGGCUUCUAGAAAAACAAGAAGAUUUGUUGUAUGAAGAACAUGACAAAUUUAUAGAAGCACAAAAAUCUCAUGCUUUAGAAGUUAAAAGAAAUGAAAUGCUUUCUUGUGAAUUAUCUUCUUGCCAUGAGACAAUUUCUAGCCUAAGGAGCAUUAAUGAUGAUUUGAAUGCUAAGUUAGAAAUAGCUAGUAAAUCAACAACUUGUGUAGAAAAUGUUGUUAUUUGCGAUAGAUGUAAAGAUUUUGAUAUUGAUGCUUGUAGUGAACACAUAGCUUCUAUUGCAAAGUUAAACGAUGAAUUGGCUAGUCUUAAUGCCCAACUUAAGACUUGCAAAAGUGAAUUUGACAAAUUAAAAUUUGCAAGGGAUGCCUACACAAUUGGUAGACACCCCUCAAUUAAGGAUGGUCUUGGCUUCAAGAGGGAAGUCAAGAACUUAACAAGCCAUAAGGCUUCCAUCUCCACAAAGGAGAAAGGGAAGGCCCCUAUGGCAAGUAAUGCUAAAAAGAACCAUGCCUUCAUGUACCAUGAUAGAAAAUUUUCUAGAAAUGUUCAUGAUGAUAGGAGUUGUAAUGCUUUUGACUCCCAUGCCAUGUUUGCUUCUAGUUCUUCCUAUAUGCAUGAUAGAAAUAUGUUUAGAAGAAAUGUUUGUCAUCAUAUGCCUAGGAGAAAUGUUGUCAAUAUUCCUAGGAAAGUGAAUGAAUCUUCUACAAUUUAUCAUGCUUUAAAUGCUUCCUUUGCUAUUUGUAGAAAGGAUAGGAAGAUAGUUGCUAGGAAAUUAGGGGCAAAAUGCAAGGGUGAUAAAACUUGCAUUUGGGUCCCUAAGGAAAUUGUGACUAACCUUGUAGGACCCAACAAGAGUUGGGUACCUAAGACCCAAGCCUAAAUUUGCCUUGCAGGUUUAUGCAUCCGGGGGUUCAAGCUGGAUUAUCGACAGCGGAUGCACAAACCAUAUGACGGGGGAGAAGAAGAUGUUCACCUCCUACGUCAAGAAUAAGGAUUCCCAAGAUUCAAUCAUAUUUGGUGAUGGAAACCAAGGCAAGGUGAAAGGCUUAGGCAAGAUUGCAAUUUCAAAUGAGCACUCUAUCUCUAAUGUAUUUUUAGUUGAGUCUCUGGGAUAUAAUUUACUAUCUGUUAGUCAAUUGUGCAAUAUGGGAUAUAACUGUCUAUUCACUAAUAUAGAUGUGUCUGUCUUUAGAAGAUGUGAUGGUUCACUAGCUUUUAAGGGUGUACUAGACGACAAACUUUAUUUAGUUGAUUUUGCAAAAGAGGAGGCCGGUCUAGAUGCAUGCUUAAUCGCUAAGACUAGCAUGGGCUGGCUGUGGCAUCGCCGCUUAGCACAUGUGGGGAUGAAGAACCUUCACAAGCUUCUAAAGGGAGAACACGUGAUAGGUUUGACUAACGUGCAAUUCGAAAAAGAUAGACCUUGUGCAGCUUGUCAAGCAGGUAAACAAGUGGGAGGAGCACAUCACAGCAAGAAUGUGAUGACCACCUCAAGACCUCUAAAGCUGCUGCAUAUGGACCUCUUCGGACCCGUCGCUUAUCUAAGCAUAGGGGGAAGUAAGUAUGGUUUAGUCAUUAUGGAUGAUUUUUCCCGCUUCACUUGGGUAUUCUUUUUACAGGAUAAGUCUGAGACCCAAGGAACCCUCAAGCGCUUCCUAAGGAGAGCUCAAAACGAGUUUGAGCUCAAGGUGAAGAAGAUAAGGAGCGACAAUGGGUCCGAGUUCAAGAACCUUCAAGUGGAGGAGUUCCUUGAGGAGGAGGGGAUCAAGCACGAGUUCUCCGCUCCCUACACACCUCAGCAAAAUGGUGUGGUAGAGAGGAAGAACAGGACACUCAUAGAUAUGGCGAGGACUAUGCUUGGAGAAUUCAAGACCCCCGAGCAUUUUUGGUCGGAAGCUGUGAACACGGCUUGCCACGCCAUCAACAGGGUCUACCUUCACCGCCUCCUCAAGAAGACGUCGUAUGAGCUUCUAACCGGUAACAAACCCAAUGUAUCUUACUUUCGUGUAUUUGGGAGCAAAUGCUACAUUCUAGUGAAGAAGGGUAGAAAUUCUAAGUUUGCUCCCAAAGCUGUAGAAGGGUUUUUAUUAGGUUAUGAUUCAAAUACAAAGGCGUAUAGGGUCUUCAACAAAUCAUCGGGUUUAGUUGAAGUCUCUAGCGACGUUGUAUUUGAUGAGACUAAUGGCUCUCCAAGAGAGCAAGUUGUUGAUCUUGAUGAUGUAGAUGAAGAAGACGUUCCAACGGCCGCGAUACGCACCAUGGCGAUUGGAGAUGUACGACCUCAGGAACAUUUGGAGCAAGAUCAACCUUCUUCCUCAACUAUGGUGCAUUCCCCAGCCAAAGAUGAAGAACAGGUACCUCAAGUGGAGGCACAUGAUCAAGGGGGAGCACAGGAUGUUCAAGUUGAAAAGGAAGAAGCACCUCAGGCACCUCCAACCCAAGUUCGAGCGACGAUUCAAAGGGAUCAUCCCGUCGACCAGAUAUUGGGUGAUAUUAGCAAGGGAGUAACUACUCGUUCAAGAUUAGUUAAUUUUGUGAGCAUUACUCCUUUGUCUCUUCUAUUGAGCCUUUCAGGGUAGAAGAGGCAUUGCUAGAUCCGGACUGGGUGUUGGCCAUGCAGGAGGAACUCAACAACUUCAAGCGCAAUGAAGUUUGGACACUGGUGCCUCGUCCCAAGCAAAAUGUUGUGGGAACCAAGUGGGUGUUCCGCAACAAACAAGACGAGCACGGAGUGGUGACAAGGAACAAGGCUCGACUUGUGGCAAAAGGUUAUGCCCAAGUCGCAGGUUUGGACUUUGAGGAGACCUUUGCUCCUGUGGCUAGGCUAGAGUCCAUUCGUAUUUUGCUAGCAUAUGUCGCUCACCAUUCUUUCAGGUUGUUCCAAAUGGAUGUGAAGAGCGCUUUCCUCAACGGGCCAAUCAAGGAGGAGGUGUACGUAGAGCAACCCCCUGGCUUCGAGGAUGAACGGUACCCCGACCACGUGUGUAAGCUCUCUAAGGCGCUCUAUGGACUUAAGCAAGCCCCAAGAGCAUGGUAUGAAUGCCUUAGAGACUUUUUAAUUGAUAAUGCUUUCAAGGUUGGGAAAGCCGAUCCAACUCUUUUCACUAAGACUUGCGAUGGUGAUCUUUUUGUAUGCCAAAUUUAUGUCGAUGACAUAAUAUUUGGUUCUACUAACCAAAAGUCUUGUGAAGAGUUUAGCAGGGUGAUGACGCAGAAAUUCGAGAUGUCGAUGAUGGGCGAGUUGAACUACUUCCUUGGGUUCCAAGUGAAGCAACUCAAGGACGGCACCUUCAUCUCCCAAACGAAGUAUACGCAAGAUUUGCUAAAGCGGUUUGGGAUGAAGGACGCCAAGCCCGCAAAGACGCCGAUGGGAACUGACGGACACACCGACCUCAACAAAGGAGGUAAGUCCGUUGAUCAAAAAGCAUACCGGUCCAUGAUAGGUUCUUUGCUUUAUUUAUGUGCUAGUAGACCGGAUAUUAUGCUUAGUGUAUGCAUGUGUGCUAGAUUUCAAUCCGAUCCUAAGGAGUGUCACUUAGUGGCUGUGAAGCGGAUUCUUAGAUAUUUAGUCGCUACGCCUUGCUUCGGGAUCUGGUAUCCAAAGGGGUCUAACUUUGACUUGAUUGGGUACUCAGAUUCCGACUAUGCUGCAUGUAAGGUCGAUAGGAAGAGUACAUCGGGGACGUGCCAAUUCUUAGGAAGGUCCCUGGUGUCAUGGAACUCUAAGAAACAAACUUCCGUUGCCCUAUCCACCGCUGAGGCCGAGUAUGUUGCCGCAGGACAGUGUUGCGCGCAACUACUUUGGAUGAGGCAAACCCUCAGGGACUUUGGCUACAAUCUGAGCAAAGUCCCACUCCUAUGUGAUAAUGAGAGUGCUAUCCGCAUGGCGGAAAAUCCUGUUGAGCACAACCGCACAAAGCACAUAGACAUCCGACAUCACUUUUUGAGAGACCACCAGCAAAAGGGAGAUAUCGAAGUGUUUCAUGUUAGCACCGAGAACCAGCUAGCCGAUAUCUUUACCAAGCCUCUAGAUGAGAAGACCUUUUGCAGGUUGCGUAGUGAGCUAAAUGUCUUAGAUUCGCGGAACUUGGAUUAAUUUAUAGCAUACACGUGUUUAUGCCUUUGAUCAUGUUCCUUAUGCAUUUUGUUGCUUAGUUAUGGUGCUCAAGUUGUACAAACACUCCCUAGACCUCACAAGUCCGUUGCAAAGUGAUGCACAUUUUUUUAGGGGGAGCUGUGUUACAACUUGACCCUUUGAGACUAACCAUGUGCUUGAGUUUGCUUAUUUUAGUCUCAAAGGAGGUUUGAAAGGGAAAAGGUGGACUUGGACCAUGAAAGACUUCCACUGCACUCCGAUGAGAGGGUAACUAAUUCCAAGUUCAUCUCAUGUACUCUUAUUGCCUUUGUAUUCUUAUUGAAGAUUUUGGUGAGGCAAUGGGGUUCUAGGGCCAAGAUUGAUCCCGUUUUGGUGCUUGAUGCCAAAGGGGGAGAAAAUAAAGGCCAGAGCGAUAAAUGGAUCAGCUACCACUUGAGAGAUUUUGAAAAUAGUAGAAUAGAGCUUUUGGUUUGUCAAAACUCUUUUAUUGUCUCUCUUGUCAAAAGUUGGCUUCUUGUAGGGAGAAGUAUUGAUUAUGGGAAAAGGGGGAGUUUUUGAAAUCUUGAAUCAAUUUCUCUUGGAAUGACUCUCUUUAUGUCUUAACAUGUGUGUUUGACUUAGAGAUAGAAAUUUGAAUUUGAUUUGCAAAAACAAACCAAGUGGUGGCAAAGGAUGAUCCAUAUAUGUAAAAAUUGAAUCAAAACAAUUUUGAGUUCUUAGUUGAAUUGAUUUUGUACUUGUUCUACUUGCUUUAUGUUGUGUUGGCAUAAAUCACCAAAAAGGGGGAGAUUGAAAGGGAAAUGUGCCCUUGGGCCAUUUCUAAGUAUUUUGGUGAUUUAGUGUCCAACACAAGUGCUUAAAUGUAAAAUGGUGGACAAAGUACAAACCAAGGAUAAAGGUAUGUUUCUCAGACUUAGUACAUUGUUUUAUGGACUAAUGUAUUGUGUCUAAGUGCUGGAAACAGGAAAAAUCGAAUUGGAAAUGAGAUGGCUUUGUUCAGCCAAAGUCUGCGGAGUCUGGGAGCACCGGACUGUCCGGUGGUGCACCGGACAGUGUCCGGUGUGCCAGGCUGGCUCGAGUGAACUGGCCGCUCUCGGGAAUCCACCGGCGACGUACGACUAUAAUUCACCGGACUGUCCGGUGUGCACCGGACUGUCCGGUGAGCCAACGGUCGGCCGGGCCAACGGUCGACCGCGCGAUCUGCGCGGGACACGUGGCCGAGCCAACGGCUAGAAGGGGGCACCGGACUGUCCGGUGUGCACCGGACAUGUCCGGUGCGCCAACGGCUCUCUGGCAGCCAACGGUCGGCUGCGCCAUUUAUGGAAAGAAAUCGGGCACCGGACAUGUCCGGUGUGCACCGGACUGUCCGGUGCGCCAGUCGACAUAAGGCAAGAUCAGCCUUCCUAGAUUGCUCUCAACGGCUCCUAGCUGCCUUGGGGCUAUAAAAGGGACCCCUAGGCGCAUGGAGGAGGACACCAAGCAUCCUUUGAGCACAUUUGAUCACUCACACAUCAUUCUUGCGCACUUGUUCGACAUUCUAGUGAUUUGAGCUCCGUUCUAGUGUGCUAGUCUUUUUGAGCUCAAGUCUGGGUCUUGUGUGUGCGUAUUUGUUGUGAUCUUUGUGUCUUGUGUGAGUUGCUCAUCCCUCCCUUACUCCGUGAUUCUUUGUGAACAUCAAAAGUGUAAGGGCGAGAGGCUCCAAGUUGUGGAGAUUCCUCGCGAACGGGAUAAGAAAAGAAAAGCAAAACACCGUGGUAUUCAAGUUGAUCAUUGGAUCACUCGAGAGGAGUUGAGUGCAACUCUCGUCCGUUGGGACGCCACAACGUGGAGUAGGCAAGUUUUGUACUUGGCCAAACCACGGGAUAAACCACUGCGUCAUCUCUGUGUUGAACUCUUUGUGGUUAUCGUAUUGUGCAAGAUCUUCUCUCUAGCCACUUGGUGAUUAUUGUGCUAACACUUAACCAAGUUUUGUGGCUUAAGUUUUAAGUUUUACAGGAUCACCUAUUCACCCCCCCCUCUAGGUGCUCUCAAUCGCAGUACUAAUGAAGCGGUACGCAAUGCCCUCCAGUGGAUUGCGAUCCUAUGGCGCAGAUUUAAUUUCACCCAGAGCCACCCGAUCCAUCCGAUCGGAUAUUAACGGCUCAGAUUUAUUCUCCCGAACCGGUAUCGCGAUCUAAUCGGGGCCGUUCCCUGGGAGAUCAAUGGCCCACAACCCAUCGUCUCCAAACCGCACCCUUACACGGCGGCGUCGCCCCACCCGCGGCGCGCCCUCGCCGGGGGGGGGGGUGACCAAUCCGCGCGCACACGCCCCAAUCUCACAAACCGAGAGCACAUACACGUUGCCGAGUGAAAAGCGAACCCAGGAGAGGGAUUCUUACCGUGGGUAGCGGCACAGAGAGCUCCGGCCACGGCGUCGUGCGGGUCCGCCGUGGAGUUGGUGCGACGGCGAGAAAUUCCUUGCUCGCAGUCCCCGAAUCGCGUCCGAUGAGGGCACCAGAAACUCUGAGAUGCCCCAACGAAGUCCCCGACCUCUGUCCGAGGCUAGAGCGUUGACUCGGGCGCGUAAUCAUGGCGGCGGCGGAACUCCCUCACACACGGCGCGCACGACAGUAGGCGAUGGCGGUGUCUAGUAUGAACUGCGAGAGAAAAGGGGAGAAACGGGUUGCGGCUAGGGCCCUUUUAUACGGCGAGAUGGUGCGCAGGUCCCGGUAACGGAGUCCGAGGUCACCGGCGAGCACCGCCGCGGAUUUCGCGAGCUCAGUUGCCGCGGCCGCACGGUGGUUGGUGACAGGCGGGCUCCACAUGUAAGCCACGCGAAAAAAAGGGAGAGCGAGGCGCCCAGGCUGACGCGUGGGUCCGGCUUGUCAGCGCGGUCCGGGCUGCGCGGUGAACUAACGUUGGUCGAGCGGGUAGGCUUAAGUGGGCCGACGCGAGGGGAGUAAGGUUGGAUGGGCCGAAUUCAGGCUGGCGGCCCAGAUGAGCUUUUCUCCUUUUUCUCUUUAUUCUUUUCUUUUCUCUAUUCCUUAUUUCCAAAUUCCAUUUUAAAUUCAGAUUUAAAUUCAAAUCUUGUGCCAGAUUAUCUUCAAAUUAUAUUUGUGAAAUAAAAAGUACCAAUUUUUUGAAAUAUAAUUAUAUAUAUGUUAUUUAUAUUUUCAUAUCCUUUAUUCCUUUUCUCCAUAUUUCUAGAAUCCCCUUUAACUCUUAAUUUCCCACUUUGGGACUUCAAUAAUUUUCUUGUCACAUUAUCUUUAUAUUGUCACAAAAUGCACACAAAAAUAAAAUCUCAGCAUGAUGCAAUGAUUUAGUGGCAUUUACUUUAGAAUUAACUUUUUUAAAAAAAAUUAUGGUGUCCACAUGUAAUGGCACAAAAAGUUCAAACUCCCACAUAGAUAAAGUGAACUUGUUUCUCCCUUUGGUAUUAGCUCUUGCAUAUUACAAAUUGGGUAUUACAAAUCCUACCCCCCUUAAAAAUAAUCUCGUCCCCGAGAUUUGUAAGAAAAGGGAUGUAGAAGGAUUGAUUUGUAGUUUGUUUUUUAUAAUUGCUUCAAAAACUGAGAGUCUUGUUCUUUUUUUAGUCAUUAGUGGGUGAUUAGGAGUGCAUAGGUAUCCAGCUACUUAUUAUGUAGGAUAUAAGAGAUGGAUAGGUUAGGGCAAGAAUAGCCUAGGGUGAGAAAGUUUAUAGUGGGAAAGAAUUCUUGGUGUUGAGUGGUAAAGUAUCCGAAGAUUGAGUUUGACUUCUCUCCUUCCUUGACGAGGUUGAUAUUGUCCUUUUCUGGUCUUUGUCUCAUUGAGUCGGGGUCAGUGUAUAUCAUCGAAGUUGGGGGAAUAUGGUUAAGAUAAAUAUAGGUGAGAUAGACUACAUGAUGUAGGUUAAAAGUUGGUUUGAUACUAGGUGGGGAUGAUUAUACAAUUCUUCAUGACUCUAUUGGUUGGGUUAACUCUUAUGCUCACGAUUGAGUUGGUCUAAGGCACUAGUUUAGUUUUAAGUGCAUGAGGGGUAUGGUUUUAUCUUUUGUACCAGCAUUAAGUAACUUACUCUAGAUUAGAUCACCAUAGAUUAGGUUGGAUAUGACUAGAUUAGACUAGUUAAGAUCUAAAUAAAUUUUGGAUUAGCUCCUGGUUGUUAUUCUAGAGUGAGAUAAAUAUACUAAUUAGGGCAAGACGAAUUCAUAAGGAUAAGGUAGAAUCUUUUGAGGUCAGUUAGAUCUGUUAAGAUGAGAUAAAAUCUUUUCAAGAUAAGAUGGAUCUAUGAGUGUAGGAUAGAAUCUUUUAAGAUAGGAUGAAUCUAUCAAGCUAGAUACAUUUUUUUAAUGAGGGAUAAUCUAAUUUGUCUAGUUACUUUUAUAAGCAUUUUUUCCUAUAUGUAUAUGCAGAUGUAAUUGUGGACAUUACUCCACAACUAAUCACACUCAAUCAAGAUCCAAAUCAGACAAGUAUCAUAAGAACAAACUUUCAAGUUCAUAGAGAUUAAAAAAAUAUUUUUGUUUUUGUUCCCAAGAUUAGGUCUCCUAUUCCUAAAAGUCACUUUAGGCACAGGAUUUCAAAGUGUGAAAUCCGAGUUUGCCUUUAGAAGUGAAAAGGUAAGAAUAAUCAGAGUAAAGCGGAAAUAGAUGAGAAUAGAUUAAGAGAAGUUUAGAAAGAAUCAGAGUAGCUGAAGCGUCCCCAAUCCUCUGGGACUCAAAUGUGAUACAAUUACUAGUCCCAGGAGGCUAGUAAACACAUUUAUACAUCAGAUGAUACCAAAUCUUCUCAAACGAGACAAACCUACAAAGGUGGCGAACAACUUUAAGAGUUGGUCCACAACUCGGGACAUAUCAUCAGAGUGGGGCUGAAGCAGCCCGAUAUACGCAGUGAAGCAAUUCAGCGGUCCAACAACCACAGGCAAGGUUGGGAACAGUCGUAACUCUUACCCGAUCUCCUUUUUCUGAAAAACAACAAAUAAGCAAGGGUGAGUACAAACGUACUCAGCAGCCCACCUUCACCCGCGGAAUGGGGAAAUCAGAUAUAAUGCAUGGAAUAUGUGGAGCUCAGGAUAUUUUGCAGAAACAUCAAUAUUUUAUGCAGCGUUGUUUUGAAAAACAUUUUGUAUUUUUGCAAAGCGCAUCCUCUCCAAAAGAAGCAGGAAGUUUUUCAGUAUUAUAAUAAAAUCCCAUGGACUAAACCAUCCAGGUAUCUCAGCAGUUUCCCACUGGUUUUCAUUUUCAAAAACAGCUACUGGACUUCCCGUCCACCAUAGCUCACGGCUCAACCGCCGAACCUUUUUUAAAAACCACUUUUCAAAAGCAUCUCUUUUUUUUGGAAAACAAAACAUUAAUUGCCAUACCAUACCAGACUCGUCCAUUCCAGUGGACAUAGACUAUUCGAAUAGGUUUUCAAACUCUUUGCAGAGGUGUACACUUUACCCACUAGUCCGGCUCUGCGAUCUCAUGAUCAAUGAGAUCCAAAUCCGAAUCUCUUUCUUUCCCCGCAUGUCCUAACCUUAACGGUUAUCCGGAAGGAGUCAGGCCACCACCAUGUCCAAACCGGACAAAACUUUCCCCCUCCUUAUCCUCCCGGUGCUCCCCAGCCUUCAUAACCCUGGGGUUGGACCGUACGAGUUCAGAUUGAGUGACUGCCCACACAGUCUCGAGUGGUUGUACUAUUAAAGAGUACAGGUAGUGAAGAUGACAAACUGGUCCUUAUAUGAGGGGACAAUCCUUGUGCUCACGCCUAAACCAGCUGAGCCAACACCUUAGGCCCUCCCCUAAACCAGGGAGUCCCUGAUUGUCCCACUCACAAGGUGAUAAGGGUGAAAACCCUUCAUCACACACAUUUUGAAAAGCAUUUUUUUAAAACUCACACCUGUUCUCAAAUCAUUUAGAACAUAUAUAUCAGGGAUUGAUUGCGGCAAGCGGCUGGGUGGCCAUAAUAACUUGUCUCAAAACCAUAUCAUGCAUAAAAUAACAGGCUGAGGGUUGUGGUUGAAAAAUCAUAGGUAAUUUAUGCAUCAAAGGGAUCCAGUGAGCUUGUCGUGCUUAUUCGGCGAAGGGGGAAGGGGAGCUCGCAGAACUGGCUUCUGGCUCCACCGCCUAGCGUAGACUUGCAGAUCUGGCCUCCACGAGAUGGCACGAACGCUCCGAUAACUAUGCAACAUGAACAAGCAAACAUACAAACCAACAAGUAUAGCAACAAAUAUUUAGUAUAGUGGUCAGAAAAGCGAUAUAUGGAUGGGUAGAGUCUUGAGUAGAAUCUGUGUCAUGUGGUGUUGUGAUAUUACUGGUGGUGGAGCGGAGGUGCUUACCAGGAGGGUGGACUGGAGGCGAAGCAACACUAUGCGUGUAGCCGGCAGAGCGGAGUAACUGAGUGGGUGGGGUGUUUGCCUUGGUUGAGGGUGUUGAGUGUGUGGAGUGGGAGAGGGUAGCUGGGGGUAUUUAUAGCUGGGUGUAUGUGGUGUAGCAUAGUGAAGUUCACUGUUGGUGAGAAUAGUGACGAAUGAAUCGUCUGACUUAGUAUGAACAAGAGAGUUAUAUGCAGAAUAUGGGACAAGAGUAUUUUGGGAGUUUUCUGGAAUAUGGACCAGGCUUAAGGGAUGACAUGGUUGGAUAGGGAAUAGUUUGAUAAGAAUUUAGAAACAAGAAUUAUUGGAAUCGGAGUUUGGAAGCCUGGUUCAAAGGAAUCUCAAAGUUAAGCGUGCUCAACUUGGAGAAACCUAGGAUGGGUGACCAGAUGGGAAGUUCCCACUGGAAGGAAAACCACAGUCACCGGAGUUCGUAUGAUUGGAACAUGGGUCUGGCUGGUCUUAGGUGGACUGGACAGCAUGAUGGAUGAAUAGUUGAAAUUUGGGAUGACUAGAUGACCGAUGAAUAGUAACGAUGAUUAGUGGCGAUGGAAAAGUAAUUAUAGAUAUCAUCGAUGAAUAGCAACGAUGAUGAAUAGUAAUGAUAAAUAGUAACGAUGAUGAAUAGUGUAUGUGAAUAGUAACGAUGAAUAGUAAUGGUGAAUAGUAAUGGUGAAUAGUGAUAGUGAAUAGUUCGUAUGAACGAACGAUGAACGAUGAAUAGGAACUAUGAACGAACGGACGAACGAUCGAAUGAUCGGACGAACGAACGAUCGGAAUUUCGGCAGCAUAACGGUAGGAAAAGAUUAUUUGGACGAACGAACGGAUGAACGAUCGAACGAUCGGACGAACGGACGAACGAACCAUGAACGAUCGGAAGAACGAUCGAACGAUCGGACGAACGAACGAACAAACUAAGAACAGGGGACGAACGAUCGAAGAACGAUCGAACGAUCCUUGUGCUAGUGUGUGCUUGUGUGGAACAUGGAGUGGGUGUGUGUGGGGGGGGGGGGAAGAGAGUUGCCAUGAAAUGUCUUGGGGUGGGAUGAGAGGAGGCCCUUGCCCCUCUAUUUAUAGCCAUGGUGGGGGGAUUAGGGGGAGGGAUGAGAGGAUUAGUGGGAGGAUGAGAGGAUUAGUGGGAGAUUAGCAUGUAUUUGUCUUGUAUAAGUGAGAUUAGCUUGUAGAGCUCACCGUAUGACACUGGAGGCAUACAUAUACGUAUGAGCAUGAGGAAAGUUAUGAAGAAAAUAUUUAUAGGGACUUGAAAAAUGAUUCUGAAGGUAUUUCUCAAGAGGAAAAUACUUGUAGAUAUAUCGGUGGAAUAUUUGGACAAUAUUUCUGGAUAGGACUUGAAGGGGGUUACUCGGGAAAUAUCUGGGCUGUAUUUCUAGAAAGAAUUUAAGGGGGAUCACUGGGGAAAUAUUUGGGCAGUAUUUCUGAAAAGAAAUUGAGGGCGAUCACUUGGGAAAUAUUUGUAGGAUAUUUUGAAGAGGAUUUUGGAGAGAAUAUAGACCACUAUAUUUUAUUUGCUGAUAUCAACUCGCAAACAAACAUUUUGAAAUGAAAUUUGAAAUUCAUUUUGAAUUUAGAGCGAGUUUGAGAAAAUUUCAGGAUUUGAAUUUUUGGGAUGCUACAGUAGCAAAGGUAAGUAGACAAUGGUUGUCCAAUUCUAUCUAGGUUUCGUCCUACAGUCAACAUUCCUCUGAUACCACUUCUGUCGCACCCGGGUUUCGGGGCACCAAGACCCGGGCGCGAACAUAAUCACCAGGUGUGCUGGGACCAAGUCUCACACAUAUGAUGAAUCAUGGCACAGGAUCGAAUGUCACAUCUUUACUAUAUCAUAGGAGUUCUAUACAAAAUAAAUAAAUAAUUACAUUAUAAGGAGACAACGGUCCAGCAACCCAAAGUUGACUGGGAGACGACGGCCUAGACCUCUCACGAACACAUCGCAGCAUCCUUCAUGCGCCUCAUCCUGUGGUACCUGUUCUUGACCUGUGGGGGGGUGUGAGACAGCAAGAGUGAGCUCACAUACGUUCAUCGCUCAACAAGUUGUGGGGAAUAAUGUGCAUGAACUCGCCAAAGGUGGGAGCUCACGUGAAGUGUAAGGCUUACCAAAGAGGAUGGUUAGAGCUGAGCAUUGCUUUUGAAGUUGGUCAAAAUUUUAUUAGCAAUUACUAAGUAUAAGUAAAUACCAACUCAAUUAAGCAGUAGAACAAAGGUAACAACAUCACCUGCGAUGCAAUGCAUAUGACAAAUUGAAUUUAGUUCCAUAAAUUAAUCAUGUGAGGGUCCGAGCUGCUCAUGACCGUGAGCACGGCUAGUAUACCAGUUUUACACUCUGCAGAGGUUGCGCAUCUUUACCCACAAGUCAUGUUACCCAUCUGCCAAGGGAUCGCGACUUCCCAUACACCUCUACCGAGGAGGCGAGGCAGGGUAACACUACGAGGCCUUUACAAAGUUCCACUAGCUUCAGAAAACCCGCUACAGUUUAUAGGAAGCUCCAAUGCAGGGUUCUUGCCUGACCGCCAUCGCAGCAAAAUCAACCAAGGACCUCCCUACACUGACCACUCCCCUACUGCUCUUGCCCCUUUCGGGUAAGGUAGUCUUCCACUAGCUUUCCUAAUUAAUCAGCCAAGGGCGUCCCAUUAAACCCUUGUGGUAGCACUGUUUUCCCGGGUGGUCGCUCCAUGUUCCAAUUAACAUAAUGAUCUUAUCAUGAACAGUAAAUAACAAUGGAUAACAAAAGUAUAAUCAUGAAUAAUGUAUCUUCAUACCCAAAACCACAUAAAGCACUAGCAGGUACUACCCAAAAAGUUCAGUGGUAAACAAGGUAUAAAGAUAGACAAACUAGGGUAACCUAUUGGGUCCCAUCAAAAUUAACCUAUGCAGAUCAUUAUGAUUAAUCAGAACAUGGCUGGGUAAAAAGAAGUGAUCAAGGGCACAACUUGCCUGGGACUUGAGAUUCCAGGUACCAACUUGCUCUUCCGAUGACACGUGUCCUCACGCUAGUCGUAGUAAUACAGACAAACAUAGUACAUGCAAAAUUAACAUCACACCAAACAUAGGAAUAACUACGUAUUAAUAAUCUACACGCUGCUACGAGAUCGUGGAAACAGGAAUCAUUAAAUUCGGAGUUACGGUUACCAAGUUAUGGAUUUCUGAAGUUAUUUAGCACAUAGAACAGAUUAAUUCAAAUGAACAAUUUUAAUUCAAGUUUUAUGGCUAAACAGUGUUACUAGUUGAUAUACAAUAUUAAAACAAAAUUAUAGAAACUGGAACGGGUCAAUUCGGAGUUAGAAUGAAUUAAAUACGGAUUAAACAAGUUUAUGGAUUUAUUUUUAUACUAAAAACCUAUUUUCUAAUCCAUUUAUUCAAUUUAUCACAUCACUGGACUGGGCCUCAAUUUCCAUAGAAGGCAGGGGGCUAUGCGCAAGAUUUCCCAGACACAGAGAACAGGGUCCUUGGACGACGGGUUGUUUUCUGAUAAGCGUAGGGGCUCUUUUGUGAAAUGAGCGGCUGAAGGGGUAUCCGAUGAUGUGGGCCACCCGAUCGGCCACCAACGCUCCAGAUUAAAUCGCAGUACUAAUGAAGCGGUACACAAUGCCCUCCAGUGGAUUGCGAUCCUACGGCGCAGAUUUAAUUUCACCCAGAGCCACCCGAUCCAUCCGAUCGGAUAUUAACGACUCAGAUUUAUUCUCCCGAACCGGUAUCGCGAUCUAAUCGGGGCCGUUCCCUGGGAGAUCAAUGGCCCACAACCCAUCGUCUCCAAACCGCACCCUUACGUGGCGGUGCCGCCCCGCCCGCGGCGCGCCCUCGCCGGGGGGGGGGGGUGACCAAUCCGCGCGCACACGCCCCGAUCUCACAAACCGAGAGCACAUACGCGUUGCCGAGUGAAAAGCGAACCCAGGAGAGGGAUUCUUACCGUGGGUAGCGGCACAGAGAGCUCCGGCCACGGCGUCGUGCGAGUCCGCCGUGGAGUUGGUGCGACGUCGAGAAAUUCCUUGCUCGCAGUCCCCGAAUCGCGUCCGAUGAGGGCACCAGAAACUCCGAGAUGCCCCAACGAAGUCCCCGACCUCUGUCCGAGGCUAGAGCGUUGACUCGGGCGCGUAAUCACGGCGGCGGCGGAACUCCCUCACACACGGCGCGCACGACAGUAGGCGAUGGCGGUGUCUAGUAUGAACUGCGAGAGAAAAGGGGAGAAACGGGUUGCGGCUAGGGCCCUUUUAUACGGCGAGAUGGUGCGCAGGUCCCGGUAACGGAGUCCGAGGUCACAGGCGAGCACCGCCGCGGAUUUCGCGAGCUCAGUUGUCGCGGCCGCACGGUGGCUGGUGACAGGCGGGCUCCACAUGUAAGCCACGCGGAAAAAAAAGGGAGAGCGAGGCGCCCAGGCUGACGCGUGGGUCCGGCUUGUCAGCGCGGUCCGGGCUGCGCGGUGAACUAGCGUUGGUCGAGCGGGUAGGCUUAAGUGGGCCGACGCGAGGGGAGUAAGGUUGGAUGGGCCGAAUUCAGGCUGGCGGCCCAGAUGAGCUUUUCUCCUUUUUCUCUUUAUUCUUUUCUUUUCUCUAUUCCUUAUUUCCAAAUUCCAUUUUAAAUUCAGAUUUAAAUUCAAAUCUUGUGCCAGAUUAUCUUCAAAUUAUAUUUGUGAAAUAAAAAGUACCAAUUUUUUGAAAUAUAAUUAUAUAUAUGUUAUUUAUAUUUUCAUAUCCUUUAUUCCUUUUCUCCAUAUUUCUAGAAUCCCCUUUAACUCUUAAUUUCCCACUUUGGGACUUCAAUAAUUUUCUUGUCACAUUAUCUUUAUAUUGUCACAAAAUGCACACAAAAAUAAAAUCUCAGCAUGAUGCAAUGAUUUAGUGGCAUUUACUUUAGAAUUAACUUUUUUUUAAAAAAAAAUGGUGUCCACAUGUAAUGGCACAAAAAGUUCAAACUCCCACAUAGAUAAAGUGAACUUGUUUCUCCCUUUGGUAUUAGCUCUUGCAUAUUACAAAUUGGGUAUUACAGGUAGGUGUAGUCGUCUUACGUCUACCACUUGAUGUACAAGUAUGUUUGUCAUUCAAGACAAUUACCUGAAAAAUUGGUUAAAGUGUCAAAUACCUAUAUUCUUUGAAUUGUACAUGUUAAGUGAAAAAGCUAUAAUCUCAGCUUACUUGAAUUGUAGGAGAACCUUUCGUCUCCGAUCUAGCAUGAAUGCUCCGAGGGCAAUCAGGCCCUUUACAAUACCCUCUAAAUCUAGUCUUAUUCGUUGCCUCAAUUCCAAGCUCAAAUUCUUUAUUUAUGGUGUAUUGCCUAAUUGUGAGUCUGAAGUGCUGCAUUGUUGCAUACAAGCUGCCAGGCUCCAUUACUGGAUUGUUCAUAUCAUAUAUGGUCCUAGUCUCAUCGAGCACUGCAUCAGAGCACGAAAUGCCUUCUCCCAAUUCAUCUUCACAUGGAAUGCUAUUUCUAAAACGGGAAGCACUUGAAUCAUCUUCCCUUCUAUCAUCUUGAGUAUCCAGUCCAAGCUGAUAAUAUAGACCUUGUUCACUAGUAACAUCAUUUCUUCCUUCUUCGUUGUUGGUUUCUUCUACCAUUAUUGAAUCCCAAUCAAUGUCAUGAAUUCCAUGGCCACUCGCCUAUUCACCACAAACAGUUGUUAUGUAAUAUGUAACUACUAAAUUGCAUACAAUAAAUUCAAACUACUAACCACUGUAGGCUGUGUCCCAAUACAAGUCAAUGUCCACUCGUCUUCUUCAACAGUGUAUGCAGUGGUUUCGUCCAUGGGGGAACUGCCUCAUCGUUGGGAGUAUUAUCCAUAGUACAUUGCACAUACAAUGGUGCUCACUGGCUGGUACGCUGUAGGACUGUUUACUACGCUAAAUGGUGGCUACAGUAUUCAUAGGACAGUAUACUACGCUAAAUGGAAUGGAACGAAGCAAAGGAAAUUCUUACCAGAGCCGACGGCGUUGAGGAACUGCAACCGCGCACUGGAAUGGGCCUCAGCGCAAUGGACCACGGGCGCAGGAACCGGCGACACAGGGGAGGGCGAGAUCCGGAGAAGGACAGGGCCCAGUGCGCGGAGACAAAGAGAGCAGCUCGAGGAAGACGACGGCUAGGGCGAGCAGAGUUCGGGCGAGCAAGACGACGGCCAGGGCGAGAAUAAGGAGGAGAGGACACAGAGAGAAUGGCAUACAGGAGCUUCACGGGCGACGGUAGAAGAGGAAGACGGCGGCAAGUUUCUAACGGCGCGAGGGCAGCACGGGCACUGCACAAGGGAUAAACACCAUUAAGCGCGCGCGAUGCCAAAUUUACAAUUCGAGAGAGAUUUCAAUGCCACGCUUUCAAUUGCCACGACGGCGGUGCCAAAAGUUUGAAGCCCGCACUCACAUAUUAUUUCACCUCUUUACAAGGAGACCCUUACACUAAUUCACAAUUACACCAACAGGGGCCCUUACACUAAUUCACAAUUACACUAAUAUUUGCAGUUGUGUUAGGUUGCCGAUCGAAGAAGGCAGGCUUCCUGAUAGGUUGUUGUUCGAGAACUGCAAGAGUUUCAGGGCUGAUAGCUUGUCUGGCACCCUGUUGAAAACAAUUACUUUCCAAUUAUACCUCAGGUGUAAUUUACUUAGAAUACCAGCACUAAUUUACUUCCACGCUGUGGCCAUUAUUUUAUUCUGGACAUGUUUUUAAACUUUAAAGAUAAAUUACAGCGGCAAUGUCUGUUACAAUAUUUUUUCUUUUGUAACAUAUCUAAGUAACUAUGUAUACUAAGAUAGCUCUCGUCAAACUUAUGCUCUACGUCAAACAUCUUUAUGCAGCAGCCAUAGUACCAUUAAAUUAGAUAAUUGGGACCAAGUGAACUGAAAUAUUCUCUUGGAAAAAAACAUACAAGUUUCAUAAUCUUGCUAGUGUGAUGUGCGGGCAAUAAAAAAAGGAACAAUUGGAUCUAUACCAUUAAAAGAUCCAAACUUUAGAUAUAUACCAUAGACCCCACAUGUCAUUGACUCAUGUGGACCCACAUGUAAGUGAGAUAGUAAUGGUAUGGAUCCAAAGUGGUGAUCUUUUAAUGGUAUGGAUCCAAAUUUCCCAUAAAAAAAUCGACAGAUCCAGCGCCGGAAGCUCUCACAUGAGUGACGUCUAGGGAAGGGAUAAAUCGAUGCAAGCUUUUGCGGAGUGGCUGCUUCGAACUAGCAACCCAAUGACUCAGUGAGACAGCUUUUACCACUGCACUAGGUCUUAUUGGCGUGCCGGCAAUAAUUUUGAAUAUUCAUUGAUCAAUUUACUUUGUUGGUUUUAUUUGUUCAUUGUAUCUAUUCGUGCAUUCAAGUUUUAAAAGAACCACCUGUAUAACACGAGCAGUCAGGAUGUGUGUAUGAAUUUUACAAAUUUUUUGCUGCAGGAAAAAUUGUAGGCCACAUUAUCAAAAUUUGAACUGGUCAUUUUAGAUUUAAGAUUAGAAUAAACUAGUUGACCUGACAGAAGAACCUUCUGAAACAACUCAAUCAUCUAUAAUAAAUUUGCUAAAUGACUAUGUUUUUGAGUUUUGGACCCAAAUGUUGCAGCUUGUUCAGCAACUUUUAGGGGGGGGGGGUCAAAUUCAUGGCAUGUUACCAAGUACUUGAAAAAGCAAUAGUCUGACUGUUCUAAGGAAUGCUUGUUCUUCACACAAAAGAUGAAUUUCAAAUGGCAUAGUAGCCUGUUUGAAUGCUUGAGUUAGCAACUAGAACUUCAUUGUUUUCUGUAGCUAAAGCUCUCGUUCUUUUUACAUGCUUUUAGACUGUAAUCACUUUCAUUGAAUAGUCUAAACAGUAAGCACAUGCAGGAACAGUCAACAUUCUUAUUCUCAAGAUGUAGUAUGCAACAGUAUCAAGCUAUUUUGAUUAGGCUAUUCUGAAUUUACUGGCGGAUGAAGUGGGCCCUUAUCUUCCGCAGCUCGGUGGCUGCGUUUCUCAUGGAUAUCCUUUCUGCUGGUGCCUGCUUAGUACACAACAGUGCCAGCCCAGUAACAGAUACCAUGACACUGUUGUUUUGUCCCCGUGGACCGUUGCUGGUUCCGCUGUGCACAUCAUGUGCAUAGUUUUCUUCUGCUGCUACAAUAGCAGGAUCUACAAUGUCCACCAGAUGAUCUGGGAAUGCAGCCUGGACGUAGCCCUGCAAGCUCAGGCCAUCUGCAAACAUGUCAUUGGUAGGAGCCUUUCCAGUAAACAACUCCAGGAGUAGAAUUCCAAAACUGUAAACAUCUCCGCAUGGGGAAACUUGGUGACCUUCCCCAUAUUCUGCAUCAUAGAGGAAUAUUUUUUAAAAAGCCAUUGCUUGCCAAUUUACAAAUCAGUCAGGUGCUCAAGCACAAGCAGGAAGAGAAUACAAGUAUGGACUAAAGUUACCUGGAGCAACAUAUCCGAUUGUUCCCCUUAUCCCGGUGCCAGUGGAGCUUCUGGAGUUCAUGUUCGAGGGGUCGCCUGUCGAGUCUCUAAGAAUCUUUGCAAUUCCAAAGUCCCCAACAAGAGCACCAAAGUCUUCAUUGAGAAGGAUGUUGCUUGGCUUCAAGUCGCAGUGAACUAUCGGUGGCUGGCAACUAUUAUGCAGGUAGUCCAUCGCGUCACAAGUGUCAAUAGCAAUGUUCAAUCUCUGCAUUAAUGUCAGACCAACUGGAUCUGUAGACUGUCCACCUUGAUCUGGAUGUAUCCACUUGUCAAGGCUCCCAUUAGUCAUGUACUCUAGCACAAUGGCUUUGAAGUUGUUUUGGUUGGAGUCAUAACCAGAGCAACAAGUGAUGACACUAACCAAGUUACGAUGCCGGACCUUACGAAGUGCCUCACACUCUGACAUGAAACUUCUCAAAGAGCCUGACUGUUGGAGAUCAAAAACCUUCACAGCAACGAUAGUUGUUGCGUUAUUGAUCACCAAGCUCCCCUUGUACACCGAUCCAUACCUCCCUGUACCAAUCCGGUUGCUUAGAGAAAAUCCAUCUGUUCCACGUACUAAAUCUGCAUAGGAAACUCUUGGAUACACGUCGUCCAUCAAUUGGAGAGCACCCUCUACUGUCACCGGUGCAGCUUCUGAUUGUGCUUUUGAUUUCUUUUGCAAGGUUCGAACAAGAACUGCUAAGGUCAUGAAUAACAGCAGUGCACCUGCAACUGGAAUCACUACUUUAAGAAUGAUAUGGUGAUUUCUCCGACUGUGCCACAAAGGUUUGUUUGCGCAAGCAGGCAAAUGCAACUCCUGGACACCUCCGCAGAGUUCAUCAUUACCAGCAAAAGAGAAGCCCGUCACAUUAGUAAACACACCCUGUACUGGGAUUUGGCCACUGAGUUGGUUGAAAGACAGGUCUAGAUGGUUCAAUGAGGUCAUAUUUCCAAAGGUAUGAGGGAUUGGUCCUGAAAGGUUGUUGUGGGCAAGAUACAGUUCUUCUAAACCACUUAUGCGGGACAGUUCUUGAGGAAUUUUUCCUGAGAGCAUGUUGUCUGUUAAAUUUAGCAGUACCAAGCCACGCAUUGAACUGAAGGAUGUGGGAAUGGCACCACUGAAGGAGUUACCGUCCAAUCGAAGCUCCAUCAUGCUUAAGCAGUUGCCUAGUGAAUCAGGCAAGGGGCCAGAUAAAUUGUUCCCGGAGAUGUACAGAUGUACAAGGUUUGUAAGACUUCCAACUUCUGGUGGGAGAGAACCAACGAAGUAAUUGUAGGACAAAUAAAGAUCAUCUGUCAAGGACGACAGGUUGAAAAUCUCUUUAGGCAAAGGGCCAGUAAACUUGUUAUUAGACAAGCCAACACCAUUUAGCUGUUGCAAGUUGCCAAGGCUGGAUGGAAGGGGCCCUACAAAGGCGUUCUUAUAUGCGAGCAAUAUUUGCAGUUGUGUUAGGUUGCCGAUCGAAGAAGGCAGGCUUCCUGAUAGGUUGUUGUUCGAGAACUGCAAGAGUUUCAGGGUUGAUAGCCUUCCGAUGCUAGUAGGAAGAGACCCAGAGAACUGGUUGUAGUCUAGCUUCAGUGCUUGUAGGCCAGCUAGAUUGCCAAUGUCGAGUGGUAUCUUACCAGAAAUCUCAUUCGCUGAGAGGUACAGCAACUGGAGCUGGGACGAAAGAUUGGCGACGGAACUCGGGAGCUCACCGCCAAGCAAGUUGUACUGGAGGCUGAGGAGACGCAGGCCGCGGGUGCAGUUCGUGAAGGAUGUGAUGAACUCCCAGUCCUGGGCGCUGCUUGCCUCAAGCAUGUUGUCGUCGAAAGCUAAGGUAUCUGGACAAAGCCUUCCUACCCCUGGCGGUAUGGUGCCGGUGAGGCUGUUCACGCUGAGAUCUAUCACAUGGAGCAUGGUUGCAUUGCCAAGUGAAGGCGGAACUCCUCCAGCGAAGAGGUUCCUGCUCAGGAGGAGAUAUCUGAUCAUGGGUAGGCCAGCCCCCAUGUCAGACGGCAGCGUACCGUGCAUCGUGUUGUCGGACACCGCGAGCGUGAUCAGCGAAGACACGUUGAGGAGAGGUCCGCGGGGAUGGCGCCUGAGAUACGGUUUCCUGCCACUGUGAACGACUCGAGUCCAUGGAUUCUACCGAAGCCCUCGGGGAUGGUGCCCUCGAGCCAGGUGGUUGGUCUCAAGGUUGAUUUCCCUCAGGGAAGAAGUGAGAUUGGCGAGCGACCGGGGGAUCAGCCCCGUGAGAUUGUUCGGCCCCAGCAGCACGCCUUGGAGCUUUGGCAGGCCUCCAAGCCAACCAGGGACUCCUCCCGUCAGCUGGUUCCCACCAAGCCUGAUGCUCACAAGGCUGCUGCAGUUCCUCAGGCCAGCCGGGAUCUCGCUCUGCAGCGAGUUGUUUGACAUGUCAAGGUAUCGCAGCCGGUGCAGGCGGCCAACUGCCGCGGGGAUUUCGCCUUCCAGCUUGUUUUGGCUGAGGUCGAUGCUCGUCAGGAACGUCAAGUUGCCCACCGACGCAGGUAUGGUGCCGGCAAGGCCGGCAGAGCUGAGAUGGAGUGCUGAGACCCUGCCUCCGUGCCUGUGGCUGCAUGUCACACCUGGCCACAGGCACAGGCUAGCGCUACUGUUCCAGGACGACAGCCUGCUUGAUCGCUGGCCUAGGACGGCCUUCAGCUCCAGCAAGGCUUCCCGGUCCGUCUCACUUCUCAACGGUGCUGCUGACGCCGAAGUUGGUGCUGGUAGGAUCCCAUGAAGCAGCAGCAACGGAAGCAGCAGCACAAGUCUGGUGGGGAGCGACAUGGGUGCAGUGCAGCGCCUUCGUUUGCUGCCACUGAGAAAGAUCCAAGAUCCGAACCAAGUAUUUCUGAAAGCAUAUCAACAAGUUAGUUGCUAGUAUUACUACUUUGUAUAUUGAUCUAAUAAUCUUCGUCAGCCGAAUGUUCUGAGUUUUUUUUUCGAGGCACAAAAACUUGAUUUUGAGAUGUAUUCUUUGCCGAGUUCCACGUACCGCUUGGUUUCAGAUGGAUUGCCGCCUCCGUCUUCCCUUCUAACCUUGCCUUCUGUGUGACUCUUGCUUUGCUUCUGCAUCGUCGUUCUACAAGCUAUAGGAGCAUUUUUUUUUCAUACGACAAGUGUGGUGUGCUCACAGUGACUAGAGGAACUUGCGUGUGCAUGUACUUAUAUUCUUCCUGAUAGUUUUUUUUUUCUCAUUUGAAAAGUAGUAAUAUGAUGCAUGUCAGAAUACUAGACUAGCACAGUGAACUCUCCUAUGCUGGACAGUUUGAUUCUUUGACUGUGAAAAUAUACGUGUGGAAUUCAUCUAUACGAGACAACCGAACUUGACUUUGAAGUCAAGAUUAUCUUCCAAGCAAUACGAGUAUACGACAAAGCAUUUUCUUUCCUGCAUAGAAGUCCAGUAGUUUUUUUUUGUUUCUGAACUCCCGAAGGUCAUUGUUAGGCUGUCACUUACCAACUGAGGUAUAGUUUAGAUACUCUAGAAUCGAUCUCAUUCCACAUGUAUUGAGGUGAAUAAGGUGUAACGUAAAUUUACACCUCAAUCCAUCUCAUAUUCUCAUCACAUGUGGAUAAGGGUCAAUACUAAGUAUCCAAAUAAAAUCUAAGGGGGCUUUUUUAAAAAGCAGAGUAUAUCUCUAACAUCUCUAACAGGGUGUCUCGAAAUAAUGCUCCUAAAACUAAAAUACUACUUCCUCCAUGUUUUUAUUUGAUGUUUUACACUUCAUUUUUGCACUAUUUGGCGUCAUUUUUGCACUAACUGGCGUCAAAUAAAGAAAGGGAUAGAGGUAAUAUAUUUUGUUUUGUUUUGUGCGAACUAUAUUUUGUGCUUGUUCUGGUGUGUCACAUGAAACAUUUUCGGCGUGCAUGCUCUGCUCUGCUCCGCUCUGAUAUAUUAGAUGAACAAGGACAACGUCCAUUGUCUCUUGUUGUAUAUGCACGGCCAUGCACGUGUGACUACUGUGCAGCUAUGUUUAACAAGUACUUGACCGGCAACGUGCUGGCAUUUUUCAACUUUUAGCAAGUACCGGAUGAUUUUAAAAAUAGGAAUAACUGCAUGUAUGCUACUGCACAAAUAUAUGACGCUUGACUUUUUUAUCUUAAUUUUGACCAUUAUCUUAAAAAAAAUUAAAAUUUCGGAAUGAUUAUACCUACAUUUAAAUAUUUUGUAUUCUAAACCAAAUUGUAGUGAAGAUCAAUAAAAAUCCUUUUUUUAAUAAGGCGAACGGUCAUAGACCGGUCAUAGAUGAGACUAAAAAAAGUAAAAAAAAACAUAUAUUUGUGAACGGAGCGAGUACCAUUUUCCUCGGUACUUUAUUUACCAUCGUAAUAUCCUAAUUUUUUCGGAUGUAAUUUCUUACCCAUUCCAUCGCCAGCGACAUAAAAGUGAUUGGAACAUACAAUUUUUUUUAAAAAAAAAUCCAUAGAUAACUUUGAAGGGAUUCAUCUAUUCCUUAGAUACAUUGGAAGAGUGCUUGUGUCAUGAUUGGUUUUUGCUUGAAAGCAUUGAAAACUUGUAACCAAUUGGUCCUUGUUUAGUUGUUCCCAAGUGGUGAUGGAUCCUAGCUGAAGGGUCGAAUACUAGGUUUAGGUUAUUCCUUUUGUAGCCAUAGUGAAAGAUUUAGCCAACACCGUUGCGUUUCUGCUGGAAGAUGCAACAGCUGCUUGGCAGCCCACGAGGAACUGUUUCGGAUCAUAAUGCACAACAUACGAAGGAAGCUAUUCCUUUCACGUUUUUUUGGCUUUAUCCACCUCUGGCCCGUUCGUGUGUUUUGAAGCUUCUUCAGAGAGCGAUGAUCUUCUGCAUUGAUUGAAAUUUGUAACCUGGAGAACCAUUUGAAUUUUAUUUCAUCAAUUUAGACCUUCGACCAUAGAUCUACCAUAGAUCUUCUCCUCAAUAGGUCCCUAACAAAAUUGUUACGAGGGGCUCCAACGAGUACAUGAAACAUGAAACGUAAACUUUUUGAUACCUUGAUAAAAAUAUAAUAGUCAUUGAUAUAAGUUUGCAUUUAUGUCUCAAUAAACCUUAUGUACCUUAUUUAUCGCUUAACUAACUUAUAUGUACUUAGGGCCUGUUUGGCACAGCUCCAGCUCCUGAUCCUAGGCGAGGAUCUGGAGGAGCCGUGCCAAACAAGUGUUUUGUGAACUGAUUCUCACGUGGAGCAGGAAGGAUUGAGAGUCGUUUUUGUAUAGAAACGUGGGAGCUAAAAAAAAACUGCUCCACCCUCCCUCAAAACAGCUCCUCAACCAACCAAAUAUGAACCUCCCCUCAAAGUUUGCCCAAAAUUACCUGCAAUUUGUAUUAUUGCUUGUAAUUGAUUUGUUGAACGCACGUUUGGUGUAUGCAAGACGAAAUAGAAAAUUCUUCUAAAGAUGUCAACCAGACAAGAAUCAUUUUACUUGCCAAACGGUUAAAAACAUGAUUCUGAUUCUCCAGGAAUCAGAAGGAUCAGCUCCUUAGAAGGAUUAGGAUCUAGAGCUAAAGAAUCAGGAACUGGAGCUGUACCAAACGGGUCCUUAGUUUCUUAGGUGUCUUGCUGGGCCAGUGAUAGAAUUAGAGAGUUUGUAUAACUUUUUUGCGAUAGAAAUAGUAACACAUAUAUAGCUACACGUCGGAGAAAUUACAUUCUUACAUCGAUUUCAACCAAAUAAAAACUAAAGAUUUUAGUUAAAUUAAAUUUUUAAAUAGCAUAAUACAUUCUACUCUAUAAAGGUUGCCUCCUUUCUACGACUGUGACGUGUCUGGUAUUUUUUUUUGCAUCCACACCCGAUGCAAGCUGGAAACCGGAGAGAGUAAGGGGGUGUUUAGGAACAAAGUUUUUCUGCAUUAUUAAAGCAAUACUGUAGUAUUAAGCAAUAUUGUUGUAUUAUAUACUUUGAGAUAUUUGGAAACUCAUCUGAAAUCUAUGUAUACUAAAUUGUAGUAUUGUUAAUACAACACUUGUUUUGCAGUUUUGGAAACUUCGGUCUCAACCAAAGUUUUUCUCUGUAAAGAGAGUGUCGGCUCGGUCCUGCUUAAUUUGGUCGAUUGGUCUCAAUCAAAGUUUUUCCCAAACACUUUGAUGUAUCGGAUACUGUUGUAUUCGAAAACUGAAGCAUUGUAAACUGUAGUAAUGUCAUGACUAAAAUAUACUUUAGUAUUUGAAAAACUGCAGUUUGGAAAAACUAUGUUUCCAAACAGGCCUAAGGGUAUGUAGAGCCCCCAUUUAAUAUAGGGUCUCUUGAGAAGUCUUUAGAGGACUAAAUAAAAAGGUACAAGAGACAUUCUCUUCACAUGCCGCUAAGUUCAUCUCUACACGAUUUUCUAUAGUGGCGGACGCAGGAUGAGAAUUCAUGGGGGCCAAGAAAAUCACGUGACAAAAUCAAGCACGACCGAAAAACUAAUGUUGCAUAGAAUCCAAGUUUUAUAUCAAUACACGAUAUAGGUUAAAAGAAUAAAACUAUAUAAACAAAAGAAGUAAACAUGUCACUAAGUUCUUGCUGGCCGAAAUGAUGCCGUACGUAUCUGUCAAAUGUCAAUCCUUGAAAGACUGGGGCACCGAGAAGAGGGUAGUGUCAGGCGUCGUGAUGAUGAGAAGUAGGGUGAGGGUGUCGCGAGGGUUUGGGGUCUCGCUAAGUUCUUGCUGGCCGAAAUGAUGCCGUACGUAUCUGUCGAAUGUCUAUCCUUGAACGACUGGGGCACCGAGAAGAGGGCAGUGUCGGGCGUCAUGAUGAUGAGAAGUAGGGUGAGGGUGUCGCGAGGGUUUGGGGUCUCGCUAAGUUCUUGCUGGCCGAAAUGAUGCCGUACGUAUCUGUCGAAUGUCUAUCCUUGAAUGACUGGGGCACCGAGAAGAGGGCAGUGUCGGGCGUCAUGAUGAUGAGAAGUAGGGUGAGGGUGUCGCGAGGGUUUGGGGUCCCGCUAAGUUCUUGCUGGUCGAAAUGAUGUCGUACGUAUCUGUCGAAUGUCUAUCCUUGAACGACUGGGGCACGGAGAAGAGGGCCGUGUCAGGCGUCGUGAUGAUGAGAAGUAGGGUGAGGGUGUCGCGAGGGUUUGGGGUCGGACGACGUCGCGUGUCGGAAAGGAGGUAGUGGUGGGCGAUAUCAGGACGGACUGGCUCGAAUGUCGUCAAAUAAAAUGGGGCCAAAUAGAUAGAUACGGAGACUAAACAAAGGAGGAGAACGAAGUCAGGAGGAUUAUACUGAUCUGGACAAGAAGAUUAGAACAUGUAUGAUGUAGUCUACCUAAAACUUUUUUUCUAUAUUUAACAUUAAAUAAAUAUUAUGUGUAGGAGAUUUUACAAAAAAAAUGGAGGGAGUUCAUGGCCAUCUUUGCUCCUCCUCUAUGGAUCUGCCUCUAACUUUUUAUACUUAUUGUUUUUAACUAUAUUUAUUAUCUAAAGGUUUAUAGUUGUAUAAUCUCUUAGUUAUCUAUUGUAUAUAAAAAAACUAAUCUAAAUUCUCACACGAUUGUACAUGCCCACAUAUAGAGACAAUAAAUAGACCAAACAAUUAAUGGGUCCGUAACCUUUCUACCCUGCAUCAUCGCAGAAUCACAUGCGAUGCAGCUUUUCAUUCGCUGCAAGUCGCAUGCCAGGACAGUGCUUGCCUACUCUCUACUCCAUCCAUCACUCAAAAACAAUCAGCAAAGUGUUGCAACUGCUACCGUGACAACAACGGUUCAACAAAGACAUGUUUGUCCCUCUUUUUUUUGGCAUUUAUUUAACGCUGCCCCCGUAGUUAUCAUAUCUACUAAUAUCUACAUGCUGCAUAAGAUGAAAUUCGGUGGUCUUCGUACAAAUGACAGUCAUUUUUCCCCCUCAGUGGAGGACAAAGUCGUAAUUUCUUUCGUCGUCUCUCUCUUGUGCUUUCCUCGCUAUAGUCACUGCCAACUGUUUGAGUACCUCUGCUGCACAAGUAGCUUCGGCUCCCGGCAGUACCGCAACUCCUCUUCCACCAAACUCCAGAGGCAUCCAACAGCAGGCGAGGAAAGCAAGACACGCCCACCCACCCGCUCCGGCAGCCAGCGGCUAUGCAGCAGCAGAUGCCCAUGCCGCCGGCGCCCGCUGCCGCCGCGGCGGCGGCGCCCCCGGCGGCCGGCAUCACUACCGAGCAGAUCCAGAAGGUACGAGCCGCCCCGCCCCGCCCCGCCCCGCGCCUACCUGCUAGGAUUUGGACGCCGUGCUUGGUUAGGUCCGCCGGCCGCCUUAGCUCGUUUCGCCAAGAAACGGACGGGUACUUCUCCUCGGGUGGCUGGCUCCUGCGCGCGCCGUGCCUCCUCCUUGCUUUGUCGGGCUCGUGCGCCGCCGACUCGUCCGUUUUGCCCUUCCUCCUAUGGCUGCGUCGGUUUUAGGGGUUGGUUCCAAUCAAAGAUUGGGUCUUUUCGGCUGGCUGUUUGGUUAGGGCGAGAUUGGGCGUCCUUGUGCCUUUUUCCAUUAUCGCAGAUUGCUGGAUUGAGUGCUUAGGUCAGUCGGUGGGUGGCAGUACUGUAAUAGCAGAUUCUUGAAUCGAGAGUUUUAUUUCAAUCAGCGAGUAACAGUAGUUUGGUGGCGUGCUCUGGCUGUUUGGAGUGCUAUGCUCGCCUCACCAAACUUGACUUAGAACAGAACUCGAGGAGGUCGAGCUGGAGGAGGCGGUCAACAGUGCAAACCCUCGAUGCUGUACGGUUGUGGUUAGUGACUAAUCAUUGAAGGACUUUGGCACCACUGAGGGGGUGUUUCAAUGCACUAGAGAGCUCAUAGGUAGUUGGCUAAAAAAAUGCUAGUGAAAUUAGCUAGGUAACUAUUAGCUAAUUUGCUAUAAAAGUAGCUAAUAGCUGGAUUAUAAGUUAGACUGUUUGAGACGUCUUUAGCUAAUUUUAGCGGUGUUAGCCCGAGUGCUUUCAAACACCCCCUACAACGUGUUUUUUUUUUAAAUGCCAAAAAUGGGCAAGGCACCCUAUUAUGUCAUUGAGGUACCAUUCUUGUUGUUGUUUCAGUAUAAAUGCAAAAUGUGGGUAAUAUGCCUUUGAAAUUUUGGCAUAGGCCAAGUGACCAGUAGGAUCAUGACAUGCGUUCAAAUCAGUUUUGAACUUUGGUCAAAGGCCAUGUGAGCAAUGACACUAAUUUGCUAUUUGAAUAUUCAGUUUUGAAUUUUUGGUAAAGGCUAAAUAUGGCACUAUAGCUAGCCGGCACUGUGCCACACGGGUUCUCAACCUGUGCUUAUAUUGCAGUUUGUGGUGGGGCAGCUAACCAGCCCUUGUUCCUCUGGUAUGCAGUAAUGCAGUUUGGCACAAUAAUUAGCCAGUCCUGUGCCAUGUGGCACAGGUUCUAAGCCUGUGCUUUAUAUUACCCUGUGGUGGGGCAGCUAACUGGGCCCUUAGUUCUCUGCCUUGCAGUUUGACACUUUGGCUUACUGGUCUGAAGUCACUUUUACGGCCCCGUUUGGAUCCUUGGAAUUGAAUUCCAUUCUAAUAAUAGUAAUUUAGGCAUGUAUCAAUUAAGCUAAUACAGUUUUAUAAGAAAUAUAUUUGUAUAUUAUUAUUAGCAAGAUGUGUGAGAUAUUUAUGUGCUACAUUUUUACAUAAAGGAGUGAGCCGAAGAACGUCUUAUAAGUUGCAGAUUAGAAACAUUGUCUGCUGAUAUAUAAAAUCAUUUCUCAUUCUCCGUCCCAUGAAUUUGAGAUAGGCUUCUAUCUGAAAUUUGGAAAGUGGUGGAAUGUCAAAUUCCAAACCAAAUAGGUUACUUUAUUUAGUAAAUUCCAAUUCCUCCAAAAUGAAUGGAUCCAUAUGCUGCUUGUGUGCAUUCAAGCAUGAUAUGGCGACUUCUAGUGUAACUUCCUGUGUCUUUGUGACAAUUCGUUCUGACCUGCAUGGCUGCAACUUCUUUUUAAUGGAUUCUUCAAGAUGAGCACCAAACUGCAUGAGCAGAGAGUGCAAACAAUGGAGUGCUAGGUCAGAUUAAAUGUUAUGGAGGUGCUAUGAUCCACACUAGAAAUCAUCAUGCCACGUUAGAAUCCACUCAAGCAGCAUGCAAUGUGGUCAAUGGCGGUAAAUCUAGGAAGAGACACAGGUGCUAGAAUACAAAAGCAAAAGUUGUAGGGCGGUUUGAUGAACCCCAUAUUUACAGAUGGGUUUUAGGAAUUUCCCCUUAGCACGAUCGUCAUCCAACAAUGCUCUUCUGUCAACCAUGCUUAAUAAUUCUUAGACAAAAUUCUCUUUGCCAUGGAGUGUAGCCUGCUGGUAUAAUACUAUCGGCUUUGUCAGUCUUCCAUUCACAGAUAAUGUGGUUUGUUAGGCUACACUAUCUUGAUCUGGUUACUAGCUGUGACAUGCUAGCAGUCAUGUACUGUCCUCCACAAUGUGUUGGUGUCUAAAACUGAAACUCGCAACCAAAAUUCUGGAGUUAAUGCACAAUUAAGCUUGGCUUUCAAGCAACGGAGCAUAACUGCAGGAAAGAUGGAAAUAUCAGGCCUCUAUACUUUUGAAUAAAACCACUUGCACCAUUCUUUCGCAGAGAAGGUAAACGGAUUGCUUCAUGACUAUGCAUAAGCCAAAAACCAGUCUGUGUCAUCAUUCACUUAAUGAAGUGUACUGACAUGAACUGAAUUUGCCUUUUGCAGUAUUUGGACGAAAAUAAGCAACUUAUUUUGGCCAUCCUGGAAAAUCAGAACUUAGGGAAGUUGGCUGAAUGUGCUCAGUAAGUAUCUUUCGGAACUAUUUUGUGAGACACCUCAUUUUUCCGUACUAGUUUAUAUCUAUCAAUUGAUAAGGGUGUCUGAAUUAGUUUAACCGUAAUGCUGUCUAAAAUUCUGAUCCUUUGACGUGUUAAGUCAUUUUGCCGUCAUUUUACAUACAAGUUUCAGCUGUUAGUUGAGAAGGAUGCAUGGGCAUUUACAAUUCAUAAUAUUGAUGCAUUAAAACUUAAAUGAUAUGUUUGUAAUUAGUACCUUCAAUCUUUUUGAUGACUUAACCGUCUCAUGUGUACUUGCUAUCUUCUUCACAAUGUAUUUCCAAUAGCGUUCAUUUCGUGAACUUGUAGGUAUCAAGCUCAACUUCAAAAGAACCUCUUGUACCUGGCUGCGAUUGCUGAUGCCCAACCCCAGCCUCCGCAAAACCCUGCAGGUCGCCCUCAGGUUAGCCGUUAGCUCUGUUCAAAUCAGAAGAAAUCCUCCACUUGCUGCCCUUUGCUCGAGUCACUUAAACCUCCAUUGCUUUGAGUACAGAUGAUGCAGCCUGGUAUAGUGCCUGGUGCGGGGCAUUACAUGUCACAAGUACCAAUGUUCCCUCCAAGAACCCCAUUAACCCCACAGCAGAUGCAGGAGCAGCAGCAACAACAACAGUUUCAGCAGCAGCAGCAGCAAGUGCAGGCUCUUACAUUUCCUGGACAGAUGGUCAUGAGACCAGGCACCAUCAACGGUAUGCAGCAGCAGCAGCCUAUGCAGGCUGACCCUGCCCGGGCAGCAGCGGAGCUGCAGCAGGCAGCACCUAUCCCAGCUGACGGGCGAGGAAGCAAGCAGGACACCGCGGGUGGGGCGAGCUCAGAGCCUUCUGCCAAUGAGAGCCACAAGAGCGCCACCGGAGCAGAUACCGAGGCAGGUGGCGACGUGGCCGAGAAAUCCUAAGUCGAGCAGCCUGGGCAGGGCGAAAAAUAAUGCCUUGUAUACUAGCAACGAAAGAAAAAAAGAGUCUUUGAAUGACAGCUACUAGCCCCUACCAGUUUACUGUGUGGUUUAGAUGAUGUAGAACAAAGUUUAGAUUGGUGAUGAUGUAAACCGUCCAAUAUUGAUACUGCGUUCUUACAUUGCUGUAGUCAAUUAUAUGAAUAAUUUCAUAUAAGCAUGUUGCCCUAGUGGAUUUUACCUAUGUUUUAUGAGCUGAUGUAACCAAAAACACUGAGCAGCUUUUAAUUCAGUAUGGCAAUUCUGCAGAGUUUUCACCAAUCUGAUAAGCUGCUCCACACAAUUAACCCUAAGAAUUAACCCAAGCGGAAGCAUUUCAAUACAUUCACUCAUACAGAUAGACAAACAUUUAUCAAUACAUAGAUGACAUGUUUCCUUAACAAGAAAAUGUCGAUGAGCAACUAAAAACAAAACGAGAUGAAACACAGGACAACUUUUCAUUUCCAGUACACUAUUAAAAUCGGGCCCCUAGCAUCGAUGCCUUUACUUCUUGCCUUCGAUAGGGAGUAUUUCCAAUCCAGCCAUCCAUUCAAGUAAUGCAAGCCAUUUCUGAGAUAAAUAGCCAUUGGUUUCUCUCCUUGUCUCCUUUGGAUAAAAGCCCUACUGCCGUCGCCGCUUUCUCGUAACUUCCUUUGGGAACUUGAGAGGGGCUGGGAGCGUCAUGAAAGUAGACUUAAAAGCACCUUCUGUCACAGAUUUGCAUCCCAACUGGUCAUAGUAUGGUUUAAGAUUUUGGCGGGUCAUUUUAAGGUCCUCACAUAUGUCGCUGGGGUUGGAUCUGAAGUCAUCGGCAAAAAGUGUUAGGACCAAUAUGUAGUUGGUCAGAAGCUCUUUUUUCUCUGUUGGCAUGACACUGGACCCCGGUUCUGUAAACAUGAACAGCAGCCUGCGAUAUACAGCCUGCGGGGUUGCUGGUCCAUGGCUUAUCUGGUUUUCAUUUCUGCCUUUCCAUUUGCGAUUGGACAUGGAGCCAUUCCGCGCCAAUAGAGAUAGGAGAUGUUGGAUGUAGGAAAGUAUCCAAGCAAACCUCUUUUUAUCUUCACCCUAAUGCAAGAGAAAAGUUGUUUCUUUUAGAAAACAUAUGGAAAACAUCCAUGAACACGAUGUAUUAACAAAAUAAAAAAUGGCAUAAGAGCAAGAAUUGUCUGCCAUCAUUUUGGCAGCCAAACUGUCACUUCCAAAAGAGGCGCACACAGAGCAGUGCCAUUCAACUUGUCAACAUUGCAGUAGCAAUGGUGUCUGCUACACUGUUAUCAGCAUGUUAUACAAGUAAAAACGGUCAUGCUAAGGAUCAAUUAUAAACUGUCACAAGUUCAAUAAGAAGAAAAACAAAGGCACUCCAAAUUACCACAAAACUGUCUGCCAUUUAAUGGUGUCUUACGAGUUACCAUUACCACUAAAUUAUGUAGAACCUAAAACUAUAUGACUUCCUAUAGAAGAAAUCUUAAGGAUGCAGAAAAUUGCAACAAAUUACCUGAAGCUCCUUUAACUUGUGCACACGUUUUGAGACAAAACUCCCAUAGCCUUUUGAGGAGAUUUCUCCUGAUUCAAAAUGACGGACAAUUUCCAAAAGAUGCUCCCGCAUACUCUUUGGAAUAAUCUCGUCCAAAAGAUAUGCAUUUUCUGAUGUAUCUGCGGUAGGAUCAUAAGGUGGAAUGUUCCGAACAAGUACAGGUUCCUGCCUAUCAUUGGCGUUGACAUUGGUCUCUGAUAUUCCAAGAUCAAUGUCCUCAUAAGCGGAAGGAUCAUUCCUUUGUUCCUUUAACGAUCUCCACUUAUUGUCCUGCAAAGAAUAUUAGCUUCAACCAAACUUUCUUUUUAACCUUUUGAAAUUGCAAGGAAUGCUGCAAGCGCCUCUGCAGUUCAUGAAAAUAAAUUUAACCAGUAUACAAUGGAAAUUAUCACAAUCAUCUCAAGAUAAAUCUGUGAAUCAGCUUUUAGUUCAAGACAAUGAUAUAUCUACACAAUACUCCCCUGAAUCAUACAGAUUCAAAUAAAAAUCUAAAGGAAGACCUACUAUCUCCAUGACAGUUAAUAAAAAACUCGGUCGGGCAGGGAAAGACCGCCCUCAAACCCCCAUCACUAACGGGCCGAUCAACUGCCCAUUCUGCAACGGCCCAGCCAGAGGGUGGCGUGCAGGAUAUCGACCCCGAGAGCGGGUGGGGCACAGCAAGGGGAUUUUUUUAACCAAGCCCAAAAUUCGUCCCCAAGGGGAAUCAAACCCGAGAUCUAGAGGUGCUACUCGGAAGCUUUAACCAUUACACUAGAGGCCCUUUCGCUCCAUGACAGUUAAUAAUGAGCACUGCUUAACAAAUCUAAUCUAUAACUGUGUCAUGACUCAUGAACAUUACCUUAGAUACACUAUUUCCUAAAAAACAUAAACAAACAGGGGAAAUAAUAGUGGCACUUUCAUUCCUUUUGUUCCAUAUAGUCUUGCAACUGUUAGUUUUAAGCUGACACCACAGUUGCAAUUCUGAUAUAUAUAAUUAAUCAACUGAACGCUAGUAAACCUAGACGCAGACAUACCUUGUCCCUGUCCGUCUUGGCUCCAUACAUCAUUGUCAGAUCCUGAACCUUCAAUUCAUCAUUUCCUGCAGCUGAAGCCGCUUCUGAUGCCACCUCAGAGUGCUGCGAAUGCGCUGGAUGCUGCACUUCAAGAUGUGGCUCUAGCCUCAGAAUCUGUUAGAGUACAAACAUUAAGAAUGAUUUUGAGUGCCGAUAUCCUUAAUGCCUCAUGCCAUUUGCACAAAAAUGUUUCUAAGCCCUUUUAAAAUGUAUGCCACUCUUAUGACUGAAAUGAAAAGGCGUAACAAUAGCUUACAUUCCAAGUGAACAAAAAUAAUUCAAAACAGGAGAUUGAAACUUUGGUGUGGCUGCUAAACCCUAACUACGCAGGUAAUGCCACAACACCAGUAGCGCCCAUCAGGUAAUGCCACAACACCAGCAGCGCCCAUCGACUGCAACUUUGAGGUUGCACAACUAGACAGCAGAGAAUGCUUACAGUAGUUAAAAACCGAGAUUGCUUCUUUAAAAAGAUAAAAAUUCACAUGUAUGUGUGAUAACAACCGUUUCGCUUCAGCUAAAAUCACAACUCAAGUACAACCAUGACAAAGUAAAAUUUCUGACGCACUCAGACGAGAUCCUCACCUUUUUGCCAGCGAUGGGCACGAUCCUGAGAGUGCCGGAGGCCUUGUCAAGGACGCCAAGCGCGUAGUCGCAGACCUGCGGCACGGCGGCCUCACCGGCAUAGCUCCGGCCAACGAAGUCGUGUCCGCCGCCGGGGCUCCGGACCACGAGGUCCACCCAGGUGGGAUGCUUCUCGUGCCGGAAGAGCUGGGUGCCGGGGGCAGACUCCGCCCCGGCAGCGGUAGUGAGUGGGUCGUACCCGGAGGGGAAGUAGCCGACCACGGGGGCGGCCGCGACGUAGGAGGAACCGCCCAUAAGGGAUGCGUCGACGGUGACAUUGGUGGGGGCGUCACUGGCGGCCUUGUGCUUCUUGGAGUGUUUCUUCUUCUUCUUGGUGGAGGCAGAGGCAGGGGCGGGCGUGGCUAGGGUUUCGAGGUCCGCCAUUGGUGACGGCUCAAGGGUUUUGGAAAGUGAACAAACGGGGCUGUCCAUCUUAAGAGAAGAGAACUGCAAGUUUUUGCACGCAGGCCCUCCUUAACUUUUGCACUUACAAUCACCAGAAUUUUUUCCUAUAUUAAUAGGACUAUUCGUGUUUGGAUCUACCCUAAUUAAACUUUAGCCAACUAAUCUGAUCACUGAAGUUUAACAACCUAAAGUUUAGCUGGUGGAUUCAAACAUGACAUUAACAAUUUACAUAAAAAAUAAGGAAUGCAUCAACAGCCAAACUCUAUUCCUUAUUUUUCUAUACAAUUUGGACAAUUUUCUUCCAUUAUUGUUGUUUUGUUCUCCCUCAGUCAUAGAACUUACUAUUAUUCUGAUUCUCCGUCAGUUAUAAAAUUUAUCGUUUAGGACAUGUUGAUUUCAAAUCUUAAAAUUGCAAUAUUAAUUAGUUUAGAAUUAUUUAGUUUAAAACAUGUUAAAGCCCACGCAUAAAAAUGUAUUAGUGGUAAAAAAACACGCAUCAAGGACCUUGCACAAAUAAAUAGCAACAUGAGUAAGCAACUCAAUAAAGAUAAUGUGACAUACUAGAACAAUGACAAGUUUUUUGAUUAGCAGAAAAUAAUGAUACUUAUACUUUUCGUACAUAUAAGCACAUUAGCUGCAGCUAAAAGUCGCAGGCAUACCAAAGAUGACAUGUCCACAGUAUACACAGCUCCGAUUUUCAGUUACCGAAUGCACCUAGGGUCAAUGCAACAUGUUGUGUCUGCGUAUGAACAGCUCGCUUUCGAUUGCAUUAUUAUUGAUUUGUUCUUGUACAAAAUACAUCGGUACCACAAUUACAUCAAGGAUGAAACGAAAAAGGGGGGGCUGCAACAUACUAUCAGAUCCCUCCAUCCAGUAAAUUUUGUACCUUCAGUUACAGGACACACGGAGGUAUGAUUUCCAGUCCUACGACGACAACAACAACAACAACAGGAGACACAAGAAAUAGCUACUACAUCUAUUAUGAUCCUAUAUAUACAAAAUUCCAUCUUGCAGGAACUUAUAUCAGGAGCAGGAGCAUCCACAUGUAGCCAACCAAGUAAUGGCCUGCAGAAAUAGGUGGCCGAUGCACCAAACAUCUUAGACACAGAAGGCCAUGAAGUUAAAAACAAAGGAGCACAAAAGUAGGUCAAAUGAAAUACCCCUUCACCGUGGUUACCUUCUCAUGAUCACUACGGCACAUCAUAAAAUUAGUGCAGUGCUGUUGUGCAGACUCGACUUGUACCUCACAAAUCAACAUCAGGCAAUGGCAUCUUCCAGUAAUUCCAAGCAUUGUAGUCCUCCUGAAUUCGACCAAGAACUUGCCAUCAGGACCAAAAAAUAAAGGCAAUUGCAAUAAAACGUGUAAAGCACACUUGAACUGCUGACAAAUACUAUACGGGAAUGCUGGCCUGCUCAGAUGACGACAAUAUUGGAGGGAACAUCCCGUGGACAAGAGCAUGCAAGGAUGUGUACGACUUUGUAUCGACCCGUCGGUUCACUGCGACUUCACCCUGCAUCGAAGGGAAAUUUUAGCACGAAUUCUCUAGAUGCCAUCUCCAGCGUGACUGUGGUCUCACCGGCUGAACUCCAGCACAAUUGUGCAGAUACAGACGUUCAGAGGAGGGAAACUAGUGGUUUCUGUCUUAAAUCCUUACCUUGGGGUUUAUUAUGAAGAUCUUGCCCAUAGGAAUACCAACCUUGAGGUAGCUAAGCUCGUCUGUGUCUCUAUUUCCAAAUCCAGCAUAAAACGGAUUUGAGUCGUGUGGAAAUAAAUCUUUGAUGGCCUGCAAAGGACAGAGAAACCAUCAAUAGAACAUCAAAGAAGCAAAGAACCCUUCUUUAUUAGGCUGCUAGGGAGUACUCACCUCUAGACACGAAAUCUUGAAUUCAUGCGGAGCUCUUCUGAUGACUACAAACCAAUGUCAUGAAACAUUAGCAUCACUCAAACAUGUAGCUAACAUAAAGUCGUUACCAGAGAUACUCCCUCUGUUUCUUCUUAUAAGGCGUAUUAGGAUUUAUGGAAGUCUUUCAAUACAUAAUUUGACCAUUAAUUUCUUGUACUAGCAACUACUACAAAGCAACAUCUUAAUAAAAGACAAGCAAAUGUACAAAUAUGUCAAUGCAUCUUAUGUACGCUAAAUGUACAUAUGCUUUGACAAAUUGAUGGCCAAAGUUUAGACUUUUUUUUUGGUUUUUUAAACUCUAACAUGCCUUAUAUUUUGAAAAGGAGGGAAUGCUUUUUAUGUCAACAUAAUCGUAUUAUGUGCACUUAUCAUAGACCUGCUAAAAAGAAAUGGGCCUCUUAUCCAACAAUGGUUGAGGGGGUCCAAAACCAAAAAGAGUGGUGCUGUUAUGCUUACCAAACAGAGUUUAUUAGAAGGCUAGCAACACCCAGUUUACUCAUGUGAACCCAAGUCAAUAUUAGAGGUAAUGAAUGCAACAUUUUUCAGUGGAGAUAAGUUAUUUUGUGUCUUCUACUCUUUUUGCUGACUGACAAUUAACUGAAUAGAAAAUAGCAAAAACAUAUCAGGAUGUGCUCACCUUCUCUGUAAAGUGACGGGAAGAGACCAUCUGGAGAUAUAACAACAGGGCCAUCAGGAAGUGCUUUGCCGUCCUGAAAUCGAAAUUUACAUGAGGGGAUAAGAUAGAUGGGCACCGGGCUCUAUUUAUUAGUUUUGCUGUAGCUGGGUCUUUGUGAAUGUGUGUCAUGACCAGGCAUGUGUAAUUAUUACGUGAUUGGGCAUAACACAAUUCAUGGCUGCUUGUAUACUAGGCCAUAAACAGUUUCUGAAGGUAGAAAAUUAACUAGGACUAAGAACUGGAUUUAGAAGUACCUGCUUUAGGUUGAAAAGAAACUGUCUUGUGAUGUGGGCUUGUGAAAUAGCGCGUGCACUCAGAAAUAGAAGCUGGUAUCCAUUUUCCUGUGGAUGCAAGCAACAAGAUAACAAGAACAAACCCAAGUCAGCAAACAUUCACUGAUGGCAUUCUUGAGACUUGAAUGAUGUUCCAAAGUCAAGAAAGCAAGAGUCAAUCAACUGCUAUGGCAUGACUAGAUGUGCAAGUGAAUUAAAAACUGAUUUUUAUUUUGUUACAAGCAUAAGUAUCAUGAAUACCUUUCUAUUGCACAACUAGAUCUGAUAGUGAAAUUGCAAAUUGCUUUAUUUUGUUACUAAGCAUGAAUACCUUUAUUGCAGAAAAUAAAUGAGCAACUCCGUUUUGGGACCAAUCAACUCCAACUAGUGGCAUGAACUGCCCAAGAACAUCAGACCUACAAUUAUAUGACAAAACAUAAACAUUUGUAAGAUUUUAAUAUACAACAUUAGUUGGUGGUAUGAAUCACAUUGCCCUUGCCCAUAUUGUUUAAUGAUAAAACUUAGUUGUAUUUAAUUCAUUAUCUUCCUCUUUUUUUCCUCCUAUUACAAAUAAAUAUUUUUUCAACAAAGAGAAAUUAAGAAUCAUGGGUUAACAGAACAGUAUAACUGUGUAUCAUUUUUUUCUCAAAUACGCAUGGCAGCUGCUUAUCAUUGCAUUAUGAAGAAGAAAUUUGUUAAAACUUAUAAUUACAUACACACCACAACCAAAGAAUAUGUGUAUCAUCUGAAAAGUGGAAUAACCAACACUCCCGACGAUCAAGUGCCCAAACUAUAACAAUUAAACAUUAAAACAUAGGCUUGAUUGCUCCAGUUUUGCAACUUACUUGGUGAUAGUUCCAUCCACAUCAGAUAUUACAAUGCGUGUAUUCCAUCUCCAUAAAUAUAUGUGGCAAUCAACCUGUUAAAGAAAAGAUGGGAGGAUGAAAAAUGCAACUUAGUGAAAUUUGAAAAUAUUAAGUCAAACUAACCUGCUGUUUCCCAACAAUUGCAGUUGAGAACGUAAAUGUUACCACGUUCCUGCCCUCUCUGAGAUCAAGAGAUGCAAGCUCGUCAGAUGUUGGAGUGAGUGAUCGCACCUUCCUCUCAAUCCUCUUUACCCUGGAUUUAUUCCUUUCUCUAUCUAGUUCUUUAAAAUGUGUCAAUUCUUUAGGAGUGGAUACAGAAGUCUCAACAAUACUUUCACAAACUGGCUGGAUAGCAGUAAUAGUCCUUGUUCGUCUGAAACUAAAUGGCCAGAUGCUCCAGCUGCCACCUGGAGCUGCACUUUGCUCAACUCGCUCCACAUUUAUCAUUCCUUUGGGUUCAAAAACUUGUUCCUCACUGAAAGAAAUCAUACCGAGUACUAUAGGUGCAGCAGCAUCCCAGGGAAAGUAGCGGCCAGCAAUCCUAACAACUAGUUUGUUGUUUCGCAUCAGUGAUUGCUUCAUGUUACGGAACUCCUCUAAGGUUACCUUCUCAGAAUCAAAUGCACUGCAAGCAGCAUCCUCCCCCAUGCCUUCAGAUAACAGGUGUCUGCAUAGUGAUAAUUCUGCAAAAAUGGGACAGGUAGAGAUUAUCAUUAUUGUCAAGUUACAUUUCAGUUAAGAUGGUUUGGACAUGUCCAACAAAGACCUCCAGAGGUACCAGUGCGAUAGCGAUGGGAAGAGAGGUGAGGUAAGGCUAAAGUUGACAUGGUAAGAGGAGGUAAAAGGAGACUUGAAAGGAUGAAAUGUACCAAAAAAAUUAACCUUGAAUAUGAAUGCAUGAAAAACAAGUAUCCAUGUAUCUGAACCUUGACUUGUGGUUUCUAUUGUAUUUUAACUCUAGCCGAUCCCAACUUGCUUAGGACUAAAAGGCUUUGUUGUUGUUGUCAAGUUACACUUCAAUAGUAAUGUAACACAUUAUUCAGACAUUGCAGGAAAUCACAAAAACUGGAACAAAGCUAGCAAAACAAUCCACCAAAUUUGUCUUUAUCAAAGUUUCACUAUUCACUUAACACAACUAAAUUAUAGUGAACAAUUUUUUAACAGUAUCAAGCUCGCAAGAUAAAGUUCAUUAUAACCUACUAGUGUUAAAACAACUAUAGAUGUUAGUCCCAGGCAAAAAGAAAAUAACUCACCUGCAAAAGGAAUGAACGCAUCAACUUUCAGAUCAUCAGCAUGGUUGCCAUCAAGUGCUACAGUGUUGGUAACCUCAGGAGGGCUGUUAUUUUCUUCUGAAAAAUCACCAAUAGCUUCUGAUUUCUGCUCAAGAAAAGCAUAAUUCAUGCUCUUGACUAGAUCAAUUCCAUUAUUUUCAGCAGUUGAUUGCAGUGAGCGGCUUAGCUGAAAACUAUAAGACCUUUCAAGAUCAUGUAUAUGAGAACGGAGAUUUGGUAGAGAUUUAGCCUCUCUGUUACUAUUUCCUGACUGGAAGUCAAUUGCAGGAAUAGAAACAGGGCUACUCACAGGCUUUAAUGACGCAGAACAGUUCUCCAAGUCAUUUACAAGACCUACAUCACCUUCUUCCUGUUUCUCUGUGUCACAAUCAGAUUCAUCAUGUUCUACUUCACCUGUUGUUUUGUUAGCCACCAUGUCAUCCGUGGCCUUUCUAUCUGCAAAAUUUUCAGCAUCACUAAAUUGAAACUGAAUUUCUUCUGUAUAUUCAGAUAAUGAUAUAACUGGUUCUGCUUCUUCAUCAAGCUCAGCUGUAGCCUCAGGCACAAAACCAGCUUCAUCUCCAAUCACAGAACUAGAUUUGUUUGUGUCAUCUUCUAGUUUUGUGUUUUGCACUUCAACACUGAUCAAACUGGAAAAUCCAGCAGAAGUUGGUGAGCCUUCUACUUCUAUUUUAUUAGAAAAAACAGCUGGAUGAGCAAUGCAUUUUGUCAGUCCAUCUCCCGCUGAGGUCUGAAUAACAGAAACAACAAGUUCCCCGCUGCAUGCUCCAUUUUCCACAACUGAGUUUUUUGUUACAUCUUCAGGACCAAUGCCAGGCUCAUAACUUGUUGUAUCUUCAACAUUAGGAGAAACAUGCUGACAAGCUAAAUCAGGAGCUGAGUCUGCAUGUGAAAGGGAAACACUGUCUGUAGAUACAUCCAAACCUGGACCACUCUCUUCCAAGAUUUGGGAGGCAGGAUUUUUUAAGAUAAAGGCUUUACUUUCUUGAACAGCUAUAUUAACCAAGUCUUUUUUGUUGCUGGGAACACCAUAGCAUACUAAUGAACUUUCCUCAGAAAUUAGCUUUUCUGUACUCCCAUCAGAGAUACUAGAGUGCUCCUCAUGUUGUACACCGUCAGCCUGUGAGAUAUCAGAAGCAUCAUGAACUGUGUCAUCCAAAAUACAGGACACAGCAUAUGAGCUAUCCACAGUCUCAGAACUGCUGAGAAUGACUACUUUCUCUGGAACUGCAUCUAGUGAGCCCUCCACAGCCUCAGAACUGCUGAGGAUAACUAUUUUCUCUUGAACUGCAUCCUGUGCAGAAGGGAUCAAUGAAACCUCAUGUCUUUCAGAUGAAAUAUCUGUGGUGCCAUAAUUUUGGUAAUUUGUAUCUGUAAAAUUCUGGUUAGCUCGAUCUGGUUCUGGAUCCACAGUAACAAUCUCAGAAUCCACCUCGCUCUUACCACUUGUAAUGUCUGUCUCAACAACAUGGAUUUCAAAAAUGUCAUUGGAAAUAACCUCCUCUGCAUGUGUCUCCCUUUCAGUUACAUCUUCAACAUCAUGCAGCAACUCAUCUUGAGUAUCGACAGACUGCUGCAUAAGUUUAUCUGUUCCCAGAUCAUUUGACGAAGAUUCUGACCCUUGUUGAUGUGUGAUUGAAGUGAUAUUAUCAGUGAAGUCGCUGCUCUCACGCGCGUGUAUCUCAACCACCUCUUUCUUCACAAUAGUGGCUUGUAAACACGGAUCGGUUUCAUCUGCUGAACUGUUUCUUCCUCCACGAGGGCUGCAUGAAUUGCAGUGAGCAUUGUCACAGUUAGAGUCCAUCUCUUUCCCAUGAUCCAAACUAUGUUCCGAAAAUACAGGUUUUGAGGUUUCCAUCUGAUCAUUGUUGCUCUUGGAAGGCUCAUCAUUUGAACCAUUAGGUUUUGAACUACGUGGGAGAUUUGUUGACCACUUGGUAUCUAGGAGUUCUGCAGCGACCUCUGCACGCUCCAAUGAACUCACCCUAUCCACAGCAUGGGCAUUGUUCUUAAUCGAUUUCCGGCCAAACAUCCUUUCAAGUAUGGUUAUCCGCCUCGAGGUUGUCCUCGCAAGAAUCUUGCCCUCACCGACGUCGGCUUCCAUCGUCGAGCUAUCACACGAAGUGCUCUUCGACUUCCUCAGCUGAGCUUCCUGGAUCGGCACCUCUCGCUCAUCUCCCGACGAGGCGGGGGAGACAAUGAACUCCCCUUCCUCACCAUUCGGGUCCGCGUUCCUGAGGAAGUAAGCCUCGCCGUUGCUGUCCAGGUACAUGUGGAACCCUGCGUCGACGCCAUUGACGGAGAUGUCGACAACCUUCUCCCUCGACUUGAGAACCCCCUGGAACUUGCCGAACCGCACGUACCACGGCGAGCUCUUGAAGCUGCCGUCCUGCUGCUGCACAACGACUAUGUCGACCGCGCCGCCGAACGGGUGGAACGGGCCGGAGACGGUGUACACGCUGCGGGAGAUGAGGCUGCCCACCUUCCCCACGGCAUACAUCUUGCACGCCACCAACGAGGCACGGCAAGGGCAUUAGCAGCGGCGUCCACCACGGCUACGAAAUCAAAGCUUUUCACCACCACCACGACCCAGCGCCUCCUCCUCCAUCCACAAGCUACAGGAACCACCAGAAUUCUGAAUUCGCAACAUUAAUUGCAACCUUUAAGUGCUUCCAAUCAGAGGCGGAUAAUUUUAUUUUGUUUGCGAAAUGUUAGAAGUUGGUCGGCGUAAAAUAGCCAAAUAGCUUGAGGUUAAGAGUUUGGAAACUCGGUUUCGCACAGCAGACAGGGAAGAGAUGAGAAGGGUGUGGGCAAUACCUGGUGGCCGCUCUUCGCCGGCGAAGAGAUCGGCGGAGGCCUCGGCACCUGGCGUAGGGCGGUGGCGAGGGUAGCCGAAUUCGGACCCGAUCUAGGAAGAAGGAGGCACGAUCUGGACUGAGGCAAAUCGGCUGUGCGAGCCAGGCGGCAGGAGCUCACCGACGAGAGGAACGCGAGGAGGGAGACGCCGGGGGCAUAUUCCGGGACCGAAGGAUGCCGAGGAAGGGAUUAUUCCACCGGCUCACUUAUUUUACUUCCCUCGAAUAGCCAUUUUUAUCCUUUUUGGAAAAAGAAAAGAAAAUAAAAAGGAGGAAAAGAACAUUAGAGGUCACACGAAACUUUAUCUUGGUAUACAUAUGGAGUUGCAGAUAAACAUGCUUAUUGUGCGAUGUGUACUAAUUUUCUUCCUGUGUAUAACCAAGACCAGGUAAAUGGUAAUCUCAAAUGCUAUCUAGUUUCAUUUGUUUCUAACAAGAUUUGAUGUUAAGGGUGAUUUAAAAAGUGAUAUAUACAUUAUAAAGGUAUAUUUCUAUUUUGUAUACAUUAGCAUCACUUAAUAGCGAUAAUACUCCUGCAGUUUUUGGAUUUAUGCAUGUGCAUGACCUUGAAACCAAAUGAUUUGAGCACAUAUGUAGGAAUAGGUGUCACUACCAAGUCAUUUAAAGUGUUUAUCUAAAUCUUAUCAAGUGGUUUAAUGUUAGAUAAGUAACAUAGGAUCCAAACUAAAGCUAGCCAUUUACACUAGUGUGAAAUGCUAGCCUAGAAUGCACUUAGCUUCUAUAUUUUUAUAGAGAUGUAAUCAAUUAGCAAAGAAAAGGAAAGAUUGAAAUGAUCUUGUUUGGUUUUGGUAAUUAAGUGACAACCUAUGUAGACUAAAACGCCGUGGAGGUGGACAUAGGUUUGACUUGUUAAUUGCUGAACUAAUUUAAGUGUCAAUGGAGGAGCUUAUUUGACUAUUAGUUGCAUAGUUUUAUGUGACUACUAACUAAACAUGUGUAGGCCAGCUCUACCUAGCUCGAUAGCUUAGCAGCUUAACUAGGAUAUUUGAAAGGUGCAUGCAGAUAUAAGCAAAUGGAUAUAGUCUUGGCUAGACCGAUUAGUUUUAUUGUUGUUGUGAGUCAGUGUGUUUAAGUUCUAGAAAUUGUUCAUUUAGGUCAUGUGGUUAUAUAUAGGGCUACUAUAAUAUGAAUUGGAGAAUGUAAAAAAACAGGAGUAUUUAGAUCCUUGGAUUACUGUUGGUUAGAGUGCCAAAUAUAUGUAGUCUCCAAAAAGCAUUGUUUCAUGAAACUCCUCAAAAGGUUAUUUUUUUGAAGCUAAAGGUUAGUUCCAUGAUUUUUUAAGCUUAUCAAAAGGUGCUUAAAAAACAUUGUUUUCAUACCCCUCAUAACGUUUCACGAAAAUUAUGCAUCAUAUCAUUGGUUACACGACUUACCGAUUUACAUUACUCUCCUACACUCAUUACAAUCCACUAAUCGUUAAAGAGUAAUCAAGUAAACUCACACAAAUUAAUAAUAUUAUAGAAGCCGGAGACAACGUGCAGGCCAAAUACUCCCCAAACCCACUUAACAACAUGUUGAAUUUGUUUUACGACGAAGCUGAAAAUCCAAGGUGCAGAUUUUGAAUUGAAGCUCUCUCAAACCAGACCUGUAUAUAUAAUGAAUGGCAUAGUAUCCCUACAAACUUGUUCAUCGCACAUUAACUGACAAUAAUAAUAAUUCAAUGCUAUAUACUCUCGUUGUCCUAAAUUAAAUUUCGUUUUAACAUCUUAAAAGAUUUAUUAUCAUCCCUUUGAAUAUAGAUAUAAAAAAAAUCGAAGGCUAGAGCGACUAAUCGGAAUUGUCUUGACCCUUCUCCUACGUGCCGUACCUGCCUACUAGCAGCAACUAAUGCUCUGACAGAAACGUCAUUCUUGGCGAAGUUCAUCGUGCAGGCACCCCGCACCCAUGCCAUGCCACAACCUUCAACAAGAUAGAAGUUGGCGUGCAACUUCAGUGAAGAAUCCCAGCAGAGCAGACAAAAGAAACAAGCGUGGGAUUUUGGAACGGCGCAGCAUAGCCCAGCACAGCACAGCCCCUCUCUUUGCGUAAAAGAAAAACAGCAAAUAGAUCAUGUUAGUAGCUGGGAGCCGGGAGUGGAUGGCAACCGCUGGUCAAGGAUAUUUUUUAUUCAUGGCAAUCAGUAAAAUGCUCUGAAAACGAAACUGAUGAGCGCCGUCAGAAUCGGGAGUGCUCCUCGUGCAAUCACCGCUCACGACAGCCGCACCACCGUCCCUUCAAUUUUUCCUUCAGAAAAGAAAGAAAGAAAGAAAACACACACGGUUCAUACAGAUAGAGGAAUAGACCAUUACGAUCACCAUAUUUAUAUUGAUUUGUAUAGAGAAUACGUACUACUCCCUCCGUUCUCAAUAUUUGUUGCUCACCUUAAUUUUUAAACUAAAACGCACGCACAAUAUCACAAUCUCGAGCGCCGUACACAUCUCAUCGGACGGAAGCUACCACGGCGAGGCGGCGCGGCAGCAGCACGGACGCGCCUCCCCAUCCCAUCCGACGACGCGGAAGGCGGCGCGAGGUCCCAGCCUUCUUCUACGUCCUUCGGAACACAGACACCGUACAGCGCCUGCCCCAGCACCCCACAACGCAGGCCCGAGCUCUCCACGCCCGGCAUGCUCAACAGCUCCGGCUGCGGCGGACCUUGGCUGCUGCUCUCGUGACACUCCAUGGAGCUCGGUAUGGAAGGAAACUGGCCGGCUGGAUCGGCCGGUGCUUGAAUCAGCCUGCUACGACCGACAGAGCUCGCGGCAUCUCUGUGUGGGUUGGACUUGGAGGUGGAUGCAGGCGCGGGCGCGUCGGUGUGCUCGCUUGUGCCCACGGCGUGUCCGUUGAGUUGUCGUCUGCUCGCGUAGAGCGUCGAGGCUUUCUUUAGGAGCUCCGUCACAGCAGCUCUGUAUUCCUCAGGAUGAUGCUUGUAGUGGCCUGCAUAACGAGAGAGAAGAGAUAAGCAGAAAGCUUAGCGUACAAGUGCGUUAAAAAGAAGAUUGUUUUUAAUCUAGAGAAAAAUUGUGGAUGGGAACGGAUAUCUCAAACUGAUUCAGAUCAUGCUAACAAAUGCUCAGCAAUAAGGGAAAAAAUUUCUAGAACACCAGCAUAAAAGAAAUUAUCUGGUAGGUUACCGACUCAAAUCCUUCUGUUAGAUUAUAUGGCGACUUUCAAUUAAUUAUAUUGAAUUCGAUCAACUUUAGGAUAUUAAAGGGAGUAAGUACCCAUACACUAAUACAAUCGUGGUGAAUGUUCCAAUUUUACUUUUCCAGUUGAGAGCUUUUUGUAACUCUUAAGGCACAAUACUGUUUGAGAAGUCCAGCAUUAUGGGAACAAACUCCAUUAUGCCAUCAUUAUGCAUUCUUCUCCCCUCUCAUUUUCAGGCUGUUGUCAGUUAUUUUAGUGAACUGAGAUAAGUAACCAAUAACCAAGUCUAAUACUUGCAUUUAUUGCCUAGCUAGAGCCUAGAGGUAUGUUGCCUGAGAGAGCUAAUGGGAGAUGUUAAUAUGUUAUUUUUAAAAAAAAAAAUUGCCAAAAACUUCAGCAACAAAGUCGCAAUGAUUAGAAUGGCUAGUACCCUAAUGGAGUAAAGAUCAAAACAGUUCCUGGUCAAAACCACUGCUAGGUAGAUAGACAGAAGACGGAGAACAUACCGACAUGCGGAGAACUAUGCCAUUUAAUUAGGCUCACAUCACCACCAAGCUCUAGCAGAUGCUGGCCAAAAUUUUGAACAACUGAAUAUGUAGCAAGUUGAUCAUCCUCUGAGCAGAGUAUUAGUAUUGGACCAAAAUGCUGCAUGUACAAUGGACUAAGGUUACAGGUGUUCACAAGCACAUUCAUCAACAUUCGGGCUUUUAGUCAAUAGAGAGGCAUACCACCGAUGAGUAUAGUGUUUCCCAAUAAUCUUUACGUUGUUCUUCAAAUUUGUUUAUGAAAAGAACAUCAAGACCUGAGGCAAUGCCCUUAGUCAUCCAUGACAAGACACGAGGAGGUUCAGACAUCUUCAGGACACUUGGAUCGAGGAGGAAGCGAGUGCCCAAGUCACUGACAAAAUCCACAGGGCUUGAAUCAUACAUUUGUCCGCAUAGACAAUCUCGUACGAGCUGGUACUCAUCCUGUAGGAAGCCAAAAGAAAAAGGAAAAAGGCUCUUCAAAAUGAGUGAAUUCAAUCUCAGAUACACAAUUAAAUGAAUGUGAAGAUUCAACUAAAAUUUCUGUGAGCAAUGAGUUCAUAGGAAGAGGAAAGGCAGGAAAAGAGUCAUAUACCAUGCUUAGUUGCCCUUCACAUCUUCUCUCGAUCAGCUGUCGGUCAACAAAUAAACCUUUAAAAACUGAGAUCCACAGACUCUUAAGCUUCAACGAGAGAAAUUAUUUUGGUUACUGGUUAGAGCUUCCCAUCUAUUCACCUGAAGAACCUUGUAUGUGCACCCUUUUGGCCCUCCCGAAAACGACGCAAACACAACAGGUACAGGUGUAAUCUUCAGCACCUGGAUUCCAAAGAGCAGUAUGGCAAACAUGUGAUGAUUUCAACAGACAAUUCCAUGUGUCUACACAUUCGUCCAAGUUGGAAAUCGAACCAAGCAGGUUGAAAUCGCAAUGCAUUGAGGUAAGCAUACCUUGACAAGCUCCCCAAUCACCCUGUCGGCGAGCAUGGCAGCCUUCUCAGGGAAAAACCUGCUCAAGUACGUGUAGCGUGCACGCAAUUAAGGGCUAGUUUGGAAACUACAUUUUCACAUGGGAAAAUGAACUAUUUUCCCUUGAUAAAAUAGGAAUCUCUCGGUAAAAUGUGGUUCCCAAACUAGCCCUAAACAACAAAAGAUCAAUUCAGUUGUACGAGUUAUAGAGUCAUGGACUCAUGGUACCAAAAGAUUAGAAGUUCAUGCAAUUCAUGCCUAACAGGAUACAUGUGCCAUCUCACUUUUCCCAGAACUACCCAACCUAGCUGUAUGGAAAAAAUCGCAUAUUUAUAAGUGGAUCAAUUGGAUUCCGAACGAGGUGGAUCCAAUGCAAUUCAUGCCUAACCAUCAGUUGCGUAUUUCCCUAAUCGCGUGUUUCCGCGGUUUUCGUCGCUGGCAAAGAAUGGAAGAAGGAGACAGACGGCCGUACAGGGUGAGGAAGUCGGAGUGGCAGACGAGGCACGCCCACCCGUGCGCCGCGUACAGCUCCACGUACGCCCGCACGUGCCGCUCCUGGCUGGACAGCCACGCGAACAUCACCACCACGCCGCCGGUGCCGGCUCCGUUCCCUCCGGGCGCCCAGCUUGGGCGCCGGCCGCCGCCCCAGUAGUGCCGCCCCCACAUCCCGUGCCCGCCUCGGCCUCGAAGCCCUUCCGGAAGGCUGCAGGAGCUUCCGGGCCGCCUUGAAUUGGGAGGGAAGGGGGAGAAGAUGGCCGGGUGUGUUGGUGCGCCGGCGCGGGGCCGCGGGCGCGUGGUGUGUGCGUGCUGGGGUAUCUUUUCUGGGGACGUGUAGCGAGCAGGCGAGGUGAGAGGGCCGUAGGCGCUAGUGCUAAACUGCUAAUAAUGCUAAUCGACGAGUCAGCGCUAAUGCUCGGAAUAUGGGCCGGGCUUUUUGGCCAGCACGAGAACGAUCCGAAAAUAAGAGACCAAAGCACGGUCCGACAUGAAAAAAUAUGGGUCGAGCUAGCACGACACGAAGACGGGUUUGGACCGGGCCUCAAAUUCCAGCUCGUCGAGCCCCAGCACGACCCACACAGAUGGUCGGGCUUGGGCAGACACGGCCCAAUGAAGCCCAUGUUAUUUAAUUUAUUAAGUUAUAGACUUUAUAUUGUUGUGAUAUUUGGACUUUAUGUGGUCAAAUAAUGCUAACAUUGUUUAAUAUCUUUAAUUUAGUAAGCAAUGGACUUUACAUGUUUAUAACAUUUUAAUUUAUGUGAUCAAAUAUAUGAACCGGGUUUGGGCCGGCACGACAUAAUUUAGGGCCGAGUUAGACCAUUGUUUUUAUACUUCGGGCUGGCACGACAUGACCCAAAAAUAUUUUGGGUUUCUUAACCUGAACCCGUUUGGCACGAAACACGGUGGGCUCGGUCCGACCCGGCUCAAUUCCCAGCACUAGUCAGCACCAUGUUAUGUGCUAUGGACUUACUUGGUAGGACCCUAGCUCUGGUGAGCACAAUUAGAGAUGACCAUAUAGACUUUGAAGGAAUAAUGGAAACUAAGAAAUAGAUUUUUUUAGGCUUAUUUUGGUUCCUUAUGGGCAAUGUUUAUUUUGUUUGGGAAUAUUUAAAAGAUAAAGGCUCUGCUAGGGGUAUGCUAGUAGAGCCUAACUCUCAUGUUUUUUUCUUUUUAUGGGCACACGUGAGAUGUGAAUUUUUAGAGUUCUAUAUGAGUGUCAUACUUAUAUUAAUAAGAUGUCUGAAUUCUCUUUUAGGUUGAUUACUGUGUAUGGGUCAGUAUGAUAGUGGUAUACAAGAUUUUCUAGAUGAGUUUAAAAAAUGAGGGCUUCAGAGACCCAUUUUAAUAGAUGUGAAUUUUAACGUGGUAAGAUAUGUUAAGAUAAGAGUAAUGGUAUAAUAAACUAUUGGUGGGUAGACAUGUUCAAUGGUUGGGUUGAUAAGUGGGCACUCAUUGAGUUGAAUCCAGAUAAUUAUGAUAGGUUUAUCAUGGCAGGAUUGACAUGCAUGCUUAUUUCAACUGCUUGAGAAGUUGUUUUCCCUCUGGCUAGAGUGAAGGCACUAGAAUGACCAUUAUCCCUUAGUGGUAGAAUCUAGUGAUAACCUAUUCCUCACGAGGAGCAUCAGACAUGUUCGAUGUUCUUUUUUAGCGCAACCCACUUUUGUAAUUUGGGCAUAAUUCUUAGCUUUGAACUCUGAUUUGAUGAUAUUACGCUUUCUGAAAACCUAAAUGUCGGGGAUAAGAUCCCCGGUCUUUAUGGUCCACUGGUCAACGAGGGCGCCAGGAUGAGGCCUUUGACAACUAGGGCCCAUCGGUAAGCUGGGGGAGAAAGGAAACGUCUGCCCUAGGAGCAUCUACCCCCAAAUGAGCCCCAUGCCACCGAGGGCGGGGUCGGGUGUGGCAGAACUAGACAGAGGGCGGGUGAACCGAAGGAAGACCACCGAGUGGAUCCCUCACCUAGCUCGAGACCGACCCGUCAUAAGUGAACGAUCGCAUUAACUAUGCUUGUCGUCGAGCCACGAUGUAGGCGCUGAUCCACCUCCCACUCAUGGCCUACGAGUCGCUCGAACUGCAGCGCACUCAUAACCUACGAACCCCUCGUACUGCGGCACAUUUAUGGCCCACACGCUCCCUGUCUUUUCGACGUACUCAUGACUUAUCGGGACUAGGCCUGAGUGCGCAGAUCGCUUGUCGGGCACAACGAGACAAUUCGCGCCGAGCCCUAGGCUACGGAGGUCAGGGGUCGGCACAGCUCAAAUGAUGGCGCUUGGGCCCCACGCUGCUCGCGACGUCCGCUAUAAAGAAUACGAGACAACCAGGCGACCCCGGGGCCCACAGGCGCGCAUGUUUUCAUCCCGUGGUAGAACGCUCAAUUUUACAAUCACUCGGUGAGUACUUGAGGAAGCCACCGUUGGGUGGCCCCCUCCCUGACCUAUAAAAAGAGAAAGUCGGUCCCUAGAUGGGAAAGGAGGCCCGAAUGGACACUGUUGGUCACUUGUUCUCAAAAUGCUAUAAAUCAAGAACAAGGCAACACAAGUGUAGAUGGUUAAAGACCUUCGUCCUUCGAAACAUUAUCUCCCUUAGGAUAUAAUGAUCUUCGGACGAAGGAUAUGUGUAACACCCGGCUUUAAGGGACAAAGCCGGGUGCAUCUCAUACAUGCGCCAAAGAAGACAACAUAUAUAAUAACAGAGUGUAUAGAGAUAAAUGUCACAAUAAUCAGAGUACUUAUUACAUAGCGGAAGUCUUACAAAAUAAAAGAAAACAAUAAGUAUAAAAUGAACUAAGGAUCGUCGGCGCCAAUAUCGACUGAGAAACGCCACCUAGAUCAGAUCAUACUCCUUGCCUUGUGGCUCCUCCUGAACCACCUGUUCUUCUCCUGUGGGGGGGUGUGAGACAGCAAGAGUGAGCUCACAUACGUUCAUCGCUCAACAAGUUGUGGGGAAUAAUGUGGCAUGAACUCACCAAAGGUGGGAGUUCAUGUAGUGUAAGGCUGAUCAAUGAAAUAAAGGCUGAGGCUGAGCAUUGCUUUUAUAAGUUGGUCAAAAUUUUAUUAGCAAUUACUAGGUGUAAGUAAAUACCAAACCUUAAUAAUAAUAAAGAACAGUAAUAGUAAAAUAAUCCCAAAUGCGAUGCAAAUGUCAAAUUAAAUUUAAGUUUCAUAUUUAAUCAUGUGAGGGUCCGAGCCGCUCUUGACCGUGAGCACGGCUAGUAUACUAGUUUUACACUCUGCAGAGGUUGCGCAUCUUUACCCACAAGUCGUGUAUCCCAUGUCGCCUGGGUUUGCAAGGCCCUUAGACACUACCGAGGUGAAUGGCUAGGGAUCCACUACGAGGCCUUUACAAAGUUCCACUAGCUUCCGAAAACCCGCUACAGUUUAUAGGAAGAUCCAGUACAGGGUUCCUGGCUGACAGCCAUCGCAGCAAAAUCAACCAGGGACCUCCCCGCACUGACCUCUCCCCUACUGCCCUUGCCCCUUUCGGGUAAGGUAGUCUUCCACUAGCUUUCCUAAUUAGUCAGCCAAGGGCGUCCCAUUAUACCCUUGUGGUAGCACUGUUUUCCCGGGUGGUCGCUCCAUGUUCCCAUUAAUUUAAUGAUCUUAACAUGAACAAUAAUAAUAACAAGUUAAUAACAGCAUAAUCAUGAAUAGUGUAUCUCCAUACCCAAUCCACAUAAAGCAAUAGCAAGUACUACCCAAAAAUAUUUCAGGGGUGAACAAGGUAUAGAGGUAAUCAAAACUGGGGUAACAUAAAGGCUCCCAUCAAAAUUAUCCUAUGCAGAUCAUUAAAAUUAAUAAGAACAUGGCUGGGAAAGUAAGUGAUCAAGGGCACAACUUGCCUUCAAUGAGCUCCUGCUCAGCUACUUCUACUUGUUGAACCUCAGUUUCCACAGUGGCUUGCUCGUCUACUCGCAUCAACACAAUACAUACAUAGUAUAGCCAAAAUCAACAUCACACCAAGCAUGUAAAUAAAAUAUGCAGUAAAAAUCUAUACAUUAAAAUGAGACCAUAGGAACUGGAAUCAUUAAAUUUGGAAUUAUAGAUUUCAAGUUAUGAAUUUCCUAAGAUUUAAUGUGCCUGAAAUAGGGUUAAAUGAUAAAUAAAUUUUCUAACAGAGUUCAUGUCAAAACAGAGACACUAAAUGGUAGAGAAUAUUAUUACAAAAUUUUAGAAAUUGGAAUGGUUCAAUUUGGACUAAAAAUGGAUUUUCUAUGAUUUAUACAAGUUCUAGAUUUGUUUUUGUAUUAAAAAUCUAUUUUUCAAUUACCUUUCUCUGAUUUUAUAAUACUCAGGACUACGCGUCAUUUACUAAGAAACACAGGGGCUAAUUUGAAUAAUUCACCGGACUCAGUGAAUAGCGCCCCCAGGACGGCGGGUUUAUAUCCUAAAACUACAGGGUUUCUUUAGUAAAGUUGACCCGCGAAGGGGUAUCGCGCGUCCAUAACCGUCAGAUCUAACUCAACGCACCAGAUUAGAUCUUACGCGCAGUGAACCGGUACGCCAUCUAAACCGUUAGAUCCAGAUCUAACGGCCACGAGUUCAAAACUACGCGAUCCCAUUACGAACGUCCAUCCACAAUCGGACGGCACAGACAACGCUCAACCAGCGAUAUAAUCGGGACCGUUGAUCCAUUGAUCAACCGUCCACAUCCCAUCGUCCUCCUCCGACCAAAUCCCCCCCAAAUGCCCGACGGCGGCGAGGAUCACCACCGGCGGUCCAAAUCUCCGGUUCGGGGGCACCAAACAUAAAUUAACUUUUGCUACACGUUGCGGGUAUGAAAGCGGGUUUGGGCGAGGGUUUCUUACCGGGAAUUGCUGGCACAAGCGAGUUGUCCACGGUGAGCUGCGGGCGGAGGUGGAAGCGCAGCGACGGCGAGCAAUCGCCGAUGAAGCAGUCAAUCAAUUGUUGCGCUUGGUGCUCGGUGAGUAUCGGCGGUGUCCCCCGAAGGCCCUAGACCCCUACCCGGAGCUCGGGUGGCGUGUAUGGCUCAAGUUAGCGACGGUGGAACACAGGGCUCCGCGGCGGAUGGUGGCGGCGAGUGGUGUUCGGCGUAUGCAACGACACAGGAAGGUUUAGGGGAAAGGGAAGGGAGAGCGCAACCGUUAUAUGGUCCGUGGAGGUGCCCGGCUAGCAACGGCGUCAACGGAAAAAGGGGAGAGGGGCUCGCCGGUGAACUCGCGUUUUCUGUUGAGGGGGAAGAGCGAGCGCUGCCAGGGCGGUCCCACGCAUCAGUGAGAUGCAGAGGAAGCGUGCGGUGAUAGCGACUGACGUGUGGGGUCGAGCUGUCGGCACUUCCCCCCCGAUUGAUGGGCCGCGCGGGAUAUUCCCCCGGUGGGCCGAAUUCGGGUACCAGGCCCGAUUAGCUGGGUUUUGGUUUAUUCUUUUCUUUUUUUUUCUUUUCUCCAUUUUCAAAUCCAAUUGAAUUCAAGUUUGAAUUCAAACUUGAUGGCUCAUCAUUUACACUGUAUUUGUAUAGUUAACAGUAAUAAGUUUAAGGAUAUCUAUGUUUUUAUAUUUUUAUAUCAUUUCUCUUUUUCUUGUUUUCCAAACCCUAGAGUUUAAUUUAGGGAUUUAAUUUCCCAUUGGUGUAUUAACAUAAUUAUUAUUUUUGUUUACCAUAUUUUUACAUCAUCACAAAAUGCACACAAAGUAAGAUCCAACAUGAUGCACAGGUUAUUUAGGUGUUCUUGGUUCUAAUUACCCACUUUUAACUAGUGUUGAUCACAUGCAAUGAAUAGUAGAGGCCACAAACUAAUGAGUUUAUCUCUAUCCACUUUUAUUACACUUUUGAGUAUUACAAAUCCUACCCCCCUUAAAAAUAAUCUCGUCCUCGAGAUUUAAGAAGAUCUAGGGAAAAGAUGGGGGAAGUCUAUACGAAGCUCUUCUUCUCUUUCCCAAGUUGCUUCAUCUUCACCGUGGUGGCUCCAUUGCACUUUGCACAUCUUUAUAACCUUAUUCCUCGUAACUCGAGUCAAUGUAUCCAAAAUCUUGAUGGGGUACUCAGCAUACGUCAGGUCAUCUUGAACAUUAAGGUCUUCCGUUGGUAAUUGCUCCUCAGGUACCCUAAGACAUUUCUUCAGCUGAGAUACAUGAAAUACAUCAUGAACAUCCGCAAGAUGAUCCGGUAACUCCAAUUGAUAUGCAACUUCUCCCACUCGCUUUAAGAUUAAGAAGGGUCCAAUAAAGCGAGGGGACAAUUUUCCUUUGACUUUAAACCUUCUCAUGCCCCGGAGCGGUGACACCUUCAAAUAGACAUAAUCACCCUCCUUAAACUCAAGUAAUCUCCUCCGGGUGUCAGCAUAACUUUUCUGCCUGGAUUGUGCAGUUCUCAAAUUCUCCCUUAUUUGCUGAACUUGUUCCUCUGCUUCUUGUAUAAUCUCAGGUCCAAACAACUGCCUUUCACCAGUUUGAUUCCAAUACAAGGGAGUCCUGCACUUUCUGCCAUACAAAGCCUCAAACGGUGACAUCUUCAAACUGACCUGAUAGCUAUUAUUAUAUGAGAACUCAGCAUAUGGUAGACUCUUAUCCCAACUACCACCAUGCUUAAGAGCACAUGCUCUUAACAUAUCUUCCAGUACUUGGUUAGUCCUCUCAGUCUGCCCAUCAGUCUGUGGAUGGUAAGCCGAACUAAAAUUCAAUCUCGUAUCCAAUGACUCGUGCAACUUCUUCCAAUAUCGAGAGGUAAACUGUGGUCCCCGGUCUGACACAAUCUUCUUUGGCACACCAUGUAGACAUACAAUCCGUGACAUGUACAACUCUGCCAACUUGGCCCCAGAAUAUGUGGUCUUCACUGGAAUAAAGUGGGCUACUUUAGUUAGCCUGUCCACGAUCACCCAUAUAGAAUCAUAACCAGCAGACGUGCGGGGUAAUCCAACAAUGAAGUCCAUGCCAAUCUCUUCCCAUUUCCACUCAGGUAUCUUCAGUGGGUGCAAUAAUCCGGCUGGCCUCUGGUGUUCAGCUUUAACUCUUUGGCAUACAUCGCACAUAGCCACAUGUGCAGCCACAUCUCUCUUUAGUCCAUACCACCAAUACUUUUGCUUUAAAUCCUGAUACAUCUUAGUGCUCCCAGGGUGGAUAGAAUAAACUGAAUCAUGUGCCUCCUUCAAUAUGGUUUCCCGAAGACUAUCGAUAUCGGGAACACAGAUCCGAUUCUUGAACCAUAUCGUGCCUUGCUCAUCCUCGGUGAACUCCGGGCCUCUACCCUCUGUUAUCAGAUCCUUGAUCUCCUGGAUUUUGGCAUCACCAACCUGACCUUUACGAAUUUCUUGCUCCAAGGUAGGUUCCAAUUCAAUAGUAACUCCUUCCGUAUGUGUAACAAUUCCCAGGUUGAGCCUCUCAAAAUCCUUUGCUAAUUCAUCAGGUAGCUGGACAACGAAAGCGGAGUGAACAUGCUCCUUCCGACUCAAGGCAUCUGCAACCAAAUUUGCCUUGCCUGGGUGAUAGUGAAUCUCCAAAUCAUAAUCCUUAAUGAGCUCCAACCAACGGCGUUGCCUAAGAUUGAGAUCCUUCUGAGUGAAUAUGUACUUCAAACUCUUAUGGUCCGUGUAUACUUGGCACUUAGUUCCCAUAAUGUAGUGUCUCCAAAUCUUAAGUGCAUGCACAACGGCAGCCAACUCUAAGUCAUGGGUGGGGUAGUUCAAUUCAUGCUUCCGCAACUGACGAGAUGCAUAGGCAAUCACAUGACCAUCUUGCAUAAGCACACAUCCAAGUCCUUGGCCACAUGCAUCACAGUAAAUAUCAAAUCCCUUCUGCAGAUCUGGCAUAAUCAAUACUGGAGGUGACAUCAAUCUCUCCUUCAAUUGAUCAAAACUCUCUUGGCAUUUCUCAUCCCACUUGAAUUCUUUCCCUUUCUCCAAAAGCGAUGUCAUGGGCUUAGCAAUCUUAGAAAAUCCUUCAAUAAAUCUCCGAUAAUAUCCUGCGAGUCCCAAGAAACUCCGAAUCUCAGUAACUGUAGUGGGCACUCUCCACUCCAUUAUCUCCUUCACUUUAGCAGGAUCCACUGCUAUUCCUCCAUUAGAAAUAAUAUGACCAAGGAAUGGCACCUUGUCAAUCCAAAACUCGCACUUGCUGAACUUAGCAUAGAGUUGAUUAUCUCGUAACUUCUGUAGCACCAAUCUCAGGUGUUCCUCAUGAUCACUUUCAUUCCUAGAAUAGAUAAGAAUAUCGUCGAUGAAUACCACGACGAAACUGUCCAAAUACUCCAUAAACACCUUAUUCAUCAAAUUCAUGAAGUAAGCUGGUGCAUUGGUUAGUCCAAAUGACAUAACAGUAAACUCAUAUAAUCCAUAUCGAGUCGAGAAAGCCGUCUUGGGAAUAUCCGAUGGUCUAAUCCUCAUCUGAUGGUAACCCGAUCGGAGAUCAAUCUUCGAAAAUACUCUUGCACCUCUCAUCUGAUCAAAUAAAUCCUCAAUACGGGGCAAUGGAUACUUGUUCUUCACUGUAACAUCAUUAAGAGAUCUAUAAUCCACACACAUCCGUUGCGAUCCAUCCUUCUUCUGUACAAACAAGACCGGUGCUCCCCAAGGUGAGGAACUCGGACGAAUGUACCCGACCUCUUGUAACUCAGUUAACUGCUUCUUAAGUUCCUUCAACUCCUCUACGGACAUCCUAUAUGGCCGUUUAGAAAUAGGGGCGGUUCCAGGUAAGAGGUCAAUAACAAACUCAACUUCUCUCUCAGGUGGCAUCCCUGGUAACUCCUCUGGAAAGACAUCCGGAAAAUCUCUAACCACCCGGAUAUUGUCACCAACAAACUCCUCAGGCAUAAAGAACAUUGCACGCAUAGAUGAGGAGGUUACUGCAACAUUAACUUGAAACCUUUCUCCUUUAGUAGUAGUGAGUUCUACGGUACCUCUACCACAUGCUAUAACGGCCUUUGCCUUUCUUAGCCACGACAUACCAAGGAUCAGAUCUAUACUGCUUGACUCUAAUAUUAUAGCAGUAGCUCCAAAAUCUCUACCCAUAAUGGUUAAUGUCAAUCUACGUGUCAUUUGAUUCGCCUCAACAGGCCCUUUAGGUGUAAUUACUAUCAGGGGUUUCCUCAUAUUUAGCAGUGGUAUUUCAUUUGUGUUGGCAUAUCGAGCAGACAUGAAUGAAUGUGUAGCACCAGAAUCAAAUAAUAUGGUUGCAGGAAUUGCAUUAACAUAAAACAUACCAAUUACGAGGUCCCCACCAUCAGGAGUAUCAUCAACGCUGACUUGAUUCACCCUGGCUAUAGAAUAUCCCUUGCUAGGAGUCUGUUGCUUGUUCUGAGCUGGAGUAGUAGCAAUCCUCUGUGGGCAGACAUUUGCAUAAUGACCAAUCUUCCCACACUUGAAACAUUGAGUGCCCGGACUCUGUCCUGCAAACUUUGUCGGGGUGCCCGUGGGAGUAGCCUGUCGAGGAGGUGGAGUCCUCAGUGGUGAUUGCUGAACUGGGCGUGGUCCUCCGGGUCGAGUCGGUGUACCCUGUGGUGAACUGUAGCGAGGACGAACACUGCUGCUACCCUGUCCCUGUGAGAUAGCCUUCCUCUUCAAAUCACCCAGUUGAACACGCUUGUGUUCAAUAGCAAGAGCCUUAUCAAGUAGCCUCUGAAAUGAUGGAAAGGUGUGUGCAACCAGUGCAUACUGCAAGGGUCCAUUAAGCCCUUCAAUGAAGUGCUCCUGUUUCCUCUCAUCCUCAGCAACUUCCUCCGGAGCAUAUCUCGACAACUGAAUGAAUUUGUCUCUGUACUCGCUGACCGACAUGUUGCCUUGCUUCAAUGACAGAAACUCCUUCUUCUUGAUCUUUAUCAUACCAGCUGGAAUAUGGUAGUUCCUGAAUUGUGUGCUGAACUCUGCCCAAGUAAUAUUAUCAGCAGCAUCAUGUGCAGCAGUAUAAGAAAUCCCACCAGUCAGCAGCAGGACCCGUCAGACGUCCAGAAGCAUAUAAAACCUUCUCCCGGUCAGUGCAUUGUGCAAUAUUCAGCAUCUUCUCAAUUGACUUCAGCCAAUCAUCCGCGUCCAGUGGAUCAGGUGAGCUAGCGAAUGUAGGUGGCUUAUGACUCAUAAACUCCCGGUGCUUAUCACGAGGUGGAACCGGUGGUGGUGGUGGAGGCAGUGGCACUUGUUGCUGUUGUUGCUGCUGUUGCAUUUGUUGCUGCAGUUGCUGUUGUUGCGCCCUCCUUUCUUGGCGUAUCUCAUCUCUCUCCUGGCGCAACUCUUGGCGUUCUUGCUGCAUCUGGGCACGCAUAUCAGCCAUAGUGUCCGCCAUUUGCUGCAUCACCGCCAUCUGAGCAGCAACCAGUGGGUCAACUCCGCCUGGUGGAGGAUUAGGAGGAUUCAUCUCUGCAGGCUGCGGCUGAGGUUGUCUAUAAAUUCUUCGAGUGUGUCGGUUAGGAGGCUAAUCAAUUCCACCACCCCUCCUGGUAUUGACCAUCUGAGUUAGAUACAUAUGGUAAGAAAGAGCAGUAGACAAGGCAGUAAUUACAAUCGUGUUACUUUGGGGGAUUUAUUAGCUAAGCAGAUUAAUAUUUCACCUACUAUAGCUAAUUCAUUAUCUUAUGGUGGUACAUGCUAAGAUGCCCAUCUAUACUAUUUCAAUCAAUCAAAGAAGCAAAUCAGGCAUUGAUCAUCAGAACAAUCAAACAACAUUUUUUUUAAAUAUAGAAAAUAGUUUUGAUCUUGUCUUAGGUUCCCUAACUCUUAAGAAUGUCAUAGGGGUAGGGAUUCCAAGGUGUGAAAUCCGUCUUGUCUUGGAGUAGAAAAGGUAAGAAUGAUCAGAGUGGAACAGUAGAAGGUGAGAUAGGAUCAAGAUAAGAUAAGAAAGAACCAGAGUAAGGUAAGUAUAGAAUGAAUCAGAAUAAGAUAAGUAAGUAAGGGUUUGUCCAUUCUAUCUAGGUUUCGUCCUACAGUCAACAUUUCCUCUGAUACCACUUCUGUAACACCCGGCUUUAAGGGACAAAGCCGGGUGCAUCUCAUACAUGCGCCAAAGAAGACAACAUAUAUAAUAACAGAGUGUAUAGAGAUAAAUGUCACAAUAAUCAGAGUACUUAUUACAUAGCGGAAGUCUUACAAAAUAAAAGAAAACAAUAAGUAUAAAAUGAACUAAGGAUCGUCGGCGCCAAUAUCGACUGAGAAACGCCACCUAGAUCAGAUCAUACUCCUUGCCUUGUGGCUCCUCCUGAACCACCUGUUCUUCUCCUGUGGGGGGGUGUGAGACAGCAAGAGUGAGCUCACAUACGUUCAUCGCUCAACAAGUUGUGGGGAAUAAUGUGGCAUGAACUCACCAAAGGUGGGAGUUCAUGUAGUGUAAGGCUGAUCAAUGAAAUAAAGGCUGAGGUUGAGCAUUGCUUUUAUAAGUUGGUCAAAAUUUUAUUAGCAAUUACUAGGUGUAAGUAAAUACCAAACCUUAAUAAUAAUAAAGAACAGUAAUAGUAAAAUAAUCCCAAAUGCGAUGCAAAUGUCAAAUUAAAUUUAAGUUUCAUAUUUAAUCAUGUGAGGGUCCGAGCCGCUCUUGACCGUGAGCACGGCUAGUAUACUAGUUUUACACUCUGCAGAGGUUGCGCAUCUUUACCCACAAGUCGUGUAUCCCAUGUCGCCUGGGUUUGCAAGGCCCUUAGACACUACCGAGGUGAAUGGCUAGGGAUCCACUACGAGGCCUUUACAAAGUUCCACUAGCUUCCGAAAACCCGCUACAGUUUAUAGGAAGAUCCAGUACAGGGUUCCUGGCUGACAGCCAUCGCAGCAAAAUCAACCAGGGACCUCCCCGCACUGACCUCUCCCCUACUGCCCUUGCCCCUUUCGGGUAAGGUAGUCUUCCACUAGCUUUCCUAAUUAGUCAGCCAAGGGCGUCCCAUUAUACCCUUGUGGUAGCACUGUUUUCCCGGGUGGUCGCUCCAUGUUCCCAUUAAUUUAAUGAUCUUAACAUGAACAAUAAUAAUAACAAGUUAAUAACAGCAUAAUCAUGAAUAGUGUAUCUCCAUACCCAAUCCACAUAAAGCAAUAGCAAGUACUACCCAAAAAUAUUUCAGGGGUGAACAAGGUAUAGAGGUAAUCAAAACUGGGGUAACAUAAAGGCUCCCAUCAAAAUUAUCCUAUGCAGAUCAUUAAAAUUAAUAAGAACAUGGCUGGGAAAGUAAGUGAUCAAGGGCACAACUUGCCUUCAAUGAGCUCCUGCUCAGCUACUUCUACUUGUUGAACCUCAGUUUCCACAGUGGCUUGCUCGUCUACUCGCAUCAACACAAUACAUACAUAGUAUAGCCAAAAUCAACAUCACACCAAGCAUGUAAAUAAAAUAUGCAGUAAAAAUCUAUACAUUAAAAUGAGACCAUAGGAACUGGAAUCAUUAAAUUUGGAAUUAUAGAUUUCAAGUUAUGAAUUUCCUAAGAUUUAAUGUGCCUGAAAUAGGGUUAAAUGAUAAAUAAAUUUUCUAACAGAGUUCAUGUCAAAACAGAGACACUAAAUGGUAGAGAAUAUUAUUACAAAAUUUUAGAAAUUGGAAUGGUUCAAUUUGGACUAAAAAUGGAUUUUCUAUGAUUUAUACAAGUUCUAGAUUUGUUUUUGUAUUAAAAAUCUAUUUUUCAAUUACCUUUCUCUGAUUUUAUAAUACUCAGGACUACACGUCAUUUACUAAGAAACACAGGGGCUAAUUUGAAUAAUUCACCAGACUCAGUGAAUAGCGCCCCCAGGACGGCGGGUUUAUAUCCUAAAACUACAGGGUUUCUUUAGUAAAGUUGACCCGCGAAGGGGUAUCGCGCGUCCAUAACCGUCAGAUCUAACUCAACGCACCAGAUUAGAUCUUACGCGCAGUGAACCGGUACGCCAUCUAAACCGUUAGAUCCAGAUCUAACGGCCACGAGUUCAAAACUACGCGAUCCCAUUACGAACGUCCAUCCACAAUCGGACGGCACAGACAACGCUCAACCAGCGAUAUAAUCGGGACCGUUGAUCCAUUGAUCAACCGUCCACAUCCCAUCGUCCUCCUCCGACCAAAUCCCCCCCAAAUGCCCGACGGCGGCGAGGAUCACCACCGGCGGUCCAAAUCUCCGGUUCGGGGGCACCAAACAUAAAUUAACUUUUGCUACACGUUGCGGGUAUGAAAGCGGGUUUGGGCGAGGGUUUCUUACCGGGAAUUGCUGGCACAAGCGAGUUGUCCACGGUGAGCUGCGGGCGGAGGUGGAAGCGCAGCGACGGCGAGCAAUCGCCGAUGAAGCAGUCAAUCAAUUGUUGCGCUUGGUGCUCGGUGAGUAUCGGCGGUGUCCCCCGAAGGCCCUAGACCCCUACCCGGAGCUCGGGUGGCGUGUAUGGCUCAAGUUAGCGACGGUGGAACACAGGGCUCCGCGGCGGAUGGUGGCGGCGAGUGGUGUUCGGCGUAUGCAACGACACAGGAAGGUUUAGGGGAAAGGGAAGGGAGAGCGCAACCGUUAUAUGGUCCGUGGAGGUGCCCGGCUAGCAACGGCGUCAACGGAAAAAGGGGAGAGGGGCUCGCCGGUGAACUCGCGUUUUCUGUUGAGGGGGAAGAGCGAGCGCUGCCAGGGCGGUCCCACGCAUCAGUGAGAUGCAGAGGAAGCGUGCGGUGAUAGCGACUGACGUGUGGGGUCGAGCUGUCGGCACUUCCCCCCCCGAUUGAUGGGCCGCGCGGGAUAUUCCCCCGGUGGGCCGAAUUCGGGUACCAGGCCCGAUUAGCUGGGUUUUGGUUUAUUCUUUUCUUUUUUUUUUCUUUUCUCCAUUUUCAAAUCCAAUUGAAUUCAAGUUUGAAUUCAAACUUGAUGGCUCAUCAUUUACACUGUAUUUGUAUAGUUAACAGUAAUAAGUUUAAGGAUAUCUAUGUUUUUAUAUUUUUAUAUCAUUUCUCUUUUUCUUGUUUUCCAAACCCUAGAGUUUAAUUUAGGGAUUUAAUUUCCCAUUGGUGUAUUAACAUAAUUAUUAUUUUUGUUUACCAUAUUUUUACAUCAUCACAAAAUGCACACAAAGUAAGAUCCAACAUGAUGCACAGGUUAUUUAGGUGUUCUUGGUUCUAAUUACCCACUUUUAACUAGUGUUGAUCACAUGCAAUGAAUAGUAGAGGCCACAAACUAAUGAGUUUAUCUCUAUCCACUUUUAUUACACUUUUGAGUAUUACAAUAUGAAGGACGUACCUUCUUCAUUUCGAUAAGGAAGGAUAUAAACUAAAACAUAUGAAACAUGAAGGGAAUAUAAAUAAUUAUUUUGGAUCAUUAGAUUAUUCAUAUUCUUAUUAUAUAAACAUAAACAAACAUUAACGAUGUUUAAGUUACAUUUGUACCUUCGGCUUGACAGAAGGUGAACAAGCGGGAGUGACACGUGAGUGAUUACCGGUCAACGUGAACAGUACGUGGUACUGUUCAUCUAUUUAUAGGCACGGGACGCAGCUCGGACAAAAUUACAUUCAUGCCCUUGAUAACUAAUUAUAUUCAUAAUACAAACUAUCAGAGACUAUGUGGUCUUUUCCUCUUUAAGUCGGUGCCAUCCUUUGUCUUAGGCAUGCCAUCAUGCCGAAACUCUUUCAAUUAUAGCUUCGACAUAUAUCUUCAUGUCGUAUCUGUUUGCAUAUCGUCCUGCCGAAUGUGUUUUUGCUUAGAGGACCUUCAGUGGAGAAGAAGACCCCAACAGACACCUAGACGCGAAGACGACGGAUCGACGAAGGAAGAAGGACGCACCGACGAGGACCCAGAGUCCCGCUAAACCAAGACUUAGUUAAGACUCUACCCUGUAGCCCUUAGCGCCACCUCCUCCAUAACAAGAGACUUGUGAGCCUCUCCUCUAUCUCGCUCGCCCUCUUGUAACCCUAGCAUUGAUCAUCAAUGGUGGCGGUAGCGCAAGCCGCCGAAAACAUGGAUGUAGGGACAUUAUGUUCAAACCCGUACAAAUCUUGCGCCCACCGCGCACACCGUCCGGAGCCCAGAACGCGCACACAAAUUUACUUAUCGGAGCGAGGUUCGAAACACCAACACUAAUGAAAACUAUAUAAAUUAGAGCUUAAGUCGUGUCAAUUUGAGCAAAUCCAAUACCAUAAGGCACGUUUUCAAAAAAAAAUAAAAAUAAAAUUACCAGACUGUUUUUUGUGUGUAGAAAUAUGCAUUUAAAAGCUCUGAAAUAUGACUAACUUUUAGAAAAAAAUCAUAAAAAAUGUUGAGAGAGGAUGAGAUGGACUCACGGGCUCACCGCUCAACGACCACCGUAUCUGUCGACAAGGCCUUACUUGGCAGCCCAUGGGCUUAGGUCCUGUUUGCGUCGAAAGCGCCAUCUUUGCAUUACUACCGAGUCGAAGCCCCAGAUGGUCCCUCCUAUGAGGCCCAAACAACCCAUCGAUGGUCUCGGACUUUGAGAAAACAAAGGAGAUUUAUGAUACGAUCUUUUUCAGAUGAGACACCCUGGCAGAUUUUCGCCCCUUUUUAAAAAUCAGUUCACUCAGUUUGAACCUUUUUUCUUCUUUCUUUCGGAGCCUUUAAGGAAAAAACCACGUGAGAUUUACUAGUCCACAUAGGAAGCAGCACACCGAAAGAAAACGCACAAACACUCAAACAGAACAGGUCGUUUUUAAUCUGAGAAACGAUAGCAUGUGUCAUAUGCAUAUCUAUAAUGGGCCCACCCGCCGAGCAACAUGUCUAGUUACGCCCUGUUUGGAUUAUUGUAAUUGAAUUCCAUUCUAGUAAUAAUAAUUUAAACAUAUAUCAAUUAUGUUAAUUCGGAUUUAUUUAAAAUAUAUUUGUACACUAUUAUUAAUAAGAUGUCGAAAAAUAUUUAUGUGCUAUAUUUUUACAAUAGAGGAGUGAAACGGAGAGUCAUGUAAGUUACAAAGUAGAAACAAAUUCUACUAAUGCAUAAAAUUAUUUCCAAUCCUACACCCUAUGAAUUUGAGAUAAACUUAUAUCUGAACUUUGGAAAAUGGUGGAAUGUUAAAUUCCAAACUAAAUAAGUUACUUUAUUGAGUGAAUUUCAAUUCCUGUAAAAUGAAGAGAUCCAAACGCCCCGUUGGAGGUAACUGAGGCCUAGACUUCUUACCGUCUAAUUCAAGAGUGUCUCGAAUGCUCCGAGGUAGUAGAGGGCGCCACGACCCUAGUCAUUAUAAAUAUGACAUGGUGCUCUAGAUUUCAUUCCUCCAUAGUUUCCGGAGAUCAAGUUGCUGAGAGAGUUAGGCCACUGCGUUGGUUUAGAGCCAGGGUAGCCGGUCCCAGAUCAUUCGCUCCCUAGAGCAGUGUGGUUCCAGUGAUUGGGUUAUAUGGCAGCCUUCUUCUAUACUAAGAUCCUUGAAUGUGUCAUGAUAGCAUACAAAGAUAUAUAGACAGACAUUCCCCCGAGUACUAACAGCUAUUUUAUCAAAAGAUUCACCAAAAUGGCUUUAGCUUCAUCGAUAAACCUGUUUACAGAGCUAAAGCUAAAAAAAAUCUACUUUGCUGAUAAAGCAGAGUUGCGCUAGCUAGACAGUAGAAUGAGUGGAUAUUCCCUGCAUCAGGUCUCUGGUUAGAACUCAUGCGUUUCUCUCCACGACAAGGGACUUUGUACCCGUACUGCUACCAUGCCCUCCCAGAAUAUACCACGACCUGAUGCUCGCUCGCCUCUCUCCCGCCUGCCCUAGCUACCAAACAAACAAACAAGCAAGCAAGCAAGCAAGCAGGCAGCUGAUGAGCUAGCUAGCCUCAGAUCCGAUCCAAAGCACCACCACCAACAACCAGCGCGCGCGCUAGACCAAUCACUGGCCUCAAACCUGCACGUACAGGGUCGUCCUAGCUAGUGGUUAAACGUUAAAAAAAGAAGAAGAAGAGGACAGCUUUAAGCUAGCUCUUGUUCAUGCAUCCAACUCGAAUAAUGGGAUACUGCUAUUGACCAAGGGGGGAUCAGAAGGGACCCCCGGUAGUGCACCGAAUGAUUAAGCACCCAGAAAAGUGCGAUGGGAGGACAUGCACCAAGAUUCCAUCUCCUUUGUAUUUUCUUGCCUUUGGAGAGAGAGAGAGGGAGAUAAAUAGAGAGAGAGAGAGAGGGGUUGUUGUUUUUUUUCCUUCUUCUUUGGUUGCUGAUGCAAUUAUGCCCCCAACAACUAGCUGAUGUGUGCCUUUUGACUUGUUUACAUGACUGGGAGUCAUACCAAACACAUGGAUCAGCUAAGGUACUAUAUACAUACCCCAUCAAUUGCUACUGCAGUGUAAAUUAGAAGCAACAUAGGUUAAUUAGCACAACAAAGUUUUACUCUGAUCCAUUAUUAACAUCUGAUACCAAUAUAUGCCAUGAACGAAGUGUAAAGAGGGGAGGGGAGGGGAGGGGGGGGGGGGGUGAAAGGAACAAAGAAGUACUGGUGCAUGGAAACGGACAGGAGUUGAGUACUGAAGACAUGGCGAGCGUACUUUUUAGGCUAUAUAUAUAAAUGAACUUUUGAGCCUUUUUUCAUGAGAGGAAGAAAGGAAAAACUAGAAACUAGCUAGCUAGCAUCACCCACACACGAAAGCCUAUCACUACUGCGAAAUAUAUAACGAGCAAUUUUGGAAACCAAGAUGAAAUUAUUACCGGCUGCUUGUCUGUCUUCAUGUGUGGAGUUGAGGCCAACAAAUACAUGCAUGGAUCGAAGGUAGAGUUAACUUUUUUUUUUGUGUGAAAAGUAAAGGCCAGCUAGGAUAAUAAAUUUUAAAAAGGGCUAGUAUUUGCGUCGGCCGGCCGGGAUAAAAUGACAGGCCUUAUGCAUACAAUUGCGCAUCAUGCAUGUCGUCGUCGUGCGUGCGGAGGAUGAGGCGAAGUAAUUAAGCGCAUGCAAUGCAAUGCAACGGCGGCCGGCUAGCUUGAAGCCAAGCCAAAUUCACAUGUCAGUGGGAUCCCAUUCCUGAAUCGAUUGGGAGUACUGAAGGUCGCUACUGUGUUUCAGUUUGGAUUUUUUCCAGUCAACUCUGGGAAAACAGCAGUAGUGUCAAUUUCCACACUGCUAUAUACCUCGCUCACUAGCUGCAGGCUGCUAGCCGGCCGGAGAAGAACAUUGUUAAUUAAUAGCCCUAGCUCAAGCUCAAGCUCAUGACGCUGCUGUGAGCAAUUGGUUAAGCAGCUUGUCAUGAGGGAGAUAGAUUACAUGUGACGACGACCAGCAGCUCCUCACAAUUAACAACAAAAUUUGCACACACGUACGUACCUUGCUCCAAAAAACAAGCAAACAGACGAUCGAGGAGAACGAAAGAUCACGCGUGGCAGAACUGGUCGAUAAGCACAGCUCUAGCAGCAUGGGGAGCUCAUCAGAAAGCGUCCUCCAAUGGAUCAUCCUAUACACAGUUACUACACACACAUGCAUACUAUGGAGUACUAAACUAUGCAUGUGGUUUAAUUUGUCACGGACAGAUCACAGAGUACGUGCAUGCACCAUCAGCUGCAUAUACGCUAAUAAUAAAUCUAAUUAAGGGGUAGUGAUGGAUGAGUGACAGUCUACAAAAAAAUAACGUACGACAUCAGGGGAGGAUAAUAAUCAGCACUACUGAUGAGUGAUGACUCCAGUUUGAAGUUUGCCAGCUGAGGGUGGUCGGAGGAGAGCAUUGCUAGCUGCUUGACCUUGAGGUUAACGAACGGACUGUGACGGGUUUACCACCUCCGACCCCCCGUCAGCGGCAGCGGCACCCACUCGAAGCGCCCCUCCAGCGGGCGGUCGAGGGCGACGUCGUAAUUGUACCUGCAGAGCGAGGGUGUGCGGAGCUUAGCUUGGAGUCAUCAGCUAGCCACCACGCCAACCCAACUGCGCGCGUGGGGCGGUGGAAUAAUCGAAUUCACGUGGUGCUUACGCCUCUGCGAAUCGCCGGCGCUCGGCCAGCUCCGCGUCCGCGAAGAAGGCCUCUAUCUCGGUUUCCGUCGGCGGCGGUGGCGGCGACGGCGACGGCGACGGCGUCUGGCUGGCGACGCCGCCGACGACGCGGCAGCCGCACUCGUCGUUCUCGUGUUUAUUCGCCUUAUUCACUUUCGCCACGCCCGCGCCGUCGUCGCAGUCGCCGGCCAUCGUCGCAGACGCCUCCUCCUCGUGCUGCUGGCCGAGCCCGUCGUCGGCGCAGAGCUGCUGCUGGCGGGCACCGACACCGAGCACCCGGCCACGGGGGCUCCGCGCGUCGGCCUCGCCCUCGCCCCUGUGGCGCCGGGGGCUGCCGCCGUACGCGCUCUCCUUGGCGCCGCACCACCGCCGGAGGCCUGCCCCGCGGUGGCGCCGCGGCCUGCUUCUCGUCCUCGGGCUGCACGCCGCCGACGCCUCCGACGGCGGCACGCGGCGCCCGCUGCACAGCGUGAGGCACGACGCCGCCGCGGCGGCGGCGGCGCGCGGCUUGCUGCUGCCGCGGAUCCUCACGCACUUGCCCAUCGAUCACGCGCGGCCGGUUGCGCUGCUGGUGUGCCUCUGCCGCUCUGCGUGUGGUGCGGUGCCGUGGCAGCCGCGGACACUGGCUAGCUGCCGGCGGCUUAAUUUGUACUGGCGGAUGGCGCUUCCGCUACAGUGUGCCUCACAUAUCAAGGCUCGCCACGUCACGGUAGUGACGGCCCUAGACCUUUUUAUUUCAUAUACGUACAAUUCAUUUAUAUGUAAUUUUAUAGUCCAUUCGGUAAAUAGAUAUAAAAUAAGCUGCCAAAUAGUCCGAACAUGUUAUAAAUGGAUAUAAAGAUUACAAUAAUAUUACUUGGUCUACGCAACGGCAUGAAAGUCUCAAUUAUAUAUGUUUUCUUCAUCCAUUUCAAAACAAAAUCCCUCUCUCAAUGUAUGUAACAAGACAAUCACCCCCAACGACUAUCACCAUCUUAUUUCUCAAUUUAAUUUUCACUAAACUCAUUACUGGAAAUGCAUUUUCAACACUUGUUCUUGCCACUGGCGAAAGUAGCACCAAUUUGAGAAGCAAGUAAACCAUAUAAAAAACUUAUAUUUCUUUGUUUCAACAAGCUUAACUGAGAGGCACACAAAAUUUGUUGACUUUGAAUCUAUCAUCUUCUCUUAUGCCAUAAGUAUAAUUGUCAAGUUUUAACAAGUUAGUGCUUGAACUAGAUCAACAAUAUGACUGACGUAGGCUUGGAGCAGGCGAGGCAGUUAGGGCAAGGUUGACUCGGUGUUGGCAAAGAAGGCCUGACAUGGCAUUGCCGGGGUACGACCUACCGAGGGAAGGCAAGGCAAGAUGGGGUGGGCUACUCAACAUGGUGUUGGUAGGGUACAACUGACCAGGGGAGGUCGAGCAGGCCUAACACAACAUUGGUGGAGCGUGGUCGGUCGGUGGUGGGGCGCAAUCGAUCGGGGGAGGGCAAGGUGAGGCUGGCGUGGGUUGGGCAUGACUUUUCGAUGAGGUUGGUGCUAGUGAGGUGCGACCAGAGUUGAAGGAGACGGAGGCGUCGAUAGAAGAGGAAGCGACAGAAUCAAAGAAAGAAAAAGAGUGAACCAGUUUUUGUGUAACUAAUGACAUUAGCGGGUAAUUUUGAGAAUUCUACCAAAUUGGAGCCGGUGAAACACCUCUUGAGGAGCUCCACCAAAAUAGUGAAUCUAGCCCCUAUAGGGGUUUAGGGUUUAGCCCCUAUUUGUGUAGACACUCGGCAAAGGCUCCGACACCGUUACCUGGCGUCGUGACGACGACUUUUCUUUGUCGAGUGUCUCGUGGCAUACGGCAAAGCCUUUGCUGAGUGGCCGACAAAAAGUACUCGGCAAAGAAGCAGCUACCGAUAUACAGUUCGUUGAGACUUCUUUUCGCAAGUAUUUUCUAGGCUGAAGCACUCGGCAAAGUAGCUAUGUCUGGUAAUGCUAGAUUUAAUAAUUUGGUGAAUCUACAUUUGUGAAUGUGAACUAUUUGGCUAACUUUUCAUAAAGUGGAGCUGUUUUUGUGAAUCUGGAGCUGCUGGGGAGCCCCUAAACAUUCUAAUACUGGUAUUGUAUUAUGUAUAAUGGGAGGGGCCCAUGAGUGUUGGUGGAGUAUCCUCCGCGCCCCAUUAAUUUAGUGAAUCAGAAUUACGGUGAGCUGAAAGUGUUUGGUUAGAUGAAUUAAAUCCAAAUACGUUUUUAAUGAAUCGUAAGCUCUACUAAACUCGCUAUCCCACUCCCUAUAUAUUUUAAACUCUACUAUACAAACAGUAUAAUUUAUAGUGCAAAAUAAUACUUUACUUUGUAUGAUCAUUUACACAAUGUAUAGACGUAUAAUAGCAGAGGCUCCUGGUUUUGUCUGGCUCCAUCCUGCGGGUCUAUAUAUAAGUAUAUUUGAUCCCAACUCCAGAGUCCAGAAUCACAAUGCAUGGGGCCGUUUGGUCGGGUCGUCACUCAUCACCACUCACUGGCUAUAUAUAUGACAUCGUCCUAGUAUCGUACAACUACUGUAAACAUGGUGUCCCUGCCCGCGGUAACCGGAUACCGAGGCACGCGAAAGCACACGCGAGGUCACGAGCACUGUCGUCAUGUUCUUCACGGUUCACCAAGCAGAUCCAUCUCUGAUGCAUGCCUGCCAUCGAAUGAUCGACGAUACAGUGCUGCUUGCUAGCUAGCUGCAGCAGCGACGCUAUAGUAGCUAUCUAGCCAUGGCCCCUACUAGCCCCCUUGUCUACGCCAGUGAUCACGCUCUUGCAUCAAAGUGUGGAGCUCUUACUUGGUAGUAGUAGUAGCAGGUUAAGGUGCACUGAUGACUGUGACUGGCAUGCAUGAAAUGAAGCAAAGCGGCGGCCGGCAAGUGAAAGUGAACUAAUAAGUAAUAACCAAAGCAGCAGCAUGCGCUGAUCAGGCAUUCAGCUACUACCAGCAAAGUUGGCCGGCCGUUGUAUUAACCUGAGGCGACGAUCGAGGUAGAUAGCUAGCUAGCUAGCCUUAUGCAUGCAUAUGGCCGCCAUUAUUAUCAUAAGCCUCUGCCGCAUUGGAGAGAGCCAAAUGAAGAAGGGCUUUGUCACAGCUGGGAAGAAUCUAAUGAUCACCGGCAAAUUAAAGCCAGCUGAGAGAGAGCCCAAAGUGCAUUUUGCUAUAGCUGCCUUGCUCAACAACGCUUAGACACCCAAGGCUGUCUCCUGCAACUUACCUCACCCAUUUUCCAUCAUAUCUCCUAUUUCAAAUUUCAUUCAUUUCAAAUUCCAUUCUAUAUAUUGUGUAGUUUACAGUACAAAACAAUGAACGAUCUUCUGUAAACAGCCUAAUAAGCACGUUCGGAUGACGAAUUCAGCCUUAUUUUCGGCCAGUUUUUUUUGGCGGCCAGAAACCGCCGAAAAUAAGCCACUUGCCGCCGAAAAUGACUGUACCUGUUGUAGUGCACCAGAACCAAUAGCAACUUAAUUAUUAAGGCCUGUAGACUGGCACAGUAUAUAUCGAGUCAGAGUUAUUAAGGCCCUGUAGACUGGCCUGUAGAAACUGGUUUUGGAGUUUACCAUAAGACAAGAUGAUGCUAAGCAGAAAAGGGACACGAGCCCUAAGCGCCACAAAGAAUCUAGUAGUAGGUUGAUAGAUUCUGACGAGUGAGUGAUCGAGUAGGCUGCACUGCAGUACCAGAGGUCGUUCAGGCUUUUGGAACUCGGUCCCAGCUCCAGCUACUACAGGCACAGUCUUCUCCGGCCCUCUCCCUCCAUUUAUUAGGUCGGCUAUCUUACCGCUACUACAGUGGAGUGGAUUGUUGUUUUAUCCAAGAUCGGUCUGGAAAGCAAUAAUAUAAUGCAUGCUGCCCUAGUUUAGUUUUACUGAGAGCCCGAGAGACCCCAGCGAGAAGGAUCUUUACCGAGGCCCGAGAAAUUAAAGAAAGCACCCGCCAGUUCGUUCUCGUCCUCGUCGUCGUCCUCCGCCGAGCGUAUCUGAUCAUCUCCCCGGCCCUCGCCCUUGCUCUUCUCUUCAGAUCAAAGCUGCCGCGCCUAUUUAUUUUUAUCCUUCUUAUCAGUAGCAGUAGUAAUGAGAAUGCACAGAAAGAGAGGAGUAAAAACCUGCGGCAGUUACGAACUGGCAGUGCAUGCAUGAGAGCUUUAAUUAGCUGCACUGAAAAGCAUGCAGAUGAAGAUGAGAGCUGCUGGGGAAGAAUAGUCAGAAGUCUGGUAUCUGAUUCUUGGGGGAUGCAAAUUGCUAGAGAUGUUCCUAAAACAUCCGACUUGUAUCACAAAUCUAAUAUUUUAGUAUAGAUAUAUAUAGAAUUUAAAGUUAAUUUUUUUGCAAUGUUAUUAAGAAUAUUAUGAAGUAUUUAAAUAAAUUUUUAUAUAAUUUUUUAUGUAUAUUAUUUUCUCCUUACAACAAAAAAGGUGAAAAAACAUCUGAAUCCGUAUUCGAAUAGACAUCCGAAGUUUAUAUCAAUUAUUUAAAAAUAUAUAGAAUGAAUUUAAUGUUUAUUUUUUUGAAGAUUAAUAGCCUCAAUGCUAAAAACAAGAAUAUAAAUUUACAUAGCAAAUUCUAUAUGUUAUUUAUUCAUAAUCGAAGAAAGAAGACAAAAAAUUUGACAUCCGGAUCAAUCCCUACAAAUUGCAAUCAAUCAGGAUUCAGGACCACAAAAAAAGCCUGAACACAAAAGAGCAAAAGUACAUUUUGCCUCCUAGUAGACACUAGCAGAUCGAGGUGAUAUAUAUGCUCCUUAGCAAAGUUUUUAAGUUGUUGAGUCGGCUUGAGUCGCCAAAGCACCGAUGAGUCGACUCAACUAACAUACCGGUCGACUCAAACGACUAAUCGAUAAUAAGUUGUUCGUCUAGUCGUCUAAGUCGUCUAGACCCUAAUAAAACAAUAUAAGACGGUUUGCUCCGUUUUUUUGUAUGUAAAAAUAUACUGUCCAAGUACAGUUUAAAACGCAUAAGAAAGUGACUUACUUACUUGAAAUGAUGCUCAUAAGCCCUUCGCCCCCAAUGGCUAUGGUUUCCACGUAUGACUUACUUGUCCAAUAGAUCUGUAGUAUGCCAAUGUUUCCAUCCCAAGUGCCUUGGGACGAUGUAGGCCAUUGGAUAGCAACUAGGGUAGGGCUACAAGUGGAACCAAAGGAGUUGAGACAUACACAACAUGAAAAGGAGGAAAAUCCGAUUGCCAGACUUAUGUCGGACGGCUGCCUCGACCACAUCGGAUAUAACCUAAUGUCUGAGGGUUUUAAGGGCCGCCAGACUUAAGGAUACAUCCGACGGUUGACGCACUAGGCGUCGGACAUAAGCUUUAUGUCUGACGGCUAUCUGCAUAUAGUCGUUGGCGAUAAGGUCGUAAUGUCCGAUGGCCUCCAUACGGGCCGUCGAACCUCAACUUAUGGAAUCCACUAGGCGUCGUCGUUACGACCGUCAACGGCUUUAAAAACCGAAGGCCCUACAUAUAGCUUAUAUCCGAUGGUAACCGUCAAAAAUAGCCGACCUUUUACAAUCGAUAGACACUUACCAUCGGACAUAAGGCUUAGCCCGUCCCAAAUAUUUAUGUCUCGCUUACAUCCGAGGGCUUAGGCCAUCGGAAAUUUCUAAGUUUACUAUUGUUAUAUUUGGUAUACUAUACAAGAACGGUUGCCAUGUAACCGAGGCUUAUAUAAACAUGCAAGCGAGCCUAGCUAUUAAGCCUUCAGAUCAUAAUCUAACAAUCAUAUGUUAUAUUUAACACUUAAACUCGUAUCACCAGCUUACACAGCUCUAUAAUAGAAAAUCCUUCAAACUAUGGUUGCAUUUACGGUUGGUGUUCAUGAUCUAAACUCUCGCUUGUACGGACAAGUGUAAAACAGUGGGCCAGCUUCCGCUAAAAAGAAGGGCCGCUCGCUAGUCACUACUGACACUCAAGACUGAACUCUUAACGAUUCAAAAGCUCCCAAGAUGCAACCCGCCGAUGGAUUGGAGGCAGGCUUUUCCGGACGGCAUUAUUGCACACGAUGUGGUAACGCAUGUCCUCUCUCCUUCCUGCAUGCUGAAACAGCUAGAGAACUCUGAGGUCUGAGCUGAUGGAUGCGACGGUGAGGGAGCCCAUCGAACAUCAUCAUGCCGCGCGCUGAAGAACGACUUCACUUUCCUGCGGCGUGGCAUGUGCAGUGGGGGUCGGCCGGAACGCCUGCUAGCUAGGGAUCAGAUGGACAGACAGGUCAUGGAGCACUUGUGCAUGCACUGACUGGGAAUGGAGAUGGUUUGCUUGCCCGCAAUAAUCUGCGAAAGGCCCAAAGUCACAUGCCAUCCAUCGAGCUCCAGCUCCAGCGCUGGAUCAGAACAAGAUCCUGUGACCUCGACCGACCUGAACAGUGCAGUAUGCUGGGGCAGGGGGGCAUUAGAAACUUGAAACUGAAAGACGGGCCCGGCCGUUCUCUGAAUCUCCGGCCCAAAAGGCCUAUAACCCGCAAUAUAUAAAAGCACAUAAUAGCAUGGUAACACUAUCAAUUUCAAGACUAGAUCAUCUCAUCCGUGUAUCCUACAGAAGAUAUCCAAUGAGCAGUCGAGGCUAUAACCUACAAUGGCUUUAAGAUCUUCUUUCCUUCCAAAAGGUUGAAUCUAGCAGCUUACCUACCACCAUCCGUUCUAUUGCCCCACAUCAUCCAACCGUGCAUGCCCUCUCUCCCGAUAUCCGGCUCGCCCCUACCCACGCAUGGCGUAACCACCCUAGCUAGCCACCCAUUCCGCGUCCGCUGCUCCUUUAACAGAAAAUAUUUAUCUUUACUAUUAUAUAAUAUAGGAGUUUGGUCGGUUUCUUCGUGUGUCACUGCGCUCCCGCGCGAGCAUCCCAGGCCUCCCCGCGCGUGUUUGCGUCUACAUCAAAAUUCAAGACAUGCAACAAAAAUAUUAAGUAAGAGUAGGGAUCGAACCAACGCCCUCUACCACAACAACACUUGUAUAAUUGUAUUAAAAUAAGAGAGACUGGUAUCAUUAAUAUAUGAAUUAAUAACUAGAAAAUUUAAAAUAUAAUCACACAUGAUAUAUAGAAACCGCCGUAGCCAUGUACCAGCAAUAUGGAUAAAUUCUCGGACUCAUCUACAACUUUUCAUAUGGAUGUGGGGUUUAAGUGGUAAAAAUAACAAAAAUUAUGCACAAUUGUUGCCUCUAAACCCACGUUCACAUCCACAUUGCCACGAGAACACAUGUUUUUAUGCUUUAUACUCUAUAUUCAAGUAUACUAUAGAGAUUUUGUAGACAAACAACGAAAUAAUAAAAUAGGGCCAAGUCAUGUUGUGUUCGGGUCGACCAAAACCUUGUCGGGCCACAGGCCACUCAUCAGGCCUAGUUUAUCUGGACAUGUAUACUCGUACGCCAGUGUUGCGCCCGCGUAGUCAGAUAACAUUAAUUCCAUUCGAGUAAGGUCUACCUUAAGUGUACUAUACAGCCUACAACAGUGUAAAGCGGUGUUUUGUACGACCACAUACGUGAUCCACUGGAGAUAGCCUAAACCAUCCUAGCCGUGUCCUAAUUUUUUAUGACACUCGACAAUCCACAUAAAUCAAUCACUACUACUACUUUCUUUGCCCAGUGUGGCAGGUGUGAAAAAAAAGGCAAUCAGUAAACCGAGUGUCCAACGCUUUGGCAACUGUUCAACGCUAAGCAAAAUGUUCUUUGCCGAGUAUCAGAAUGUUCUAAGUAUGUGACACUCGACAAUCCACAUAUUUGCCGAGUGUCGUGUUUUGCCGAGUACGACACUAAACAAACAAUGUUUUUGCCGUGUGCCCGACAUUUUACACUCCGCAAAUGUUUUAACACUCGACAAAAAUGUUUUUUUGAUGUGGUAACACAUGAUUUUGCCUGCUAGCUAGGGAUCAGAUGGACAGACAGGUCAUGGAGCACUUGUGCAUGCACUGGGAAUGGAGACGGUUUGCUUGCCCGCAAUAAUCUGCGAAAGGCCCAAAGUCACAUGCCAUCCAUCGAGCUCCAGCUCCAGCUGGAUCAGAACCAGAUCCUGCUGUGACCUCGACCGACCUGAACAGUGCAGUAUGCUGGGGCAGGGGGGCAUUAGAAACUUGAAACUGAAAGACGGGCCCGGCCGUUCUCUGAAUCUCCGGCCCAAACGCACUUGCAGGGACUUUCCAUAGAAUCCCCCACCCACCCACACACACACAAAAAACCCAGAGCUAGUGAUAGGAGACUGUUUAAUUUGGGCAUUAUAUAUAUUGAUAUGUUAAAACGUUUGAACUUUAUUUCAGGGCACUAUGUUCCUCAGCUAUCCCAGCUUGUGUACAGGAGGAACAUCGGUGUAGAGUGUAGACAAGCCUAUCAUUAACUUCAAAGGUUUCAUGGUAGAGAUAGCUAGCAUAUGCAUGAUCAUCAAAAACUGAUGAAAUUCACACGAACAUUAGUUCCCAUUUCAUCAUUCAGAACCUGACGAGUCAAAUGGUUUGGAAAUGGAAAAGAAUCCACCAUGAACGUAUAUAUUGGUAUACUGAUCCAUUAUUCCAAUCGUUCCAGGUCGGCAACGGCCUGACCGACGACCGCACCGACAUGACGGGCAUGUUCGAGUACUUGUGGCACCACGGCCUCACCUCCGACGAGACCCUGGUGAGCGCUGGAGGCGUGCCCGGGGACCUCCCUGAUCCACCCCUCGCCGGCGUGCAAGGAGGUGUGGGACGUGGCCACCAGGGAGCAAGGCAAACAUCGACGGCUACAGCAUCUACACGCCGCGCGCCGUGCGAGAAGGGAACCCCGUACGCGUACGAGCGCAUCUUCGAAAAAGGAGCCGCCGCGUAAGCCGUUCAACCGUUCUUCUUGGUCUCCGGCCAUCAUCAGUCGUUCUGAUAGCUCUACUCUCUCUCUCUUUCUCACCAUGAUUGGAACACACGUAGCACGUUCUCUCGUACGUUCAGCCACUGACGAAGGCUGCCCCGUACGAUACAUGCACCGCCUUCUACUCCACCAGCUACAUGAACCUACCCGACGUGCAGAAGGCCAUGCAUGCCAACGCCAGCGGCUUCAAAGAAUACCCAUGGCACUAUGCAGGUAUGGCUUCAUUUAAUUUCCUUUCGUCCAUAACAUGGCUCGCCUUCUUUGUCGAGUUCUUCAGACACUUGACAAAGACCUUUUUACACUUGCUCCACAAAGGCUUUACCGAGUGUUGCACUCGGUAAAGAGCCCUUUAAGAAAAAGUACCAGCAAAAACCUCUUUGUCGAGUGUGAUGAACCGACACUUAGCAAAAUAAAAAAAAUCACCGUGGUGACAGCUUUGCGGAGAGCCUUGGUCUUGACAAUCGACAAACCAUGUGCCUUUGCUGAGUGCUUUGGUCCUGACACUCGUCAAAACUUGUGCCUUUACCGAGUGCUAUAUUUGCCGGCAAAGCAAGUUUCUAGGUGGUCAAGUCUGGUCACUUUAUCGAGUGUCAUGAACAUUGCACUCGGCGAAGUCAUAUUUUAUACACAUAUAUUUAUUCAUAUAAUCCUGGCCGGCUAACUAAACCCAUAUAUAUUAUUGUUUAUCCAUGUACAUAUACUCCCUCCGUUUCUUUUUAUUUGUCGCUGGAUAGUGUAAUUUUGCACUACCCAGCGACAAAUAAAAAGAAACGGAGGGAGUAUACUGUAGCAUGCCCAUAUACGAUAACUGGACGACGUACGAUCCCAUCGUUUCCAUGCUGCUCAUCUACAAGCUAGGAGCUCAUUGGAGCUGGCCUCAAGAUCUGGGUUUUCAGGUAUAUAUAUAGACACCGUAUCUUAUGAGCAAGGAGCCCUGCUGCUCCCAUGAGCAAAAUCAAUCCAGACCACACCCUCCACAUCCAACGGUGCUGCGUCAGGGGGUUUUUUAUAAAAUGUACAGAGUUGCAAAGAACAUUUUACAAAACCCCCUGACACAGCACCGUUGGAUGUGGAGGGUGUGGUCUGGAUUGAUUUUGCUCAUGGGAGCACCAACGCUCCUUGACACGAAACUCUCUGAACAAAGCCAUAUAUAUAUUAUGGCUUUGUUCAGAGAGUUUCGUGUCAAUUUAUGUACAAGAAACUAACUAAAACACAUGUUUUUUCUUCUUCUUUUCGUCUGCAUGCAAUUGCACAGUGGUGACACGGACACUGCGGUGCCGCUGAGCGCGACCAGGCGCUAGCAGCUCUCUCGCCGCCCUGCCCUGGGCCUUCCCGUAAAGACCAGUUGGUACCCCUGGUACAUCGUCGUGGCGACCGAGGUUGGCGGCUGGAGCAUGGAGUACGACGAAGGGCUGAGCCUGCUUGGUCACCGUCCGCGGCGCCGGGCACGAGGUCCCGCUGCACCACCGCCCGGAGCAGGCGCUCUUCGUGUUCCAGCAAUUCCUGCUGGGCGAACCCAUGCCGGCCGAGGUGAUCGAUCAGGGUUGAUUUGGUGACAAGGGAAUCACGGGAGGAUUGGAGAUGAUUGAGGGGGAAAUGAACUAAUUUCCCCCUCAAUUCCCUACAAUCCUUUCGGAAUCCCGGGUCACCAAAUCAGCUCUCAGUGUUUUUUUUUCAGCGUACUGUGUUAGCUCCACACUGAUCUGAAACAUAGGUAACGAACCAGCUGCUCAUGGAAUUUGUGAACUGAUGAAAGCUGGUGUUGGUUUUUCAGGCAAAGAAUGGCAGCAGCCUCAUCCUCCUUCCUGCUUCCUCCCAGUGAGAAGAGACCGCCUGCUGAUACGAUGGAUCUGAUCAACCAGAUAAGGUUCAUUCCACGAUCGACCGCUGAAUAAAAGCUACUAUGAAUUGAACUAGUGGUUGGCGCACGCUCUGCGCGCGUAAUUUUUUAUUGUAGGAUACUUUUAUAUGAGGAAGGGAUAUAACCAAACUUGAAUUAUAACAAUAUACAAUUAGUAGUCUUCGUGAUAAAGAAAGUUUGAAAACAACAAAAUGGAUCAUUGAAAAAUAUGUGGAAAAAAAUAUUAGUUGAACGUGUCUACAGCCAAAUAAGCCUUUACCAGCAUAAUACCUGUUUUUCAAAAAAAAAUUGUUUUUGUGCCACGAGGUUCGGCGGCUGUUGCUACGAAGGUUCUAGGAGCAUUACAGACACGAUACAUGCACAAGACAGUAGUGAACAUUGUAAAAAAGACAACAGUUAUAUGUUACAAUGAGUUGCUCACAAUUUGAGUUUAAUGAAGCACUUCAAUUCUGAUUGGUGACAUUGAUGUUCAUCUGUGAUAUGCUUAUUAUACUAGAGAGUGGUGGCCCAAACACUAACAUAGGCUGAUGGGCACAUUGACUUUCAGUUAAAUGUGGCUACAUGUUAACAACAUAGGAAGGGUUUUAAAGAGAAGUUCCAGGAUAAGAACUGUGCUGAAACAUUGAACUUUAGAUUGAACAUUCGUGAUUAAAGUGCUCAAAGCAUUGACUUUUCAAGUCCUGUAUCAUUCGCCUCAAUCUCCAUCCACAAUAGAAUUACACAUACUGAUCUCAGAUGGAGCGCUUAUGGUAAAAUCAUAUAUCUGAAUAUACUGUUGCAAGGUCAUCAUAAAAAAGGAAGUCUGCAUUAUAGGAGACAGGUCGGUAUGCAUGUGUGGCAAGUUCUAAAACAUAACUCCAGCUAGCAUGCAUGCUGAUUUAUCAAUACUGGCAUGUGCAUCUGCUAACCUCUGGGCACGGCGUCUCGGCGGGCGACGAGGGGGUAGCGAAGUCAGGCGUACACGACGCUGGAGGAGCCCAAGCGAAGUCUCCAGCGCAUCCGCCGCCGCUGCUUCAGCACGACCUCCUUGCCGAACCCCACCACACGCUCCAUGGUGACCUUGUUCCGCUCACAGAGAGGGGCGUAAAACACUGAAGGAACUGAUAGCUAUUGGUCAUAGCCUGGUUUCUCCUCCUUGGGGUUGUGGGCACGUGAAGUCUGUGGCCAAGAAUGAAACUAAAAAGAACAGGAGGCUUCCCAGGUGUCCAGGACAAGAUGGGAUGGGGAGCGAUGCGGGGAGCCAGGGAGGGAGCGAGUCACAACGAAAGAGCGAUGGGGAGCAGCGGGAGAGAGGGCGGGCGGACGACACCAGGUUCGACCGGAGAUUCGUAUGGUCCAAGAGCGCGGAGACGACGAUGGGAAUGAAGACUCGCCGUUUUUCAUGGAGGUCGUCGCCCUGUGGAAGCUAUCACCCAAGAGAGUUCUGGAGACAUCGUGUCGUGUGUACUGUGUGGAGUGGAGGCAAUGAAACGACUCGAAGUCGACGAUGUGUUCGCGUGUCCAUUGAUUGCAGAGCGAUGUUUCGAAAAGCAGCAGGGUCACGUGGUUGCAGCGCACAAUAGCAUCAGACCGAAAGAGGUGGUUGCCAUCGGCCACUGAUUCUAGGUGGUUGCCAUCGGCCACUGAUUCUGGAUCGAAUGGCGAAGAUAAAAUAAAGUGACGUGGACGUUGGAGAGAAGCCGUUUUGAACCGGCUUUAAAGUAUAGAAAUGAAUAUAACAGCUUACGGCUGUGGUAGAAAUGUACCUGGAAUAAAAGCAGGAGUGCCUUGUUUCUUCUGAAAAGCAAGCUUUGAAUGAAUACAAGCUGCAGCAUAGAUGUACGUGGAAUAAAAGCAAGCCAAUUGUUGUAUGAACCGUUGUUGGCCGGCCCUCUGACGAUUAGGCUCGUCCGAGUUUAUUAAGCUAGCUUGUUAAGUCAAUGAGCUGGCUUGGUUCAGCUUAUUAAACUAACGAGCUAUAGAGUUAGCUCGGCUCAUUUACAAGCUCGAGCUGGCUCGUUUAGCUCGUGAGUCAAAAUAGAAAAAAAAAACAAAUAUAUAUUCUAGUUAAUUUCAAACUAACUUAACAAUAGAAAAUAGUAAUUAUACUCAUAGUUUCAUAAACCACAACAAGGUAGCAUCAGAUUAACACAAACUUAUCAAUUUAUAAUUCACACACACGUUCAUCAGUUUAACCCAUAAAUUAUAUUCGUAUAGACCAAUUUAACACAUAGAUACAGUCUAUCAAUCAUUAGUUUAACUCAUUAAAUUAUAUUUGUGGCCUUUUCCAUUCCUCUCCGGACCCGAAACCACAGCCCACUAUAUGGCACAGAGCCUUGCUUUGCAGCCCCAUGGGCGGGCUUAAUAGGACGGUUCGUUUCAAAAUCCAGAGUACAACCCCCUUAUCUGUCUGUUCGUGUUCGGUUGAUGAAUAGGUGCAGUGCCAGUGCCCCGGUGAAAUAUGUAAACCAAGACAGUGAAACUCUCCUUGGCACAUCAUCUUUCUUCCACUGCCCGUUUUGCGCGCCAAAUUUCGGAGCUGCGUGCAUCGGAUUCUCUAUCGUCGCUGAUGAUCUGGGCACCACCGUACCCCAGGCCCUGCCAACACAUCAUCAGUCGCCCCUGAUCGCCUUCCGGGGGUGCUGCAGAAUUCAACUCCUUCGUCCUCCUCCUCCUAUGCUGCUGCUGCUGCUGCUGCUGCUGGUGGUGGUGGCAACUGUGGAAACGCAGAAAUGGUGUCGUCGUCUUCGGACUGCAGGAUCAUGCCACUAGCUCUUGCGGCCCCCUUUUUGCAUUCAUGCGAAUCUGAAGCAAAAGCUUGCGCGUACAGGCACAACAGGGAAAGAGGCACAAGUAUUAGGUGCUCGGUUGUUGGUGUUUUCUAAUCCUAUUAUGUAAUCUCAUCAGCUUCGUUCGUCCUCCCUGUAGUUCGGAUACUCUAGUAUUGAAGUGGUUUAGAAGGAUUGAAAAGUGUAUAAAUCUCUAAUAAAUUAAAAACUCCCACAAUACAUCUCAAUCCACUCUAAUCCCUUUUCAUUACUAGAGUAUCCAAACUAGGCCGUAGGUUACUAUAAACUCUAGCUGCCUUACUAUAAUGAAAAUCAGGUGGGAAUCCUCACCACAGUCUUAAAAAAAAUCCAUAGUGCCGAUGACAGUCUAAAAAGUAAAUGAUGGAUUUUAAAAACUAUUUGCAAGAAAAAAUAUUUAGACAAAAAAAAAAACAACCCGUGCUAUUUUUGUGGGCCAAGGCCAGCUCAUGGUACUCCUACAGUUCAGUGUAUCUUGCCGCUAACUCUCAAGUCUGAACCCACAGCGUCACUGCAUGUGUGCAGCAUGUGUUUCUCGAUAUGUGUCAUGCUUCCCUGGUAAAAAGGCUUGCACGCUGGUACCUGCUUUUUUUUUGUCGGAACACAGGCGGGACAGGUCCAUUGAUGUCUAACAAUCGCGGUCCCAUAUCUACAUAUAUCUAUUUAUUAUACCAUCCUAUAAUACACCAGUUUAAAUUUUACAAAACUCACUCAACCAAAUCAAUCUCACCCUCAUAGUCUUCAAUAAAUUCACAAAAUAUACGUAGACUUAACAUACCAUCAAAAUCAACGGUUCAUAAGCUAGAUAACCACAUCUCCCGUACCGACUUAAAUCCAAUCGACAAUAUUAUUUGAAUUAUUCAUCUUCCCCCACUCUUCCCCUCCCCUUCGACCCCCACUACCCCCAUCCUCUCCCUCCCCAUGUCCCUGCCGCCGUCGCCAACCCCUCCCUCGCGUCGCCACCGCGUAGAAAUUAUAGUGUUAGCGCCUUAGCGGGCUAUAUGCUAGUAUAUAUAACACAUGUUCUAAGAUUCCUCACUCUCUCAAGUCUCAAGUGUCAAGAAAAGCAUUGGUGUGGUGGACAUGGGCCAGGAAGUCACACAAAACCUAGUGAAGUUUUUUUUAAGAUAAAGGGAACAAUAUUCAGAGAUCCCUAUAUAUAUUUCUUUCGAGAGUGGCCAUAUCUUAGUUUUUUUUGCUGUUGUUCAGUUUAGCCUUGCGACAAAUUCAUCAUUGCACGCGCGCUUUAGCUAGCAAGGCUCAUUGGUUUGUUCACGUGGUAGGCGAGGUUGAGGCCUCGGUUGCCGCCAGCACUGAUGCUCGAGACCCCCCCCCCUCAACGAUGGUGAUGGUAGUGCCAUUUACUCUACAAGACCACAAGCACCCUAUCACAAUCCUAGAUUGACGCUCCUCUCCAAUCUCAAGCCGCAGUUUCCUGAUUCUGCCGAUUCACUCUCCCUUCCAAUGUUCUCCACUAAAGACCUGUUCAGUUACAUGGGACCCAAGAAGAUUGAAUAGAUUAAAUCUCUUACUAUCUAAUUUUAACUAAAAAGAGAUUUAAUACCCUCUAAUCCUCUCUUAACCGAACAAACCUUAACCGGGACUUCCCUCAAUCCCUCUCACUUCUAGUCUUCUUCACUGGUCAUCACUUCCCUCUCUAUAUUCUUUCCCACAAGUUACCACCCUCGUCUCUCAUUGGGGACCAAGAGUUUGGGAUCGAGUGUGUUCGCAACUUCAAUCCCCUUGAAAGGAUCAAGAUGUCCAAGAGGAAAGGUGGCGGGGGUUCUCAAUUUUCUUACAUACAUUAAAUCCUAAGCUCAAGCCUAUACUUCACCUCAAGUGCCUAAUGAUGUGAUAAAUAUUUUUGCACUCUAAUGUCCAAUCUUAUACUAGCAUUGCAAUUCUAAUGAUGUCAAAGCUUGAAUUGAAUUUCUACACAUAAAUGUAUAAACUAAAUAAAUGAUUAAAAGAUUCCUUGAUAUUUCGCUGAGGUCUUGGAGAGUCAGUACUUCCCACUAAUACUUAUAGGAGCACCCAUGCAAGGGUGUCGCUCUCUGUUGUUAGUGCAAGGACCAACCGCUCUCUACGAGCUAGAUUUUCGUCGCUCUAGUAUGGUGAACCACUAACAACUAUGUUCAUCUAAGCCCAAGGAGUCGAAAAGGUUACACGUUGCUGAGUUUGUUUUGCCUGCUAAGGCCAAAUCUUUUGCUCGCUCUCACCCGCACUUGACACAAAAAGGGAAAGUUAAGUUCACAUUUAAUAUUGCUAAAUGUAAUAAAAUAUUUGAUGAGCUACUUAAGCUUGGUAAUAUUAAAUUGUCACAUACAAUUCCUCUAGUUGAAGAAUUAAAAGGGUGUGUGUAUUGUAAAUGACAUGACUCCUUUAUCCAUAACACUAACGAUUCUGUUGUUUUCCGUUGGCAAAUACAACCGGAUAUAAAUGAAGGUCGGUUGAGAUUUCAAGAGGUGAAGAUUGACAGGCCACCUGUCCCUGUCACCACAUUAGAGCCAACGAGAAAAAAGUCUUAGUUCGGCCAUGUGCGACUGAUAAAAGGAAAGAUAAAAAUAUCGUCAUUGGGGAUCUUCGCACGCAAAAUAUGUCACGCAGAGUGGUUAAUUGAAAGGGUCCGAACAAAAGAAAGACCGGAGGCGCUGGGGGCAAGCACGAUCAGACACCCGAUCACGGUCUCUUGUCCUGCGUACGUCGGACGGUCCGGACACUAAGGCCGAAAAAGUCCGGGACAGGCGCGGACAGUCCGGCUAUAAAGGCCGGACGAUCCGCAGACGACCAGAAGUAGCAGUGACCUCAGACCAUUAGACCACAAUGUCAUAAAACAAGUACUAGGAAGCAAAACACUUUCGAGACGUCUGGCCGACUCAGCAGAGUCGGCCCUACUUUUGAUCUUGCUAAAUAUAUGAAGAAGAAGGUCGUUCCACACAAUCAGUAAAUAAAACAAACGAAGUAAAAAAUGCGAUCUGUGCGAAAGCAAAAGCCGACUAAACCAGCCCAAAAAGUGGUGCAAUCAAGAUUACUUGGUCAUCCUCCUCUAGGGAUGUCAUGGUGCUUUUCAGUCUAUUCAUCGCUGAUGUGUUGUCAAACUCAAGUUUGGGGCGGUACGACGAUGAAUCUGUAUUAAUGGCCCAAUCUAUUUACUUAUUCGGGUUGGAGGACACCACAAGUUUUUGCCUAUUGACAUGUUGAUCAGGUAGACAAGGCCGAAGAGGAUGCAAUCCAAAACGGUCUAUAUGCAUCAAAGUUUUAUCAAAUAUUUAUAUUAUCUGAUCACAAGAGCUGAUGACUUGCAUCGAGCUGAGUCCUUACUUAGGGAACAAAACAAUCAUGGGAUCUAUUGUUUCCAAAGUGUGAUGGGGCUUUUGGUUCCCCAAGCUCCACCAAAAGGCAGGAGGCAUGCUUGAACGCCAACAGUAGCGGACGGCCCUGCCCUAGGCCCCGAACGGUCCGCGCCCCCGUGAUCAGAUUAACUCGGACGAUUAUCCUUAUCUCGUGCAUGGUUAUCCAUCUAAUCACGUGAGAUUUGUUAGCUAUCACCUAGGAACGUGUCCAGACCUUCCCUCUCUAUAUAUGAAGGGUACGACCGAUUGAGAACCCCCGAACACAUUCCAAUCGAACCAAUUACUUUCUUUAUCAUUCCUGCCCUAGGAGUAGAUGUAGCAUAGCUUAGUUAUAUAUUUCCGUAUAUCCACCUCCACCCCUAUUCGACUCUACGUCGUUUAGAUCCAUCAUGGCUGGCCUACUAACCCCAAGACGACCCUAGGAUCUUACAUCUCCAAGGGGCAAGAUCUGGUUAUCAAUCUAAGAGAUCACUUUCUCGAGUUGGUCUAUUAAUUUCUAGGCGAUUCUAUGUCGUCUAAGGACACCCUGGGUGACCUGCCGACCCGGAGCACCCUAAGAUAUCUCCCCUAGGGGGCGAGAUCUAGGUUCCCGCGAGGAAGAAGAUGACCCUGCGCCAUCACGGACCGUCUGGCCCAAAGCGCGGACUGUCCGGUGCGACGCAGGGAACGCGCCGCUCUUGCAUCCAGGUCGUGGACCGUCCACGCCACCGCAGAAAGCACCACCAGGCGGUAGAACACCAGUGAUUGGCGCCUAGAUCAGUGCCAAUAGUAACAUCAUUACACUGGUGUGUUCAUUGUCAAGAGGCCGUCACCGGCGCCGACAAGGGUUUUGCUUUCGUGCCUUCGUUUUUUAGGAAGCAACCAUUGACAUAUGCAUGUGGCGCCACUGCUCGAUGAGACCAACUUGCCAUUCAGAUAAAACAAACUGUUUGUUCUAUAAUCUCUACCACGUUAUCCUGAUCACUUUUGUCACGAUUCUUAAUGUAUAUUUACUUUAUUGUAUUUUAAAUUUAUUGUAUCGUUAGCACCGACACGUUACCUUACUAUUUGUACCCUAAUAAUUAUCAGUUCUUGAAUUCUACGCGAUGCUAAUAUCAAUCAUUGUUGUCCUUUGUUUAAGAUCUGUCGCUAUGUAUAUAUAGCAGUCCUGCAGAUGUGUGUAAUUGCGUUGUAAAAGUUGACAGAUAAAUUUGCAGUCCAUCAUUGUUUUAGGUUUGUCGUUAUCUAAUAAUCUACCACUGUAGAAAAUGAGAUGACAUGCAUGCCAAUCAGUCUGUCCUUUCUUUUAGAUUUAUCGUCGUUGUCUACCAGUACUAUCUCACUGCUAGUUGUCACAACAAGCUUACCACACAAUUAAAUAUUCGCGCGGGUCACCAGUAUAGAUUACACCAAACAUUUGCAAAAGAAAAGAAAAAAAACCGUCUUGAUCUCAAACCGGCCGGGCGAUCGAGAUGGCGAUGAUGUGGACGCUCGACCACAAAUGACGAAGACGCAGGUUGCCUCCUCAGAACGUGUUUCAUACAACUCAUCACAUCCGUUCUUUAAUUUGCAUGUGUUUCAAAUCCUUUUGGCGGAGGGAAUUCGGCACUAAUUUGACUGUAUGCGCCACGUACGUAAUCAAUCAGAUGGUACAUGCGGCGCAGGAUUAAAAAAAAUAUAGUAUCAUAUCAUGCAUGGAUUGUUGUCGUCGUCCUCGACCACAACAUUGCAAUCCAGAAAUGGCGGUGCUUGCAUCACGCCGGAUUAUAUAUUAUUUAGACUAAUCGGCCGCUCAUCUGAAGGAAAUUGUUCUUUUGAUCAUAGCUUAACUUAGAACCACCAGGUAGAACCAGGUUUUAUUGUAAAAUGUCCACGUGUGACUCGUGCAGGCAUUAUCUAGGACUCCCGACGACAAUCCCAACAAAAUAUUAGUAUCCAAAACAAGAGAAUUGUAUGUAACGUCUUAACUUAUACCUCCCUCCGUUCUCGAAUAUUUAUCGUCUCCUAGUUCAUUUUUUUACUAAAACGCGACAAAUAAAAAAGAACGGAGGGAGUAUAUAUAUCGGUAUGUGCUGACGCCGACACUAGUAGAAAAGAGCUCAAAGCCUGCGGCACCCAUAAAUUAUCACUGGCGGUUUCAGUUAUCACGCGCCAGUAAAAAAAACAAGGUGGACCCGACUUAGGAACCGCCAGUGGAAACCCAUUUUCACUGGCGGUUAUCUUAACACAACCGCCAGUGGAAAUAGGGUAUUUCCACUGGCGGUUGGUGUAACAGAACCGCCAGUGGAAACCUAUUUCCACUGGCGGUUGGUGUAACAGAACCGCCAGUGUAAAGACCCUAUUUACACUGGCGGUUGUGUUAAGAUAACCGCCAGUGGAAAUAGGUUUCCACUGGCGGUUUUUCAAACCAACCGCCAGUGAACUGUCUGUUAUAAAAUACCCAUCUUCCCCGCGACAGUGAACUGUAUGCUCGCAGCCAGCUUCCAUUGGAGGCGAUUUUGGAGGUCCAGAUUUCACAAAAAUAUAAGGGGGGAGGUUUUGGUCUUCAUUUCUUGCAAGAAGGUGGAUAAGAAAGGUUGGUUUAUGUUUCUUUGUCAAUUUUUGUUCAUUCUUGCUCAAUUUUAGCCACAUUUUGGAUCUAGGGUUUCACAUGUGAGAGAGAAGAGUAUAGAUAGGUAAUUUUCUCUAUUUUCUCAAAUGAGGUUGCAUAAGAUGGUUAGUUUUUGUCUAUUCCCUCUCUUUUUCAUGUUUAGUUGCUUAAUGAAUGGUGAAUGUGUUGUAUGGAAGAUUAGUUUAAUUAUGUUUCAAUUGUUAGUUAUUGUUUAUUUUUGCUCAAUUUUAACUACAUUUUGAAACUAGGCUUUCACCAUAUGUUAAAGAUAGGUUUGGGUAUUAAUUUUUUUUUGUUUAUUAGUUGCUAGGAAAGUUUGGCUUAUGUUUCUUUUGCCAAAUUUUGUUUAUUUUUCCUCCAUUUUAGCCACAUUUUGGAUAUAGGGUUUCACCAUGUGUUAGAGAUAAAGUAGUUUAACUACUUUUAUUGGAAGAGAUAAAGUAGUCUAACUACAUUUGUAUAUAUACCGAUCAAUAUGUACUGUAUAUAUACAUGCAUGGUAAUCUGACUUUUUAGCAGAUGUCGCACUCCAACGCGUCCUUCACAUUUUAGCCACAUUUUUGGAUAUAGGGUUUCACCAUGUGUUUUAUGUUACUUUUUUACAGGUGGUGAUGGAGAGGACAUCCUGGAUGUAUAACUUAUCAAGGCUAGAUCCAUCAUACAUAUCCGAGGUCCAUAGGUUUAUUGAUGUCGCUACGAACCAUGCUUGGAGAACAAAGACAAAACACAUAUAUUGUCCAUGCAUGGACUGCAAAAAUGCUGCUGUAUUUAAUGACACAGAACAAAUCAUAUCUCAUCUGGUAUGCCGAGGAUUUAUGAAGGAUUACACAAUUUGGACAAAGCAUGGAGAGGGUAGCUCUUCGCCUUAUACGACUGGAAACCCUGAGAACAUCGACGACAGAUUUCAGUUCGUUCACGAGACACACCAACCUCUUCCACAGAGCGAACAUGUAGUGCAAAAUGUUACUGAUCAUGGUUACGCUGGAGGAAAUGAACAUGAUAGACCUCAUGUUCUGCCAAGUGUUAUGGAUGAGGAAGAUGCAGAGUUGCUAGAGGCAAUGUUGCGUCGUCAUACAGAUCAAUCGAUGUUCUUAAUGAAAGGUAUGGAGUCCCUAAAGAAGGCAGCAGAAGAGCCUUUGUACGACGAGUCUAAGGGUUGUACCAAAGAGUUCACGACGCUCCGGUCUGUGCUAAAGCUGUUGAUGUUAAAAGCUAAAUAUGGUGUGUCUGAUGCUGGCUUCGAUGCGUUCUUGAGUAUUAUCGCAGACAUGCUUCCAAAGGAGAACAAUGUGCCUGCUAACACGUACUAUGCAAAGAAACUAAUCAGUCCGCUCACUAUGGGUGUGGAGAAGAUCCACGCGUGUAGAAAUCACUGUAUCCUUUAUCGAGGUGAUGAUUAUAAAGACUUGGAGAGCUGCCCAAAGUGCGGUGCAAGUAGGUACAAGACGAAUAAAGACUAUCGAGAGGACGAAGAGUGUGUUGCAUCCGUGUCUAAAGGGAAGAAGCGAAAGAAAGCCCAAAAAAAGACUUCAAAAUCCACGAGCAAAGAAAAAGAAGAAGUAGACUAUUAUGCGCUCAAAAAGAUUCCUGCUUUGGUGAUGUGGUACCUCCCCGUCGUCGAUCGAUUGAGGUGUUUGUUCGCUAAUCCUGAGGAUGCCAGACUUAUGAGCUGGCAUGCUUCUGAUGAGCACAAAAACGAUGGGAAGCUUCGACAUCCAGCCGAUGGGAAGCAGUGGCAAGAUUUCAAUGACAACCACCGAGACUUUGCCGAUGAACCGAGAAAUGUUAGGUUCGCACUGAGUACUGAUGGAAUGAACCCAUUUGCUGAGAGGAGCAGCAAGCAUAGCACAUGGCCGGUGAUCCUCACCAUAUACAACCUUCCUCCAUGGUUGAUGCAGAAACGGAAGUACAUUUUGCUAACCAUCCUUAUUUCUGGACCUACACAACCUGGAGUUGACAUGGAUGUAUUUUUGGAGCCCUUAAUGCAGGAUAUGAAAAUAUUGUGGGAAACGGGUGUUCAAAUGUUGGAUGAGUAUCGUAAAGGUUCAUUCACGCUGAGAGCAAUUCUUUUUGUUACGAUCAACGAUUACCCUGCUCUCUUCACAUUAUCAGGCCAGUUUAAGGGAAAGGUUGGUUGCACAGUAUGCAUUGAUGGAACUGCUUACGUAUCCCUUGCUGCAUCUAGGAAGAUAGUUUACAUGAGGCACAGACGCUUUUUAUUGGAAGGACACAGGUACCGCAUGCGAAAGAUGGAUAAGUACUUCGACAAUAAUGGUGAACUACAUUCUACUGCUCCAUCGGGUAACAAUAGAGGUCAUAGAGUUUUUGAAAUAGUCAGGAAUAUCAAGUUUGUUUUCGGGAAGAAGACAAAAGACGGAAAAACAAGGAAGGAUGUCAAACCAGCUUCGGGGGCUAUAUUCAAGAAGAAGUCUAUUUUCUUCGAGUACUUGCCUUACUGGAAAGAGUUAGAUGUGCGGCAUGCGAUCGAUGGUAUGCACGUUCAGAAGAACGUGUUUGAAAGCAUAAUGGGCACCUUGCUAGACAUAAAGGGCAAAACAAAAGAAGGGCUCAAUUCACGCAUGGACUUGGUAGAUUUAGGCAUAAAAAAGGAACUACAUCCCGUUCUUCAAGAAAAUGGGAAGUACCAUCUCCCAGCAGCAAGCUACAAUCUCAAUGUAGAUGAGAAACAUGCGAUGUGUGUUUGGCUCAAGAAUUUGAAAGUCCCAUCCGGAUUCUGCUCUAGCAUACGGAGUAUUGUGUCAAUGAAAGACCUGACAAUCACCAACUACAACUCACAUGAUUGCCAUGUCAUGCUGACUACAUUCCUACCUAUUGCCAUGAGGGCUAUAAAUCCUUUGUUUUUAAAGAUGGCAAUCACACGGUUGUGCUACUUUUUCAACAGGAUUUCACAAAAGGUAAUUGGCCGUGAUGAGUUGGCAUCUCUUCAGGAAUUCGCAGUGGAGACAAUAUCACAGUUUGAGAUGUGUUUCCCUCCAUCGUUCUUUGAUAUUAUGGUGCACCUUGUGGUGCACUUGGUGCCACAAAUAGAGGCAUUGGGUCCUAUGUACUUGCAUGAAAUGUGGACGUAUGAACGUUUCAUGUCAAUACUGAAUGGCUAUGUAUCAACCCGUGCUCGUCCCGAGGCAUCCAUGAUAGAGGGGUACUGUACCGAAGAGGCAUGACUGGUACAUGCGGGCAUCAUCGGUUGGCAUCGACACCAUCAGUGUGCAUAUACCAGACCAUGCUUUUAUUGGUUCGAACCAAAAGGCCGUUGUUACAUUCGAGGACAUGUGGUUAAUGAUGAACCUUCAGAGACUCGACGUGCAACUUGUAACGAUGUUUGCAUUGUAAGUGUCGCUCAUACUUCCACAUAAGUGUGUUAUUAUUAGUGAGCUGUAUAAAAUUUCAAUAUCUGACAUGCACGUGUGACUUGCAGAAUGCAACAUGAUCAGUAGGAGAUUCUUUACGGUACCAAGCCCAAUGCUAAUGCCAGUAAAAGGGUUGGGUAUCUCAACCCAAUACUUAUAUCCGAGGAAAGCCACACUUUUAGAAUCGGGAAAGACAACGAUGAAAUAAGGGGAAAGACGGACGAAGAAGUUGAGAAGCGUAUAAAGGAAAUGAAGAAGGAUUUUGAAGCUCGAUACGCCACAUACAUAGGACAUGCAAUGCUUCAAUUUCAAGACAGGGAAGCCAUAAUGGCCCCGUACAACUUUAAGUAAGUGUGAUUUUGCAUAAAUAAAAUUAAUAAUUUCAAUACACAUGCAUCACAAAUUUGAUUCGUACAGGGACCACUGGAUAUGCUUCCUCAUUUAUCCUAAGGAUGGAAAGGUGCUGGUGCUCGACUCCUUGAACUUCGACCCUUCGACAUAUGCAACAUUCCUCAGCAUCUUAGAGCUGUAAGCCUUUUCUAUGCAUGCAUACUUUUAUCGAUUAAAAUUUGAGAAUAACAUGGUGAUUCUAUUUGAGAUCACAGUGCUUAUAGAUUCUAUAAGAUGAGAGGUGGAAAGUACGAGCUGUCGAAAAAACUCGUGCCACUAGACAUCCAUCAUCACUGGCCGGUAAGUAUGUGAUUUUAUGAAUACAUAUCAUACACAAUGUUGCAACUAAAUAACCAAUCUCCCGUUAUGUAGUGCCACAAGCAACCACAAGGAUCGGUCCUAUGUGGAUUCUAUGCGUGCGAGUUCAUGAGAGUGAACGGACGAUACAUCACGAACCCUGACAAGGUAUUAUUAGUAAUAGUUAAGUAUGUAUUUAUGUCAUUAAAGAUGCAAAUGUGUUAUUAUUGAGUAUAAAUAGAUGAUGUUUAUAAAAUUCCUUUACAGCAAUUUCAACGAGGAAACCCGGAGAACUUGACCGAAGCUGCAUUGUAUGGCAUAGUCGAGGACCUCUGCACAUUCAUAUUGAAAGAGGUCAUUCCCGCAGAAGGAAAAUAUCACGAUGCUUCCGGGACAUUAGCUUUGCCAGAGUUCAGAAUACUAACAGAAAUUAGUAGAUUAUCUCUUAGCCGAGAUAGUUAUUAGAGCUUAGGUGAAAACUUAUGAUGUAUAGAAUGCAUGAAGCAUAUAUGGUUGUAAACAGAAUACUUUGAUGUAUAUAAAUGUAUGAUAGAAUUUAAUUUCAUGUUGCUUUCAAUAUCAAUAUAGAUAUAUAUAUAUAUAUGUUUGUGUGUGUGUAAAUAAAUAUAUAUAUAAUUCAGUAUUGUUUGAAAUUUUGAAAAAAGGCGGGAAAACUUCCACUGGCGGUUUUAUAAAGAAAACCGCCAGUGAAAAGUGCAUUUCCACUGGCGGUUUGCUUUAUAAAACCGCCAGUGUAAAUGCAUUUCCACUGGCGGUUUUCUUUAUUCAGCCGCCAGUGGAAAUGCACUUUUCACUGGCGGUUCGUUAAGAAAACCGCCAGUGAAAAUGAACUUUUCACUGGCGGUUCCAAAAUAACCGCCAGUGGAAAUGCUGAUUUCCACUGACCCCUAGCACUGGCGGUACUGAAAAACGCCAGUGUAAAUAUGUUUAGAACCGCCACUAUAGAGCUUCUGUGUACUAGUGCGACCUGUGCACCAAUCACUGGAGAUGAACCACCUAGCGGUGUGUUCUCUGCGGGAACGCGGACGGUCCGUGUCACGGGUCCGGACGGUCCGCGACCUCGGCGUAGGAGCUGCUCCUUCCUUGCGCGUUGCCGGACGAUCCGCGACUGCGCAGAGAUCUUCUUCUCCAUGAAGAACUUGGAUCUCGCCUUUUUCUGGUUUUACAUGACUGGAUCAGAAGUUUUAGAUGAUUUUUGCUUCGAUGUACCUAUUUCUAGUUUCGAUGCUUGAAGGCGCGCGUACGUUGUGGCCUCUGCUCACUACCGGACUGUCCGCGUGGGCUCCAGACUGUCCGAGCUGAGACGCCAGACCAUCCGCGAUGCGCGAGACAGGGAGCUUUGAUCGGCUGCCUGAUCACCAUUGCCCCCCGGCAUGGGAAAUGAAAUUAUGCCACUUGCAAUAAGCACGUCUCUUUAAUUCAUCUAGAAGAGAAAUGAUAUGAGUUACCUUAAUAUUGCCACUUUUUGCUAGCUCGUCAAAUAUUUUGUUACACAUAGAAGCAUUAAAAGUAAAUUUAUCUUCUUCUUGCCGAUUCUUUUGAACCGGUUGCAAAGAAGAACAUGACGAAGGUUUGACCAUUGUUGGCCAAACAAGCUCGACGGUAUACACAUUUGCGGAUUCAUCAUCGAAACUAUUGCGCCCCACUAGAUGCAUCUAAUGGUUAGCCGAUUUUGAUGCCUCUCUACUUCGCUUUUCACAAACCAAAGCCCGCUGGUGCAAGUGCACCAACAAAAGAACUGAGUGCCAUCUAAUCUCUCUUAUAAGUAAGAUCGCAACCCAUUAAAAGCCAGUCCUGCUACCUAUUUUUCGUGACAUGAAUCUAAAAGCAUCGGUUUCUAGUGUCCUGGAACCUCCGAAUAUAGUUAUUAACCGAUUCUUUGGGCCAUGUCUGGCUGAAGCUAAAUCAGCUAAUUCUAACUCAUGUUCUCCUAAGAAAAAGUGUUAAUGAAAUUUCUACUCUAAUUCUUCCCAAGAGUUAAUAAAAUUAAGUGGCAGGGUUGCGUGCCAUGUGAAUAUGGUACCAGUCAGGAAUAACGAGAAAAAAUGGAUACAAAAGGCUUCCCUAUCAGCCAAUUUUCCUAGUUGUGCUAAGAACUAGCUUAUGUGUCCGUGCAUGCUUUUCCCUCCUUCACUAGAAAAUUUAGAGAAAUCAGGUAUCCUGGUUCCCUGUGGAUAUGGAACAUCGUCAAAUCGGUGACUAUAAGGUUUCCGAUAUGACUGCCCCAUGCCUGACACACUAACACCGAGUAUGUCCCUGAACAACCUGGCUACCUCAUCCCUAAUCUUUUCACCAUAUCUGGUGACCAUCCAUUAAGUUUGAGGGUGCAAAUCUCAGGCUAUAUGACAUUAUUUUGUCAACUUUCCUCCCAGGGAUGUUCAAGAUGCAUGUUAGGUGUCCUAUUAAUGCCACCAUCUCCUGCCUUAUAUCUCUCACGCUCUUUGGUGGCUGAAGAAUAUUCGUCUCUAUGUUUAUGAGGUGGCACGACAUGGUUAUAAUAUGCUGAUGGUGGGUAGCGUAGUGCUGCCGCGAUGGUUGCGGAAAUUGUGCAUAUUGCACAGCCCUUGGUUAUGCGUACGUGUACCUGGACGGUUCGGCCGUAUAUGGUGCUGCCUGGGUGGUCUGCGCACAGGCUUGUAUAAGGUCGGACAGUCCGGCGAUAUAUGCCAGACGAUCCGUGACGUAGCUAAACGAUCCAUCGCAAGUUGUCAUACUGUCCGCGACCAGGCCGAACGAUCCGGGGGUAUACCUAGACGUUCUGGCCGUAUACGGCGCUACCUGAGUGGUCUGCGCACGGGCCUGUGUAGGGUCGGACUAUCCGGCGAAAUACAUCGGAUGGUCCACGAUGUAACCGGACUGUCCAAGAUGACCCACAGACUGUCUAGAUGUAUCUAAAGUCGGUCGCGUGACGGGCGGCGACGGCUAUGAUGGUGACACGAACACAUGCAUCGACAUACCAUACGAUGCCUAGGUCAAAGACGACCCAUUUGCAUCCGAUGUGUUAGGAGCGGGUGGCUCCGUAUUAGAAUCAUGCGAUGGAAAACUAGAAAGAGUAGAUUUUUCAUAUGAACGUGCCCAUCCUUUAAUAGAUUCAUCUAUUUAUUGUUUUAACUGACCUCGUUGUUCUACGAAAGCCUUAAAAGAUAGAUUCGAAAUACUUACAAUGGGAGCCUGAGGUGAAGGUAGGAGAGAUUCCAUAUCGAUCUCUCCUCGACGAAUGAUGUUCUGGUAGCGGUCCACCGUGAAGUAUGAUUGGUACUUUUCCUUCGCCUUUUCGCGUCGUUCGGCGAGCUGUUGGCGCACCUCCUCAUCCUCCUUGUCGCACCGUUCGGCGAGCUGUCGCAACACCUCCUCAUCCUCCUUGUCGCGCCGUUCAGCGAGCUGACGCAUCACCUCCUCCUUAUCGUGCCUCCAUGGGCGGCUUGAUGAUGUUAGUGGUGGAGACAUUGGUGUGAUAUUUGGAAUCGGCCAUCUAGGGGGCGAUUUUGGAUAGAUCUAAACAUUGUUGUCCCCAUUGGAGUCAUCAAAAAGUAUGUUGAUGCCAUUCUAGGUGCCAAUCACUGGUGAUGGACCACCUGAUGGUGCUCUCCGCGGGAGCGUGGACGGUCCGCGGCACAGAACCAGACAGUCUGUGACCUCGGCGCAGGAGCUGCUCCUUCCCUGCGCGCUGCUGGACGGUCCGCGAUUGUCGCAGAGAUCUUAUUCUCCACGAAGUAAUAGAUCGAGAAAGAAUAAUAAUAUAGCUAGGCGAAGACUAUUGUCGGGGACCAUAAUUAGGGGUACCCUCAAGGCUCCUAAUUCUCAGCUGGUAACCCCCAUCAGCAUAAAGCUGCAAAGGCCUGAUGGGUGCGAUUAAGUCAGGGAUCGGUCCAUUCGAGGGACACGAUCACGCCUCGCCCGAGCCUAGCCUCGGACAAGGGCAGCCGACCCCGGAGGAUCUCGCCUCGCCCGAGGCCCCCCUCCAGCGGCUAACGUAUUUCCGGCUCGCCCGAGGCCCUGUCUUCGCCAAGAAGCAACCCUGACCAAAUCGCCGCGCCGACCGACCAAAUCGCAGGAGCAUUUAAUGCAAAGGCGGCCUGACGCCUUUAUCCUGACGCGCGCCCUUCAGCCGACAGAGCCGAAGUGACCGUCGUCACUUCGCCGCUCCACUGACCGGCCUGACAGAAAGACAGCGCCGCCUGCGCCGCUCCGACUGCGGUGCCACUUGACAGAGUGAGGCUGACAGACAGUCAGGCCCGGCCGCAGGCACCAUAGGAAGCUCCGCUUCGCCCGACCCAGGGCUCGGACUCGGGCUAAGCCCCGGAAGACGGCGAACUCCGUUCCGCCCGACCCAGGGCUCGGACUCGGGCUAAGUCCCGGAAGACGGCAAACUCCGCUCCGCCCGACCCAGGGCUCGGAUUUGGGCUCAGCCCCAGAAGACGACGAACUCCGCUUCGCCCGACCCUAGGGCUCGGACUCCGCCCUGCCCUCAGCCGACGGUCUCCGCCUCGCCCGACCCAGGGGCUCAGACUCGACCUCGGCCACGGAAGACAGACUCGACCUCGGCUUCGGAGGAGCUUCCACAUCGCCCAACCUAGGGCGCAGACCAGCCACGUCAACAGGAGGCGCCAUCAUCACCCUACCCCAAGCUGACUCGGGCCACGGGGAACAAGACCGGCGUCCCAUCUGGCUCGCUCCGCCAGAUAGGCAAUGAUGGCGCCCCGCAUACUUUGUGACGACAGCGGCUCUCAGCCCCCUUAUGGAAGCAAGAGGACGUCAGCAAGGACUCAACAGCUCCGACAGCUGUCCCUCCGCCAGGCUCCAGCGCUCCUCCGACGGCCACAACAUCACACCAGCUGGGUGCCAAAAUCUCUCCGGCUGCCACAACGACAUGUACUUAGGGCGCUAGCUCUCCUCCGCUAGACACGUAGCACUCUGCUACACCCCCAUUGUACACCUGGAUCCUCUCCUUACGCCUAUAAAAGGAAGGACCAGGGCCCUCUUAGAGAGGGUUGGCCGCGCGGGACGGGGACGAGACAGGCGCUCGCGUGAGGCCGCUCGCUCCCUCCCCCGUGUGGACGCUUGUAACCCCCUACUGCAAGCGCACCCGACCUGGGCGCGGGACGAACACGAAGGCCGCGGGAUUUCCACCUCUCUCACGCCCAUCUCCGGCCACCUCACUUCCCCCCUUCGCGCUCGGCCUCGCGCCGACCCAUCUGGGCUGGGGCACGCGGCGACAUUUCACUCGUCGGUUUAGGGACCCCCGGUCUCGAAACGCCGACAACUAUAUUACUCCUACUCCUAAAGAAUGGAAAGAACAGUGCAAAUAAGGUAAACUUGAUAAGUAGAUUUGAUUGAAUCGAUUGUGGGGUUCAAUCGCCCGCAUCCCUUCAUCAUAUAAAGGGGAUGUCUGGACCCGUUAUAAGUUGGUUGACGAGUUAAUCCCACAGGUUUUGCUAACAUAUUCCAAUAGAAAUCUAGAAGCCUAACUGAUUCUACGCACGUGCGGACCGUCCACGUCGGUACCGCGGACUGUCCGGUCUACAGGGCCAGACCGGCCCCCGGUGUUCAUUUUCAGCGCUCAACAGUAUGUAUACCACAGUAUACACAAACAAAUAAAAAACCUGGACAAAGAGAAUAAGAUACAAAAAAAUAACCAAUAUUUUGGACACUGCUAGUUAAUAAGUGUGCUAAAACAAGUAAAAUUCCUCAAAUGUAAAUAAAAGUCGAAGCUAUAACGCUACGACUACGAAGUUGGGGAUGCAUGGAUCGAAACAAACAAUGGUGGAAACAUUGUUGUUGCCGGGAGACCAGACGCGCAGCGCAACACAAGGAGGCCGUCGUCGUCCCUGUCCUUCCGACGGAUCCCACGUGAGUGUACAUGCAUGCAUGUGUGCAGCACAUCUGCACAUGCUAUGAGCGGGGUGUCAGGCUGCUGGUAAGGCGUGCGUCGUCUCUCCCGGUCCCGGUCCCAGCCCCGGCCAGCUUUCGCAAUCGCAAGGACGUACGCAUGCAGCAGCUAGCCACGGGACACUUCUCUCUUUAGCUAGCUAGCUUGGUGCACUGUAUGUGACCACAUGCAAUGCAAGAUGGCUGGCUUGACAGAGCGACACUGACAAGUGUACAACUAUUCCAUCAUAUAUGCACGCUUCUUGCGUGCAGCAGUCGUCGAUCCAUGGGCUGCACAGUGUCCCAACCACCGCACUAGCUAGCUAGCUGCCUAUGUGGUCCUCGGAUCCGUGCAAGGAGACGUACGUACGUUUGGCCAGCUAGCUCGUGCUUGUGUGUCUCCUGCCUCUGGAACCAUCGUAAACCUAGCUAGUAUGCAAGUAGCACGUGCGAUGUACUAUGUAUCUGUAUGGGCUGCACAGUGUGCUUGUGUGUCUCCUGCCUAUAUGUGGUUAUUGUUUUAUAUUCUGUUUGCACCCGGCCCGGUUUCAACGAUACAACAACCAAAUGCAAAUUAUAUAUAUAUAUAUAUAUAUAUAUAUAUAUAUAUAUAUAUAUAUAGGGUGAUGGUAAUGGGAGCCCUGGGCUUCCAUUAGUAUGGGAAGCCCCAGUCAGGUAUAUCUACGCGCGCUCGAUCUGGUUCUGGUUCUGAUUCUGGCUCGAGCGGAUUGUAGCGUAAAACGUAACCUAAAACAGCGUAAAUGAGUACGAAAUUUAGCGUAAAUCUUAUAUCUGUUUUGUAACAACAAACGGGGCCUAAAAUUACGGCGUAAAAAUCGCAUGCAGCCGAUCGUGCGCGGGUUCUGGCUCGGGCGGAUUCCAGCGUAAAACGUGAGCUAAAACAGCGUAAAUGGGUACGAAAUUUAGCGUAAUUCCUAUAUCUGUUUUGUAACAGCAAACGGAGCCUAAAAUUACGGCGUGAAAAUCGUGUGCACCCGAUCGUGCGCGGGUUCUGGAUCGGGUAGAUUUUAGCGUAAAACGUGAACCAAAACAUCGUAAAUGAGUACAAAUUUUAUCGUAAAUCAUCGAUCUGUUUCGUAACGACAAAUGGGUCUCGAAUUACGGCAUGAAAAUCGCCACAGGCGCUGUCUCGGGCGGAUUUCGGCAUAAAACGUGAACCAAAACAGCAUAAAUGAGUAUGAAUUUUAGCGUAAAUCAUCGAUUGAUUUCGUAACGGCAAAUGGGGACAAAUUACGGCGUAAAAAUCGUGCGCGGGUUCUGGCUCGAGCGGAUUUAAGUGUAAAUCGUGAACCAAAAUAGCGUAAAUGACGGGUUCUGGCUCGAGCGGAUUUAAGUGUAAAUCGUGAACCAAAACAGCGUAAAUGAGUAUAAAUUUUAGCGUAAAUGAAUAGAAAUAUCAGAAACAGACAAAUAGAUGGAAGCGGAUCCAUGAACUGAAAUAUAGGUCAUAAAAUCCUAUUGACAUUGGCAUAAAUAUGUAUACAAAAUAGCAUAAAAUUUUUGUAUCUCUCAGCGCAUGAGGUUGUCAUAAAACGCAUCAACAAAUUUUGUAAAUUGGUGUAAGAUACAAGUGAUCUGAGGUAAUUGUAGCGUAAAAUGCAAGCUAACCAUCUACAGGAGAACUGUUUCAGAUUUUGCAAUAAGAUAUAAGAGAUAAUUAUUCCUGUACUCAACUAUGAUAAUGUCGUGUUUACAUUUUAGCUGUUGGUACAUACAAACAAAACUUUGUUUCACCAUAACACCACUGUUAGCAAAAAAAUCUGAGUUCAAAAAGGCUCUUCCAGCUUUCCUAAUGUGGAGAAAACCACCGAGGUCCAUAUCUGCAAAUGUAACAUGAACUGUUAAUAUGAUCUUUCCUUGUUAAUAUGUCUUUUCAAGUUUGUUAUGACUACCAUAACCUAAAGUCUAAACUGAAUGCAAACUUGAGUUAGAAGAUCAGAUUACCAAAAUAAAAAUAUCUUGAGUUAGAAGAUCAGAUUAUCCCAUGUGAGUAAGCAUAAAAAUGAUAUCAAUGUUCAUAAAUAUAUCCCAUGCCAGUUAUCCCAUGCAAACCAAACAUACAAAAUAAUAGAAGGUCAAGUUCUAUGCUAAGAUUCACCAAAAUAAUUGGAGCACAGAAAGGAUGAAUUAAAACAAGAUAACCAGGGUGUAAAAAAAAUUCUACUAUCAUGGUGUACCUUGUCCAUCAUUCUGAAAACAUAGAAAAAAUGAUUCAAUGGACGAUUUAUUUGAUAUCAAUGCAAAAAAAAUUCAAUCUCAGUAGGGAUAAUGAUUUAUUAGCUCCAUACAAUAAUAAAGGCAUAUAUAACAGACAGGGAGGAUAAAAGACUAAUCCAUCAAUGCAUCAGAACAUGCAGUUAGCAUCUCCAUUACUUUUCCUCGCAUACCUAAAAAUAUGCAGGAUUAGUUGAACAUCUAGGCACAAUUGAAUACUAGGAAAUAUAUUCUAAACUCUCCCUAGAAUUCCCAAAAAUUCUUUUAUGCCUCCACAUAUAUAUUGUAUAGGUGCCAACCUGAUCGUGUAGAUAAAGGUGAUAUAAACAUUUUCAUGACCAAUUGUUUUAGGCAAUUUAUAAUCAUUGUUUCAUUUAGUUUAAUCCAGUUCGGUAUAUGGCACACAUGGAUAAAAAACAAAAUCAUCAGAGAAUAACUCUAAUCAUGACGUUGGAGUAGCUAAGUGCUCAACGCUUGGUCGAUAGUGGAAGCAGGCAACAGAAAGUGUCUAAAUGUAAUUCAAACUCACGCAAUGAUAUGUAAAGCAUCAUGAGACAACUGCCAAUUGGUAGCAAAAUGUGCCGAAAGGCUCCAACAAAUGAGGUAAGCAGAAAUGGCAUUCCUUUGAAAUGAUUACUCUUGCUGCGCAAUAGGAUAAAGUAUUAGAUAAUAUAGCAAUGGCCAAAAAGUAAUAGCUCAACCUGAAGAAACACUUCGAGCACCCUGGUCCAGCACGGCGAAAUAGGAUGGCAUUCCUUUAGCACGGAGAAGACAGUCCACCCGCCAGUGCCCACCCGCUGUCUCCAGCGAGGAUGAGAACUCUGAGAUGGUGCUCACCACAUAAACAUUCUUGUAUUUCUUCACACAUGGCGCCUCCACCACCUCAUACAUGAGAAGACAGUCAUGCAGCAACCCUAUCCAGCGAACCCCCAAUAAUCCAAAACGAGGUGAAUGACAAGACGAGAUGGCAGCAUCGCGAGGAGUGGAGAAUCGAAACGAGGGUGGACGGGAUGAAGCAGACGCACCCACCGUCGCUGGCACCGGAUCUAGCGCGGGCCUUCAGCACGGCGCCGUAGUCGCCGCCACCGGAUCUAGCGUGGGCCUUCAGCACAGUGUCGUAGUCGCCGCCACCGCUGUCCUCUUCCUCCACGGCGGCACCGUCCUGCCCUUGCGACGCUUGUCCACCCCCAGCAGCAUCACGCGAAGCCGAUUGGGCGAGAACCCAUUGCCCCUGUUACAGCAAAGCAAGCGAGGCACACGGGGCGUGUCGUCCACGACCGUCGCUAAAUCAUGUGUAGGGCCAUCUCGCCCAGAUCUGGCUGACACAGAACACCUCUGCCUCCAAGCGCCGCCGGAGCAAAGAAGGAACCGAUGCCCUAGAAGCGGUUCGCGAGCGCCCAGGUGAGCUCGCCGUCAUAUCGUCGGCUUUGAGGGACGUGCUGCCAUAGUGGAGGCGGGAGGAGGGGUCGGUGGAGGCAGAUGAACUCAUCGGAGUAGGAGCCUGCGGCGGCGCGGAACAUCGUCGUGCGGGCGCAGAUCGCCCAGAUGCGUUUGCGCAGUGCGAGAAAGACGGAGGUGGAUGGCGAAAAAACGGCGGCGGCUGUGUGCGAUCGUAGGGUUUGGUUAAUGGGCUUUUAAAUGGGCCACAACGGUUCGGUGGGAAAGUCUCAGAUGUAUAUGGUUGGACCGAGAGACACCGACCAGGGCUUUCUCUAGUUGUUGGGAGCCCAGGGCUCUUAAUACAUAAACUAUAUAUAUAUAUAUAUAUAUAUAUAUAUAUAUAUAUAUAUAUAUAUAUAUAUAUAUAUAUAUAUAUAUAUAUAUAUAUAUAUAUAUAGUUUAUAUACUAAGAGCCCUGGGCUUCCAAUAAUAGAGAAAGCCUAGGCUAGUCAAUAUGAUUAUUUGGGUUGAACCAGACCUGGUCAACAGUAUCCGGUCACGACGCCGUUACACCGUUGCCCAUGUCAGUCCCAGCCACGAUCCCUUGUUUCCCGGUUUCUAAAACCGUCUUCGCGCAAUCAGCCUAGGGAAACCCGCGUCGAUAGGAAGGAAACCCCACUGACCGCGCCGUCCUUCCUUGCGUCUGAGGCGACUCGCCAGCGAUUUCCGCCGCUCCAAUCCAGCGCCGCUCGAAUCCAGCUGAGCUCCUUCAAUCUCCGAGCAUUGGAGCCCGAUUCAAGAGCGUCCAAUGCUUUCCCAGAAGUUCCAGGUAAUCCAACUUGAAAUACAUCGUGUUUUCCGUCGAUUCUUGAAGCAUUUUUCGUUGAUUGAAGUGGAUUUGAUUGUAACCCUUAUUCUUCGUCUAAAUGUGUGAUUUGUAUCCGAUUAUACAUCUCUCUAAUCUGCUUAUUGCGUCGCUCAUUGCAUCUAUCUUUUGUUCAGGAGCCCCGAUCUUAGGGCAUCUGCAUUUCUUCUAGAUCCAGUGUAUCUCUCGACAUUCAUAGACCUAGACGAAGGCAGUGGAUCAGGUAUUUAUUCAUGAGUUUGCAUAGAGUACAUUUAUACAACAUUAGUAACACAUAUAUGCUUAUUGUAUUUGAUAUAUAUGCAUAUCGUCAAGACUGUUUAUGCACAUUUGUACAAAUGUUUUGAAUAUUGGUCGAGAUAAUAUGCAUAAUUGUAUUGUUCUAUUUACUUCAAUCAUUAGUUUACACACAUGUUGUAUUAUAUAUAAAAUAUACUUAUUGGAUUUGAUAUUUAUGCAUAUCGGCAAUAUUGUCUAUGCUCAUUUGUACAGAUGUUUAUGUAAGGUAAUAAGCAUAAUUGUAUUGUUCUAUUUAACUGAAUCAGUAGUAUACACUACUGUUUAUUAUAUAUAAAUACAUACAGAAACUGUUAUUUAUGCAAAAGUUAUUUAAAUAUUCAUUUUUGAAUAUGAGCUAAAUGUGUAUAUUACUAUGAACCAGUUAUUAAAACAUGUUGUAUAGUUAGUUGAUGCAAAAAGACACUUAUUUUAUCAUGCUCCAGUUCCAAUUAUAUGAAAUAUUAAAUUAAUCUUUAUGUUUGUAUAUAUAACCAUUGUUCAUUAAAUGCUGUCACAUAAAUGUAAAAGGUAGUUUAAGUUAUGUAAUUCCAUUUAGCAUUAUGUAGUAAGCAUUGUAGAUAGUUAUAGUAAAAAUUAGAGUUUUUUUGGCAUAUAUUCAUGCAUAAAUCACUGUAUUUAAAAACAACUUUUUUUCAACAGAUUUAUUCAGUGUUUAAUCAUGAGAUCUGUUGAUCGCCCUCCAAGUAAUCCAAAAAGAUUAACCAUUGAAUCCAGUCAGGAGGUUUUUUCCAUUGACAUUUCCAGACGUACAAGAUCUAGCAGUUCAGCUCACCAAGAUGAUAAUCCACAUAAUCAGAAGCAGAAUGAGCCACAACCAACACCAAUCCAUCGUUUUCGCAGAAAGGUUUUAGCUUGUCGUGUAAAAAGAAAACCUCCUUCUGCUCCAUCCACACUGUUCGACGACGAUUUCAUGGAUGCUCCAUCGUUGAAGCGCCAAUUCAGAUCAACCUCACCUUCCCCUAUAGAAAAAACAGUGCAAAGAAGAUAAAGGUCCCUUCUCCACAAGUUCCGAGUGUGAAAAGCAGUCCAAAGUUUGAUAUAGAUGCCAAGUCUAAUAUCAUUACAAAAAAGUUCUCCUAAACAGAAGACUCCUAGAAAAUCCCAGGUACUAUGUAUAUAUUUCUGUUUAUUUUAUGUGUUAAUUUUGGUGCCCAAUCAAUUUUGUAUUUCCCCCCAAGUUACAUUUAUGUAUAUUAUUAUCUCAAAGUAUGCUGUUUAUUUUUUUUAGUGUUGUAGAAUAGUUAUUCACAAGGCUCUAAUAAAUAUCAAUUGUAUGUAUAUAUAGUAUCCUUAGUUAUAACAAUAUAUAUGCCUUGUGUAUUAAUGCAUAUUCAUUUAUGCUUUCAGAAAUUGAAUAUCCGCUGCAUUCCUUAUGAUGUUAUUGUCUCAACUUGGAUAAUGAGCGAUCGGCAGCGCGAUGCAGUCGCUAGGUUGGGAUUUUCCAGUAUAUUUGAUUUGCGAACUGAUGCCUUAGAGAGCAGAUCUCUCAUUAGGUGGUUGAUGGAUAAAUUGGAUCCACAUGACAUGACCAUACGCCCAGGGGCUGGCAAGGAACUGAAGAUAACAAAAGAGACAGUUCGUCUUAUUUUGGGUUUGCCAUGUGUUGGAGGGGGCAGGGAGUUUACUGAUUGGUAUGGUGAAGUGGAUGCUGCUGCAAAACUUAGACGUGAUCUCAAAGUUGGUAAAGAAGAAUUUGAUGUUGUCAAGCUUCAGGACAAGAUAGUGCUUGGCACUGAUGACGAGUUAUCAAUCAGAUGCUUUUUUCUGAUUCUAUUCAAUCGACUUCUUUUUCCAUCUGCUUCAUGGGGUAUUACAAACAAUGAGGUACUAAUGACUUCAAACAUGGCCCGAAUGGCUGAUAUUGACUGGUGUCAACUAGUUUACACGGAUUUGUGUGAUGCUGCCACACGUUGGCACAAAAGGAACAAAACAAACAUUACAGCAACAAUAUAUGGAUGUUCACUCAUAGUUCUAGUAAGUAAUUAUUUUGUUCACUGUGCAUAUAUAUGAUAUGCAAAUAUUUGUUUUGUACUAAGUUUAUAUUUUUUCAUUCAUUUUUUUCAGAUUUACUAUCUUGAUCACUUACAUCACCCUGCAUCUCCUGAUAACAAAUAUGGUACUCCCCGCAUUAAGUUUUUUGAUAAUGAGACCAUAAGAGAUUUGGCAAGGGGUGACAGACGUCCACCCCAUAAAACUGGUGAACCAUUUGGCUAUGCAGAGGUUAGACAUAUCCAUUUUUUGUCCUGUUUUGCAGAAGUUUCAAUUUUAAUUACUGCUAACAGUUGUAACUAGGCUUUAUACAGUUUCUUAGCCGUUCAGAAACGUGUUACGUCAUUGCACCAGAACGGCCCGUUUCUGCCGUUUUCAACAUAUAUGUGCCACGUAUCAAGCAUUUGAUUGGCAACAAGUUGAAAUGUUUGCCCUCUCAGCAUCGACCAAUGUUUGAAUCAAUGUUUGACGCUCAUGACAAAGAGGUGGAUAAGUACUGUGAUUCUCUUCAGCUGAGCCAUCAGAUGAUUGUUUUGAAGCAGAUUGAACUAUCUGAAACAUUUGGUGAAAUGAUCGAUGAAGUCCUGAGAGCUGCAACAGCGCGAUUCACAACAAGAAGGUUUUGUUAUUUAUGUUUAUUUUUUUAUAUUAAUCAAGCUCACGAAUUAUUGCGGGGAAAAUUAUAUUUAGUUAUAUGAUCUCAGAUACUUUAGUUUAUACAGCAUUGUAUAUAUAACUUAUGCAUUAAUUUAUACUCAUACAGUCACCAACACAUUACAUUUGAUUUUAUUUUGAUAGAUCUCAUUUAUUUAUGCAUCCUGAUAGUAUAUUGAUGUAGUUUGCGAUGAUGUGUAUGUUUAACCUUUUUUUAACGAUACAUUUAUAUUUCUGGUUCAUUUCAGUAACAACUACUUUAUUAUUAUAUUUUCCAAAUGUAGGUAUCCCCCCACUACGUCAAUGUCUCCAACAAAUGCUCCAGUAUCCUCUCCACCUGUUCCAACCCAUGAUAAUAAGCAACAUGAUCAGUAAGUACAUGUUCCUUCUGAUGAUAUCAAAGUAUCAGAACAGGUAAGUUUUUUCAUUCAAACUUUAUAUAUAAAUCAUGUAUUAAAUAUAACAUACAAGUUAUUGUUUACUCAAAUUUUCUAUGUUUCCAUUACAGAUUGUCAGUAGAAAAGUUUGUGAAAAAAAUUCAGUUAUGGAUGCCCCUAUUUUUGACAAGACUCCAAAAUCCCAUGUUUGUUUUCCUUUAUUCACAGUUAUUAUAUUUUUCAAUUACAAUUUAUGCCAGUAACAAUAAUAUAUAUGCAUGUUUUUAUUUACUUUAUUCACUAGGCUCCCACAACCGACAAGCUUGCUGCUCCUGAAUUAACUCCAAACAUAAAUACUGUCAGUAUUUAUACCUUCAUCAUAUCAUGUUAAUAUUAGUUAGAACCUAUGUUUGAUUACGUUUAUAUUUAUAAUUUUAUUGUUUUUUAGGAAGGACAAAAAACUGUUAAACAUGAUACUCCCGUAUCUGGUGCACCCAGUUUGACAAAACCCCAUUGACAGAAGUAAGUCAUGUAAUUUCAUCUUAUUAUAUUAUAUAUAUAUAUACACACACUAAAAUACAUAACAAUUUAUGCCAUUCAUUACUAACAAUUAUAUAUAUAUUAGGCAACUACUGAACUUGUUGCAAAGGAUAGUCCCUCUAAAUCUAAGGUUGCUGAUCUUCCCCACGUAUCGCGCGAAGAAUGUGCUCGCAAACUAUAUAAAUUCAUUUUAUCAGGACAACUAGAUCCGAGCAUGUAUGUAUUCGUUAUCCAAACUUCAAUUAAGUAUAAUUAGAUGAUUUCUAAUUAAAGUUUCAUUUUUUCCUAGGUCCAUCAUUGAUUUUGGAGGAUUUGGAGGUUCUGUCCUCGAUGUUGUCCAAUCGUUUGGUCCUAAUAAAUGCCUUGAGAAUAUUUUCAUGCAGGGUUUUAUCGACUGUAUUCGUGAUGAUGAUGUAUUAUACAAUCCAGAUACAUUAAUCAACACUCUAAUUUUGAAUGUCAAUGUUGGGGUAUUUUUUUAUCUACAACUUUGUAUCAUAUUUUAACCCUUACUGUAUAAAUAUAUAAUACUAAUCACUAUAUUUUUUGUCCAGACCGUUUUGAAUAUCGAGGAGUUUGAACAGCACAGUUCAAAUCCCCAGCCCUUCUCAACAUCAGUUCUUAAAGAACAACUAGUACCGAUGCUUCCUCCAGAUGAAGUUCUGAACCAAAUAAAAUUGGUGAGCCCCAAUCAGUUUUAUUUGUAAGAAUAUUUUAAUGUUCUGCUGGUUAUAAUUUAUAUUUUACGUUAUCUUUAAUUUUCCAUACACCUCUUAUUGUUCAUUCAUAAACUUAUACAUAUACGUUGACAGAUACUGGUUCCUAUGCUACGCCGUAGCCACUGGACCCUUUAUGCAAUCAACUUUGAACUUCGUCGAAUAGACAUUCUAGAUUCAAAUCCUUAUGGGACAUUGCUUGGAGGCACUACCUGGAAACAAAUCCACAAUGAUCAAUUGCUGAUAAAUGGAACAAAGGUACCUUGGUCCAGAUUAAUAAUGAGAAGACUUAGCAUUGCGUUACAUGAAGCUCGACCAGAUUCAAGUAUACCAAAGUUUGGCAACUACAAGAUUGGCCUUCUUCCCAAUUGUCCAACCAUGUCUCCAGGGUCAAAUGAUUGUGGUUUUUUUGUCGCAAACUUCCUCCGAUGCUACGAUUUUGAUGAUGGCGACUUAUCAGAAUUUGUUGUACCUGUAUGUUUACUAAAUUAGUGUUUUGAUCAUGCAUAUAUUACUCCUUCAUAUGUAUUCUUAGCAUUAAUUCAUCUAUUAUGAUUAUUUCAGGAUGAACCAUUGGACCAACGCGCCUUUGUUCUGCAUUACCUGACCUUUCAUUGCAACAACAGGGUUUGCCCCCUCCCUGUAGAACUGCUGCCUUUCAAGUAUGUUCCAAGGAAACGACGUUGUUCGAAAGCCAAGACUUAGAUAUCACAGCUAAACUUGAUUCCCUAUGGGAUCCCCAAAAUGUUUAUGUUACUUAAGUCACUUAUGUUAGGUGUUGCUCAUGUGUAUGAUACUCCCCAUGACACUUAUGUCUGAUGUGUCCAGUGUCUAUGCUACUUCGUAUCAGUUUCUGUUUCAAGUGUGUAAAACAUAAGUGUUCCCAGACUGUAUACGUAUGGUAUCUGUUAUGAACUUAUAUGGUUUUCAUUUCCAGAUUGUGAGAUGGUUAAUCGUUUUUGCCCAAUGUUUGGCGUAUUUCUAUUAUCAUAUUAUAUUUAAUAUUCAAGUUUUAUGCAACCUAUAUACUGUCGUAUUUUAUAUACAAUAGGUCAAUUUUUUACACAUUUACCAUGCUAAUUAUGCUAACUGUGACCAAUGCUUAUGCUACAACCUUUCCUCGUGUAUAUGUAGUGUGAACCCCGAAGUAUGCACUCUCAUUUGCUUAGUUAUGUUAAGUGUAUUGAGUAUUUAUACCAUUUAUGUCAAGAUCGGCCGGUUGCUGAACUUUUCAAUGCCAAGUGUUGGUAUAUAUUCAGUUUUCAUAAUUUGUGUAAUGGUCUAGUUUACGCAACAUAUAAUAGUAUUAUAUCAACGCAUUAUAUAAACCAUCCAUGCAAAAUAUUAAUUUCCAAAAACUAAAACAUAGGUCAUUGUGCUAUUACAACUUUAUACUACAUCGACCACUCUUUAGUCACACUUCAAAUUAUUCACCCAAUUCCAUAUGCUCAGCGGCUUAUUCAAUUUCUACUUCUUCAUCAAUAUGAUGUUUUUUAGCAGUCGAUGUUUCAUUCCACUGUGGAGCAGUUGUUUUAUUGUUUAGUCUUGAUCCGGCUGGUCGUCCUCUCUUUCAAUUAGCCAGUUUUGCUAGUCUUGCCCUGUUCUCUUCCACAGACAGACACGUUCUGCUGUUAUGUCCAUCUGCUAUCCCACACAAUUGGCAUCUCAUAUUCUUCUUUUUUUCUCCUUUCGCACCUAGUUUCAUAAUCCUAUCUUUUGUAUUUUUUAUUGUCCGUCCUUUUGGCCUUGCACGAUCCGGCAUACUCAGAUUUAUAACAUCCACAUUAAAAUUCAACCUCUGUAUAAUAAAAGAAGUUCUUAAUUAGCAUACGCAUAUUUACAUAAAGUAUCUUUAUACUGAUCAGUAAAAUCCUUUUUCAAUGGUCACCUUCUUAGCUUCUGAAGAUGCACCAAUAUGUUCCAUUUGUUCAUGUGCUACGUGACACGGAGAACUUGUAUCACCAACCUCAGGUGGAAAUCUCAGGUUGUCCACCUACAUAGCACAACCCACAUACAUCAACAUUUCCAUGCAGCAUAAACAUAUAUUUUCAUUAUAUACAAAUGAACAAAUUUUUUUAAUAUGUACCUGGUUACCAGAUGUUAUUACUGUUAACGCAUGUUCACAUCCAGUUAUGGUGUUAUGCUCAUCCUACAACAUAAAAUUUGCUUAGUACAUUGAUUUUAUAUAUUCAUUAUAUACAAUACUUCAUGCAAUAUUAUAUAUUUAUCUUUUACAUACCAUUUUUUGGCAUGUAAUUGUAUUGUCAUCUUCCAUCCCAUCGCCAGCAUUAUUAUUAUUUAAUUCUCCUUCCUGGUUCAAAUAAUAUGUUACCAUGCAUACUAUAUGUUACAAAUAAUAUAACAUUUAAACAACUGGAAUAUUAUUACCUUGUUUUUUCCUCAUCAUCACUAACAUCAUAUGACUCAUUACAUCCAAUAUCUGGCUCUAAUCGGCAUAGAACGCCAUCGAGCUCAUCCAACACAUCCAUUGCCUUAUCGUACCCUACUUUUGACAUACACGCCUGGCGAACCACUUUCAUUGUUUUCGUUAGCAACAUUUUCUGUCUGUAUGAUUUAGUAACUCCAUCCUUUCCCCUGAAGCUCUUAUCAAUUCUUUCAAACGGUACAUCUUUUCUUGAUGAGACAGUGUACCUUUGCAAUAUAUACUUUGUAGGUAUCUUUUCUACUUGAAGAUGCAUGAAGGCUCUUAAAAGAUGAACACACAAUAGACCUUAAAACAAAUUAAAACCAACCCUUAUUUUUAAUGAUAUAUUAAUUUGUACUUCAAUAAACAAAUUAUUUAGCAUGCAAAUUUACUAUUUUACUCAACACAAUAUGUACAAACCUGUAUGUUCCCACUGUUUGCACUCGCAUGUAUACUCCCCAGCUUCUAUGUCCGCUGUUAUCUUGAAUUGAUGUUGUCCCCACACAAUUUUAUUAGACCGUUUUGUAUGUUGUACGAUCCAAUCUUUAUCACAACCGUCUGUGUCCUUUAAUAUUUUGUAUGCAGUGGCGUAUUUCAUUGAUUCCUCAAAUCUAUUCAUAACAGCUCUGGUGUAUGCUCUAGACACUCUUACUUCGAACCUAUACAAUGUAUCUGUUGUCCUUGGUCCCUAUAAGACGUUAUUAUCAUAAUUAAACAUAGUAUUUACAUAAACAUGUAUGUCGUACAGUAAUAAUAAUAAGCACGACAUACCUUGCUCAUCAAUGCCUCCUUUGAUUCUUUCAUUUUCCUGUUGUGCAACAUUUUCAUCAUUUGUUUAGCGAACUCAUGCAGAGGGGUGUUCGCAUCUACAUAUGAUUGCUUCACUAAUUUGUUCAUGCUCUCACUUCGUUGUGUAGAUACCAUUACCCCACAGAAGUCAUUUUUAAAAAAUGCUGGUAUCCAUUCUUUCCUUAUUUCAUAUAGUUUGCGUAGAGUCAUACCUUCAUGAAGAUUGAACUCCUCUAGCAUCAUUUCCCAGGCACAUUCAAACUCAUGAGGAGUUAAUGGAUGAUGUAUAAUAGAUUGGAAUGUUGUUUUAAAAUCCUUAUCAACAAACCUUGCAUAUAUCUCAUUUAAGAAUGACAUAAAUCUGUUCUGGACAUGCCAUAAACACAGUCUGUGAACUGUUUUUGGAAAUACAGUUCUUAGAGCAAUUGGCAUUGUAGGAUCUUGAUCUGCAAUUGCUCACAAACUAUUAAUUUACUUUCACAAUAAAUUAAUUCACUUUUUUGCAUAACAAAUUGACAUACAUCAUACCUGUUAGCAUAACUCUCGGACCCUCGCAUCCCAUACAUGUUUUGAAUGAAUUGAAAGCCCAUUCAAAAGUCUGCACUGUUUCAUCUCCCAACAAAACAAAUCCAAACACUGUACACUGCAGAUGGCUGUUAGCUCCAACAAACAUGCCCAGUGGUUUAUCAUAUAUAUUUGUCUUGUGUGUUGUAUCAAAUGUCACAGCAUCCCCAUAAUCUGCAUAUUCCCCCUGCAUACUUGCGUGUGACCAAAAAAUACUCACUAUUUUUCCAUCAUUGUCUAGCUGAAAAUCACAAAAAAUUGCGGAUUCUGUUUCUUGCAUUCUGUAAAGAAAGCCAAAAGUUUGGCUACAUCAUUUGCGCAGUUUUCUCGUCUCCUUGCUGCCCUCCUACAUUUGUUUGCACAAAAAAUGGUUAUACAAACAUUUGCUAUAGUAAUAUUUAUGGCACUAAAUGUAUACACAUGAAACAAAAAAUAUUGCUUACAUAUUUUUCAGAUCUUGAGCAGUUACCGGUACAUUCUCUGGCGCAUCAUGCAUUUCUGAUAUAAAAUCAACUAUGCAAUGCUGCGGCACUCGGCUAUCAUGCAUUGCAUCAAUAAAAUUUAUGAAUUCAGCAUCCCUACUUUUGUUGCAACAUAAAUGUUGUUUCUCUGCUUCGUCAGUUAUGAACUCAUGGUUAUGCUCCAAGUUUACCAUCUCAAUUUUUGCAGCUACAACCAAUUUUUGUUCAUCAUCAUAUAUUUUUUUUAAUUUUAUUCCAGCCUUACAUUGCGUACGCCCCGAAGUCCUAUUCCUCAUCCUAGGUGUAUCAUUUGAUUUUGGUGCACUUUUACCUUCACGUGAACAAUUUAUCCACUUACUGAAUGUCUUCUCUCUGUAUUUCUUCAGUGGAAAUCCAACUUCAUAUGCAUACCUUUUAUAGAAUUUAUAUGCAUCAUCAACAUCCUUGAAAGUCAUCCCUACCAUUGGCACUAUAGUUGGAUCAAUGUUUUUUUCCUACAAAUUAAUUGACAUUGUUGUUUGUACGAUGGAAUAUGAUCAUAACAAUCUAAUCAAUCAAGAAUCAAACACAACAAUUGGACUUACAUGUGAAUGCAGUAUUUGAGGCGUAUCCAUCUCCCUGGAGCUAAUAUUGGACAUAGGAGGUCGGACCCUUUGUUCUCCUUCUUCCCCUAUGCUCAUCUCGUCGAUUACAGGACCCGGUAGAGCAGGAGGUGGUGUGACCAGUGAGUUACCAUCAACUCCUCCCUCUGUCUCUGGAUCAAGAUGAACGCCACCUUCUACCAUCGCCGGCGACUCUCCAGAGCCGGCCAUCUCCACCUCCAAAUGGUUAUGCAGGCUUUGUGGUGUUUUUUCCGAUGAAAGGAAAUCACAGAUACUAUACAAGUAACCGCAUCCACGUUUCCAGAGUUUUUCCAUUAUUUUCCGAAACCGUCCCGAUACUCUAGCGAUGUACAUAUAAAACUAAUUUCCCUAACACAAUACUUACGAACAAUGACUCAACAUUUUAUGCCACAACGUAUAUACUAUUUAUGCACUUUUUGUACAUUACCGAUUUUAUGACAUAUCCUUCAACAUCUUAUUCUACAUUCUAUUUACCCGCCACCAUGCAAGAUCCAUAAAUUUCGCGCCCACGUAACAGAGUAAUCACGUUUGCAUGUGGAAAUUAUUCCCUAUAAUUCCGCACCACUUCCAAAUGUUUACCGCCUUGCCAUUGAACCAACCGCGUAACGGCGUCGUCUGCCCUGCAUGCCGUCUGUCCGCGUAACACAGGCACGCUUGUCUCAGCGGACCAGACCACGUAACCGACCUGGGCUUUCUUUAAUAUCCGAAGCCCAGGGCUCCCGUUAUACCUGCCCUAUAUAUAUAUGUAAGGUAGGAUCAAUUUUACAUACAAAAUGAUAUUAGUAUCAUCACAUAAUAAUACUCUAAAUAAGACACAUAUAAGUGUACUAUAACAAUCUACAGUUAUAGCGGAACCAAAUUAACCUUAAGGAGCAUAACUAAUAGACCCAAAGCUCUAGCCAUCUAAUUGAUGCCUAAGUCAGACUCUACAAGUGGAGCCAGAAAUUUUUUUAGGAGUUACUGAACUAAACCGCUAUAGUAUAUGAGCACCUACUAUAUUAUAAUGUGUACAUUUUAAAUUUUAGGGGGGGGGGACUUGAGUCAUCGGGCUCAAUGGAACUCUGGGAGCGGUAGAGGAGGCUUUAAUUGAGCCCUGCUCGUCCUACCGAUCCCUUCGUCCCCGCUCAAGGUGUUGCAUAACUUAUUACUUUAUUAGUGCACUUCGGAUCCUCCUCAUCGUGCUAUAUAUAAUAUAUGUAAAGCACACAACCAAGGUCUAAAAUAUAAUGUGAAAGCUUGGGGACGAUGGAGAUACAAACUCAAGUUGACGAUUCUAGUAUCUUUACUGAGGUAUCGAGAUGUGCCUCCCUAGUCUAAUUGUAUGGCAAGAAUCUUAUGACUAAACUAUUGUUCUACAAGAGUCUAAAACCCUUGAAAUUUCCUGAAAUACUAAUAGCUUAUAUUUUACGAGAUGUACGACCCAAGUAAAUUUACUAUAUUCGUCAAUAAAGGUUACAUAAUAUUUUUUUGGACUUACACUUUCUGCUGACUCUUAGAUUGCUAUAUUUAUUAAACGACCUACUAACAUUGCAAACUUCCUUUACUAUUGAAAUUGGAAGUGGAUAUAGCCCUCGUAUGCAUCUCCCUAUAAGCAUAAUUGUCUUAGUUUUCUUAUCUUUAAUGAGAAAGAAAGUAGGAUUACUUCAAUAAAGAUUGAGUUAUCUGAUAUGAGUCAAUGGACAGUGACAAUUUUUUUCUUGUAUUUGGUAAUGUAUAUACAUCUUUUAGUAUAAAACAAUCAUAAUGAGUAGUAAAUAAAGUAUGAUCAAAUUAACUUUUUAGUACCUGAUCCACUUGCGACGUGAAUUUGAUCUCCACUACACUAAAAACAUAAACUUCCUACGGUUUUUUAACUUCCUAUAGCUCCUUAAUAGUUGUUUCUCAUAGCGAGCUUUCUAGCUCUCUAGUUAUGUGAUCGAUGGCACUGAAUCUAUGUACUAGCUUGGAUCAGUAUGAUAAGAGCCUAUAUCAAACACAACAAGUUUUUGAUCUAGGAUAAACUUUUAUCAAACAUGUGCCAGUACUCAAUAGCUAUGUGAUUUUACUUGAAACAAACUUGACAGACGAAUUGCUGCUCUAAUAUGCUAGAGCUCUAGUUAGAGCUGCCAGCCCCCCUAUUCUUACACUAUAUAUAUAAGAUUGAAUUAGGGUCGGGCUCUAUUUCUAUUAAUUUUUGAAUCAAAAUAUAUAUAUAUAUAGUUUAUAUAUUAAGAGCCCUUAGCUUCCAAUAACUAGAGGAAUCCCAGGUCGGACGGUGCAAUCCGGUCGAGCCAGAUCACGUCCGGACGUCUAUAAAACAGGACCCGGAGUGCUAGGGUUCAGUUUUUUACGCUCCACCCCGAUUCAUUAGCGACGCCGCGUGCGACGACGGCGGUUGCCCCAGAGUGUGCGGUGGCCGUAGCUCCAUGACCUCGACGCACGGUGGCGGAGGCUCCUCGAUCCGAAGUAGUGGCGGCGGUUCUCAGGUCGGUGGCGGCGGCUCCCCGAUCCAGAGGGCGAGCGACAACGGGGCCCUUGUGCGGGCAAGCGGCGGUGUCCCCGAGGCCCCGAGGAGGCGGCACUUCCAAGGCCGGCGAGCAAGCGGCGCCCGUCGACGUGCGAGUAGCGAUGGCGACGCAUGAGGCGCGAGGUUCGAGCGAGCGGCGUCACGGAAGGCGCGAGAUGCGUGCAGCGAUGAUCGCGCGUGACAUACUCCAAUCUGGCGCAGUUUGGGCGGCCCGAGUGACGACCUACAUUUGUGCUUGUGUUAUCGACGACGUCCUCCGGCCACUACCUCCUUCGAUUCGUGUUUUCUUUUCGAUUAUUAUGUUUUAUGCUUGAACACGGAGUUCGUAUAUCAGUUUACUGCAUGCAUAUUUUUUGCAUGCACAUUGGAAAGGUAAUUCCUUAAUUUAUGUUGUUCAUAAUUUGCGCGCAUGCAAUGGAAACUCCCACGAUUUUGCCAUAAUUUUUGGAUCUGUAUAAAAAUAGAAACCGCAUGCAUGCGACUGCCAUGUUUUUCGGAUCUAUCAUAAAAAUAGGAUCGUAAUAACAAGAUACUAGAGCUAUCAACCUCUUGCAUUGACUUAAUAUUUACGCUUAUAAUUGAGGGAUUUUAUGCUCAAAACUUAAGGUUUUUCCGCUCCACCCGGAGAUGCGUCCACCAGUGAACAACAUUCCAGAUUUUUUACGCAGUGAAACGAAUUGCAUAAAUAACUACACCGUGUAGUAUAAUUUGUAUCAGUAUAUAUCGUGAACUAGUUCUAAUGCGUUUAGUUGCAUGGCUGUUGGAGGGAUCUUAUAUUUAUGAAGGAAAUAAAACAUUAAAUACAAUUUUUUGUUUCUAUGCAUGUAAUUCAUUUCCUUUCAUUGCAUAUUCUUUCCAUCAUAAAUUCAUGCGCAUGCAGACGGUAACAGAUUUUUAUGCAGUAUACCGAAUUGCAUAAUUAUCUACACAGUGUAGCAUAUAUAGUAUCAGUAUAUAUAUAUCAUAAAAUGAUCAUUACGAGUCUAGCUACAUGGCCGUUGCAGCGAUCCUAAAUUUAUGGAGGAAAUAAAGCAUUUAAAAAUAGAAAUCGCCAUAUAUAUCUUUAAUAAAUUUACGUGCAUGCAAGGGAACGUGUUUGACCAAUGCAUACAUUUUGCCAUAUUUUUUGGAUCUGUAUAAAAAUAGAAACCGCAUGCAUGCGGCUGCCAGGUUUUUUGGAUCUGCCAUAAAAAUAAGAUCGUAAUAACAACCUACUAGAGCUAUCAACCUCUAACAUUGGCUCGAUAUUUACGCUUAUAAUUGAGAGAUUUUAUGCUCGAAACUUAAGGUUAUUACGCUCCAACCCGGAGAUGCGUCCACCAGUGAACAACAUGCCAGAUUUUUUACGCAGUGUAACGAAUUGCAUAAAUAUCUACACCGUGUAGUAUAAUUUGUAUUGGUAUAUAUCAUAAACUAGUUCUAAUGUGGUUAGCUGCAUGGCUGUUGGAGGGAUCCUAUAUUUAUGAAGGAAAUAAAACAUUAAAUAUGAUUUUUUGUUUUUAUGCGUGCAAUUUAUUUCCUUUCAUUGCACAUUAUUUCCAUCAUAAAUUCAUGCGCAUACAGCUGGUAACAGAUUUUUACGCAGUAUACCGAAUUACAUAAUUAUCUACACAUGAUAGCAUAUUUAGUAGCAGUAUAUAUCAUAAAAUGGUCCUUACGAGUCUAGCUGCAUGACUGUUGCAGCGAUCCUAAAUUUAUGGAGGAAAUAAAGCAUUUAAAAAUAGAAACCGCCACACAUAUCUUUCCUAAAUUUACGCGCAUGCAAGGGAACGUGUUUGACUCAUGCAUGCAUUUCUUUUCUGCGCGCACAGACAUGGGGCGGAUGGCGCAACCGACAACCUUGUUCAGUCGACGCGCUGGGUUGAAACAGGUUGCAGGGGUGACGGCCUGGGCUUCCUUUAACUAUUGGAAGCCUAGGGCUCCCAUUAUACCUGCUAUAUAUAUAUAUAUAUAUAUAUAUAUGACAAUGGACUCUAAAUUUGUACACUAUAAAAUUUAAGGAUAAGAUUGAAUUAGGGUCGGGCUCUAUUUCUAUUAAUUUUUGAACCAAAAUUAUUUAGAGCCCUAAGAAAUUGUGAAGAAACAUUUGGAUCGCUAUCCAUUAACACCCCUACCUAUAUAUGUUAGCAUGUCAAUUCAAGGUCCAAUAAAAGAGAAAUAAAAGAGAAACUCGCAUAUAAUAGUAAAAUAUAUAUGUUAAUGUCAUGGAUUGUAGAAAUCAACUUCACUCAAGAAGACAACUGGGGCUACUAUACUCCAUGAUCAAGCAUCACUAUAUAUAUAUAUAUAUAUAUACACACACACGCUAUUCAUCAUCCUAGGUGAAGCUUCACCCAACUAUUGAUACUGAAUGAUCUUCAGUCAUUACUGUGAAAUGACCGAGCAAUCUUUAGCCAUUACCGGUUGGAAAAUGCAUCAACGAUCCUCAAACUUGGCACGAUUUAUCACUUGCGUAUCCUAACUCAAAAAACCAGGAAAACGAGUCUUGAACUUGGUCGACCCAUGCAAAAUCGGGUUUGCUCAAACUAGAUGUUGAUGUGGCAUGCCACGUUGGAGCGCACUAAAGAAAGUUCGAUUACUCAAGUGACAUAAAAUGCCAAGUUCGGGGACCUAAAGUGACACAACAUGUCAAGUUUAGGGACUGCACAUACCAGGUGGCGCACGACGCGCAUAGGGGGAGGUUCUAGCAUGGCACGCGACGUCGCAUCCGGUUGAGCAAAUCCAGUUUUAGAUGAUUUUGAAUGGGUCGACCAAGUUUAGGAUUCGUUUUCCUAGUUUUCUGAGUUCAGAAACCCAAGUGACACAUCGUGCCAAGUUCGAGGCCCAUUGAUGCACUUUGCUUACAUAUAUACUCGUUUAAAGCAUGAGUUUCGUGUAUUGUGUGUCAUACACGAAGCACAUAUAUCUAAUUUUCUCUCCCAAGUUUCGUCUAACAACUAGAUAAGAUAAGCCUUACCUCUUGCAUGAGCAACCAACCAUACAACCACCACGAGUGCUUUCUCCUCCCCCUUGUUGAUGAUGUCGUAUAUUAACCUCAACAACCUACCAUCUCUUUCCUCGUCUGCUUCUUCCUCACCCAAAUUCUUCUGUACCACCAUAGAUGACAUCGAGUAGGCCAUCCUGCUGGUCUCCGACUCGCUAACCGCAGCGCCCCACCGCGACACCGUCUUUACCUUCCCCCGUCGACAAGCGCUUCGGAGAGACAAUAAGGCAAGAACAACCGAGUGAGAGGAGGAGACGCUCCGGAUCUCGAGUUUAGUUUUAUGUUAGUUGUUGACAAAGAAAUUGUGAUAUAUUAUGGUCGAUAAUAAUAUAUAUAUAUUGCUGGGUAUCGAAUGUUUAUGUGUCGUCGUAACAUGCGGAUAUGUACUAGUAUAUAUAUUAUUUGUCAUCUCAAGUGAGGGACCUAACCAUCCAUCACCCGUAGCCAAUGACGCAGUCGGAUCAACGAGACACAGGUGGUUGACUCGGUCGGAUGCGUUCGAUCAUGUCUUAGCGAUAGAUUACUGGUUUAUCAGCCUUCGAUAAAUGUGUUGUUUUGAGUAUUAUUCUGAGUGCAGGCUUUUGUAGGCUUGUAACAAGUGGGCAGUGACAAGAUUAUUAAUGGUUGUUAACAAGUUAGUUUCAUGGUGGGAGAGUGCGUUAGCAGUGUCCUAGAUAUAAGCAAUAUCAACUUCUACUAGUUGUACAGUAUUUUAUUUUUAUAGAUUACAGUGCAACAGUCGACCAUGCAUCUAGCUUUACUAGCGGUGAUCAUCGUCGUCCACGACACAAGCAAUCAUAUUCUGUGACACUCUUUCCUCGUCCUUAUCAACCCAAUUCCAUCAUUCCAUGGUCAGACCUCUAGCUAGUGGGGACUGCUUCGAGCCAAGAAACAUGGGAAAAGCAUGAGAGGAAAGGGCCAGAGAAAGUCCAAUCGCUGCUGCGGGCGUGUAACUCGAAUGAGAGAGAGCUAUUAAUAAGUCAUGUAGAAAACGUGCACCUUCAAGCUGAGCUAAAACCUUUCAUUUAUUUUCACCAUUCAUCCUGUUGCGACCAUCUUUGGAUUAUAAAUAGCUUGCCAGAGCCAGCGGAUCCAGCAGAGCACGAGACACCCAAGAAACACACAGAAGCGAGGAGCACUACUUGUUGGUUGGAUUCUCUUCAGUCUAGCAGCUAGUCCAGUUAAGUUUCAGACACACAUGGGGAGCAUUGGCAGAGGCACGGCCAACUGCGCCACCGUGCCGCAGCCGCCGCCGUCGACAGGGAAGCUCAUCACGAUCCUGAGCAUCGAUGGCGGCGGCAUCCGCGGCCUUAUCCCGGCGACCAUCAUUGCGUACCUCGAGGCCAAGCUCCAGGAGCUGGACGGCCCGGACGCUCGGAUCGCCGACUACUUCGACGUGAUUGCCGGGACGAGCACCGGCGCCCUGCUCGCGUCGAUGCUGGCGGCGCCGGACGAGAACAACCGGCCGCUGUUCGCCGCCAAGGACCUCACCACGUUCUACCUCGAGAACGGCCCAAAGAUCUUCCCACAGAAAAAGUAUGCUCAUCCAUCUCUGUUCUUCUUCCAUCUAUCGAUCCUACCUAAUGGUGCUGCACUCACUGCAUAUGCAGGGCUGGGUUGCUGACGCCGCUGAGGAACCUGCUGGGCCUGGUGCGGGGCCCCAAGUACGACGGCGUGUUCCUGCACGACAAGAUCAAGAGCCUGACGCACGACGUCAGGGUGGCGGACACGGUGACCAACGUCAUCGUGCCGGCGUUCGACGUCAAGUCCCUGCAGCCCAUCAUCUUCUCGACGUACGAGGCCAAGACCGACACCCUCAAGAACGCGCACCUCUCCGACAUCUGCAUCAGCACGUCGGCGGCGCCCACCUACUUCCCGGCGCACUUCUUCAAGACCGAGGCCACCGACGGCCGGCCCCCCCGCGAGUACCACCUCGUGGACGGCGGCGUCGCGGCCAACAACCCCACCAUGGUCGCCAUGUCCAUGCUCACCAAGGAGGUGCACCGCCGCAACCCCAACUUCAACGCCGGCAGCCCCACCGAGUACACCAACUACCUCAUCAUCUCCGUCGGCACCGGGUCGGCCAAGCAGGCGGAGAAGUACACCGCGGAGCAGUGCGCGAAGUGGGGCCUCAUCCAGUGGCUCUACAACGGCGGCUUCACGCCGAUCAUCGACAUCUUCUCGCAUGCCAGUUCCGACAUGGUUGACAUCCAUGCGUCGAUCCUCUUUCAGGCCCUGCACUGCGAGAAGAAGUACCUUCGCAUCCAGGUACGAGUACGAUAUAUAUACUGAUGCAUAUAGAUAUAUAUCUUGUUCUUGCUAAUAUAUACUAAGGGAAAACUGAGAAAAAAAUGACUAAAAGUAAAAAUGAUGACACCAACAAAAAGGACACCAGCUUAAAAAAAACCCAUGUACUAUGUAUAGGAUGAUACUUUGACUGGGAACGCAUCGUCCGUGGACAUCGCCACCAAGGAGAACAUGGAGUCUCUGAUAUCGAUCGGCCAGGAGCUGCUCAACAAGCCAGUGGCGAGAGUGAACAUCGACACAGGGCUGUACGAGUCCUGCGAGGGUGAGGGCACAAAUGCACAGUCGCUAGCUGACUUCGCCAAGCAGCUCUCUGACGAGCGCAAGCUACGCAAGAGCAAUCUCAACUCCAACUAAUAAAUACCUCUCGGUCACAGCAUGUGCUCUUUCUGCAGAUUCACCGUUUCUUAUUUUUAAUUUCAAUUUCAAUUCAGUGUAUGUGUGUGUGUGACUGUGUGUGUACCAAUAAACAUUUAAGUUCACUCAUUUGCUUGUCUAUGAUCAAAAGAACCAUUUCCUUCUGAUGCGCACGGUUGAUUUGCCUAUAAUAAUCUGUGUGAUGCAAGCACCCUAACUUUCUGGAUUGUAAUCUUGCGAUCGACGACGACAAUGACAUUGAUGAUAUGAUACCUUUUUGAUAGACGUAUUCAGAAGAUAGUCUUCAAUGAGGAACAAAACGGAGGAAAGCCGACUCCUCCACGAGUUCGACUGCUUCGACUGCUUGCUUUGUACUAUUUCUCAGAAAUACACUAUACAAAAUCUGUAUAAAAUGCUUAUUAUCGUAUAUGGAGAGCAUGACAAGCAAGAACCUAAGGGUUGAAUAGGUGAAAUCUGAAAUUUAUCACUUAAUAACAAAAGCUUGAUCCUCAAUUAGGUGUUAGAACAAGAAGUAAUUUAAUCAGAGUAUAAAGGGAAGCUCUACCUUGCAAUAAAGUGUUUCUCUUGCAAAUGUGCUGAAUGAACUUUGAAGCAACACUUAAGGAUUUGAAUGAGGAUCAAAGCAAGAGAACUUAGAGAGGAAGAAGAAAAAUAAAAUCGCAAACAAACAAACAAACACAAAUGACACGAUGAUUUAUUUACCGAAGUUCAGUUUUCCAAUAUAACUUAUGUUUCCAUUGAGGUGUCACAAGGGAUCAUGUCUCUUGCAACUCUCCUAAGUGACCCCCAAAGAUCAAAUUUGAGUCCUCUUGCUUUUCUUGACUGAGAGACCAAAGUCUCCGCAAGGUACCUUCCACGUCGAAGCCUAUUGCUAGCUUUAUAAUGAAUCAGAGUCAGAGCUCCAAGCUCAAAGAUCACAAAAAUGCAGCACAGACUCUUCUAUAUUGCACUCUUCACAAGGCAUUAUUACAAUUCACACUCGGAUGGCCAUCACUUGCUCAAUUCUCUUCUUUGUGGCAGUUGGGAGGCUUUGAUCACUUGGGAGUGUUGCUCUAGUGUAUUAGAUUUAUUGCUUAGCUCUAAUGUAUUGAAUGAGCUGGAUGGGGUGUAUUUAUAGCCAUCAACCACCCAAAUAGCCAUUGGGACAAGUUCCCAAACUGCAUAGUUUAUGGAUGCACCGGACCUGCUACAGUGACUGAACCUCUACCGUGCCUAUAGAUUCAGUGACCAUUCUGAUCCCUUUAUCAACUUGUUAGGUACACUAGACCGGUCUGGUGCACCAUUGGACCUGCCAUGUCGAUGCUACGUCAUUCGAUCGCUGAGGAAACUCAUCCGGCUAUUGGGUAUACGGGUGGACCGGUGCUCACUAAACCGAAGUUCGAUGCUCCAACUCCAUGAAGUCUAGAAACAUCAUCUCUGUGUAAUGGAUCUAGUGCACCAUAGGAUUGGUCCGAUGCACCACCAAACUGGUUCGGUGCACUAACCCAUCCAAGGCAAGAAUAAUCCUUCUUUAUGUAACGCAGAGCAGCACAAUUAAGUUCUUUUGGGGCUUUUCUUCUUUGUCUUGGUUUGGCUGACUUCUUGAGCAUUUCUAUGACUUAGACAAAGCAACAUAGUUUAAGGAGUAAUAUUACAACAAAGGAAUAUUAUGGUGAAAAAAUGUUUUAUGGACUAAUAUUGGAAAAGCAACAUAUUUUGGUGAAAAUAUGGUUUCUUCCCAUUGGGAAAGCCUUGGUUCACGGUCACGGAUCCGACUUUCCAGUCAAUGAUCUGUGUGGCCCUAGAUGUAAAUGUGAACCACUUGAGGUGGCUACAAAGUACAAAGGCUGCGCGUGGUGGCUGUGCUGGGCGUGGAGCGGCGCGGGAGCGAGUUUUUGGGGGCUCCAGCUUCAGGCCUCGUUUGGCAAGUGUAGGAUCUAAUACACAUGUGACCUAAAUCACCCGUGUAUAAGAUGGAUCCCGUCUAGCCACCCAAUCCCCCUCCAACCGAUCCCCACACACGUGUAUUGAUUUCCAUAUAAGUACAAGUGUAACAUAUUGACUGUUUGCCAUCACUAUAAAAACAUUAUAAUAUGCUUUGCUAGCGUUAUAUACUAAAUAAGUAUUGUAAUUUUCAUAUUUGAAAUUUAAAAUAAAACAAAAAUACUAAUAUUCAUAUUGAAAUUUAAAAUAGCACUGAAAAAUUAGCACAAAUACUAAAGACCAUGACACAUCGAAUGUGCAAAUUAACAUAGCAUUCAAAAGUGCUUAGAAAAAACAUUCAUCGUUCUAGUCCUGAUUUAAUAACAAGAAGUAUUACAUUCAGAGGUGCUUAUGUCAAAUUAAAUAAACAUCCAUCUUUGUAGUCUUGAUUUAAUGACAAGAAGGAUCACAUUCAUAGGUGCUUAUAAAAAAUGAAGAUUUCACAAGUGCUAUGACAUGUUCCAACUGAAAGUUCGCCUACUAGAUUGCUUUCAAACAAUUGCUAGUAAUAAUUUCAAGGUCUUCCAAAUUCUUCGUUGCAUUUUCUUUGAGCCCUCAAGUUUCAAACAACACUGCAAAACAAAGACACAUUGUGAGCUAGGAAAAAUUACUUACUGCAGGAGAUAAGGAUCACAAAAGGGAUUAGACAAGAUAAUAUCAAAGUAUGAACUAUUUUCUAAUAAUAGUAUGAACUAUUUCCCAACUUCUUGGCAUGUAUUUGUUGCUACUAGUGAAACAUCCAUAGAAGACUAGUUAAACACUAUAUUUUGCUGCUAUCAGAGUAUUUGAUGCAAACAUCCCAACUUUCAAUAUCCAAACAAUAUUUAGUAAACAGUAUAAGAGGGAUAACAAGAAGAUCAGUACCAUAUCAUGUUCUAGCAAUCUUCUUCCUCAACCAUUUUAUGCGUGUAGCAUCUUUGGUAGUCAUGAAAAUGGCCCUAUUUUGGGCGUCCUUAAACACAUCAUAAGCAUCAACCUUCUCAUCAUCAGAAAGCUCUUCCAUUCCAUCCACAAUAGCAAUGCAUGUUGUAGUAGGGAAAUCAUCCUCAUUUGCAUUAGUUGUCACCCUUUUCUCCACCUCAUCUUGUUUUCUUUCAUCUCUAGAAACCUUUCCAUCAUUUCAACCACCUUCCCAUCUUGUCCACGCUUGUCAAUUCUUGUCCUUGAACUACCAGCACCAACAUUUUUUGCCCUUUUGCUCAUUGAUGUAGGGGCUAUUAGAUCUAAUACUCUAAGGUCAUCAUCUUCAUUAGAAAUGGCUUGUGUGAUUGUAGCUUGAGAAGGAUGUGCGAAAGCAGCUUGAGAAGGUUAUGCGAAAGCGGCUUGAGAAGGCUGUGUGAAAGCAGCUUGAGAAGGUUGUGUGAAAGCGGGUUGAGAAGGUUGUGUGAAAGCGGGUUGAAAAGGCUGUGUGAGCGUAAAAGCAGCUUGAGAAGGAUGUGUAGCAGCACCUUGACAAGGUUGUGUGACUGGAGGUCGAGAAGGCUCAAUAGAAGUAAAAUUCAUGGUUCCCUCAGCAAUAUUCCCUAAACCAAGAAGCGUUGUAAGUCUUUAAGACUUCAAUACUAGGAUAAAAAUAAGAGGCUCAAUACUAAGAUAAAGAAAAACAUAGAUAACAUACCAUCAUGUAGCUCUCCUAAAGCCUCAAAUAGUGGGAAAGAUUUAGUCCGAAACUUCUUAAGUCUCUCGUUACUCUAAACAAAGCAAGAAAGUGGUUCACUUGAGUUAGUCAAUUAUAACAAAAAUAAUCAAAAUAAAAAUCCAGAUUUCAACAGAAUUUAACACCUGGAUAAAAAUUAUAACAGAAACAAUUAACUUACAGUGGUGAGGUUAUUCCAAAUGGGUUCUUUUGCCUCUAUUCUACACAACCGCUCAUCCCAUGAUACCCCACUUUGUUGUCUUGCCUCUUUAAGAGCCUUGUAGUCUCUCUUUAACUCUUUCUCUUUAUCUUGGAUUUGACAUUUUGUAAAUGUGACAUAAGGGAAUUUCUCAUGGAAUAACUUGACAAUUCUAUUCCAUGCUUCCGAUGACCACCCAUUUUGGCCCUUAUAACAGUCAUUGUUGUGGUCUUGAAGAAUUUGAACUAAACCCUUUUCUAGUCCACUAUUCCAGUUUGCUCUAAGACGACCAACUAUGACAAGAAAAUAAAGCAAAUGAGUAGGUGAUAGUAUAAAAUAAGCAAGAAUAGGUAACAAAGUACCUUUUGGUGAUGUUCUCUUCUUGCGCUUGUUAGUAGUAGAUCUAGGGGAUACUCUUUGCAUAGCUGCAGCUUGGAUCAGGUUCAUCCUAGGAGAUCCUCUUCUAAACAUUCUUGCUGCAUAUAUAAACAUCCAAACAAUUGAGACUUACAUAUAUAGAAAUAUAUGAGUUUAAACAUCCAAACAAGUGAGACUUACAUAUAUCAUGAACGAUGUUGACUAUAAUCAUUCCACAUAUUCAAUGCAAUCAUAUCUCUAACAGAGUUCCCAUUAUCCACUUGGCUAUUAAGCGACACGACAUCAUUGCUAUAGUAAUUGUCUCCUCCAGGAAGAUCAACAAAAGUUUCUGGCGAUAUGUUACUUGUUUGGCUAUUCAACCAAUCUUCAUCCCCAUUAUGCAUCCGUAUAAUAUUAUGGAACAACACUGCUGCAGCUGGUAUUUUCACUUGGUUCCUAAUUGAGUGGUGUGUUCCAACUUUUAGAAUGGGGAAACGCUUCUUCAAAACUCCUAUUGCUCUCUCUAUGUGGUUCCACAAUAAAACAUGCUAGUGAUUAAAUAAUUCCUUAUAGUUUCUUGGUCGUUGGUGACCAUGGCCAAAUUCUUUCAAAUGGUAUCGAACACCACGGUACGGUGCAAUGAAUGAUGGUGUGUUAGAAUAUCCCCCAUCGACAAGAUAAUACUUUCCCUCAGGAACAUGGAAUCCUCCAAGUAGCGCAGACCUUAGAACCCUAGCAUCUGUAGCGGAUCCCUCCCAACCAGAUGAUAUAAAAGUAAAGUUCAAGUCAAAAUCACAAACCAACAUUACAUUUUGACUUAGUGUGCCUUUUCUAUUCCUAUAGGGAGCUUGCUUUUCUGCUGAAAUGGUAAUUGGAACAUGUGUUCCAUCAAUAGCUCCAAUGCAAUUAUGGAAGUAAGGAAAGAACCAUUCAUCCAUGCUAAUCUUCCAAUGAACUGAAAUUCCAGUGGCAGGCUUCACAAAUCUAUACAUGAGAGAUGGGAUUAUAUGGAAAACUGAUUGGAUGUGUCGAUGGAUAGUUUCACCACUAUGUUUAAAUUCAUGUUGUAAAUCCUCAUAACUAGCAUUAUGGGACAACAUGAAAAGGAACAUUCCCAAUUUUUCUUCCAAAGUAACACCCCUUGUAUCACGUAGGAUGUGUUCUUCUCUAAGAAAUGAUGCUAUAUCUUUGAAUAUACUAGGCUCCAUACGGAAUGCGACAAGACAAUUCUUCUCAUGUCCUUCGAGAAUCUCAUUAAGUCUCUCCUUGCGAGAUAGAAUAGAAGCAUGCCUUGCUCUUUUCUCUCUCCCUCUAUUACUAAUUAAAUAAAGAGCAGGGAAAAGAAAGAGCAUUAACUCCUCGUCCUCCUCUUCUCUUCUAUUCCUAAUUAGUUGAUCCAUUUUUCUUAUCCUUGGUACAAUGCAAUCUGAUAUCAUAGCAUACAAAACAAAAAAAUGGGCUAAUAAAUUUCAGAAUAUAACAAAUCAAAGGUUAAGAGUCAUUGUAUAUGCAAAACUUAAUUAUUAUUGCUAACAUGUAUGAGGAAAUAACUAUUUCAUAAACAGAGAAAAAAAGGAAAACACAGGAUUAGAAAAUAAUUGCAGUCGGAAAAACAAACGCAUGAGGAAAUAACUUUUUCAGCCAUUCUACCAUUGACUACGCUUCUGGCCAAUAUUUGGCUAUAGGAUUAGUAGCUGCUAGCUGGAGCUGCUUUUCUAGUGCCGCUCACCCUGCCAGAUGCGUGAAAUCAAGAUCCGUGCUGCUCACCCAAUAAGGCAGCAGCGACUGCUUUUGGCCUAUCCGUGCCACUCAACCAACAAGGCAGCAGCGGCUGCUUUUGGCCUCCUUUUUCUCGCACCUCGCGGCUCCUCCCCCCUCUCCGUGUCGUCUAUUCUCUUCUCUUGUUCGUUCAUCCCGCACAGGUGCCGGCGCCCAGCCAGUGCCGACGCUCAAGAACAGGAAGAAAUGCAGUACAUGAUGAAGUAAAACUCACACGCUGGACGAACGAGAUCGGCGGCGGCGUGGAGAGUCGUGGAUGCCUCUCGACGAGAUCGGCGGCGGCGUGGAGAGCCGUGGAUGCACUCGUCUUGAUCUAGGGUUAGUGACGCCGCCACGCGAGAACGACAGGCUGUCUUCCACGCCUCGGUGGGGAUUUUUCUAUCCCCGGCGUAUUGGCGUGUAUAGGACCCUAAUACACUUGAACACCUGAUUUGCCAAAGAUAAAUAUGGGCCACACAGGGAACAUGCUCCCGUCGUGGACCUGAUUACACGUGGGACAUGUAUUGGGCCUCAAUACUCGCUUUUACACCCGUUGCCAAACAAGGCCUCAUGGGCUAAACCGACUCCUGCUCCCUCCAAUGAGCUGUUUUAGCUGACGUGUUUGGGAGCGCUCUGUCUAGUAGCCAGAGUGGGAGCCGUCCCAAAUGGUCUCUUAUGACCAUUUAAGAUGCACAUAGAACACAUAGGGUGUGUUUGGUUCUCUUAGAAGUUGAGCCUGGCUCGUAUGAUCUUAGCCAGUAUUGAUACAACCAGAAUGAGUUCAUGUAAGCGCUUUUGUUUGGUUGCUCAUACAGACACGUGCAGACCAGACACAGACUUUGUUUGGCUGUUUAUAUCAGAACAUGUACUAGAGAAAAAUUUAUGAAUAAAUCUCCACAUAUUAUACAAUAUGUGUGGUAUAGUUUUGUUCGCAAGAAUAUGAGGAACUUGAAUAUAAAAUCGGUGUAGUGGUUAAAUCUAAACACACAUAAACUCUACAUCGGUUUGUGUGCCGCUGCAUUGGCAGCGCCUACACGCGGGCAUACGUCCGCUAGCCGCGUAUGCCCUCAGCCUGAUUGCAGCCCUUGAAUUACAUCUGUUGAACCAGUACAUAAAGUGCAGUCAACCAAACACGACUUGCUUUAAAAUUCCACGGGUGCAUAUGCACGCUGGCGUAAAACAAACAAACAGGUCAAUACUGUGUGAUUGGUUACCAGGCCAACGGUGCAUAGGCCAAGCACGUGUGUUGACCGUGCUUGUGCCUCUGAUUAUUUACUUGUAUAGCAUGCGCCUAAUCUGUACGUGCGGGUACAACAAAGGUAUUUUCUUAGUAGUCUAGCAUGCGUGGAAACGAGAGGCUGGAGCCUUUCUAUCGGCUCAGGCUAGCACAAGCCGGGCAGAAGCGAGGCCGGCAACCAAUCACGAUGAUAUUGAAUCGUUGUCAUCCAUCUUAGAUUUAAGGGAGGGGGCUCUUUGGAGAAAACAGAGAAGGAUGAUGGAGGGAUGUUCUUGGAAAAUAUACAUGACAGUAACAAGAGGUGCAGAAUGACGUUAGAUCUAAAAUGGAUGCUUGUGAUUUAAUAUGUGCACCAAAAGCCUAUAUAUAUAUACCUGAUGGGUUCCCUAUUUCUAUAGGGGCAUCCGGGGAAAAAAGUUAAAGAGGGAGGAGGAAUCUUUGGACGAAAAUAUAAAGAUGUGCAUAUGUCUCCUUUCCUUCUAAAUAAAAGAAACUUUAAAAUUUACUGAAUUACUAGUACGUACUGACUAAUAAAGCACCAUUGCAGCGUCAGCUAGGGUAUCAGAUGAAAGCACUUUCGGCGUUCCUUUAUUCUCAGAGUCACAUGGUGGCUACCACCAUUGAGCUUUCCCUCUUCCAACCAGCUGCAUGCACAUCGUGCAACUUUGCAAACUGUUUCUGGUCUGGUGCUCAGGGUCUCAGCAGCUCAGCAGCCCCACACCUCAUCUCAUCGGCAGCCGUCCAUCCGUACUUGUGACCCUACGCCAUCAACACCUAGUAUAUAUAACUUGUUGCCGGGCGCCUCAUCCACCACCACCGACGACGAGCACCCUGAGCCUCCGCCGUCGAGUUCGAGACGAGACGUACCACUAUGGAGAGUGAGCACCACCUGUUCGAGAUCGCGGCCGCCCGGCUCGAGCGUAGCUCUGCCUUCUUGGACGAGGACUACUGUUCAUGGUCUCCCUGCAUACAGGGCUACCACUGGCGAUGCGUCUGCUCCGCUGACCCCGCUGCUGGUACGGCGUCCUUCACCGUCUCUCUUCCCUACAGCAGCACCCGCGAGCCCCUCAACGCCUCGUUCAAGCUCAGCCUGCUGGACCGAGGAGGCCUGCCGGUGCCGUCCAGGACCCGAGCCACCUUGUUCCAGAACUGCCUGAUCCAGCAGAUGUGGCAGUGGGAGUGUCCGGGCUUCCUCACCAGGGACGACCUAGAGCGGCACGAGUACUACCUCGACAGCGACGGCGGCCGCUGCUUCCGCGUCCGCUGCGACAUCGCCAUCAAGCCCUUCGCCGCGGCCACGGCCGGCGACGGCGACGCCUUCGUCGCGGCGCCCCCGUCCGACGACCUCCACCGGCACCUCGGCGACCUGCUGGCGCGCAAGGACGGCGCGGACGUCACGUUCCAGCUGGUCGACGCGGGCGGCGAGACGUUCUCCGCGCACCGGUGCGUGCUCGCGGCGCGGUCGCCCGUGUUCAGAGCGCAGCUGUUCGGCGAGAUGAUGGAGAGCAGCAAGGGCACCGGCGUCGUCAUACCGGUUGAGGACAUGGAAGCCCAGGUGUUCAGCGCCCUGCUGGCCUUCAUCUACACCGACUCGUUGCCGCCGGAGACUGGCAGCGGCGACGACGACGACGACGACGACGAUGAAGCCAUGGUGCAGUAUCAGCUUCUGCUUGCCGCCGCGGACAGGUACGGCGUCGACAGGAUGAAGCUGGUUUGCCAGGAGAAGCUGUGCAAGCACAUACGCGCGGACUCGGUGGCCACGAUGCUGGUUUUAGCUGACCGACACCAUUGCCCUGCGCUCAAGGAGGCGUGCUUCCGUUUCCUCUCUUCUAGCGGCAACCUUGGCUCCUUCACUCAGACGACGGAUGGCUUCGAGGUGCUCAACGCCAGCUGCCCUGCUGUUCUCAAGGAGCUACUGGCCAAGCUUGCCACCGUUUUGAUCUUCUGAGUAGCCAUGGCCAACGGUUUCCAGUUUCAUACAAUGCAGGUUGCUCUGCUCGUUUCUCAAAAGCGAUGCACGUACGUAGUAAUCUUCUUUGAUGAAUUAGUACGUGCAGGUUUUGAACGCAUUUUUCCGGUGGUCGUCUGCGAAAACGAAAAAUCGCUAGAAAUUCGUUGAAUUUGGUAAAUCUCGAGCGCUUUGUUACUUCAAAUUUGAAAACCCUGAUUUUCGUUGCUCUCGAAUAGUCCUGCAAGUUUGGGCCGUGCUUACUGGGCCAGCACGAGCUCGGCACGAAAUGGAAGGCACGCAGCCCGGCCCAGCACGAAUUAGGAAAAACCGGGCUAACACGGCACGUUAGACGGGCUGGGCCGUGCUCCGGCUUGUGGCCCAACGGCCCAAGUAGCCCGGCACGCCUUCGUGGGCCGUGCUCGGGCCAGCCCGACACGAUUUUUAUUAGCGCGAUAUUUAUUGGCGGCGGCUCUCAGUUAGGGUUAGGGUUGAGCGACUGCUCGGUUCCUGUGGCGGUGCCGCGGCGGCUCUCGGUCCCUUUACUUCUCCUCCUCCCUUGGUUCCUCCGCUAGUCCGCUCGUUCUCUUCCGACUUCCGCCGUUCCGCGAGACCGCGACCGCGAGUCCGCGACUAGGAACACCGCCCAGCCAACCGCCGCUCCUUCCCUCCUCCUCGGUUCCUCUGCGCCUUCGUCACGCUCCUCGUCAACCGCCACCUCGUCUACAUCGCUGGCAGCCUCGGCAACCGCGCGGACCCGGCCACGGCCACGAGCAGCGCCAAACCCGUCGAGGACGUCGAGCGCAUCCUCCGUGAGAUACGCCCUAUCUCAGCUUAGGUGCCUGACUGUGCUCGGUGCCCACGCCACGAUGCGCAGAGCGCACCGCGCAGGCGCGCACGCCAGGCAGGUGCCCGACGGCCAUCUCCGGAUCUCCCUGGCGCCCAACGACCAUCUCCCCAAGCGCCAUCUUCCCAAGCGUCAGGCCUUCAGCCCAGUGGCCAUCUCCUGAUCUCCCCACGGGCCACGACGACCGAGAUGCAGAGGCCGAUGCGUGCUUAUCGGGACUGCCCAAGCUCCACUUGAAUUGUGUGUCGUGCCUGGGCCAGCACGGCCCGACGGAAGCCCGUCGUGUUUUAGGGCCAUGCUGGGCCUUAUUUCUACUCACCAGGCCCGGUAAGGCACGACCCGAUUCUAUUCCGUGCUUGCUAGGCCCGACUAACUGAGGCCUGAAGCACGGCGGGCUCGUGCCGGGCCGGCACGGCACGACCCAAGUUGCAGCACUACUCUCGGACGGUUUUCGUUAAAUCCUGGCCGGUUUUCGAUGCUUUUUCCCUGGGAAAUACUUUUUCACGUUUGGCAGUGUGACUGUGACAGCCGACGUGCAAGUUACGUGCAAGUUGAGGCAUGCAGACCAUCAUCAGCUGUGUCGGCUGUGCUAGUAGUAGUAGCUAGUUCAAUUCAUCAUGUAGUAGUAUAUAUGUCCACAUGGGCCGACCCGUCGGCCGGCCCACAACCCGACCCGCUAGAAACCCGGCACGGCCCGACCUAGUAGAUGGCGUGCCCAUGCUGGGCCAGCACGAUGUACGGGCCGUGUUUGGGCUGCAUGUAUGGGCCAUGGUGUAAGCACGACCCGGCCCAGCUAACAUGCACGGCUCGACACCAGCCUGCUAUGGCGCGCAUGUACACCUGCCCGGUUGCCCCCAUCGCCUGGCCAUCCCCAGUCGGCCAGUCCGCACACACAUGCGCCCGUUCGAGAAACCCUAGUUUGCCUCCCUCGCCGCCUCUCGCAGACGGACUCGCUCGUGUCGUCGUCUCCUGCUCCGAUCGGUGCUCAAUGACUCGGCGUCCAGGUUCGACCGUUGGAGCUCCUCUCGUCCUCCCAAUUGGUGCUCUGGUUCUAGGUCUGGUGCUCCAUCGCUGGCUCGUUGCUCGCUUGCUCCGCUGCUAGGUUUGAGAUCUGCUCUAGGUAUCGACUUCUAGUGUUGUGUGCCUGUGUCUGUGUUAUCCUCUCUGUUCUUGCCUUCUACUACCUUCUAGCUACUCCACCUGUCCUCCAUUACCUCCUAACUUCUCUGUUUGGAAACCCUAAUCGUCGAUCUUUCAAGAUCUCCGCUCUAUUUUCCCCUUCUCGGCGAAUCUGGUGCUCCGGCUGCGCAGCGCAGGUGAUAGGACCUCUACCACCUACCAUUGUCCCCUCCUGUCCUCCAUUACCUCCUAACUUCUCUGUUUUUGGUAUUUAAAUACAUAUGAGAAUGACAGACAACUAAGAAAUACAGUAUUUCCUAUGAAAUCAAAGUUUCUAAAAUACUGGAGGGAUAUCCCUACUCUCUAUGCAUUUCUUUCAUUCUUGAUCCUUGAGCUACGAUGAGGGAGUUCCAUAAAGUUCUUCUAUGGUUAAAUUAUCUAACUAAUACCGAUUACUCCAGAUUUCAUUCAGUUAUUUGUAACAAGUUAACUAGGAUGUUUCAGAUCUAUGAACUCAAGUUUGGUGAGGUUUGCUUGAAUAUCAAUCCCCAACCAUCAGGUGGCUCUGGUAAUGCCACAAAGGCUUGUGAUGAUAUAUAUGGUGAUGAUGACUCUUAUAGUAUCAACCUCUACAAAUGUUAUGUCUGAGCUUUCUUCAUACCUUGACAGUGAUCCUGAAGCUAAGUUUGGACCUGACUUCAAUAUACUCAAAUGGUGGCAACAACAUAAGAUUACUUAUCCUAUUCUUUCAAUACUUGCUAGAGAUGUUUUGACUGUUCCUGCCUCCACUAUAUCUUCAAAGUCUACAUUUAGUUUAGCUGGCAUGGUGCUCGAGGAGCGGCGACGAUGCCUAACAACAGACAUGGUGGAUGUUCUCUCUUGCAUCAAGGAUCGGGAACUAGGAGAUCGGCAUAAGCAGCACGCAGUGGACAAGGAAACCAAAGAACUUGAAGCUACAUUUGAUGCUACGUACCUGGAUGAAGACCUAAGCAAGUAGUGAUGAGUUCUGUUUAUUUGUUUUGUAUACCUCUUGUAAUGUCUAUGAACCUGACCUGGACAUGAACUGUUGGACAUUUGGACUAAAACCUAAAAGGAGCUGGCUGUACUCUUUUCCUUCCUAGGGUUUUCGCGAGGUGUGAGUUUUUACCUAGGAAGGUUUUUAACGAGGCAGCAUAUUGCACUAAGGCUCCAUUAUUAUUCACUAGUGUUGUGCUCUUAUCUGAAUGUUGUGAAUUCUGUAGAUUCUAGAUUUAUGUACUUUAAUUUUGUUAGUAUACUAGAAUUAUGUUAUUUGAAUGUGUGUACUGUCAUCUAAAUUUGUGUAUUGUUGUUACUAUAUUGAAAUUUGUGUACUUUACCGGGCUGAUGGGCUACCCGACACGGUUUGUAAAUUGUGCCCCCGGCCCGGCCCGAUUAAGUGGUAGGCGUGCUGGGCCUAGGCCUAAUCCACAACAAACAGUGCAGCACGGCCUGGCAUGGAACUGUUGGCGUGCCGGGCUCGGCCCAGUUAUAUCCGUGCCGGGCCAAGUCGUGCUAGAGCCAGGUUGGCCCGGCACGUCCUAAUGGACAUGUAUAUGUAGUAGACAUUUUAUUGCAGGAAUUUACUACCACGAGCCUAGCCACAACUUGUGUGCAUCCGCUUUGAGGAUAACUUCCCAUCGGUAACUGCCUUCCAGCGACCGGAUCUCACCGAUGAGGAGUCGAGAAAAUGAGCACCUUUUUCACAUCAAAAGAUAAUUAUUUUGGGCAACAAUUUUUUUAGUUUAUGGUACCCUCUAGUUUUUAAUAAGUUUUAUUUUUCUGAUUUUCUGAUUUUUUUGAAAUUUAAAAAUUUCCAACAAAAUUUACGGGAAAAAACGUCAGGAUAAAAAACCGCCUUAAUCCGGGAACGAGAAAAACAGGCGGUAACCGCCGGAUUUCGAGCGAAAUAUUUAACUCUGUAUAUCUCAAUAUGGGUUCAGUUAUCUGAGACAAGCAUUUUUCAGAUGUGGUUCGGUUAUUCCAGUCAACUAUUUUUUAAAUAUUUUUAGAGGCGGACAGGUCGUCUUCCUUCAAUUCAAAGUCUGCGCUAAUUGUUCUUUACAGAGACGGACAACAUGAUCGCCUCCAUUAAUCUUAUUAAUGUGGUGGUUGCUGUAGAAAUACAUCUAUCUUGAUCGCCUCCAAAAUAACGACGGUAUGUUGUAAAUCUCUACUACUUAUUAAGGCGGUAAGGAGUAGUCUGUCAUUCCGUGUUCUGCCAUUCCCAUUCCGCCCUCUCCGCGCCCAUUCCAAUUCCCGGCUGCCAUUCCAUGUUCUAUCAUUCUCAUUCCGCUCUCCUCGCACUGUCUUUCUCAUCCCCCUUCCACAAAGCUCAUUCCCAUUCCCAUGUGCAUCCCACGCAUAGAUAAAAUUAAAUUAAAAAACACAAAUGGUAGCUAUCACUACAACACAUGUGUGUUUAUGUCAAUAUUUGUUAUAGUAAAAAUAUCUACUAUAUCUCUCCCAAAUCCCACCUGCUACCCUUGCACAAUGUGUAGUAGUAGAUAAUUAUCAACGAGAUUAUUACUGAAUUAUAUUUUUGGACGGAUGCAGUAAUAUUUAAAGAAGAGACAUGCAUGCAAUUUCUUUGAUUUUUAUAAUAUUUUCAGCUUAAAUUCCUUUUUUAUAUGUGUGACAUUUAUUCUCCGUAAUAUUUUUUCCAUGAAUCUGACUUGUAAGUCAUUUUCAUAAACCAACGCCAAAGAUGAAUCCAUGUUUCUUACUUGGAAACCCCGAACAAACACCACUGGCAGGAGGCGCUCGCGUUGGCGUUGCUCAUCGACGACGAGAAGAAGCUUGGUGACUGCCAGUUCGACCUCUGGAAGCAGUCCUACGUGUCCGCAUGCGCCGAUGUGUUCGACAAGCUCCGGCGCAGCCGCCGCUUGGACGUGGUCCAGAGUGGCUGCACCGCGCUGUCCAUCUUCAAACAGGGGACCUCAUGGUCGUCCCCAACGCUGUCGACUCUCGGGUUGUUCUAGGCACCACACCCGACGACGGCGCUGUCACGUCGUUCAGCUCAUCAUCCAUCUGAAGCUCAACCUGUCACGUAAGUCGCUACUGGUCGGCCAUGAAUUCUUGUGCGCUGGGACGACGACCGUUGCUGACGUUGUGUGAGUGUCCUCGAACAAGAUGUAUGUAGAGGAGUAGCACAUCCGAUGGUGCAAUGACUAGGUGUACUACCUCGCUGAUGAGCCUGAGGUGCACUGCAGCCCAGCCAAGAGUCAUCGGUACUCGCCAUGUCGUGCGCGUUCGACGACUACUAUAUCAAGGUAUGUGGCUUCAUCUUGGCGCCAGAGGUGACGCAGAAGAGGACCGACAGAAAUGACCACUUGCCAUCGUCAGGGUAGAUUUUGUGCCGGCCUGCCUUUAAUUCUCUUCGCAGACACAUACACUUGCCUUUUUUGUUUAAGCAAGCGUGUAUGGUGGUGCGUACCUGAUGACUGACAAUGUACGAGGGAACUUGUACCGGCAGGUGUGGCACGUGCUCUUCAAUGAUGAGACCAUGCAAGUCGUGGCAUAUAUCGAAGUCUGCAUGAUACUAAUGGUUGCAAUGUAGUAGUGAAACAGCUAAAUUAAAAUAACAAAAUUUAUGUAUGACCAGGAUUACAAAUGGAUCAUGAAACAUUUUUUGAACAAUAUAAGACACAUUUUGUAUAUAAGUUAUCAUGUUAUUAUAUGUUCCCGUUGCAACGCACGAGUACUCAUCUAGUUUUAAAAAAUGGACUGAGCGGUGAGACCUAUUCGAUAAUAGGGUUUCCAUAUUUCACAACAGAAAUCCAGGUAAUUUCCGUCGGCCAAGAACCAACGAAAAGGAGCCUUAACCGACAGGAAUAACUAAUUCCUCUUGGCCGACGGGAAUCCCUGGACGGGGUUUAGUUAAUUUCCGUCGGCUUACUUGGUCCAUCGGCUUGAAAGUAGGAGUCAGCUAAUUCUCGUUAGUCGUCUUCUGACCCAUGGGAAUUAGUUGGCCUUAUUCCCGUCGACAAGAGAAAGGCCGACGAGAAUUAACUAGCUAAUUCAUGUUGGCUAUGUCUGGCCCAUGGGAAUUAUCUUGCUUAUCCCCCUCGGCUAUGGUCUAGCCCGCCCAUGGUAAUUAACUUUCUUAUCCUUAUCGGCUCUGGUCAGGUCGACGGGAAUUAACCUUUCCUAGUGCAAACCAGCAACCAAUUAGACUCAAUUUCUCUAUAAAUUUAUACACAAUAGUACUCAUAUGAUAUAUAUCAUCACGUAAAGUCACAUACAUCAAUAUUGGUCACAUAUUACCAACACAUUCAUUCACAUAGCUCACAAAACUUCACAUUACAACCACAAUCAAUUAACACAUCAUAAACUUCACAUCACCAACACAACUCACAUAACCAUUUCAAAUAGCAACAACGAGAUAAGUUAAAGUGUUUAGUUCAUGAAAACACAUAGGGUUCAAAGUUUAAAAAUCAAAGACCACCACCAUUUGGUUUAAGUUACUGUGGGAAACCAUCCACAAGUUAAGAAACAAAGACGACCAAAAGUACCAUACUCAGGGAUAACCACCACUUGGAUGGUUUUUUAUAAAAUCAUCAGGAAUUCGUUUGGCCGACGGGAGUCAUCCUGAUUCCUGUUGUGUUUGGUUAUCAACAUAAUUAUUUGGACUCACAAUAUUUGCUAAUGUCUCUUAUUAUAGUCCAAUGGGUGCAACAUGGACAUGGGUGAUAUCAAAGUAGUAAUCGAGAUGAUCAUCACCUCAACAAAGACAUUAGAAGACUCAUUGAGGGAAGGGCAGCGUACUGAAUAGUCCCACCAUCACAUUCACAAGAGGCCUCGAUAACGACAAAGUCCGACAAUUAUGCAGUGAGGUUCUAGAGAGGAAAUGGGGCAUUAGACGUUAUGGGCGUACAACGACGAGAAACAACUAGUGUCGACACAAUACCGACACAAUAGCUUGUGCUAUGAAUAUUUUCAUUAGAAUAUGUAUAAUUUUUUAAUAUUUGUAUUAUAAAAUGGUGAUGAUGCCUAAUGUAUGUGUUGCUUAAAAUAUCUAGUCUAGGAACCAUAAGAAAUAAAACUAUUUCCCCAAAAUUAUUAUCAACAAUAUGUACCAUGGGUAUACUUACGAAUCUUCGUGAAGAUUAAGACCUGUAUGGACGAGCUCAUGGGCUCGAUUGAGAGCCCAAGGACUGAACAAGAGGAGGUCUGCCGCUAGGAUGAUUCCAGAAGCACAAAUUUAGAAGAGAUUUUGUCGGAAUGGAAGAUAAAUCGAGAUCCUAACAUAAUAUGGCAACAUCACAACAAAUAAGGAUAAAUAGACCUAUAAAGAUAUAGUUCGACAAUAUAGUAUUUGAUGCACUCAUGUUGGAGCAUAUUUUUGAUUGAAAGGAUUUAUCAAAUUCCCAAUUUUAUUGAUUUCUAUCUAUUAGUGUGAAACCCUAUUUAUUUAUUAAUAGGAUUUUCAUAAAGCAAUCUUUUCUGCAAAAUAAGUACUUUAUUGAGUUAAUAAUAUUCUUGGAUUUAUUCAGAUUUUUGGAAUAUAUAUGGAUUUGUAAAUGAAAAAAUGGAAAAUAAAAAAAGGAAAACAUGAAUCGCCCUGCUCAGCCCAAUAACUCGUGUACUGGCACACACUUCCUGUAUCCUGCUCUAGCUGACAGGUGGGGCCCACCUAUCAGGCCUUUCAUCGCCCUACAUCGUCGUCGGUGUCCCGUCUACUGCGCCAUUUUCUAUACAUUAAACGCGGACGCAAAAGCCGCUUCUCGAUAGUCCACGUCGGCAAAAAAAGCUUAGAGCGUUGGAUGUGGUUUAAACGGCGCACACAACAUCUUCGCUUGACCUUUCCCGAAGCAUCUAUAGCAGCUCGCCGGCUCCACUCGCCUGCUCGCUCACAGCACGCCGCCACCAGCACUAUCCACCACAAACAUCGGAGAGGAGAGCGGAAUCCCAACCCUCCCCAUCUCCAUAUGUGGCCAUGGCCUCCGUCGACGCCGACACCUGCCCCUCAACCCUGGGAUGCCCUGCUGUUGCACCUCUGUGAGCGCAUCAUCUCCCUCCUCCCCAUCACCGAACUAUUUCCCGUCAUCUCCGUGUAUCCUCUCCCUUGACCCCAUCACCGAACUACUUCCCAUCGCCUCUGUGUCUUGCACGCUGUGGGGGAGAGAGUUGCUGCUGGUGGCGGCGGUGCGGCCGCACGCCCAGUGGAUCACGGUGGAUUCGUGGGUGUUGGUGCGUGUCUGAACAACCUCAAGAAGGGGCAGGGCGACACAGCGAAGUGCGCGGCGACGGGGCAGGUCACUGGGAACAAUAGUGUGGGUCGCGGGUGUCAAGAGGAGUGCUAAGAUGGAGGUGGCCAUCGCAGCCGGCGCGGCCAUGGGCAUGGGGAACCACGUCCUCUACAUGCUCGCGCCCGUGCCGCUCUGAGAUUACCCCUUCUUCCAGGUGCAGUUAGCCAUGUCCGGGUGCAUCCGUGCGACUCCUCCCUUCCCAUCUCCUUUCGCUUCGUGUUUUAUCUACACAUCUUGUCCCUAUGCAACUAUUGGCCGCAAGUAUGGUGAUGCAGUUUUGUUAGCGACCUGCAAAUGCAUUUGAACUCAUGAUUGUAUUGCUUUAGUAGCCUUCGGAUAUACUAUGUCAUGUCCUCUAUAUUUUUAAAAUUGUAUCGUUUUCCUGGAAGUUUGUCUGAUCUUCUCCUUCGUUAUGUUUCCCUGUUGUGUGCUGCACUUGCUGCUACCGUGAAGAGUGGUGUCCAGGAGACUGAAAAGCACUGCUGAGGAGACUAAAAUUAUCUUAUUGUCUUGAAGACCGAAGCUACCUGUUACGUACUUAUCUAUCUAGCUUAUGUUUCUAGCUUAUCCUGUCACAGAAACUGAAGUUUUAUGUACGGUGAUAAGAAUGUCACUGCCUGAUCUUUUCCUUCACCAUGGAGUUGAAGGAGAAUAGACGUGCUUUUGCAAUGGUGUACAGGGUGACAUUGGCAAUCCACAGUCAGUCUCACACCACCAGGCUCAAAUGGCUAGAACCAAUCCUAGGUGGCCUACACAUUUUAAGAGCUGAAUCUUUUUGUUCUUAAUUUAAAGGGGGUUAGAUCUCCUGUAUUUUUAAAAAAGAAAAAAAAGACAAUUUCAGAUUAUCACUAACUUUUUUAGGAACUAAAUGUGCUCUACUUGAUGGACAUCUUAAGGACUGCAGCGAUGCUUCAGAGAAUUGUAGAUUCAUAUAAAAUAGGUGAGGUACUACUGCUUUCUUUUUUACCUUUUCAAAUGUCUGUCACUUACGUCAGUGUUUUUUAACCAUAAGGAAUUGAAAACUAAUGAUUUCCCUUUGCUCUCUGCCACACGAACAUUUUAUUACUCUACUUACCAUCCAAUAUACUCUAGAAAAGGAGCUCGAUUCAAGAUAGGUAUGUGUUUUAAACUUGCUUAUAAAAUUAUGUUUCGUUCAUUAUAUAGUUAUUUACAAAUUGUAUUCAUUUUUCUUUUCGUUUAGAAAGCUUAGAUAUAUCUUAAAUGAAUUGUUUACCUUUGUUUUCCUCGCGAGGUGGAUUACACAUUGUAAGAACUAAGAACUAAAUUCUAUAUAUUAAACGCGGACGCAAAAGCCGCUUCUCGAUAGUCCACGUCGGCAAAAAAAGCUUAGAGCGUUGGAUGUGGUUUAAACGGCGCACACAACAUCUUCGCUUGACCUUUCCCGAAGCAUCUAUAGCAGCUCGCCGGCUCCACUCGCCUGCUCGCUCACAGCACGCCGCCACCAGCACUAUCCACCACAAACAUCGGAGAGGAGAGCGGAAUCCCAACCCUCCCCAUCUCCAUAUGUGGCCAUGGCCUCCGUCGACGCCGACACCUGCCCCUCAACCCUGGGAUGCCCUGCUGUUGCACCUCUGUGAGCGCAUCAUCUCCCUCCUCCCCAUCACCGAACUAUUUCCCGUCAUCUCCGUGUAUCCUCUCCCUUGACCCCAUCACCGAACUACUUCCCAUCGCCUCUGUGUCUUGCACGCUCCACCGCCUCCUUCGUUCCCCAGCCUUCAACGCUCUCCUCUCCCCACAUCAUCUCGAUGUUUUAUUCCUCCUUUCCCCACGGCUUGCCAUCCACGGAUCCACUGUCUCUCUGCAUCCUCACUAUGGCCACGCUUGCCGCACUGUCACCCCUUUCUACCCCGUCGUAUUCUCUUAGGAUGAGGCUGGUAGAAGCGAGCACGCGAGGGAGUUGUAGCAAAACAAGCCGGUGGACCAAAUAUUCAAUGCCGAAGCUGAGGCAAAGGAGAGACGAAAGAGAAGGGCCACGACUGAGGAGCGAGCGCGUCACGAUUGAUCUGGGUGAGCACCGGCUGGCUCCGUGCUUUCAUUUAUUUUUUGCUGUUUCUUAGGUGUUCCAGUUAUGGGGCUGCUGGUUGCAGAAGGUUUGAUCCUGCAAUUUUGGUUUAGGGAUUUUGUGAAAUUCUUUUUUCAUUCGUCGCGUGUGGCUGCAAUCUGCUUGUCUGUCUCAUGUCGAAAAAAUUUAAAUGCAAGCAUCAUGGUUCAGUUUGGAUAUUGCACAUAAUAAGGUACUCUGUGCUAUGUCAAGAAUAUAUAGACAUGCAUUGAAAACAUCACAUUUCUCCUUUUAUUUUUGCAAAAAAAACUGUUUCAGCUCGAAGGUCAUUAAUUUAUUGUUUGCACUAUGAAAGUCAAUUCAGAUGUUUAGCAACAUUAUGGUUAUAUUUACCAUCUAAUUUACCAAAAUCGGGUUCCUGCAUCAAACCUUAUUCCACUUUGAACUCGAUAUGCUGGUUGUGAACUGAGCACCAAACAUGUUGCAUAGUUACUGUGAGAAUGGCCAUAUUUAGUUCCUCUUUAGUAUUAUUAUAUACAUCUGUAAAGAUGCAUGUGUUCUGAUGUCUGUGUCAUAGUUGGAAUAGCAUGUUCAUGAGUAUGCAGUAGCAAUGCAACAGAGCUAGCAGUGGGCUUCGUGAAGAGAAUACAUAGUUUCAUGGUAACAAAUUUUUUUCAGCUUCCAAAGUCAGUCUAAUUCAGAUUCAGAUUGCAAUCAGUCACCUAAAGAUGAAUGCACCAGCUUGAGAUUUUACCUAAUCAGGUAAGCUGAAGAGAAGUUGAUCCUCUUAAUGAUGUUUCUAUAUCUUCUUAAUUUAGAAACCAAAAUAUAAAUUUGUGUCUAAUUACAACCAAAAUAUAAAUUUGUGUCUAAUUACACUUCAUACAUACGUAUUGCAUGGAGAAACUUCAAACCAAAGACGCAAUUUUUUUAAAGAGAAAUUAAAGCACCAUCAAUUACAUUUAUUUCGUACGACGAUUCAUUUAGAUAUGGUAUCAACACUCUGCAUCAUAUUUUUAAAGCGUCACCUAUGCGUCUAGUCAGUGGACCAACUCCUAUAAAUCCUAGACGCCUUGCCCGCUUUGCUCGCCUAGGCGUCUAAGCGGCGGUCCAAUGACUUGCCUCGCCUUAGACUUUAAAAACACUACUCUGUAUAUAUUGACAUUUUGUAAAUAGGUACAAUCUGCAUGUAUUGUCGUUUUUUAAGUAGGUACGAUCGAUGUAUACAUAGUUAGUCUUAGUACUACUUACUCAAGCUAUAAAUGAUCAUUGCAACCUGUGAAUUUCAGAAGACGAACAAUUUCGAACCGUUAGCAAGAUUGUGUAUAUGUAAUCAUACCAUCCGUUUGUUUGUGUGGCAAAAUAACAAUCAAUAUUAUGUUAUACCGAUACUAUAAAUAUAUAUAAUCCUUUUAAAAUGUACAUAUUUUAGUAGGACCAUAAAAGAAUAAUGCACAUAGGGCGUGAAUUUAUGAAAGGACAAUAUCUUUCACACACAUGACUUUCGUUUUAAUUUAGCUAUAUAAUUGUAUCCACUCAGAGACCUCGAUGUAUAGGAUUUGAACCACGCGCGUAAUGCGCGUGUCAACUACUAGUUCUUAUAUAAUAGAGCAGGGAGCAAAGCUCGCUUCUGGUGGUGUCCACGUCAUUCUUUUUAUUCCAACUGCCAGAUCUCAAUCCGACGACUAAAUAACGAUUGACGUCUAGUUGGAGCCGUAGUGGACGCUCGAAAAUAUCUCUCGCAAAUGCGCUCUCGAACCUUCGCUACCUCCAACCCGGCGACCAAAUCUGGUGACCCCGCGGGGGAUGGCGUCGUCCCCCUCCCUCCCUCAUGUGCCACCCAUCCGCAGCGUGAUAGCACACGAUGCUGGUUCGCACUCUCACGCCGAGCGCUGCUGACGGGGCAGCGCUGCUGGUGCCGCUGUGGGGGAGAGAGUUGCUGCUGGUGGCGGCGGUGCGGCCGCACGCCCAGUGGAUCACGGUGGAUUCGUGGGUGUUGGUGCGUGUCUGAACAACCUCAAGAAGGGGCAGGGCGACACAGCGAAGUGCGCGGCGACGGGGCAGGUCACUGGGAACAAUAGUGUGGGUCGCGGGUGUCAAGAGGAGUGCUAAGAUGGAGGUGGCCAUCGCAGCCGGCGCGGCCAUGGGCAUGGGGAACCACGUCCUCUACAUGCUCGCGCCCGUGCCGCUCUGAGAUUACCCCUUCUUCCAGGUGCAGUUAGCCAUGUCCGGGUGCAUCCGUGCGACUCCUCCCUUCCCAUCUCCUUUCGCUUCGUGUUUUAUCUACACAUCUUGUCCCUAUGCAACUAUUGGCCGCAAGUAUGGUGAUGCAGUUUUGUUAGCGACCUGCAAAUGCAUUUGAACUCAUGAUUGUAUUGCUUUAGUAGCCUUCGGAUAUACUAUGUCAUGUCCUCUAUAUUUUUAAAAUUGUAUCGUUUUCCUGGAAGUUUGUCUGAUCUUCUCCUUCGUUAUGUUUCCCUGUUGUGUGCUGCACUUGCUGCUACCGUGAAGAGUGGUGUCCAGGAGACUGAAAAGCACUGCUGAGGAGACUAAAAUUAUCUUAUUGUCUUGAAGACCGAAGCUACCUGUUACGUACUUAUCUAUCUAGCUUAUGUUUCUAGCUUAUCCUGUCACAGAAACUGAAGUUUUAUGUACGGUGAUAAGAAUGUCACUGCCUGAUCUUUUCCUUCACCAUGGAGUUGAAGGAGAAUAGAUGUGCUUUUGCAAUGGUGUACAGGGUGACAUUGGCAAUCCACAGUCAGUCUCACACCACCAGGCUCAAAUGGCUAGAACCAAUCCUAGGUGGCCUACACAUUUUAAGAGCUGAAUCUUUUUGUUCUUAAUUUAAAGGGGGUUAGAUCUCCUGUAUUUUUAAAAAAGAAAAAAAAGACAAUUUCAGAUUAUCACUAACUUUUUUAGGAACUAAAUGUGCUCUACUUGAUGGACAUCUUAAGGACUGCAGCGAUGCUUCAGAGAAUUGUAGAUUCAUAUAAAAUAGGUGAGGUACUACUGCUUUCUUUUUUACCUUUUCAAAUGUCUGUCACUUACGUCAGUGUUUUUUAACCAUAAGGAAUUGAAAACUAAUGAUUUCCCUUUGCUCUCUGCCACACGAACAUUUUAUUACUCUACUUACCAUCCAAUAUACUCUAGAAAAGGAGCUCGAUUCAAGAUAGGUAUGUGUUUUAAACUUGCUUAUAAAAUUAUGUUUCGUUCAUUAUAUAGUUAUUUACAAAUUGUAUUCAUUUUUCUUUUCGUUUAGAAAGCUUAGAUAUAUCUUAAAUGAAUUGUUUACCUUUGUUUUCCUCGCGAGGUGGAUUACACAUUGUAAGAACUAAGAACUAAAUUCUAUAUAUUAAACGCGGACGCAAAAGCCGCUUCUCGAUAGUCCACGUCGGCAAAAAAAGCUUAGAGCGUUGGAUGUGGUUUAAACGGCGCACACAACAUCUUCGCUUGACCUUUCCCGAAGCAUCUAUAGCAGCUCGCCGGCUCCACUCGCCUGCUCGCUCACAGCACGCCGCCACCAGCACUAUCCACCACAAACAUCGGAGAGGAGAGCGGAAUCCCAACCCUCCCCAUCUCCAUAUGUGGCCAUGGCCUCCGUCGACGCCGACACCUGCCCCUCAACCCUGGGAUGCCCUGCUGUUGCACCUCUGUGAGCGCAUCAUCUCCCUCCUCCCCAUCACCGAACUAUUUCCCGUCAUCUCCGUGUAUCCUCUCCCUUGACCCCAUCACCGAACUACUUCCCAUCGCCUCUGUGUCUUGCACGCUCCACCGCCUCCUUCGUUCCCCAGCCUUCAACGCUCUCCUCUCCCCACAUCAUCUCGAUGUUUUAUUCCUCCUUUCCCCACGGCUUGCCAUCCACGGAUCCACUGUCUCUCUGCAUCCUCACUAUGGCCACGCUUGCCGCACUGUCACCCCUUUCUACCCCGUCGUAUUCUCUUAGGAUGAGGCUGGUAGAAGCGAGCACGCGAGGGAGUUGUAGCAAAACAAGCCGGUGGACCAAAUAUUCAAUGCCGAAGCUGAGGCAAAGGAGAGACGAAAGAGAAGGGCCACGACUGAGGAGCGAGCGCGUCACGAUUGAUCUGGGUGAGCACCGGCUGGCUCCGUGCUUUCAUUUAUUUUUUGCUGUUUCUUAGGUGUUCCAGUUAUGGGGCUGCUGGUUGCAGAAGGUUUGAUCCUGCAAUUUUGGUUUAGGGAUUUUGUGAAAUUCUUUUUUCAUUCGUCGCGUGUGGCUGCAAUCUGCUUGUCUGUCUCAUGUCGAAAAAAUUUAAAUGCAAGCAUCAUGGUUCAGUUUGGAUAUUGCACAUAAUAAGGUACUCUGUGCUAUGUCAAGAAUAUAUAGACAUGCAUUGAAAACAUCACAUUUCUCCUUUUAUUUUUGCAAAAAAAACUGUUUCAGCUCGAAGGUCAUUAAUUUAUUGUUUGCACUAUGAAAGUCAAUUCAGAUGUUUAGCAACAUUAUGGUUAUAUUUACCAUCUAAUUUACCAAAAUCGGGUUCCUGCAUCAAACCUUAUUCCACUUUGAACUCGAUAUGCUGGUUGUGAACUGAGCACCAAACAUGUUGCAUAGUUACUGUGAGAAUGGCCAUAUUUAGUUCCUCUUUAGUAUUAUUAUAUACAUCUGUAAAGAUGCAUGUGUUCUGAUGUCUGUGUCAUAGUUGGAAUAGCAUGUUCAUGAGUAUGCAGUAGCAAUGCAACAGAGCUAGCAGUGGGCUUCGUGAAGAGAAUACAUAGUUUCAUGGUAACAAAUUUUUUUCAGCUUCCAAAGUCAGUCUAAUUCAGAUUCAGAUUGCAAUCAGUCACCUAAAGAUGAAUGCACCAGCUUGAGAUUUUACCUAAUCAGGUAAGCUGAAGAGAAGUUGAUCCUCUUAAUGAUGUUUCUAUAUCUUCUUAAUUUAGAAACCAAAAUAUAAAUUUGUGUCUAAUUACAACCAAAAUAUAAAUUUGUGUCUAAUUACACUUCAUACAUACGUAUUGCAUGGAGAAACUUCAAACCAAAGACGCAAUUUUUUUAAAGAGAAAUUAAAGCACCAUCAAUUACAUUUAUUUCGUACGACGAUUCAUUUAGAUAUGGUAUCAACACUCUGCAUCAUAUUUUUAAAGCGUCACCUAUGCGUCUAGUCAGUGGACCAACUCCUAUAAAUCCUAGACGCCUUGCCCGCUUUGCUCGCCUAGGCGUCUAAGCGGCGGUCCAAUGACUUGCCUCGCCUUAGACUUUAAAAACACUACUCUGUAUAUAUUGACAUUUUGUAAAUAGGUACAAUCUGCAUGUAUUGUCGUUUUUUAAGUAGGUACGAUCGAUGUAUACAUAGUUAGUCUUAGUACUACUUACUCAAGCUAUAAAUGAUCAUUGCAACCUGUGAAUUUCAGAAGACGAACAAUUUCGAACCGUUAGCAAGAUUGUGUAUAUGUAAUCAUACCAUCCGUUUGUUUGUGUGGCAAAAUAACAAUCAAUAUUAUGUUAUACCGAUACUAUAAAUAUAUAUAAUCCUUUUAAAAUGUACAUAUUUUAGUAGGACCAUAAAAGAAUAAUGCACAUAGGGCGUGAAUUUAUGAAAGGACAAUAUCUUUCACACACAUGACUUUCGUUUUAAUUUAGCUAUAUAAUUGUAUCCACUCAGAGACCUCGAUGUAUAGGAUUUGAACCACGCGCGUAAUGCGCGUGUCAACUACUAGUUCUUAUAUAAUAGAGCAGGGAGCAAAGCUCGCUUCUGGUGGUGUCCACGUCAUUCUUUUUAUUCCAACUGCCAGAUCUCAAUCCGACGACUAAAUAACGAUUGACGUCUAGUUGGAGCCGUAGUGGACGCUCGAAAAUAUCUCUCGCAAAUGCGCUCUCGAACCUUCGCUACCUCCAACCCGGCGACCAAAUCUGGUGACCCCGCGGGGGAUGGCGUCGUCCCCCUCCCUCCCUCAUGUGCCACCCAUCCGCAGCGUGAUAGCACACGAUGCUGGUUCGCACUCUCACGCCGAGCGCUGCUGACGGGGCAGCGCUGCUGGUGCCGCUGUGGGGGAGAGAGUUGCUGCUGGUGGCGGCGGUGCGGCCGCACGCCCAGUGGAUCACGGUGGAUUCGUGGGUGUUGGUGCGUGUCUGAACAACCUCAAGAAGGGGCAGGGCGACACAGCGAAGUGCGCGGCGACGGGGCAGGUCACUGGGAACAAUAGUGUGGGUCGCGGGUGUCAAGAGGAGUGCUAAGAUGGAGGUGGCCAUCGCAGCCGGCGCGGCCAUGGGCAUGGGGAACCACGUCCUCUACAUGCUCGCGCCCGUGCCGCUCUGAGAUUACCCCUUCUUCCAGGUGCAGUUAGCCAUGUCCGGGUGCAUCCGUGCGACUCCUCCCUUCCCAUCUCCUUUCGCUUCGUGUUUUAUCUACACAUCUUGUCCCUAUGCAACUAUUGGCCGCAAGUAUGGUGAUGCAGUUUUGUUAGCGACCUGCAAAUGCAUUUGAACUCAUGAUUGUAUUGCUUUAGUAGCCUUCGGAUAUACUAUGUCAUGUCCUCUAUAUUUUUAAAAUUGUAUCGUUUUCCUGGAAGUUUGUCUGAUCUUCUCCUUCGUUAUGUUUCCCUGUUGUGUGCUGCACUUGCUGCUACCGUGAAGAGUGGUGUCCAGGAGACUGAAAAGCACUGCUGAGGAGACUAAAAUUAUCUUAUUGUCUUGAAGACCGAAGCUACCUGUUACGUACUUAUCUAUCUAGCUUAUGUUUCUAGCUUAUCCUGUCACAGAAACUGAAGUUUUAUGUACGGUGAUAAGAAUGUCACUGCCUGAUCUUUUCCUUCACCAUGGAGUUGAAGGAGAAUAGAUGUGCUUUUGCAAUGGUGUACAGGGUGACAUUGGCAAUCCACAGUCAGUCUCACACCACCAGGCUCAAAUGGCUAGAACCAAUCCUAGGUGGCCUACACAUUUUAAGAGCUGAAUCUUUUUGUUCUUAAUUUAAAGGGGGUUAGAUCUCCUGUAUUUUUAAAAAAGAAAAAAAAGACAAUUUCAGAUUAUCACUAACUUUUUUAGGAACUAAAUGUGCUCUACUUGAUGGACAUCUUAAGGACUGCAGCGAUGCUUCAGAGAAUUGUAGAUUCAUAUAAAAUAGGUGAGGUACUACUGCUUUCUUUUUUACCUUUUCAAAUGUCUGUCACUUACGUCAGUGUUUUUUAACCAUAAGGAAUUGAAAACUAAUGAUUUCCCUUUGCUCUCUGCCACACGAACAUUUUAUUACUCUACUUACCAUCCAAUAUACUCUAGAAAAGGAGCUCGAUUCAAGAUAGGUAUGUGUUUUAAACUUGCUUAUAAAAUUAUGUUUCGUUCAUUAUAUAGUUAUUUACAAAUUGUAUUCAUUUUUCUUUUCGUUUAGAAAGCUUAGAUAUAUCUUAAAUGAAUUGUUUACCUUUGUUUUCCUCGCGAGGUGGAUUACACAUUGUAAGAACUAAGAACUAAAUUCUAUAUAUUAAACGCGGACGCAAAAGCCGCUUCUCGAUAGUCCACGUCGGCAAAAAAAGCUUAGAGCGUUGGAUGUGGUUUAAACGGCGCACACAACAUCUUCGCUUGACCUUUCCCGAAGCAUCUAUAGCAGCUCGCCGGCUCCACUCGCCUGCUCGCUCACAGCACGCCGCCACCAGCACUAUCCACCACAAACAUCGGAGAGGAGAGCGGAAUCCCAACCCUCCCCAUCUCCAUAUGUGGCCAUGGCCUCCGUCGACGCCGACACCUGCCCCUCAACCCUGGGAUGCCCUGCUGUUGCACCUCUGUGAGCGCAUCAUCUCCCUCCUCCCCAUCACCGAACUAUUUCCCGUCAUCUCCGUGUAUCCUCUCCCUUGACCCCAUCACCGAACUACUUCCCAUCGCCUCUGUGUCUUGCACGCUCCACCGCCUCCUUCGUUCCCCAGCCUUCAACGCUCUCCUCUCCCCACAUCAUCUCGAUGUUUUAUUCCUCCUUUCCCCACGGCUUGCCAUCCACGGAUCCACUGUCUCUCUGCAUCCUCACUAUGGCCACGCUUGCCGCACUGUCACCCCUUUCUACCCCGUCGUAUUCUCUUAGGAUGAGGCUGGUAGAAGCGAGCACGCGAGGGAGUUGUAGCAAAACAAGCCGGUGGACCAAAUAUUCAAUGCCGAAGCUGAGGCAAAGGAGAGACGAAAGAGAAGGGCCACGACUGAGGAGCGAGCGCGUCACGAUUGAUCUGGGUGAGCACCGGCUGGCUCCGUGCUUUCAUUUAUUUUUUGCUGUUUCUUAGGUGUUCCAGUUAUGGGGCUGCUGGUUGCAGAAGGUUUGAUCCUGCAAUUUUGGUUUAGGGAUUUUGUGAAAUUCUUUUUUCAUUCGUCGCGUGUGGCUGCAAUCUGCUUGUCUGUCUCAUGUCGAAAAAAUUUAAAUGCAAGCAUCAUGGUUCAGUUUGGAUAUUGCACAUAAUAAGGUACUCUGUGCUAUGUCAAGAAUAUAUAGACAUGCAUUGAAAACAUCACAUUUCUCCUUUUAUUUUUGCAAAAAAAACUGUUUCAGCUCGAAGGUCAUUAAUUUAUUGUUUGCACUAUGAAAGUCAAUUCAGAUGUUUAGCAACAUUAUGGUUAUAUUUACCAUCUAAUUUACCAAAAUCGGGUUCCUGCAUCAAACCUUAUUCCACUUUGAACUCGAUAUGCUGGUUGUGAACUGAGCACCAAACAUGUUGCAUAGUUACUGUGAGAAUGGCCAUAUUUAGUUCCUCUUUAGUAUUAUUAUAUACAUCUGUAAAGAUGCAUGUGUUCUGAUGUCUGUGUCAUAGUUGGAAUAGCAUGUUCAUGAGUAUGCAGUAGCAAUGCAACAGAGCUAGCAGUGGGCUUCGUGAAGAGAAUACAUAGUUUCAUGGUAACAAAUUUUUUUCAGCUUCCAAAGUCAGUCUAAUUCAGAUUCAGAUUGCAAUCAGUCACCUAAAGAUGAAUGCACCAGCUUGAGAUUUUACCUAAUCAGGUAAGCUGAAGAGAAGUUGAUCCUCUUAAUGAUGUUUCUAUAUCUUCUUAAUUUAGAAACCAAAAUAUAAAUUUGUGUCUAAUUACAACCAAAAUAUAAAUUUGUGUCUAAUUACACUUCAUACAUACGUAUUGCAUGGAGAAACUUCAAACCAAAGACGCAAUUUUUUUAAAGAGAAAUUAAAGCACCAUCAAUUACAUUUAUUUCGUACGACGAUUCAUUUAGAUAUGGUAUCAACACUCUGCAUCAUAUUUUUAAAGCGUCACCUAUGCGUCUAGUCAGUGGACCAACUCCUAUAAAUCCUAGACGCCUUGCCCGCUUUGCUCGCCUAGGCGUCUAAGCGGCGGUCCAAUGACUUGCCUCGCCUUAGACUUUAAAAACACUACUCUGUAUAUAUUGACAUUUUGUAAAUAGGUACAAUCUGCAUGUAUUGUCGUUUUUUAAGUAGGUACGAUCGAUGUAUACAUAGUUAGUCUUAGUACUACUUACUCAAGCUAUAAAUGAUCAUUGCAACCUGUGAAUUUCAGAAGACGAACAAUUUCGAACCGUUAGCAAGAUUGUGUAUAUGUAAUCAUACCAUCCGUUUGUUUGUGUGGCAAAAUAACAAUCAAUAUUAUGUUAUACCGAUACUAUAAAUAUAUAUAAUCCUUUUAAAAUGUACAUAUUUUAGUAGGACCAUAAAAGAAUAAUGCACAUAGGGCGUGAAUUUAUGAAAGGACAAUAUCUUUCACACACAUGACUUUCGUUUUAAUUUAGCUAUAUAAUUGUAUCCACUCAGAGACCUCGAUGUAUAGGAUUUGAACCACGCGCGUAAUGCGCGUGUCAACUACUAGUUCUUAUAUAAUAGAGCAGGGAGCAAAGCUCGCUUCUGGUGGUGUCCACGUCAUUCUUUUUAUUCCAACUGCCAGAUCUCAAUCCGACGACUAAAUAACGAUUGACGUCUAGUUGGAGCCGUAGUGGACGCUCGAAAAUAUCUCUCGCAAAUGCGCUCUCGAACCUUCGCUACCUCCAACCCGGCGACCAAAUCUGGUGACCCCGCGGGGGAUGGCGUCGUCCCCCUCCCUCCCUCAUGUGCCACCCAUCCGCAGCGUGAUAGCACACGAUGCUGGUUCGCACUCUCACGCCGAGCGCUGCUGACGGGGCAGCGCUGCUGGUGCCGCUGUGGGGGAGAGAGUUGCUGCUGGUGGCGGCGGUGCGGCCGCACGCCCAGUGGAUCACGGUGGAUUCGUGGGUGUUGGUGCGUGUCUGAACAACCUCAAGAAGGGGCAGGGCGACACAGCGAAGUGCGCGGCGACGGGGCAGGUCACUGGGAACAAUAGUGUGGGUCGCGGGUGUCAAGAGGAGUGCUAAGAUGGAGGUGGCCAUCGCAGCCGGCGCGGCCAUGGGCAUGGGGAACCACGUCCUCUACAUGCUCGCGCCCGUGCCGCUCUGAGAUUACCCCUUCUUCCAGGUGCAGUUAGCCAUGUCCGGGUGCAUCCGUGCGACUCCUCCCUUCCCAUCUCCUUUCGCUUCGUGUUUUAUCUACACAUCUUGUCCCUAUGCAACUAUUGGCCGCAAGUAUGGUGAUGCAGUUUUGUUAGCGACCUGCAAAUGCAUUUGAACUCAUGAUUGUAUUGCUUUAGUAGCCUUCGGAUAUACUAUGUCAUGUCCUCUAUAUUUUUAAAAUUGUAUCGUUUUCCUGGAAGUUUGUCUGAUCUUCUCCUUCGUUAUGUUUCCCUGUUGUGUGCUGCACUUGCUGCUACCGUGAAGAGUGGUGUCCAGGAGACUGAAAAGCACUGCUGAGGAGACUAAAAUUAUCUUAUUGUCUUGAAGACCGAAGCUACCUGUUACGUACUUAUCUAUCUAGCUUAUGUUUCUAGCUUAUCCUGUCACAGAAACUGAAGUUUUAUGUACGGUGAUAAGAAUGUCACUGCCUGAUCUUUUCCUUCACCAUGGAGUUGAAGGAGAAUAGACGUGCUUUUGCAAUGGUGUACAGGGUGACAUUGGCAAUCCACAGUCAGUCUCACACCACCAGGCUCAAAUGGCUAGAACCAAUCCUAGGUGGCCUACACAUUUUAAGAGCUGAAUCUUUUUGUUCUUAAUUUAAAGGGGGUUAGAUCUCCUGUAUUUUUAAAAAAGAAAAAAAAGACAAUUUCAGAUUAUCACUAACUUUUUUAGGAACUAAAUGUGCUCUACUUGAUGGACAUCUUAAGGACUGCAGCGAUGCUUCAGAGAAUUGUAGAUUCAUAUAAAAUAGGUGAGGUACUACUGCUUUCUUUUUUACCUUUUCAAAUGUCUGUCACUUACGUCAGUGUUUUUUAACCAUAAGGAAUUGAAAACUAAUGAUUUCCCUUUGCUCUCUGCCACACGAACAUUUUAUUACUCUACUUACCAUCCAAUAUACUCUAGAAAAGGAGCUCGAUUCAAGAUAGGUAUGUGUUUUAAACUUGCUUAUAAAAUUAUGUUUCGUUCAUUAUAUAGUUAUUUACAAAUUGUAUUCAUUUUUCUUUUCGUUUAGAAAGCUUAGAUAUAUCUUAAAUGAAUUGUUUACCUUUGUUUUCCUCGCGAGGUGGAUUACACAUUGUAAGAACUAAGAACUAAAUCUGUUUUUCUUCUUAUUUUAAAGAGGACAGGUCUCCUUCAUUCUUGGAAACAAGAGACGAUCUCAGAUUAUCACUAACCUUUUUAUGAGCUAUAAAUGUGCUCUGCUUAACGAACAUCUUAAGGACCGCAUAUUCAGAGAACUAUGGAUUCAUAUAAAACGGGUGAGGUCCUACGACUUCCAUUUUUACCUUAUCAAAUACCUCCUGUGUCAAGCCCUUUGCUUGACCUGUGUUUGCUUAGUAUUACUAACAAAUCAUGAAGCCCUUUGUUAAGUCUGUGCUUGCUUAGUGAUACUAAGAAGUCAUAAAGCCCCAACGAGUUUCUCUAGCUGAAUAUGAAGCAGUCACUAUUUGUCCUUGAUUAAUCGAAACUAAUUUGCAUGGUUCCUUUUGUGCACAACAACGUGAAACAUAAAUCUUGAAGAUUAUGUCACCGUAAGAAGUAGGUGUUCCUUACAUUUAGAGAGAACUAGAAAAAACGGUUUACAUGCAUCUGGAGCCUUCUGAACACGAAACAAUUUACACGCGCGUUGGCGCGCGCCAGUUACUAGUUGGAUUUGUGGCCGUGUCCGCUAGCCUCCCCAUGCACUGCAAACCACCCACACUCGCACUCGCUUAGUGGAAAACCCACUCCCACUGUCGUUUCGUCAACUCAAGCGUCACCACCUUCUCCUCUCCCCGUCGCACUUCGGCGAGGAAUUAAAACCGCACCAACACUCCUAUAUCUUCCCCUUGGCCCCUAUAAGAACCUUUGACCCCUACUCUCUCCUUUGCACCUCCUUGCCCUCUCCUGAGUAGGGAUGACAAUCGGGCGGGUAGUACAUGAAUAUAUAGUUCGCGAAUCCAUACACACGAGACAAAACUCAACCCAUACACGUACCCAUAAACGUUCGUGGGUAUGGAUCUGUAUCCAUACCCGUAUCCGCCGAGUAUCCGCUAUCUAGUGGAUAUCCCUUACCCGCCCGCCCACUACACUUUUAGCAUUAAACACCAAACAACAAUUUUAUUACAUUUCAAAAUAAUUAUCAUUCCAAUAGCAUUAAAUGAUAAUUUCAUCACCAAACAACAUGUUAUGGAUAAAAAUUGAAAAUAAGAAUUUAUGAUAAUAUAUAAAUCUAGAUGGCCCACAUGUUAGAUAUCCACUGGGUAAUGGGUAUGGAUUCUGGAUAUUCAUACCCGCGAAAAACAUAUCCGUGGAUACCUUAUUAUAUCCAUAACCAUACCCGCGAAUAUCGAAUUCCACCAUACCCAUAUCCAAUGGAUAAUUAUCCAUGAUUAUUUACCCAUACCUGUACCCACUGCCAUCCCUACUCCUAAGCCCUACUCUGCUCUACCCCCAUACACUAUUGUGCUGCCACCGCUGUUCGUCGUGGACAAAGCUCUUCGGAGAUUCUCCGACCCCGCCGAGGCCACAAUAGAGUUUCCCAAAGUGCUCUCUUACUUCCCUGCACCUCCUUUGCCCCAAUCUCGUGUCGUUGUGGUCGUUCGUUCAUCAUUAGAGUUCACUAGUUUAGCUUCCGCAAGGUUGACGAUGAACAUCUUUCGGUCUGGCCCUUGAGUUUUUCUCAUUUUAUGCGCAAUUUAUUUUAUGAAAUAGCCCAGCAUCAGAGUUCGCUAGCGCCGUUGUCGUAAGGUUGACAAUGAACCCGCAGUCUUCUUGCAUCAUAGCCCUAGUAUUUUUGAAUAACUAAGCUAUCAGCCCUGUUUUCUUAGUUCCUAACCCCAGUAAUCUAUAUUUUAUUGCAAAUGGGUUGUUGUAUAGGUAUUUUCAGUAUCAAAUGUGUAUUUUAAGUCCAAACGAAACAACUUUUGUUUUGUUAGCUUCACAAUAAUGUCAUGAACAUUUAAAAUAGUUUCUGUAUCUCUAAAAAUUAAAAUUAUUAAUAGUUAUUAUAAUUGUUUAAAUAUUGGUUUUCAUAAAAAAACUAAAAGAAAAUGUAUACCAUGUUUUUCUUAAUUAAAAUAAAUAUAUUAACUGUUUAAUUAUCUUUUCUCAUGAAAUAUGAUUUAGGCUUAUAAUUCAUGUUUUUCAUAAAAAAGAUAUAUUAGCUUAAUUAUAUGUUUUAUAAAAUUUAUCCUAUAGCCAUAUUAUACCAUAUAGUUUUUUUUUCUAAAAAAAUGUUAAAAUGGUGAAGUUGGUGUUUCUAAUCUUGAAACUAAAAUUGUGGUUAGAUUUAUGUAAUGAUUUUCAAACCAACAAUUUUCCAAAAUGUGUACCCUUUGUUAAACUUUGUUUUUUCAAAAAAUAGAUAAUAUAGUUGUUAUGAUUUCUUUUUAGCCUUGUUAUCAAUGAUUGUUGUAUGUUUAAUGAUUGGUGAUUGUUUAUUAUUAUUUGUGUAUUGUUUAUAAGUUGAUCCAUUAGAUGAGGAUCAAUAUUAGUUUGAGGAAGAUACUCAAGAUUUUUGUGAGCAAGGCAAUUGGAUUUUCUCCCACUGCAUAUUCCUUCGAACCUAAUCUCACAAGAUGAUAACUAAGUUUAUAUUCAUGUUAUGCAUAAUCUUGAUGGAUUUUCUAUUAGAAGUACCUAGACUUUACCAACCAUUCCUUAUUAACCUGGGUUAUGUUUUAAUCAAGUAGUGAUGCUAGUUGAUAUAACUUCAGUUCUAUGCUAGUUCUCAUUUAAAUUGGUAAUGUUCCUAAGAUUAUGUUCUAUUGUUAAUAAUAACAAGAUGAUACAUGUUAAUUGGAAUAUGGAGAACCACCUAUGAAAACAAUGCAACCAUGAGUGUUAUUAUGGCUCUAACUUCGAAAUAGCGAUAACACUGCACUACAAGAACCAGUACGUCUAUAUCAACUGGCGAUGUCUCUAUUAGGUUUGAGUCUUAUGAGGGGCUUAAAACUAUGUUACACUACCGGAAACGGGCGCUUUGCUGAGUGCCCGAAGCACUCGGCAAAGCCGUAAAAACACUCGGCAAAGGCUUUGCCGAGUGUCGCACUUGGCAAAGAAGGCUCGGCAAACAGUGCAUCGGCAAAGCCUUCUUUGCCGAGUACUUUUUCUCGGGCACUCGACAAAGAGGUUUGCCGAGUGCCAGGGAGCACUCGGCAAAGAAAAGUGGCCGUUACAGCGACAGGGUGACGAAGACGGCUUCUUUGCCGAGUGUCAAGGAUGACACUCGGCAAAGGAGUUAACUUUGCCGAGUGUCUGCCCAGUAGCACUCGGCAAAGAUUCAACCUUUGCCGAGUGCCCCCUAGGACACUCGGCAAAGAGCCCGCCAGGGGAGGGUCCCCAUGUAAGGUUCUUUGCCGAAUGCUCUGUGCGACACUCGGCAAAGCGUGCCUCUUUGCCGAGUGCCAGCGACAUAACACUCGGCAAAGUCCCUAAACCGAUGCCCAGGUCUUUGCUCUUUGCCGAGUGUUAUGACCCUGACACUCGGCAAAGCACCUCUUUGCUGAGUGUUACACUCGGCAAAGUGACCAGUAUAUACCUUUUUAUUUGUUUUUUUGUAUUCCAUCCACACAAACAAAAUAUAUCACAUAUAUAUCACAUAUAUACAUCACAGAUAUCAUCACAAACAUAAAUAGCCAACACAAAUAUAAAACCGUCACCACAAACAUAAAUAUCCAUCACAAACAUAAGUGUUCAACACAAGUAUCAAACACAAACAUAAGUCUCAAACGUCUCAAGCUCUCACAUAAGUAUCAAACACAAACAUAAGUAUUAUACAUAAGUUCUGAAGUCUAAACAAUGAAAACACAACACUCAUGGAGGUGGGCGGUUUGAUCGGGGCUGCGUUGGGCUGAACCCUUCCGGAGCGUUGUUGGAUGCCGCCCCAGAUUGGCCCUGCAUAGAGAAGAGAUUGCAUGUGUUAUACCAGAUGCAUUACAAACAUCUAACUACAAUUUUGAUACUCACAGGAGUGUGGAAGAGAGCAUGGUCAACUGGAGGGAACAAUGGAGGUGGCGGAGCGAUGCCCUGUGCGGCGCCAAGGCUCUGCAUGUACUGGAACAUCUCCGCCAUCCUCUGAUGAUCUGCCCGGCGCUCCGCCUCCCGCUCCACCAUCAUCCUCGCCUCCAUCUCGUGACGUUCCCUCCUCUCUUCUUCUAGUUGGGUCUGUAAUAUUACAAUCCAACGUUAUAGUAACUCAAAGAGAAGGUAUAUAACUCAAGGAAGGACGAGUUACAGAAGCACUAACCUCGAGUUGAUGUAUGCGAUGCUGUGAGCUAUCGUGCCGAGGUCGUAUGGCUGGACUCGAGCCCGUGCUCCUUGCUCUCACCUGAGACAGAGUGGGAGUGGAGGACGAGUCGAUUGCCCCGUUGGCAAUCCAGUACCGCCCAUGUCUCUUGCCUCCUCCGACCCUCAUGAGCACAUCGGGGUCGAUCGGCUCGGUGCUCGGAUCAUAGUCUGGGCCAUGGACCUCCUGCGCCAUGGCGGUGUAGUCAUAGAGGCGACUGUAGACGACGGGGUUGGUGUAGGCCUUGGGCUCGUCAUCCGGGUUGUAGGUGACAUCGGACGUCACCUUACCCUUAUGGGCCAUAGCAUAGGCCGAGAAGGUGGAGCAAGGCCGGCCACCAUGUGACGCUGACUGCAAAGAAAACCAACGAGAUAAUUAGAAAUAAUAUCUAAUUCAGUGCUAUAUAUCUAAAUAAAAAAGAGGGCGUACCCAUGCUUCAGCAUAUUGGCCCAGGCUCCGGCUGCCUUGGUGGUGGGAGGGGCCUUGCAUCAUCAAACACUGUUCCCGGCUAGCGGUGUGCGCCUCGUCCCACUCAGCCGAACACCACCUAUCCACCAUCUGCUCCCAGCACAGAGGAUGUGCGGCGCACCAAUAUGGAAUCAUCUACAAAGUAAACACGUAAAGUGCAUAUCAGAAGAUAAAAUAAAAUUCAUGCAUGGAGUACUGGUACCAAACAUGCAUGACUUUACCUGCAGGUACUGCUCCCUGGUCAACGACAUGGUUCGGGCUUGUGGUUUGGUCACCCUCUCCCCAAGGACGGAGCCAUGGUAGGUGAUGAUGGCCUGGAUUCGGGCCUCAUAGUGCAUGUCCACGACGAGCUUCUUACAGCUCGUGGUGGCCACCACAUCCGCCCUAGCCUCGUAUCCAGCAUCGCAUCUGAAGAAAUCCUGCAUACAAAAACGAUGUAUCCAUAUAUUAUUUCAAGAAUUUGCAACGAAUGCGACAUAUUUUGCAUUAUACUAAGACUUACCCACAGCUCUUGCUUCACCCGCUCCGCCUUGUUAUUGAAUUCCCGGCCAUCCCGGUCUACUGCAUCGGGGGCGACGGCGUAGUGGUCGAAGGUGAAGGCUGGGCCCGUCACUCCGGCGUACUCCACAAGUCCAGGGAAGUGUUCCCUGCACAGCAGGCCGAUGAUGCCAUUGGGGGGGCGACGAUGACCCCCCGCAUAAUCCAAAACCGUCCAAGACCUGCCCAAGUGAUAAAUAAAAAGCAUUAGUUUAUAUUAUGAUUUCGAACACAUAAUAUGAACAAGAAUGAAGAACAUAAAGUUACAUACCUCUCCCCUUCCGGCCGAAUCAGCGGCCGCCUGUCCCGAAGUAUGGGACGCUGAGGGAGACUCGCGGGGCCUUGCAGGUAGAUGCUCCUCGAACUUAAGCCGCCUGAACCUGAGACGUCCUGCUGCUGGUCGUCGUCGUCCUGAUGCGCCGCUUGCUGCUGGACAAGGUCGUCCUGAGGCGCCGCCUGCUCUGCCUCGUCCGCCGUCCUACUCCUCCUUCCCCUCCUCCUCCUCAGCCAAUUACCGCCGACCAUAUUUGUCCAAAAAUCUGCAAUUAAGAGUAAACAAAUAAGCACAUAUAAAAAGAUGUAUUUAAAAACAGGUGCAAAAUAAAAAAGUCAUAUAGCAUUACAUCGAUUAAAAAUAAUCUUCAUAUGUGUCGGGGUUAGCCGGAUCAUAACUCUCAUCAUCACUAUCAACCAUUUCAAUCUCAACAUGCAUUAUGAAGUACUGGUACCAAACAUGCAUUCUGAAGUUUGUCUUCGUAGCUCGGUCAUACGUCCAUACCCCUUCCUCCCAGGCACGUACCAAUUCAUCGAUCGAAGGCUCCAUGUACACGCCCAUUUUAUUCCCCGGGUGUCCGAGAAUUAUCAACGACACGAAUAUAUUCUGCCUUUGAAAGCACACACCAGGGGAGAUUGAUUGGGAUAACAAACACGAGCCAACAUGUGUAUGGGGCAGCGCUCAUUCCAUAGGGAUUGAACCCAUCUGUGGCCAACGCAACACGUACAUUACGAGCUUCUUCGGCUUUCUCACGGUGAAUGGCAUCAAAGUGUUUCCAUGCUUCACCACCGGAUGCGUGCACCAUCUUGUCAGGAUUGUAUCAUUUUCCAUUUUUGUGCCAUGUCAUCUGUUUCGCGGAUUCCUCUGUCAUGUACAGACGCUGGAUCCUCGGUAUGAACGGAAGGUGUCGUAGGAUUGUCAAGGGGAUGUCGAGCUGCCUCUUCUGUCCAUCACCAGAGUCUACCUCCAUGAACCUAGACGAUGUACACUUGGGACUGUACUUUGCCUCCGCGUAUUCUUUCCUAAAUAGCACGUAGCCCUUCAGACAAGCAUGAAUCUGCUCAUACGUCAUCUUGAGUGCACGAAGGAGUUUCUGUGCCUCGUACAUGCUCUUUGGCAGAAUGUGAUCAUCCGGAAGCAUGCUCCCAAUAACCGUCAACAAGCCAUCGAAUGCGUCUCUACUCAUGCUGUACUGCGACUUGAACGCCAUUACACGUAGGGGUGGGCACUUUUUUACCAUAAACCGAAAACCGAACCGAACCGUACCGAACCGAACCGAAAUUUCGGUUUUUUGGUAGUUCGGUUCGGUUUCGGUUUUUAUAUCUCAGAAGUUCGGUUUUCGGUAUCGUAAUCGGUUUUCACCGUAUACCGAACCGAAUACCAAACUUUAUCAAUUCUAAAACUUGACUUUUUGAUUAUGUGAACUAAAUGUGUGAUGCAAUUAAAUUGUUAUUCACUUAUUUAUAUGUGAUGUAUGAUGUAUCUCUAAAUAUUUGUACCUAUAUAAUUUUUACUUUUUAAAAUUAUGUGUAAUCUAUCAUAUAAACUUGUUGUAUGUGUUGUUUUGAGUAUAAGUUUGGUAUUCGGUUUUUACCGAAAACCCGAAGUAAAAAACCGAAACCGAAGUUCUCGGUUUUCAUUUUCUAGAAAACCGAUUGGUUUCUAAUGUCUAGAAAACCGAAGUUUUUUAAAACCGAAAAACCGAACCGAAAUUUCAAAAAAAAACCAAAUGCCCAGCCCUAAUUACACGCCCAAUGGCAUCCAGUUGAGAAACCUUUGUCUGGCCGUGAAGGGGCUUCUGUGCCGCGUCGAACAUGUCGUAGAACGCCUUUGCAGUCGGCUCUGGCUCGUCAUCCAUACAUCCUCCCGUGUACUGUGCCUCCUGAUAGUCGUUCAACAUAUCCGCUACCCCCGCAUCCGCGUCAUAAUCCUCAACACGUUGUCUCAGCACCUCCUCUCUCGUACGAUGCGCUUCACCAUGAAAUAUCCACCGAGUAUAGCCCGGCGUAAAUCCAUUCUUCCAAAUAUGUUCUACCAUGGACUUCUUUGGUUUUCUUUUCCGGUUGGGACAUUUGCUGCACGGGCAUGGGACUAGACUCGCUCCUUUAGCAGCUUCGCCAUAUGCCCGUUCCACGAAAUCAUCGGUCUUUCUAAUCCAUUCAGUGGUAACAUCGUUCCUUCCUCUAUGGCCCGUGUACAUCCACUCACGGUUCUCCAUCCUAUAACAUAUAUAACCGACUAUAGUUUAAUAUAACAUGUAAGACAUCUGAAAAAAAUAACUCAAUCCUAUCAACAAAAAAAUUCGGCAGCACCUCCCCUGUACGGAGAUGUUUACAAAACCUGCAAAUAAAACUAGCAGCACGAUGGCUGACAUCCACAAAUAUAUCUAAUUGACACACAUAGUAUAAACUCCCUAAAUUCAAUAAAUAUGUAGUAUAAAUUUAAUAAACACACAUACUAAAUUCAAUAAACACACAAAAUUCAUUAUAAACACAUAAUAUAAACACGUAAAUUUAUUAAAUUCCAUAAACCUUUACGGCUUGGCGCGUGGGGCAGGCGGUGGCGUUGGCGGGUGGCCGGUGGCGGCUUGCCGGGCGCGUGGGGGGCGGGCGGCGGUCGGCCGACGGCGUCAUGCUGGGCCGGUGGGCGUGGCCGGGCGCGUGGGCGCGUGGGGCGGCCGGGCGGCUUCACAGGCGGCGCCGGUGGCGGUCGCGGGCGGCAGCAGCGUGCCGGGCCGGUGGGCGUGGCCGGGCGCGUGGGCGCGUGGGGAGGCCGAGCGGCUUGACGGGCGGCGCCGGCGGCGAGCCGGGAGCGUGGGGCGGGCGGCGGUCGAGGGCGGCGGUGGGAGCGGCGGCGUGCCGGGCGGGUGGAAGAGAAGGAAGUGAAAGGAGAGAAAGAGAGAAGAGAGCAUGUCGGGCGGUUUAGUUACCUUCUUUGCCGAGUGCCCGCGAUCCGGCACUCGGCAAAGAUUUUUUAAAAUUUAAAAAUAAACUUUGCCGAGUGCCGGAUCUCGGGCACUCGGCAAAGACAUCUUUGCCGAGUGCUAGCUGUACAUGCACUCGGCAAAGAUCUAUUCUACAGUCUUUGCCGAGUGCCCACGGGUAGGCACUCGGCAUAACCGCCUUUGCCGAGUGCUAGCUAGACAGCACUCGGCAAAGUAUACUUUAUUUUUUUAUUUUUGGCAACCAAACUUUUUGUGGUGUUUUCCUACACUAUGUAGACCUACAAGUACCAUUUUGGUACAAUUAUAAAAGUGUUUUUAUAACUAUUUGAUUUAGUUCGUUUAUUUGCAUUUCUUCGGAAAAUUCAGAUUUGAAUUGCAGGUCACUCGAAACUUGAAAAACCGUGCAUGCAAAAAUGAUAUUCAUGUUACUUAGCAUAAGUUAUGACCGAUUCCAGGAGCGGACCGGAAACUUCGAGUAACAUGCUCACUAAACAUGGCCGUGAACUUGCCAUCCACAUGUUUAAAAAUUGUAUAAAACACAAACAAAGUCAGAAAAUCAUGAAACUUUUCAACAUGUCAUGAUAUCAUAUAUAGAGGGCGUGAUAAAAAUUUUAGAAUGUUUGGAGAAAGUUGUGAGACACUAUGUGUAGAAACCUAAGAGAACUACACAUGAAAUCAUAGAGUUCCAAUGUGGAUCUCUUAGGUUUCUACACAUAGCGCGUCACAGUUUUCUCGAAUCUUUUUCAAUUUUUUAUCACAGCCUGUACAUAUGAUAUCAUGACACGUGUCCAAGUUUCAUGAUUUUCUGACUUUGUUUGUAUUUAUACAAUUUUUAAACAUGUGGAUGGCAAGUUCACAUCCAUGUUUAGUGAGCAUGUUGCUCGAAGUUUCCGGUCCGCUCCUGGAAUCGAUCGUAACUUAUGUUAAGUAACAUGAAUAUCAUUUUUGCAUGCACGAUUUUUCAAGUUUCGAGUGACCUGCAGUUCAAAUCUGAAUUUUCCGAAGAAAUGCAAAUAAUCGAACUAAAUCUACUAACGAUUGAAAACUCUGUUAUAAUUGUCCACAAAUGAUACAUGUAGGUCUACAUAGUGUAGGAACAUACCACAAAAAGUUUGGGAGACAAAAUCUAAAAAAUAAAAAUAUGCUUUGCCGAGUGUCUUGAGAAGACACUCGGUAAAGAGUCCUUUGCCGAGUGCCAAAUAUUUGACACUCGACAAAUAAGCCACUUUGACGAGUGCCAAUCGUCGGCUCUCGGCAAAGAUUGACGGCCGUCAACUUUAGGACGACCGCUGACGACCCUUUGCCGAGCGCCGCCUUUGCCGAGUGUUUGACACUCGGCAAACAUGUCUUUGCCGAGUGGUGUCCUGUGCCGAGUGUCCUGCACUCGUUAAAGAGGCUCGUUACCAAGAGCCGAACUUUGCCGAGUGCGGCUCUCGGCAAAGCUUGCUUUGCCGAGUGCCUGACAAAAGGCACUCGACAAAGAUGCCGACACUCGGCAAAGCCUCGGAUUCCGGUAGUGUUACUAUUUAUUUUGUUCAUAUUCAUUACAUUCAAAUUACAUGUGCACCUUUCUAUUGACAUAAAAAGUAGUAUCAACUUUCUAGAUUAAAAUGCAACUAAAAGUACCUAAAUUUCUAACGGUGGGGAUUGAGUGACUCUUUAAACCGAUUAUUACACAAGUUAACCAAAGUAGAAUUAACAUUGGUGAAUAGCGCCAUGAAUUGUUUUUCUAGUGAAAAAUAGCACAAGCAUGCUACACAUAUGUGGCUAUCGUUAGACAUGUGUAAAGGUAAUGCAUCACACCAUUGUCACCCAUGUAUUUGGAAAACACCAAGAGGAAAAACCACUUAUUUAUUGUAUUUUAUGGAGAUUAUCUUGCUUACAUAUAAAUUAUAACCCAACAAACUGGUCACUAAAUAUCAAAACCAACGUGAUACCAGGUCAUCUCUAGCUUAUCUUACUAAUAUUCUUUUGGCAAAAUCCAAAAUUAAUCUUGCACAAGCACAAGGACUGACAUGUGUAUAAAUAUCUCUUAGAUUAGUACGUAAUCCAUCGCACAUAUUAUUGAGACCAAUUAUCAACAUAGAAACUAGAAUAGAGUAGCAACAAUGACAACCAAGAUAUUUUCCCUCCUUAAGCUCCUUGCUCUUUCUGCAAGCGCUACUACCACGCCAUUUUCCUGCAAUGCUCACAAGCUCCUAUAGCUUCCCUUCUUCCCCCGUACCUUUCAUCAGUGAUGGCUUCAGUAUGUGAAAACCCAAUUCUUCAUCUCUAUAGGAUCCAACAGGCAAUUGCAGCAGGCAUCUUAACUUUAUCACCCUUGUUCCUCCAAUAACCGUCAGCCCUAUUACAACAGUUAUCUUUGGUGCAUUUGUUGGCACAAAGCAUCAGGGCACAAAAACUGCAUCAACUUGCGCUGGAAAACCUUACUGCCAACUCUCAGUAACAAAAGUUUAUUCCAUUCAACCAACUGGCUACAUUGAACUCUGUUGCUUAUUUGCAACAAUAACAACUACCAUUCAGCCAACUAGUUGUUGUGAGCCUGUUGCCUUCUUACAUAGCAGCAGUUGUUGCCGUUCUACCCGCACGAUGUGGCUAACACAACCACCCUCUUACAACUGCAACAAUUGCCGCCAUUCAACCAACUUGCGUUGACAAACCCAACAGCGUUCUACCUACAACCCAUCAUUGAUGGUGCCCUCUGUUAGAUUGCUUAUGAGUUAUAGUUCAAUAAUGAAGUUUUUUGGUUGAUGUUUGUGGCUUCCCAGAAAUAAUAAAGUACAUUUCUAGAUUCUCAUGUGCUACUUGUCUCCAAAUGUGGUUGAUAAUUAUUUUGCUCUAAGAUCGAGAGUAAUGAUGUAUAAAUCAUCGUUGUCGUGUGAUACUCGGUCAAUUGAGCAUUAGCACACACAAACAUGACGAGAAUGGUAUAAUCUCCAAAAAUAUGUACUUUGUAGGUGGGACCCUAUAGCCAUGCAAAAUAUGCUAUGUUAGGCAUGCCGAUGGAAACAUGUGAUGCAUAUGUUUCGUGAACCUGUUGAUAUUAUAUGUGAUUUAUAUUACGAUAUUUUACUAAAAUACUAAUAUUUAUUACUAGUAAGUUAUAACAUUCUAUCAAUCUUAAAAACCUAACCAUAAAUAUUCCAUCGUAACUAGGUUUACCAAACUAUACAAAUACACAAUAAAUACAAAAUUAACAAUACAAUAACCAAUAUUUAUGAGCUUAAUAAAUUUAAUUUUAGGGUUGGUCGAUGAUAAUCAUAUUGACUUCCCCUGACUCCUUGAUUGUAAAUAUGCCUAGACCAUGCCUCUUUCUACUAUACGGCAAACAGGGACCACUCUAGGAGACUAGGACGUUGCUUGAGACGAAGACGCCAUCAUUGAUGUAGACUAUCGACCAUCUGACUGCAGUCGAUAAAAAUUAACUAUUUCUGUGAGGCGUUUGACCAAAAAUGACAAAACUUUACUAGGUUCUGUUGGUUGAGUGAGGGCCGACAAAAGUUGAUAAAUUUUCGUGGGAUUAUUUCAAGCCGACAUAAAUUAUUUUGGCUAAUGGAAGUUUCUUUUUUCCUUAGUUGUGUGGUGCUAUACAUAUGCAUGUCUGAUUCACGUGAUAAACUAGGCUAGAAAAACAAUUAUUUGACAUGGAUUGUUGUGGAGGACCAUACCAACUGUGACUGCCAUCUCAAUCCAGCUGACAUCUAAGUGACCUUUGAAUAAAUUAUUAAGCUGACAAAACUUUGACACCAAGAAGAAAGUUUAAGUAUGUAAAUAUUUAUGUUCAUCAAGCUGCUAUUCCCUAUCAUUGGCAUGAACAUUGUCAUCAUUUAGUUCCUAAGAAUAUAAUAAAAACAAGAAGAGCCACCUCACGAGAAUCCUUUAACAUAGACUAAAUAGUAGUUUUUGUGGAACACAACAGAACUGUACACCAUUUUCAGCGGCCAAGGUUAUUUUCGGCGGCCAGGACUUAGCCGCCGAAAAUAAACCUAUUUUCGGCGGCUUCUGACACAGCCGCUGAAUAUACAUUUAUUUUUGGCGGCUACUAACACAACCGCCGAAAUAAGGUUUUUAAAACCGUCGGGCUCCUUCUCUAUUCUCUCUGUUUCUUCUCUUCUUCUCCUCGCUCGGUCGCCGCCGUACGCCGCCACGCCGCCCGCCCGUCGCCGCCGUGCCCGCCACAGCUACAUCCACGCCCCCGCCGAGGCGCCGCGCCACCCCGUGCAGCCAUGCCCCCGGCGGCUCCGUCUCGUCGUCUGCCGUCACCCUCGGCUCCCAUCGACCAAGAAAACUUGAAUACUCCUUAGCCAAAAAAUGGAUGAAUUUCACCUUCCUUAUCUUAAGCUCCUUGAUUUUUCUACUAAGUGUCGCUAUUCUAACCAUUAUCCCUUGGGUAAACCAUAUUUGAUUAUCCAGCCAAAGGACCCAGAAGAUAAAAACAAUUUUUAAUUGCUAUUUCGAGACAAAUGAAUUAGCGUGAUUCGAAAAGGAUUACGACCUUCCCCCUUGACCUUUGUCAUACUUCUUUAGUCUAAUCGAUAGAAUCAAGAAUAGAAAUCACUGAAGAAGUUGAUAAGCGAAGCUUCGACGAUAAUAGGAACAUGGUGACAAUAGGACGAACGAUGAUGCCUUUGUCUAAGAAUGUUAUCUAGAAGAAAUCUCAAUCAAUUGUCGGUACAACGAAAAGAUAGAAACAUGCACCCUUGAGUAUGAAACAUUUAUAUGUAAGAGGAAGGAGGAAUGUAAUUGCUCAUGCCUAAUCAUAUUAUUGAGAGUUUUAAGGCGAGACUUAUGGCAAAGGGUUAUACACAAAAAUAGGGGAAAGGUCAUUUCAAUACUUAAUCAAUUUUUGCCCUUCUAAUGACCAUACAUGUGUUACUUUUUUUGGCUGCCUCACAUGGUCUUAUCGUUCACCAGAUGAAUGUUACGUCUGUUUUCCUAAAUGGAGAGCUUAAUGAACAGAUCUACAAUGACUAGCCUGGUGGAUUUACACCAAUUGGUAAAGAGGAAAAGGUGUUUAAAUUAAAACAAAUUUAUGGUUUAAAACAAGAACCAAAGCACAUGAGAAAUUUGAUAAAGUUUUGACUUUGGCUAAAUUUGUUGCAAAUGAAGCUGAUAAAUGUGUCCAUUACCGGUUUGACAGGGGUGAAGGUAUAACAUUUUUUAUGUGGAUGAUAUAUUAAUCUUUUGUAAUGGUGUUAAUAUGAUCGAGGAAGUAAAGUAAUUUUUGUCUAGUAACUUUGAAAUAAACAAUCUGGGAGAGAUUAAUGUUGUUCUUAACAUAAAGAUGUUCAGAGGAGGAGGAAAUAUGGGGUUAUUCUUGUGCAAUCCUAUUAGGUUGAAAGGUCGAUGAGUUGCUUUGGAUAUAGUGACUACACGUCUGGUCCAACUACUUAUGACCCAAGUGUGCUAUUAAGGAAAAUCAUAUAAUCGCAUAUGAUCAAUUGAGAUAUUGUCAAAGCAUGGUCUUCUCAUGGAUUUGGCUAGUUCAACGAGGCCUGAUAUCUCGUUUGCUAUGAGCAAACUCAGUUGCUUUGUCUCCAAUCUUAGGGAUGAUCAUGACAUGCCCUAGAGAGGGUAUUGCGCUAUCUAAAAGGGACUAUGAGUAAUGUCAUUUACUAUACCACACACCUAAGGGUACCAGAGUGUUAUAGUGAUGCAAACAAAAUAUGUGAUGGUGAUUAGAUUUAAGCCACAAGUAGAUAUGUGUGCUUACUUGAAGGUGUGGUUGUUUCAUCGAAGUCUUGUAAGCAGACCAUCUUAACAAGGUCAACAAUAAAAGUAGAACUCACAACAUUAGAUAUUGCCAAAGUUGAUGCCGAGUGGCUUCGUGAACUCCUUAUGGAUUUACUAGUAGUUGAAAAUCGAAUACUGGUUAUCUAUAUGAGCUAUAAUGAUUAAACAUUGGUAAUCAAAGUGAACAAUUCUUAGGUUAACAUGAAUACUACAAAGCAUGUCAAAAAACGGUUGAAACUGUUAAAACACCAAGAAAUUCUAGAUUAAUUGUGUUGGACUAUGUCCAUACUUCUAAGAAUUUGGUAUGCGAGUUUAUAGAAGAUUUGUCACAUAAUGUGAUAGAUGGUGCAUCGAGGAAGAUGGGCUUGAGACCCACUUAAUGCCAUUCCAUAGUAGUAGCAUUUUCUAUGUGAUUGGAGAUCUCAUAGAGUAGAAUGGUGAAACAAGCUAGAGAAUGACUGAUGGAGAGACUCCUUAAAUAAAAUCUAGGUAAUUUCAUAUGCACAUUUCUCCUUUGAUGUACGAUAGGCUAACUAAAAUAUUAAUAUGAUUUGAGUGACUUAUCUAAGUAGGGAUGUUAUCUUACAGAACAUCCUAGAAGGAACACACCUAUAUGAGUUUCACUGCUAGUCACGAUCUAUGAUAUGUGGGCAAUAUUUAUAUACUCAUGAAAGGCCUCGAAGUUUGACUUAUAUGAUUCAAGCCAAGGGGAUUCUUGUAAUAGUCUAGUACGAGAUAAGAACUUUGGAGAAACUCACUUCAUGCAAAAUUGUCAAUUCAAGGUAUAGUCCAUUGUUCAGAUAUGAAUAUGUAAUCCCUGUUCUAGAUGGAUGGUCAACUUAACAGCCUCCACCAAAACCCUUAUAUAUCAAAGAGUAGUGGAUUUGAAUUUGUCUAAUUUGAAUUUGUCUAAUAUGUAGUUUAUGGGCUUGGCUCAUUUAAAGUAUUUAAUAAUUCUGAAAGACAAGAUUAAACUAACUAUGUAUGAUCCUUUAGCAUCGUGCAGAUGGUCAAUGGGACAGUUACAUGGUUUAUAUAGAUGGACCUAUCUAUAUUCCUUCAGUAGUUGAGAAAAAGGUAAAGGUGUGUCACACUCACACAUGCGCUGCCUCCACCGAGACAAGGCAUGGCGUUGCAAGGUGAGGCAUGGCAUGGUGCAACACGAUCGCAGUCAUGGUCGUGGCGCGGUGUAGCAUUGUUGUGGAUAGAUCGAUAAACUAUUGUUGUAGUUAGAGUACAUGAGUUUUUGAAUGCAACACUAGAAUUUUCUCAAUUUAACUUAAUUAAGAAAUUAUAUCUUGAUGACAUAGAGUUACCUGACCAUUGAUCUCACAUGCCCUUUUAGCUCUCUCGUUCUCUAGUCUCGCCUGACUAUUUAGGUCUCCUGACUCGCCAAUAGAAAGACCAUCCUAUCAUUUGCUCUCGAAUACUUCUGUGUCAUAACUUGAAAGUCGCCUAGAGCGGGAGGUGAAUAGGCGAAACCUAAAAUUUAUAAACUUAAACACACACAAAGGUCGGGGGUUAGAGUUAGAAUUAAAUUCUAGUCCAGAAGAAUAUCUCUGUUGCUAGGAGUUGCUCAAGGAUUGCAGAUGAUGUAUGUGAGCCAACUCAAAUUCACACUAGCAAGGAAAUGUUAGAGAGAGGAAAACAAAUCAAACAAGAAUCAAGGCGAGUGAACACGAUGAUUUGUUUUACCGAGGUUCGGUUCCAAAGAACCUAGUCCCCGUUGAUGAGGUCACAAAGACCGGGUCUAUUUCAACCAUUUCCCUCUCUCAAACGGUCACUUAGACCGAGUGAGCGUUUUCCUUAAUCUCUCGGGUCACUUAGACCCCGUAAGGACCACCACACACUUAGUUGUCUCUUGCUUCAAUUACAAGUCACUUGAGAAAUAGACGGGAAAAGAAAAAGGCCAAACCAAGCAACAAGAGCAACAAAGAACACAAGAUAUCCUCUCACAAGCCCUAAUGCACUAGAGUUGAUUUUGGGGCUUUGAGUGGAUUGAUUGCUUUGAUUGUGUCUUGGAGUGUUGGACUUUGCUCUUGCAAUGAAUGAGAGUUCAGAAAUGCUUGGAUGGUUAUGAAUGAGGUGGUUGGGGGUAUUUAUAGCCCCCAACCACUUCCAUAGCCGUUGGUGAAGGCUGCUAGCGAUGGGCGCACCGGACAGUCCGGUGCAUCACCGGAGAGCCACUGUGUACUGUCCGGUGCGCGCCACAUCAGCGCAACCGUUAGGGUUCGGAGCUGGUCAACCGUUGGAGUCUUUGUCGUCUUGUUGCACCGGACAGUCCGGUGCCCUCUGACUUCUGACAUCCACUGUUCAUCGCGACAGAGUCGACCGCUGGCGCAUAGAGCCGUUGCUCCGCUGGUACACCGGACAGUCCGAUGAAUUAUAGCGAAGCGCGCCCUAGAAUUCCUGAGAGUGGCUGGUUCAUCUGCUGUACGACCUGGUGCACCGGACCCUGUCCGGUGCGCCAUUUUUUAGCACACUCAAGUCCUUUUGCUCCAAUUAAAUUGUGUCCCUAACUUAAUUUCUUUCUUGGUUUGUGUUGAACCUUAUGCACCUAUAAUACAUGAAUUCUUGACAAACUAGUCAGUCCAUGUGUUUGUGUUGGUCGUCAACCACCAAAAUUAAUUAUAGGAAAUGGUUAACCCUAUUUCCCUUUAAAUCUCCCCCUUUUUGGUGGUUGAUGCCAACACAAACCAAAGCAAAUAAUAAAUGUAGAAAUAUAACUAGUUUGGAAUUGAGAUGAAUGUGCAUAGGUUACUUGGAAUUAAACCAAUAAAAUAUUUUCAACAUAUGAAUAAGAGUGAAUGGAUUGGCUUUCUUUUAUUUAAUAUUUUGGACCACAUUUGCACCACAUGUUUUAUUUUUGCAAAUCUUUUGGAAAUCUAUUCAAAAACUUCUGCAAAUAGUCAAAGGUAUAGGAAUAUGAUUGCAAGAAGCAUUUUUUAGGAUUUUGAAAUUCCUCCCCCUGUUUCAAAUGCUUUUCCUUUGACUACAUAAAAGCUCCCCCUAAAUGAAAUUCUCCCCUUAGCUUUCAAGAGGGUUUUGAAGUAGAUACCAAUUGAAAAAAUUUCUCUCACAUAUGAGUUGAAAGUUAGAUACCAAUUGAAAAUAUAUUAAUUGAAAUUCUUCCAUACUUAAUGUGAAGUUUUGAAGAUACCAAUUGAGAAAUUUUCUUCACAUACCAAUUGAAAAUUCAUUUUGAUCAAAUACCAAUUGAAAUAUACACCAGUUGAAGUUUACCAAUUAAAGAAAAUUUCAUUUUGAAUUUUUUUGAAAUGGUGGUGCGGUCCUUUUGCUUUGGGCUUAAUAUUUUCUCCCCCUUUGGCAUUAAGCGCAAAAAAUGGAGAAUUCGAGAGCCCUUUUUCUCCCUUUAUGGGGUCUAAUACUUUCUCACAAAUGGUAAAAUGAAUAUGAGUGAAUGAUUAUACCAAUUGAGAGUGUGGAGGAACAACGACAAAGGGUAUACCGUCAGAGUUGGAGUGGAAGCCUUGUCUUUGCGGAAAACUCCAUUUCUUUUUCAAUCUACGACUUAGUAUAGAAAUACACUUGAAAACACAUUAGUCAUAGUCUUGGCACAAGAAGAGUAAGAAAUAUGUAUUUGCACCAAAUGAAAGAGAUAUGAUCAAAUGUAUAUAAAUUAGCUAUGUGUGCAAAGUUUCAAUCAAAGUUCCGUGAAUCAAGUAUAUUUAGCUCAUUCCUAAGUUUGCUAAAUGUUUUCUCAUCUAGUGGCUUGGUAAAGAUAUCGGCUAAUUGGUUGUGGGUGCUCACAUAAGCAAUUUCGAUAUCCCAUUUUGUUGGUGAUCUCUCAAAAAGUGAUACCGGAUGUCUAUGUGCUUAGUGCGGCUAUGUUCAACGGGAUUAUCCGCCAUGCGGAUUGCACUCUCAUUAUCACAUAGGAGAGGGACUUUGCUCAAUUUGUAUCCAUAGUCCCUAAGGGUUUGCGUCAUCCAAAGUAAUUGCGCACAACAAUGACUUGUGACAAUGUACUCGGCUUUGGCGGUGGAAAGAGCUACAGAGUUUUGUUUCUUUGAAGCCCAUGACACCAGGGAUCUUCCUAAAAACUGACAAGUCCCUGAUGUGCUUUUCCUAUCAAUUUUACAUCCGGCAUAAUCGGCGUCGGAAUACCCAAUUAAAUCAAAGGUAGAUCCCUUGGGGUACCAAAGCCCAAACUUAGGAGUGUAAACUAAAUAUCGCAUGAUUCUUUUCACGGCCCUAAUGUGAACUUCCUUAGGAUUUGCCUGGAACCUUGCACACAUGCAUAGAGAGAGCAAAAUAUCCGGUCGAGAUGCACAUAAAUAGAGUAAAGAUCCUAUGAUCGACCGAUAUACCUUUUGAUCUACGGAUUUACCUCCCGUGUCGAGGUCGAGAUGCCCAUUGGUUCCCAUGGGUGUCUUGACGGGUUUGCCAUUCUUCAUCCCAAACUUCUUAAGUAUAUCUUGUAUGUAUUUUGUUUGGCUGAUGAAGGUGCCCUCUUGGAGUUACUUGAUUUGAAAUCCAAGGAAGUACUUCGACUCCCCCAUCAUAGACAUCUUGAAUUUCUGUAUCAUGAUCCUACUAAACUCUUCACAAGUUGACUUGUUAGUAGACCCAAAUAUAAUAUCGUCAACAUAAAUUUGACAUAUAAACAAGUAUUUUGCAACAGUUUUAGUAAAGAGAGUAGGAUCGGCUUUACCGACUUUGAAUCCACUAGUGAUAAGAAAAUCUCUCAGACAUUCAUACCAUGCUCUUGGGGCUUGCUUGAGCCCAUAAAGCGCCUUUGAGAGUUUGUAAACAUGGUUAGGGUACUCACUAUCUUCAAAGCCGGGAGGUUGCUCAACAUAGACCUCUUCCUUGAUGGGUCCAUUGAGGAAGGCACUUUUCACGUCCAUUUGAUAAAGCUUGAAGCCAUGGUAAGUAGCAUAGGCAAGUAAUAUACGAUUUGUCUCAAGCCUAGCUACAGGUGCAUAAGUUUCAUCAAAGUCCAAACCUUCGACUUGUGAAUAACCUUUGGCCUCAAGUCGGGCUUUGUUCCUUGUCACCACACCAUGCUCAUCUUGCUUGUUGCGGAAUACCCAUUUGGUACCUACAACAUUUUGAUUAGGACGUGGAACUAAAUGCCAUACCUCAUUCCUCGUGAAGUUGUUGAGCUCCUCUUGCAUUGCCACCACCCAAUCCGGAUCUCUUAGUGCAUCCUCUAUCCUGUAUGGCUCAAUAGAGGACACAAAAGAGUAAUGUUCACAAAAAUGUGCAACUCGAGAUCUAGUGGUUACCCCCUUGUGAAUGUCACCAAGAAUGGAGUUGACGGGGUGAUCUCGUUGAAUUGCUUGGUGGACUCUUGGGUGUGGCGGUCUUUGAUCUCUUAUUUCUUGAUCAUCUUCCUUGUCUUGGUUAUCAUCAUCUCCCCCUUGAUCCAUGUCCUCCUCUUGAGGUGGCUCAUCCUCUUGAUCUUCAUCUUCAUUAUCUUGAGCCUGAUCCUCGUCUUGAGUUGGUGGAGAUGCUUGCAUGGAAGAUGACAAUUGAUCUUGUGCUUGUGAAGGCUCUUCGAAUUCCUUGGGACACAUAUCUCCAAUGGACAUGUUCCUUAGUGCGACGCACGGAGCUUCUUCAUCAUCUAGUUCAUCAAGAUCAACUUGCUUCACUUGGGAGCCAUUAGUCUCAUCAAACACAAUGUCACAAGAUACUUCAACUAAUCCAGUGGAUUUGUUGAAGACUCUAUAUGCCCUUGUGUUUGAGUCAUACCCUAGUAAAAAGCCUUCUACAACCUUAGGAGCAAAUUUAGAACUUCUACCUCUUUUAAUAAGAAUAAAGCAUUUACUCCCAAAGACUCUAAAAUAUGAAACAUUGAGAUUUUUACCAGUGAGGAGUUCAUAUGAUGUUUUCUUGGGGAUUCAGUGAAGGUAGAGCUGGUUGAUGGAGUAGCAAGCGGUGUUGAUUGCUUCUGCCCAAAACCGUUCCGGAGUCUUGUAUUCAUCAAGCAUGGUUCUUGCCAUGUCCAAUAGAGUUCUAUUCUUCCUCUCCACUACACCAUUUUGUUGAGGUGUGUAGGGAGAAGAGAACUCAUGCUUGAUGCCGUCCUCCUCAAGAAAUCCUUCAAUUUGAGAGUUCUUGAACUCCGUCCCAUUAUCGCUUCUUAUCUUUUUGAUCCUUAAUCCAAACUCAUUUUGAGCACGUCUCAAGAAUCUCUUUAAGGUCUCUUGGGUUUGAUAUUUUUCCUGCAAAAAGAAUACCCAAGUGAAGCGAGAAUAAUCAUCCACAAUAACAAGACAUUACUUACUUCCGCCGAUGCUUAUAUAAGCAAUCAGACCGAAUAGAUCCAUGUAGAGUAGCUCAAGUGGCAUGUCCGCUGUCAUGAUGUUUUUGUGUGGAUGAUGGACUCCAACUUGCUUCCUUGCUUGACAUGCGCUACAAAUCAUGUCUUUCUCAAAAUGAACAUUUGUUAGUCCUAAAAUGUGCUCUCCCUUUAGAAGCUUAUGAAGAUUCUUCAUUCCAACAUGGGCAAGUCGGCGAUGCCAGAGCCAGCCCAUAUUAGUCUUAGCAAUUAAGCAAAUGUCUAGUUCAGCUUGGUUAUCAUUAAAAUCAACUAAGUAUAGCUGACCAUCUAAUACUCCCUUAAAUGCUACUGAAUCAUCACUUCUUCUAAAGACAGUAACACCUACAUCAGUAAAUAAAUAAUUGUAGCCCAUUUUGCAUAAUUGGGAAAUAGAAAGCAAAUUGUAAUGUAAAGAAUCUACAAGAAAAACAUUGGAAAUAGAAUGGUAAGAAAAUAUAGCUAUUUUUCCCAACCUUUGACCAAACCUUGAUUUCCAUUCCCGAAUGUAAUAGCUCUUUGGGGAUCUUCAUUUUUCUCAUAGGAGGAGAACAUCAUUUUCUCCCCUGUCAUGUGGUUUGUGCACCCGCUAUCGAUUAUCCAACUUGAUCCACUGGAUGCAUAAACCUGCAAAACAAUUUAGGCCUUGUUCUUACGUACCCAAACAGUCUUGAGUCAUUUGACGUUAGAAACAAGCACCUUGGGCACCCAAACACAAGUCUUGGGACUCUUGUGUUUGCCCCCAACAUAUUUGGCAACUAUCUUGCCUGAUUUGUUAGUUAAAACAUAUGAAGCAUCAAAAGUCUUAAAUGAAACAUUAUGUGCAUUUGAUGCAGUAGGAAUUUUUUUUCUAGGCAUUUUGACAUGAGUGGUAUGCCUAGAGCUAGACGCCUCAUUUUUGUACAUAAAUGCAUGGUGAGAAACAGAAUGAGGUUUCCUAGCAUGAAUCUUCAUAAUCUUAUGUUCAAGAUAGUUUGCAGGAUAUACAAUGUAACCCUCACUAUCCUAAACCAUGGGAGCCUUACCCUUAACAAAAUUAGACAAUCUUUUAGGGGUAUUAAGCUUGGUGUUGUUUUGAUUUCCUUGUUGGAAACCAAUACCAUCCUUAAUGUCAGGGCGUCUCCCAUUAUAGAGCAUGCUUCUAGCAAAUUUAAAAUUUUCAUUCUCUAACUCAUGCUCGGCAAUUUUAGUAGUUAAUUUAGCUAUAUGAUCAUUUUGUUGUUUAAUCAUGGCAAGGUGAUCAUCCAUAGCUUCAAUAUUAACAUCUCUACAUCUAGUGCAAAUAGUAACAUGAUCAACAGUAGAUGUAGAUGGUUUGCAGGUAUUUAAUUAUUCUAUCUUAGCACUUAAUCUAAUAUUCUCAUCUCUAAGACAGGAAAAAGGAUCAUUGCAAACAUUCAAUUUUUCAAUCUUAGAAACUAAACUAGCAUUUUCAGUUCUAAGACUUGAAAUUGAAUCAUGAUAAAUGCUAAUAUCCUUAGAUAAGUUUUCACAUUUUCUAUUUCCUGAGCAUAAGCAUUUUUUAAUUUAACAAUUUUAUUGUUCUAUUUAACGAGGAAGUCCUCUUGGCUUUCCAAGAGGUCAUCCUUCUCGUUAAUGGUUUCAAUUAGUUCAUUUAUUUUUUUCUUUUGUUCCAUGUUAAGGUUGGCAAAAAGAGCAAGUAAAUCAUCUUCAUUAUCGCUAGAGCUACCCUCAUCACUAGAUGUUGUAUAUUUGGGGUGGCUCACUAUACGACGGUUGAUCUUUAGCGACUCUUAUUAGGGACUGACGGUUGGUCGCUAAAAGUUAUGGACCGACGGUUGGUCGCUAAAUGCGUUUAUAGCGACGGUCUGUGGGUCGCUAAAAGUCUAGAAAUUUAACGACAUAUGGUUGGUCGCUAUAGAGGUAAGUGUGUGACUGAUGGUGGGUCGCUAUAGGGGUACGUGAUUUUUGUGUUUCUUAUUUACUCACCAAAGCCCAUCUAAAGGCCUACUAAACAAACGAAACCCUAUUUCACGCACCAAACCACAAGCGCAGCCGCCGUCACUUCUGCCCCAUCACGGCCCCAUCCUGCCGCUCGUCGACGACGCCACCCCGCCCCUCGGCCGCGGUCGCCGUCAGGCAGCCAGCCACCGCGACAUUGGCCAUGAUUUUUUGUGCCUGUUCUUGCUUAACUUUAUAACUGAUAAAGUUUCCAAUCACAAGAUUUACUUAAUUUAUACUAUUAUUAUCUUCUGUUGCAGUAUUUCCUUAUUAUUAAAGCAGCAAGGUUUGCCGCUUCCUCGUGUGUCCACGUCGGCAAAUUUUUUUGCCGUCCGAUCGUUCAUCAAUGGUGACAAUCUCACCCCUGCACAGUGUGUGUGGAUGGUUCUAGUUUCUUCUCUCACCAGCUCAUGCGUCUCCAAAGUAAAAAGGAUAAGAGAGACUCUGGGUUGCCGAGGUCCGCUUUCGUAACUACAGGAGGUAGGCAAAGGAGACGGCGACGACGAAGAACAUGUACUUCCUCCAUUACGUCCUCUAUUCCUAUCAUUGCCUUUCGUUUCUUUUCUUUUCUACAAUCGGCGUUACCUGCUGCAGUCGACGGCUCGGUCCCCUUGGUAUCUAAUGCCUUUGCGCGGCACCUGAGUUCUACACUUGCGACGAACUUGAGCAUUGCAUUCGUCGUUGUUCUUGUGUCCAUUCUUGUCUCUGACUCGGGCCGCCGCGAGUUCCUCCAUUCCCACUGCCAUGGAAUACGCCAGUGCGCUGAAUGACGCCUGCGUCUUCACGGAUCUCCUCCUCCUUUUGGCUAACAUGGCUCCUCAAAGAUGACCGCGUACGUUUGUCGAGCGGCGCUGGCAAGGGCCACGUGAACUGCGUUGGUCGACGCUUCCACACGCGCCGCUAAGCCUGCCCUGCCGCCCCCUAUGCGAUGCUGCUCCUCCCCUUUCUUCUCCGCCUAGGCUGGCGCUUGGAGGAGGAUGCCACCAAGGUUACCAACUACUUAAUGUACGCGUGCAAGAUGCUCGAUGAUACACCCCAACGGAAAGCAGUGUCGUGGACGAUGGUAGUCGUGGGGAACAUUGUAGACUCCACGCCGGUUGAGGAGGAAAAACUCCAUUGGCUCUUUUGUCACCUUAAGGGAUUUGCCUAACGUUUCCUUUUUUUUCUUUUAAAUAUGAUUUCCCCCAUACGUAUGCAGAUGCAGUUGCCAUAUUUUAAUGCUCAAUGCUGCCUACUUUAAUUUUAUGCUUAAUUUUUUUUAAUGCUCAAUGCUGCCUACUUUCCUUCACUGAUUUGGCUGCUCUUUUAUUUAGCUUAUAGCAACGGAAAAAAGUUAGCACAUUCCAAAAACUUCAAAGACUGCUGUGUACGACAUCCUAUAUUACCGGUAUGAGUACUUUUGAGAGCUUAAAUGUUGUUAGUCUUCUGUUUGCUAUUACGUGCUUUUGCUUUCCUGAAAAACUUCACACAGUUUCAGCUACGAAUUGACCAAUGACGAAAACAAGAUAUAUGAAGUGGCACAAUACUCAGUUUUACUUCUAAAAAUUGAAGAGAUUUAAAGAAGGAUUAUUCCAACAAUAAAUAUCUAUACUUUUGUUAGCAUACAUUUUCUUUUCUCAUGGCAUAUAUUUUCUUAAGGGCUAGUUUGAAAAUUUUAAAUCCUCUCCGGGAUUCCCGGAUAUUGAGAAGAAAAUGAGCUAAUUUCCCACUCAAUCCCUGAGAAUACCGGAGGAGAUUUUUAAGUUUCCAAAUUAGCCCUAAGUGUAGUAACUGAUUUUCACUUAAUUUUGCAGACUGCUUCUGUUUGAAUUGAACGGCAUCUUCAGAAUCUCGGCGACGCUAAUUUCUAACUCAUAUGGGAGAGGUCUAUUUCUAGAAUUUUUGUUUUUCUUUAAUAGAUUUGCCACCUACAUUGGCAUUUUUUCCCACUGCAAUCGAUUAUAAACUACAGUUUUGCAACCUUUCAGUGACAUGAACAUCUAACCAUAUUCAAGUUUGCCCUCAUCUCAAUAUCCAGAUAUCUCCACCUCAUCGACUCAAUAGUUAACCAUAUUCAAGUUUGCCCCUUUGAAACCAUCUGCUUGGAUUUUAUCGAUUCCAUUACCUAAAAAUAUGGUACAAUUUCAGUACGCCAGUACAUAUUAUGCAAAUGAAACACAAUUAAAAUCAGCAUUGUGAACUUUAUUGUUUGCCCAUUUUUUUGAUAAAUUACCCAUUUUAUGAUUCUACUGGGCCCUUUUCGCCUUUGCCCUACAAUUAUUCCUCCUCUUCGCUCUUUUGUUUCAUUGUUUGUUCUGCUUUGCACUUCUAUUCAUUGCAUUCUUCGUCGGUGAUUGUGCUCGUCCAGUUCGUCGGCCAUGUGUUCUAUCAUUUUCGUCAGAAAUCCUUUCUUAAGCCCUCCACUUUUCUCCUUUUUUGUUACCUUCGCACUUCGUUUUUAUUGUUCAUGUUCUCUGUCGUCGAGAUCUACUGUCUCAGGUUUAUUCUGGCUUUCAUAGUAAAUAAAUUGCUCUUCUUCCCCUCAUUUCUUGCUGGACGCAUAUUAUGCUUUUCCACUUUGCGACAACACUGUUUCCCUUAUUUGUGUUCGAGUAAAGUUCAGACUUUAUCCUCAGAGGUAAUUGUUACUUGCCUUAGCUUGCACUCUAUACACAUAAAGCGCUACUGUGCUGUUGCAUCAACUGUUUCGUUCCAUAGUUUUUGUUUUAUCCCACUUGGUUUAUGUCUUAUGUGCGCAUCAAACACUUCAAGCUAACAAUUACGCUUUCUAGUUUUGUAGACAUUAAAACAAAUGUUUCACUCCAAUGUAGGCCAAACAUAUUUAAGCGGUAUCGCAACAUGUGCAUGGUACUUUAAUGCAGACAUUUCUAAGGCACAUAUGUAGUAUAACAUGUACGGGAAAAUAGAUAAACAAAACACUAUCCAUUCUUGUAAUUACAUUUCCCCUUAAACCUGUUCUCCUUACAUGUCAUGUUGACAAUCAUCUACAUUAUCUAGCUGUCUGGUAGUAGCAUUUUUGUAAAACUAACAUACAAAUCUAGCAUUAACUUUUGCCCCAAAUUUCUAAAAUCUAUUAUGAACUACAAACAAGUUCCAAGUAUUCCUUUUCACAUGAAUAUGAGCACACUUUUUAAGCCAUCCAAUAACAUUUAAUCAACAUGUAUCGUCUACAUUAUCUAGCUGUCUGGUAGAAGCAUUUUUGUAAAAUUAACAUACCAAUCUAGCAUUAACUUUUUUCCCCAAAUUUCUGAAACAUAUUAUGAACUACAAAUAAGUUCCAAGUAUUCCUUUGCACAUGAAUAUGAGCACCCUUUUUUAAGCCAUCCAAUAACAUUUAAGCAACAUGUAUGCUUAAAUUCCACAAUACUGACCAAUUACACAAAUGUUUGCUACUAUUUCAAUUUUUGUUGUCACAUCAUUUAAAGGUUACAAAAUAUUGAACUUUAGUUGCUACGACCUACAAUACUUGAAGAAGAGAUCCAGGUUUCCCAGACACCUACUUUCGAGGACAAAACCAUCAAUGAAUUGGUUGAAAUUGAUCCAGAUAUAUUCCAUGUAAUCACUUUAACUUCCUAUUUUGUUGAACUCAUUCAUUACAUCAACUACAACUCCAUCUUAUUUAUAGUAAACUUUUUUCGCGAAAUGCAGCCACAAGGUUAUAGAUGUACUAAUCGCUAUAUCACGCCUCACACAGGAAGGUAGAUGGUGGUUCCCAUCUUGCACUAAAUGCAACAAGUCUUCAAUUCAGACCUCUACUAAAUAUCGCUGCAUACGUGUGAUUGGACAGAAACUAAAUUUAGGUAACCUUUCACACAAACAAUUACUUUGUCGUUAUUCGUCUGAGAUAAAACACUUCCUCUUACUUAUCAAAUCACUGCCACACAACAUUAACAGUUCAUAAUUCAAAGAUACAAACUCGGCUUCAUUGCUACUGAUGGAACAUUCGAAGCAGAAUUCUUUUGUUUUGACAAUAUAGCUAAACAAAUAGUAGAAAAACCUUGUGAAACCCUUGUUAGUAUCCUUCUCUAGAUUUAGUUGCCAUUGUCUCUCUCAGAUUCACCUUUGCAGAUACCAUUAAUAUGUUCGCGUUCUCCGUCACAAAUCGAGUCUUUUUUGUUCUCUCCGUGUUAACAAAUCAUGGAAGGAAAAGGUCAGCACCAUGUACCAUACAAAACUAUCAACAACAAGAAUUAGUGACACAAGAUGACAUAUUAGCCUCACAACCACAUAAAACUCUCCAACAACAUCGUUUGCAAAGCUAUCCACUUUUGGUGACCAUAAAAAUGUGGUGAGAAUUUUUUAGUGCAAACUACAACUAUUUCACAUGAACUUAUAUAUGUGCAUAGACUAAUGAAAUCUAUUUGACAGGCAUGUCACAGCCUUGCAUAUUCUAAUGCACUACAUGAUAUAGAGGUAAGUUUUUCUACCAUCACGUUUAGGCUCCAUAUGUACCCAAAAAUGACAUAAUUGUCUACCUCAAUUAUUUUGUGAUGGGAGAGAGUAUAUCUAUUCAUAAUUUGAAGACAGUGAUUUUUUUCCAUACAUAUCUAUGCAGGCAUAAAAUUACACACAAAAGAAAAAGAAUACUAUCUAUGCAAGAUGGACUCGAAAAUCCUUUCAACAUGUGGAUCAAUCUAAUUAUUUUAGAUUUUUUCUAAAUUUGCCUUUCAAUGGCUGAAGUCCCAUUUUGAUGCAAAUGAAAAAGCGAACAUCCUGUAGACUGCUGUUGCUGUGCAUCUCAACUGUUUUGGUCUUCCAAUCUUUUUGGAAGUAUUAUUAUUUUUACUUUCACUUACUCUUAUAAUUGCAUCAUGUUACACGAUGUUGACGUCAAUAUGGAUAUACACCCAAACAAUCUAAAUUCAAGGUCUUGUCAAAGCAAACUAAGGUUCUUUUUUUAAUACAAAGUCGUAUGGAUUCUGUUAGAUCUUGUAUUUUUUCCUACUAAUGUCAAUAUCAACCCGCAAGCGUCUCUUAAGUCACUCUUUUUAGGAUCAUUAUUUCACAUACUUUAAACCACAUAUGAAAUUUUGUUAGGCACACUAUUUGACAAUUCUUAUCCACUUACAGAAUGUUGACUAGCUUUCAGAACACCUUAACAAAAAAGAUCUUUUCUAAAUUUGCCUUUCAAUGGCCAAAAUCCCAUUUUUAUGCAAAUGAGAAAUGAACAGCCUACAAACUAUUUUUGUUGUGCAUCUCCACUGUUUUGGGCUUCCAAUCUUUUCUUGAGUAUUUUUUUACUUUCAAUUACCCCCUCUUAUAGUUUCAUCAUUAAAAAGUAUUGUUUUUUACUUUCAAUUACUCCCUCUUAUAAUUUCAUCGUGUUACACAAUGUUGAUGUCGAUAUAGAUAUACACCCAGACCAUCUAAAUGCGAGUUCUUAUCAAAGCAAACUUAGGUUCCUUUUUUUGAUACAAAGUCGUCUGGUUUCUCUUAAACCUAUCUAGUAUUUUGUUUCCUACUAAUGUCAAUACCGACCUGCAAGCCUCUCCUACCUCACUCUUUUCGGGAUCACUAUUUCACAUACUUUAAACCACAUAUGAAAUUAUGUUAUACAUUAGGCACACUAUUUGACGAUUCUUAUCCACUUACUUACAGGAUGUUGACUAGCUUUCAGACCACCUUGACAAAAAAAUCUGGCAUCCCCACCUAAGAAGUAUGUUUAAAAAAAAGAGGAGAGCAAAUGCAACCCGAGCAACAAGUUGCUUCCUUUUUUACACUAUGUACCAUAGUCCUUUCUAAGUUCUAACAUUGCAGAACACAUACAUGAUCAAAACUAGCAGGCUUCAAAAACAUCAAAAAGAUUUUACAGGCCCUGAAAGCGAUGUCCGGUAGAUCAACGUCAUUCUCAUCAAGGCGCGACAUAAUUUUACACCUCUUCUCUACACACAACUUCUAAUCAAUAUAAUUUGUGCAUUGUUCUUCACUCUCCUUUAUAACCUUUGCGCAAAAAUAGAAUAGCUCACAAACUCUUCAACGACAACUGAUCUGUCCUUUUUUCUGUACAGAUAAUUGCUUUGCGUAUCUACAACGACCAUCACUACUUUUGAAGCGCAAACGCUUUUAUGUACAUAUAACCAAACCGAUGAAACUUCUCUAGCUUAGUAUUUGUUUAUGCGAUCCUCAGCUCUGCUUUCUGUACCUAUGACGAUCAUCGUCACUUUUGCAAAGCAAAUGCUUUUGUGUACAUAUUACCAAGUUGAUGAAACCUUGCCAGUUUAGCGUCUGUUUAUUAUGAUCUUUAGCUCUUGGAACACACUGCUGAAAUACAAUGUAAUAUGUAUAGUCCUCUCAGUCUACUCUAGACUUGCUGUAACCGCUAUAAUUAUUAUCUUAGUACAACAAUUUAUGUAAGCACUGGGACCAGUUUAAAUUUGCUCUUAAACUGAUGACAGCAUGUGCUAUAUAACAAGUUCUGAGUGUACAUUAUCCCAAUGAAAUUGUGUCAUUAUCCUAACAAAAUUGAUCAUAAAAAUAGUUCAUAUUGCUGCAGGUACGCGCGCAUGGGCGCGCACGAUACACUAGUUGAUUAUACUUAAAAAUGUACAUCCCAAAUGUCGCUUAGUCCAAACCGUGUAUAUUUCACCCAAACCAACUCGAGUUUGUAUGUGUAUUUGCCUACUCGAGUUUGUAUGUGUAUUUGCCUUCGUAUUUUCGAGAAUGAAAUAAAAUUAAGUGGGAAAAUCCCAUUUUUCUUUAUCCUCCACCGCCGUAUUUUCUUUUUGCUCCCCGAAGCUGCAACCAUCGUUUCCUCCUCUCCUGAAGCACGACAGCCAGUCCAGCCACCAUUUGGGUGCUCAUCUCCCUCUGCUCGGCACCUAGCCCCAGCUCGCCCGAGCUCCCUGCGCCGACCUCAUCUUCCCCAUGGCGCGUCACCUUCUAGUCCUCUCCUUCCCACGGCACAGCAGCGCCCCUGCAGCUCCCCUUCUCCAGAUCCAUGGCACCCAACACCUUGAGCGCCCCUGCCGCUGCUCCUCCACCGGGAUCUCCUCCUCCACUAGGCGUCCAGGCUUGUCCCACCGUGGCUGCCCCUCCUCCAUCUCCUCCCUCCCCACCAGGUUACCCAGAUUCCAUGGCCGCCGCCGCCCCAGCCAUCUCCCUGGUGGCCGACCUCGCCCCUGCCCCAGCCACAGCUCCCCCUUCGGCCCUGCUGCUGCAAGCACUCAGCCUCUCCCAUGGCACACGGUACUCGUCCAGCCCCUUUCUACUGGUGGCUGAGCCAUCUCUCUGGUGCUCGAUGAAAUGACCAUGAGGAGUUUUGUGUUGUGUGCAGCCCCAUCUGCAACACCGUCGACCCCCGACGAGGUCCUUUCUCGCCUUGUCGUUUUAGUACUCGGCGUCGAUUAAGUAGAUGCUAACCGUGUGUAUAUUCGUGUGUUCUUGUGAGGAGAAAUCCCAUGAUUUGGGGGAAGACGAAGUCCAAGCACAACCCCCGCCAAUCGCUCGAUGAAAAAUCUAAACCAAAACCCUCAGCGUUUUCAAGGGUUCCGGAGGGAUUUUAUGUUGGUAAGGUAAUUUGUGUCCUAAUUAGUUCACUCAGUUAUUGAGUUGAAGAGAUUGUUAGUUGUAUGUGUCGAUGAUGCUAUUUUGAUUAGCAGGUGUUGUGCGGUGUGAUCUCCAAUUCCCUAUUGCUGUUUUCUUACUCCAUCAUGACCUUAGGGAAGGAUGUUUUCCUCUAAAUUACUCGUAAUAAUUAUGCUUGGUGUAUGUGUUGUUUUAGCUACUUGAUGAAAUGUUUUAGUUGUGUGCGAUAAUAUGGUUGCCGUUCGAGUGGAAAGUAGAUGUGUUGUAUGACCUGAGUUGGAGUUGAGGCAAGUAUGUGUGUCUCGUAUUACGAAACUAAUUAGAGAUAUGCAUGAUGUUUGUAGAUGGAUUAUGUGUAGAGUGUUUUAGUACAAGUAUUUUUUUUAGGUAUAGUUGAACCAGUUAUUGUAUAUGAAUUGUGCGAUAUCAAGGUAGUUCUAAUGUUCUUUUAACAUCUUGCUAAUAAGGUGUUAGAGUAUUCUAAAUGCCAAACAUAGGAUAAUUUUACAAGCCAAAUAGAAGUUAAAUUGAAGGUAUUGCUGUUUAGGGCUGUAGGUAUAGUUUUAGUUAUGCAGCUAGUCCAAUAAAGUAGAUCAUGUUUUCUGUAGAAGCGUUAUAUAUAAAACUUGUAGAUAAUCUUUUUAUCUUACUUGUGUAAAAAUUUCAUGACCAUAGGUGUAGUAGUUUAGGAGUUAUGAUUUUUCCAAGUCCAGUCUCAGAAUCUGUCCAAAUUCUGUACAGGUUUCGAAAAUUGGAUUGCUUGGCUAAGCUAAACUGAGAAUCAGCCCUUAGUAAUUAUAGAAGAAUUUUAGUACUUUUCUUAAGCUUUCCAACAAAUUUUGGAGCACCCUUUUUGGUGGUCUAGAUAUCAAGUUACAGCUGUUUGAACUAUAGAGUCUGAAUUUGUCCAAAUUUGGACAGCGAAGUCUGUUUGUAGUAACUGACUUUGAUAUGUAUUGAAUUAACCUGAGAUGUUUAUAAAUGAAUUGUAGACAAUUCUAUUAACUUUCUAAAAAGUCUAGGAUCACCUGAUUUGGAUUUCGGAAACUCCAGUUCUGGACUUUUGAAGUAAGUAGUCGAAUUCUGUCCAAAUCUGGACAUAAUUUAUGUUUAGCGCUGUUUGACCUUUGUAAAGGUCGAAUUUUGUUGUGAUGGUAAUACAAAAGUUAUAGAGGACUUUAUAAGCUUUCCAAAAAGUUCUAGUUUACUAUUAUUGGAUACAUAUUUUAUGAAUUGUGAGCUAAACAGAUAGUUGCUGACUUGCUGUUCUGCUGUCCAAACACAUGUCUACUGUCUGAAAAUAGCUCAUUUUGUAGUUACAUUUGCAUUAGGCUUUGAUGAUUGCUGUACAAGGAUGAUAUGGCCUCCCGCCCAAAGCUGUCUGGUAUUCAGAAGCAGGUUUUGGCGCUGUAUAGGGGAUUCCUUCGGACAGCACGCCUUAAGGCCCCUGAAGAACGCCGCAGGAUCGAGUCUGUUAUCUUGGCAGAGUUCCGUGACAACGCAAGGAGUGUUGACCUUAGGAACUUUGUACACAUAGAGUACUUGUUGAGGAGAGGGAAGAAGCAUCUUGAGCAGCUCAAGAAUCCUGAUAUUACUGGACUCGCUACCCUUGUAGUAAAGAAAUGAGGUACGUAGUUUUCAAAAACACUUAUUUGACUGUGCAUGGUCUUCGAAACAAGUUUUAGUUUUUAAGUUUGACCAAAUCUUGUCAUAAACAUCAAGUUUUUUUUUUAAACAACGGAAGUCGAUUAGUAUUUAAAAUCAGCAAGUAUCAUCCAUUAGUAUUUUAGGUCUUUAGAUUUAAAAAUUGUGGACUUGUCAAAACUCUAUGUUAUUUGAUAAGGCUCUACUUGUUAAAUUAAGUGGUGUGGUGCUUGAUUUAGUCGAUGUGCUAUGCCCGAUAAUCUAGAUUAGUAACUCUAAAAUCUAGUUAAAGUAUUUCUAUUCGUCACUUUAAGUUAUAGGUAUCCAUGGUUGUUGUGUCUAAGUAUCCGAUUUCUGAGCUCUGCCCCUGCUGUUUAGGAUAGCAUAUGGAGUUCUUUAUGUUCCACAAGCACAAUUGAUCUUAUGGAAUGGAAAUAGUAGAACAUUACCUGGUGAGAGCACACAAAUACCUUAUACAAAGCAGGUAUUGAGUCAAAUUGUUGUGUACCCAUUUGUGGUCUGGAUACACUGGUUUGGUGAAAAUGAAAUAUGCCCAAAGCAACAAAACCCAGUUCACAUGAACUGCUAUCCUGUAUUUACGAAUCUUGACUAGUCUAGUAAUAUAUGUAUGUGGAAAUAUGAAGGUUUCUUUAUUUCUCUUCUUAAACAGCAAGAGAAGAAGGAAGACUAGUCAGACAAAAUAGAAGACGAGAAGAACUGAUGUAGCCAUGUUCAUGCUUCCAUGUAAUAGUUCAUUAUUCCAUACAUAUUUCUGUCUAUCCAGAAUCUACUAUUGAAAUACAUAUCUAGCAUAGCUUGCUCAGCUCCUAUAUGUUGUUUCAACGUUGAUUUAAAAGAAGAGCUGGUAGUUGUGGGCUUUUGAACAAUAGCUGGAGUGAUAUGAAAUAUUAGUGAUGUAGUUGUGGGCUUUUAAACUGCUUCAAGCUGGAGUGAUGUCGCUGUGGUGCUUUUGUGACUGAUCAUCUCUAGAGCUUUUGUGAAUGAUCUAGCUAGCUAUCUGUAAAUGAUCUAGUUGUGAAUGAUAUUAUAAUUGUGAUGCUUUUGUGAAUAUAUAAUUGUGGUGCUUUUGUGUUUAUGUGAUGGAUCUAUGACUGUGGUAUACUGAUUAACUGUGUAUGUCUUUAUGAUUUGUGUAUAAAAAUCUGUGAUUUGUGGUGCUUAAUUAAAUGUAUAUUUUUAUUAAUAACAACUGUAAAAGGGCGACUUUUUGUUGGUUGCUAAAUGUAUAGUAUGACGACUUACAGUUGGUUGCUAAAUCUAUACUACAGCAACCCACGGUUGGUCGCUAAAUAUACAAUAUUAGCAAUAGACGUCGGUCGCUAAAAAGAUGUCGGUCGCUAAAGCCUUUAGCGACGGCACUUACAGCGACCAUCCUUAUGGGUCGCUAAAAGUUUUUAGCGACCAACCGUAGGUCGCUGAAGGCCGUUUUAGCAACCAACCGUAGGUCGCUGUAAGUGAACCGUCGUGUAGUGGCUCUAGAGUGUACCUUUUUCUUCUUGCCGUCCUUAGCCAUGAGACACUUGUGGCCGAUGUUGGGGAAGAGGAGGCCCUUGUUGACGGCAAUGUUGGCGGCGUCCUCGUUGGAGGAGGAGUCGGUGGAGCUCUCGUCGGAGUCCUAUUCCCGACAUAUGUGUGCAUCGCUGCCCUUCUUCUUGUAGUAUCUCUUCUUCUCCUUCUUCUUCCCCUUCUUGUCUUCGUCCCUGUCACUUUCACUAGAAAUUGGACAUUUAGCUAUGAAAUGAUCGGACUUACCACAACGGUAACACACCCUCUUGCAGCGGGACUUGUAGUCUUUCCCCCCUCCUUUGUUUGAGGAUUUGACGGAAGCUCUUGAUGAUGAGUACCAUCUCCUCAUUGUCGAGCUUGGAGGCGCCGAUUGAAAGUCUACUUGGUGUAGACUCCUCCUUCUUUUCUUCUGUCGCUUUGAAUGCGACGGGUUGCACCUCGGGUGUAGAGGUGGCACCUUGCUCCAAGUUGACAAUGUGUUUGGAGUCUUUGAUCAUUAGUUCAAAACUCACAAACUUGCCAAUAACCUCCUCGGGAGACAUUAGUUUAUAUCUAGGAUCCCCACGUAUUAAUUGAACUUGAGUAGGAUUGUGAAAUACGAGGGAUAUAAGAAUAACCUUGACCAUCUCAUGGUCAUCACAUUUGGUGCUCCCGAGGUUGCACACUUGGUUCACCAUGGUCUUGAGCCGAUUGUACAUCGCUUGCGGCUCUUCUCCUUUGUUGAGGACGAAUCGACCGAGUUCUCCUUCGAUCAUCUCGCGCUUGGUGAUCUUGGUCACCUCGCCCCCUUCAUGCGCGGUUUUGAGGAUGUCCCAAAUUUCUUUGGCACUCUUUAACCCUUGCACCUUAUUAUACUCCUCUCGACACAAGGAGGCGAUGAGUAUAGACGUGGCUUGGGAGUUAAAGUGCCUAAUUUGGGCGGCCUCGUCCGAGUCGUAGUACUUGUCCCCCACCUUUGGUACAUGCGCUCCAAACUCAACAAUAUCCCAAAUGCUUUCAUGGAGUGAGGUUAGAUGGUGCCUCACUUUAUUACUCCACAUACAAUAAUCUUCACCAUCAAAAUAUGAUGGUUUGCCUAGGGGUACAUAAAGUAAUGGAGCACGCUUUGAAAUACGAGGAUAACAUAGGGGCAUCUUUCUAUACUUCUUGCGCUCAUGGUGCUUAGAAGUAAUGGACAAUUCGGAGCUUGAUGUGGAGGGUGACGAAGAGUCGGUCUCGUAGUAGACCACCUUCUUCAUCAUCUUCUUCUUGUCACCUCUCCGAUGCGACUUGAUGGAGGAAGAGGAUUCCUCCUUGUGUUUGUUGCCGGACUCCCUUGAGAGAGUCCUCCCCAAGCUUGCGGCCUUUUUCGCUGGUCAUGAUCUCCCUCUUGGCGUGAUCUUCAGACAUCACUUCGAGUUGGUUAGACUCUUAAUGAAGCACUGGCUCCGAUACCAAUUGAAAAGUCGCCUAGAGGGGGGUUGAAUAGGCGAAACCUGAAAUUUAUAAACUUAAACACACACUAAGGUCGGGGGUUAGCGUUAGAAUUAAAUUCAAGUCCAAAAGAAUAUCUCUCUUGCUAGGAGUUGCUCAAGGAUUGCGGAUGACGUAUGGGAGCCAACUCAAAUUCACACUAGCAAGGAAAUGUUAGAGAGACGAAAACAAAUCAAACAAGAAUCAAGGCGAGUGAACACGAUGAUUUGUUUUACCGAGGUUCGGUUCCAAAGAACCUAGUCCCCAUUGAGGAGGUCACAAAGACCGGGUCUAUUUCAACCCUUUCCCUCUCUCAAACGGUCACUUAGACCGAGUGAGCCUUUUCCUUAAUCUCUCAGGUCACUUAAACCCCGCAAGGACCACCACACACUUUGGUGUCUCUUGCUUCGAUUACAAGUCACUUAAGAAAUAGACGGGAAAAGAAAAAUGCCAAACCAAGCAACAAGAGCAACAAAGAACACAUGAUAUCCUCUCACAAGCCCUAAUGCACUAGAAUUGAUUUUGGGGCUUUGAGUGGAUUGAUUGCUUUGAUUGUGUCUUGGAGUGUUGGGCUUUGCUCUUGCAAUGAAUGAGAGUUCAGAAAUGCUUGGAUGGUUAUGAAUGAGGUGGUUGGGGGGGGUAUUUAUAGCCCCCAACCACUUCCAUAGCUGUUGGUGAAGGCUGCUGGCGAUGGGCGCACCGGACAGUCCGGUGCGCCACCGGACAACCAUUGUGCAUUAUCCGGUGCGUGCCACGUCAGUGCAACCGUUAGGGUUCGAAGCUGGUCGACCGUUGGAGUCUUUGUUGUCUUGCUGCACCGGACAGUCCAGUGCCACAUCGGACAGUCUGGUGCUCUCUGACUUCUGCGCUCUGACUUCUGACAUCCACUGUUCAUCGCGACAGAGUCGACCGUUGGCGCAGAGAGUCAUUGCUCCGCUGGUACACCGGACAGUCCGGUGAAUUAUAGCGGAGCGCGCCCUGGAAUUCCUGAGAGUGGCUGGUUCAUCUGCUGUAUGGCCUGGUGCACCGGACACUGUCCGGUGCGCCAUUUUUCAGCACACUCAAGUCCUUUUGCUCCAAUAAAUUGUGUCCCUAACUUAAUUUCUUUCUUGGUUUGUGUUGAACCUUAUGCACCUGUAAUACAUGAAUUCUUGACAAACUAGUUAGUCCAUGUGUUUGUGUUGUUCGUCAACCACCAAAAUUAAUUAUAGGAAAUGGUUAACCCUAUUUCCCUUUCACAACUCAACUGUCAGAUGAGUACUCCAUUACAGCACUUACGUACACGAGUUCUAUGAGAGCAGACCUCCAAAAUGAAUAUCUGCUAAGUGUUUAUCUACUUAGAUGAAGGACGACAAUCACUUUCUUGGGAAAUAUUAGCGACACAACUCCUUACAUCCUCCGCUUCUUCCUAGUGUUUUUUGUUGUGAUUGAGUCGACACAGCAACAACACUGCACUAUUACAACCAGUACGACUAUAUCAACUAGCAAUGUCUUCCUUAUAUGUUACUAUUUAUUUUGCUAAUAUUCAUUAUGUUUAAAUCACAUGUGCACCUUUCUAUUGACAUCAAAAAAUUAGUGGGGAUCGAGUGAUUCUUUAAACCGAUUAUUACACAAGUUAACCACACUAAAAUUAACAUUGGUGAAUCGUGCCAUGAUUUUUUUCUAGUGCAAAAUAGCCAAACCAAGCAAAACAUAUGUGGCUAUCGUUACACAUGUGUAAAGGUAUUGCAUCACACCAUUGUCACCCAUGUAUUUGGACAAUACCGAGAGGAAAAACCACUUAUUUAUUGUAUUUUAUCAAGUUUAUCUUGCUUACGUAUAAAUUAUAACCCAACAAAGUAAUCACUAAAUGUCAAAACCAACUAGAUACCAUGUCAUCUCUACCUUAUCUUACUAAUAUUCUUUUUGCAAAAUCGAAAAUUAAUCUUGCACAAGCACAAGGACUGAGAUGUGUAUAAAUAUCUCUUAGAUUAGUAGAUAAUAUAUCGCACAUAUUAUUGAGACCAACUAGCAACAUAGAAAGCACAAUAUUGUACCAAUAAUGGCAGCCAAAAUAUUUUGCCUCAUUAUGCUCCUUGGUCUUUCUGCAAGUGCUGCUACGGCGAGCAUUUUCCCGCAAUGCUCACAAGCUCCUAUAGCUUCCCUUCUUCCCCCAUACCUCUCACCAGCGAUGUCUUCAGUAUGUGAAAAUCCAAUUCUUCUACCCUACAGGAUCCAACAGGCAAUCGCAGCAGGCAUCUUACCUUUAUCACCCUUGUUCCUCCAACAAUCAUCAGCCCUAUUACAGCAGUUACCUUUGGUGCAUUUAUUGGCACAAAACAUCAGGGCACAACAACUACAACAACUCGUGCUAGCAAACCUUGCUGCCUACUCUCAGCAACAGCAGUUACCUUUGGUGCAUUUGUUGGCACAAAACAUCAGGGCACAACAACUACAACAACUCGUGCUAGCAAACCUUGCUGCCUACUCUCAGCAACAACAGUUUCUGCCAUUCAACCAACUAGCUGCAUUGAACUCUGCUGCUUAUUUGCAGCAACAACAACUACUACCAUUCAGCCAGCUAGCUGCUGCCUACCCCCGGCAAUUUCUUCCAUUCAACCAACUGGCAGCAUUGAACUCUCAUGCUUAUGUACAACAACAACAACUACUACCAUUCAGCCAGCUAGCUGCUGUGAGCCCUGCUGCCUUCUUGACACAGCAACAUUUGUUGCCGUUCUACCUGCACACUGCGCCUAACGUUGGCACCCUCUUACAACUGCAACAAUUGCUGCCAUUCGACCAACUUGCUUUGACAAACCCAGCAGUGUUCUACCAACAACCCAUCAUUGGUGGUGCCCUCUUUUAGAUUGCUUAUGAGUUAUAGUUCAAUAAUAAAGUUUUUUUUGCUGAUAUUUGUGGCUUCCCAGAAAUAAGAAAGUACAUUUCUAGAUUCUUAUGUGCUUCUAGUCUCCAAAUGUGGUUGAUAGUUAUUUUGCUCUAAGAUCGGCAGUAAUGAGGUAUAAAUACUUGUUGUCGUGUGCUACUCGGUUAAUUGAGCAUUAACACACAUAAACAUUACAAGGAUGGUAUAAUCUCCUAAAAUGUGUACAUUGUUAGGUGUAACCCUAUAGCCAUGCAGAAUGUGCUAUGUUAGGCAUGCCGAUGGAAACGUGUGACACAUACGUUUUGUUAACCUAUUGAUAUUAUAUGUGCCUUUUAUAUUACCAUAUUUUAUUAAAAUACUAAUAUUUAUUACUAGUAAGAUAUAACAUUCUAUCUAGCUUAAAAACUAACCAUAAAUAUUCCAUCAUAACUAGAUUUACCAAACUAAUAUACUAAAUAUACAUAAUAAAUACAAAAUUAACAAUACAAUAUCAAUAUUUAUGAGCUUAAUAAAUUUAAACAUUAUGGUUGGCCGACGAUAAUCAUACUGACUUUCCGUAAUUGCUUGAUUGUAAAUAUACUUAGACUAAUGCCUCUUUGUUCUACAUGGCAAAUAGGGACCACUCUAGGAGACUAGGAUGUUGCUUGAGACGAAGAUGUUAUCAUUGGUGUAGACUAAUUUCUAUCAGCCGCUGACUUCACUAUUGUAACCAUUAUCUCUUGGGUAAAUCAUAUACGAUUAUCUAGCCAAAGGCCCAGAUGAUAAAAACAAUUUUUAAUUGCUAUUUCAGGACAAAUGAAUUAGCAUGGUUCGAAGGAUUGCGACCUUCCCCCCAUGACUUUUAUCGUAUUGUGUUAGUCUAAUCGACAAAACCAAGAUUAGAUAUCAUCGAAGAAGUUGAUAAGCGAAUCUGUGACCACUAUCAGAAUCAGCUGCUUUGCCGAGUGUCUAAAACACUCGACAAAGCCUGAAAAACACUCGGCAAAGGAUUUGCCGAGUGUAACACUCAGCAAAGAAAGCUCGGCGAAGUAUACAUCGGCAACGACUUCUUUGCCGAGUACUUUUUAUCGGGCACUUGGCAAAGAAGCGUCAUUGUCACGACGAUAGGUAAUGCCGACGGAGUCUGUGACGAGUGUCACAGAGUGACGCUCAGCAAAGGCUCACUCUUUGCUGAGUGACCACUGUACAGACACUCGGCAAAGAAGCCCCCGUGGGUCCCUUUAUCAGGGCCUUUGCCGAGCGUAUUAGGUGGCACUCGGCAAAGGCUCCAUCUUUGGUGACUGCCCGCCAGACUAGCAAUCGACAAAGGGAUCAACAGCGGAUCCCUUUGUCAGUUCUUUUGUCGAGUGCUCUAGGAGGCACUCAAUAAAGCUUGUGUUGGGGGCCUUCUUCUUCCGAAGGUCCUCAAAAACGUGACUAACCAUAGGUUUUCAGUAUGACAUAGACUAUUAUAGGAAGCUUUGGCUUUGGGAUGAAGGCGUGUGAUAUGAGGAUACAGCCCAAAGGCAACAUGGAUGGACGUCGAAGCUAUGGCUAAAGGAGUUUCGGCUUGGCAUGUUAGCGAAGAUGAAGGACGAAACCGACCUAAGGGAGAAAAGACUAGUUAGUCCUUGAUAGUUUGCAUUAUGAUUAAGAGCAGAUAUCAGGGGCAUGCAUGUAAUCUUAUCCGGGCUGCGUCCCGUGCCUAUGAAUAGAUGAAUAGUAACACCGUACUGUUCACGCUGGAUUAUAAUCGCUCCUACGUCACUCUCGCGUCUUCACCUUUUGGUAAGCUGAAGGUAUCAAUGUAAUACAAAUAUUGAUGAUGUUUAUUCAUGUUUAUGAAAUGAGAAUAUAAAUAGCUUGCUGAUUCGUAAUCAUUAUUUAUAUUCUUUUGUAUUUCAUGUACCCUUAUUUAGAUGUGUUCACUGAGAUGAUGAAGGUAUGCCCUUCAUGACCUUCGUUCGGAAACCAUUAUAUCCAAAAGGAGAUAAUGCUUCGAAGGACGAAGGUCUCUAAUUAUUGACAAUCAUGUUGUCUUGUUCUUGAUGUAUAGCAUUUGGGAACAAGGACCAACAUUGGCGCCCACCUCCCGUGAACUCAAUCGACCACCUUCGGCAAGCAUCGACUUUCGUAAUGCCGCCGAAGAAGACAAUAGUGCCAGGGGCUGCCCUGCAGCCACUGGACACUAAUCAGGAAACGCUGCGAGAAGCUAGGAUCUAGAAGAGGAAGGCUACUAGCCCAACACCUCAGGAGGAGGAGCUAGAUCAGGAGAUCAGAGAUUUGGAGGCUAUCACCAGCAGGUACAAAGAAAAAGGGAAAAGAUGCUUCAGCUCGUCGAACUUCAGAGAAAGAUCGACAAAGCUGCUGAAGAAAUGCGUCACCUUACCCAGGAUGACCAAGACCGAAGGCCCCAACAUAGGGAGCUUCAUCAAGAAAGCCCAAUUAAUGACGAUGAGUGGUAUGGUGACUUUCAUCGUGGCAAUUUUGCUUUUGAUGAUGCUUCUCCCUUGGCAGCAGAAUUGCAGGCUACCCCGUGGCCGCCAUCAUACAAGCCACCUCAGCUCCCCAUGUAUGACGAGCACUCAGACCCGAAGCAACCAUAUCCUCAUAUGGGGGCAAUACUGCGGUCAUGGCAAAGUCCUUCGUCAUGGCAGUUAGAAGCGUGGCUCAAACAUGGUGCUCUUCUCUUCGGCCAGGGACAAUUACGUCGUGGCAAAAGCUAAAAUACAUACUGGUCACUAGCUUCUAGGGUUUCCAAUCGAAACCAGUUACUGUCCAAACUCUGUUCCAGUGCACACAGGACCAAGAAGAAUACCUCCAAGCGUAUGUCCGAAGGUUCCUGCGAUUGAGAGUUCAGGCGCCUACAGUGCCCAAUGAGAUUGUCAUUGAGGCCAUGAUCAAGGGGUUCAGACCAGGACCAACGGCGCAAUACUUUGCAAGGAAGCCACCACAAACCCUAGAGAAGCCGACGAUGAUUUUCGGCAAAGAAGGCAAGAAGCCUACAGAUACUCUGAGAUGGCCAGGGGCUUCGGAGGAAGAUUUCACCCUAGGCAUGUCAGGUCAAUCCAUAAUACCAGCUCAAGUGACGACAAGGGAAACCAUACCCAAAGGCAGCAACACAGCUCUCAGUCGUCAGGAGCACAACAAAGCUCUUUGAGGCCACCGGCUCCAAGAGGUAGAGGGGGGAGAAGCUUCGGAGGAAGAUAUGGAGAUCAGCCCAGUAAACAGUUUUGUUUGUUCUGCGGUGAAGAUAAGGGGCAUACCACAAGAACGUGCCAAGUUAUGAUUCAGAAGCAGAAAGAAAUUGCUGAAGCUGAAGCACGUUCGAAUCAGCCGAAGCAGGUUCUGCAUACUGCUUCGUGCUACUCUCCCUACGUCCCGGAGUAUGUAGACAAUCAACAGCCUACGACCUUGGUCGCUUCGGCAAGCCAUUCUCAAGCUUCCUGGGCCCAGUUGCCACCACCACCACCGCUAGCACAUGCUCUGGUCCGCAAUCAAUAGCCAGAAGGGCACCACCAUGCUUAGUAAUAGCGCGACCUUCGGGAGGAGUCCGAAGCUCGCACAGUCAACAACAUUGUGCCUAAGUCGAAGCACAUCUAUUAAAGGUGCCACGGUGAUUCAAUUAAAGAAUAUCUUACCCUAAUGUAUCUUAGUUUUUCCGCCAUUUUAUUUUCUUGCAUGAAAAACAAUUCACGAAGGAUUAAUUUCCAAUUUGAUGUAAUAAUACCGUGGUCGCACCAUCGAGUGUGGAGCGCAUCGCCUUAACAAUACUUCCGAAGCUACAAAGACGUUCCUAAGGGAGCGCGGAGUAAGUUCUGAAGCUACAAAGUUGUUCAUAAGGGAGCGCAGAGUAAGUUCCGAAGCUCAAAAGUCGUUCUUAAGUGAAUGCAGAGCCAAGAUGCCACCAAAAUAAAAGGUGAAGAAGCUCAAAAGUCAUUCCUAAGGGGAUGCAGAGCUUAAAUGCCACCGAAAUAGAAGGUGAAGAAGUUCCAAAGUCGUUCCUAAGGGGAUGCAGAGCUUAGCUCCAAAGAUGUUCCUAAGGGGAUGCAGAGCUGAAAUAUAACCUAAGUAAAAAGUGAAGAGACUCAAAAGUCGUUCCUAAGGGGAUGCAGAGUCUGGAUGCAUUUUCGAGUGGGUGUGUUUCUUCGGCAUAAACAUCAUGCUGUAUCAUAUCAUCACAUCAUUUCUCAUAGCAUUACAUCAUACAUCACAUCACAUCAGCAACAGAACUGUGGAGAAGCAAAGAUGCUUCUUUCAAAAUAUUUGAUGAAUGGAACAAUGGGCUGAAGCAGAAAGUGUACCUUCAACAGCUAUAAUUUUACAUACCAAGAAAAAUCUUCGUCGACAAACAAUAUUAUAUAACAGCUACGACAUAAGAAGGGGUGAUUUUUUAUUUGUGAAGCAUGAAAAGAAGGGAAGGUGUUUUUUCACCAAAGGCUAAAAAACAGGUAAGUACAUACAUUUCAUGCAUCACAAAGAAAUAUAUUACAUUAAUAUACAAACAAAUGUUCGAUGUUCGACUCAUACACGAAUAUUACAUUUCUUAGUACACAAGAAUUUAGUCUUCUUUCAAUAUUUUCUCGGUAGCUUCAUGUAGGAGUUUGUUGACAGCUUCAUCAACGGCUUCUUCGGCAAUCCUUAUCGUUUCUAAUGCCCCCCUCAUGGCCGGAUCGGCCUCGGGAUCAUAUGGCUCAGGCGGUGGUGAAAAAUCAGCUGUAAUAAAGAACAAGUUGUUAAUAUCAAAGCCAGAAACAAAUACUGAAGCUAAAAUUCAGUAAUAAUACCUAUACGCCUUGCGCGCUCAGCAACCUCUUGGCUCGCUUAGCUUAUUCUCGAGCAUCAUGGGAUUCUUUUUCAUUUGUCUUUAUAGCUUCAUCGGCUAUCUCACGGCCACCUUUCAUCCAAACAUUGGAAUAAAACUUCUCGCCCAUCAAAGUAGCUUCGGCCGAAGGCUCCUUCAUGUCGUCUAUGGAGAAGACGGCUUCCGCCUGGGCUGCAGUUUUAACAUGUUCACAGCCAGUUUUCUCCAAAACUGCUGCAACCCCUCGGGCACCGGCGAAGGCACAAAAAUCCUCGCGUUCGCUAAGUAUUUCCUCAAAAGCUUCAACUUCUUCGCAAAUCCAUUGAACGACUCCUUUUGGAUCGCCUCGAAUAAAUUUUUGCUCCGAUGAGUAUGCACCCACCUUUGCAAAACUGUCUUUCAGUUUCUUUGCAUAGUCCAUGGAUACUUCGUAGCAUUUCUCUCUGGAACCCCGAAGUUCUUCAACAUUCUUCUCAAGCCUGGAGCUUGUCCAUUCACUUAUAUCUUACUUUGCCUUAGCAAGUUCAAUAUUUUCGCUCAUUUCGGCAAGUUUUUUGUGAAGGUCUUCGACUUCGGCUUGGUGAGCUUCGGAUUGUGCAUUAAGUUUUGCUUCGUUGCUCUUCAGUUUAUCCACCAAGGAAAGCAGUAUUUUAUCUUUUUCAAGCGCCUCGUUCCUUAAUGUAAUAACUUAUGACCGAAGGUUCCCAAGGGCUAUUUGGCAGCUUUCAUCUUCUGCAUUCUUUUGUGCCCUUAAAGCCUUGCUUAGGAUUAAUGCCUACAAAAAAUGAAGGAUCAGCACACAACAAUAAGAAAAGAUACAAAAAGUAAUCUGCUUAUAAGCUAAAAUGUCCUCACCAUCAGACUGUUAUAAGCAAGGAUGUCUGCAAGGUCAUCUUUCGACAUUGCAGACAACCCAAGCUCUAGCUUCGGGAAACCUAUAUUUUUUGCCAUCUCCCGACAAACAAAUAUUUUCUUGUUGUCUGGAAGGCAAUACAAAAAAUCAUCUUCGUCAGUGCCAUUAAACAUGAGGGAUCCUGGGGGAUACUUCAGAUCCUUAGCAAAUUGCCUAGCUUCGGCAACCUGCUCCUCUGAUAGUUUUUCCCUACCGCGUGACACACUAUAAAUUCCGAUCCCUCAGUAGAAGCUUCAACGGCAAGGAAUUCAGAUUCUUUGCUGGUUCUCUCUUUUCCUAACGGUAACGGAGCUUUUUCAGCAUCCAAAGGUCCUUUUUCAGCAUCCUUUUCAAUAAGCUCUGCAGGCCCUAUUUCUGCGGGAACUGAGGGCCCAGCUUCAGCUUCAACCCAAGUUAUGAUAGCUUCGGCAGUUUCCUUUGUACUUUUCUUACCCAUGCUAGGUACUUCUGUAGAGGCAGGAGUUAGUACUUUUGUCGAUUCCAUGACAGCAUCCAGUACACUAGCCAUUCUCCUCCUUUUUGGAGUUAUCAAAGUAGUUUUUUGAAUCUUCGGCAAUUCUGCCUCUGGCCGUGAAAAAGUUUUUGGCUGCUCCGCUGCUAUCUUCAGAAUUGGCUCUUCGGCUGAUCCCAAUAUGGCUUCGGCAGUAGCGAGAUGAUUUUGCUCAGCUGCAGAAGAAGACCCUUCAACAGGCUUUGACACUUUGGCCGUCUCAGAGUGCCUGGGCCGGUGUGUCAAGACUUUGCCAUUUUUCCCUUCGGCGUGGCAGAGAUUGCCGAAGCAGUAGCCUUCCUUUUCUUUCCCUGCUUUCGCGAGGGAUAACAAUAGUCUGGGUACACAAAACCAAUUACAUCAAAAACCCUAUUUAAUCUCUUCUUGCCUCGUCCUCCGAAGGCCAAUGUCAUGGCAUCGUCUUCGGCCCUUGUGUAGGCCCCAAGCAAUUCGUCACUAGUAGCCUCAAUGCAAUCCAACCAGUCAUCGUUCGGCUCAUCGAACUGAUCUCUGUAUCUGAAGGUGUAUUUCAGAUAAACUAAACUAACUUGACUGGACCCGGCCGCAGCUUCCUUCGACAUCUCCCAGCCACUUCCAAGAGGCCACACUCUGUAAGCAAUAUGCUCCUAGACUAAGUCCCUAGUGCCAAUAUAAGUACAUAAAGUGUUAAAGUCCGUAUGGCAUGCUUGAAUAUCAUGUCCAUGGACAGUGGUUGGCCUCCUAAUGCCGAAGCGAGACCAGAUAGGGCAUUGAAUGAUCCCCUUUAUAUCUUCUCUUUCAACUAAGUUGUUCUUCACAUAAAACCACUCUUGCAUCCAGGCUCCUGGCCACCUCUUCCAAAAUGUUGGGACGGGAUAGCUCACACCAGAGCGAGGCAUGAAGCCGUAACAACGAAAAUUAUUAUGAUAUUGUUCUAUGCCAGUAGCCUUUGUCUCAUAGGACAGGUCAUGCAUGUUGCAGAAGCAUUUUGCAUUCGGCUCUAAACCCUGGCCCAAAUGAAAACUCCCAUUCUGAUGAUAUCUUCGGGGGUAAUUUGAUGAAGGUAAAUUUCAAAAGUCUUCAAAACUUCAACUAAAAAUUUGUUCAGGGAGAAUCGAAGCCCUGCUUUCAUAGAACUCCUGUAGACAACAACUUCGUCUGCUUCGGGCAUAGGGGCACUGCUAUCUCCUCUGGCCCUCAUGAUAGAAAUAUCGCGGAAGUAUCUUCCUUUCAUUGCAUCAAUCUGACUCUGUUUGAUGGUUGAUUUAGCAAAGAUGGUAUGACUCGGUCGCCAGGGCUGAUCUUCGACAUCUUCGUUUCCACUUUCUAAGUCAAAACUUUCACUAUCGCUGGAAUCUUCAGACAACCCAACCAACAUCUCAUUGGUGAUCUUCUUCAUAUUUGUCUUCUCCAUAGCUUCAUAAAACCCGGCCAAUGCAGGGUCAGCAAUCUUCUUCUCUUUAGCCAUUUAGACAACGAUUGCACGAUUGUCGAAGCUUAAAACUCAAUCAAAACUCGACAGAGCAAGAGAAUUCAGAAUGUCUAAAAUAGCGCAAGCAACUGAAAUAGCACAGCAAAUGCUGCCAAUGCGAGUUUCUAUUUAUAUGCCUCACGAUUUGGUGGGCCAUACAUGUCAGUGGCUUUCGCUAUUCUAGCGAAGGGAAGGUGUUUUUUCGGAUCUUCGGUUAAAGGCCUUCGUUCACGUCACAGUCUAAAUUUGUUACAAAGAAACAAAUUAAUACUACGAGGGGCUACUGUUGGGGGCCUUCCUUUUCCGAAGGUCCUCAAAAACGUGGCUAACCAUAUGUUUUCAGUAUGACAUAGACUAUUAUAGGAAGCUUCGGCUUUGGGAUGAAGGCGUGUGAUAUGAGGAUACAACCCGAAUGCAACAUGGAUGGACGUCGAAGCUAUGGCUAAAGGAGCUUCAGCUUGGCAUGUUAGCGAAGAUGAAGGACGAAACCGACCUAAGGGAGAAAAGACUACUUAGUCCUUGAUAGUUUGCAUUAUGAUUAAGAGUAGAUGUCAGGGGCAUGAAUGUAAUCUUAUCCGGGCUAUGUCCCGUGCCUAUAAAUAGAUGAGAAGUAACACCGUACUGUUCACGCUGGAUUGUAAUCGCUCCUACAUCACUCUCGCAUCUUCACCUUUUGGCAAGCCGAAGGUAUCAAUGUAAUACAAAUAUUGAUUAUGUUUAUUCAUGCUUAUGAAAUGAGAAUAUAAAUAGCUUGCUGAUUCAUAACCAUUAUUUAUAUUCUUUUGUAUUUCAUGUACCCUUAUUUAUAUGUGUUCACUGAGAUGAUGAAGGUAUGCCCUUCAUGACCUUCGUCCGGAAACCAUUAUAUCCAAAAGGAGAUAAUGCUUCGAAGGACGAAGGUCUCUAAUUAUUGACAAUCGUGUUGUCUUGUUCUUGAUGUAUAGCAUUUGGGAAUAAGGACCAAUAGCUUGCUUCUUUGCCGAGUGCCAAGGCCACAGCACUCGGCAAAGAGUCUUUACCGGUGCGCAGGUGUGCCUUCUUUGCCGAGUGCUAUGACAUUGACACUCGGCAAAGUAUCUCUUUGUCGAGUGUAACACUCGACAAAGUGACCAGAUUAUCCCUUUUUAUUUGUUUUUGCUAUUCCAUCCAAACAAAUAAAAGAUAUAUCGCAUAAUCAUCACAUAUACAUCAUAGAUAUCACAUAAUCAUCGCAUACAUAAUAGAGACUGCAUAUUUCACAAAAAACACAAAUCUCACAAGUUUUUCUCAAACAUGUCCAUGUUCAUACCAAGAUUCACUAACAUAAGUAUCACACAACUCUAAAACAUAAGUUUUUCACAAACAUAAGUUUAGGACAAGUUUAUCACACAAGCUAAGAGAAGAUCAUGAGCGAGGUGGGCGGCUGGACUGGUGCGGCGACGGGCUGGGCGAUCCACGAGGGUUGUUGGAUGCCGCCCUAGAUUGUCCCUGCACAGAGAAGAGAUUGCCUGUGUUAUACUAGAUAAAUAUACAUCAUGCAGGACUAGAAUUUUGAUACUCAUAGGAGUAUGGAACUGAGCAGGGUCAACUGGAGGGAACAACGGAGGUGGUGGAGCAAAACCCUGUGCGGUGCCAAGGCUCUGCAUGUACUGGAACAUCUCUGCCAUCCUCUGUUGAUUUUCCAUGUGGGCCUCCCGCUCCGCCAUCAUCCUCGCCUCCAUAUCCUACCGUUCCCUCCUCUCUUCUUCUAGCUAGGCAUAUAAUAUUUCAACCCAGUGUUAUAAUAACUCAAAGAGAAGGUAUAUAACUCAAGGAAAGACGAGUUACAGAAGCACUAACCUGGAGUUGUUGUAUCUCAUGAUGUGAGUUGUCCUGUCGAGGUCGUAUGGCUGGGCUUGAGCUCGUGGUCCUUGCUCGCACCUGAGACAGAGUGGGAGUGGACAACGAGUCGAUUGUCCCGUCGGCAAUCCAGUACCUCCCAUGCCUCUUGCCUCCUCUGACCCUCAUGAGAACAUCUCCGUCGAUUUCCUUGGUCCUCGGAUCGUAAUCUGGCCCAUGGACCUCAUGUGACAUGGCAGUGUACUCACUUAGGCGGUUGUAGACGGCGGAGUUGCUAUAUGCCUCGGGCCCGUCAUCCGGGUUGUAGGUGACAUCGGACGUCGCCUUUCCCUUGUGGGCCAUAGCAUAAACCGAGAAGAUGGAGCAUGGCUGGCCACCAUGUAACACCAAAUGCAAUAAAAUCAAUGAGAUAGUUAGAAAUAAUAUCUAAACCAGUGCUAUAUACCUAAAUAAAAAGAGGGCGUACCCAUGCUUCUACAUAUUUCCAGAGGUUGCGACUGCCUUGGUGGUGGGAGGGACCUUACAUCAUCAAAUGUCGUUCCAUGCUAGCGUUGUGCGCCUCGUCCCACUUAGGCGAGCACCACCUAUCCACCAUCUGCUCCUAGCACUGAGGAUGCGCGGCGCACCAAUAAGGAAUCAUCUACAAACUAAAACAAGUACAUUGCAUAUCAGAAGAUAAAAUUAAGCAAUUUUUUUCACGAAUAUUAAAGUGAUGUAUUUACCUGCAAGUAUUGGUCCCUAGUCAACGACAUGGUUCGGGCCUCUUGUUUGGUCACCUUCUCUCUAAGGACGGAGCCAUGGUAGAUGAUGAUGACCUAGAUUCGUGCAUCGUAGUGCAUGUCCACGACGAGCUUCUUACAGCUUGUGGUGGCCACCACAUUUGCCCUGGCCUCGUAUCCAGCCUCGCAUCUGAAGAAAUCCUACAUACAAAGGCGAUAUAUCCAUACAUUAUUUCAAGUAUGUGCAACAAAUGCGACAUAUUUUACAAUAUAGUAAGACUUACUCAUAGCUUUUGCUUCACCCGCUCUGCCAUGUUGUUAAAUUCCCUAUCGUCCUAGUCUACUGCAUCAGGGGUGACGACGUAGUGGUCGAAGGUGUAGGCAGUAGGUUGGGCCCACCACUCCAGCGUACUCAACCAGUCCAGGGAAGUGUUCCCUACACAUAAGGCCAAGGAUGCCAUUGGGUUGUGGUCGUGACUCCCUGCAUUCUCCACAACCUUUCAAGACCUGUCCAAGUGAUAAAUAAAAAGUAUUAGUUUAUAUUAUGAAUUUGAACACAUAAUAUGAACAAACAGUGAGAACAUAAAAUUACAUGUCUCUCCCCAUCCUUCUGAAUCAGCGACCGCCUAUCUCGAAGUAUGGGACGCUGAGGGAGACUCGUGGGACCUCGCUGGUAGACGUUCCUCGAAUCUGAAGCACCAGAACCUGAGGCGUCUUGCUGAGCGUCGUCGUCGUCCUACUGUGUCGCAUCGAUAACGACCUGCUGCUGGACGUCGUCAUCCUGUUGUGCCUUCUUCGCCUUCCUACGGGUGCUCCUCCUCCCCCUCCUUGUCCUCAUCCCACCGCCCACCAUAUUUGUCCAACAACCUGUAAUUAAGGGUAAGCAAAUAAGCACAUAUAAAAAAGUUUAUUUACAAAUAGGCGUGAAAUAAAAAAAAUAGCAUUACAUCGUUUAAAAAAAUCUUCAUAUGUGUCGGGGUUAGCCAGAUCAUAAGUGUCAUCAUCACAAUCAACCAUUUCAUAGUCAACACCAUCUGAAGGCGCAAGUUCUUCAUUAAUGUCAUUGCCUUCAAGUAAUUCUAAGUCAUUCUCAUUUUGCACCUCAUCAACAACCAUUUCAAUAUCUACUUCCAUUCCGAUAGCUUCGGUUAAGUCUAUCUCAAAUCACCCUUCUAGCCCAUAUUCUUGGAAGAACUCUCCAUCAUAUGUAUCCGGGUCUAAGUUAUAAUCUUCAUCAUUUGGAACAGGUAAUUUACCGUGCAGUGAUACCUUAUACACAACAUCCCAACCCAUCCAUGCCUCAUAUAGGAGAUGAAGAAUCAAAUGCUGCAUUGGAUUGAAGAAGUCGAGUGGAAAUAUCUUCUCAAGCUUACACAAAAACACGGGUGUCAAUCUUUCCAAGUCUGCAAUCACGGACCAAGAUAACUCUUUCACACAAAGCUGGCAGAAUAAAUAGCUGAACUUUGUAAGCGCUAGCCAUACAUGCUCAGGGACAUAGCCUCGAACCAUCGUCGGAAGAAUCUGUUCAAUCCAUAAGUGGAAGUCAUGACUCUUCAUCCCUAAGACUCACAGAGUAGAUAAGUUCACCCCCCUACUUAGGUUAGCUGCAUACCCAUCAGGAAACAUCAACAUCUUGAUCCACUAAAGUACUUCCUUCCUCUGGGCCCUACUUAGGACGAAAUCGGCCUUAGACCUUCUCCAUGUCUUUCCACCACUAGGCGGCUUCAUUUCUUGGUUUGGUCUAUCACAUAACGCUGUCAGAUCCACUCUUGUCUUUACAUUAUCCUUUGACUUAUCAGGAAUGUCCAUAAUUGUUGCCCAAAGUGCCUCGGCGACAUUCUUUUCAGUGUACAUCAAGUCAAUGUUGUGUGGAAGGAGUGGGUCAUCAUAAUAGGGGAGCCGAGUCAAGCCCGACUUAUGUGUCCACAUAUGCUGCUCACCAUAUCCCACAAAUACACCUUCUGGAUUGGCCACGAGCCCAUCUAUUUGUUGACGAAUUUCGGCACCAGUCAUCAUUGCAGGUGGUUGGUCUGUCACUACAACACCUUUCGUAAAGUUAUUGAUGUCUAGGCGGAAUGGAUGGUUAGGAGGGAGAAAUUGUUGAUGUUUAUCGAACAACGAAUAUUUGCCACCCUUUUUCAACCAAAUGAACUUAAGAGCUUCCUUACAAACUAGGCAUGGGAACUUACUGUGAACACAAUAGACACAGAAUAGCCCAUACGCCGGUAAGUCAUGCAUGGCGUACUAGUACCAAACAUGCAUUUUGAAGUUUUUCUUCGUAGCUCGGUUAUACGUCCAUACCCCUUCCUCCCAAGCAUGUACGAUUCAUCAAUCAAAGGCUCCAUGUACACGCCCAUUUUAUUCCCCGGGUGUCCGAGAAUUAUCAACGACACAAAUAUGUUCUGCCUUUAAAAGCAUACACCGGGGGGAGAUUGAUUGGGAUAACAAACACGGGCCAACAUGUGUAUGGGGCAGCGCUCAUUCCAUAGGGAUUGAACCCAUCUGUGGCCAGCGCAACACGUACAUUAUGAGCCUCUUCAGCUUUCUCGCGGUAAAUGGCAUCAAAGUGUUUCCAUGCUUCACCAUCGGAUGUGUGCACCAUCUUAUCAUGAUUGUAUCGUUUGCCAUUUUUGUGCCAUGUCAUCUGUUUCGCGGAUUCCUCAGUCAUGUAUAGACGCUGGAUCCUCGGUGUGAACGGAAGGUGGUGUAGGAUUGUCACGGGGAUGUCGAGCUGCCUAUCAUGUCCAUCACCAAAGUCUACCUCCAUGAACCUAGACGAUUUACACUUCGGACAGUACUUUGCUUCCGUGUAUUCUUUCCUAAAUAGCACGCAGUCCUUCGGACAAGCAUGUAUCUGCUCAUAUGUCAUCUUGAGUGCACGGAGGAGUUUCUGUGUGUUGGGGACCUUCGGCAUCCGAAGGUCCUCAAAAACGGGAUUUAACAGUAUUUCUGGAAGUAUAAUGUGUGAGCAGGUACCUUCAGACUCAAGUCGGUAUCACGGCAGGAGAAGACCCGGAUAAUACGAAGGUCUUGAUACAACGCCGAAGAUGUUAGCAGGAAAGCUUCGGCAUGGUUGCAGAAAAUGAAACCGACUUAAAGAUGAAAAGGCUAUUCAGACCUCGAUAGAUUACUAUAGAAUUAUUAUCAAAUGUAAAGGGCAUGAAUGUAAUUUUGUAUGGGCUGUGUCCCGUGCCUAUAAAUAGGUGAACAGAACCCCCGUACUGUUCACGCUGACUUGGCAUUCGCUUUUUGCGUCACGCUUGUACUGUCAUCUCCUUCCGAUUGAAGGUACACUUGUAAUUCAACGAUAUUUCUGUUUAUGUCUGAUAAUAAUAUAUAAUUGUUCAUAUUGUCUUUUAUGUUCUUUACAUUUCAUUCUUCGUCAUUGCUUAAUGAAUUUAUGAAGGUACGUCCUUCAUAACCUUCGUCCGUAAACCAUUAUAUCCUAAGGGAAAUAAUGUUUCGGAGGGCGAAGGACUUUAACGAUUAACAUUUUCUAUGUUGCCUUGUUCUUAACUCAUAGCACUUGAGAACAAGUCCCCAACAUUGGCGCCCACCUCCGGUGAACUCACUUCCACUCUUUGAAGUUUUUUGAACACCUUCGGCGAUCAUAAAUCUUCGUUAUGGCGCCGAAGAAAGCUUCAGCGACUGGGGCUGCAGCUCUGCAACCACUGGACCACAAUCAGGAGACAGUUUCCCUGCGGGAGGCCCGAAGCCAGAAAAGGAAGGCUGUCAGUCCGACACCACCAGAGGACGAGAUAGAUCAAGAAAUCAGAGAUAUGGAGAUGCUUCAUCAACAAGUACAGAGGAAGAAAGAAAAGAUGGCCAGGCUAGCUGAACUGCAGAGGCAGAUAGACGAAGCCUCUGAAGAAGUUCGUCAUCUUGCUCAGGAUGAGCAACACCGAAGGCCUCAGCACCAAGACCUUCAUCAGGAGGGUUUUCCCAACGAAGAUGACUGGUAUGACAAUUUCCAUCAUGGGAAUUUUGUUUUUGAUGAUGCUUCUCCUCUGUCCGCUGAGCUGCAGGCUACACCUUGGCCUCCGUCCUACAAGCCGCCUCAGCUUCCCGUAUUCGAUGGUCACUCAGACCCGAAGCAGUUUUUGAUGAGCUACGAAGCAACAGUAUCUUCGUAUGGUGGCAAUGCUUCAGUCAUGGCCAAAUCUUUCGUUAUGGCUGUCAGAAGUGUUGCUCAAACCUGGUAUUCCUCCCUUCGACCAGGAACGAUCACUUCAUGGCAGAAGCUGAAGGACUUGUUGUUAACUAGCUUUCAAGGAUUUCAGACGAAGCCGGUCACUGCUCAGGCUCUGUUCCAGUGCACCCAGGAUCACGAAGAAUACCUUCAGGCGUAUGUCCGAAGGUUCUUGCGUUUGAGGGCACAGGCACCAACGGUGCCCAAUGAAAUUGUCAUCGAGGCCAUGAUCAAGGGGCUUCGGCCAGGACCGUCAGCUCAGUACUUCGCCAGGAAGCCUCCUCAAACUUUGGAGAAGCUGCUCCAGAAGAUGGACGAGUACAUUCGGGCCGAUAAUGAUUUUCGCCAAAGAAGGGAGGAGGCUUUCAGGUUUUCUGAAAUGACCAGGGGCUUCGGAGGGAGGUUCUACCCGAGGCACGUGAGAUCAAUUCAUAACUCUACACAAAAAUGAUGAUAGAGGAAGCCAACAGCAAAGGCCACAAUGCUCCUCACAGGCUUCGGGGCAACAGCAAAGCUCCUUCCGACCACCAGCUCCAAGAGGCAGAGGCGCCAGGGGCUUUGGAGGAAGAUUUGGAGAUCAACCGAGAAGAAUCUUUUGCUUAUUCUGCGGUGAGAACAAAGGCCAUACUACCAGGAUGUGCCAUGUUACUAUUCAGAAGCAAAAGGAAAUAGCUGAAGCCGCAGCACAACAAGCUCAGCCGAAGCAGGUCAUGCAUACAACUUCGUAUCAUUCGCCCUACAUCCCAGAAUAUGUGGGCAACCAUCCUGCAGUUUCUGUUGCUUCGGCAAGUCAGCCUCAAGCUUCCUGGCAACAGCCUCCGCCUCCACCUCCGUUGCAACAAGGCCAGCAACCAGAAGGGAGCCAGUAUGCUCCACACCAGAGGGACUUCAGAGAGCAGUCCGAAGCUCGUACAGUCAAUAGCACUGUGCCAGAGUCAAAGCACAUCUAUUGACGAAUAUCCUACCUUAAUAGCAAUCUUUUUCAUUCAGUUUUAUUUUCUGUAAUAAAGGACAUUGUUUAGGUUUCAUGUAAUUAGUUUCGUUGAUUCCUACAAGAAAAAUAUGUUUUCCUCACAGGCUUAAAUUGAUUGAAGUUCAAAGACUUGUGAUAAAAAAAAGGACCUUCGAACUAUCGAAAAUUCUUCGAAGCAACAAAAAGUCGUUCUAAGGAACGCAGAGUAAGUUUGCCGAAGUCACAAAAAGUCGUUCCAAAGGGAGCGCAGUGUAAGUUUUCUGCUCCAAAGUCGUUCCAAAGGGAAUGCAGAGCAUACAGCGAAAAGUCAACGCUGAUACCGCCUAAGUAAAAGGCGAAGCGCGAAAAGUCAACGCGAAUACCGCUGAAAGUAAAAGGCGAAGAAGCUCCUAAGGGAGGCUUACAGCGAAAAAUAAACGCUGAUUCCGCUGAAGUAAAAGGCGAAGAAGCUCCUAAGGGAGGCUUAUAAAAGAUGUGUUUUAUUGCAGGGAUGCGUAUGUAUCUUCGGAAUAAACGUCAUCUCACAUAACAUAACAUCAUCGCAUCAUUUCGCAUAGCAUAAGCAUCAUACAUCAUUUUGCACAUGGCACAAGAGGUGGACACAUUAUUAAUCUACAGAAGAACGCUUUGAAAAAAGGGAGAAAUCAAAGUCACAAAAAGAUACAUCAUUGAUCUUCGGAAGUGUAUCUUCGGAAGUGUAGCUUCGGAAAAUAUCUUCACGAAGCCUGGAUAUUAAUCAUCAGAACAUUGGAUAUUGUUGUGACAAAGAAAAAUUCUUCUUCACGAAGCAUGAAAAGAAGGGAAGGUGUUUUUUCGUCAAAGACUCAAAAGUGGUACGUGUAAAGUUUCAUGCAUCGUAAAGAAUUGACUAACAAAAAUAGGUAUAUUACAUUUGGGGUUACAAAAUGUUACAGUAUAUUACAUUUCAGAAAGUUUUCACAAAAAUACUUAAUCUUCUCUCAAAACGACUUCUGCAGCCUCGUUCAGGAGCCGAUUGACGACUUCGUCCAUAAUAUCUUCAGCCAUCUUUUUAAUUUCGUCGUCUCCUUUCGGCUGAGGGCCCGAAGACGCUUUAGCACGAUCUGAAGUAAGACAGCAUGCGGCUACAUUGCUAUUACAAAUCGCAAACAAAUCUUAAAGCCUAAGAUUACAACACGAUAAAAACUAUUAGUUAAUACCUAAUUGACCUUCGGCCUCUGCGCUCUUUUCAGCAGCCUCAGCCACUUCUCUAGCAUCGUGAAUGCCCUUUUCACUUCUUCGAAUAAUUUCUCCGGCCAUUUCUCAGCCACCAUUAUCCCAGAUAUCGGUAAAACAUUUUCCACCAAUUAUACUAGCUUCGGCCGAAGGAUCUCUUGCAUCUUCAAAGGGCAAAGCAGCUUCGGAUUGUGCUAAAAUUUUUACAUGUUCGCAGCCCUUCUUCUCUAAGAUGGUGGCAAUCCCUCUGGCACCAGAGAAGGCACAUAUAUCUCCUCGGCUAUUUAAAAUUUCUUCGAAGGCUUCAGCUUCGUGGUCGAUCCAUUCGAUGACACCUUCGGGAUUGCUUCUCGAAAAGUUUUCCUCACUUGAGAAUGCGCCGACCUUGGCGAAGCUAGCCUUUAGCUUCUUAACACAAUCUAUAGAUUUAUUAUAGCAUCUCUUUUUGGACGAACGAAGCUCUUCAACAGUCACUUCUAGGUGAUCUGCCCAUUGAUCGCUGAGUUCACGCUUUGUUUCUUCAAGUAUGCGUUCUUCCUUGGCUCUGGCCAGUUGUUUCCGAAGAUCUUCAAUUUCGCGCUUCUGAGCUUCAGCUUGACCUUUAAAAGCAGCUUCGUCUUCCUUUAUUUUAUUUAUCAAUGAGUAUAAUAUUUUAUCUUUUUCGAGACCUUCGUUCCUCAGUUCAAUUACUUCGGAACGAAGGUUGCUCAGGGCUAUAGUACACCCUUCGUCUUCAGCAUCUUUCUGUGCCCUGAGGGCAUUGCUAAGUAUCAGGCCCUGCAAAGAGAAAUAUGUGUGCGUCAAUAGGUUUAAACAAACGAAAAAUACAAGGAUUUCAUUUCUCGCACCUUUAAGCUAUUGUAAGCCAGGCUGUCGGCCAGAUCGUUCUUCGACAGCACCGAGAGCCCGUCUUCUAAAGUUGGGAAUCCGAAGCUCUUGCUCAUCUCCCGACAGACAGAAAUUUCCUUGCUAUCGGGGAGACAAUACAAGAAGUCUUCUUCUCCACUGCCAUUGAAUAUUAACGCCCCCUUUGGAUAUUUCAGUUUUUGGGCGUAGUGCUGGGCCUCUUGCUCUUCUUUUUCUGAUAGUUUUUUCCCCGAAGCAUGGCGAACAAUAUAAUCACGAACUUUGGGGGAUGCUUCGGGGGCAAUGGCACCGGUUUCUUCAACAAAAGUUGGCUUUGUUAUUUUUUCUGCCUCACUUUCCAAGGAUUUUAUCUUUGCAGGCUCUGAGGGCCCAGCUUCGGCUUUAGUCUCUUGCCCUGAAGCUUUAGAUCCAGAAAUUUCAGUUGUUUCAGGAAUGACAGCAGCCCUCUUCGGAGGUGUGCUUGAAGAUUUGAUCGUUUCCAGUACAUCUAGCACAUUAGCCAUUCUCUUUCUUUUCGGAGUCACUGCUGGCACUUUCACUAUCUCAAUGUUUGCUGCAGGACUCAAAACUUCUGAUGUUUUGGAUCCCUCAGUUGAUUCUUUUACCUUUUCCAUUUUUUCUGUGGACGGCGCUUCGGCUUUCUCUUUCGUUUCUGAUAACAAAAUUUUUGAUUGUUCCAAUUCUAUCUUUGUUGGCACUUCGGCCGUUUCUGCGACUUCUGGCAGCAAGGUUGGCUCGGUUGGUUUUUCAGCUUCGGUGGCCGAAGAAGUUUCUCCGGUAAACUCAGGCACCGAAGCUGGUUCAAUAUAGCGCGGCCGAUGCGUAAGGACCUUUAUCUUCUUUCUUUUCGGUUCUGGCUCGCUAGGAGCAGUUGCAGCUUCUUCUUUUGCAGAGGUUGUGUUUUUUCUCUUCUGCCUUCGAAUGGGAUAGCAAUAGUCAGGGUAGACAAACCCGAUUGCAUCAAAUACCCGAUUCAGCCUCUUCUUUUUUCGGCCUCCGAAGGCUGCUGACAUUGCAGUAUCUUCGGCCUUCGAAUAGGUCCCAAGCAGCUCAUCACUUAAAUUUUCAAUGCUUUUUAACCAGUCAUCAUCUGGUUCAACGAAUUUAUCUCCAAACUUAAAAGUGUACUUCAACCUGAUAAGUCCACCUUCGUCGGCCUCUUUUAUGGUUUCUUGUGGCAUUUCCCAUUUCUCCGCAAGUGGCCAUACCCUGAAGGCGAUAUGCUCUUGUACUAAGUCCCUCGUUCCAAUAAAAGAACAGAUAACACCGAAGGCCCUCUGGCAUUCUUCGGCAGCCUCACUCAUUUCAACCUUCGGCCUCCGAAGGCCGAAGCUUUGCCAAAUAGGGCGCAUAAUUAUACCUUUGAUAUCUUCUCGCGCUGUCAGAUCAUUCUUCACAUAAAACCAUUCUGUCAUCCAGUCGCCGGGCCAUCUCUUCCGAAAGGUCGGCACGGGACAGCUUGACCCGGACCGAGAAACGAAAUUGUAGCAGCCAAAAUUAUUGUGAUACUGUUCCUUACCCCAAGGUUUUGUUUCGUAUGAUAAUUCGUGUAUAUUGCAGAAACUUUUUGCAUCAGGCUUCAGACCUUGGCUUCUCACGGCCCACACGAAGAUAUUUAGCCUUAUAAUUGCCUCAGGGGUAAGUUGAUGGAGAUAGACUUCGAAUAUUUUCAGUACCUCCACAACGAAGCUGCUCAAGGGAAAUCGCAGUCCAGCUUUCAAAAAGCUUCGGUACACUACGACUUCAUUCUCUUCAGGGUGUGGGCAAGUUUUUUCCCCUUCGUCGGCCCUCACAAUGGACAAAUCCCGGAAAUACCUUCCUCUCAUGUUGACAAGAUGAUUCUCUUUGAUAGUUGAUUUACCAUAAACUGAAUGGCUUGGUCGCCAGGGACGAUCUUCGGAGUCCUCACCACCACUGUCCACAUCAUAGCUGUCACUGUCACCAGUAUCUUCAGACAAACCUUCCAGAAUCUCCUUGGUAAUUUUUUCUGUAUUGGUCUUUGACAUCGCUAUAAGAAACCCCAAGUUUUUCUCUUCGUCAAGGCUCAGCUUCAUCUCAGCAACAGUCUUCUUAUCUUCAGACAUCUUCGGAGACGCUAAAAAACUAUUUUCAAAGCCGAAGCUUCAAAACUAAAAGCUUAGCAAAUCGCAGUGCACAAGAGCUAAAAAUUGAGUGAGCGGGAGUAGUUGGCCAGAAAGCGUGUCAAAUGAGUUUGCGGUAUGGCCGUAUUUAUACGCCAAGAGCGUUGAAAAUUCAAAGACCCCGCUUGUCAGUGAAUGUUGCUAUUCUAGCAAAGGGAAGGUGUUUUUUCGGACCUUCGGCGUAAAGCCUUCGUCCAUGUCGCAAUCUAAAUUCGUUAUUUUAAAACAAAUUAAUAUUGCGAGGGGCUACUGUUGGGGACCUUCGGCAUCCGAAGGUCCUCAAAAACGGGAUUUAACAGUAUUUCUGGAAGUAUAAUGUGUGAGCAGGUACCUUCGGACUCAAGUCGGUAUCACGGCAGGAGAAGACCCGGAUAAUACGAAGGUCUUGAUACAACGCCGAAGAUGUUAGCAGGAAAGCUUCGGCAUGGUUGCAGAAAAUAAAACCGACUUAAAGAUGAAAAGGCUAUUCAGACCUCGAUAGAUUAUAUAGAAUUAUUAUCAAAUGUAAAGGGCAUGAAUGUAAUUUUGUAUGGGCUGUGUCCCGUGCCUAUAAAUAGGUGAACAGAACCCCCGUACUGUUCACGCUGACUUGGCAUUCGCUUUUUGCGUCACGCUUGUACUGUCAUCUCCUUCCGAUUGAAGGUACACUUGUAAUUCAACGAUAUUUCUAUUUAUGUCUGAUAAUAAUAUAUAAUUGUUCAUAUUGUCUUUUAUAUUCUUUACAUUUCAUUCUUCGUCAUUGCUUAAUGAAUUUAUGAAGGUACGUCCUUCAUAACCUUCGUCCGUAAACCAUUAUAUCCUAAGGGAAAUAAUGUUUCGGAGGGCGAAGGACUUUAACGAUUAACAUUUUCUAUGUUGCCUUGUUCUUAACUCAUAGCACUUGAGAACAAGUCCCCAACACUGUGCCUCAUACAUGCUCUUUGGUAGAACGUGAUCCUCCGGAAGCAGGCUACCAAUAACUGUCAACAAGCAAUCGAAUGCGUCUUGACUCAUGUUAUACUGCGACUUGAACGCUAUUACAUGCCCAAUGGCAUCCAGUUGAGAAACCUUUGUCUGGCUGUGAAGGGGCUUCUGUGCCACGUCAAACAUGUCGUAGAACGCCUUUGCAAUCGGCUCUAGCUCGUCCUCCAUACAUCCUCCGACGAACUAUGCCUCAUGAUAGUCGUUCAACAUAUCUGCUACCCCCGCAUCAGCAUCAUAAUCCUCGACGUGUUGUCUCUGAAAGGGAAAUAAGCUUACACCUUUUCCUAAAUGAUUUUGGUGGUUGAAUUGCCCAACACAAAUAAUUGGACUAACUAGUUUGCUCUAGGUUAUAAGUUCUAUAGGUGCCAAAGGUUCAACACAUACCAAUAAAAAGUCCAAGAAAGGGUUCAAAUAAAAAGAGCAAAAGACAACCGAAGGCUGCCCUGGUCUGGCGCACUGGACUGUCCGAUGUGCCACCGGACAGUGUCCGGUGCACCAGAGAGAUUCACUCCAAACUUGCCACCUUCGGGAAUUUGGGAAGCCACUCCGCUAUAAUUCACCGGACUGUCCGGUGUGCCAAGCGGAGCAACGGUCGCCAACGCAAUGGUCGAGUUCAACGGUCGGCUGACAACGCUACAGUGCGCGGACUACGCGCGUAGAAGUCAGAGAAGGCGCAGAUGGCGCACCGGACAGUGAAGAGGACCUGUCUGGUGCACCAUCGGACUGUCCGGUGGCCCACAUGUCAGAAACUCCAACGGUCGAACCCUAACGGUUGGGUGACGUGGCUGGCGCACCGGACAGUGUCCGGUGGCGCACCGGACUGUCCGGUGCGCCCAUCGACAGCAGAGUUCCCCAACGACCACUUUGGUGGUUGGGGCUAUAAAUACCCCCCAACCACCACACUUCGAUGCAUCCAAGUUUUCAGCCAUCAAACCUCAUACAAGAGCUCUAGACUUCAUUCCAAGACACAAACAAAGAGAUCAAAUCCUCUCCCAAGUCUGGAAUCACUCCAAACAAAUUAGUGACUAGAGAGAGAGAGACUUUUGUGUUCUUUUAAGCUCUUGUGCUUGGAUCGCUUUUCUUCUUCCUCCUUUCUUGUUCUCAACUCAAUUGUAAUCAAAGCAAGAGACACCAAGUUGUGGUGGUCCUUGUAGUGGACUAAGUGUCCCGUUUGAUUGAAGAGAAAAGCUCACUCGGUCUAGGUGACCGUUUGAGAGAGGGAAAGGGUUGAAAGAGACCCGAUCUUUGUGACCACCUCAACGGGGAGUAGGUUUGCAAGAACCGAACCUCGGUAAAACAAAUCACCGUGUUCAUCUGUUUUAUUUCUUUGUUGAUUUGUUUUCCCUUUCUUUCGGACUUGAUUAUAUUUCUAACGCUAACCCUUGCUUGUAGUUGUGCUUAAACUUUAUAAAUUUCAGAUUUGCCUAUUCACCCCCCUCUAGGCGACUUUCAAUUGGUAUCAGAGCCCGGUACUUCAUUAGAGCCUAACCACUCGAUGUCAUGUCGGGAGCUCACGCCAAGAAGGAGAUGGUGACCGGCGAGAAGCCCGCCACAAGCCACGGGAAGGCUCCAUCGGGAGAGUCCGGCAACAAAAGGGAGGAAUCACCUCCCCACGUCAAGUCGCACCGGAGUGGUGACCAGAAGAAGAAAAUGAAGAAAGUGUUCUACUGUGAGACCGAUUCUUCGUCGCCAUCCACCUCCACGUCCGACGCGCCGUCCGUCACUUCUAAGCGCCAUGAGCGCAAGAAGUUUAGUAAGAUCUCCUUACGCUAUCCUCGUAUUUCCAAAUGCACUCCUUUACUUUCCGUCCCACUAGGCAAACCACCGGUUUUUGACGGUGAACAUUAUUGUAUGUGGAGUGAUAAAAUGAGGCACCAUCUAACCUCACUCCACGCUAGUAUUUGGGACAUUGUUGAGUUUGGUGCGCAGGAACCAUCCGUGGGGGAUGAAGGCUAUGAUUCGGAUGAGGUAGCCCAAAUCCAGCACUUCAACUCCCAAGCCACCACUAUACUCCUCGCCUCUCUAAGUCGAGAGGAGUAUAAUAAGGUGCAAGGGUUGAAGAGCGCCAAAGAGAUUUGGGACGUACUAAAGACCACACACGAAGGAGACGAGGUGACCAAGAUCACCAAGAGCGAAACGAUCGAGGGGGAGCUCGGUCGCUUCAUGCUUCAUCAAGGGGAGGAGCCACAAGCAAUGUACAACCGGCUCUAGACCUUGGUGAACCAAGUGCGCAACCUCAGGAGCACCAAAUGGGAUGACCAUGAAAUGGUCAAGGUUAUUCUAAGAUCACUUAUAUUUCUUAAUCCUACACAAGUUCAAUUAAUUCGUGGUGAUCCUAGAUACAAGAUAAUGUCUCCCGAGGAGGUUAUAGGAAAAUUUGUGAGCUUUGAAUUGAUGAUCAAAGGCUCCAAGAAAAUCAUCGAGCAAGGCGCCUCCUCCACACCCGAAAUGCAACUCGUCGCAUUCAAGGCAACAGAGGAGAAGAAAGAAGAGUCUACUUCAAGUAGACUUCCCAUCGACGCCUCCAAGCUCGACAACGAGGAAAUGGCGCUCAUCAUCAGGAGCUUUCGCCAAAUCCUCAAGCAAAGGAGGGGGAAGGACUACAAGCCCCGCUCCAAGAAAGUUUGCUACAAGUGUGGUAAGCCCGGACAUUUCAUUGCUAAAUGUCCAUUAUCAAGUGAUAGUGACAGGGGCGAUGACAAGAAGGGGAGAAGGAAGGAGAAGAAGAAAUAUUACAAGAAGAAGGGCGGCGAUGCCCAUGUAUGCCACGAGUGGGACUCCGAUGAGAGCUCCACCGACUCCUCCUCCGACGAGAACGCCGCAAACAUCGCCAUCAACAAGGGUCUUCUCCUUCCCAACGUCGAUCACAAGUGCCUCAUGGCAAAGGACGACAAAAAGAAGAAGGUAAAAUCUAGAGCUUCCACUAAAUAUGCAACAUCUAGUGAUGAGGCUAGCUCUAGUGAUGAUGAGGAUGAUUUGAUCACCCUUUUUGCCAACUUAAACAUUCAACAAAAAGACAAAUUGAAUGAAUCGAUUAGUGUUAUUCAUGAGAAGGAUGAACUCUUGGAUAGCCAAGAGGACUUCCUUAUUAAAGAAAAUAAGAAGCAUGUUAAAGUUAAAAAUGCUUAUGCUCAGGAGAUAGAAAAAUGUGAAAAAUUAACUAGUGAUCUAAGCACUUGCCAUGACACUAUUUUCAACCUUAGAUUUGAAAAUGACAAAUUGAUUGCUAAGGUUGAGAAAUUAAAUGUUAGUGAUGAUUCUCUUGUCAACCUUAGAAAUGAUAAUGCUAAUUUGAUUGCUAAGGUUGACAAAUUGAAUGCAUCUCUCUCUAGCCUUAAAAUUGAGAAUGAAAAAUUAAUUGCUAAGGCUAAAGAUUUAAAUGUUUGCAAUGUUUCUAUUUCCAAUCUUAGAGAUGAGAACACUAUUUUACAUGCUAAGAUUGUUGAAUUAAAUACUUGCAAACCCUCAACAUCUACCGUUGAACAUGUUACUAUUUGCACUAGAUGUAGAGAUGUUAAUAUUGAUGCUAUUCAUGAUCACAUUGCUAUGAUUAAACAACAAAAUGAUCAUAUAGCAAAAUUAGAUGCUAAAAUUGCCGAGCAUGAAUUAGAGAAUGAAAAAUUUAAAUUUGCUCGUAAUAUGCUUUAUGGUGGGAGACGCCCUGGCAUUAAGGAUGGCAUUGGCUUCCAACAGGGAGGCGAUGUCAAACUCAAUGCCCCUAAGAAAUUGUCCAACUUUGUUAAGGGCAAGGCUCCCAUGGUUUAGGAUAACGAGGGUUACAUUUUAUACCCUGACGGUUAUCCCGAACAUAAAAUUAGGAGAAUUCACUCUAGGAAGUCUCACUCUGGCUCUCAUCAUGCUUUUAUGAAUAAGAGUGAGGCAUCUAGUUCUAGGAAAUCCACCCAUGCUAAAUUGCCUAAGAAGAAAACUCCUAUAGCAUCAAACGAACCUAAUUUUUCAUUUAAGACUUUUGAUGCUUCUUAUGUGCUCACUAACAAAUCAGGCAAAAUAGUUGCCAAAUAUGUUGGGGCUAAACACAAGGGAUCAAAGACUUGUGUUUGGGUACCCAAGGUGCUUGUUUCUAAUGUGAAAGGACCCAAGACCAUUUGGGUACCUAAGAACAAGGCCUAAACUUGUUUUGUAGGUUUAUGCAUGCGGGGGCUCAAGUUUGAUCAUCGAUAGCGGGUGCACAAACCACAUGACUGGGGAGAAAAUAAUGUUCUCCUCCUAUGAGAAAAAUCAUGAUCCCCAAAGAGCUAUCACAUUCGGGGAUGGAAAUCAAGGUUUGGUCAAAGGACUUGGUAAAAUUGCUAUAUCCCCUGACCAUUCUAUUUCCAAUGUUUUUCUUGUAGAUUCUUUAGAUUACAACUUGCUUUCUGUUUCUCAAUUAUGCAAAAUGGGUUACAACUGUCUUUUUACGGAUAUAGGUGUUACUGUCUUUAGAAGAAGUGAUGAUUCUGUAGCAUUUAAGGGAGUGUUAGAGGGUUAGCUAUACUUAGUUGAUUUUAAUAGAGCUGAACUCGACACUUGCUUAAUUGCUAAGACUAACAUGGGUUGGCUCUGGCAUCGCCGACUUGCCCACGUUUAAAUGAAGAAUCUCCACAAACUUCUAAAGGGAGAACACAUUUUGGGACUAACAAAUGUUCAUUUUGAGAAAGACAGGGUUUGUAGCGCAUGUCAAGCAGGGGAAGCAAGUUGGUGUUCAUCAUCCACACAAGAACAUAAUGACGACCGACAGACCGCUUGAGCUACUCCACAUGGACCUAUUCGGCCCGAUAGCUUAUAUAAGCAUCAACGGGAGUAAGUAUUGUCUUGUAAUUGUGGAUGAUUAUUCUCGCUUCACUUGGGUGUUAUUUUUGCAGGAAAAAUCUCAAACCCAAGAGACCUUAAAGGGAUUCUUGAGAUGGGCUCAAAAUGAGUUCGGCUUAAGGAUCAAAAAGAUAAGAAGCGACAACGGGACGGAGUUCAAGAACUCUCAAAUAGAAGGCUUCCUUGAGGAUGAGGGCAUCAAGCAUGAGUUCUCUUCUCCCUACACACCACAACAAAAUGGUGUAGUGGAGAGGAAGAAUAGAACUCUACUUGACAUGGCGAGGACCAUGCUUGAUGAGUACAAGACUUCGGACCGGUUUUGGGCGGAAGCAGUCAACACCGCUUGCUACGCCAUCAACCGUCUCUACCUUUGCCGAAUACUCAAGAAGACAUCGUAUGAACUACUCACCGGUAAAAAGCCCAAUGUUUCAUAUUUUAGAGUCUUUGGUAGCAAAUGCUUUAUUCUUGUUAAAAGAGGUAGAAAAUCUAAAUUUGCUCCUAAGGCUGUAGAAGGCUUUUUACUUGGUUAUGAUUCAAACACAAGGGCAUAUAGAGUCUUUAACAAGUCCUCUGGACUAGUUGAGGUUACUUGUGACAUUGUGUUUGAUGAGACUAACGGCUCUCAAGUAGAGCAAGUUGAUCUUGAUGAGCUAGAUGAUGAAGAGGCUCCAUGCGUCGCGCUAAGGAACAUGUCCAUUGGGGAUGUGUGUCCUAAGGAAUCCGAAGAGCCUCCACAAGCACAAGAUCAACCAUCUUCCUCCAUGCAAGCAUCUCCACCAACUCAAGAUGAGGAUCAAGCUCAAGAGGAUGAAAAUGAAGAUCAAGAAGAUGAGCCACCUCAAGAGGAGGGCAAUGAUCAAGGGGGAGAUGCCAAUGAUCAAGACAAGGAAGAUGACGACAGUCCAAGACCACCACACCCAAGAGUCCACCAAGCAAUACAAAGAGAUCACCCCGUGAACUCCAUCCUCGGCGAUAUUCAUAAGGGGGUAACCACUCGAUCUCGUGUUGCUCAUUUUUGUGAACAUUACACCUUUGUAUCUUCUAUUGAGCCAUAUAGGGUGGAAGACACAUUAAGGGAUUCAGAUUGGGUGUUGGCGAUGCAAGAGGAACUCAACAACUUCACGAGGAAUGAGGUAUGACAUUUAGUUCCACGCCCUAAUCAAAAUGUUGUAGGAACCAAGUGGGUCUUCCGCAACAAGCAAGAUGAGCAUGGUGUGGUGACAAGGAACAAAGCCCGACUUGUGGCCAAGGGAUAAUCACAAGUCGAAGGUUUGGAUUUCGGUGAAACCUAUGCACCCGUAGCUAGGCUUGAGUCAAUUUGUAUAUUACUUGCCUAUGCUACUUACCAUGGCUUCAAGCUUUAUCAAAUGGACGUGAAAAGUGCCUUCCUCAAUGGACCAAUCAAGGAAGAAGUCUAUGUUGAGCAACCUCCCGACUUUGAAGAUAGUGAGUACCCUAACCAUGUGUAUAAACUCUCUAAGGCGCUUUAUGGGCUCAAGCAAGCCCCAAGAUCAUGGUAUGAAUGCCUAAGAGAUUUUCUUAUCGCUAAUGGCUUCAAAGUCGGAAAAGCCGAUCCUACUCUCUUUACUAAAACAAUUGCAAAUGAUUUGUUUGUAUGCCAAAUUUAUGUUGAUGAUAUUAUAUUUGGGUCUACUAACAAAUCUACAUUUGAAGAGUUUAGUAGAUAAUGGUACAAAAAUUCGAGAUGUCUAUGAUGGGGGAGUUGAAGUAUUUCUUAGGAUUUCAAGUGAAGCAACUCCAAGAGGGCAUCUUCAUCAGUCAAACGAAGUACAUUCAAGACAUACUCACCAAGUUUGGGAUGAAGGAUGCCAAGCCUAUCAAGACACCCAUGGGAACCAAUGGGCAUCUUGACCUCGACACGAGAGGUAAAUCCAUAGAUCAAAAGGUAUACCGGUCGAUGAUAGGAUCUUUACUCUAUUUAUGUGCAUCUCGACCGGAUAUUAUGCUUUUCAUAUGCAUGUGUGCAAGAUUCCAAGCCGAUCCUAAGGAAGUUCACCUUAGGGUCGUGAAAUGAAUCUUGAGAUAUUUAGUUCAUACUCCUAAGUUUGGCCUUUGGUACCCCAGGGGAUCCACAUUUGAUUUAAUAGGAUAUUUAGAUGCUGAUUGGGCAGGGUGUAAAAUUGAUAGAAAGAGCACAUCAGGGACUUGUUAGUUCUUGGGAAGAUCCCUGGUGUCAUAGGCUUCAAAGAAGCAAAAUUUUGUAUCUCUUUCUACCACCGAAGCCGAGUACAUUACCGCAGGCCAUUGUUGCGCGCAAUUGCUUUGGAUGAGGCAAACCCUUAGGGACUAUGGUUACAAAUUAACCAAAGUUCCGCUCCUAUGUGAUAAUGAGAGUGCAAUCCACAUGGUGGAUAAUCCCGUUGAGCACAACCGCACUAAGCACAUAGCCAUUCGGUAUCACUUUUUGAGGGAUCACCAACAAAAGGGGGAUAUCGAGAUUGUUUAUAUUAACACCAAAGAACAAUUAGCCGAUAUCUUUACCAAUGUUGGGGACUUGUUCUCAAAUGCUAUGAGUUAAGAACAAGGCAACACAAGAAAUGUUAAACGUUAAUGCCCUUCGUCCUUCGAGACAUUAUUUCCCUUAGGAUAUAAUGAUCUUCAGACGAAGGUCAUGAAGGACAUACCUUCAUCAUUGCAAUAUACGAUAAUAAAAGGAGAAUCAUAUAGAAUGUAAGAGACAACAUGAAUAAGUAUGUAAUAUUAUCAGCACAUUUCUAUUUUAUUAUCAUGGACAAAUAGAAAUGAUAUCAAAUUACAAAUGUACCUUCAGCUUGAUGGAAGGUAAAAGUACAAGUGUGACGCACGAUCAAAUACAAGUCAGCGUGAACAGUACGGGAGCACUGUUCAUCUAUUUAUAGGCACGGGACACAGCCCAUGUAAAAUUACACCCAUGCCUUUUACAUUUGCUAAUGACUCUAUAGUGAUCCAUCGAGGUCUAAAUGACCUUUUCCCUUUUAAGUCGGUUCCCUUUUCCGCUGUUAUGCCAAAGCUCCCUUGCGCGUAGCUUCGGCGCUACGUCAACCUUCGUAUUCUUUGUGCUUCUCACACUGUGGUUCUGAUCCGAGUCCGAAGGUACCUGUUCAUGUAUCAUACUCCAGAAAUAAUGUUAAAUCAUGUUUUUGAAGACCUUCGGAAGACGAAGGCCCCCAACAGUAGCCCCUCGCAAUAUUAAUUUGUUAGAAUAACGAAUUCAAAUUGCGAUAUGGACGAAGGCCUUAAGCCAAAAUUCUGAAAAAACACCUUCCCUUUGCUAGAAUAGCAACAGUCGAUGACAGACGGGGCCCUCCAAUUUGGAACGCACUGGGCGUAUAAAUAGGAACUCACCCCGAGCACAUUUGGUACGCUAUCUGCCGCCUGCUUUGCUUGCUCAAUUUUUUAGCUCUUGCCUACCAACGCUUGCUUGGUUUUUUAGACUUUCUAAGCUUCGGCUUUAAGGACACAUUUUCGCCAUUUCCGAAGAGAAGAUGUCUCAAGACAAAAAAGUUGUUGCUGAGACGAAGCUGAGCGAAGAGGAGAAGCUCCAUGAGGAGAAGACUGCUGGAUUUGUUGAAUCAAUAGCAAAGAAAAAUACAGAAAAGAUUACUAAGGAGAUUCUAGAAGGCUUAUCUGAAGAUACUGAUGACAGCGACAGUUAUGAUGCGGAAAGCGGAGGCGAAGACUCCGAAGAUCGGCCCUGGCGACCAAGCAUGCAGUCUUCGGGAAAUCAACCAUCAAACAGAGUCAUCUUGAUAAUAUGAGAGGAAGGUAUUUUCGAUAUUAUUUUUUUGUUCUUAUAUUAACCCAUUCAUUCUUUUCAUAUAGGGUUUAAUACUUAGCAACGCCUUAAGGGCGCAAAAGAAUGUCGAAGACGAGAGUUGCACUAUUGCUCUCAACAACCUUCAAACAGAGGUUAUCAAGCUGAGGAACGAAGCUUUGGAAAAAGAAAAAAUUCUACUUACAUUGGUGGACAAAGUAAAGGGGGAUGAAGCUAACUUCAAGGCUCAAUCUGAAAUCCAAAGGAAUGAGAUUGAAAACCUUCAAAAACAACUGGCCGAAGCCAAAUUGAAAUGCGCUAUUGCCGAAGCUGACCGAGUUGCCAGUGAGUACUAGAAAAAUUAUCUUGAAAAACAGUUGCAGAGCUUCGCUCAUCAAAAGAAAGAUGUUUUGAAAAAUCUGUGGAAUGCGUGAAAAAGAUAAAAACUAGCUUUGCCAACGUUGGCGCAUAUUCAAGCGAAGAUAACUUCAUACGGGGCGACCCCGAAGGCGUAAUCGAGUGGAUCAGCGGUGAGGCCGAAGCCUUUGAAGAGAUUUUGAGUGACCGCGGGGACGUCUGUGCCUUCUCUGGUGCGAGAGGAAUUGCAGCUAUUUUGGAGAAAGCAGGGUGCGAACAUGUUAAAACUUUGGCCCAGGCCGAAGCUGCCUUCUCCACCGAUGAUAUAAAGGACCCCUCGGCCGAAGCAAACUCAAUAGGUGGAAAAAAUUUCACUGAUAUCUGGGAAAACGGUGGCCGAGGGAUGGCCCAUGAAAUUAUAAAGAAAAACGAAAAAGAUAUUCACGACACUCGAGAGUCAAUAAAAGAAGCUGAAAAGGCUGCGGAGCUUGAGAGACGAAUAUGUAUUACUUAAUGGUUUUUAACUUUGUUGUUUAUUUUUGUGACUUUGAACUGAUUUAUGUUUUCUACCUUAGCUGAACUAUCUCCUCCCCCAGCGCCCUUAGAGUCAUUGGCCGACCCAGAGGCAAAGGAAUCAACAGAACUUAUUAACAUGGCCGAAACUAUUGUAGACGAAGUCGUUACCCAACUGCUGACCGAAUUUGCACAUAAAGUUUUGAAGGAAGAAGAGUAGCUAUUGUAAAAACAUUGCUAGAAUAUUAAUGUAACAUUUGCCGGACUAUGCUUGUAAUAUUUGGUGCUCCUAGGUUUUGAAUGUAAUAUAUGAAUGGUUUUGUAAUUCAUUUCUUUGCGAUGCAUGAAACUUUUAUGUACAUACCGUUUUUGAGCCUUCGGCGAAAAAACACCUUCCCUUCUUUUCAUGUUCGUAAAGAAGAGCUUUUAUGCUUCGUAAAAAAUCCUCCAAUCGUCGCAAAAACAUUAAUGCUUCGUCAACAACAGAUUUUUCCUCCACAUCAGAGCUGAUGAAGCUGUAUUUCUUCAAAACUUAUUUUGUGCCUUAGCACAAUUUCACUUUUUUCGAAGCAUUCUUCGAAGGUCAACAUUGUAUCCCCUUCUUGUGCCAUUGAUGCAAUAUGAUGUAUGAUGUUAUGUUAUGUGAAAUGAUGUGAUGAUGUUAUGUUAUGCAAAAUGAUGUUUAUGCCGAAGACACACACUCACACCCCCAUAGUGGAAUACACAAUCUCUUUGCCGCUUAUUUUUCGGCUUCACCGCUUAUUUUUCGGUGUAUCAGCGCUGACUUUUCACUGUAAGUUCUGCAUUCCCUUAGGAACGUCUUUUGAACUUCUUCACCUUCUAUUUCGGCGGUAUUCGCGUUGACUUUUCGCGCUUCGCCUUAUAUUUCGGCGGUAUUUGGCUCUGCAUUCCCUUUGGAAUGACUUUUGAGCAGAAAACUUACACUGCGCUCCCUUAGGAACGACUUUUUGUAGCUUCGGCAAACUUACGCUGCGUUCCUUAGAACGACUUUUUUGUGGCUUCGGUGAUACUUGUAAUGUGAUUUUUAGCCCCGCGUUCCCUUAGGAACGACUUUUGUGCUUCAGUGACUUUUUGAACUUCGUGAGUCUGUGGAGAAGAUAUAUUUCACUAUGGCAAGAACGAAGUUAUUACAAGAAAUCAAGAGAGCUAGGUUUUCAAUAAUUGUUCCUUAUUAAAAAGGAAGUGAUAAUGAAUGUAAAAACUGCUUCAGGGGUAGGAUAUCUCUCAAUAGAUAUGCUUCGAUUCUAGCACAGUACUGUUGGCUGUGCGAGCUUCGGACUCCUCCCUGAAAUCUCGUUGCUGAUGGGUCUGUUGGCUCCCUUCUGGCUGCUGGCCUCGUGAAUAUGCAGGUUGUAGUGGUGGCAGAGGUGGAGGCUGUGGCCAAGAUGCAUGUGGCUGGCUAGCCGAAGCAACAGAAGCUGCAGGAUGGUUACCCACAUACUCUGGUAUGUAGGGUGAGUGAUACGAAGCAGUGUGCAUGACCUGCUUCGGCUGGUUCUGCUGAGCUGCGGCUUCUGCUAAUUCCUUUUGUUUCUGAAUGGUGACAUGGCACAUCCUUGUAGUAUGGCCCUUGUCCUCACCACAGAAUAAGCAAUUUUCCUAGGUUGAUCCCCAAACCUUCCUCCGAAGCCCCUGGCACCUCUGCCUCUUGGAGUUGGCGGCCGAAAAUAGGUUUGUUGCUGCCCCGAAACUUGCGAGGAAUAUUGUGGCUUCUGUUGCUGACUUCCUCUGUCGUCAUUCUGGGUGGAGUGGAUUGAUCUGACAUGCCUUGGGUGGAUUCUUCCUCCGAAGCCCCUGGUCAUCUCAGAGAACCUGUAGGCUUCCUCCCUUCUUUGGCGAAAGUCAUUGUCAGCCCGGAUGUAUUCAUCCAUCUUUUGAAGCAGCUUCUCCAAAGUCUGUGGAGGCUUUCUAGCAAAAUACUGGGCAGUAGGUCCUGGAUGAAGCCCCUUGAUCAUGGCCUCAAUGACAAUUUCAUUGGGCACAGUAGGCACUUGUGCUCUCAGACGCAAGAACCUUCAGACGUAUGCCUGGAGAUACUCCUCAUGAUCUUGCGUGCAUUGAAACAGAGCCUGAGCUGUGACUGGCUUCGUCUGAAAGCCCUGGAAACUUGUCACCAGCAUGUCCUUGAGCUUCUGCCAUGAAGUGAUGGUCCCUGGCCGAAGAGAAGAAUACCACGUUUGAGCCACAUUCUUAACUGCCAUGACGAAGGACUUGGCCAUGACAGCUGCAUUGCCUCCGUAUGAAGAUAUAGUUGCUUCAUAACUCAUCAAAAACUGCUUCGGGUCUGAAUGCCCAUCAUACAUUGGAAGCUGAGGUGGCUUGUAUGAUGGGGGCCACGGGAUAGCCUGCAGUUCUGCUGCCAAGGGAGAAGCAUCAUCAAAAGUAAAGGUAUCAUGAUUAAAAUCAUCAUACCAUCCAUCGUCGUUGAACAAGCCCUCUUGAUGAAGCUCCCUGUGUUGGGGCCUUCGAUCUUGCUCGUCUUGAGCAAGGUGGCGUACUUCUUCAGUGGCUUCGUCAAUCUGCCUUUGAAGGUCAGCUUGUCGGGCCAUCUUCUCCUUCUUCUUUUGCACUUGCUGAUGAAGCAUCUCCAUGUUUCUGAUUUCUUGGUCCAACUCGUCCACCUGGGGUGUUGGACUAGUGGCCUUCCUCUUCUGGCUUCGGGCCUCUCGAAGAGAAAGGGUCUCCUGAUUUGGGUCCAGUGGCUGCAGAGCGGCAGCCCCUAGCGCUGAAACUUUCUUCGGUGGCAUGACGAAGGUCAAUGCUUGCCGAAGGUGGUCGAAAAGAGUUCACCCCACGGUGGGCGCCAAUGUUGGGGACUUGUUCUCAAAUGCUAUGAGUUAGGAACAAGGCAACAUAAGAAAUGUUAAACGUUAAUGCCCUUCGUCCUUCGAGACAUUAUUUCCCUUAGGAUAUAAUGAUCUUCAGACGAAGGUCAUGAAGGACAUACCUUCAUCAUUGCAAUAUACGAUAAUAAAAGGAGAAUCAUAUAGAAUGUAAGAGACAACAUGAAUAAGUAUGUAAUAUUAUCAGCACAUUUCUAUUUUAUUAUCAUGGACAAAUAGAAAUGAUAUCAAAUUACAAAUGUACCUUCAGCUUGAUGGAAGGUAAAAGUACAAGUGUGACACACGAUCAAAUACAAGUCAGCGUGAACAGUACGGGAGCACUGUUCAUCUAUUUAUAGGCACGGGACACAGCCCAUGUAAAAUUACACCCAUGCCCUUUACAUUUGCUAAUGACUCUAUAGUGAUCCAUCGAGGUCUAAAUGGCCUUUUCCCUUUUAAGUCAGUUCCCUUUUCCGCUGUUAUGCCGAAGCUCCCUUGUGCGUAGCUUCAGCGCUACGUCAACCUUCGUAUUCUUUGUGCUUCUCACACUGUGGUUCUGAUCCGAGUCCGAAGGUACCUGUUCAUGUAUCAUACUCCAGAAACAUUGUUAAAUCAUGUUUUUGAGGACCUUCGGAAGACGAAGGCCCCCGACAACCAAGCCACUAGAUGAGAAAACUUUUACCAAUCUUAGGCAUGAGCUAAACAUUCUAGAUUCUAGGAAUUUUGAUUGAUAUUUUGCACACAUAGCUUAUUUCAAUACCUUUGAUCAUAUCUCUUUCAUGUGCUAUGACUAAUGUGGUUUUCAAGUAUAUUUCAUGCUAAGUCAUAGAUUGAAAGGAAAAUGGAGUCUUCGGCGAAGAAAAGGCUUCCACUCCAUCGAAUUAUUCAUCCUUCGCCGACACUCCACAUCGCUCUCCAAUUUGGUAUAAUCUUCACUCCUACAUUAUUUACCAAAGGGGGAGAAAGUUUGAAAAAGGGCUUAUAUUUUCACUCACAAGUAUCCGUUUUUGGCGAUUCAUGCCAAAGGGGGAGAAAGUAUUAGCCCAAAGCAAAAGGACCGCACCACCACCAAUUUCAAAAAUGAAGUCUUUUAAAUUUGUACUAAAAGAAGGUUUUUCAAUUGGUAUCUUAUUUUUGAUAGAAUUUUCAAAUUGGUAUAACCCAUUUCAAAAUUAAUAUCUAAAACUCUCUUGAACAAUAAGAGGAGAAUUUCAUUAAGGGGGAGUUUUGUUUAGUCAAAGGAAAAGCAUUUGAAACAGGGGGAGAAAAUUUCAAAUCUUAAAAAUGCUUCUCAAAAUCUUACUCAUUUACCUUUGACUACUUGCAAAAAGACUUUGAAAAGAAUUUCCAAAAGAGUUUGCAAAAACAAAACAAGUGCUGCAAGCGUGGUCCAAAAUGUUAAAAUAGAAGAAAGCAUCCAUGCAUAUCUUAUAAAAUGUAUAUUGGUUUAAUUCCAAGUAACCUUUGCACUUUCAUUAUGCAAACUAGUUCAAUUCUGCAAUUAUAUAUUUGCUUUGGUUUGUGUUGGCAUCAAUCAUCAAAAAGGGGGAGAUUGAAAGGGAAAUAGGCUUACACCUUUUCCUAAAUGGUUUUGGUGGUUGAAUUGCCCAACGCAAAUAAUUGGACUAACUAGUUUGCUCUAGAUUAUAAGUUCUACAUGUGCCAGAGGUUCAACACAAACCAAUAAAAAGUCCAAGAAAGGGUUCAAAUAAAAAGAGCAAAAGACAACCGAAUGCUGCCCUGGUCUGGCGCACCGGACAGUGUCCGGUGCACCAGGGAGAUUCACUCCAAACUUGCCACCUUUGGGAAUUUGGGAAGCCACUCCGCUAUAAUUCACCGGACUGUCCGGUGUAGCACCGGACUGUCCAGUGUGCCAAGCGGAGCAACGGUCGUUAGCGCAACGGUCGAGUUGAACGGUCGGCUCACAACGCUACAGUGCGCGUACUGCGCGCGCAGAAGUUAGAGCAGGUGCAGAUGGCGCAUCGGACAGUGAACAGGACCUGUCCGGUGCACCACCGGACUAUCCGGUGGCCCACAUGUCAGAAGCUCCAACGGUCGAACCCUAACGGUUGGGUGACGUGGCUGGCGCACCGGACAGUGGCCGGUGGCGCACCGGACUGUCCGGUGCGCCCAUCGACAGUAGAGUUCCCCAACGGCCACUUUGGUGGUUGGGGCUAUAAAUACCCCCCAACCACCACACUUCAAUGCAUCCAAGUUUUCAGCCAUCAAACCUCAUACAAGAGCUCUAUACUUCAUUCCAAGACACAAACAAAGAGAUCAAAUCCUCUCCCAAGUCCGGAAUCACUUCAAACAAAUUAGUGACUAGAGAGAGAGACUUUUGUGUUCUUUUGAGCUCUUGCGCUUGGAUCGCUUUUCUUCUUCCUCCUUUCUUGUUCUCAACUCAAUUGUAAUCAAAGCAAGAGACACCAAGUUGUGGUGGUCCUUGUAGUGGACUAAGUGUCCUGUUUGAUUGAAGAGAAAAGCUCACUCAGUCUAGGUGACCGUUUGAGAGAGGGAAAGGGUUGAAAGAGACCCGGUCUUUGUGACCACCUCAACGGGGAGUAGGUUUGCAAGAACCGAACCUCGGUAAAACAAAUCAUCGUGUUCAUUCGUUUUAUUUCUUUGUUGAUUUGUUUUCCCUCUCUUUCGGACUCGAUUAUAUUUUUAACGCUAACCCCGACUUGUUGUUGUGCUUAAACUUUAUAAAUUUCAGAUUUGCCUAUUCACCCCCCCUUUAGGUGACUUUUAGUCUCAACACCUCCUCUCUCGUACGAUGCGCUUUACCAUGGAAGAUCCACCGAGUAUAGUCUGGCGUAAAUCUGAUCUUCCAAAUAUGUUCUACCAUGGCCUUCUUUGAUUUUCUUUUCCGGUUGGCACAUUUGCUGCACGGGCAUGGGACUAGACUCGCUCCUUUAGCAGCUUUGCCAUAUGCCCGUUCCACAAAAGCAUCGGUCUUUCUAAUCCAUUCAGGGGUGACAUCAUUCCUACUUACACGGCAUGUGUACAUCCACUCACGGUCUUCCAUCCUCUAACAUAUGUAACCGAGUAUAGUUUAAUAUAAACAUGUAAUGCAUGUACGCUAUGUUCCUACCUUAUAAUAGGUGAGUAUAGUUCUUAAUCUCACUCGCGGUUGCGUAGACGAAGUUAGUUUCCAUGCUCUACUUCGAUCCAAGACAGAGUUCCGGCAGCACCUCCCCGUUGUUCUCCGGAUACACGCCCUAGCAGGUAGAAUGUACUGUCCGGAGAUCAACAUGGAGGUGAAACCGAAACUCUGUCUCGGACCGGAGUAGAGCAUGGAAACUAAUACCAGGGCGACGGUGGAGUAGGGAUAGCGGGGCUGUGGCGGGUCGGUGCAGUGGCGACGUGUCGCAGUGCAGGUUCUAGUGUGGCGGCAAGGAAUACCUCUGCAAAAAAAAAUUAACACAAGUUUAUCAACAAAAAAAUCGGCAGGACUUCCCCUGCACGAGGAGGUUGCAAAAAACCAGCAAAUAAAACUAACAGCACGAUGGCUGACAUCCACACAUAUACUAGCAAAAAAUAGACUUGCGUGUGUUAUUUACAAUUGUGUUAGUUACACACAAUCUAUUGAUGCCAUAUUUGUUGUGUACUAGCGAUUGGCAAGAAGAAUCAACUUUUAGGCACUAAAACAUCUAGUGGGUUCAAAUUAAAGAACUUCUUCUAUUAAUUACAGAACCACCCCAUCGGCCGACCAGGAUCCAAAUUAAAGAACUUCUUCUUCUAUUAAUUAUAGUAUAUUAUAAUUACCAAGUCUCUUCUUAUAUUUACAUGUUCAUUUGCUUGCUUCUUGCAUAACAUAACGGCGAUCGAUGAUGACCAUCGUUAGUUUUAGUCCUACGUGUAUUUGAUUCAAUCCCUCCAUGUUCAUAGUAUAAAUUCAACCAAACCUAAAUAAGUUUCAGUCAGCUUGAUCUUAAAAUUGCAUCAUACACACACAUACAUAGUCUUACUAGAAGUAAGCAAUUUCUUUUAAACUAAUUUCCAGCCAACAUUGAUGAAUGAACUAGAAUGUGGCUAUAACCGAGACCUGUGUGGGUGGUGCUGGAGAUGGGGACGUUGGGCCGAGGCUCACCGGCGUCGAGGCCUGUCCGAAGAUGGCCGACCGCCAGGCCGGGGACGGGGCUCGUUGGAGAUGGCCGGGUCGAGCGACGGUGGGGACGUCGGAGGCAGGGAGGAUGGCCGGCACGGUGUCCGGAGCCGGAGGGGAUGACCGGAGAGGAGGAUGGUCGGCGCUUGCUCCGAUGGCGUUGGCGGCGAGUGGCGUUGGCGGAGGGGACGACUGGUUAGGGCUAUGUACACAGACUUUGCCGAGUGCCAUAUCACGGGCACUCGGCAAAGAUUUUUUUUAAAUUUAAAAAUAAACUUUGCCGAGUGUCACAGAUCACUGACAGGCACUUGGCAAAGAUUGUUUUAAUUUUUUUAAAAAAACUUUACAGAGUGUCCCACGGCAGGCACUCGACAAAGAAUGCUUUACUGACUGCCUUAUUUUGACACUCGACAAAGAAUUCUUUGCCAAGUGCCCGAUAAAAAGCACUUGGCAAAGCACCGAGCACUCGGCAAAGAGCCGGAUUCCGGUGUGGUUGUUUCAUGGAAGUUGUAAGUAGACCAUCUUAACAAGGUCAACAAUAGAAGUACAACUCACAACAUUAGAUACUGCCAAAGUUAAUGUUGAGAGGCUUCGUGAACUCCUUAUGGAUUUACUAGUAGUUGAAAAACCAAUACUGGUUAUCUAUAUGAGCUAUAAUAAUUAAACAUUGGUAAUCAAAGUGAACAAUUCUUAGGUUAACAUGAAGACUACAAAGCAUGUCAAGAACGGUUGAAACUGUUAAAACACUAAGAAACUCUAGAUUAAUUGUGUUGGACUAUGUCCAUACUUCUAAGAAUUUGGUAUGCCAGUUUAUAGAAGAUUUGUCACAUAAUGUGAUAGAUGGUGCAUCGAGAAAGAUGGACUUGAGACCCACUUAAUGCCAUUCCAUAGUAGUAGCAUUUUCUAUGUGAUUGGAGAUCUCAUGAAGUAAAAUGGUGAAAUAAGCUAGAGAAUGACUGAUGGAGAGACUCCUUAAAUAAAAUCUAGGUAAUUUCAUAUGAACAUUUCUCCUUCGAUGUACGAUAGGCUAACUAAAAUCUUAAUAUGAUUUGAGUGACAUAUCUAAGCAGGGAUGUUAUCUUAUAGAACAUCCUAUAAGGAACACACCUAUAUGACUUUGACUACUAAUCACAGUCUAUGAUAUGUGGGAAAUAUUUUUUUACUCAUGAAAGGCCUCGAAGUUUGACUUAUAUGCUUCAAACCAAUGGAUAACUGAUUGAAUCUGUUUCAGACAGCAGCAUAGUUAACUUCAAAAUUCUAUAUCUCCCAAACUUCUCAACCAAAAAUUAUUAAAUUAUGCUGACAGUAAGAACUUUUAUCCCUCUACAAAAGUCUCCAUAGUUGGAAGAGCCAAUUCGGCCAUUUACUAGAUGAAACCUACCAGUUAACAGACCCGCUCAUUUUUGUCAGGCAAACAAGAACCCUUAUAUAUCAAAGAGUAGUGGAUUUGAAUUUGUCUAAUAUGAAGUUUAUGGGCUUGGAUCAUUUAAAGUAUUUUAUAAUUCUGAAAGACAAGAUUAAACUAACUAUGUAUGAUCCUUUAGCACCGUACAGAUGGUCGAUGGGACAGUUACAUGGUUUAUAUAGAUGGACCUAUCUAUAUUCCUUCAGUGGUUGAGAACAAGGUAAAGGUGUGUCACACUCACGCGUGCGCCGCCUCCGCCGAGACGAGGCAUGGCGUUGCAGGGUGAGGCAUGGCAUGGUGCAGCACGAUCGCAGUCAUGGUCGUGGCACAGUGUAGCACUGUUGUGGAUAGAUAGAUAAACUAUUGUUGUAGUUAGAGUGCAUGAGUUUUUGAAUGCAACACUAGAAUUUUCACAAUUUAACUUAAUUAAGAAGUUAUAUCUUGAUGACACAGAGUUACCUGACCAUUGAUCUCACAUGCCCUUUUAGCUCUCUCGUACUCUAGACUUACCCUGACUAUUUAGGUCUCCUGACUCGCCAAUAUAAACACCAUCCUAUCAUUUGCUGUCGAAUACUUCUGUGUCACAACUCAACUGUCAGAUGAGUACUCCAUUACAGCACUGAGCAGGCCUCCGAAAUGAAUAUCUACUCAGAUGAAGGACGACAAUCGUGUUCUAGGGAAAUAUCAGCGACACAACUCCUUACUUCCUCCGCUUCUUCCUAGUGUUUUUUGUUGUGAUUGAGUCGACAUAGCAACAACACUGCACUAUUACAACCAGUACGACUAUAUCAACUAGCAAUGUCUUCCUUAUAUGUUACUAUUUAUUUUGCUCAUAUUCAUUAUGUUUAAAUCACAUAGGCGCCUUUAUGUUGGCAUCAAAAAAUCAGUAUCAACUUUAUAGAUUAAAAUGAAACUAAAAGUACCUAAAUUUCUAUCGGUGGGGAUCGAGUGAUUCUUUAAACCGAUUAUUACACAAGUUAACCACACUAAAAUUAACAAUGGUGAAUCGUGCCAUGAUUUUUUUCUAGUGGAAAAUAGCCAAACCAAGCAACACAUAUGUGGCUAUCGUUACACAUGUGUAAAGGUAUUGCAUCACACCAUUGUCACCCAUGUAUGUGGACAAUACCGAGAGGAAAAACCACUUAUUUAUUGUAUUUUAUCAAGUUUGUCUUGCUUACGUAUAAAUUAUAACCCAACAAAGUAAUCACUAAAUGUCAAAACCAACUAGAUACCAUGUCAUCUCUACCUUAUCUUACUAAUAUUCUUUUUGCAAAAUCCAAAAUUAAUCUUGCACAAGCACAAGGACUGAGAUGUGUAUAAAUAUCUCUUAAAUUAGUAGCUAAUAUAUCGCACAUAUUAUUGAGACCAACUAGCAACAUAGAAAGCACAAUAGUGUACCAACAAUGGCAGCCAAAAUAUUUUGCCUCCUUAUGCUCCUUGGUCUUUCUGCAAGUGCUGCUACGGCGACCAUUUUCCCGCAAUGCUCGCAAGCUCCUAUAGCUUCCCUUCUUCCCCCGUACCUCUCACCAGCGGUGUCUUCGGUAUGUGAAAACCCAAUUCUUCAACCCUACAGGAUCCAACAGGCAAUCGCAGCUGGCAUCUUACCUUUAUCACCCUUGUUCCUCCAACAAUCAUCAGCCCUAUUACAACAGUUACCUUUGGUGCAUUUAUUGGCACAAAACAUCAGGGCACAACAACUACAACAACUUGUGCUAGCAAACCUUGCUGCCUACUCUCAGCAACAGCAGUUUCUUCCAUUCAACCAACUAGGUUCAUUGAACUCUGCUUCUUAUUUGCAACAACAACAACUACCAUUCAGCCAGCUACCUGCUGCCUACCCCCAGCAAUUUCUUCCAUUCAACCAACUAGCAGCAUUGAACUCUCCUGCUUAUUUACAGCAGCAACAACUACUACCAUUCAGCCAGCUAGCUGGUGUGAGCCCUGCUACCUUCUUGACACAACCACAGUUGUUGCCGUUCUACCAGCACGUUGCGCCUAACGCUGGCACCCUCUUACAACUGCAACAAUUGCUGCCAUUCAACCAACUUGCUUUGACAAACCCAGCAGUGUUCUACCAACAACCCAUCAUUGGUGGUGCCCUCUUUUAGAUUUCUUAUGAGUUAUAGUUCAAUAAUAAAGUUUUUUAUCUGAUGUUUGUGGCUUCCCAGAAAUAAGAAAGUACAUUUCUAGAUUCUUAUGUGCUUCUAGUCUUCAAAUGUGGUUGAUAGUUAUUGUUGGGGACUUGUUCUCAAAUGCUAAGAGUUAAGAACAAGGCAACAUAAAAAUGUUAAAUGCUAAAGUCCUUCGUCCUUCGAAGCAUUAUUUCCCUUAGGAUAUAAUGAAUUUCGGACGAAGGCUAUGAAGGACAUACCUUCAUAAGCACAACGAAUGAUGAAGAAGAAUUCAUAUAAAUUAUGAGAUAUAACAUAAACAUUUAAACAUUAUUAUUAACUCAUUUCUAUUGACUUGUCAGGGAAAAAUAGAAAUGAUAAUAAAUUACAAAUAUACCUUCGGCUUGAGAGAAGGUAAAGGUACAAGCGUGAGGCAAAAGCAAAUGCCAAGUCAGCGUGAACAGUACGGGAACACUGUUCAUCUAUUUAUAGGCACGGGACGCAGCCCAUGCAAAAUUACAUCCAGGCCCUUUGCUUUUGACAAUAACUCUAUAGUAAUCUAUCUGGGUCUAGAUAGUCUUUUCCUCUUUAAGUCGGUUUCCUCUUUUCUGCCAUCAUACCGAAGCUCCCUUGCGCACAGCUUCGGCUCUGCUCCAUCCUUCGUAUUGUUUCCGUGCUUCUUCAUACCGUGGGCUCUUGUUCGAAGAUCCCUAUCCACACAUUAUACUCCAGAGGCAUUGUUAAAUCAUGUUUUUGAGGACCUUCGGAAGUCGAAGGCCCCCAACAGUAGCCCCUCGCAAUAUUAAUUUAUUAGAAUGAUAAAUUUAGAUCGCGACAUGGACGAAGGCCUUAAGCCGAAGGUCCGAAAAAACACCUUCCCUUUGCUAGAAUAGCAACAAUCAAUGACAAGCGGGGCCCUUUCCCUUGCAACACACUAGGCGUAUAAAUAAGAGCAUACCGCGAGCGGAUUUGGCACGCUUUUUGCCAUCUGCUCUUGCUCACCCAACUUUUAGCCCUUGCACACCAACACCUGCUUGGCCUUUUUUUAAAAAAAUUUAAGCUUCGGUUUCGAGAGCACUUUCUCAGCAUUUUCGAAGAUGUCUGAAGAUAAGAAAGUUGUCGCUGAGUCGAAGCUGAGACUUUCUGAGGAGAUGAAUCUCGGCUUUCUUGAAUCAAUAGCGAAGACAAAUACAGAGAAGAUUACUAGGGAGAUUUUAGAAGGUUUAUCUGAAGACACUGGUGACAGUGACAGUUAUGAUGUGGAAAGUGGUGGUGAAGAUUCCGAAGAUCGACCCUGGUGACCAAGCCAUGCAGUUUUUGGAAAAUCAAGCAUUAAACUAAGCCAUCUUGUUAAUAUGAGGGGCAGAUAUUUUCGGGAUUUAUCUAUUGUGAGGGCUGAUGAAGGAGAAAAAACUUGUCCUACUCCUGAGGAAAAUGAAGUCGUGAUAUUCCGAAGCUUCUUCAAGGCUGGGCUUCGGUUUCCUUUAAGCGGUUUCGUGGUUGAAGUUUUGAAGAUUUUUGAAAUCUACCUCCAUCAAAUUACUCCUGAAGCAAUCAUAAGGAUGGGAAUCUUCGUAUGGGCUGUGAAGAGCCAAGGUUUGGAGCCGAAUGCAAAAAGUUUCUGCAAUAUGCAUGAGCUAUUAUACGAGACGAAACCUUGGGGUAAAGAGAAAUAUCAUAACAAUUUUGGCUGCUACAGCUUCGGCGCCCGCUCUGGGUCAAGCUGUCCCGUGCCAACUUUUUGGAAGAGAUGGCCCGGGGACUCGAUGAAGGAAUGGUGUUAUGUAAAAAACGACUUGAAAACGCGAGAAGGUAUUAAAGAUAUCAUCAUGCGCCCCAUCUGGCAGCGUUUCGGCCUUCGGAAACCGAAGGUGGAUAUUGACGAAGCAACCGAAGAAUGCCAGAGGGCCUUCGGCGUAGUUUGCUCUUUCAUCGGGACAAGGGAUUUGAUCCAGGAACAUAUUUCCUUCAGAGUAUGGCCACUUGUAGAAAAGUGGGAAAUGCCGAAGGAAACCAUCAGCAAACCUGAUGAAGUGGACUAGUUAGGUUAAAAUAUACCUUCAGAUAUGGAGAUAAGUUUGUGGAGCCAGAUGAUGACUGGCUGAAAUGUAUUGAGGCCACAAGCGAUGAACUGCUUGGGCCAUAUUCGAAGACAGAAGAUACUGCACUGUCCGCGGCCUUCGGAGGUCGGAAGAAGAGACUCAACCGAGUGUUUGAUGCCAUUGGGUUCGUCUAUCCUGACUACCGUUACCCAACACAGGGUCAGAAAGGGAAAGAUACGACUUCUGUGAAGAAAGUUGCUUCAGCCGCUCCUAGUGAGCCGGCGCCGAAGAGGAAAAAGAUGAAGGUUCUUACGCACCGGCCACGCUAUAUUGAACCGGCCACAGUGCCUGAGUUUGUCGGUGAGACCUCUUCGGCCACCGAAGCCAAGGAGCCGACUCUCCUGCCGAAUAUUGAAGAGCCGGCCAAAAUGCCGGCAAUGGAAAAAAUAGAAGAACCGAGGGCUGAAGAGACAAAGACAUCGGAAAAGAAUGGUUAACGUGCUAAUGCCGAAUAUUGAAGUCCUUCAGCAAGAAUCGAGGUGCUAAUGCCAAUGCCGAUGGCACAAAAAGACCUUACGACAACCCCCAAGAGGAAAAGAAUGGUUAACGUGCUAGAUGUACUGGAAACGAUAAAAUCUUCAAGCUCUACUCCGAAGAUAGCUACUGAAGUUCCAAAGACACAAACUGAGGCCAAAGCUGCCAAAAGUCAAGCGGAAACUGAAACUGGGCUUUCAGAGCCUACCAAGAGGGAAUUCUUGGAAAUUGAAAAAGAAACGGAAAAAGAAUCUGCAGAAGAAACUUUUUCUGAGAAAAUCGUCACACAUAUUCCCGAAGCAUCUUCUGAAGCUUCUGACUAUGUAUUACGUCAUGCUUCGGGUAAAAAUCUGAGCGAAAAAGAAAAAAGAGAAGCUCAAUUCUAUGCGCAAAAAUUGAAAUAUCCAAAAGGGGCGCUGAUAUUCAACGGCAGCGGAGAAGAAGACUUCUUGUAUUGUCUCCCUCAUAGCAAGGAGAUUUCUGUCUGUCGGGAGAUGAGCAAAAGCUUCGGAUUCCCAACAUUAGAAGACGGGCUCUUGGUGUUGUCAAAGGACGAGCUAGCCGACAGCUUAGCGUAUAAUAGUUUAAAGGUGAAGAAAAUGAGAUCUUUGUAUUAUUUCUUGAAACCAAAAUUUUUCAUUUGCUUAAACUUAUUAACGCAUUUUUUUACAGGGUCUUAUACUUAGCAAUGCCCUCAGGGCACAAAAGAAUGACGAAGACGAAGGGUGCGCCAUAGCCCUGAGCAACCUUCGUUCCGAAGUAAUUGAUCUAAGGAACGAAGGUCUCGAAAAAGAUAAAAUAUUACAUUCGUUGGUGAAUAAAAUAAAAGAAGAUGAAGCUACUUUCAAAGCUCAAGCUGAGGCUCAGAAGCACGAAAUUGAGAAUCUUCGGAAACAACUAGCCAGAGCUACAGAAGAAUACACAAUUGAAGAAACAAAACGAGAAAUUAGUGAACAAUGGGCAAAUCAUUUAGAAAAAAACGUUGAAGAGCUUCGUGCGUCCAAGAAAAGGUGUUAUGAAAAAUCUAUAGAAUGUGUUAAGAAAAUAAGAACCAGCUUCACCAACGUUGGCGCGUUUUCAAGUGAAGAAAAUUUCAUGAGGGGUGACCCCGAAAGCCCAAUUGGAUGGAUCAGCCACGAAGCUGAAGCUUUUGAAUAGCCGUGGAGACAUAUGUGCCUUCUCGGGUGCCAGGGGGAUUGCCGCUGUUUUGGAGAAGAAAGGUUGCGAUCACGUGAAAUCCCUGGCACAGACCGAAGCCGUUUUAUCCUCUGAAGACAUAAAAGACCCUUCGGCCGAGGCGAGUUUGGUUGGUGGGAAAUUUUUCACCGACAUCUGGGAAAACGGUGGCCGGGAGAUGGCUCAAGAAAUUAUACGGAGAAGCGAGAAUGGUAUACAUGACGCUAGAAAAGUAGCAGAGGCCGCUGAGAAAAGUGUGGAUCUCGAAGGGCGAAUAGGUAUUAACUAGUAAUUUUUGGCUUUUUGUUGUAACCUUUUGAUUUUGAACUUGUUUACACUUUGUAACAUGGUCGCACCUUCUCCUCCCUCAGAGCCUGCCGAGCCAUCGACAGACCCCCACGUAAAGGGGGAUGACGAGAUUAGAAGAAUGGCUGAAGCUAUCAUGGACAAAGUUGUUGAUCAAUUACUAAACGAAGCUGCAGAAAUAGUUCUAAGGGAAGAUUAGAUGUUAUUGUAAAAACAUUUGGAAUGUAAUAUUUGUUGAACAAUAUGUGUAAUAUUUUGUAACUUUGAAUGUAAUAUAUAAUCUAUUUGUGGUUCAAUUCUUUACGAUGCAUGAAACUUUACAUACAUACCGUUUUUGAGCCUUCGGCGAAAAAACACCUUCCCUUCUUUUCAUGCUUCGUAAAUAAUAUCCGUAUAUCAUAAAAACAUCCAAUUUUCGUAAAAUCAGUAACCAAUAGAUCUUUUUAUUUCAUAAAAACAUCCAAUCUUCGUAAAAUCAGUAACCAAUCUUCGUAAAGGCAUGCUUCUUCAAUAAUUAUUUUUGUGCCUUGGCACUGUUUCUUCGAAACAAUCUCCGAAUAUCAACAUUGAAACCCCCUUCUUGCGUCAUUGAUGCAAUAUGAUGUAUGAUGUUAUGCUAUGCAAAUGAUGUGAUGAUGUGAUGUUAUGCAAAAUGAUAUUUGCCGAAGAUCAACGUUUAUUUUUCACUGCAAGCCUCCCUUAGGAGCUUCUUCGCCUUUUACUUCAGCGGAAUCAGCAUUUAUUUUUCGCUGUAAGCCUCCCUUAGGAGCUUCUUCGCCUUUUACUUUCAGCGGAAUCAGCGUUUAUUUUUUGCUGUAAGCCUCCCUUAGGAGCUUCUUCGCCUUUUACUUUCAGCGGAAUCAGCGUUUAUUUUUCGCUGUAAGCUCUGCAUUCCCUUCGGAACGACUUUUGAGCAGAAAACUUACGCUGCGCUCCCUUAGGAACGACUUUUUGUUAUUUCGGAGAUUCUCCUUGUAACCAUAAAUUCUUAUGCUUCGGCAACUCUGUUAUUUUGUGGAGAAGGUAUAUUUUUACUGUGGCGAAAACGAAGCUAUUACAAGAAAUUGAAAACGACAAAAAGCACUUAGGCUUUCAAUAAUUGUUCCUUAUUAAAAAGAAAAUGAUACUGAAUGUAAAAACUACUGCCGAGGUAGGAUAUUUGUUAGUAAAUAUGCUUCGAUUCUGGCACAGUACUAUUGACUGUGCGAGCUUCGGACUCUUCUCUAAAGUCCCGUUGAAGGUGGAUAUGCUGACUCCCUUCUGGCUGCUGGCUUUGUUGCAUUGGUGGUGGAGGUGGAGGCUGCUGCCAAGAUGCCUGAGGUUGGCUUGCCGAAGCAACAGAAGCUGCAGGGUGGUUGCCUACAUACUCUGGAAUGUAAGGCGAAUGGUAUGAAGCAGUGUGCAUAACUUGCUUCGGCUGGCUCUGUUGGGCUGCAGCUUCUGCUAUCUCCUUUUGUUUCUGGAUGGUAACAUGGCACAUCCUGGUGGUAUGGCCCUUGUCCUCUCCACAGAAUAGGCAAUAGAUCUUCCUGGGCUGAUCCCCAAAUCUUCCUCCGAAGCCCCUGGCACCUCUACCCCUUGGAGCUGGAGGCCGAGGAUAGCUCUGCUGCUGCCCCGAAGCCUGGGAGGAAUAUUGCGGCCUCUGCUGCUGGCUUCCCCUGUCAUCAUUCUGAGUGUUAUGAAUCGAUCUGACAUGUCUAGGGUGAACUCUCCCUCCGAAGCCACUGGCUAUUUUGGAGAACCUGUAAGCUUCCUCCCUUCUCUAUCGGAAGUCGUUGUCAGCGCGGAUGUAUUCGUCCAUCUUCUGAAGCAGUUUCUCCAGAGUCUGAGGGGGCUUCCUGGCAAAGUACUGGGCUGAAGGUCCUGGCCGAAGCCCCUUAAUCAUGGCCUCAAUGACAAUUUCAUUGGGCACUGUUGGUGCUUGUGCCCUCAGGCGUAAGAACCUUCGGACAUACGCCUGAAGAUAUUCUCCGUGGUCUUGGGUGCACUGGAAUAAGUCUUGAGCGGUGACCGGCUUCGUUUGAAACCCUUAGAAACUGGUGAUCAGCAUAUCCUUCAGCUUCUGCCAUGAUGUGAUUGUUCCUGGCCGAAGGGAGGAGUACCAGGUUUGUGCAACAUUCUUGACGGCCAUGACGAAAGACUUCGCCAUGACUGCAAUAUUGCCACCAUAGGAAGAUAUCGUUGCUUCGUAGCUCAUCAGAAACUGCUUCAGAUCUGAGUGUCCGUUGUACAUGGGGAGUUGAGGUGGCUUGUAAGACGGAGGCCAAGGUGUAGCCUGCAGUUCUGGUGAUAGAGGAGAAGCAUCGUCAAAAGCAAAAUUUCCAUGAUGGAAAUCCUCAUACCAGUCAUCCUCGUUGACGAAGCCCUCUUGGUGGAGCUCUCUGUACUGGGGCCUCCGGUUCUAUUCAUCUUGCGUAAGAUGACGAACCUCUUUAGAGGCUUUGUCUAUCUGCCUUUGUAGGUCAGCUAGCCGGGCCAUCUUUUCUUUCUUCUUUUGCACUUGUUGAUGCAGCAUUUCCAUGUUCCUGAUUUCUUGGUCCAAAUCGUCCUCCUGAGGCGUUGGACUGGUGGCCUUCCUCUUCUGGCUUCGGGCUUCCCGAAGAGAGAGAGUCUCCUGGUUCGUGUCCAGCGGCUGCAGAGCCGCAGCCCCUGUUGCUGAAGCUUUCUUUGGCGGCAUGACAAAGGUCGAUGCUUGCCGAAGGUGUUCGAAACUCAAAAAGUGGAAGUGAGUUCACCGGAGGUGGGCACUAAUGUUGGGGACUUGUUCUCAAAUGCUAAGAGUUAAGAACAAGGAAACAUAAAAAUGUUAAAUGCUAAAGUCCUUAGUCCUUCGAAGCAUUAUUUCCCUUAGGAUAUAAUGAAUUUCGGACGAAGGUUAUGAAGGACAUACCUUCAUAAGCACAACGAAUGAUGAAGAAGAAUUCAUAUAAAUUAUGAGAUAUAACAUAAACAUUUAAACAUUAUUAUUAACUCAUUUCUAUUGACUUGUCAGGGAAAAAUAGAAAUGAUAAUAAAUUACAAAUAUACCUUCGGCUUGAGAGAAGGUAAAGGUACAAGCGUGAGGCAAAAGCAAAUGCCAAGUCAGCGUGAAUAGUACGGGAACACUGUUCAUCUAUUUAUAGGCACGGGACGCAGCCCAUGCAAAAUUACAUCCAGGCCCUUUGCUUUUGACAAUAACUCUAUAGUAAUCUAUCUGGGUCUAGAUAGUCUUUUCCUCUUUAAGUCGGUUUCCUCUUUUCUGCCAUCAUGCCGAAGCUCCCUUGCGCACAACUUCUGCUCUGCUCCAUCCUUCGUAUUGUUUCCGUGCUUCUUCAUACCAUGGGCUCUUGUUCGAAGAUCCCUGUCCACACAUUAUACUCCAGAGGCAUUGCUAAAUCAUGUUUUUGAGGACCUUCGGAAGCCGAAGGCCCCCAACAGUUAUUUUGCUCUAAGAUCGGCAGUAAUGAAGUAUAAAUCAUCGUUGUGGUGUGCUACUCGGUUAAUUGAGCAUUAACACACACAAACAUGACGAGGAUGGUAUAAUCUCCAAAAAUGUGUACUUUGUUAGGUGGGACCCUAUAGCCUUGCAGAAUGUGCUAUGUUAGGCAUGCCUGGAAACGUGUGACGCAUACGUUUUGUGAACCUGUUCAUAUUAUAUGUGCUUUUAUAUUAUCGUAUUUUAUUAAAAUACUAAUAUUUAUUACUAGUAAGAUAUAACAUUCUAUCUAGCUUAAAAACUAACCAUAAAUAUUCCAUAAUAACUAGAUUUACCAAACUAAUAUACUAAAUAUACAUAAUAAAUACAAAAUUAACAAGACAAUAAUCAAUAUUUAUGAGCUUAAUAUAUUUAGACAUUAUGGUUGGUCGACGAUAAUCAUGCUAACUUUCCGUAAUUGCUUGAUUGUAAAUAUGCUUAGAAUAAUGCCUCUUUGUUCUACAUGGCAAAUAGGGACCAUUAUGGUGUAACACCCUGGGAUCCACAAACACCCUGAAAUGCUACUAAACUACACAACUAACCUUCAUAUAUUAAAUUUCGACAGCAUCUCCUUUGAAAAUUUGUAUAAACGUGGAAGCAACAGAGUAUAAACAGAUAUGAUGAUAAGGAAACAUAAUAGACAUUAAUAAUCUGCUAGAAAUGGGAAGAUAACCAUAACGACAUAAACUGAAUUAACUAGUGUGCACGGCAUGUUAAAAACAAACAUCGUUGACAAGAAGUUUCUAAUUAAAUCAUGGCUGUGCCUAGGCAGCGUUAUUAUAUGAGUGAAGGUGGACGUGAUGCUACUUCCCUCAUUCCCAACAUGAAUCAAGUACCUGUAUUGAGUAAUGCAAGAGUGAGAUGAAAACAUCUCAGCAAGUAAAUUGUUUUGACGAGAUAUUUAAACCAAAAAAAUUUGAUUUAAUCAACAUUUUAAAGGGAUCACAAUUGAGAUCAGACAUACUUGUAGAUAUAAAACUCAAUAGUCCCAAAAUAACCAAUGCCAUCUCAUUUCCACAAACAACCACAAUAGGUUGUAUAACACUUCCCUGCGUCAUCAAUACCUGCAAAUAUCACUUCAAUGUAUGCAUAGGAAUGCAAUGUUUAAGUCCUCUGCAUUCAUACUUCUUAGAGUAUAAAACCACACCAUCUGCAAAUAUCACUUCAAUGAAUGCAUAUGAAUGCAAUGCAUAUGUCCUCUGCCUUCAUACCUCUAAGGGUAUGAAGACGCAUCGUACCCCUCCUCGGGCAACGUACGAUGCUAAGUUGUACCGGUACGGUCGGACCAUAGGUCACGACAAAACUUCAGAUGCAAGUGAAUCAUGACAUGUAUAUGGCAUGCUGCAUUUAUCAAUAUACUACACUUCCUUCACAUACAAUACAAACCUCAAAUAAUACUUCGUUUACCUUCAGAUACAAUACAAACCUCAAAUAAUACUUCAUUCACCUUCAGGGGUGUUUAUUAAUCUCGUGGGUCAUACUCAAAUCAUCAUCAUCAUCAAUGAUGUUUAAGCAUCAGUAUAAUACAAUCAAGUAAAGCAUCACCAUAGAGUUCAAUUAUGAAAGAAUUCGAUGAUUCUGAAUAUUAGAGUGUAUGCGAUGAAACAACAAAGUCAAAACGGUAGCAACCACCGCUACAUUCACUUGCCUUCAUCGAAGAAGAAAAAGGUACUAGGCAUGAUUCGGAGUGUAGACACCUGCUGUGGGGCUUAAAACUUAGUACAAAUAUUCCACAAACAUUUGCCAACAACUAACAAAUCGCUCCUACACUUGUAACCAAGACCCGGUGGAAUGACUCCCACCCUGAACCACAUGUCAAACAGCAGGAGUGCUGUUUGUUAAUUUUGUAUCUUUAAAAUUAUAACAGUGGUGAUAUCAAACAAAUACUCUAGAAGUUUCUACACAAAAUACUCUACAACUUCGGUAUUCAAUGGAUAAUUAAAUUUUGCCAUCUAUAAGUUCUAAAACAUCUGACAAGAUAACUGACAGAAUCUGUUUCAGACAGCAGCAUAGUUAACUUCAAAAUUCGAUAUCUCCCAAACUCCUCAACCAAAAUUUAUGAAAUUAUGUUGACAGUAAGAACUUUUAUCCCUCUACAAAAGUCUCCAUAGUUGGAAGAGCCAAUUCGGCCAUUUACUAGAUGAAACCUACCAUUUAACAGACCCGCUCAUUUUUGUCAGGCAAACAAGAACCCUUAUAUAUCAAAGAGUAGUGGAUUUGAAUUUGUCUAAUAUGAAGUUUAUGGGCUUGGAUCAUUUAAAGUAUUUUAUAAUUCUGAAAGACAAGAUUAAACUAACUAUGUAUGAUCCUUUAGCACCGUACAGAUGGUCGAUGGGACAGUUACAUGGUUUAUAUAGAUGGACAUAUCUAUAUUCCUUCAGUGGUUGAGAAAAAGGUAAAGGUGUGUCACACUCACGCGUGCACUGCCUCCGCCGAGACGAGGCAUGGCGUUGCAAGGUGAGGCAUGGCAUGGUGCAGCACGAUCGUAUACAUGGUCGUGGCACAGUGUAGCACUGUUGUGGAUAGAUAGAUAAACUUUUGUUGUAGUUAGAGUGCAUGAGUUUUUGAAUGCAACACAAGAAUUUUCACAAUUUAACUUAAUUAAGAAGUUAUAUCUUGAUGACACAGAGUUACCUGACCAUUGAUCUCACAUGCCCUUUUAGCUCUCUCGUUCUCUAGACUCACCCUGACUAUUUAGGUCUCCUGACUCGCCAAUAUAAACACCAUCCUAUCAUUUGCUCUCGAAUACUUCUGUGUCACAACUCAACUGUCAGAUGAGUACUCCAUUACAGCACUGAGCAGGCCUCCGAAAUGAAUAUCUACUCAGAUGAAGGACGACAAUCGUGUUCUAGGGAAAUAUCAGCGACACAACUCCUUACUUCCUCCGCUUCUUCCUAGUGUUUUUUGUUGUGAUUGAGUCGACAUAGCAACAACACUGCACUAUUACAACCAGUACGACUAUAUCAACUAGCAAUGUCUUCCUUAUAUGUUACUAUUUAUUUUGCUCAUAUUCAUUAUGUUUAAAUCACAUAGGCGCCUUUAUGUUGGCAUCAAAAAAUCAGUAUCAACUUUAUAGAUUAAAAUGAAACUAAAAGUACCUAAAUUUCUAUCGGUGGGGAUCGAGUGAUUCUUUAAACCGAUUAUUACACAAGUUAACCACACUAAAAUUAACAAUGGUGAAUCGUGCCAUGAUUUUUUUCUAGUGGAAAAUAGCCAAACCAAGCAACACAUAUGUGGCUAUCGUUACACAUGUGUAAAGGUAUUGCAUCACACCAUUGUCACCCAUGUAUUUGGACAAUACCGAGAGGAAAAACCACUUAUUUAUUGUAUUAUAUCAAGUUUGUCUUGCUUACGUAUAAAUUAUAACCCAACAAAGUAAUCACUAAAUGUCAAAACCAACUAGAUACCAUGUCAUCUCUACCUUAUCUUACUAAUAUUCUUUUUGCAAAAUCCAAAAUUAAUCUUGCACAAGCACAAGGACUGAGAUGUGUAUAAAUAUCUCUUAAAUUAGUAGCUAAUAUAUCGCACAUAUUAUUGAGACCAACUAGCAACAUAGAAAGCACAAUAGUGUACCAACAAUGGCAGCCAAAAUAUUUUGCCUCCUUAUGCUCCUUGGUCUUUCUGCAAGUGCUGCUACGGCGACCAUUUUCCCGCAAUGCUCGCAAGCUCCUAUAGCUUCCCUUCUUCCCCCGUACCUCUCACCAGCGGUGUCUUCGGUAUGUGAAAACCCAAUUCUUCAACCCUACAGGAUCCAACAGGCAAUCACAGCUGGCAUCUUACCUUUAUCACCCUUGUUCCUCCAACAAUCAUCAGCCCUAUUACAUCAGUUACCUUUGGUGCAUUUAUUGGCACAAAACAUCAGGGCACAACAACUACAACAACUUGUGCUAGCAAACCUUGCUGCCUACUCUCAGCAACAGCAGUUUCUUCCAUUCAACCAACUAGCUGCAUUGAACUCUGCUUCUUAUUUGCAACAACAACAACUACCAUUCAGCCAGCUACCUGCUGCCUACCCCCAGCAAUUUCUUCCAUUCAACCAACUGGCAGCAUUGAACUCUCCUGCUUAUUUACAGCAGCAACAACUACUACCAUUCAGCCAGCUAGCUGGUGUGAGCCCUGCUACCUUCUUGAUACAACCACAGUUGUUGCCGUUCUACCAGCACGCUGCGCCUAACGCUGGCACCCUCUUACAACUGCAACAAUUGCUGCCAUUCAACCAACUUGCUUUGACAAACCCAGCAGCGUUCUACCAACAACCCAUCAUUGGUGGUGCCCUCUUUUAGAUUUCUUAUGAGUUAUAGUUCAAUAAUAAAGUUUUUUGUCUGAUGUUUGUGGCUUCCCAGAAAUAAGAAAGUACAUUUCUAGAUUCUUAUGUGCUUCUAGUCUCCAAAUGUGGUUGAUAGUUAUUUUGCUCUAAGAUCGACAGUAAUGAAGUAUAAAUCAUCGUUGUGGUGUGCUACUCGGUUAAUUGAGCAUUAACACACACAAACAUGACGAGGAUGGUAUAAUCUCCAAAAAUAUGUACUUUGUUAGGUGGGACCCUAUAGCCUUGCAUAAUGUGCUAUGUUAGGCAUGCCUGGAAACGUGUGACGCAUAUGUUUUGUGAACCUGUUGAUAUUAUAUGUGCUUUUAUAUUACCAUAUUUUAUUAAAAUACUAAUAUUUAUUACUAGUAAGAUAUAACAUUCUAUCUAGCUUAAAAACUAACCAUAAAUAUUCCAUAAUAACUAGAUUUACCAAACUAAUAUACUAAAUAUACAUAAUAAAUACAAAAUUAACAAGACAAUAAUCAAUAUUUAUGAGCUUAAUAUAUUUAGACAUUAUGGUUGGUCGACCAUAAUCAUGCUAACUUUUCGUACUUGCUUGAUUGUAAAUAUGCUUAGAAUAAUGCCUCUUUGUUCUACAUGGCAAAUAGGGACCAUUAUGGUGUAACACCCUGGGAACCACAAACACCCCGAAAUGCUACUAAACUACACAACUAACCUUCAUAUAUAAAAUUUCGACAGCAUCUCCUUUGAAAAUUUGCAUAAACGUGGAAGCAACAGAGUAUAAACAGAUAUCAUGAUAAGGAAACAUACUAGACAUUAAUAAUCUGCUAGAAAUGGGAAGAUAACCAUAACGACAUAAACUGAAUUAACUAGUGUGCACAACUUGUUUAAAACAAACAUCAUUGACAAGAAGUUUCUAAUUAAAUCAUGGCUGUGCCUGGGUAGCGUUAUUAUGAGAGUGAAGGUGGACGUGAUGCUACUUCCCUCAUUCCCAACAUGAAUCAAGUACCUGCAUUGAGUAAUGCAAGAGUGAGAUGAAAACAUCUCAGCAAGUAAAUUGUUUUGACGAGAUAUUUAAAGCAAAAAAAUUUGAUUUACUCAACAUUUUAAAGGGAUCACAAUUGAGAUCAGAAAUACUUGUAGAUAUAGAACUCAAUAGUCCCAAAAUAACCAGUGCCAUCUCAUUUCCUCAAACAACCACAAUAGGUUGUAUAACACUUCCCUGCGUCAUCAAUACCUGCAAAUAUCACUUCAAUGUAUGCAUAGGAAUGCAAUGUUUAAGUCCUCUGCAUUCAUACUUCUUAGAGUAUAAAACCACACCAUCUGCAAAUAUCACUUCAAUGAAUGCAUAUGAAUGCAAUGCAUAUGUCCUCUGCCUUCAUACCUCUAAGGGUAUGAAGCCGAAUCGUACCCCUCCUCGGGCAACGUACGAUGCUAAGUUGUACCGUUACGGUCGGACCAUAGGUCACGACAAAACUUCAUAUGCAAGUGAAUCAUGACAUGUAUAUGGCUUGCUGCAUUUAUCAAUAUACUUCACUUCCUUCAUAUACAAUACAAACCUCAAAUAAUACUUCGUUUACCUUCAGAUACAAUACAAACCUCAAAUAAUACUUCAUUCACCUUCAGGGGUGUUUAUUAAUCUCGUGGGUCAUACUCGAAUCAUCAUCAUCAUCAAUGAUGAUUAAGCAUCAGUAUAAUACAAUCAAGUAAAGCAUCACCAUAGAGUUCAAUUAUGAAAGAAUUCGAUGAUUCUGAAUAUUAGAGUGUAUGCGAUGAAACAACAACGUCAAAACGGUAGCAACCACCGCUACAUUCACUUGCCUUCAUCGAAGAAGAAAAACAUACUAGGCAUGAUUCAGAGUGUAGACACCUGCUGUGGGGCUUAAAACUUAGUACAAAUAUUCCACAAACAUUUGCCAACAAUUAACAAAUCGCUCCUACACUUGAAACCAAGACCCGGUGGAAUGACUCCCACCCUGAACCACAUGCCAAACAAUAGUAGUGUUGUUUGUUAAUUUUGUAUCUUUAAAAUUAUAACAGUGGUGAUAUCAAACAAAUACUCCAGAAGUUUCUACACAAAAUACUCUACAACUUUGGUAUUCAAUGGAUAAUUAAAUUUUGCCAUCUAUAAGUUCUAAAACAUCUGAUAAGAUAACUGACUGAAUUUGUUUCAGACAACAGCAUAGUUAACUUCAAAAUUCGAUAUCUCCCAAACUCCUCAACCAAAAAUUAUGAAAUUAUUCUGACAGUAAGAACUUUUUUCCCUCUACAAAAGUAUCUAUAGUUGGAAGAGCCAAUUCGGCCAUUUACUAGAUGAAACCUACCAGUUAACAGACCCGCUCAUUUUUGUCAGGCAAACAAGAACCCUUAUAUAUCAAAGAGUAGUGGAUUUGAAUUUGUCUAAUAUGAAGUUUAUGGGCUUGGAUCAUUUAAAGUAUUUUAUAAUUCUGAAAGACAAGAUUAAACUAACUAUGUAUGAUCCUUUAGCACUGUACAGAUGGUCGAUGGGACAGUUACAUGGUUUAUAUAGAUGGACCUAUCUAUAUUCCUUCAGUGGUUGAGAAAAAGGUAAAGGUGUGUCACACUCACGUGUGCGCCGCCUCUACCGAGAUGAGGCAUGGCGUUGCAAGGUGAGGCAUGGCAUGGUGCAGCACGAUCGUAUACAUGGUCGUGGCACAGUGUAGCACUGUUGUGGAUAGAUAGAUAAACUUUUGUUGUAGUUAGAGUGCAUGAGUUUUUGAAUGCAACACAAGAAUUUUCACAAUUUAACUUAAUUAAGAAGUUAUAUCUUGAUGACACAGAGUUACCUGACCAUUGAUCUCACAUGCCCUUUUAGCUCUCUCGUUCUCUAGACUCACCCUGACUAUUUAGGUCUCCUGACUCGCCAAUAUAAACACCAUCCUAUCAUUUGCUCUCGAAUACUUCUGUGUCACAACUCAACUGUCAGAUGAGUACUCCAUUACAGCACUGAGCAGGCCUCCGAAAUGAAUAUCUACUCAGAUGAAGGACGACAAUCGUGUUCUAGGGAAAUAUCGGUGACACAACUCCUUACUUCCUCCGCUUCUUCCUAGUGUUUUUUGUUGUGAUUGAGUCGACACAGCAACAACACUGCACUAUUACAACCAGUACGACUAUAUUAACUAGCAAUGUCUUCCUUAUAUGUUACUAUUUAUUUUGCUCAUAUUCAUUAUGUUUAAAUCACAUAGGCACCUUUUUGUUGGCAUCAAAAAAUUAGUAUCAACUUUCUAGAUUAAAGUGAAACUAAAAGUACCUAAAUUUCUAUCGGUGGGGAUCGAGUGAUUCUUUAAACCAAUUAUUACGCAAGUUAACCACACUAAAAUUAACAUUGGUGAACCGUGCCAUGAUUUUUUCUAAUGGAAAAUAGCCAAACCAAGCAACACAUAUGUGGCUAUCGUUACACAUGUGUAAAGGUAUUGCAUCACACCAUUGUCACCCAUGUAUUUGGACAAUACCGAGAGGAAAAACCACUUAUUUAUUGUAUUUUAUCAAGUUUGUCUUGCUUACGUAUAAAUUAUAACCCAACAAAGUAAUCACUAAAUGUCAAAACCAACUAGAUACCAUGUCAUCUCUACCUUAUCUUACUAAUAUUCUUUUUGCAAAAUCCAAAAUUAAUCUUGCACAAGCACAAGGACUGAGAUGUGUAUAAAUAUCUCUUAAAUUAGUAGCUAAUAUAUCACACAUAUUAUUGAGACCAACUAGCAACAUAGAAAGCACAAUAGUGUACCAACAAUGGCAGCUAAAAUAUUUUGCCUCCUUAUGCUCCUUGGUCUUUCUGCAAGUGCUGCUACGGCGACCAUUUUCCCACAAUGCUCACAAGCUCCUAUAGCUUCCCUUCUUCCCCCGUACCUCUCACCAACGGUGUCUUCGGUAUGUGAAAACCCAAUUCUUCAACCCUACAGGAUCCAACAGGCAAUCGCAGCUGGCAUCUUACCUUUAUCACCCUUGUUCCUCCAACAAUCAUCAGCCCUAUUACAGCAGUUACCUUUGGUGCAUUUAUUGGCACAAAACAUCAGGGCACAACAACUACAACAACUUGUGCUAGCAAACCUUGCUGCCUACUCUCAGCAACAGCAGUUUCUUCCAUUCAACCAACUAGCUGCAUUGAACUCUGCUUCUUAUUUGCAACAACAACAACUACCAUUCAGCCAGCUAUCUGCUGCCUACCCCCAGCAAUUUCUUCCAUUCAACCAACUGACAGCAUUGAACUCUCCUGCUUAUUUACAGCAGCAACAACUACUACCAUUCAGCCAGCUAGCUGGUGUGAGCCCUGCUACCUUCUUGACACAACCACAGUUGUUGCCGUUCUACCAGCACGCUGCGCCUAACGCUGGCACCCUCUUACAACUGCAACAAUUGCUGCCAUUCAACCAACUUGCUUUGACAAACCCAGCAGCAUUCUACCAACAACCCAUCAUUGGUGGUGCCCUCUUUUAGAUUUCUUAUGAGUUAUAGUUCAAUAAUAAAGUUUUUUGUCUGAUGUUUGUGGCUUCCCAGAAAUAAGAAAGUACAUUUCUAGAUUCUUAUGUGCUUCUAGUCUCCAAAUGUGGUUGAUAGUUAUUUUGCUCUAAGAUCAACAGUAAUGAAGUAUAAAUCAUCGUUGUGGUGUGCUACUCGGUUAAUUGAGCAUUAACACACACAAACAUGACGAGGAUGGUAUAAUCUCCAAAAAUGUGUACUUUGUUAGGUGGGACCCUAUAGCCUUGAUUAAUGUGCUAUGUUAGGCAUGCCUGGAAACGUGUGACGCAUAUGUUUUGUGAACCUGUUGAUAUUAUAUGUGCUUUUAUAUUACCAUAUUUUAUUAAAAUACUAAUAUUUAUUACUAGUAAGAUAUAACAUUCUAUCUAGCUUAAAAACUAACCAUAAAUAUUCCAUAAUAACUAGAUUUACCAAACUAAUAUACUAAAUAUACAUAAUAAAUACAAAAUUAACAAGACAAUAAUCAAUAUUUAUGAGCUUAAUAUAUUUAGACAUUAUGGUUGGUCGACGAUAAUCAUGCUAACUUUUCGUAAUUGCUUGAUUGUAAAUAUGCUUAGAAUAAUGCCUCUUUGUUCUACAUGGCAAAUAGGGACCAUUAUGGUGUAACACCCUGGGAACCACAAACACCCCGAAAUGCUACUAAACUACACAACUAACCUUCAUAUAUAAAAUUUCGACAGCAUCUCCUUUGAAAAUUUGCAUAGACGUGGAAGCAACAGAGUAUAAACAGAUAUCAUGAUAAGAAAACAUACUAGACAUUAAUAAUCUGCUAGAAAUGGGAAGAUAACCAUAACGACAUAAACUGAAUUAACUAGUGUGCACAACUUGUUAAAAACAAACAUCGUUGACAAGAAGUUUCUAAUUAAAUCAUGGUUGUGCCUGGGCAGCGUUAUUAUGAGAGUGAAGGUGGACGUGAUGCUACUUCCCUCAUUCCCAACAUGAAUCAAGUACCUGCAUUGAGCAAUGCAAGAGUGAGAUGAAAACAUCUCAGCAAGUAAAUUGUUUUGACGAGAUAUUUAAACCAAAAAAAUUUGAUUUACUCAACAUUUUAAAGGGAUCACAAUUGAGAUCAGAAAUACUUGUAGAUAUAGAACUCAAUAGUCCCAAAAUAACCAGUGCCAUCUCAUUUCCUCAAACAACCACAAUAGGUUGUAUAACACUUCCCUGCGUCAUCAAUACCUGCAAAUAUCACUUCAAUGUAUGCAUAGGAAUGCAAUGUUUAAGUCCUCUGCAUUCAUACUUCUUAGAGUAUAAAACCACACCAUCUGCAAAUAUCACUUCAAUGAAUGCAUAUGAAUGCAAUGCAUAUGUCCUCUGCCUUCAUACCUCUAAGGGUAUGAAGCCGAAUCGUACCCCUCCUCGGGCAACGUACGAUGCUAAGUUGUACCGGUACGGUCGGACCAUAGGUCACGACAAAACUUCAUAUGCAAGUGAAUCAUGACAUGUAUAUGGCUUGCUGCAUUUAUCAAUAUACUUCACUUCCUUCAUAUACAAUACAAACCUCAAAUAAUACUUCGUUUACCUUCAGAUACAAUACAAACCUCAAAUAAUACUUCAUUCACCUUCAGGGGUGUUUAUUAAUCUCGUGGGUCAUACUCGAAUCAUCAUCAUCAUCAAUGAUGAUUAAGCAUCAGUAUAAUACAAUCAAGUAAAGCAUCACCAUAGAGUUCAAUUAUGAAAGAAUUCGAUGAUUCUGAAUAUUAGAGUGUAUGCGAUGAAACAACAACGUCAAAACGGUAGCAACCACCGCUACAUUCAUUUGCCUUCAUCGAAGAAGAAAAAUGUACUAGGCAUGAUUCAGAGUGUAGACACCUGCUGUGGGGCUUAAAACUUAGUACAAAUAUUCCACAAACAUUUGCCAACAAUUAACAAAUCGCUCCUACACUUGAAACCAAGACCCGGUGGAAUGACUCCCACCCUGAACCACAUGCCAAACAAUAGUAGUGCUGUUUGUUAAUUUUGUAUCUUUAAAAUUAUAACAGUGGUGAUAUCAAACAAAUACUCUAGAAGUUUCUACACAAAAUACUCUACAACUUCGGUAUUCAAUGGAUAAUUAAAUUUUGCCAUCUAUAAGUUCUAAAACAUCUGAUAAGAUAACUGACUGAAUUUGUUUCAGACAGCAGCAUAGUUAACUUCAAAAUUCGAUAUCUCCCAAACUCCUCAACCAAAAAUUAUGAAAUUAUGCUGACAGUAAGAACUUUUUGUCCCUCUACAAAAGUAUCUAUAGUUGGAAGAGCCAAUUCGGCCAUUUACUAGAUGAAACCUACCAGUUAACAGACCCGCUCAUUUUUGUCAGGCAAACAAGAACCCUUAUAUAUCAAAGAGUAGUGGAUUUGAAUUUGUCUAAUAUGAAGUUUAUGGGCUUGGAUCAUUUAAAGUAUUUUAUAAUUCUGAAAGACAAGAUUAAACUAACUAUGUAUGAUCCUUUAGCACCGUACAGAUGGUCGAUGGGACAGUUACAUGGUUUAUAUAGAUGGACCUAUCUAUAUUCCUUCAGUGGUUGAGAAAAAGGUAAAGGUGUGUCACACUCACGUGUGCGCCGCCUCUGCCGAGAUGAGGCAUGGCGUUGCAAGGUGAGGCAUGGCAUGGUGCAGCACGAUCGCAGUCAUGGUCGUGGCACAGUGUAGCACUGUUGUGGAUAGAUAGAUAAACUAUUGUUGUAGUUAGAGUGCAUGAGUUUUUGAAUGCAACACUAGGAUUUUCACAAUUUAACUUAAUUAAGAAGUUAUAUCUUGAUGACACAGAGUUACCUGACCAUUGAUCUCACAUGCCCUUUUAGCUCUCUUGUUCUCUAGACUCACCCUGACUAUUGAGGUCUCUUGACUCGCCAAUAUAAACACCAUCCUAUCAUUUGCUCUCGAAUACUUUUGUGUCACAACUCAACUGUCAGAUGAGUACUCCAUUACAGCACUGAGCAGGCCUCCGAAAUGAAUAUCUACUCAGAUGAAGGACGACAAUCGUGUUCUAGGGAAAUAUCAGUGACACAACUCCUUACUUCCUCUGCUUCUUCCUAGUGUUUUUUGUUGUGAUUGAGUCGACACAGCAACAACACUGCACUAUUACAACCAGUACGACUAUAUUAACUAGCAAUGUCUUCCUUAUAUGUUACUAUUUAUUUUGCUCAUAUUCAUUAUGUUUAAAUCACAUAGGCACCUUUUUGUUGGCAUCAAAAAAUUAGUAUCAACUUUCUAGAUUAAAGUGAAACUAAAAGUACCUAAAUUUCUAUCGGUGGGGAUCGAGUGAUUCUUUAAACCGAUUAUUACACAAGUGAACCACACUAAAAUUAACAUUGGUGAAUCGUGCCAUGAUUUUUUCUAGUGGAAAAUAGCCAAACCAAGCAACACAUAUGUGGCUAUCGUUACACAUGUGUAAAGGUAUUGCAUCACACCAUUGUCACCCAUGUAUUUGGACAAUACCGAGAGGAAAAACCACUUAUUUAUUGUAUUUUAUCAAGUUUGUCUUGCUUACGUAUAAAUUAUAACCCAACAAAGUAAUCACUAAAUGUCAAAACCAACUAGAUACCAUGUCAUCUCUACCUUAUCUUACUAAUAUUCUUUUUGCAAAAUCCAAAAUUAAUCUUGCACAAGCACAAGGACUGAGAUGUGUAUAAAUAUCUCUUAAAUUAGUAGCUAAUAUAUCACACAUAUUAUUGAGACCAACUAGCAACAUAGAAAGCACAAUAGUGUACCAACAAUGGCAGCCAAAAUAUUUUGCCUCCUUAUGCUCCUUGGUCUUUCUGCAAGUGCUGCUACGGCGACCAUUUUCCCACAAUGCUCACAAGCUCCUAUAGCUUCCCUUCUUCCCCCGUACCUCUCACCAGCGGUGUCUUCGGUAUGUGAAAACCCAAUUCUUCAACCCUAUAGGAUCCAACAGGCAAUCGCAGCUGGCAUCUUACCUUUAUCACCCUUGUUCCUCCAACAAUCAUCAGCCCUAUUACAGCAGUUACCUUUGGUGCAUUUAUUGGCACAAAACAUCAGGGCACAACAACUACAACAACUUGUGCUAGCAAACCUUGCUGCCUACUCUCAGCAACAACAGUUUCUUCCAUUCAACCAACUAGCUGCAUUGAACUCUGCUUCUUAUUUGCAACAACAACAACUACCAUUCAGCCAGCUAUCUGCUGCCUACCCCCAGCAAUUUCUUCCAUUCAACCAACUGACAGCUUUGAACUCUCCUGCUUAUUUACAGCAGCAACAACUACUACCAUUCAGCCAGCUAGCUGGUGUGAGCCCUGCUACCUUCUUGACACAACCACAAUUGUUGCCGUUCUACCAGCACGCUGCGCCUAACGCUGGCACCCUCUUACAACUGCAACAAUUGCUGCCAUUCAACCAACUUGCUUUGACAAACCCAACAGCAUUCUACCAACAACCCAUCAUUGGUGGUGCCCUCUUUUAGAUUUCUUAUGAGUUAUAGUUCAAUAAUAAAGUUUUUUGUCUGAUGUUUGUGGCUUCCCAGAAAUAAGAAAGUACAUUUCUAGAUUCUUAUGUGCUUCUAGUCUCCAAAUGUGGUUGAUAGUUAUUUUGCUCUAAGAUUAGCAGUAAUGAAGUAUAAAUCAUCGUUGUGGUGUGCUACUCGGUUAAUUGAGCAUUAACACACACAAACAUGACGAGGAUGGUAUAAUCUCCAAAAAUGUGUACUUUGUUAGGUGGGACCCUAUAGCCUUGCAGAAUGUGCUACGUUAGGCAUGCCAAUGGAAACGUGUGACACAUACGUUUUGUGAAUCUGUUGAUAUUAUAUGUGCUUUUAUAUUACCAUAUUUUAUUAAAAUACUAAUAUUUAUUACUAGUAAGAUAUAACAUUCUAUCUAGCUUAAAAACUAACCAUAAAUAUUCCAUAAUAACUAGAUUUACCAAACUAAUAUACUAAAUAUACAUAAUAAAUAUAAAAUUAACAAGACAAUAAUUAAUAUUUAUGAGCUUAAUUUAUUUAGACAUUAUGGUUGGUCGACGAUAAUCAUGCUAACUUUCCGUAAUUGCUUGAUUGUAAAUAUGCUUAGAAUAAUGCCUCUUUGUUCUACAUGGCAAAUAGGGACCAUUAUGGUGUAACACCCCGGGAUCCACAAACACCCCGAAAUGCUACUAAACUACACAACUAACCUUCAUAUAUAAAAUUUCGACAGCAUCUCCUUUGAAAAUUUGCAUAAACGUGGAAGCAACAGAGUAUAAACAGAUAUCAUGAUAAGGAAACAUACUAGACAUUAAUAAUCUGCUAGAAAUGGGAAGAUAACCAUAACGACAUAAACUGAAUUAACUAGUGUGCACAACUUGUUAAAAACAAACAUCGUUGACAAGAAGUUUCUAAUUAAAUCAUGGUUGUGCCUGGGCAGCGUUAUUAUGAGAGUGAAGGUGGACGUGAUGCUACUUCCCUCAUUCCCAACAUGAAUCAAGUACCUGCAUUGAGUAAUGCAAGAGUGAGAUGAAAACAUCUCAGCAAGUAAAUUGUUUUGACGAGAUAUUUAAACCAAAAAAAUUGAUUUAAUCAACAUUUUAAAGGGAUCACAAUUGAGAUCAGAAAUACUUGUAGAUAUAGAACUCAAUAGUCCCAAAAUAACCAAUGCCAUCUCAUUUCCUCAAACAACCACAAUAGGUUGUAUAACACUUCCCUGCGUCAUCAAUACCUGCAAAUAUCACUUCAAUGUAUGCAUAGGAAUGCAAUGUUUAAGUCCUCUGCAUUCAUACUUCUUAGAGUAUAAAACCACACCAUCUGCAAAUAUCACUUCAAUGAAUGCAUAUGAAUGCAAUGCAUAUGUCCUCUGCCUUCAUACCUCUAAGGGUAUGAAGCCGCAUCGUACCCCUCCUCGGGCAACGUACGAUGCUAAGUUGUACCGGUACGGUCGGACCAUAGGUCACGACAAAACUUCAGAUGCAAGUGAAUCAUGACAUGUAUAUGGCAUGCUGCAUUUAUCAAUAUACUUCACUUCCUUCAUAUACAAUACAAACCUAAAAUAAUACUUCGUUUACCUUCAGAUACAAUACAAACCUCAAAUAAUACUUCAUUCACCUUCAGGGGUGUUUAUUAAUCUCGUGGGUCAUACUCAAAUCAUCAUCAUCAUCAAUGAUGUUUAAGCAUCAGUAUAAUACAAUCAAGUAAAGCAUCACCAUAGAGUUCAAUUAUGAAAGAAUUCGAUGAUUCUGAAUAUUAGAGUGUAUGCGAUGAAACAACAAAGUCAAAACGGUAGCAACCACCUCUACAUUCACUUGCCUUCAUCGAAGAAGAAAAAGGUACUAGGCAUGAUUCGGAGUGUAGACACCUGCUGUGGGGCUUAAAACUUAGUACAAAUAUUCCAUAAACAUUUGCCAACAAUUAACAAAUCGCUCCUACACUUGAAACCAAGACCCGGUGGAAUGACUCCCACCCUGAACCACAUGCCAAACAACAAUAGUGUUGUUUGUUAAUUUCUAUCUUUAAAAUUAUAACAGUGGUGAUAUCAAACAAAUACUCUAUACGUUUCUACACAAAAUACUCUACAACUUCGGUAUUCAAUGGAUAAUUAAAUUUUGCCAUCUAUAAGUUCUAAAACAUCUGACAAGAUAACUGACUGAAUCUGUUUCAGACAACAGCAUAGUUAACUUCAAAAUUCGAUAUCUCCCUAACUCCUCAACAAAAAAUUAUGAAAUUAUGCUGACAGUAAGAACUUUUAUCCCUCUACAAAAGUCUCCAUAGUUGAAAGAGCCAAUUCGGCCAUUUACUAGAUGAAACCUACCAGUUAACGGACCCGCUCAUUUUUGUCAAGCAAACAAGAACCCUUAUAUAUCAAAGAGUAGUGGAUUUGAAUUUGUCUAAUAUGAAGUUUACGGGCUUGGCUCAUUUAAAGUAUUUAAUAAUUCUGAAAGACAAGAUUAAACUAACUAUGUAUGAUCCUUUAGCACCGUACAGAUGGUCGAUGGGACAGUUACAUGGUUUAUAUAGAUGGACCUAUCUAUAUUCCUUCAGUGGUUGAGAAAAAAGUAAAGGUGUGUCACACUCACGUGUGCGCCGCCUCCGCCGAGACGAGGCAUGGCGUUGCAAGGUGAGGCAUGGCAUGGUGUAGCACGAUAGCAGUCAUGGUCGUGGCACAGUGUAGCACUGUUGUGGAUAGAUAGGUAAACUAUUGUUGUAGUUAGAGUGCAUGAGUUUUUGAAUGCAACACUAGAAUUUUCACAAUUUAACUUAAUUAAGAAGUUAUAUCUUGAUGACACAGAGUUACCUGACCAUUGAUCUCACAUGCCCUUUUAGCUCUCUCGUUCUCUAGACUCACCCUGACUAUUUAAGUCUCUUGACUCGCCAAUAUAAACACCAUCCUAUCAUUUGCUCUAGAAUACUUCUGUGUCACAACUCAACUGUCAGAUGAGUACUCCAUUACAGCACUUACGUACACGAGUUCUAUGAGAGCAGGCCUCCAAAAUGAAUAUCUACUUAGAUGAAGGACGACAAUCGUGUUCUAGGGAAAUAUCAGCGACACAACUCCUUACUUCCUUCGCUUCUUCCUAGUGUUUUUUGUUGUGAUUGAGUCGACACAGCAACAACACUGCACUAUUACAACCAGUACGACUAUAUCAACUAGCAAUGUCUUCCUUAUAUGUUACUAUUUAUUUUGCACAUAUUCAUUAUGUUUAAAUCACAUAGGCACCUUUCUAUUGGCAUCAAAAAAUUAGUAUCAACUUUCUAGAUUAAAAUGAAACUAAAAGUACAUAAAUUUCUAUCGGUGGGGAUCGAGUGAUUCUUUAAACCGAUUAUUACACAAGUUAACCACACUAAAAUUAACAUUGGUGAAUCGUGCCAUGAUUUUUUUUCUAGUGGAAAAUAGCCAAACCAAGCAACACAUAUGUGGCUAUCGUUACACAUGUGUAAAGGUAUUGCAUCACACUAUUGUCACCCAUGUAUUUGGACAAUACCGAGAGGAAAAACCACUUAUUUAUUGUAUUUUAUCAAGUUUGUCUUGCUUACGUAUAAAAUUAUAACCCAACAAAGUAAUCACUAAACGUCAAAACCAACUAGAUAUCAUGUCAUCUCUACCUUAUCUUACUAAUAUUCUUUUUGCAAAAUCCAAAAUUAAUCUUGCACAAGCACAAGGACUGAGAUGUGUAUAAAUAUCUCUUAAAUUAGUAGCUAAUAUAUCGCACAUAUUAUUUAGACCAACUAGCAACAUAGAAAGCACAAUAGUGUACCAACAAUGGCAGCCAAAAUAUUUUGCCUCCUUAUGCUCCUUGGUAUUUCUGCAAGUGCUGCUACGGCGACCAUUUUCCCGCAAUGCUCACAAGCUCCUAUAGCUUCCCUUCUUCCCCCGUACCUCUCACCAGCGGUGUCUUCGGUAUGUGAAAACCCAAUUCUUCAACCCUACAGGAUCCAACAGGCAAUCGCAGCUGGCAUCUUACCUUUAUCACCCUUGUUCCUCCAACAAUCAUCAGCCCUAUUACAGCAGUUACCUUUGGUGCAUUUAUUGGCACAAAACAUCAGGGCACAACAACUACAACAACUUGUGCUAGCAAACCUUGCUGCCUACUCUCAGCAACAGCAGUUUCUUCCAUUCAACCAACUAGCUGCAUUGAACUCUGCUUCUUAUUUGCAACAACAACAACUACCAUUCAGCCAGCUACCUGUUGCCUACCCCCAGCAAUUUCUUCCAUUCAACCAACUGGCAGCAUUGAACUCUCCUGCUUAUUUACAGCAGCAACAACUACUACCAUUCAGCCAGCUAGCUGGUGUGAGCCCUGCUACCUUCUUGACACAACCACAGUUGUUGCCGUUCUACCAGCACGCUGCGCCUAACGCUGGCACCCUCUUACAACUGCAACAAUUGCUGCCAUUCAACCAACUUGCUUUGACAAACCUAGCAGUGUUCUACCAACAACCCAUCAUUGGUGGUGCCCUCUUUUAGAUUUCUUAUGAGUUAUAGUUCAAUAAUAAAGUUUUUUGUCUGAUGUUUGUGGCUUCCCAGAAAUAAGAAAGUACAUUUCUAGAUUCUUAUGUGCUUCUAGUCUCCAAAUGUGGUUGAUAGUUAUUUUGCUCUAAGAUCAGCAGUACAACAACAACAACAACAACAACAACAACAACAACAAAGCCUUUUUGUCCCAAGCACGUUGGGGUAGGCUAGAGAUGAAACCCCGUAUGAAAACCUCAGAGCUCAACCCCCAAAGAACAGAAAAGGGAAACAAAGGCAAAGGAGAACCGAAAACAACGAAACGGGGAAACACAUAAAAGAGAUAAAACCCACAAGGACCAGCAAGAUCUAAAAUGGACACAAGAAAAGGUCAAACGAUUAAGGAGGAAAAGCGAAACUAUCAAUCAGGGUUCUGGCACGUGAAUUGCACACUUCCACCCCUUCCUAUCUGCGGCGAGCUCUUUGUCAAUAUUCCACUCCUUCAGGUCUCUCUUCACAGCCUCUGUCCACGUCAAAGUUGGUCGACCUCUACCUCUCUUCACAUUUUCGGGACGCCUAAUUAUUCCGAUAUGCACUGGUGCCUCUUCAGGUCUUCGUUGGAUAUGUCCAAACCAUCUCAAGCGAUGUUGCAUAAGCUUCUCCUCAAUUGGCGCCACUCCUACUCUCUCUCGUAUAUCAUCAUUCCGGACUCGAUCUCUCCUUGUGUGGCCACAUAUCCAGCGCAACAUACGCAUCUCUGCCACACUUAGUUGUUGGACAUGUCGUCUUUUAGUGGGCCAACAUUCUGCUCCAUACAACAUAGCCGGCCGGAUUGCUGUCCUGUAGAAUUUGCCUUUUAGUUUGCGUGGCACCCGGUGGUCGCAUAAGACACCCGCAGCUUGUCGCCACUUCAACCAUCCGGCUUUAAUUCUAUGACUGACAUCCUCAUCGAUGUCUCCCUCCUUUUGAAGCAUUGAUCCUAAGUAACGAAAAGUGUCUUUCUUGGGUACCACUUGCCCAUCAAGACUAACAUCGCCAUCCUCAUACCCCAUGGCACUGAAAUCACACUUCAUAUACUCUGUUUUAGACCUACUAAGCCUAAAACCUUUUGCUUCCAGCGUCUGCCUCCACAAUUCCAACUUUUGAGAAACACCACUCCUACUCUCCUCAAUAAGUACCACAUCAUCGGCAAAAAGCAUACACCACGGUAAAACUCCUUGUAUGUCCCUUGUGACCUCAUCUAUCACCAAAGCGAAAAGAUAAGGGCUCAAAGCCGACCCUUGAUGUAGUCCUAUGUUAAUUGGAAAGUCAUCGGUGUCUCCAUCACUUGUUCGGACACUUGUCACAACAUUAGUGUACAUAUCUUUAAUAAGAUUAAUGUACUUUGUUGCUACUUUGUGUUUUUCCAAGGCCCACCACAUUACACUCCUAGGUACUUUGUCAUAAGCCUUCUCCAAGUCUAUGAAGACCAUAUGCAGGUCUUUCUUUUGUUCUCUGAAUCUCUCCAUAAGUUGUCUUAGUAAGAAAAUGGCCUCCAUAGUUGAUCUCCCGGGCAUGAAACCAAACUGAUUUUGGGUCACGCUCGUCAUCUUUCGCAGGCGGUGUUCAAUGACUCUCUCCCAUAGCUUCAUUGUAUGGCUCAUGAGCUUAAUUCCACGGUAAUUAGUACAACUUUGAACAUCUCCUUUGUUCUUGAAGAUUGGUACUAAUGUACUCCGCCGCCACUCGUCGGGCAUUCUGUUUGCCCGAAAGAUGGUGUUGAAAAGCUUAGUCAGCCAUACUAUCGCUAUGUCUCCAAGACAUCUCCAUACCUCGAUAGGGAUACCAUCAGGGCCCAUCGCCUUUCCUACCUUCAUCCUUUUUAGCGCCUCCUUAACUUCAUAUUCUUGUAUCCUUCGUACAAAACCCCUGUUGUUGUCAUCGAAUGGUUCGUCCAAUUCUAUUGUAGCACUCUCAUUCCCUCCAUUGAACAAUUUGUUGAAGUACUCCUUCCAUCUGUUCUUGAUCUCUUCACUCUUCACUAAUAGUUGGUUUGCUUCGUCCUUGAUGCAUUUGACUUGGUUGACAUCCCUUGUCUUCCUUUCACGAAUCUUGGCCAUCCUAUAGAUAUCCUUUUCUCCCUGCUUUGUGUCCAGCCGUUGAUAAAGGUCGUCAUAGGCUUGACCCCGGGCUCUACUAACCGCUCGCUUUGCAGACUUCUUCGCUAUCCUGUACUUCUCUAUGUUUUCUGCACACUUGUCAUGAUGUAAGCGUUUGUAGCAAUCUUUCUUCUCCUUGAUAGCCUUUUGGACAUCUUCGUUCCACCACCAAGUGUCUUUAACUUCCCUUCUGUUCCCUUGACUCAACCCAAACUCUUCUGAAGCUAUCUUUCGGAUGCAUGUCGCCAUCUUCCUCCACAUGAUAUUUGCGUCUUCCUCUCCUGCCCAAGGGCCCUCCUCGAUAACUCUCUUCUUGAAAGUUUGGGCCACAUCCCCUUUAAGCUUCCACCACUUUGUUCUAGUGACCUUGUUAUGCUUAUUUCGUUGUAAACGAAUCUUAAAACGGAAGUCAGCAACGACAAGCUUAUGUUGGGUUACCACACACUCUCCAGGUAUAACCUUGCAAUCUAAGCAGGCAUGCCUGUCCUCUUUUCUCAAGAGGACGAAAUCAAUCUGGCUAGUGUGUUGGCCACUACUGAAGGUCACCAGGUGGGAUUGCCUCUUCUUAAAGAAAGUGUUUGCUAUAAACAUGUCAUAGGCUAGGGCAAAGUUCAGGAUUUCCUCUCCUUCUUGAUUCCUAGUCCCAAAGCCGAAGCCUCCAUGUACACCCUCGAAACUGGUGCUAGAUGUACCCACAUGGCCAUUGAGAUCUCCUCCUAUGAAGAGCUUCUCGCCAACUGGCACACUACUAACCAUGUCCUCUAGGCCUUCCCAGAACUCUCUCUUUGAGUUCUCAUUAAGGCCUACUUGAGGAGCAUACGCGCUGAUAACAUUGAGAACCAAGUCUCCAAUGACCAGCUUGACUAGGAUGAUUCUAUCUCCUACCCUCUUAACAUCUACUACCCCAUCUUUGAGGCUCUUGUCGAUCAAGACGCCUACUCCAUUCUUGUUUGUUGCAGUCCCCGUGUACCACAACUUGAAACCUGUACCUUUCACUUCCUUCGCCUUCUGUCCCUUCCACUUGGUCUCUUGAACGCAUAAAAUAUUUACCCGUCUCCUCACCGCAACGUCAACUAUUUCUCGUAACUUACCUGUUAAGGAACCUACGUUCCAACUGCCUACACGGACCCUAGUUGGCUCGACUAGCUUCCUUACCCUUCGCACCCGCCGAGGAAGAUGCAAAGACCCUUGCUCAUUUUUCACUACACCCGGGCGCCGAUGUAGCGCGCCACUAAGGAUGCGACGACCCGAUCCUUGCUCACUUAUCACCGGCUCCAGAUCAAGAGACAGCGCGUCACUUGAGGGGUGACGACCCGGCCCUUGCUCAUUUAACACCAUACCCGGGUUCCGAUAUGGCGCGUCGCUAAGAGGGUUACGCCCCAACGGUUUUCUUUGUGGUUUCAUCUCCAUAAGAUUUGGCUGGUUUUUUACGUUGGUUUGCCGGACCUAACACAACCCUCCUCCUUUACCGGGCUUGGGACCGGCUAUGUUGAAACGACUCAAGGAAGUCUUCCAAUCAACAUAGGCGGAGUUUAAGAUCAGCAGUAAUGAAGUAUAAAUCAUCGUUGUGGUGUGCUACUCGGUUAAUUGAGCAUUAACACACACAAACAUGACGAGGAUGGUAUAAUCUCCCAAAAUGUGUACUUUGUUAGGUGGGACCCUAUAGCCUUGCAGAAUGUGCUACGUUAGGCAUGCCGAUGGAAACGUGUGACGCAUACGUUUUGUGAACCUGUUGAUAUUAUAUGUGCUUUUAUAUUACCAUAUUUUAUUAAAACACUAAUAUUUAUUACUAGUAAGAUAUAACAUUCUAUCUAGCUUAAAAACUAACCAUAAAUAUUCCAUAAUAACUAGAUUUACCAAACUAAUAUACUAAAUAUACAUAAUAAAUACAAAAUUAACAAGACAAUAAUCAAUAUUUAUGAGCUUAAUAUAUUUAGACAUUAUGGUUGGUCGACGAUAAUCAUGCUAACUUUCCGUAAUUGCUUGAUUGUAAAUAUGCUUAGACUAAUGCCUCUUUGUUCUACAUGGCAAAUAGGGACCACUCUAGGAGACUAGGAUGUUGCUUGAGAUGAAAAUGUCAGAAUUGGUGUAGACUAAUUUCUAUCGGCCGCUGACUUCACUAUUGUAACCAUUAUAUCUUGGGUAAAUUAUAUACGAUUAUCCAGCCAAAGGGCCCAGAUGAUAAAAAACAAUUUUUAAUUGCUAUUUUAGGACAAAUGAAUUAGCAUGGUUCGAAGGAUUACGACCUUCCCCCCAUGACCUUUGUCAUACUGCUUUAGUCUAAUCGACAAAACCAAGAUUAGUUAUCAUCGAAGAAGUUCAUAAGCGAAGUUGUGACGAUGAAAGGAACAUGGUGGUAAUUGGACGAACGACGACACCUUUGUCUAAGAAUGGCAUCUAGAAGAAAUCUCAGACAAAAUAAGACAUGAAUGGCUUGUCAGUACAGCGCAAAUACUGAAACAUGCGCCCUUGAAUAUGAAACAUUUAUAUGUAAGAGGAAGGGAUAAAAAAACUAAUUACUCGUGCCUAAUGAUUUUAUUGGGAAUUUUAAGGCGAGACUUAUGGCAAAGGGUUAUACCAAAAAUAGGGGAGAGAUUAUUUCGAUACUUAUUCACUUGUUUCCCUUCAAAUGGCCAUACAUGUGUUACUUUUUUUGGCUGCCUCGCAUGGUCUUAUCGUUCAUCAGAUGAAUGUUAAGACUGCUUUCCCAAAUGGAGAGCUUAAGGAACAGAUCUACAUUGACUAGCCUAGUGGUUUUAUAUCAAAUGGUAAAGAGGAAAAGGUGUUUAAAAUAAUUGUUUGGUUUAAAACAAGCACCAAAGCACAUGAGAAAAUCGAUAAAGUUCUGACUUUGGCUAAAUUUGUUGUAAAUGAAGUUGAUAAAUGUGUCCAUUACCAGUUUGACAGGGGCGAAGGUAUGACCUUUUUAUAUGUGGACAAAAUAUUAACCUUUUGUAACGAUGUUAAUAUGAUAGAAGAAGUAAAGUAAUUUUUGUCUAGUAACUUAGAAAUAAACAAUCUGGGAGAGGCUAAUGUUGUUCUUAACAAAGAGAUGUUGAGAGAAGGAGGAAAUAGAGGGUUACUCUUGUGCAAUCCUAUUAGGUUGAAAAGUCGCUGAGUCGCUUUGGAUAUAGUGAUUACACGUCUGGUCCAACAACUUAUGACCCAAGUGUGUUAUUAAGGAAAAAUCAUAUAAUUGCAUAUGAUCAAUUGAGAUAUUGUCAAAUCAUGGUCUUCUCAUAUAUUUGGCAAGCCCAACGAUGUCUCAUAUCUGAUUUGUUAUGAGCAAACUCAGUUGCCUUGUCUCCAAUCUAGGGGAGGAUCAUGACAUGCCCUAGAGAGGGUAUUGCGCUUUCUCAAAGGGAUAUGAGUAAUGUCAUUUACUAUACUAGGCACCUAAGAGUACCAGAGUGUUAUAGUCAUGCAAAUAGGAUAUCUGAUGUUGAUUAGAUUUAUGCCACAAGUAGACUUGUGUGCUUCCUUGGAGGUGUGAUUGUUUCAUGGAAGUCUUGUAAGUAGACCAUCUUAACAAGGUCAACAAUAGAAGUAGAACUCACAACAUUAUAUACUACCAAAGUUGAAGUUGAUUGGCUCCGUGAACUCCUUACGGAUUUACCAGUAGUUGAAAAACCAAUACUGGUUAUCUCUAUGAGCUACAAUAAUCAAACAUUUGUAAUCGAAGUAAACAGUUCUAAAGUUAACAUGAUGUCUACAAAGCAUGUAAAAAUGGUUGAAACUGUUAAAACACUAAGAAACUCUAGAUUAAUUAUGUUGGACUAUAUCCAUACAUCGAAUUUGGUAUGCCAGUUUACAGAAGAUUUGUCACAUAAUAUGAUUCAAGGUGCAUCGAGGAAUAUGGGCUUGAGACCCACUUAAUGUCAAUCCAUAGUGGUAGCAGUUUCUAUGUGAUUGGAGAUCCCAUAAAGUAGAAUGGUGAAACAAGCUAGAGAAUGACUGAUGGAGAGACUCCUUAAAUAAAAUCUUGAUAAUUUGAGAUGCACAUUUCUCAUUUGAUGUAUUGUAGGCGAACUAAAAUCUUAAUAUGAUUUGAGUGACUUAUCUAAGCAGGGAUGUUAUCUUACAGAACAUCCUAGAAAGAACACACCUAUAUGAGUUUGCAUGUUAGUCAUAGUCUAUCAUGUGUGGUAAUCUUUAUAUACUCAUGAAAGGCUUGAAGUUUGACUUAUAUGCUUCAAACCAAGGGGGUGCUUGUAACAGUCUAGUACAAGAUAAGAACAUUGGUAAAACUCACUUAACGCAAAAUUGUCAAUUUAAGGCAUAGUUCAUUGUUUAGAUGUGAAUGUGUAAUCCCUGUUCUAGAUGGAUGGUCAACUUAACAGCCUCCACCAAAACCCUGAUAUCUCAAAGAGUAGUGGAUUUGAGUUUGUCUAAUAUGUGGUUUAGAUUUUGGUGGGGAAUUUUAAUAUUUUAUGGGCUUGGCCCAUUUAAGGUAUUUAAUACUUUCAAAAGACAAGAUUAAACAUGUGUGAAUAGUGUCAUGAUUUUUUUCUAGUGCAAAAUAGCCCAACAAAUCAACACAUAUGUGGCUAUCAUUACACAUGUGUAAAGGUAAUGCAUCACACCAUUGUCACCCAUGUAUUUAGAAAAUACCAAGAAGAAAAACAACUUGUUUAUUGUAUUUUAUGGAGAUUAUCUUGCUUACAUAUAAUUAUAACCCAACAAAGUGGUCACUAAAUGUCAAAACCAACUAGGUACCAGGUCAUCUCUAGCUUAUCUUGCUAAUGAUAUUUUUGCAAAAUCCAAAAUUAAUCUUGCACAAGCACAAGGACUGAGAUGUGUAUAAAAAUCUCUUAGAUUAGUAGGUAAUCCAUCACACAAAGCGCAAUAGUGUAGCAAAACUGGCAGUCAAAAUAUUUUGCCUCCUUAUGCUCCUUGCUCUUUCUGCAAGUGCUGCUAACGCGACCAAUUUUCUGCAAUGCUCACAAGAUCCAAUUGCUUCCCUUCUUCCCUCAUACCUCUCACCAGCGACAUCUUCAGUAUGUGAAAACCCAAUUCUUCAACCCUAUAGGAUCCAACAGGCAAUCACAGCAAGCAUCUUACCUUUAUCACCCUUGUUCCUCCAACAACCGCCAGCCCUGUUACAACAAUUACCUUUGGUGCAUUUGUUGGAACAAAGCAUCAAGGCACAACAACUACAACAACCUGUGCUGACAAACCUUGUUGCCUACUCUCAGCAACAAUAGUUUCUUCCAUUCAACCAACUGGCUGCACUGAACUCUGCUGCUUAUUUGCAACAACAACAACAACUUCCAUUCACCCAGCUAGCUGCUGCCUACCCCCAACAAUUUCUUCCAUUCGACUAACUGGCUGCAUUGAACUCUGUUGCUUAUUUACAACAGCAACAACUAAUACCAUGAAACCAGCUAGCUGUUGCGAGCCCUGCUACCUUCUUGACACAACCACAGUUGAUGUCGUUCUACCUGCAAGCUGUGGCUAACGUCGGCACCCUCUUACAACUACAACAAUUGUUGCCAUUCAUCCAACUUGCUUUGACAAACCCAAUAGUGUUCUACCAACAACCCAUCAUUGGUGGCGCCCUCUUUUAUAUUUCUUAUGGGUUAUAGUUCAAUAAUGAAGUUUUUGGCUGAUGUUUGUGGCUUCCCAGAAAUAAGAAAGUAUAUUUCUAGAUUCUUAUGUGCUACUAGUCUCCAAAUGUGGUUGAUAAUUAUGUUGCUCUAAGAACGGGAGUAAUGAGGUAUAAAUCAUUGUUGAGGUGUGAUACUCGGGUAGUUGAGCAUUAGCACGCACAAAUAUGAUGAGGACGGUAUAAUCUCCAAAAAUAUGUACUUUGUUAGGUGGGACCCUAUAGCCAUGCAGAAUGUGCUCUGUUAGACACGUCGAUGGAAACGUGUCACACAUACGUUUUGUGAACCUAUUGAUAUUGUAUGUGCUUUUAGUUGUGUGGUGCUAUAGAUAUGAGGGCUUGUUUCACGUAAUGAGCUAGGGUAGAAAAAUAAUUAUUUGCCUUGGAUUGUUAUGGAAGAACAUACCAAUUGUGACUGCCAUCUCAAUCUAGCUAACAUCUAAGUGACCUAAAAGGAGAGCAUAAGGAACUGAUCUACAAUGACUAGCCUAGUGGUUUUAUAGGAAAUGGCAAAGAGGAAAAUGUGUUUAAGUUAUUACAAUUGUAUGGUUUAAAACAAGCACCUAAGCACAUGAGAAAUUUUAUGAAGUUCUGACUUUGGCUAAAUUUGUUGUAAAUGAAGCUGAUAAAUGUGUCUAUUGCUAGUUUGAGAGGAGGGAUGGCAUGACCUGUUUUUUAUAUUUGGAUGAUAUAUUAAUCUUUUGUAAUGAUGUUAAUAUUAUCGAGGAAGUAAAAUACUCUUUGUGUGGUAACUUUGAAAUAAAUGAUUUUGGAGAGGCUAAUGUUGUUCUUAACAUAAAGAUGUUGGGAGAAGGAGGAAAUAGGGGGUAACUCUUGUGAAUCCUAUUAGGUUGAAAAGACAUUUAGUUGUUUUGGAUAUAGUAACUACACAUCUGGUCAAAUUACUUAUGACACAAGCGUGUUGUUAAGGAAAAUGAUAUAAUCGCAUAGAAUCAAAUGAGAUACUAUCAAAUCAUGGUCUUCUCGUGUAUUUGGCUAAUCCAACGAGGCCUAAUAUCUCAUUGCUAUGAUUAAACUUAGUCGAUUUGUAUACAAUGUAGGGGAUGAUCAUGGCAAGCCCUAGAGAGGGUAUUGCGCUACCUAAAAGGGACUAUGAGUAAUGUAAUUUACUAUACCAGGCACCUAAGGGUACCAGAGUGUUACAAUGAUGCAAACAAGAUAUCUGAUGGUGACGAGAUUUAUGCCACAAGUGGAUAUGUGUGCUUGCUUGGAGGUGUGAUAGUUUCAUGGAAGUCUUGUAAGUAUACCAUCUUAACAAGAUCAACAAAACAAGUAGAACUGGCAACAUAAGAUACUACCAUAGUUGAAGCUAAGUGGCUUCUUGAACUCCUUAUGGAUUUACCAGUAGUUGAAAACUAAUAGUGGUUAUCUCUAUGAUCUAUGAUAAUCAAAUAGUCGUAAUCAAAGUGAACAGUUCUAAGGAUAACAUGAAUUCUACAAAGCAUGUCAAAAAGCGAUUGAAACUAUUAGAACACUAAGAAUCUCUAGAGUAAUUGUGUUGGACUAUGUCCAUACAUCUAAGAAUUUGGUAGGUCGAUUUAGAGAAGGUUUGUCCAUAAUGUGAUAGAUGGUGCAUCGUGUAAGAUGGGCUUGAGACCCUCUUAAUGCCAUUCCUUAGUGGUAGCAUGUUCUAUGUGAUUGGAGAUCUCGUGAAGUAGAAUGGUGAAACAAGAUAGAGAAUGACUGAUGGAGAGACUCCUUAAAUAAAAUCUAGGUAAUUUGAUAUGCAUAUUUCUCCUUUGAUGUAUCGUAGGCUAACUAAAAUCUUAAUAUGAUCGGAGUGAUUUAUCUAAGCAGGGAUGUUAUCUUAUAGAACAUCCUAGAAGGAACACACCUAUAUGAGUUUGACUGCUAUUCAUAGUCUAUGAUAUUUGGGAAAUCUUUAUAUACACCUGAAAGGCCUAGAAAUGUGACUUCUAUGCUUCAAACCAAGGGGAUGCUUGUAACAAUCUAGUAUCAGAUAAGAACUUUGGUGAAACUCACUUCAUGCAAAACCGUUAAUUCAAAGCAUAGUCCAUUGUUCAGAUGUGAAUGUAUAACCCAUGUUCUAGAUGGAUGGUCAACUUAAUAGCCUCCACCAAGACCAUGAUAUAUCAAAGAGUAGUGGAUUUGAGUUUGUCCAAUAUGUGGUUUAGAUUUUGGUGGGGAAUGUUAAUAUUUUAUUGGCUUGACCCAUUUAAAGUGUUUAAUAAUUUUGAAAGACAAGAUUAAACAAAC